GUCUUGUGAUGGUCUAGAAUUGUUUCCCAAUGGAGGCUUGCCCACACCAAAUUUAAAACGACUGUGGAUAAGAGAGUGUCAACAUCUCAAGUCCUUACCUGAUCGGAUGGAUCUACUUUCGUCCCUUUCGUCACUGUGGAUAAGUAAGUGUCAACAUCUCAAGUCCUUACCUGAUCGGAUGGAUCUACUUUCGUCCCUGGAUGUAUCUUCUUGUGCUUCAUUAAUGGAACUCUUUCCCCAAGAGAAUAUUCCUCCAAAUCUGUCUAGCCUUCAAAUCAGAAAUUGCGGAAAACUAAAGCCCCCGGGGGAGUGGGGCCUACACAAACUCACCUCUCUUAAUCACUUUACAUUUGGUGGAUGUCCUGAGCUGGUUUCCUUCACUAACAAUGCUGACGAAGAACACUGUGUGCUUCCUCCAUCUCUAACAAUUUUGUCGUUGGAUGACCUGCCGAAUCUCGAAACACUAUCAAAGGGCUUCCAAAGCCUCACCAUUCUUCAAGAGUUAAACAUCUAUCGUUGCCCAAAGCUUGAGGCGUUGCCUAUGGGAGAUUACCUUGAAAAGCUUUUGAGCCUUCACAUUCGAGGUUGCCCACUUCUUGAGAAACGGUGUUUGAAGAACAAAGGAGACUACUGGCCCAUCAUUGCUGACAUUCCAGACGUCCAAAUUGAUUCUCGAUCCAUCUAUUAUCCAUGUCCAUGAAUUCAAUUCCACGAGGUAACAUAUUUAAUUUGAUACCUAUGAAUCCAACAUCAUUUCAUGCAAAAUACUUUUCGACAUUUCUGUUAAUUUUGUUUUCAAAUCAGAAUGUGAAUUUUCUGCAGCAAAUAGUGGAUCUCCCUUUCUGCAAUAGCUAUUCAAGUGUUCAUGCCACUCUGUAUCUUAUAUUUGUGCUUCUGCUCUGCAGCAUAAAUCAAUAUCAGAGCCGAUGUACCAACAAUCAAGUAAUUGAUUGGCUAUGGCGCUAAAAUUAGCCUCUUUUUGUACUAACAGUAAAAUUCUAUCAAAUAGAUAAAAUCGGAGUGAUAAUUGUUAGUCGAAUGUGGUUAAAUUAUUAAUAUUUUGCUUCGAUCUGCUUUAGCAAACUGGAAAUGCAUUGAUUUGACUUACUGCAUGUUUAUGCAUUUUUAGGUUUUUAUGUGGCAUGCGUUUUCAAACUUUUCUUGUAGAUUGGAGGUUCCUACGCCAUUUGAAUGGAACUAAUAAAAAUGACAUCGUUUUGGUGUAGGCAUUUUCUGAUUACUUGUAAGAACACAAGAUGGAAUGAAUGUGUCUCUUCAUUAGACCUUCAAGUAAGUUUUUUGUUCGAUUCUUUUGCGUUUUAAGUGUUUGUAUAAAUUCCUCAGUGAAAUUAUAUGGCAGGAUUUGUGACUGAAGCUAUGUUCAGGAGUAAACAUUUUCUUGCUUUUUUAUUAUUAUUAUUAUUAUUAUUAUUAUUAUUAUUAUUUAUUUUUUUAUUUUUUUCAUGAUUUUAGUAAUGUUUUCUGAUUAAUUCUUUGAUUGAACUUUUCCUUUUGGGGGUUGCCUUCUAUAAAGGUCAAGAAAUCUGUUUAGUCUCUGAAAAUUUUCUUGACUGGCCGACAAUCCUUUCUCGUGUGAUUUUGGUGUGGUUUAAGGUAUGAGGUACCAUGUUUUACGAUUGCUAUUUUAUAAAUUUUCUUUUUCAUUUUUAUUCAAUUUCGUUUUAAUUUGGGGUCUAUUUUGACGUUCUUUGUUAUGUCCAGGGUUUUGGGAUGAUUUAAAGUUACAGGAUUACAUUCAUCCGUAUGAAUUGGAUGUUUUAAUCCAAUCUGAAGAUUUGAAUCAUUGCUUCACAAUUUCAUGCAAUUAAAUUAAGAAACCGAUUAAUUUUUUAUGUGAACGCUUUUUAAUCGAAAACUUUAUUUCAAUUUGGAAAGUUCAAUCAUUUUAAGUUUGCAGUUAUACAUCUUCUUGGUAUGCAUUUUUUUAAUGUUAUUAAUUCAUUCUAAUUCUUAUGGAUUCUAUUCCUUUGUAUGGGACUUCUUCACUGGUUAUAAAUUUUGGCUUCUUUGAAUUUUCACUUUCGUAUUUAUUAAUUUUUUUUUGGUAAAUAUUUUAAAAAAUUAUUGAUAAUAUUGAAUUAUCCUAGACCUUCUAUAACAUAAUAAAUUGAUGUACUAAUUUGUUAAAUUCAAUUAUUCAGUAUUCUGUUUCUUAAUUUAGUUGAUCAAGUAGGUUUUUUUUUUUUUUUUUAAUCCUAAUCUGGAAUAUAUGUGCCCAGAAUGUUGCUGUGAGCAUAUUGCCUGUCAAGAAGAAUCAUUUGAGUCGAGGACGAUAAGAUGUUACAUUUUUUAGCUAUGCUGUUUUUCAGCUCACUCCAACUUGAACUCGGUACAACUUUAAUUUUUUGAAUUAAUUCAGUUUCCUUCAGCUGAUGAAUUAUUGCAGUAUCUGUGUGAGUUUGUGUGGUUAUUUCAUAUUUGCCUGUGAUUUUGUAUUAAUCAUUUGAGUUGAAAUCCUGACUCGGGUUUAUAAUCAUUGUGGACCCAAAUUGCUGAUUAUAAGAUGUGUUUUUAUAGUAAACUAAUUGCUGAUGUCAAAAUUCUUUUCAUUAGUUUUGGGUUGAUUAGUUAAUAAGUUCUUCUGUCUUUUACUGUUUGGGGAUUUCAGCAUGUGUUUCAUUAAUUGGUUCUAUUCUUUUUUUAUAUGGUAUGUACUGACUUCAAUUUGGCAAUUUCUUGGGGAUAUCUUUUUUGUCAAAUUGUAUUUUCACAGAGUUCAACUGUAAAAAUGUGAAAUAUGUCCAAUUAUUUGAAUUUUUGUUGAUAUUUUGAAAUUGAUAUUAUGUAUUGAUGAGCCAUCAAGUUAAAUUUAAAACGAAUUCCAUGUUGCAAAUGCUAUUUGGAAGUUGAAUUUGCUCUGCUGGGUUGCAAAGUAUACUUGAAUUUAUUUUAUCAAAAGAUGAAUAUUUAUCAUCUCUUAGUUUCCCCUUCUUUGUCAUAUAUCUUUACGGAAUUCUUGUAGAAGUAUUUAGAUGAUAAUUGGAUUGUGUUGAUAAUGUAGUUGGAAGAUCAUACGAGGAAUUUCAGGAAAAUAGGUUUUGUUGCUUGAGUCCAUUUUAUUUAAGGUGUCCGGAAAAAAAAAGGUUGUGUGAGUGUGGAAAGUAUAUCAUCCUUGCGCGUUUGGAUCUGUUAUUCAUAUUGAUAGAUGGCAUUCCGUGUGUGGAAGCAGAUUUCACUUAAAACAUAUAUUCACCUUGUGUUGUUAGGUAACUAGUGUAGCUUUUCACAUCUGCUUUCGUAAUGGUUUAUUGUUGUACAUUUUAUAGGCUAAUGUUGCUAGAAGAAAAUCGAAUUUCUUUCCGCUCAAACGAUGGAAUGAUGAUUGAUGGCGUUAAAGAUUACUCUCACCUGGUUGCUGAAAUGAUAGGAUUGUCGUAAGUUUUAACUUGCUAUGUAUAGCUUCAUUUCUUGCUUUUAGUUUUGGUCGACUUCAACUCUAUUAAGUAUUUUGAGCCAAAUAUUUUUUAUUAACAGCAUCAACAUAAUUAAAUUUAUUUUACUCUUGAAACAACAAAUAUGUUUCCUCUUCCUUUUUGAUGGAAGUUACAUCACAAUAGAUCUGUCUUUUAUAUGAAGAUUUUCUUCUUCUCAAUUGCUAUUGCACACUGUACUUGAUAUUAGUUGUGGGUCUGGUAGCUUUAAUGCUCGUCUUCUAUCGCUUAAGCUGAUCUGUGACAGCAUAUGAGCCAACAGGUAGACAUGUUCAAUUGGCACUUGAUAGAGGUCUCCCUUCAAUCAAAACUUAAUCUAAAGACAGCUCCCUCUUCAUCCUUCGUCAUAUGAAGUGGUUCACUGCACUCAAUGUAGCAUUGUCUGUGAUAACAAAGGUAUGAUCCUCAUUAAGGUUUGGGGUUUUGUUUUUUUCCAUUAAAUCACCAUUUCUUCAUCAGAUUAAGUGCAGUGGUUUUUAUUGAUUUUUCACCGAUGAAAAUACUUGAAAUUAAUUUGACAUUUAGCCUAAUGUAGUGCGAACUUUUCUGUGGGUUUUGCUAUUUUUUGCGUGCAUUUCUAUUUCUUUUUUGUUUAUCACAUUUUGUUUGAUACUAUAGUUAUCUGUGAUAAAUUUUGCAAUGGUAAUAUUAGGCUUGCUGUAAGGAAGGCCAAGAAGGAAAAGAAAGCGUAUGAUCCAAACAAGCCAAAGAGACCUCCAAGUGCUUUCUUUUCAUGUAUGCCCAUUUGCAUUUUUGGUCUCUAUCAUUUCUGUCUAUUGUUCUUAUAUAUUAUCUUUUUUAUGCUGCUUGGCAGACUACAACAAUAAUUUGGUAAUCCAUCUAUGAGAAGCACGGUGUUAUACACAGUUUAGUUUGAAUUGUGAUACUGAAACGACUUGUGCCAAACUGUUUUUAUAGGCUAGAGGGGCUGUUGAAUUCGACAAGGCAAAGUCUGAGGUUAAUGGUGAUGAGGACGAUGAGAACAGUGGAGACGUUAGUUGAAAUUAAGCUAUACAACUUUUUUGUACUUGAAACUUAGCUACUAUGUUGACUUUUUAUUUUGUUUUAAUUAAUUUAGGGGGAAGACUAUGAGUAAGCACUAUCACAGAAAACUGGAUUUUGGAUUCAAGGUGAGAACCAACAAUCAAUCUUCCUUCAUUAUUUGCAUUUAUGGCUUCAGGUUUUGUAAAAUGUUCGACUUGAAAGUGAGUUAAUUGGAUUGGUAGAUUUCAUGAAGAAUUAUUGUGUAAAAUUUGGCUUCAGGUGAAUUUUACUGAAAUUAAUUGAAAGUAAUUAUCAAUAAUACUCCUUUUUUUAUUUUUUUAUUUUUAUUUUUUAAAGUUGCUAAUGUGUUUGUUCUUCCUUUCAGUGAGGGAACAAGCGUCUCUUUGCCAUUAACUUGGGGCAAAAAAAGAGAGGAAACGUAUGCCUUGUUUUUCAUUAUUGCCUAUUGGUACACAAGACGUAUUUAGAGGAAAGGGGUGGAGGAAGAGGGGGUUGAGUGCUUGUAGACCAUGAGCAAAAAAUGGCAGACUACAAUAAGAAUUUGGUAAUUUCAUCUAUGAAAUUCUCUAUUACAAUGCACUACGUGCAUCUCACAUGCGAAGAACUAGUUCGAUAAAUAUUCAAUAUUUUACAAGCAGCUUCAUAUCUUGUUAAAUUUUAAAGGUCCUUCCUUUUGUGAAAUCAUUUAAGUUAAAAAUGUUAAGAGAGAAAAACAUUAAUUUAUUAAUAUCUUCAAAACUCUUCUUAUGGUGCAGGUAGAUUUAAUUUUUCUAUAAACAUUAAAUUUCUGACUUUGAUGGGGUGAUGAUAUUAUUUUACAGAUUUUCAUCUGGUCGUCCGUUCCCAAUACAAUUUCGAGACUCGAUUUGAUUGGAGACUCAUAGCUCAGUCAUCUACCAGGUUGAGAAAGUUAUGAAUUGGGUUAGUCGUUGUAAGCUUGUGGGCUGACCACCUAUAUGCCUGCUUUGCAUAUAUUUUGUUGCCAGCUCCGAUCCACAUCAGUUGAUGACGUGUUGUUUACACCAAAUUUGACUUGUACACAAUAUCCGUUAUUACAAGAGUUAGAGAAAGACGCCAAUUCAAACCAUCAUUUGGUGACACAUUUUUUAAGAGCAAUCGUAGAACCUAUAUUUGUUAAGUGAAGCCAAUGUUAUGCUGAAGCAAACAAAAGAUUAUGACGAUUGGGGAUGGUCAAGUUCACAUUUCACUUCUUAUCUUUCCUCCCUCUCUCUUUUAGAGUAAAGAUCAUUUGUAGUAUUUCGUGGCUACCAAAUAUUCAAAUACUCCAGGGAACAUUGGAGAUGUAAAAUUCUGUAUUAUAUAAUAGGAGGAAUUUCUUUCUUUUUUUUCCUAAAUGGAUUAUCAGGUAAGCUGUCAUUAUUUGCAAUAGUAAUAGGCUCUUUAUUAUGAUGUGCAGUUGCACAUGUCCAUGUGUGUGCACGUAUACGUGUGUGUGUGAAAUGUGGAAUAAUGAUAUUUGUAAGCAAUGCACUGCAAACAACAAUCUAUUCUUACCUAUUAGCAAUUAGCAUUCUAUGUAGAGGUAUUGUUACUGCCACAUUUUCCUAUAAUUUUAGAGUAAGGAUAUUUGUAAGCAUUGUACUAAAAACAACAAUUUGUAUGACAGUGAGAUAUCUAUCUCAUUCUCCUAUGAAUUGAGUUCGGUUUAAUUUAUUGAAGAAUGUGAUAGUGAUCCCAUUGUUACAUCAAAUAUUGGUAAUAAGUACUGUCAUAAACUUAGCAUACAUUUAAUUUAUUGAAGAAUGUUACAAUAAUCCACUGUUGCAUGGAUGGUUGAUGGAUAAGUACUACUUACAAAGAGUAUUACUCCUUAAAAAUGGAAAUUUACUAGGGAUAUGAAGCCAAGUGGACAAAUAUCUGGACAAAUAUCAGACCUUGCUAAAGAAAUUUCACUCUUAACAAAUACAAUUCUCCAUGAUAGACCAUAUGAAAAAUCAAAAUUGAGGUACAUUCUAACAAUAUCCCUCUACACCCAUCUCACCCUUUUAACUAUUUACCCACCAACACCCACACUUUAUAUAUAAAUGUUUUUUCUUGUUUUUUUUCUCAAUUUUCAGGGUCAAAAUGUCAAACAAAGUUAAAAUAUUAGAAUUUUAAUAUCAUUUUGAAGUGCUCAUAGCUUGGCUUCUCGCAUCAUUAACAGCGCAUGAAAUGACCGACCACAGCAAAAGUUACAAUGCGUCAAAAUAGGUCAUUCAAAAUUAGUAUUUCAAGAAUUUCGAUAAUAUACUAACUUUAAAAAUUUGUUGGCGAUCGUAUACUAACUGAAUUCAUAAAUUGCUUGUCAUCUUGAUCCAAACAGAUAUAGGUUGUACAUUGAAAAUAAUUAAAUUAUUUGAAAAUUUUUGACGUCAUGUGUCAUGUAAAAUUAUCCUAAUAAAAUGAUGUAAAUUAUAUUAAUAUAUUUGUUGAGCAAAAAUAAUAAACGUUAAUGAAAUAAUUGAAAAAUUUUAAAGGAAAAAAUGAGUUAUGCAUCUCUUUUUGACACGAUCAUUUAAUUAUUUUUGAUAUUCAAAUUUUGGAUCAUUCGAUAUGUCUACGAUAUAAUUCUUUAAACUAAAGCAAAUUUUUAAAAUUAGCAUAUUAUCGAAAUUCUCUAAAUACUAGUUUGGAAUGACAUAUUUUAAGACAUCAUAACUUUCGCUACGAUUGACAGUUUUACGCGCCGUUAACGAUGCAAAGAAUUAGACCGUGAGCACUUCAAAAUAAUAUUUAAAAUGUGAUAUUUCGAUUUCAUUUGACAUUCCAUAAUGACCUCAAAAAUUGAGAUGAAAACAAGGGAAAAAAAAAACCUUUAUAUAUGAAGAAUGAGUGAUAAGGAUGGUGAGGGGUAGGUGUGGGGUGGGGUAAAAAGGUUGGGGGUCGGUAAAAAGUUAAAAAAUUGGGCAAGUGUAGGGGAAAACAAAAGUUGCCACAUUAGUAGUGGGUAGAAUGUUCUCCUGCACACCAUUGCCAGCAGAGCAAUUCUACGAAAAAUAAUACGCGAAGAAUUAAUUUCAUAAUUUGUGAUCGAUAAAAAGUUAUAACCUAUAAAAUUUGUGAUUUUAAGUGUAACGUUUUGUAACUGUGACUAAUACGCAACUGUGAUCAUAAACUGUAUGAUAUUGCGAUCUUAAUUUAUUAAUUAUAUAUUUAAUUAAUGUACUAAAUUUAAUAUUUAUGACCCGGGUUUUGGAAAAUAAAAAAAUAAAAAUCUCAAGUUCGUCAAAAUUGAAAUUGUAACUUAAAAUCUAUCUAAUUAUGUAUUCUUCCCAUUAUAAAAAGUAAUGGUGGAUAUAAUUUACCCAUUGAAAAAUGCAAAAUCCUCCAUUUGACUAGAGGAACCGGCUGUUUCGGCAGAGUUAUAUAUCGAAUUUUACUUGUCAUGCUGAGGUCGAGGGCUAAGAUCUCUAGCUUACGCGUAUAUAGGCAGGGGCGGAUCCAAGCAUGAGCUCCACUAUGCUAUAGCCCGUGUUCGCCCCUGAAAAUGUCUACUGUAUUUUAUUAUUAUUAUUAUUAUUAUUAUUAUUAUUAUUAUUAUUAUUAUUAUUUUAUUGAAACAUAAAUCGAUGUAUAUUUGUAUUGUAACCCGUGUCCAAACUCAAGGCUGGAUCCGCCAUUGAUAUAGGCGUUUAUUUCUAACCAAGUAAUGAACACCAUCACUACUAGUAGUUGAAGUGGGUAGAUAUACAACAGUUACCAUCUAAAAAUGGACCAAAAGUAGUUCAAUGUGUUAUAGCAGAUCGAUGACCACACACCAUGAGCCAUCUAGGUAUCAACUGAUCAUUUACUAUCCUAGAUUAAGAAUAAGUCAUUUUAAGUGAAGUGUGACCUCCCAUUUCCCUUGAGGAGACCCACUGAUCAUUUACUAUCCUAGAUUAAGAAUAAGUCAUUUUAAGUGAAGUGUGACCUCCCAUUUCCCUUGAGGAGACCCAAACUAACCAUAAUCGUAUAGAAUAGAUGUAGUUCAUAAUCACAAAUCAACAUAGAAUCAAGUAGAAAUAAUACAACCAACAGACGGUAUACUCUGUUACAUUAAAUGUUGUUUUAUUGAAUUUCUCAACAGACGUUAAAAUGUUAUCAAACCUCUGUUUGAGUCUCAUUCUUUCAAAAAUUCAGUUUUUCAAAACUCAUUUUCAACCACACAUCCUUCAAUAAAAUAAUAUUACACGUAAAUUCAAAAUUUUUUUUUUUACUUUUUAACCAUAUAUUCUCCAUCAAUCUACUAUUCAAAAUGCAUUAUUUUCCAAAAAAUGGGGCUCAAGCUAAGUGAAGACUUUACAACAAUGUAAAUGGUAUUCUAGCAAUCAAUAUUCCAGUUUCAAGUUGAACUGAAAUUAAGAAAAGAAACAUGUUGACCAGCCUCAAAAAAUGGUCAUAUAAAGAUAUUAGAAAGCACAUAGCAGUCAAGUGUGUGGAUGGAACCACCUUUACAACAAGAAGAGAAACUGGAUGACAGGCAACAAAUACAGUAUCAUAAAGCACAGCUAAUUGAAGCUAUAGGAAUUAGAAAAAUACAUACCUCGAUAGAUUGUAUGAGACUCUUAUGUAUACGUAAUAGUCUAGUUCAGUACAUUUGAUCAGCCAAGAAGAGGAUUAAGAACGUUCCCAAUGAAUAGCACUACCCCAGUCAUAUCUUCCCUGAUGAUGAACAAAAAUGGAUGAUCGGCAACAAAAUCGAACUCAUCCUCGACUAAUAAACCCCUCAGUUUAACAAGACCAGCAGAAGCAGCAGCAGCUUCCGUGCCUUCUUCAUUUACCUCAAUAAAUGACUUGUGGAAAAUGCUAGAAACAUAAAGGUUCUGACCAACUUGUGAGUCCACCAUCUCUGUGAGACCACCACCAGAAAAAGGCAACACGACUCACAGUCCCUUCAGAACUUCCGAGGCUUCAAACCCAAAUGACAAUUUGAAUUUUGGGAUACGGAAUUCACCAACUUCGACCUUUUGAUAUGGGAGGUGAUGCUCCAAGAAUCCUGAUUCCGAACUGACUUUCUCUACCAAAGCCAGCAAUCCAUCUUUGGUGUCUGGAAGAAGGAAGUUCAUAGAGAACUUGCGCUUAUCUUCACCUUGCUUAUACGGAAGGCUCAAAAUUUUGAAACCAUCAAAGGAACGUAUAUAUUGCUUCUUCUUGCUACUCAUGAAGGGUACUUGUACUGAGCUCCCAUCUAGGAGGAAAAAGUCAUGGUCCUUUGUAAUUGAUGCAUCAAACUUCUCACUCCAAGCUCCUUUGAAAUACACUGCAUUUGCAAAGAUGAGCCUCGUGGAAGCAUCGACUGAGCCAGGUGGAAGAAUUUCUUCGACAAGGCCACUUGUUUCCUUUUCAGCCCAUUGAUUGACUUCACCGAUUACCUCAACAGCCUUCAGAAAUAUCAAGAAUAAAGAACAUAACAAUUAAUACAUUGUUAAAGAAAUUUACUUGCAGAAGUAGAAGUUCUACAACAUGAAUGAUUUCACCCAGCCAGUUCCUCUUUCUCCUACAACUCAAGGUGUACAAGCAGAUAAAUAAUUGUUUACAGCAUGAAUUCGUUGACAUUACAAUAGAAACUAUUUCUUUGUAAGGUUUAUUCUAAAUGUCAUGGGCCAUGAGUACCAUUUACAGAUAUACUUGAAACAGAAGUUGGUUACAUGCUUAUGAACAUAACCACCACCAAAAAACAAAAGCAAAAGCAAAGCCGUCCCCAAUAAAUUUGGAGUCAGGGAGCUAGAAGCAUUUUUCAUCCAUUCGACAGGGAUUUCUUGGUGACCAAUACUAACAUGAAGACAAGAAUAAAUCGGAUGUUAUCCAUUUGAUAUUUUCAUAAUAUCAAACUAUCACAAUUCUGUAAACAAUUACAGAAUUUACAAUUUUAAAAAAAAAAAAAAAGGAGGAUAAAAAUAAUGCAAAUUUUCUUACAAUGUGAAGCACCACAUGGAUUUACAACCACUGGUGUAUGGCAAGUGUUUUAAAGUUUAAAAUUACAUGUCAUUCUAUUUUGGUAUUUGGGAAGAUGAAAUCUAAGUAAUUAGGAGAAAAUGCCUUCGGCUUGCUUGGGCUUAGUUUAGCAACUUUUGAACGUACAAAGGUCAAGUUUUCAGUUAGAAACAGAAAAAAGUGAAAAUUUUUAAAAAAUGAGAGAUAUAAUCUUCAAUGAUUUAACCUGGGUCAAACCUUACGAGAUCCUAUAGUACAAUUUUGACAUGAAGCAGCCUUCCAAUUGGGUCUAUGGUGAAGGACAAAACCUUUCAGUUGUUUUUUCAUACUUAUGACAUUCCAAUAUGCUGUUAAAUAAAUGAAAUCAAGUUCAAGUUAAUCGCAACUUAAUAACCAAGAUUUAUUGAAUAGCCAAGGUCAAACUCAAUUCCAUUGAAACUUGGAAAAUUCAUACAAUAAACAAAUCGUUCUUUGAGAUAUACUGACUCGGACCAAACAAGUUUGUUAAUGGAAAUCCAAAAUCUAUAUUUAAUUCAAGCUCAAAUUCCUCCAGCUAAACUUGCUUGUGUUUAUUUACAUAGUAACAUGUUUGGGAGUGUUUUUAAACAGUUCAAAUUAUAAAUGGAUAGAAAUGAGCGGUUCCUCAAAAUGUGUAAAUAAACAGAGUGUUCACAAACAAUUUAUAGAAACGAGCAAAAGUAGUUUAACUAAUUGAACUAAAUUCAUUUUUCAUUGGUAAUACUGGACAUCAACUCCAGCUUUCCCCUAACAAAAUUUACAAAAGCACGGAUAAAUCGACCAAUUGCAAUAAGUUCAACAAUCAGUUGGAAGAAACAGCUUUUCCAUUAACCAAACGAAUAAACAUGGAUGAAAUGGACCAAUUGUAAUAAUUUUUGAAAUAUGUUUUGAAAAUUUCAUCACCUAUUUUUCCCAAAUGUAAUCAUAUUAAUUGUGUCAAAGCCAUCAAAUUGAAUUUCAGAAACAUACACAAUAAAGUAUCAAUUGAUUAAAAAAAAAAAAAAAGAAAUUUGACAGCACACAAACCACCUAUAGACACCAAUAAUAAGCAAAAAAGGUUAUAAGGAAACAAUCAAACCUUGAUCAACGAUAAACAGAUUAAUGAGUUCUAUAAUUGAAAAUAGAAAUUAAACUAACCUUAGUUUGAAAAUCAACAGGAUUAGAAGCAGCCUUGUAAAUAUUAUCAACAAUUUCUUUAAAACUGGGCUUCAAGCUGAGACUCUGAUCUAUCCAACCCCCAUUAGCGAAUGACAAGCAAGGCCCACCAAGGGGGCCACCGUCAGCGAAAAUGAGAUUUACAAGCUGAGAGGAGAGUGAGUUGAGUUCAUCAGUGGACUUCGAUUUGAGGAAAUUAAGCAACUGAUUAAGGGUUUGAUCUUUGGAUCCGGCCGCGAUCAGACCCAACACCACGUGAAUCGAGAGCGGCGAGAACACCAAAUUCUUAUCCUUGGCCUCAGUCGAAACCAAGUAAUGUGCAAGCUGAAGUGAUGCUUGUGUUUGGUUCUUGAUGGAUUCUCUUAGGUCCAUUUCUGUCUGCGUCUGCGUGUGGAAGAGGUGAUUGAAUCAAAAUUCGUGCGCGUUUGGACGUUCUGAAAAUCUGCACUGUGUUCACCGACCCAUCAGAGGCAAUUUAUAUGUGCCAUUUGUGAUGGUUGACUCAAGCGUGUCUUUCAAUGUCUACUCAACACGUUAGGAUUCGUUUCUUCGAGAUAAAGAUUACAAAUUGGGGGAAUCCAUUGUUCAUCCAAACGACCUUGAAGAAUACUUCGACGUUGAUGUUUUGAAAUUAAUUUUGUGAAUAGUGAUUAAUUUAUAGGCUGUAGGGUUAAAAUAGAUAUAAUUAUUUACGUGUAAAAUUAUUUUAUCAAAAGAUUGUGUAAGAAAAAUUAGGUUUGAGGAAAAUAUAAUUUUUUUAGUAUCAUAAUCAACCAUCCUAUAAACUUCUCUAGGGUCUAAAAAUUUAUUAGUAUCGUAACCAACCAUCCGAUAAACUUCUCUAGGAAUUUAGACUCUGUUUGUCACCCAUCAUUUGAGAAAUUAAAAAGUUAUGAAUAGUAUUUUUUUGAAAAAUAUGUUGUUAAAAAAUAAAGAAAUUUUAUAAAUUUGUGUGUAUAAUAUUUUAUUGUGUGAAUAUGAGGAGUAGAAUGGUACUCUAACAAACAAUUUUAAAUUUUAAAUGGGGCAAAACAAGUUUCUUUCACCGCGGAUAUUUCUUGCUUGUUUGACUUUCUUUAAUUUAUUUUAUAGAUUGUUACGUGAUCAUUUUCAACAUAUUUACGCAAUAAAAUAUUAUACAUAUACACUAAAACUUUGUCUAUUUUAAUCACACAUUCUCUUAAAAUUACUAUUUAAAAAUCAUUUUUCUGCCAAAACAGUUGUCAAACAGGCUUCAUCUUGUGUGAUUUUUUGAAAAUUACUUUUUUUGAUAUUUAUUUUCAAUAUACAUUCUUUAAAAUUAUUUUCCAUAUUUUUCAAUUUUUAAACUUUUUAACUACACAUUUUCAAGAAAAUCACAUUUCAUAAUCUCUAUCCCACACACACACACACACACACACACAUAUAUAUAUAUAUAUAUAUAUAUUUUUUUUUUUUUGUAAUUUUUUUUCUCUAAAAGCAUCUUCAAUAGCAUAUUGUAUAUGAUUCAUAACUUUUUCUUACUUUUUAACUAUACAACCUCUAAAAAAAUAUAUGUCACUUGAAAAAUCCAUGUCAAACAAACUCUAACAGUGACAUGAUUGAGGGGAAUUCUUCAAAGUAGAAAUGCCAAUUUAAACCGUCAAAAUCGAAAAUUGUGACUAACCGAACCAAAUAGAGCGAAAAAAAUCGAAUCGACGGUGCAAUGGGGCGGAUAUGGUAUUUGAUUUUAAUGAAUCGGUUCGUGACGGUGCGGGUAUGAUAUUUACGCCGUCGAACCGAAACCGAACCGAUAACUCGCUAAAAAAAGCAAAAAAUAAAUAAAUAAAUUGAAUUGAUUAUUGAGCUUUACACUAUAUUUCUAUCUAGCCGAAAACAAAAUUUCCCCAUUACAUCUACUUGACCUAGCAGGCCAGCUCACUUAUCAUUAGCCCAUAAUAAUAGCAUUAGUAUGAAAGUAUAUAAAUGCAAACCCCAUUUUCCACAAACCACAAGCUCACGCACGCUCCACUACCUCUACGGUCCAAGCCGUCGUCACCUCCAAAAAAUUUCCCACACGACUUCAGUUUUAAAGAAAAGACAGGACCUCCCUUCUUAAUCAAGAUUAUUGGAACAAAAAUUUCAUCUCAAUCAUUUUUGUUGUAUCUGUAAACUGAUUGCAUUUUGCAUCCAAUUCCAGGGACGCAUUUUUCAGGAUUUGAUGCAGAAAUUGUUUCAAAUUUUGUCGAAAAGAGGAUAAAUUCAAUCAGUACUGAUUUAGUAUAGACUUGAGCCAAGUCCGAGGCGUGGUCGAAUAUAAUAUAUUGUGUUUUUGUUUUCAUUGAAUUUUUUCAUAAAUUGUUUUAUAUCAAUUUGAUGGAUGAACCUAUAAAAAAUAAUUUAUUUUCGUGGUUAUUAAUCGAACCGAACCUAUUUACGUGAUUAUGGUGCGGUUAUAGUAUGGUCAAAAAAUUGAUCGUGCGAUUAUGAUUUUGGCCGAACCGACCCAUAACUGAACCGUUAUCAACCCUACUUCAAAGCAUGUUCACAAGAACAUGGAGAGGAGCUGUGGGCUUUAGCUCCAGGACUGUACCCAUUUAUUAUUUUUGUAUUAAUUCUGUGCAAAUAGUUUUUUAUUAUCCCUCGACUCCACCUCUAAUAUCAACCCAUGAUGCGCAAAUCUAAAUAUUCUCACACUAUGCAAAAAUCUCUUUUUGGUUGAGACAUUUCUCACUUCUCAGUUGUAGUAUUCAGAUUUAUAUGAAAAAGGAGCUCAACAAUAGUUUAUACUUUUCCUAAAAAUAAGACAAAAUAAUGCAAAAUUUUGGACAAAAAAUGAUGAAUGAAGUAAAAUAACAAGAUGUAUCUCUUCAACGAAUUAUUCUACUCCAACAUGUCUUCCUGAAAAAACAAGGCCUAUGUGGCCCUGUUUGAGAAGUAGAACCCCUCGUAUAUAGUGUUUUCUACCUUGAAAUGCCACUUCUAAAAAUGCACUUACUUGACAGUUGACACCUCCUUAUGAUAUUUUGACUAUGCUUAGGAAGCUCAAUUUAAAAAAAAAAAAAAAAAGCAGCUUCUAAAAUAAAAUUUUUAUUGGUAAAUGUUUAAAAUAAUUAUAUUAUUUAUUAUAAGUUUUUGUAUAGAAAUGUGUGGAGGGUAAGUUGUUCGUCGAUCAUGAUUAACGAGGUAGUUUCGACCCUUCUCUAUCUCUUUCUCAAAACCGUUAAAUUUGAUAUAUUUUUCACUUGUAAAAUUUGUUUUCAUUUUUUUUCCUUUUUUUUUUUUUGUGCAUUUACGCAUUUUACAUAUUGUUUAUCUCAUCAUCUUCAUCUCACAAAAUAUUUACAAGUUCUUGGAGAUUUCAGAGAUCCAACGAAAUGAAAAUUUGGGUUACAAUGUUCGAGAAAAUGAAAUAAUAAUUAAAAGUAUUCUUCCUAAACUAUUAAUAUAGUAUUUUUAUUUUUUUACAUUUGAUUCUACUUAUUCUUGUGGACAUCAUUGAUACGUGUUUUUAGUAGUCAUGGGCGGACCAACUGUUGAGAUUCUCCUCCCUUUUUUUUUUUUAAAGUCAUGUUUGGCAUCGAUUGAAAUUUAAAUUUAAAUCUAAAUCAAAGUUAAUAAUUAAUUUUAAUAACAUAUUUCAUGGAUUCUUGAGCUUCUAAAAUUUUAUCAAAAUUUACUAAAAAUCGGACUUUAGUCCCCACCAAACAAAGAUACAAUCUCAAUAAAUUUGAAUUUUUUCUCUUUUUUAUUGCUCUAUCCUAUUCUCUCCCUAAAGCCUUUUACCAAAAUCUUAACUCUUCUAAUUUUUUAUAAUUUAUUUAUAAUUCCUCUACGAUUGUCACAUUUAAUAUAAAUUUUCACUUUUCAAUCAAAUUUUUAACUAAUUAGAACCUAAAAAUUUGCAUUUUCUCCUAUUCUAUUUGUGUAUAUAGCACGUGUCUAAACUGAUGAUAUAAAAUUGAACUUAUAUCUAACGAAUUGUGCUUAUCUGACUGAUUAUUAGUAUUGAAUAUUGGUUAUUUGCUAUUACUUUCAAUUACUUGAAUUGAUUGUUUGUAUCAAAUACACAAUUUUUUAAAACAUAAAUAUAUAUUUUCUUGUGAUGAGCAAAAUAUUAAUAAAAUUAUUAUUCAAAAUCAAAUAGAUGAAAAUAAUUAGCAAAAUAUUAAUGAAAAAAUAAUUUUGAAAUGUAAAUCUACAUUUUUUCGGGUCAAAUACGAAUCAUUCAAAAAUAAAAAAUAAAGUAAUCGAUUUGUACAAAGUUUGAUUGUGCCACCUAACUCAAUUUCUCUACGUCCGCCUUUGUUAAUAUUAUUAUAUUUUGAUGAUGAUGAUUUGCUCUUCAAAAGAAACUAUUUUAUUUUAAAUCACCUCCAUCAAAUGAACCCAAUGUAUAUAGUCACGUUGCACAUACUUUACAACAGUAUUAUAUAAUUAACAAAAUAUUUAACCUCUUUUCUUUUGAUUGCGUGCUUAAUAAUAUUUUACGGCACCUGCAACAAUUAGUUAUUUUAUUUUAUUUUAUUUUAGUUUUAAUUAGGGUGGAGCUUUUGAAUACAUUUGUUAUGUUUUGUGUUAUAAUAAUGAGAGAAUUAAAUGCUCAUUUAUUGAACGAUCAAUUAGGUAAACUAGGAAGGACAAAAUUAAAAAUAUGGAUACAUAAAUGCCGAUUAUAGCAUAAUUUUUCUAAUAUUCUAGAAAACAUAACAAUCUCUCCUAAACUAAUAUUGGAUUUUGCUUGUUGUAUGUCGGGCUGUACAUCAACAUGUCCAUAAUGCUCCUGUAGCAAUAUAUUGGAUUUCAAUUUCUCGUGUCCAUUGAAAAGGACGAGAUAUUUACUGGAAAGCCCCUGCCUUAUCUGAUAUUUGAAAACCUUCUCUUUGGAAGCCAAAUUUAUGCAACAUUAACCAUCUUUCUCUAGGAAUGUCAAUUUGACUUACCAGCUCGAGCAGCCCAAGAAAAGUCCGAUCAUGCCCAAUUCGCGGAUCGUUAUAAUCCAGCUGAGGCUUGAGCUGAGCUUCAUUUUGGAGUUUCGGCCGAAGCUCAAGCUAGCCAGUGUGGCUUGACGAACCACAUGGGCCAUUUUCGGCUUGUGAGCAAAUUUGUGAAAAAAAGAUAUUUUGGCUGCUGUAGCUGCCUGUGUAUUACAGGCAGCUAGUAGCUACUGUUGCUGUAGCUCCAGCAGCGAAUUUGCUUGUGUAUUGCAGGCAUCAAUACAUAGUAGGAAGUCACGCGGUUGCCUUUUCAAAAAAAAUAAUAAAAAAUAAAAAAUCACGAGCUGUCUCGGUUCGAUUGGAUUCCAUAAGGCCAGAGCCAAAGCUCAGAUUGAGCGUUGAUAUUUUGACCGAACACAAACUCGACUCGACUCGAGCUAAAGAAAGCUUGAACCAUUUUUACUCAAAUCGAACACGAGCUUCAAAUUAGGCUCGCGAGCCAGUUCAACUUAGCUCGUUGACCUCCGUAUCUCUCUCAGCAAAAUCUUCGACAAUCUUCGACAACUGAUGAUGAGUAGAUCGACUAGAGACAAAUCGGCGGUGAGCAGAUCAAACAGGGCAACAACAAUAUUUUUUACUUGUAAGAAAAUGGAUUUAAAUUUCUUUUUGGGUGAAUUUCUUCAUUUGUUGUUUAAGUGUUAAUUUCUGGAGUUCUGUACUUGCCGUUCGUCGGACAUUAAAUGGGUAGAUUUUAGUUUGUACCUGAAAUGGGUGGAUUUUAUACUAUAAACUCGGUGUCUUGUGAAAUGCGUAUAAAAUAAUUUUUUAAUCUUGUGGAACAGGGUAGAUUUAAGUUUUGAGCUCUUCUUUUGUGACUACUAUAUGCAAUUUCAUGUUACAAAAAAUUCUCGGAUCGGCUCAAGUAAAGAAUGCUUGAACUAGUUUUACUGGAGAUGAACCAAAGCUUCGAAUUUCUGCUCACGAGCUGACUUAGCUCAACUCGUUCACAUUCCUAUCUUUUUCUCAACAAAAUCCCUAGAUGACUAAUGACAAUGGAUCGAUUGGAGACAAAUCAAAGGCGAGCUGAUCUAACAGGGUAACGACGAUAUCUUUUACUUGUACUAAAAUGGAUUUAAUUUUUGUUUGGGUGGAUUUCUUCAUUUCUUGUUUAAGUGUUAAUUUCUGGAGUUAUGUACUUUACCGUUCACCAAACAUUAAAUGGGUAGAUUUUAGUUUGUACAUGAAAUAGGUAGAUUUUAUAUUGAGAACUCGAUAUCUUGUGGAAUGCAUCUCAGAAAAUUUUGAAAUCUUGUGGAACUGGAUAGAUUUUAAUUUUGAGCUCUUCUUUUGUGACCACUGCAUGCAAUUUCAUAUUACAGAAAAUCAAGGGAAUUUUAUCUUUACACGAAGUCCCGAAAACCCAACUUUUUUUUUUAAAAUCAAGAUACGAAAGUGAGGGCAGAAAACAUAUCAUGGUUGGAGUGGUGGUGAGAAUUGAUGAUUCUUUAUUGGAAUCCACACUUUUAAAAACUGAUAUUGGAUUUAAUUGUUGCUUCGCCAAGAGACAAACCCUUGUCCCGUUCCUUCUUUAUCACAUGUUUCUACAAAGUCUUAGCUGCCGGAAGAGUGUGAUUUUCUUAUCCAGACAUUUUCUUUUGGAAGCCUCCAAAGUGUAAUUACAGUCUACGAGUGGAGAUUCAAAAUCCAUGCUCCAAAUACUUGAGAUGUCAAUUUCAAGACACCUUGGAUCAAGUUUUCAUGUAGUAUUUUUCAUUAAGCAUAUAACAAGGAUUUUUUUUUUUUUUUUUUUUUAAAAGUGAUAUACACAAAUGGCAUGAAAUUAUAAGGAAAAAAAAAAAUAACAACCACACAUGAAAUCAAACAAUUAAUAUUUUACCCCUCAAACUUAAAUUAAAUAUUGUCCCCAAUGUAAAAUUAAAGACAAAGGAGGAUGAGGACUUUCUUGAGUGAAGACAUCAAUUGGCUUCAUUGCUAUCGGCAUCAUGGUGGGGGCAGUGAUGGAUGUUGGUUCUAGUUUUGCCCCCAAACUUGAGCCUCGACCUACAAGAAGAGAAAAAUGAUUAAGAAAUUAUAAACAAAAAUGUAAACUAAUAUCUAAAUAAUUAAAAAGAAAAAGAGCUUGGGUUGCCUCCCAAGAAGCACUUAUUUAACGUUGUUAGUUUGAAGUUGUCGGAAUGCCUUAGGUUAGGUCACCAAGGGCACUUCUUCUAUAUUCAGCUCGUCCUUUCCAUAGUAUUACUUAUGUUGCUGGACAUUAUUUUAAAAUAUGAACCUAUUCUUGUCCUUCAACUUCACAGCACCAAAAGGAAAUAUGUUGUGGCUAAUGGUCGUGGCCAUCGUGAAUUAAGAUUAUUCACCGUCAACUUCUAGCGGGACUUAUGGACAAGUACUUGUUUCGGAAUUGGCUUUCUUCUCCAUAUAAACUUUUGCACAAGAUAAUUAGUACUGAAGAUCUCUUUGGAUUCAAAAGAGUUGACAGGCUUCACAAGAUCCUUUUUCUAGUUCUCAUUACUCUCAAGUGGCAAAGCUUCACUAGCCAAGAUAAAAUCAACCAAUUUCCUGCUCUCCCUGUAUAACUUUUUGUAGCAGUUAUGUCUAUUCUUGAAGCACUUGUUACAAUAUACUACAGUAAAGUGUCAUCAAACAAUUCCUUUUUACAUUUUUCUCCCACUGAUGCAACAAUUUCUUAACUUGGUAUAUAGUGAACCUGACUUCUUCUUUAUUAACCCAAAGUGUUAGUUGUCCUCUUUGUACAUUAGUAAGUGCUCUACCAGUUGCUAAGAAAGGUUGACUAAGAAUUAAUGGUAUUUCUUGAUCUUCCUCCAUAUCCAACACCAUAAAAUCAAACGGAAAGAUGAACUUCUCAAGUUUAACUAACACAUCUUCCAUAAUUUCCUUAGGAUAUGUAAGAGAUCGAUUAGCAAACUACAAAGCGAUGGUGGUUGAUUUCGUUUAUCCAAGACCCAACUUCUUGUAUAAACAGAGGCAUUAAAUUAAUGCUAGCCCUAGAUCACAUAAUGCUUUGUUAAUGUUAGAAUCGCCAACUGUGCACGGAAUUGUAAAGCUAUUUGGAUCCUUUAGUUUCUAAGGAAGCUUCUUUGACAUUAGUUUUUUUUUUUCAAGAAUUUGGCAUAAUUCUGCAUGUGUGCUAAAAUAUCUACAAUAGAGAAAAUUAUAUGGAUUUUCUUGAAAAUUUCUAGAAAUUUUGCAACCUGUGCAUUAAACUUUUUCUUUAGGAAUUGCUGUGGAUAUGACAGUGGUAUCUUCAAGAUUGGUGGAUUAUCUAGGAAUGAGACUGAAUUAGGCUUAGAAGCCUUCUUUGUUUUCUUGUCCUGCAACCUACUUUUCUUCCUCUUGUCUGGAAUUUGAGUAGAAACUAUAGCCUCUUUAGGCUUACUUUCUCUAAUCUCCUUACCACUUGUAAAUGUGAUAGCAUUGCAAUGUUCCCUUAGAUUUACCUUUGUAUCACUAGGAAACUUUCCUUUAGGUUAAGUAUUCAUUGCAAUAGCUAGUUGACCAAUCUGUAACUCAACAGAUUUCAUAAUGGCCUCCAUGUUGGUUAUAUGAGUCUCAAUGUUGUCAGUCGUGACUCAUCCUUGUUGAAUCUUGCCCUAGUCUCUGAAAUAAAGGCUUUCAAGAUGUCUUUUAAUGAUGGUUUCUCUUAAAAGGAUUGAUUAUUGAACCUAGGAGAAUGCUAGAGCACAUUCCUAUUAUUACCAUAAGUGAGUUUUUAUAUCAAGCAGCCGCUUGGCAGAUUGGUACAGAAGAUUUCCAGUGGGGCGUGAAGAUGCUUCUUUGGUGAAUGAGAGGCUGGGUGCCUCGUAUACCUGCGUAGCGCGGCUCUCACCAGGCUGACCUUUUCGAGUUGGUCAGGGCGAUCCACCAAACUAGUUAGUAGAAGAUUUGACCAAAUGGAGCGUCAGCUUACGCGCUCCAUCGCCUUUGCUAUUAGUUGGGACGACAUGGCGUGGACUCUGUAGGCUCUGGGACUACCACGUGGUUAAUGAUUUGGCAUCUCUCUGGACGCGUAAGAACAAUCCUCUAAGUCCAUGUAUGGAAUAUUUAUAUCGUGUGCGGACUUUUAGUGUUGGACUAGAAGUAGAUUGUUUGUUGGGGCUACCCAUUGGCAUGGAGAAUUGGUGCAAAGGUGAUUUGGCCGAGGUGUAACAAUAAUAGUCCUCCAAGUCCAUGUAUAGAUUAUUCAUAUAAUGCGUGAACUUUUGGUUGAUGAGGUGUAGGCAUAGUUUCUAUUUGGGCAAGUUUUUUGUUGUUGAGAGCUUUGAGAGAAGCUGUUGAGGCAGAAGCGUGGUCCCUGAAUCAUGAUCGCUAAUAAUUGAGUCUGACUCUGCCUUGAAUCUUGACUUGGAUCAAAAGAUUCUUCAUACCGUAUGAAGAAUACGUAGCUAACAAUAUCUCAAAUACGUAGCUAACAUAUAGCUAGAUUUUAAGACGGCAAUUGAUAUACUUAUAGGAAGAGGAUUCAGAUUUUCAGGUCAAUAAUUAUAAUUACGUUUGAUUCAUUGAUAUCUUGUAUCAAAGAAACGAUGUCUUUCUUUUGAGUUAAAACAAAUUAUUUCAGCAAAAAUUUAUUCUACUUCCACAACUUUCUAUGUUUUUCUUGUUGUGUCACUUAAACUUUCUCUAGUCUUGUUUGUAAAGAUUUAUUUUUAUAGGUUUUCAAAAAUAUGUUAUAGAAAUGGUUAGUACCAUCAGUGGUUAUUAAAGUUUGUUAAAAACUUUAAAAUGAUCGUUGAAGUAUUUUUCUAGCUAUAAUGGUAAUUUAUUCUAAUAGUUACAUUAAUAGUUGGCUGGAAACAUUAACCAAAAUCUUGUAUGUCACCAUUAAAUGUCAACUUUGACGCAAACAAUGCUAAUUAUUACAUAAUGCAACGUAUUCCUAAAUUUUGUAGAAAUUAAUGGAAUAAACACUUUUAAAUUUAAAUUUUCAUUUGGGUAAUAUGUUUUAAAAGCUGAAUGUUUCUCCAUCAAAUUUUCAUGAUAAGGAUUGAUUAUAAGGAUUUAAUUUCUUCAAAUUUGCUCUCCCAACUGUCUUCUCUCUUCUGUUACGUUAUCUGCUUCUUUCUUUUUUGCUGUCCUUCCACUGCGUUUUCUAUUUUUUCCCCCUUCUAUUCUCCUAUCUUCAGCUUCUGUUUGCUUUCACAAAGGAUUCUAAUUCCUUUGAAUUUGAUUCCCAUCUAAUUUCAUGUUUCAAGGCCCAUUAAUGUAUUAUUUAUCUCAAAGGCCUCACGUCUUUGAAAUAAUGUAAUAUAGUCCUUGAUAAAAAUUUGUUUGUGUGUCUCAUGUCUUCUUUAAUUCAAUCAAUCACUUCAAUUAUAAUAAAAAUGUGGAAUUUGAUCUCAAAGCUACAGAUUUUAUUCAAUUUCAUAAUUCUUGAUCAAUAUUUUCUCCGAUCCCUAGUUUCUCCUAACAUAAUAAAAAAAUAUAAAUAAUUAACCAUCAAGUUUACAAUACUACUAACUAAAGACACUUUGGCGACUUAGAUAAGUGUAACUUUAAUACUUAUCAAAUACCGCCAAAUUUGAGCAUUUGUUAGUAUUCAAAUAAAUGAUAAUAGAUACUUUACUAUACUCUAAGAAAAAUACUCAACUCGAUAUAUGCAUCUCAAUGUUUCCUCAAAUACCUAUCACAAUCACAAAAUUUAAACAGGUUAAUGAGACACAAGAACCAAAAAUUAUUCUAAAACUCCACAUAUCGUAUAGUGUUCGUGUGUGUGUGUUGAACAUUCUCAUAUCUACUGAUGUUACUCAAAUCAAAUAAUCUAUUUUAAUUUCCAAACUCUCUUUUCCCAGAUAAAAAACUAAGUCCCAAUAAUGUUGAUAUACUCUUUCAUCACUCGUGUUUUUCUAUUUAUUUUUCAAUUCUCCCAAAGACAAAAUAACUAUGAGAUAUGACUUGUUUUCAUCAACCACUCAGUCACCUUCCAAUUUGUAAUCAAUGAGCUGGACUCAGCUGGACAGAGGUAGCAUUUAUAUAGUUGUUUUGGUACUAGCGCAACACACUUUAGUGUGUUUUACUUUUCUUUUUAUUUUAUCCAUUUUUCUAUUUUUUUGUGAGUAGGGUCAACUUACUCAAUACCAGCUUCAUACUAUAGUUUAGGUAAAUUUUUCCCUAUGUGUCAAAACUAGUGCAAUGUCUUUUACGUUUUAGGCUAACAAUAGGAGUUAAAAGAUAAUUAAGUGGUGAUGUUUUUGGUGUCGAAUGGAUCUAAUCAUUCCUAAACUUAUUCUAAAAGGAUUUUCAAUAUGGUUCUAAACGAAUGUUGGUUUAAUAAAUAUGUUCUAAGGUCUUAAAAAAUUCUGAGGUGAUUGACUUGUACAACUCAAUUUUUAAUCAAUUAUAAGUGUAGUCAAGAAUGAGUACGUGCUUGAAUUGUUCAAAAGACAAGUAUAAAAUAAUAGGAUUCAUAAAUAAUUAAAAAUCUGAGUGUCCAAAGGAAUCGAUUUACAUUUUGCUCUUAUUUGAGAAUCAUCAAUUGAUAUAAAUUACUUUGUCCAAGUCAAAUCACACACAAGCAUACAUAAUAAAGCUAAAAAGUUUUUUUUUUUUUUUUUUUUUUUUUUAAAAAAAAUUUUUAUGGGUUUUUUACAACAAAAGCCCCAAACCUUUAAUCACACCCAAAUUAUUCGUGUAGAAUAAAUUAAAAUAGAACCUAGAUUUUCUCCUCGACGUAAUGCUAUAAAGCAGAAAAUAUCAAAAUUAAAUAAAAGAUAGAAAAUUUAGACUUGACUGAUAAUUUUUGCAAGAUGGAGUUAGCCUUGAAACUAGAAGAAUAUUUUCCUUCUCUUUAUCUUCUCUCCUCCUUCAAAGGAAUUUCUCCUUCUUUGUGCCUUUUUUCUACAAAUAAGAUUAAGUAAUUAUAAUCAAGAUUCCAAUAAAAGAGCAACACAUCAACUACUUAAUCCAUCUAUCUCAAUUCGAUUUUGCUAGUGGUACAUUGAGAUGUAACUAAUGGUGUACACUCCACUCACAUAGGUGAGGGACCCAAUCGAAUAAAAUAUCAUUUCUUUCACAUGGAUCCCACACCCAUGUGAGUGGGGUGUACACCAUUCGGUACAACCCAUUAUAUACCACUAGACAAAUAAUAAGUAAUUAUAAUCAAGAUUCCAAUAAAAGAACAACACAUCAACUACUUAAUCCAUCUAUCCCAAUUUAGUAUAACAAAAUUAGAAAAAUUCCAAGAAAAAAAAUCUCAUGUAAUACUAUUGAGUGAAACUUGAACUUUUCAUGAUUUUUAAAAACAUUGAACAUAUUGAUGAUGAAUAAGUUGGUGAUUAUGUGAAUUUGGGUGUCAAAUAUAUGGAGGAGGGAGAGAAUUUUGAAAAUUUGAAGUUAAAACUUAUUAAAGUUAAAAACUAAAAUAAAUAAAAAAAUUAGAUCUCUUAGUUCUUUUUCUAUGUUUGACCACGGUUGACCACGACGAACAACAAACAUUUGGCGACUGUAUGUCAUCGCAGUUGACUGCGGUCAACCGUAUUGUUUAUUUUAAUUUUUUGCAGUGGUAAUAGAAUGACGACCCCAAAAAUAAUAAAAUAUUUAAAACAAAAUUUAUUUUUAGCUAAAUAAUAAUUAAACAUGCCUAAUCCUAAAUGCAAUUGUAUCAUUUAUAUGUCAUGCAGUAAUAGGAUGGCAAUUCAUAUCGCUGGCUCGAGCCACCCGUGGCUCGGCCUGGGCUAAGCCCGAGCCAGCCCGCAGGCAUUAUUUAAAAAAAAAAAAAAAUAGAAGCCCCAAAAAAUGCUGCCUUAAUAGGUAGUCAGUAGCUGGCUGCCUUUUACGACAACCUUAUAUAAAUAAAAAAUAAAAAUAAAAAAAUAAAAAAAAUAGAAGAACCAUAAAAAAAAUGAGCCUACCCUGCUCGAGCCUAAGCCCGGCUAAAAGCUCGUACAUUUUACUUGAGUCAAGUCUGAACCUUGAGUUUUGGCUUAGGAGCCGGCUCGGCUCGUUAGAAAAGUGGUUUACUUCCCAUUAAAUUCUUGGUCUAUAGUCCGAAGCUAGACUUUGGUCAAGUCUUAAUUAUGAUGGCUCAAGUCGAAAUGUUUUGGCCUUGUAAUCCUUCCAAUUUCUAGCUUUGCAUUCUCUUCUUGCUCUCCAAACUUUGAAUUUUUCAUUCUUAUCUCUACCAAGAAUUUCAACAAAUUUAGGUUUCUCUUCUGAUAGCUUUGUUGAAAUGAUAAAUCAUCCUCAUCAACACAGUUGCACUCCUCAUAUUCAGAUGGUUGCUUGCACUGCUCUCUUCUGUCAUGCCACAAUUUUAAAUUUUGGCAGCUCUCUCUUCUUUAAUAUAAUGUCUUUCAAGAACCUUACAUAACUUGAAAUUUGCCUAAUUGCAUCAACGAAUUGUAUGUUGAUGUAAAGCUUCUUCAGCACGUCCAGGAACUUUUCAAAUUGAUGGUCUAGCUCGUGUUACUUCAACCUUUGUGGGAACGGGAUGAGAAGUACAUAUUUUCUGACAGAAACGGCCACCUUAGCAUGUUGGUUAUCUGAAUUCUCUUUCAAAUUUUCAUCAGUUGAUGUUUUAGAUUCAUCUAAUUUCUCUUCUUCAAUAGUUGUUACUUAAUUUAUCUUUGCUAUUGAUAUUUUGAACGUAAUCCCAAGCAGUUGUACCUCGCUUCUUAUUGUGAUUUCUUUGAUCCUCUCCUCCUCUCUCCACUUUGAAAUCCUUACGAAAAAGGAAUGGGAGGCAUAUGUUCUCAUAAUUUUGGAGCUGCCAUCGGUUGCAGGGUAUUUAUUUGUUCAUCUUCAAUAACUCUGAUAGAUAUUACCUACUCCUUUGAAUUAGUUUCUGUAUAGAAAGGUAAAGCUCCUUGUAGCCUUUCAGAGAUAUCAGGGGGCCAGCUGACCUAUUUAAGUUUCCAAUUCUGUUUAAUGGUUGUCGAAUGACUUUGUAAGGUUGUUUCAAUCUUAGCCAUGUAUUGGUUAGUCUUCUGUAUGAGUUUACCCAAUAUAUCCUCCAAAGAAGCUCUCUUUUCUUCUUGUUGGAAACUAGGAGUUGGGGAUCUGCUGAUGCUUAUUUUGGUUGUUGCUUCAGGAGAAGUUAUGAUGAUUACGUGAUCCUCAGUUAUAUGCAUUGCUCUAUUGGUUAUUUUGCUGGUGUUAAUAAUUAUGUGCAAUCCUCUCUCUAUUUUGAUGCAGCCUAGCAUUCCAUAUUGUUGUGAGCUCCCCCAAAUGUACUACAAAAUUGAAAUCCAAAUUUUUUUUUUAUUUUUUAUUUUUUAUUUUUUAUUUUUGGCAUUUGAUGAAUUUUUAAUGGCCAGAUGGCCUAUAACCUUCCUUUCUAAAGAAGAUAUUUGUGCUCAUAGUUUGUAGAUGGCAUCUAUUUCAUGCAUACCUGAUGAAAUCUUGUAUAAAGAUCUUUCGAAAGGCCACAAGGCAUUGUCGGCUGCAAUUGUCUCACAUCCUUAACUUUAUUAGGUGACCUCAAUGUGAUAGAUCCAUUAGCACUGAUGUACGACAUGCUGGGUUCAAUCCGGUCUAGAAGUACAAAACUUGCAAGGAUUUCUUAAUAUCAUGGUUAGGACACUUUCUGAUCAUGUUCUUGCAUCUUUUACAUGCUUCAUGAAAACUCUCUAAAUCUGCCGGUUGAAAUGUCGAGAUCUCAUGACUUUUAGUUACCUUUGACGUUGGAAAGUAUUUUGUGACACACUUAUGUACUAUAUCAUCAUCCUAAUGCUUUCUUCGCCCGGGGAAUCCAACCAUUCUCUUGCUUUAUCACGAAGAGUAUAUAGGAAGAGUCUCAACUAAUUGCUUCAUCGGAUACUCCAUGAAAAUUGUAGUUUUAGUAGAUGUCCAAGAAGCGUGAGAUAUAAUUAUGUAGAUUCCCAUAAUAUUGAAAUAAAACAAAAAAGGUUAAAAGAUAUCACCAACUUUAAUUACAAUAAACAAGAUAAAAGUUACUCCUGGCUUUCGUUGAUUUUUGUCAUACAAUUCCAACAAUAUUUUUCAUUUCCUUCCUUGCGUAUUGUAAAUCUCACGAUAAUUAGUUGAUGGAAUAUGAUAUAUUUUCUUCAAUUUUGCUCUCCUAGCCAUCUUUUCUCUUCCAUCACAUUUUCUAUUUCUUGCUUUUUGUCAUCCUUCCUCGGUGUUUUCUGCAUUUUUCUUUUAUUUGCCUAUAGCCAGCUUCCGUUUACUUUUAAAAAAAAGGAUUCUAAUUCCUUUGAAUUUGAUUCCCAUCUAAUUCUAUGUUUCAAGGCCCAUUUUUUUUUUUUUAUGUAUUAUUUCUCUCCAAGGCUCACUUUUUUUUGAAUAAUGUAAUUUAGUCCUUGAUAAAAAUUCAUUUGUGCAGCACAAAUCCUCUUUAUUUCAAAUCAAGCCCUUCAAUUUCUAAAGUGUUGAAUUUGAUCUCAAAGCUGUAGAUUUCAUUCAUUUUCGUCAUUCUUGACCAAUAUUUAUUCCAAUCCCAAAUUUUCUCGUAACAGAAUCCAAAAAUACAAAAAAUUAAGUAUUAAGUUCACAAUAAUACUAACAAAAGACACUUUAUGUGGCUUAAAUAAGUGUAAAUUUAAUACUUAUUCAUAUCCACCUUCACAUCCACUCCCUUUUCAAUGAAUUUUGUCAUUUUCGGUGUGUCUUCGAGUUCCUAGACCUAAAGAAAAUGCAUGGAUACAAUUAUAGCAUUUAUAUCUUGUUGCCGUAAAUCUGCGUUGACAUAAUCUAUAGCCUCCUCAUAUGAAGUCUUAUUAUCUACUUGUAUUGUGGACAUCAUCUGUUUGGACUGUCCAACCAACAAGUAUGUGAAAAAUCUCAUGAUGACCUUAUAACCUUAUCUAAGUGGUUGUAGCUCCUAGAUCGUGGCGUUAUUAAGGAAUCACAAUGUUUUCAUCAAAGCUAGUAUCACCAUCAAGUUGACUCCAUUACUUUUGACAAUUUUUUCAUCUAUAGGAUCAUAUGAAAGAUCAUAGCUCCUACUCUGGUCAUGAUGUCUUAAUAUUCCUAAAACUGUAGUUUGGUUUUCAUCAAAAAUAGCAUCACCAUUAAGUCGAAUCCAUUACAUCCUCAGUUUCAACAAUUUCUUCAUCUAUAGGAUCACAUGAAUGAUCAUCCCUUCUACUUUUAUCAUGUUGUUUUAGUAUUCCUAAACUGUAGGUUGUUUGUCACCGGGGUUGUGUUUCUAGAAUUGAUAUCGUAGAUUUAUUCUCACUCAUUUCUUUGAAAACAACCUUAUUUUGGUUUGAAAAGACAUAUAUUGAACACAUUAAGUCAUAAAUAUUAGUCUAGAAUUUCAUGUUAAAACUAAAUAGUGACAUUACAAAUAUUACAAAUCAAAGUUUACUUAUAAUUAUUACAUGCAAUAAUAUGAUACAAAUAUUUUAGUGCUAACCUAUUAGUCGAUGCUAAUUUGAGCCACAUUUGCAGCUGUAACACGUUAUUGAUUCUUUAUAUAAAGAUAAGAAUAUAGCCAAUUUAUUCAUUAAUUACAAUCACAAUAUAAAGCAAUUAAUAAAAAACGAAUAAGAAGAUCAAAUACGAUAAUAUAUUCUACAGCUUUCUGUGAAUCAUCCAAUACUUCUACAUUAUUCAAAUAUUGACGAAUUAUUAUAGGUUCCUUAAUACAACAUUUUAGGACAAAUCAUCGCCUCAACAUCUUUAAGAUCAACCAACGCCUAAAAGAAUAAAAAAAUUCAACAACUAAUAGGGAUUAUAAAUUCAGUAAUUUUGAAUAUUUGAAUAGCUAACACAUAUUUGACAAUUUUCGAAGGUAAUCUCAUACUUAUUUGCAUUCAAUUUCCACCAAAGUAAUAGGUUGAAAGGCUCAUUAGUCAAAUCUUGACAUAACCAUUUAAGAAAUCUAUCAAAUUAUUCUAUCGAUUAAAUAGUAAAAUUUAACAACUAAGUUUAAAUAUAAAUAAUAAAUCGUAUGAUCUAACCAGAAAAUUGAGAAGUAAAUAAACAAAUAGUAUCGUCUAAAAAAAUUAAGGGCUUCGAAAAAUCACAACAAAACAAAAAAAUUAUCAAUAAAAUAUAAUAAACAAUUACAAAAAAUAAGAAAUUUUGGAUAAACUUACAUGGAAAUUUCGGCAAAAUUCGAGAAAAAUAUUAGUAGAAGGAAAGGAAAUGGUGUGAGUUUAUUAAAAUUUAAUUGUCUACUCAAUGUGAUGGACAUUCGAUGAUUAUGGUUUCAAAAAAGUUCAAUACUUCAGCCAAUUUGAGAAUUUUUCUUUCACAAUUUUGAUGACUUAUGGUUAUUUAUUAUUUAAUUAAUUGGAAUGGAUAGUUGUCUAAUUGUGUGUUGAAUUUAACUGGGUUGGAUAUAAUAUGAAUGUAUAUUUUGAAUUUGGAUGCUUUACGUUUUAGUUGGGUUGAAUAAAAUUUAAAGUAACUUAUUUUUCAAUUAUUUUUAUUUUUUGUAAUAAUUUGAUAAUUUGAAAUGGUUUGCAAAAAUUGAAAUCUAAACAAAUCUAAUUUGAAACGAUUUGGUUCGAUUCAAAAUAAAAACAUUGAGGGAUCUAUGUGAACCCAAAUCAAUGAUUUCAAAAACUAAUUUUAGUUCGAUUUCAUAGUUUGACGAUUUUGCUAUCUGGCCCUAGUAAUAGCUGUUUUUAUUAAAACAAUGGAUUUUUGUUUAAAGUUUAAAAGUUCUUGUUGAUCAAUAAAAUUUCUUUUUAAGUUAUUUUAAAGAAGCUCAAAUUUUUCAAAAAGCUUUGUAUCCAAGAAAAUUGAAAUAUGUAUUUAAUAAAACUUUUCAAUAAACAAAAUUAUCCUUCAAACUAUCUUAACAUCGAAAUAACAAUGGACUAAUAUAGCCCCCCAGGGCACAUCCGAGUUGGUGGAUCAAUAACUUUGGCGGGCUCGCAACUUCAGCGUGGAGAGUUCGAUUCCUGGUGGGAACCUGUAAUCCAACAAAUGGGCAACUUUGUUGGUGGAUCAAUCACUAUGGAGGAAAGCUCUCUUGAGGCCAAGAGUAAAAAUCGGGUGGGAACCUGUGAUCCAACAAGGGCACAUCCUGCGGUUUACCUCCGCUAGUCACUGAGGGGCCGAUGGCUAGGGGUUCAGGAUUUAGUCUGGCGAAGCUGGGACACCUGGGUAUAAAAAAAAAAAAAAAAAAAAGGAAAAAAAAAAAAACAAUGGACUAAUAUAAUAAAUUUUAUAAUUUAAAGUUUCAUUUUGAAAGGUUAACAAAUAUGUUUCUAUCUUAUUUUUAGUAUUAUUUAUCAUUUUAACUAUGAAAUGUCACAUACAAUCCCCAUUUCAAUUAGUUAAAAUAUAUAAUAAAAUAAAUAAUGUGAUCUACACAAAUAAAUAACUUGAUAUUCAUUUAAAUAAUAAUACUUCGUUAUUUUAGUUAAAAUAAAUUUUAAUAGUUUCAAUGAAUGGAAAUAAAUAUUAUAUACAAAUAAAUUAUUAAAAUUUAGCCACAUAAGUAUGUGGUAAGCACUUUUUAGUUACACUACCAAACAAUCUAUUUAGUACUCACAACAUUUUUCAGAUUGACUAUCAAACGAACAACUUUUUAUUAAAAGCUUUUCUUGAAAAGGCUCUACUAGUAAAAACUCUAUUGAUAAAGUUCUACACACAAUAGUUGUACUUAAUGGACCCUAAAAAGAUUAGAUGCAACAUCAUUCUCCAAUUUGACACAACAACAAAGAUGUUGAUUUUUCAUUAAAUCUUAGUAGAUGGAAUGGCUGGGAUAUAAAAAGCAACAGUGGCUUAUUUAACACAUUUGAAAUUUAUUGACCAAAUAGUAACAGGUGGGAAAGUUUAGUGACCAUUUCGAUAAUUAACCCGACGUUACUCUAAAACAGAGUAUUAUUAUAUAAUUUUUGACCACUUAUAAUAAUGUUUUGUGUUUCUUGAUAGAUCCUUCUAUGACCAGUUUUAGUACUUUUCCAAACUAAAUAUUCUAUGACAUUUGUGGGACAUAGGAAAGAUAAUUGACAAUUGAUAUAUACAAAAUGACAAUUAGAGUUGUUAGGGUGAUCAGUGGUUAAAUGUGAACAUUACGGGAAGUCUAAAAGCUAAAAUAUUUUUUUAUAGAAGUCUUACCAAAUGUUGAACGGCUUAAUUGCAAUUAAAUUACUUGUGAAAGGAGAAUUUGACUCUUCAGGAUCAUAUUCUCAAAAAAUUCUCCACGACUAGGGAAUUAUUUUCAUUUUAAAUAUAACGGAGAGAUGUCUAAUAAAUAAUAUGUCAAGGUUCGGGAAUUUUAUUGUGUGAGAGAUCUUAACUUUGUGAUUCUCGCCUUAUUUUCAUAUAUAGUAAAAUUUUCUUGCAACACUAUUUUGUCUAAGAAUAUUUGAUUAAUUUUCUCACCACCUUUGUAUCUGAAAUUGAAAAAUUCAUAAAAUUGAAAAUUAUCAAACAAUAGAAGGAUUGGUGUGCAAUAAAUAAAUAUUAUUGUUCCGGCAUAAUCCAUUAUUUUUCUUUCCGUAGCAGUAAUAUUAUGAAACUUGUACAAAAUAUUUUUCACAAAGUAAAUCGUUAGUUUUUGGUUCCUUUCAAGAAAAAUAGUAGUUAAUUUUAAUCUAGAAUUAUUUAAUAAAAAAUUAGAAGUAAAUAACUUUGGGGACCAAUUUAGAAAUCUCUAAAAAAUUCCUCUCCAAUUUUAACAUUUUAAGAUUUAAACGGGCCAGUUACCAAAUACGUUCAUUUCUUUAAUAACAAACAAACGUGGAACUGUGGAAGUCAAAUAUAAUAAAAAAUACAUAUCUAAUAAUUAACAUUCAAGGUUGAAUGUCAAAUGUUGAACGAAAUCUUAACAUUUUAUAAGAAUUUAGAGGAAAGAUAAAUUUAAGUCAAAUCUUGGUUGUUAAAAGGGAAAAUUUCAAAUAAUUAAAUCCAUCCUCUAUAUAUCUAAUAAUUUAAGAAUUUAAAUUAAAUUUUAAUAUAUAGUGUCGAAAAAUUAGACAAAAUGUCAUCAAAUAAAGCCUCAUUGUUACUUUUAAAAUUUGUAUAUGUAUAAGAUCUUUAAUAAAAAAAUUAAUCCGAAAAUUGUGAAGAAUUUGGUCAAGUAAAAUGAAGAACCCAUUUUGCAAACUCAUAUAUUGUAAAUGCAUGUUUUAUAAGAACCAGAGGCGGACCCACAUGGUGUCAUGUGAGAUCAAAUGACCUCACAAUUUUAUUUUAUUUUUUUUCCCUGCUGAAAACGUAAUUUCAUGCCAAGUUGGUGAGCCAACCCAAUUAAUUUUCCUAGCCCAAUACUCAAAAAGCCCAAAUCCUAAAUCUAUAUCCAUAUCACAUUGUCCAUAUCCAUUAGUUUGUCCAUAGAUAUAUCAUAUAAUUCACCGAUUUCUUCUUUUUGUUCAUGAUACGUUGUUCUAAAUAAAUUUCAUUUUUAACUCCACAGUUUGAACUGUCUAGAUCCGCACCCGAUAAGCACGUAUAAUGAAGAUUGAGAUGUAAACAAACUGGUGCAAGCCUCAUCCUAACUGUAAAAAAAUUGAAACUUCGACAAGGGAUCCCAACAAGUUGGUCCCACUUCUUUUUCCUAACUUUCCUUGGACGAUAACAAUUAAUAGUGCAACACUAACGAAAAGUUACGGACCAACUUGAAAAAUGAGGCAAUAGGUUGGGGACCAACGGUGAAAUUUUUGCAGAUUUUGACAACUAUAUAUACAGGUCACAAGUGACUCAUCUGAUAUUCCAUAAAUUUCUCAAAGCUAGUUGUCCCCUGCAUUCAUUGUCUCUUUAUUCCACGGAAGGAUGAAGGUAUGCACACACACAGUUGAAAUGCAAGAAAUGGAAAGAGAAACCCUUGAAUCUUCUUAUAUGUAUAUUUACUCUUUCAAUGUUUUUCAUCAUCAGCAAAAGGUGGUCAUUGAGGUCUCGUUAAAUGGCCAUAUCUCUCAAGGCAUCAUUGAGAUGUUGAUGUGCUGCGUAAAUCAAGAGUCGAACGAAGCUACGAAGAUUAGAACGAGGGCCAUGAAGAUUGCAGUAUGCAUCCCAAGUAAGUUAAAUCUUUUUUAUGAGUAACAAAGCCUGUGUUUGAGCAUUUUUAUUUAUUUAUUUAUUUAUUUGGUGAAAAUGAGCUCAAAGACCGGCAAAAAUAGCUUGUUUGGUACUUGAGACUUACAUAAUUAUAUCUAGGACAUCAAACAAGGUUCCUUUUUUUUUUUCCCCCAAUAUUGUCUAGUCAACUUUAUCAGACAUGCAAUAAGAAGACUUCAAUUUAGAUGGUGUUAUUUACGUUAUUCUAUAGGGGUAGAGUCUGCAGCAAUGGAGGGGGAGGAAAGGAACAAGCUAACAGUGAUUGGCGAAGAUAUCGACACGGUGACUCUUGUCAAAUUGCUUAGGAAGAAUGUGUGCUUCGCGAAGAUCGUGAGUGUUGGCCCUACAGAGACUGUCAAAACUGCCGAGGACAAGAAUCAGGCGGCUGUGCAUCCCAUAUGCUAUAAUCAUGUGCCUCAUUAUCAAUUAUUGGAAAUCAGAGAACCCUACUAUACCCCCUCAUGUUUCAACUUUUGAAUGCUUAUUGGUGUUGAAUUUGUCCAAAAAAUUAAUAAUAAUGAAAAAAAAAAUUAUGUUUUGCAAUGGAAAUGAAUAAAGUGACAAAUUUUGUUUGAAAUAAUCUUACAGAUAGAACAUAUUGUAUAAUUAUUGUUUGUUGUGGAAGCUCGCUUCAAGAUGUUCAAACGGUGAUUUUCUAGCUCAGUUUCACAUUAACUUUUUCUACCAAACAACCAAUCUAAACAUCUCUGACUCACAAGCAAUCUAUUUUCCUUAAUUGCUUCUCAAUCUUACCCAUAGAUGACAAGAUAACGGUGUUGAUUUGUAAGUUACAAUGAAACAAGAAAAAUAAUGAAUGAGGCACAAAGAAGAGACCAAAACGAAGGAGGAAGUCACCAGCUUUCACUCUCAAUUGCACACAUUUUUCUCCAAUAGUAGGCAGCCAUGUUCUCUCUUUACACACAAACCACACACUAAAAAAUGCCUAGCUCAAUACACCAUAUAUAUAGAUAUAGGUUAGGUUUUAGUCUGACCAAGAAAGGGGUUAAAUUGACUAAGAUUUAAAAGCCAUCCAAUAGAUAAAUAUAUGGGCCGUGAAUAGCAUUAAUUUCUUAAGCUACUUUCAACAGUCCACGUUGUUUUCGUGUUGAGCCUUUAGACUUGGUUGUUGGUAAUCAAUUCAUCAUUGUCCAAGACCUGUGAAAAUAUAUUCAAACGUUUUACAUCAUCGCCAAAGAUUUAUUGGUUAUGAAAACCCAACAAAUUUUCACCUUGAUACACAAUCAACCUGUAAGCUAUCAAAACCCAAAAUCAAUACUCACAUAAUAAAUGUAACCNNNNNNNNNNNNNNNNNNNNNNNNNNNNNNNNNNNNNNNNNNNNNNNNNNNNNNNNNNNNNNNNNNNNNNNNNNNNNNNNNNNNNNNNNNNNNNNNNNNNNNNNNNNNNNNNNNNNNNNNNNNNNNNNNNNNNNNNNNNNNNNNNNNNNNNNNNNNNNNNNNNNNNNNNNNNNNNNNNNNNNNNNNNNNNNNNNNNNNNNNNNNNNNNNNNNNNNNNNNNNNNNNNNNNNNNNNNNNNNNNNNNNNNNNNNNNNNNNNNNNNNNNNNNNNNNNNNNNNNNNNNNNNNNNNNNNNNNNNNNNNNNNNNNNNNNNNNNNNNNNNNNNNNNNNNNNNNNNNNNNNNNNNNNNNNNNNNNNNNNNNNNNNNNNNNNNNNNNNNNNNNNNNNNNNNNNNNNNNNNNNNNNNNNNNNNNNNNNNNNNNNNNNNNNNNNNNNNNNNNNNNNNNNNNNNNNNNNNNNNNNNNNNNNNNNNNNNNNNNNNNNNNNNNNNNNNNNNNNNNNNNNNNNNNNNNNNNNNNNNNNNNNNNNNNNNNNNNNNNNNNNNNNNNNNNNNNNNNNNNNNNNNNNNNNNNNNNNNNNNNNNNNNNNNNNNNNNNNNNNNNNNNNNNNNNNNNNNNNNNNNNNNNNNNNNNNNNNNNNNNNNNNNNNNNNNNNNNNNNNNNNNNNNNNNNNNNNNNNNNNNNNNNNNNNNNNNNNNNNNNNNNNNNNNNNNNNNNNNNNNNNNNNNNNNNNNNNNNNNNNNNNNNNNNNNNNNNNNNNNNNNNNNNNNNNNNNNNNNNNNNNNNNNNNNNNNNNNNNNNNNNNNNNNNNNNNNNNNNNNNNNNNNNNNNNNNNNNNNNNNNNNNNNNNNNNNNNNNNNNNNNNNNNNNNNNNNNNNNNNNNNNNNNNNNNNNNNNNNNNNNNNNNNNNNNNNNNNNNNNNNNNNNNNNNNNNNNNNNNNNNNNNNNNNNNNNNNNNNNNNNNNNNNNNNNNNNNNNNNNNNNNNNNNNNNNNNNNNNNNNNNNNNNNNNNNNNNNNNNNNNNNNNNNNNNNNNNNNNNNNNNNNNNNNNNNNNNNNNNNNNNNNNNNNNNNNAAUUUUACUACUUUACAACCAACACUAUUCACUAAUCUCCAAUAACCAUGCCAACCAAUAGAGAAAAAAAGGGAAUCCUAAGUGCACAAGGGGCAAAAUUGUCCAGAAUCUCAAUUUUGCCUAAGGGGUAAAAUUGUCCAGAAUCUCAAUUUUGCCUAAGGGGUAAAAUUGUCCAGAAUCUCAAUUUUGCCUAAGGGGUAAAAUUGUCCAGAAUCUCAAUUUUGCCUAAGGGGUAAAAUUGUCCAGAAUCUCAAUUUUGCCUAAAAUAGAAAUCGAACACCACAAGUCUAUCUCGUCAUCUGGAACAAUCUGUUAGAAGAUAACGUUAUCGAAAUCACCUCUACGCUCUCUCACAUGCAUCUGGUUGAGUUUCAUGCGCUGUCCGACCACUUCAUGAGCUGAUCAUGCAGCUGUGCCUCCACCUAUACGUCACGCCAAUAGUUUUCGUUUCACCAACCAAUCAUUGGAUUAGCUCGAAACACAGAAAUAUGUUCAGUAGCCUUGAAGAAACUGGGCAAAUUUGGUUUCUAUUUUGAUUCUAUAGAUUUUCUAGUUAGUUGUUAGUCAGAUUUUUGAGCCACCUUGAAGCUCUAACCAAUUGUUGCAGAAGCUCGCUCCAAUAUCAAAAUUGUUAUUUUUGAGCCCAGUCUCACAUUAUCUUUCUCCAAUUCAAAUGGCACUAACCACAAUCAAUCCAUUUACCACAGUUGCUUCUCAAUCUCACCCAUACAAGAUAAAUAACGGUGUUGAUUUGCAAGCCAAGAAGACAUGAGAAAAAAAAUGAAUAAGGCACAAAGAUGAGACCAAAACGAAGGAGGAAGUCACCGAUUUUUUACUCUCAAUUGUACAUGUUUUUCUUCAACAAUAAGCAGCCAUUUUUUUCUCUCUUUACUCACAAAUCGCACACUAAAAAAUGGCUAGGGAAAUACACCAUAUAUAGUGAUAUAAGUUACGCUUUAGUUGUACCAAGAAAGGGGUUAAAUGUGCCAAGAUCAAAGAGCCAUCCAAUCGGUAAAUAUAUGAGUCGUAAAUAGCAUUAAUUUCUUAAGCUACUUCCAAUGGUCCUUGUUGUUUUCGAGUUGAGCUGCUAUACUUGGAUAUUGGUAAUCAAUUCACCAUUGGUCGAGGUAUAUGAAAAUACAUUCCAACGUUUUAUAUCAUUGUCCGAGAUUUAUUGAGUAUCAAAAUCCAAUAUUGUUGAAAGAUAAUGAGAAAUAGGUAAAAGAGAGAACUCAACAAAUUGCAGAACCUAUAGGUUUUAAUACGUAAUUGUUGUACUCAAAUGGUAUAGGAUGUUUUAUGGUGCUUAAAGAGAUUCGCCAGCAAAUGAUUUGUAGAAUAAACAAGUAUUUAAAAAAAUUAAAUACGUGUGUUUUCUUCCAAGAACUUGAUGAACAUUAAAAACAUUUAAUAUGUAUAAAAAUGGGAGAAAGAAACACUUAAGUGGAUUUUAAGAAUUGAUAUCUUAUGGUUAUAAUUGAAAACACGUAUUAUAGUUUUCCACAAACAGUCCACAAAUUAGUAAAUAACUUUUAUGAAAGUUGUUAAUUUUCAUGAGAGCUGCCAAGAGAUCAAAAUUGGAAAUUAGACUAAUGACUAGUUCUUGUAACCAUGUAUAUGCAUUGUUCAAGGAAUACAUGGCACAAAGAACAUGGGCUUAAAGUUGCCCACCCUCCAAUUUCUUCCCAUUUUGAUCUCAUAUUGAUUUUUCUUUUUCAAUGGUAAUUAUUUUUUCAAUUCUCCCUUCCAAUAUAAUUUUUGAACAAAAUAUAACAAUCCUCCAGCUAUUCAAAAUUAUAUAGAUCACAAAUAUAAAUUAUCAACACUUACACAUAAGUUUAGAUAUCUUUUGAUUUGAAUCUUACUUUAGUAUAAUUCCCACAAAGUAUAAUCAAAAUUUCAGGUAGCAUAAUAGCUUUGAAACAAUUAUUACUUGUGAUGAAAUCGAUAAAAAUAUACGCAUAAGUGCCGUGUUUCAUAGUUCCUCAAACUCGCUUAGAGCUAAUAUGGACUUAUCCUUAUCCUAUUUGUUGAACUUUUAAGAGAGAAACUCUAAUUCUCUAUGAGUUGCCUCAAAGUUCAUUUAGAUGAAGUUCUUUCUGUUUCUUUGUUACUUUUAAAGAUACUUGUACUUUGUAUUGAAUUUCAUUAAGAGCUUAAAGCUUACCCCUCCUUUAAGUAAUAACCAACAUUAUUACAUUUUAGGAUAGGGUUCUCGCAAAUAUAAUAAUGCUGAAACUAUCCACUUAUUGAAUAACUUAUUGUUACCUUUUGAGCCCAUAGUUACUAUUUUGAAAUGACAAAUAAGAUUGCCUUCAUUGGUGGAUCUUUUAAUUUAAGAGUUUUAACCCCAUCCUACUCAAUGUAGAUAUUACCAGAUCUCUAUUAAGAGGUUUAGUAAAACGAUCCACCAAAUUCUCAUUUAAAUUAAUGUAAUUUGGGGAAAGUAUUCCAUUUUUGAUCAAUUUUCUUAUGUAGUCAUGUUUUAGACUUAUAUAUCUAAACUUUCUAUUGUAUACCUCAUUGUAUGCUUUUAUUAAUGUGUCAUGACUAACACACAAAAUAAAUAUCAAAAAAUAUAUUCGUUAUUCCCAAAGACAUCUCAUAUAGAUCUUUUCUUAAGCAACAUAACCCCUUUCUAGGUGUUGGCUAAUAACACUAAUUUAGAUUCCACGAUUGAAUGUGUUAUACAUGUUUGUUUCUUAAACUUUCAAGAAACUACACCGCUUCUAAGAAGAGAAACCCAACUCGAAGUAGAUUUAUUUUAUCGGUGCUAGGUAUCCAACUAAUGUCAGUAAAUCCUUUUAAUACAGUAAAAUAUUUAGAAUAAUGUAGAUCUAUAUUUUUGGUUUCCUUUAAAUAACAAAUAACCCUCCCGAUGACCUCCAAUGUUCCAUCCUUGGAUUAUUAGUAAACCUACGAAGUUUACUAAUUGCAAAUGUUAUAUCAGAUCUUAUGUAUUAAGCUACAUAAUAAGGCUAUCUAUAGCCCUUGCAUACUCUAGUUGAACAAUUGCUCUUCCAUCAUUUUUUUUAUAAGUUUGGAGUUUGUAUCAAGAGGGGUAUUGAACUCUUUUGUCUUCAAGUGAUUAAACUUAUUAAUUACAUUCUCUAUUUAAUGUAAUUGACUUAAAAUUAGCCCUCACUAGUUUUUGUAACCUUAGUACCUAAUAUGGUGUCAAAUUGUCCAAAAUCCUUUAUCUUGAAUGUGAAAAAUAGAAACUUGUUUUUCUUUUAUUUCAUUUAUGUAAUUACUCAAAAUCUACACAUCGUCAACAUAAAAGGCAAAUAAACACAACAAAUUCAUCAUACACUUUGAAAUAUAAACGCUUAACUACACUAUUAUGUGUGAAACCAAACUUUUCAUGCCAUUUCUUUGGUGCUUGUAUUAAACCAUAUAAUGAUUUUACUAACUUGCACAUUUUAUGUUCAUUACUAGAGUGGCCAAAGCCUUUCGGUUGUUCUAUGUUGAUCUCCUCUUCAAGAUCCCCAGUUAGGUUUUUAUAUCCAUUUAAUUUGAUGAACAUUCAAGUUAUAUAUGGAAGCUAAUGUAAAUAAUAUUCUAAUUGAUGUAUUCUAGGUACCUAUGCAUAUUUAUCAAAAUAACCAAUUCUUUUUUUUUUGUCAAUAAUCUUUAGCCACUAAUCUUACUUUAGCGGUAUUAAGAGUACCAUCUACAUUGUAUUUUCUCCUAAACACCCAUUUACAACCAAUAUGUUUAAAUUCAAGUGGUAAAUCGACAAGUUCCUAAGUAUUGUUUGACAUAAGUGAAUCCAUUUUGUCUUUUGUGGCAUCUUUACAAAAUAUAAUAUCAUAAGAAGCCAUAUUUUCUUUACAAGUCUUAGAAUCGGUCUCUACAUGUGGAAUAAAAGGCACUGUCCUAAUAAAAAUUUUAUUAUUUUUCUCUACCAAGUAAAGUGAAAAGAGUUCAGAAACUAUCUCAUUCUGUCUGAAGGUUUUUUCUUUCUAAGUUCUUUUGCUUCUUUUAAACUCACAAGAUUUAUCAACAUCUUUAGAAGAUGUUUCCUAUUGUUUUCCACCUAACACUAGGAAUCUCUUCUUGAGUUUUCUUAAGUCAUUAUCCAAAGAUAAUAAAUUCUCAAAGAAUUCAACUUCAUUUGAUUCGAUUAUUACAUUUGGUCUCCAAAUUUAACAAUAAAUAGGAUUUGCUAUUACUAGCAUAUCCAACAAAGGCAAUUUUGUUGCCUCUUGGUCCCAAUUUGGUCUUUUCUAGGUCUAUGUUCUUAUAAUAAUCAAGACACUCUCACACUUUAGAAUAUUCAAUGUUUCGAUUUUCUUCUUUUCCACAAUUCAUAAGAAGAAAUUUUUGUGAUUUUUAAAGGAAUUCUAUUAUAGAAUCUAUAUGCACAUAACAAAACUUAACCCCACAAGUUAAAUAGCAAAUUAACAUAUGUUAAUAUGGCAUUUAUCAUUUCAACAAAUUUUCUAUUUUUUUUUUCCAAUUUGGUCUUUUUUAGGUCUAUGUUCUUAUAAUAAUCAAGACACUCUCACACUUUAGAAUAUUCAAUGUUUCGAUUUUCUUCUUUUCCACAAUUCAUAAGAAGAAAUUUUUGUGAUUUUUAAAGGAAUUCUAUUAUAGAAUCUAUAUGCACAUAACAAAACUUAACCCCACAAGUUAAAUAGCAAAUUAACAUAUGUUAAUAUGGCAUUUAUCAUUUCAACAAAUUUUCUAUUUUUUUUUCUUUCCAUCGAAUUGUUAUGCCCCUCACAUAGGCACAGAGGCGUUUUCAUGUGCCGAAGCACGUAAGGAAGAGGUGCUCCCAAAAUAUGAUAUCGUCUGAAGCGUCUUCACGUGCCAAGGCAUUGCUUUCGAAAUAUGAGGCCUGAGCCGCAUUGACAAAGGCACUAUGUCUGAGGGGAUAUGUCGGGGAGAAAAGGAUAAGCACCUCUUCAUUGCCAAUUUCAGAGAUCUUCUGGCCAAGAUCUUCUAUGUGUCUUUAGAAAUGAUUGAUGUGAUGUCUCUGCCAUGUGUCAACCCAGAAUCAGUAGAAUUAAUUGCCCACCCACCUAGGAAGCGAUUGGUGGAUGCCUACUAGUGACACCUCGUACCGUUGGAUGAUUUCACGUGUCACGCAUCUAGCGGUGCUCUUAAAAAUCUUAAAAAUCAUCUAUGAAGGUGAUAAAAUACAUAUUUCUCCCAUGUAUAACGUGUCAUUUAAUUCACAUAUUUUCAAAUGGACAAUUUCUAAAUAUGUAAAGUCCUAUUCACACAAUGAUAAAGUUUCUUAGUCAUUUUCGGUUCCACACAAUUUCUAUAUUUAUGUGUAUAUUUUAUAUUGUAAGAUUUAUAUUGUAAGAUAUCAUAUCAUAGUUUAACAUAAGAAAGAAAAACUUGAUUACGAGAACUUCAUGUUAGGCCGAUUACAUUAGUACAAAUAUACCUAAACUGGAUUGAGAACGUUGGAGUGAGAGUGAAUGCUAAGUUCCUAUUCAUGUUGGAAACAUGUAAUAGAUUUAUUAGGGCAAUUGUUUUUCCGAAAGUGAAGACAAUAUCAACAUUUCAUUUACCAACCACUUUGAAGUAGCCUUCAUUACCCAUUUGCAUCCCUUGCUCACCAUUCGAUUCGUGACAAGUCUUGAAAAAUAACUUAUCAUAUGAUACAUGAAUGUUGUUGCACAUGUAUCAUACUUCCAGUCAGGAAUAUUUUAUUUGAUAGCAUUGAUUUCACUCAUAGUAGAUGCAAUGUUAUCAUCAAAUGAGUUUAUUUUGCUCUCAUUCUUGUUUUGUUUUCGAUGCAAACAAUUUUUCGCAUAAAUUUCGGGUUUUCGUCCCAUAAAAAAAUCUCUCUUGGACUUUUUGUGAUCCUUAUUAAAAGAAUUCCUUUCGUUUAUGUUGACCUAUGGUUGAUUGUAACCUUAAGCCUUUGAUUUAUAACAAACAAGUUAAUUUCGUUUACUCAUAAAUUGAAUUCAAGUGAUUAUAGUCUUUCAAAGCAUACAAUGAAAAAUUGAUUGAUGGUGAUUGAAAUAUCAAAAGCUAUUAUAAUAAUCGGACUUCUAAAGGAGGUCAAGAUCGAAGUCACAUACUCAAGAGCUUAAGAGCCAAACUUUGAAAUAGAUCAAUGAUUAGAUUUCUUAGAUAAAGUGCAAAGAUAUUGGUACUUUGAUAUUUAGCAAUGACCAUUUAGGCUCCAAAUCCUUCUAUGUAUUAAAAAUAAUUUUAUGCAUUAAAAGUUAUUUUUGAUAUAAUUUUUGAUUAAAUAUAAAAAUGACUUUUAAAAUGGUAUUCUAACUGGAAAAAUAUCUUUUAUCUUGAAAAGUUAUUUAAAAAUACUUUUCAAAAGUCAAACGCUUUUCAAAACCUUCAAAUUGGAUCAAAUAAGGCCAAAACGUAAAAAUAUCGAAACUGUUAGACAGUUUACAAGCUAGAAGAAGCGAUCAAUCAAAAAUUUUCAAAGGUCCAAAAUUUGACCAUUUUGACCUCUAUAUUUUACUAUACAAAAAGCUAUAUUUAUCAUCCGAACAAGAGACUGUCGAUCGGACAUGUCAUCCGAACAUACAAUUUUGACGUUUUGAACUAUAUAAAUACCUCCAUUUCUUGCAUUCAUUAUAGCAAUGUUGGAGAGCAUUGAAAGUGAAAAAUGACUAAGUAUAUCUCUUGAGCUUACAUCUCAUUUAUUCUAUCAAACAAUUACUUAAAAAUCUUUAAUUUAUUAAACUUUUUAAAAUCAUCUUUUUAUCAAAUCUUUUUCAUCUAAUACUUGAGCUUCAUUUAUUGCUAUUCAAUUGAAGUGUUGAAUUCAUCCUGUGUUUUUUCUUUUCCAUUCACUUGGAUUUCUGGCUUUGGUUUUUUCAUAAAAGUGCAGCCGUGGUAUUCAGAAAAUAGAGAUCUUUUUUAGUGUUUUUACAAGAAAUCUCUAGCCAACCCAACGCGUUUUGAACUAUUUAAAAUUAAAAUAUCUUAAUUUCCAAUUCCAUUGGACUCCUAUUUCUCUCUUAGCACUUAAUUUAUUUAUAUCAUUUAUUAAGAGAGAAGUUUCAAAUUGUAAAAUCAUUUCUUAUCAGAUUUGUGGGUCUUAUUGAAGUCCUAUAAAGCUCAAUAUUAUAUAAAGAACGGAGCUUCUUGUUUGUAAGGCAUCAAAAGUAUUGUAAGGAUUUGGAUUUUACCAUAAGUUAAUCAAAUAUAGUGAAUGGGUCUUGCUCGUAACUGGGAACUUGGUAACGUAGGAUAUAGAUAAUUGUUUUGGAUCAAACCUCUACAUUUAUAUCAUUUGCAUUCUCUCUUUUAUUUUAUUUAUUGCUUUCGUAUUUGUGCAUUUUGUUUGAUUGAUUUAUUCAUUCCCAAUUUGCUUGAAUUUGAAUCAAUUUUUCGAAAACAUUUUGAAAACCAAUUCACUCCUCUCUUGAGCUGUCAAUUUGAUUUGUUGGAUGGUUCGUUCUUUUUCAUGUCAUUGGCUUUCAACAUGACUUCGCAAGAGUUUUCAUUCUUGUCUCUUGCCCUCAAUUCUUCUUCAUUUUGGAGAUGCUUUUGAAUUUGGAGCAAAGAAAAUGAAACGAUGAGGGUUCUAUUUAUAUAUUUCAAUGCAUCUAUCUUAAUAGUUACAUCUUUGUACAAAAAUUCAUUUUGACCAUUAAAUCAUACCUUUUUAUUGGAACAUGGUCUGAUGAUCUAUAUCGCACACUUUAUAAAGGUAAUGACUCUUCGCUAUGCACCAAUAACAUAUGAAGAGUCAUACCUAAUCAUCAUAACUAUUAGAGACUUAUUCCAAUUCAUAUAUUAAUCAUUAAAUAACCCGAUAAUUCCAACAAUCGCAAACACAAACAAAAUAAGUGACUCAACACAAGCAAAAAUAAGAAAAAUUCUAUUUGCGAGAUAAUGAAUCAAGAUAGGUAAAUUUUCCUUUGAACCUCCCUUAGUAAGAAAAUUCAUCAGACUUGCUUGGGUAAUAAGUGAAACAACAUUUCAAACUAUCAACCAUUAUCACAAGUUUAAACAAUAGAGCAAACACAUUAUUUCUUAUAUUAGACUUGAUUCUUCAUUAUAUUCAUUAAUUCGAUCCUAAACUCUCUUGAGUUCUAAGUACUUUGGAGAAUUCGCCUAAGUAAAAUUCAAAAGAACCUACCAAGUUUUCACUUUCAUAUGUUAUGUUCAUUGAGAUAGUUAAUGAUUCAUUUAGUGUAAAUUGAGUUCUUUGACUUCAAUUGGUCAACAUUCAAAGUAAUUACAAAGCAAGUUAAACUAACUAAUUAUCUACAUUCCCUUUUGUGUUUGAGACUUAGUUUGCCCUUUCCUUAUCCUCAACAAUAUUUGUAGACAUCACUUAUUUACAUUAUAAAAAUAAGGAGAAGUUAAACUCCUAAGUGCUUCUUGUCAAGUCAUUCAUAGUUAGUUUAACUUUUAAAUCCAGUGUUCUGAAUAGUGUGUCUAGGCAUGAGACGUGACAAAAACUCCACGCUUAAGACCUAUGUGCUAAUUUUUUGGUCAAUGGAAGCGUUGGCCGCUUUAAGGCAUGCAUUAUCAUUAUUUUUUAAUUAAAUUUUUGAACAAUUUUUAAUAAGCUCAUUUGUCCUACCCUACAUAAAGUUUUCAACUUUUAGGCCAAUAGAUUGAAAGAUCUAACAAGUUGCUCACUUAUUAGUCCACUAAUUUAUAGAGGGCAUCUCCAACGAUUUUGCUACAAACUUUCGAUGUGGGAUAAAAAAUCCUUCGUUUUGGCUACAGUGCAUUAUAUCUUUGAUUUGGUUGUAAUGUAUUGUACCUUCGAUUUGACCGUAAUGUAUUGUACAAUUGUAUAAAUAGUUAUUUAUAUUUUAUUAAGUUAAUUAAUCAUUUUCCUAUCUUUUACUAAUUAAUAAAAAUUUAAAAAUCUCCAAAUAUUUCAGUUAGCACUAUAUAAUAUAUCUUGUUUAUUGUUUGAAAAUAUAUUUGCUUCGUUGAACUCUUAAAACUACAUUUGGUAAUAUAAUUUGUAUAUAUUAUUAAAUUAUUUUUAAAUUGAUUAAAAAUUUAAAAUAAUAUUAAUGUAAGAAAAUACUUUUUUUACGCCUAAGACUCAUCUAGGUAUGCAUCAAUCGAAGUUUGACCUUCACACAUCGUCAUGCAUGACAUUUUUUUGGAACACUGAUUAAAACUAGUUCGUGAGAUCUACAGUAGUUAGGUUAGGUUUUUUUAGGAUAUCUCUUUAAGUUUUAAACUCAUUUCCCUCGAUGUACGAUCUAUUUGCUUUCUAGAUAAUCCUUUUAUAAAUGAAUUGCUAGGUUUUCUCUUGAUUUAACAACAUCAAACGAUAUUGUUCCAUUAGAAACAAAAGGUUGAAUGUCAUUAUAUUUAUACCUAUGAUGUAUGAAUCUUGACUUAACGAUACACGAAGUUUUAUGUUGUAGCUAUUGUUCGGUUAUUUCUAUAUGCAAUAUGGUUAGCAAUUCAAAGGAUUGGUGGGUCGAUAAUGGUGCAACCCAUUAUAUUUGUGUAGAUAAAGCCAUGUUCUCAGAUUAUCAUGAAUCAAAAGGAAAACAAUUGUUCAUGAGGAACUCUACGAGUUCGAGCGUUGAAGGACUUGGAAAGAUCACAUUGAAAAUGACUUCCGGGAAAGAACUAAUCCUCAAUAAUGUUCAUGUACCAGACAUUUGCAAGAAUUGGUUUCGAAGUCUUUACUUAGCAAGAAUGACUUUACAUUUGUAUUUGUAUCGGACAAAUUUGUACUUACCAAAAAUAAUAUGUAUAUUGGUCAAGGUUAUCUUUGUGAAGGAAUGUUGAUGAACGUUCUAACAAUUGUACGAAAAAGUAUUAUAAAUAAAAAUUCUAAUUAUGUUUAUAUGCUUGAAUUGUCUUGUUUAUGGCAUAGUCGAUUAGAACACAUCAAUUACAAAUCUAUGUUCAAACUUGUGAAUGAAAGUUUAGUUCCGAUGCUUAAGAUUGAUCUUAAUCAUAAGUGUGAAGUAUGUGUUGAAACAAAGUUGACCCAAACACAUUUUCAUUCAAGUCAAAAAGUGAUUAAAGUAUUAUUUUCACGAGGACUAGCUAAAUAUCCAAUUCGAUUUUUAAUUAACAUAUAACUAUCUAAAUGCAAUGCUAAGAAACUAGUAUGAAGCAUUUAUGAACUUGAUUAACAACAAGCAAUAGGACUUCGAAUCUCUCUUUAUAUUAUGUUUUAACAACCAUCAAAGAUAUUGACAACAUGCUUAAACUUGAUGAUUAAUGUACUUAUUUUGUUUAGUAAUCUUUCUCGAUGAAUACUAAAUAUAUUCUCAUAUGUGAACCUACAGUAUGUCUAUGAAAAUUGUGAACGUGUGACAAUGCAUUUAAUCACUAUAUAAUAAAAUCAUGCAAGAUAUAUGGUAUGGGUAUAUAUCUCUAUCACAUAUAGAACCCUACAAAGAUUAUCAUGUGUAUAAUACUUAUUCUUUCUCUCAGACAUAAUAAAGAUCAUUAAUCUGUUCAACUAAUGAUCAAUUAAUUGAAGCAUUAAACAUGUAACAUACUGUUCAAGCUUAACAAGAAUUAAUAGUUAGUCUCGAAAUUAAAAUUAAAACAUCAUAGUCAUAGGCUUAUCGUCAUCCUAGUGACUAGGAAUUUAGUCAAGCAUCAUAAAGUUACAAAAACAAAUGCUUGCAUAUUUAGCCCCGUCUCUUAUUUUAAUUGUAGGAAAAAGAAGGGAAAAUGUCUUGAACUCAUGAAUUUCUUCAAUUCUUAAAUAAUAUCCGUGUAUGAAGAAGCCAAAAUCUAAAUUAUAAUCUUCAAUUUUGGGUAGAUGAUUGUGAGUUCUUGUAUCAAGCUUCUUGAUUUCUCUCUAACGAAUGGUCCCCCAAUGUUUGGUUAAAAAUGAGACUAGAUUUUAUUCCAUGUACAAGUGAGUCAAAUUAGGAAACAAAAUUUUUGUUAUCGGACACUACAAUACAAUCGUACGGUGUCAUGUUUCCACUUGCUAGAAUUCAUGUACCUUGUGAUUUUCGGUCAUAAUGCCUUACUUUUCAUUCUUGGUUAAUUUUUGUUUUUGAAUUCCUUCUUCGGCUCAACUUGAUUCCUCUUCUAUUUUCACCAUAAGUUCUUCAACUUUCAGUUCUUCUCAAUUUAACCAAUGUUAUCCACUAUUACCCAUUCUUGGUCUGUCUCAAGUUUUGGAGAUUUACAAUUCAGUCCCCAAACUUUCACAAUUGUUCUUCUUCGUCCUCUUCAACCGACUUUCACUUCUUUUUUAAUCUACAAUCCAAUAUCAGAACUUUUACAUAACAAUCAAUAUUUAACUAAAAUUAAGUGGAAAUUCAAUUAAUGUGACUCCCAACAUCCACUUUUAAAAGCUUCGAUAAAUGUUAAAUUACGCUUAUCAAUAACAAAAAUCAUGGGUUUGAGAAUUUUAAAAUUUCAGGAAUUUUAUAGAUUGUCUUUCAUGAUUCUAACUUAUUAUAUUCUUAAACUCAUUAAUUUAAUUCUAAAAAUUAACUAUUUUUAAAAUGUUAAGGAACAUAUAUUGAACAACACCAGUACUUAAAAAUAAAUGGAAAUCUUAUAUACCGUAGAGUUUAGUAAUCUCCGACGUUUGAUUUCAUUUGAAUACAUCCCAUAAAUACAUGACUCGGUCCAACACGCUAACGUAAAGUAUCGGUAUGGAAUUUUCGACCACUUAUAUAAUUUUUUGGGUGUCUUGUUGAUCAGUUUUACAGCUUUUUCACAUUAUGAAAUUUGUGGGACAGUGUUUUUAGGUUGAUUAAUGUAGUUACAUGUAAACACUAGGGCCUAGGGAAGUCUUAAAAGGCAAAAGCUUGGUUAUAAACGUCUCGUCGAGGGUAGUGGAAUGGCUUAUUAUAAGUAAAAACUUGAUUAUGACUGGAGAAUUUGAACCUCAAAUGCACGUUCUCAAUUAUUUCUGACUUUUGAAUUAUUUUCAUUUUAUUUUAUUUUUAUUUUAUUUUUUUGUGAGUCAGGUGCUCGAGUUUUGAUUGAUUAAUCUUGAGGAGUGGUUCCUCCCGGUUUGGUUCACCACCUGGGUAAAUUCAAAUGCAAUUACAGCGUAUAAACACUUGGGUCAAACAUUCGGGAUGCGGUUUUCAUGUGCGGACAAGACUCCAGAAGGACAACAAAGCGUAUCAUAACUUUGCCUUCACAGGACAUCUACCUUCCAACGUAAAUGUUGACUUCAAGCUAUCGCAUGGAUCCAAACCUCCGAUACUCCAUAGAGAACUCUCCUAUUUUACUACUGUGCCUUGCCCCUGGGGCUAAUUAUUUUCAUUUUAGAUACUUCGUAGAGAACUUUAUUGUUUUACUACUGUGACAUUCCCGUAGGGCUAAUUAUUUUCAUUUUAGAUAUAGCAUAGACAGGUGUAAUAAGCUAUCAUGGGUCCAUUGAGAGCUGGGAUAUUUUUUGAGUACGAGAGAGACAGUGUCAACCUGAAUUUUCCGUUGGUAAAGAUGAUAUCUCUUUACCAACCGAUAUUCCGUGUCUAAUGUAAUCGUUUAACAUUUAGAUCUUCUUCCAAUGGAUAUUCCAUAAGUUAUGUACCGAAUAUUACCAACGGAUUGCAUCUGUUAGUAACUAGAAACAGAUUAUCCGUUGGUAAAAGUAAUUCACUUUUAGCUACAAUAAUCAGUAACAAAUUUUUCGUUGGUAAAAAUGAUAUCUUUUUAUCAACGAAUAUUCCGUGCCUAAUAUAACCGUUUAACAUUUUGAUCUUUCAGCAACGAAUAUUCCGUUGGUAAUUAAAAACGGAUUAUCCGUUGGUAAAAGAAAUUCACUUAUCCCACAUCGGAAGUUUACAACAAUAUCUUUGUAGUUGCCCUCUAUAAAUUUGUAAUCCAAUAAGGAGUUAAACAAUAUUUUAGCUUUUCAAUUCAAUUGGCUAAAAAUUAAAAAAAAUUAUAAUUAUUAAAUAAAUAAUAAUAAUAAUAAUAAUAAUAAUAAUAAAUAAUUAAAUAAAUUAAUUAAUUAAUUUUUUACCAUACGGUUAUUUACAACAUUGAUUUUUACCAAUUGUAAUGGUAGACAUUUACCAACGGAAAGUCGAUUGGUAUUGGUUAAUACUUUUCCCAACGAAAAUUUCAUUGGUAAAAGAUUCACACUUUAAUAACGAAAAAUCCGUUGGUAAAAUGUUUACUAUUUACGUAAGACAUGAUCUAUUGGUAACUAUUAGCGACCCUCAAAUUACCAGCGGAUUUGUGAUUGCAAAUAUUCCGUUGGUGAAAAUUAUUAGCAACGAAUAUUGAGGUUUUAGGAACGAAAAAUCCGUGCUUGAAACUCUAUUUUUUAAUAGUGUAUAUAAUGAGAGAAUCUCUCACAUUGAGAGGUAUCGAGUUUUAUUGAGUAUAUUUGACAUGGUAUCAGAGCGUGCUUAAUUUUAUUUAGGUUAAACUUACAAACUUCUGUUCUCCAGUGAGCGGCAUUGUGCCGCUCGUCCAGUCAAAUUUUCUUGUUUUUGUUUUACUUUUUUAGACCUUCCAUGUCGAUGUAUUCUCGAGCAUCACCAAGCAUGCAAAUCUUUAGCUUGGACUGAGGGAUAUGAAACCCUUGUCCUUACGAUCAUACUUUUUUUUUUAUCAACCCAAUAUGGAGCUCAAUUGUCUAGUCAAGUUUUAGUUGGAGUUAUUUUGGAGAAGAUUUUGUGUUCUAUUGACUGACCAAUUGGAGUAAUACCCAAUUGCUGGUGACGUGAUUAAUGGCGAUGUUGGUUUCGGCUAUCGAAGGUUCAAGUUACAGAUUUAGGAGUUGGCAUCAUCGACGCCAGAUUGUGGUCGAACUGGCGCCGCUUUUGGAAAUAGCUUGGAACACCCAAACAGAGUGGUGAGACACAAAGGCACGGCCGCUUUCACUAUAAAUCACGGGAUGCUUCACACCAUUACGUUCACACACGAAUUUUACCGCCCGAGCAACAAUAUAAGCAUAAUCUUCAACACUGUAACCAACAAAAAUUUUAGAGUUCUUCCAAGACCACUGCCAUUGUCAAUGACUUUCAUACAAGUACCGAGGUAGAUUAAUUCACAGUAGAUUGGGAAAGCUUCACGUACUCCUUCAGAUGUUGUUGAACUCGUUGUGGAUCUGCACUCGCUAAGAAUGGAACAGUGGAGAUGGAGGCUAGCAUCAUGGAUGGUUCCAGCAAGAGAUGAGGCGUCGUUUCUGGUAUCACCACCGUGAAGAACCCUAUUUCCCUUGCCCAUCUCGUCAUGGAAAAGUCUCCCUAUUCUUAUCUUGCAUUCUCUAGAGCCGAAGAAUAUGCUAAACAACAGGAUUGUGGUGUCGAAUAGAGGUUUCGAUGAAGAACAGAGGCAUUGAUGCAGAUCUGUUUAAGGACUUGGGCUAAUUCUAGUGGGCUUCUAUUGUCUUGGGUUAGCUUUGCAAUUAAAUCUUUUGGGCUGUAUGUUACUUGAGGGUGUUUAUUUGAAGUGGGCUUAUUUUUUUAUUUUUUUGUUGUGUGGGCUGAUUUUGGAGUGGGUUGAAUUUAGGUGGAAAUUUGUUUGGCUUGGAUCUGAUUCGAUUGGGACUUCAUGUGGAUUGUGUCUAUUAGUUUUAAGCUUAGUGGGUUUACAUAUAAAUUAAAGAUUGUUGGGCUUCAAAGUUUUAUAAGGCCUACUAUCAUUUGGGGUUAUUGGCUUUAAGUGAUUGGGUUGUAAACUGUGGAAGCAUGGGAACUUAAGGAGUUGAUGUCUGCUAGUUUUGAAUUGUGUGGAAAAUUCUCUAAUAUGUAGCUCAUGAUUUUCACAAAGGCGCUGCUAAAAAACAAGGCUUUUCGUUUUUUGAUUGAAGAGACAGAGACAUAGGAGUGCAGAGGAUUGAGUUCUUUGGUUGCUCGGAUAAUGAGCUAAAGUUUUGGAUUCUUGGUGGAGGAUUAUCUUUGAAGUUUUUAGUAUUGGCUGUUUUGUGGAAUUUCUUUGAACUACAGCACCUUGGCCAGCAAUAUAUUGCUGAAAUUUUGGCUAGUGUAUUGGCGUUAGAACUUUUGUCGGAGCAUGAAUUAUGUGUUCAAUCGAGUUUUCCCGACAAAUAGAGCUCAUUGUGUAUCGGCACACUUCAUGAAUUUCUUUUGGAAAUUUUUCUUAGGGUAUGAGCUUUUUGGAGUGGUUUUGGAGUAGUUCUUAAUUAUUUCUACACUAUUUGUUAUUCUUGGUUUCUAGUCGUUACUAAUUUUUGUAGAUGGUUGCUCUGAUUUGGGCUUCUUCUUCGUGGGCACAAGUAUUGUCGUUGUCAUCAGUUCAUGAUUGCAAAUUGAUACUUUUACCAACAUCAAUUUGAGGGUGAUGUCAAUGAGAUUGAAUAAGAUUAUAGAGAUUUUCAAAGAUUACGACUUGAAGUCUAUUUUAUCAUUAUAAUUAUAUUAUAUAUAGAUAGAUUAUUUUUACCAUAUUUAAAUUAUAAGUUACUAUUAUUUAAUAUUGUAAUAGAUGCUACAAUAUUUAGUGGUGAUUUUGAUCCUAUAUAAUGAGAGAAUCUCUCACUUUGAGAGGCAUCGAUUCUUAUUGUCUGACCUCUCCUAUGUUCAUACAUUUAUCUUUUGCUAUUCAAUAAAUUAUGCCACCAUGCGUGGAUUUAAUUUUUAAGAAAAAUAAAAGAUGACGCCUGAAUACUGAUACGAUUUCGGCACAAUAAUAGUGAUUCUUCAAUGAAAAUAAUAUUUUGAAACUUCUUGAAUAUAUUUAUUUUAUGUUUUGUAAAGUAAAUAUGAGUUUUUGUCUCUUUCAAGAAAAUAUUGGUGGUGUUUCAAAUAAGGAAAUAAUAUUAUGUUUUUAUUUACUUAAAAAAUGAUAAUAAUUUUUUAGACCAACAUAGAGAUAUCUAAAUAUUGUACUUCCUUAACAUUUUUUAAGAUUACUAAGGUUGAAAUGUGAAUUUCAAAUGUUGAUGAAAUCUUUAAAUAUAGAAUUUAUGAUUGAUUUGAUCGAAGUUCUGGUUGUUAAAAAGAUAUAUAUAUAUAUAUAUAUAUAUAUAUAUUAUUUUAAACUUUUAGAUAAAAUAAUCUAACAUUGUAUUUCCGUAACUAAAAUUUUCAAUUUACGUCUCUCUUUGCUUAUUUAUAAAAUUUGUUCGUGUAUAAGAUCUUCAGUGAACUAUAAAUUUACUUGCACAUUGGUGGCGGAUAAUCUACUUUUGUGGCUGUUGGAUAAGUAAAGCCACUAUUUUUUACCACAAAAGGAUAACUUUGCAAUUUCUUAAUUGUUAAGCUAAGUACAUGCAUGCAAUGGAACUUGACAAAUUCAAGUUUUCUUUCUCCAACAAGUGGCAGCCGAAAUGCUUGAAAAAUUCCAACCACUUGACAGGCCAAAUGUGUAGAGAAUUCUAGCAAAUGAAGGUGGUAGAACUUUGAGUCUUUGAAGCAGUUAAAGGUGGUAAAACUUCUAGCAAUAUCCAACCCACUUACAGCCAAGUUUAGCCAUUAUUUUUGACAAUUGAAGGCGGUUCCUACAAAUGACCAGCCAAGUUGCAGAUAAUUUUCUUGAAUUUUCAAACAAUUAUGGUGACCAAAAAUCUUUAUAAAUAUGGGUAAGACUUUGAGAGAAAAGUGUGUGGUAUGGAGAAGAAAAAUUGAGAGGAAUUAAAAGUAGAGAGUAGAGGGAAAAUUGUGAGUGGAACGAUAAAAUUAUAGAGAGAAAAUUGUGAGUUUUUCUCCCAAGUAUUUCCUACUUGUUUUCUCUUAUUACAAGAGAGACUAAUUAUUGUUAUUGUGUUGUAAUUCUCCUACUAUAAUGAAAUCUUCAUAUACUUGCACGUAGACAUAGUCUAAAUUAGGUGAACCACGUAAAUACUUAUGUCUAUUUUAGCUGCAUUUUCUCAAUUCUAUUAUUUGUCACCCAAACUCGACCCACAUUUUUCCUAAUAGUGGGUACAAAGGUUUCCAUGGUAUUGACUUUUAUAAUGGCUUAAUAGCACAAAACAUUCCUGUGUUUAUCUAUAGUAUGCAAUAUGUCCCCACAUUUCAAUUUUUUGCAUUUUCACCCCAAUUUUCAUGUUUCAUUGCGAAAAACAUUAUUUUUACCAAUUUUUAAUGUAAAAUGACCAAUAUACCCUCCUAUUUAAAUAAAACAAAAAUAAAAGAAAAUAAAGAUGAAAUUGCAACUACAGGCCCAAAUUUUUCAAAAGGCUUAAUAGCACAAAAUGUCCUUACUUUUUUCUCACACCCUAUCCCACCCCAUGCCAACCUAACCCAACCCAGCCCAACCCAAUCCACUCAUUCUUUUGAAGAUUCAAGGAACUGUCGGACUCUAUCUCAUCAACUUUCACCUAAUUGCCACCUAAAACACUAGAACUCAUAUUACAAAUAGCUGUCAUCAACACCCAAACACUUUCUUAUAAACAAAUUGAACAAACAACAAAUUUAUAUGGUUAAAUCAACAAAAAAUGCAGCUUAUCGCAUGAGCAACACGCUGCCUUUUUUCGUCAAUUUCGACACAGGUAAUGGUUCCCACUGUCGCGAACCAUCCAUUCCGACUUCGCCACAUCUUGCCACACUGCUACAACAAUAGGUUACCAUCAAUUUCAUCUAUUAUGCCCCAGAAUAUGUGCCCAUUUAUUGCCCAAUAAGAAAUUGAAAGAUGUUGCUAUAGAUUUUGAUUUUGUGCACCUGUUCAAGUUUUAAGUCCAUGAAGAGAGGUGCUUUAAUGAAUAUAGUUGACUGGUAUGUUGGAAAUGAGAUGGGUCUUGUCGGAACAGGUGGUACCGCCAGUAUUUACAUUCACGAGUUGGGUAUUUUGGCUUGCAAUUCUGACAAAAUCUAUUGGCAUGAAGGUUGGAUGUUGGGUGGUAUGUGUAGAGGGGAGUGAGACCUUUCUAGUGGUAUGGAGUUCCAGUGGUUUAGGCGAUGGUCAGUUGACAUUUUUUGGUUUCUAAGGUGGUGACCCCAUUCAAAUUUUAGGGCUUAGUGAUGGUUUUUUCAAAUUUGUUCCUUUAAUUGUACUCCUUCACCGGUAAAAUAUGUCGUAGAAAUGACAAUGGAGAAUUGAAAUUUCGAGGAUUUUGGCAGCGAUGGCGGUGGUAAAGGAGGUGGAGGAAAAGAAAAGAAGAGAAAAAGAAUUUUAUUUUUUUUUCCAAAAUUUUUUAUUUGGACUCAUUUAUACUUUUUAAAAAGUUGAGGAGCAAGAUUACAAUUUGUUCUUUAUUUGUCGUUUCUUCUCUUUUUGGUUUUAUUUAAAUAUGAGGGUAUAUUGGUCAUUUACAUUAAAAAUUGUGAAAAUGAUGUUCUGCAAUGAAACGUGAAAAUAAGUGUGUAAUGCAAAAAAUUGAAACGUACGGACGUUUUGCAUACUACAAGCGAAACAUAAGAAUGAUUUGUGCUAUAAAGCCUUUCAUAAUUUCUUUAUGACUUUGGUAGAGGGCCUAGAGGUGUAAUUGGUCUAGUCUUCAAUCUGUUCACAUCUAAAAUCAAACGACAAAAUCAGACAUCAUAGGCCUACAAAUAUAGAUAAAUCACACCUUUGGUCUUGAACCAUUUUUCGAAUCUUGAACAAAAUUUACAAGCACCAAAAUAUCCAUUUAUGCUGCACCAAAAUCAAGUCAAGGAAGAAUCUAUUUUGCAAAUCUAUAAACAUAAUUUUUCACUACACAUGCCAACGAGUUGGUCAAGUUUUUUUCUUCUUGAUCUUGCUAUUAAAUAAAAAAUUUGUUGGAGUCAUCUAGUGGGAUUAAGCUCUUGUUUGACAACCUUUAAAGCAAACGCUUUUUUUCUUAAACUAAAUUUUUAAAAUAAAAUAUUCGGUACAUAAAUCUAAAUUUUUUCCUACUUUUGAUUAUAUAUUCCUCAAAAAAUCACUAUUCAAAACCUUGCUUUCUCCAAAAUACUCAUUUUAAUGAUUGUUAAACGGGGGCUAAUAUUGCGACACUAAUGAAAGGUUGAGGAAAUAUUUGCUCCUAUUCAUAGGCUGGUGACUAACAUGCAACUAACACAAUAGAUUGGGGCUGCUAACUUACAACUUUCACAAUAGGUUGGAAAGGAAGGGAGAAAUUUUUGAAUUUUUCCACAAGUAUAUAUAGGACGCAAGUCACUCAUAUUUUAUUAGAAUUAAUUGUAGGCAUUGUAUGUAAUUGCACAAUAGCUUCUUUUCUUUUCAAUUCAUUAGUCGGCCAGCUGUGUUUUCUUUCUUUCAUUUUUGGUGCCAAGCUCCAUUCAUUUUCAAUUGAUUGAACGAUCAACAGAGUUUCAAUUCAUUUUCUCUCUGUAAAUUGAAUAUGGUAUCAGAGCAAAAUCAUUUCCACGCUCUUCUCUCAUCAUCACAGAUUUAAUCUGUUGCUGGAUCUCGUCUUCAUAUAUAUAUAUAUAUAUAUAUAAAUUAAUCUGUUGUUCGAUCUAAUCUCUACAUAGAGUUAUUACAAUCCGGAAAUUGGUUUGAUUCAAGGUCAUCAAUGAACAAUCGGCCAUUGAUGAACCUUCAAGUCCUUACUCCUUACUUCAUUCAAUGAGUAAUUUCCAGAUCUCCUCCAGAUCUGCACCGAAUGAAGAUAAAAUGCUUAAUUCACAACAACCUGUGAUUGGAAGUUUAAUUCAGAGUUUGAAUCCUGCUCAAUAUCAACAAUUGAUGACGAUAUUGUCCACUCAUCUGGCAUCAAGCUCAAACACAGCAGCUUCUGAUUAUCAGGGCAACAAAAUUACAUCAUAUAAUGCAGGUCUAUGCCAUUUCAUAUCCGUUAAUCCAGUCUUGUAUUCCAAAGAAAUUUGGAUAGUGUAUUCGGGAGCCACUAAGCAUGUGUGUUUUAUUGCUGCCUCAUUCAUGAACAUGAGGAUUAUUGAUGGUUCAAAUGUGACUUUACCCAAUCACACACAAAUUCUAGUUAGAUUGUGUGGGAAUAUCAGGCUGAGUCCAAAUAUUUUGCUGCAUGAUGUGUUAUUUGUACCACAAUUCAAGCUAAACUUACUGUCAGUUAGUCCGUUAACUGCUGAAUUACAAGUUUCAUCAAGUUUCUCUCAUGAUAGCUUCAUUAUUCAAGAUGCCAAAACCAAGAAGAUGACUGGUAGGGGUGGUCAAAUGCAAAAUUUGUAUGUUCUAGAUACCAGAAUUCUGAAUUCCAUUUCUAAUGUAUUUGUUAAUACUAUGUCUAUCCAUGUAUGGCACAACAGACUUAGGCAUCUUUCAUUCAAAAGGCUAGACUGGUUGAAGGAACAAUUAUUGUGUGAUGUUACAAAAUUUCGGAGACAUAUGCCUUGUUAUGUUUGUCCACUUGCUAAACAGUGGAGAUUGCCUUUUGAAUCGAAUAAUAGACUGUCAAAUAAUCCCUUUGAUCUCAUUUAUUGUGAUGUGUGGGGACCUUACCAUGUUACUUCACACUCAGGAUACAAUUAUUUCUUGAUAUUGGUGGAUGAUUGUUCAAGGUUUACAUGGGUCUAUUUGUUGAAGCACAAAUCAGAUACCAAGAUUGUUAUUUCCAGAUUUUUCAACAUGAUUGAUACCCAAUUCAAUGCUAAAAUAAAGACAUUCAGAUUUGACAAUGCUUAUGAAUUAGCCUUUAUAGUUUAUUUUGCUGAAAAUGGAAUAAUGCAUCAGUUUUGUUGUGUGGAAAGACCACAACCCACACAACAAAACUCCGUCGUUGAGCGCAAACAUCAACAUUUGUUAAAUGUGGCUAGGUCUCUGUACUUCUAAUGACGAAUCCCCAUCAGUUUCUGGUCUAAAUGUGUUUUGACAGCCACAUUCUUGAUAAAUAGAACUCCAUCUUCUGUGUUGAAGCACAAAAUGCCAAAUGAAGUUCUAUAUGGAAGACCUGCAGAUGAUUCCUCACUUAGAGUUUUUAGAUGUCUAGCUUUUGCAUCCACUCUAACUACGCAAAGAAACAAAUUCCAGCCACGAGCUAGGCUAUGUGUGUUCUUGGGAUAUCCAUCUAGAGUUAAAGGUUACAAACUCUAUGAUGUUGAGUCAAAACAUUUCUUUGUAUCACGUGAUGUUGUGUUUCAAGAAAAAAUCUUUCCUUUUCAUACAGUUAUGGCAAAUGAUCAACUGAUAGAUCCGUUCCCUGACUUAGUCUUACCAAAUCCUUUUUUACACCUUCAUCAAGACUCACAUGCAUCCUCAACUCAGUAUAACUUACCGCCUAUUCCUUCAGCUAAAAGUCAUAAUUUGCAUCAAGAGUUAUUCCCUACUUCACCAUCCCUUGAUACAAUGUCUGCACCUGAUAGUCCUGAUAAAAAUGGUAUUCCACAUACUAACAUUAGUCACACAUGUCAACGUACUACUGUCACUAAUUUGAGACGUUCACAAAGAGUUGCUAGACCACCACAAUACCUUAGAGAUUUUCAUUGCAACUCCUUUCUCAACAAGAUCAACUCCCAUCUUCAUUCACUCAAUCAUAUUAGCCAAUUUAUUUCCUAUAAUCAUUUAUCCCAAAACCACCGGCAAUUUGUAUUGAACGUAUACUCUCAAUUUGAGCCUCAACUCUUUCACCAGGUGGUUAAAUAUCCACAAUGGCGUGAAGCCAUGAAAGCUGAAUUGGAGGCUAUGGAAGCCAAUCACACUUGGUCAGUAGUUCCUUUACCAGUUGGUAAACAUGUUGUUGGAUGCAGGUGGAUCUUCAGGGUAAAACAUAAUUCUGAUGGGUCUAUUAAAAGGCACAAAGCAAGUCUUAUAGCUAAAGGUUAUACACAAAAAGAGGGCCUUGAGUACUUUGACACUUUUUUCCCAGUAGCAAAGAUUGUCACUGUCAAAGUAUUGUUAGCUCUUGCAGCCUCUCAAUGGUGGCACUUGUUCCAAAUGGAUGUAUAAUGCCUUCUUGAACAGUGAUACGUUCGAUAAAGUUUACAUGGAUCUCCUGCCUAGUUAUGAGGUUCUCAAUGCUGUCAAACAAGGGGAGAAACUGGUUUGCAAAUUGCAAAAGUUAAUUUAUGGCCUCAAGCAAGCGUCAAGGCAGUGGAAUUCUAAAUUCACCCAAGCACUGGUCCAUUGUGGUUUUAAUCAAUCAAAGGCUGAUUAUUCCCUAUUCACUAAAGGUUCUGGGAAUGACUUUGUGGCAUUUCUUGUAUAUAUAGAUGACAUUGUCACCACUGGACCAAACAUUCAAGUCAUUGAUUCUUUAAAGAAGUUCUUAAAUUCUCAGUUCAAACUCAAGGAUUUAGGGAAGUUGAAGUACUUCUUGGGCAUAGAAGUGGCUCGUUCUAACUCUGAGAUUGUCAUAUCACAAAGAAAUUAUGCCAUAGAUUUGCUUGAGGAUUCAGGUUACCUGGACUGCAAAUUAACAAAUACUCCUAUGGAUCCAAAGGUUUCCUUAAGUAUUCAUGACGGAGACCUUCUGCCCGAUGCAUUUUCUUAUCGCAGGUUGAUUGGAAAACGGAUUUACCUGACAAUAUCACGACCAGAUAUUACUUUUGUUGUCUACAAACUGAGCCAAUUUUUGUCAUAGCCUCCACUAUCUCAUCUCAAGGUAGCUCACCAUCUUCUUCGAUAUUUAAAGGGUAGUCCAGGUCUGGGACUAUUCUUUCUGUUCACGAAAUAUUUUCUUUCGAUUUAAAUCACCACAAGUGUACGGUUAUUCAACAAGUAAUAAAGUGGAUUAAUUGAGUCCGAAUAUCAUCCCACAGAGAUUGAUUAGUUUAAUUUUACCUAACUUGGCCUUAACCGAAAUUGAUUUGUCAAACGUGAAUUGUAGUAACUUAAAUUAACCUUACUUGGACUAAAUAUGCAAAUAUGUAUGAUUUGAAUGAACUAAAAUGCAAAGUGAAUGUGUUGAUUGCAAGUUGGUGUACUCAAUCAAUGAAUAUAAAAGCGUACUAGGCUCAUGAAUCCCCAAGCAAUGCUCAAUUUAACCUUAAUUCAACACUUUGACAACACGAUGACAUUUUGAAGAAUCAAUAUUCCUAAAUCUAUCCAACACUCUCUUUCGAGAUGAAUUGAACCUAUUCUCAUACACCACCAGCCUAUAUCUCUAUGACGGAUGCAAAUAUAUGAGAAUGCAUGUAGUUUUGUGAAUACUUAGAGAUUCACACAAAGCAUAGGGGUAUAUUUCUAUCCCCCUAUCAAAUCCUACGAUGAUUUAUACCUUAUCGAAUUUAUUCCUCUUCUUUCGAGUAGAUGAAACAAACCACUAAAACUCACACAAUUACGAGCCCAUAAUCAUGGAAGCAAUUAAAUGCAUAUAAAUCAUUCAAAACAAUCAAUACGUGUUUUAGUGUCAAAAUAUGGAACAAAGAAUUAAAUAUCACAUUAUAAGAUUCACUGAUCUCCUAGUAUAGAUUUUUCUAGCCUAACAUGACGGGAAGAAAAACAUAACAACAAGAAUCAAGAAAAGAGAUCACCCAAUCGCCCUUUGAUUUGAAAUCUUGAAUCUUGAAUCUUGGAAUGAAUCCUCUCGUUCUUGCCUUCUUUUUGCUCUUCAAAUCCUCCCAAAAUAAUGUAUAAUACGUGGUGUCUGUUUUUGGACGUUCCUAGUGCUUUAAAAGACUCCCAAGAUUUGUUUCCAUAAGAGUUUUAAUCAGAAAAUGAAACCAGAAAAUUUUCGACGCGAUUGGCCUGGGCAACAUUUUCUUCUCGGUAAUAAGAAAAACAUAUGGGGCGAUCACCCGAUUUUUAUAACUGGGCUGUCGCACAGGCAAAAUUUCUUCCAUAUGUUGCAUUUUAGCCCUCGAAAUCGAUUUUUGAUUCUUUUAGGCCCUUUCUCUUGCAAUUUCAACUCUUUGACUUUCAUUUGCAUCCAAUUGAACCCGCAACAUCUUUAAUCUUCAUUUUGUGAUCCGAAUCAACUAUUAAAAUGUUGCAAUUUAGUCCUCAUACUUUGAAUUUUCUUCCUUUUUGGCUCUUUUUCAUUUCUUUUCUCUUGAAUUUCAUCACAUUCAUCAAUAUAGUCCUACAAAACAUAAUUACAUAGAAUUAAGUCAUAAUUCAAACUCUUUGAUCAUAAUUAAGUCAUGUUUAUGAACUAAAUAAGUGUGUAAAAACACACUUAUCACUUUCCUUCAUCAUCUGACCCACAUUCACUUCUCAAGCUUUAGGCCUUUUCAGAUGCAGGCUGGGGAACUUGUCUUGACACAAGAAAAUCAACUACUAGUUUUUGUAUUUUCCUUGGAGACUCGUUAAUAUCUUGGAAAGCUAAGGCGACGGUCCACUGUUUCUCGAUCUUCAGCUGAAGCAGAAUAUAGGGCUCUAGCUACCACCAUCAGUAAAGUCAUCUGGAUCAACCAAUUGCUCAAGGAUUUUCAGACAUGCGCUAUCUCUCCAGGUGCCUUAUUUUGUGAUAACCAAGCUGCCAUUCAAAUAGCCACAAAUCCAAUUUUUCAUGAACGAACAAAACACAUCAAAUUUGAAUUUUCUUCCUUUUUGGCUCUUUUUCAUUUCUUUUCUCUUGAAUUUCAUCACAUUCAUCAAUAUAGUCCUACAAAACAUAAUUACAUAGAAUUAAGUCAUAAUUCAAACUCUUUGAUCAUAAUUAAGUCAUGUUUAUGAACUAAAUAAGUGUGUAAAAACACACUUAUCACUUUCCUUCAUCAUCUGACCCACAUUCACUUCUCAAGCUUUGGGCCUUUUUAGAUGCAGGCUAGGGAACUUGUCUUGACACAAGAAAAUCAACUACUAGUUUUUGCAUUUUCCUUGGAGACUCUUUAAUAUCUUGGAAAGCUAAGCGACGGUCCACUGUUUCUCGAUCUUCAGCUGAAGCAGAAUAUAGGGCUCUAGCUACCACCAUCAGUAAAGUCAUCUGGAUCAACCAAUUGCUCAAGGAUUUUCAGACAUGCGCUAUCUCUCCAGGUGCCUUAUUUUGUGAUAACCAAGCUGCCAUUCAAAUAGCCACAAAUCCAAUUUUUCAUGAACGAACAAAACACAUCGAAAUCGAUUGCCACUUUAUUCGGGGUAAAGUUGCAGCUGGAAUUAUUAAGCUCCUUCCAAUCCGAUCUCAACAUCAACUAGCUGACGCAUUUACUAAGCCACUUUUUGCAUCUGUCCUUCUCCCUUUAAUGUCCAAGAUGUCUGUAAAGAACAUUUAUCAUACAUCUUGAGGGGGAGUAUUAGAAUUAAUUGGAGGCAUUAUAUAACAUUUAUCAUACAUCUUGAGGGGGAGUAUUAGAAUUAAUUGUAGGCAUUAUAUGUAAUUGCACUCAUCUUAGUUUCUUUUCAGUUCGUUAGUUAGCUAGCUUUGUCCAGCUAUGUUUACUUUCUUUCAUUUUUGGGCACCAAGCUCCAUUGCUAUUUAUGUAUCUUAGUUGAUUGAACGACCAAUAGAGUUUCAAUUCAUUUUCUCUUUGUAAAUCUAAUAUAUUUUCUACAUUGAAUCAUAAAUUUCACGAAAGAAAUUGUCUCCUGUAUCCACCGGCUACAGUCAAGCCCAGGAUGAUGGUAUGUACACACACAGUUGACAUGCAAGAAAUGGAAAUCUAAAAAAGCCCAAGGACCUUCUUAUAUGUAUAUUUGCUCUCCCAAUAUUGUUCCUUAUCAGAAAAAGGUAGUCAUUGAGACCCCCCCUCCCCGAAUGGCCAAAACUCUAAUGGUCAAGGAGGCAUCAUUGAAAUGUUGUUGAAUCAUCUGUUGUGUGGACGAAGAGUCCAACCAAGCUAUGAGGAUUAGAAUAAAGGCCAAGAAGAUCGUGGUGAGCAUCUCGGGUAAGUUAAAUCUUUAUAUGACUAAUAUAAAUCUUUUCUUUGGUAUUGUGUACUAUACAUCAGUAUGUCUAGGAUACGAAACAAGAUUUUAGUUUUUUUAUUUUCCUUUCUUCAAUACUUUCUAGAAUAAUGCUAUCUAUGUAUGACCACUAGUGGAUGUGAUGCAUUUUCACUCACAAAUUGGAUAGAACGGCAAACAAUUUCACUGAUAUUAGGAUCCAUUAAGACUUAAAGUUGCAUUUUAAAAGGUCAAACUUGGUAAGAGAGGUAACCCAAGUCUUUAUAUGUUGGUCUAUAUUUCAUCAAUUUUUGAUGUGUAAUUUAUUCUUUAACAUAUAUCCGAAAGAAGGUGGUUUGUUUGAACAAACCAAUCUGAAAAUUUAUGUACUCUUUUAUGGGUCUUAGUCAAAUCAAAUUGCUUUUCAGAGUUUAAUAGACUCUGAUACCAUAUUAAGAUUUAGAGUUCUAUCUUAAAAUGUCGACUCUAGUUAGAAGAGUAGCUCAAGUUUUUAUAUGUUGGCCUAUUUUUCUACUAUUAUUCGAUGUGGAUAAGGAUCUUGAAGCUGCAAAAAACAUUUUAUAUUUAACAUUCUUUUCAUCUUCGAUGGACGUUGGAUUUACCAUUAUAAUCUUCCCUACUCUCAUGAACAUUAUUUCUAGGAGUUGAGUCGAUGUCAAUGGAGGGAAGCGGGAACAUUCUAACAGUGAUUGGUGAAGAAAUCGACUCGGUGAGUCUUGUCCAAUGCCUAUGGAAGAAGGUGUGUUUUGCUAAUGUAGUGAGCGUACCAAACUGAGAGGGUUGAAACUAAGCAACCGAAACUUGAGAACACGAAUCCGGCUACCUGUGUGUGUGCCUCUUCGAUGCUGUAAUCACUCGCCUCACUGGAAAAUAUUGGAAAUCAGGGAACCCACAUCUUACUGCUUCAACUUUUGAAUGCUUCUUAUGUUAAGUUGUCAAACAAGAAAAAAAAUGAAUCUUUUGUUGUGAAGAAAAUUAAGCAACAUUAAUUCACAAUAGAUUUUGUUGCAAAUUCUGUUUGAGAUAAUGUUACAAGUGGAACAUUGUAGUAUAAUUUCAAGAGAUCAGAAGUAUAAGUUGAGAGAAAACUUUGAUUUCAUUUCUUGGAUUGGAUAGAUAGCAUUACUCUUAUUGAAUGUGUUGGGCUGUGAUGCCAUUUGAUCAAUCCAACUAAUAGGCAGUGAUGAAAUAAGGCCCAAUAUGGAAUCAAUAGAUGAUCCAUUUAUUAAAACCUAGAAGGCCCAAUUAAACCGAGCCCAAUAUCCAGCCCUUUUAACCCUAGUCGUUCUUGGACCGUUGGAUUAACCCACUCAAUCUAACGGUGGAUUGGUUUACUAUAUAUACAUCCCUUAUCCCUUGUUUGGGAGAGAGACGGUCAUUUUUCUUGUUCUCUUUUUCUCUGUGUAUUCUGAAACCUUCAAUGACUUUCGUCUUUGUGACCUUUUCUUCUUCUCUGUGUGAGAACUUCUGUUGAUUAUCUUUGUGAUAAUCAUGUCAUUGUGUUAGUCUCCUUUGUGAGAGUAAACUGUUGGAAGUGGUCUGUCCAUUUUCGGUUCCAGUGAAGCGACUUGGUGUUUUGGGGUUGUAAGGGCUCGUGUGUUGAGUUCAGUGCCUCUGUGGUGGUUAGAAAAGGGCGUAUGGUCUGAGCCUAUGAAUAGAUCUAAACCUUGAUCCAGUGGCUUAGGUUUUCUGUAAAUCUGCUGCGUGUGUGUGUGUGUGUGUGUGUGUGUGUGUGUGUGUGUGUGUGUGUAUAUAUAUUCUGAUUUGUAUAGUUUGAACAGAUUCUGGAUUAAUAGUGGUAUCAGAGCUUUCUUUGUCCGUUCUUGAGUCUUCGAUUGAAGGUUUGAACACUGGAAAAUUAAUUUCCAAGUGUUCAACUGUAGAUCGCAAAACCCUAGGUUUUGAUUUGAGAGGACCUUGUGGUCUGUGGAGUUGAUUCAUUACUGGACUAUGAAAUGCGAGGGAAUUCUGUGUCUCCUCGCCUUGAUCUAUGAAAGAACCUGAAAUAUGAGUCCCUGUGGGUUUCGUUCUUGAGCUGGAACCCUAACUUCGAAAUUGAUUGGAAGGACUUGAAGCUGUUAUGGCUUGACUUGAAUUUUGGUGACCUGCAGAGCACUUAUCCCCCACUGCGAUAACCUGUUUUGAUUUCAGCUGGUGGUUAAUUGUUUAACCACCUUUCGGUUUGCACUUUCUUGAACCCUACACGACAGCACACACUCUUAAUUAUACUUUUAUGAGUAUAUGCCUCUAUGUGACUAUGUUGAUAUGUUCAUUUCCUGUAUACUGUAACUUGUUACAUUAGUUAGUGAUAUCUUGUUAUAUUUGCCUGUGAUCAUUAAAGUGUGGGUGAUUCAAAUUGAGCCUUGACCUGAGAACUUGAUUCUCACGGAAUCCUAGUGAAUUUGAUCAACCCUAGGUCCUGUAGAUACUGUUUUUGAUACUGAGAUAUGGUUUUUUGCCUACAUUAUUAUAUUCUCUGGUUCUUGUGGUGUUUACAUUAGUAUGCUUACUGAUCCUGUUAUUGAUUGAAAUUAUUUGUGAUUAAAAUAAUUGUGGCUCAUUUAUUUGAUUGCAUAUUUUUUGUGACCUAAAACAUAAAUUUUUGUGAAGGUCAAAUUCAACAGUUUUUUCAAAAGUUGAUCAUUUGUCUUGUUUUAAUUUUUUGGAAAACCCUGUGUGUUAGUUUUUCACAAUAAAACAUGACAAAAUCUUUUGAACUUGGUGUUUUUGAUGGAAAAGGGAAUUUUCCCAUUUGGCAACAAAAAAUGCGAGGUGUUUUAGUUCAGUAAAAAGUUUCUAAAGCAAUAACAGAUGAAUUUCCUGAUACCAUGACAGAUGAUCAAAAGGAAGAAUCUGAUGAACUUGCUUAUACCUCCAUUAUUUUGCAUUUGUCUGAUCAAGUUUUAAGAAAAGUAGGUAAACAUGAUACUGCUAAGGCUCUAUGGGAUGAAUUAGGGAAACUUUAUCUACCUAAGUCUUUGCCUAAUAAGUUGUUUCUAUUAGAGAAAUUUUUCAGCUUUAGGAUAGAUCCAACUAGAGACUUAGAAGAUAGCUUAAACAUUUUUAAUAAGUUAGUUCAAGACAUUAUCAAUACAAGUGAGAAAGUUUCUGAUGAGUAUAAGGCUGUAGUACUACUUAAUGCUAUACCUGAAGCCUACAAAGAGGUUAAAGCCGCCAUUAAGUAUGGUAGAGAUACUCUUACACCUGAUAUUGUCAUAGACUCUUUAAGGAGUAAGGAACUUGAACUUAAGUCUAAGAGAGGUAAUAGUGGCCAUGAAAACUUGUUUGCUAGAGGCAGGACUUUAAGUAGGUCUAGUAGUACUCAUGAAAGCCAUAAUAAUCAGGGAAACAACAAUAGGAGGAAGUUUAAAAGUAGAGGCAAGUCUAAGUCAAGGACUAGGACUUAAAAGUGUUAUGGGUGUGGGAAAACUGGACAUUUCAUUAAAGACUGUUAUAAAAAUAAAAAUGAACAGAAACUGAAGGGUGUUGAUGAAGGUAAUGUGGUAGAAUCUGAAGGUUCUGCCACAGUUGAUGUAUAUGCUGUGACUGAAAAUUUACCUAGCUCUGCAAAUGUGGUUGAUGAGAAUCAGAACCAAGAAUGGAUCUCGGAUUCUGGUUGUACCUUCCAUAUGACCUUUAAGAAGGUAUAUUUAGACAAUUUUAAGAAAAUUGAUGGAGGAAAAGUGGUUAUGGGCAAUAAUGUAGCCUUCAGAGUUGAGGGAGUUGGGAAUGUCACUUUGAAAUUCGAUAAUGGAUACAUUCACCCUUUUGAAAGGGUCAGGUAUGUUCCUGAAUUAAAUAGGAAUCUGAUUUCCAUGGGAUAUCUUGAUGAUAUGGGAUUGCAAGAAAAAAUAGGAGAUGGCUUCUUAAAAGUGAUAAAAGGAUCACUUGUUAUUUUGAAAGGUGUUAAAAAAAAUGGGAUUUAUGUGACCAGAGCUAGUACAGUGUCUGAUCACAUAGGUGAGUCUUCUAGUGUAGAAGCUGAUGCUACCUUAAAGUGGCACAAGAGAUUGGCCCAUGUAGGUGAAAAGGGCCUACACAUCCUUUAUAAGAAAGGAGUGUUUGGAAAAGACUCUAUAUCUAAGGUGUCCUUUUGUGAAAACUGCACCUUAGGUAAGCAGCAUAGGCUGCAUUUUAACACAGGAAAACAUAGAACCACUUCUAUCCUUGAGUAUAUACAUACUGAUUUGUGGGGACCUUCAUCCACUAUUACUCAAGGAGGAAAUAGAUAUUUCUUGUCCUUAAUUGAUGACUAUUCUAGGAAGGUUUGGAUUUAUUUGAUGAAACACAAAUCUGAAACCUUUGAGAAAUUCAGAACUUGGAAGAUUCUAGUUGAAAAUGAGAUUGGAAAGAAAAUUAAGAUCCUUAGGACGGACAAUGGCCUUGAGUUUUGCAAUGCUGAAUUUGAUCAAUUGUGCAAAGAAUCUGGUAUUAAAAGGCAUAAAACAGUACCUUAUACACCUCAGCAGAAUGGAGUGGCUGAGAGGAUGAAUAGAACCUUGCUAGAUAAGGUUAGGUGCAUGUUGAUAGGCUCAGGUGUCCCUAAGGUGUUAUGGGGUGAAGCUGUAAUGACAGCUUCAUAUAUUGUUAAUAGAAUCCCCUCAAGUGCUCUAGGUGAUAAAACCCCAGAAGAGCUAUGGACAUGACAUGUUCCUGAUUAUUCUCAUUUAAGAAUUUUUGGUUGUGCAGCCUAUACCCAUCAGAGUAUAGGAAAACUUGAACCUAGGGCCCAGAAAUGUGUUUUCUUGGGAUAUCCCGAUGGGGUUAAAGGUUAUAGGCUUUAGAGUAAAGAGGUAAAAGGUUUUAAAAUCAUCACCAGCAGAGAUGUGACCUUUGAUGAGUAAAAAUGCCUUGUUUAGAAAAUAAAGAGCCAAAGGGUUUAUCUGGUGAUGAAAGGGGUGAUAAUACCAAGCUGCAGGUGGAGCUUGGCUUACCUACUGAACCUAUUGGUGAUGAACAGGUGGAUGAAGAAGCUGAAAUAGCUUCUGGUCCUCUAGAAAAUGAAGAGGAAGAUGUUCAAGAAAAUCUGGAAAGUCAGCCUGAUGAAUUAGGAGAUUACCAGUUGGCUAGAGAUUGGACUAGGAGAGAAGUUAGAGAGCCUGUUAGGUAUGGGGAUUACCUUUCACUUGCUAUUUUGUCCUAUCAAGACUUAGUGUUUAAAGAACCAAAAUCUUAUGAAGAGGCAAUGAGCAGCAAGCAAUCUGAGAAAUGGCAUGCUGCUAUGAUAGAUGAGAUAGACUCCUUAAUGAAAAAUGAGACUUGGACUUUAGUCCCUAAACCUGUAGGUAAGACCCUUGUUGAUUGCAAGUGGAUCUUUAGCGCUACGGAGGGAAAUUCUGAAAAGAUGCCCAUAAGAUUUAAAGCUAGACUUGUAGCGAAAGGAUUUACACAAAAAGAGGGCAUAGACUAUAAUGAGAUAUUUUCACCUGUGAUAAAGUACACAACCAUUAGAGUUAUGCUUGCUCUUGUUGCUCAUUAUGAUCUUGAACUUGAGCAAAUGGACGUGAAAACUGCUUUCUUGCAUGGUGACCUUGAUGAAGUGAUUUAUAUGAGGCAGCCACCUGGUUUUAUUGAGGAAACUAAUUCUGAUCAUGUGUGUUUGUUAAAAAGAUCAUUAUAUGGUUUAAAGCAAUCUCCACGACAAUGGUACAAAAGGUUUGAUAAUUUUGUAUCCGCUAUUAGUUUCAAAAGAAGUGAAUAUGAUCAUUGUCUUUAUUUUAAAAGAAAUGAUGAAAAUGCUAUUGUUGCUUUUAUACUUCUUUAUGUGGAUGAUAUGUUGCUGAUUGGUCAGAAUAUGCAUGUUAUUAAUUAGAUAAAACGGUCUUUAAGUGUUGAAUUUGAAAUGAAAGACCUAGGACAUGCAAAGAGAAUUCUAUGAAUGGAAAUCACUAGGAAAAGGCAUCAUAGGUUACUGUACUUGAAGCAAACUGCAUAUAUUGAAAAAAUGUUGAUUAAGUUUGCCAUGCAUAACUCUAAAUCUGUUUCACUUCCAUUGGCCAGUCAUUUUAAACUUAGUAAGGAGCAAUGUCCCGUAGAUGAAUCUGACAUUAGACAAAUGGAAAAUGUACCCUAUGCUAAUGCCGUAGGUUCUGUUAUGUACACUAUGGUAUGUACUAGGCCGAUGUAGCUCAUUCCAUUAGCACACUUAGUAGAUUUAUGGCCAAUCCAGGACCUGACCAUUGGGUUGCUUUAAAAUGGCUGUUGAGAUACUUGAAAGGAUCUUCACAUGUUGGAUUGAUUUUUAGUGCCUGUAAUGAAGGUGUUGUACUUAAGGGUUUUGUAGAUUCAGAUUUUGCCGGAGAUAGAGACAAUAGGAAAUCUACUACUUCUUAUAUGUUUACUUUGUGUAAUACAUGUAUUAGUUGGAAAUCUCAACUUCAACCUAUUGUUGCUUUAUCUACUACUGAAGCUGAGUAUGUUGCUACAACUGAAGCAAUAAAAGAAGGCUUAUGGCUUAAGGGUUUGUUAUCCGAAAUAAAUGAAUUAAGUAACCCUGUUGUUUUAUAUUCAGAUAGUCAAAGUGCAAUUCACCUAUGUAAAGACCCUAUUUUUCAUGAAAGAACCAAACACAUUGAUAUUAAGUUGCAUUUUAUUAGAGAUGUUGUUUCUAAAUAACUAAUUUUACUUGAGAAAAUUGCAACCCAGUUUAAUCCAGCUGAUGUAGGUACUAAGGUAAUACCUUUAAACAAGUUUAAGUCUUGUUUACAAAUUUUGAACAUUGAUGUUGGUUAAGUGUUUUGUUCUGUACAGGUGCUAAGGUUGAUGCUUGUUGAGAAUACGGGGAAGCUGUCUUUUUGAGAAGGACAUUUAAAUUGUGUUUUACAUUUAUUAGGCUUCUUGUAUGAUCACUGGCAUCAAGGUGAAGAUUUGUUGGGCUGUGAUGCCAUUUGAUCAGUCCAACUAAUAGGCAGUGAUGAAAUAAGGCCCAAUAUGGAAUCAAUAGAUGGUCCAUUUAUUAAAACCUAGAAGGCCCAAUUAAAUCGAGCCCAAUAUCCAGCCCUUUUAACCCUAGUCGUUCUUGGACCGUUGGAUUAACCCACUCAAUCUAACGGUGGAUUGGUUUACUAUAUAUACAUUAUUUAUCCUCUUGUUUGGGAGAGAGACGGUCAUUUUUCUUGUUCUCUGUGUAUUCUGGAACCUUCAAUGACUUUCGUCUUUGUGACAUUUUCUUCUUCUCUGUGUGAGAACUUCUGUUGAUUAUCUUUGUGAUAAUCAUGUCAUUGUGUUAGUCUCCUUUGUGUGAGUAAACUGUUGGAAGUGGUUUGUCCAUUUUCGGUUCCAGUGAAACGACUUGGUGCUUUGGGGUUGUGAGGGCUCGUGUGUUGAGUUCGGUGCCUAUGUGAUGGUUAGAAAAGGGCGUAUGGUCUGAGCCUAUGAAUAGAUCUAAACCUUGAUCCAAUGGCUUAGGUUUUCUGUAAAUCUGCUGCGUAUAUAUAUAUAUAUAUAUAUAUAUUCUGAUUUGUAUAGUUUGAACAAAUUCUGGAUUAAUAGAAUGGAGGUUUGCAAGAGUAUAUAUUGUAAUUUUAGCUUCCAUGAAGAGCCGUAGAAAGCUCAUUUUCUAGUUGUCAGAUGUCUCCGGUGAUUGAGUGUUAUUGGACUGAACUGAUAGAUUCAUGUUUGAACUGGACUCAUUGAGUCUUAUUUGAUUUGUGUUUAUGCAUCGAAAAGACAAAAAAAGAUUUUUAUCUUUUUAUAAGAAUUGUAUCUUUCUGAUAAAACUUAGUCACGAAACUUUAGUUAUAGGACCACAAAAACUCUUGUACCUCGAGAUAUUUUUAGUUUAUUUUGAACAUAAACAAGUAGCUCUCAUUCUAUCAAAUCGUCGAGAACGUACAAAGAAAUAAGUGAAGCAAUCAAAAUCAACCCAUUGAUGAGAAAUUGCAUGAUUAGCGAGACAAUGGGCCACAAAUUGAUUCCAUAAUCGUAUCCCAAGAAAAUGCGAGUUGCAAGCGAUAUUAUAAUAAAAGGGUAAAAUGGUCAUUUAAUCAUGAUUAAUUAUUCGAUGUCCGACAGGUAUAAACAAGUAGCUCUCAUUCUAUCAAAUCGUCGAGAACGUACAAAGAAAUAAGUGAAGCAAUCAAAAUCAACCCAUUGAUGAGAAAUUGCAUGAUUAGCGAGACAAUGGGCCACAAAUUGAUUCCAUAAUCGUAUCCCAAGAAAAUGCGAGUUGCAAGCGAUAUUAUAAUAAAAGGGUAAAAUGGUCAUUUAAUCAUGAUUAAUUAUUCGAUGUCCGACAGGUAUACUCGUCGUCCAAUACACAUAAAGAGAUCGCUUUUUAUUGUUUGAUUCCUCAACUUGAUUCUUGAUUUGGCUUUCAGGUUUCCACUCAUUAAUGGCUGUUCAUACUUCUGGAGAAUACCAAAGAAGAUAUGGGGUUGAAAGCUGGAAGAUUGAAUAUCAAUAUUUAAAGAAAAAAAUUGGAGCAGCUUCUAAAGAAUUCAGAUCUAAUCACACUUCAAGUGUGAUUCCACAAUCCUUUAUCUGAUUAAUUCAACAUGUUAUAAAACGAAUUUAACCAUAUAUUCUUGGAUCAAAACUUAUUAAGAAAAAAAAUUUAUUGCACAUGUUUUUACUUAUUGUCUAACAUUAGUCUUAUAUUUUCACUUUGGAUUUGUGAACACAUCUUUUCAGUUCAGUGUUUAUGAGUUAAGUUUGUAUCUAAUAACGCUAAAAGAUAAGGUUCUUUAAUACAUUUAUCAUUGUUCAUGUACUAUAAGAAGCCUCCUUGUGUAUAAAGAAAUAUACAACUUUAUUAUGGAUCUUUCCUAUAUUUUAUGUAUUUUAUAUAUUAAGUUUUAAUUGGAUAUUUAAAGAAAGUUCACCUUGACCUGCUAUUUAGAGUGCACACUAAGCAGUGGUCUAUCGGUUGUUGAAUUUUGGAAACUGAUCGCUUAGACUCUAUUGCACCGAAUUACAUAUUCCGAGGGGACAACUAUUUAUUGUUCUUCAAGCUACCAUUUUCAGGCUAAUUUUCAUUGUUGAUUCUUAAAGUUAUCUUAUAAUGUGUGGACAUUUGAAAUAGAUUAUUUAUCUUUAGCUUCAUCUUUUGUGUAUAUUACAAUUUUCCUAACAAUCUUAAAUUCAUUUUGGAUAAAACCUCUUUGCCAGGGCCACAUGUGCCCUGGUAUUGGCGCCCCCUAUAGGUGGGGUGCCUUGGUAAUGCCUCACAUUUCACCAAGCCAACUUUGACUCAAGUCGUGCUUCUAAAGUUCAUAUUUGGUGUUGGUACAAGAUUUGAUGUGUUCUCUAAACUUGGCUCAUUCAUUGAAGCCCCACCUAUAGGGGCGCCAAUACCAAGACACAUGUGGCUCUGGUAACCAAGCAUGGUUCAUUGAUUUUAUACAUAUUGGGUAUGCCUCACAUUUCACCAAGCCAACUUUGACUCAAGUCAUGCUUCUAAAGUUUGUAUUCGAUUUUGGUACAGGAUUUGAUGGGGUCUCUACACUGGGCUCAGUCUGGGUUGCUGGACACAGUAAAUUGGUACUUUCAUUUGAAAGGGGCUAAUCUCAUUUCUCACACACAUUGUGCUCGUUUUCCUUUCUUUAGACAUUUUUUAUGUGUUCUAAAGAAAUCUGAGUGAUUUCUUCAAACAUUUUACUGAAUUUGUUCUUGAUUUUCAUUCUAAAAUGAAAGCCAUAUCUACUUUGAUAGAUGCUCAAUGGGCGAAUAAUGUUGGAGCACAUGAACAUUCGGAUCCAUUAGUGGACGAAAAAUUCUUGUGUUAGAAUUUCUUUAAUUUUUUACACAUUUAUUUCAAUCUUUUAGGGUUAAAACAUAUAUUUAGGACUAACAAGUUGCAUCAGAGUCAGAACCUUAAUUUUGAUAUGGUUUCUGGCUUUAAAAUGGAAACCUAGUCCGUUCUUUUUGAAAAAUCUUUGUACCAUACUAGCUGUCGAUCUAGAAUUUUUUGUGGAAACCAACUUAUUUCCAAAUCCCUGUGACUUGAUGUAUCUUCGAUUCAACAUUUGGCUGAAUUUUUUGAUGAACUCUUUUGGGUUUCUAGUGAUUCUUGAUGGCUCGUUUGUAUUCCUUGUUGGGUUGUGAUGACUUUACACAGUUUCUGGCAAUUCUCGGUGACUCCUUAUUUUAUGUUGAGUUGAGGUGACUCAUUCAAUCUACUACCGAUUCUUUGUGUUUCAGUUGGCAUUCUGGGAUAAGUUUUAGUAGAGCAAAGUUUAAAUAUAGAAAUUAAUUUGUUUUAUAAUGAAGACACAAACUGAACAUUAGACAAUUUAAAAGUUCUAAUGACACAGGAAGGAUGUUAGAACUAUUAGGUAGAGAAGAGGGUGAUAGAUUGUGCUAGCCAUGAAUAUGAUGUAUAUUAAGAGCUUUGUGGGAAACAUUGACAAGAUGGUACCAAAGGAUGGUUUGGCUUCGAAGUGUUGGAGAUUAGCCUCAAAGCUUAUUUGUUUCUUAUGGGGCUUAUCGAAGGUAAUAGGUAUAUCGCGAGCACUAACAACAGAUGAUAUGUCCUUAUGGUCACCAGGUAGGCCAUCAAGAAUUUUUAGAGUCAGAUCUUCAUAGUGGAUGGGAUAGUCCUUGAUAGCAAGUUCGACAAUCUUGCUUUUCUAAGAUUCUAGAAACUCGAUAAUAGUUAAAGAUCCUAUAGUAANNNNNNNNNNNNNNNNNNNNNNNNNNNNNNNNNNNNNNNNNNNNNNNNNNNNNNNNNNNNNNNNNNNNNNNNNNNNNNNNNNNNNNNNNNNNNNNNNNNNNNNNNNNNNNNNNNNNNNNNNNNNNNNNNNNNNNNNNNNNNNNNNNNNNNNNNNNNNNNNNNNNNNNNNNNNNNNNNNNNNNNNNNNNNNNNNNNNNNNNNNNNNNNNNNNNNNNNNNNNNNNNNNNNNNNNNNNNNNNNNNNNNNNNNNNNNNNNNNNNNNNNNNNNNNNNNNNNNNNNNNNNNNNNNNNNNNNNNNNNNNNNNNNNNNNNNNNNNNNNNNNNNNNNNNNNNNNNNNNNNNNNNNNNNNNNNNNNNNNNNNNNNNNNNNNNNNNNNNNNNNNNNNNNNNNNNNNNNNNNNNNNNNNNNNNNNNNNNNNNNNNNNNNNNNNNNNNNNNNNNNNNNNNNNNNNNNNNNNNNNNNNNNNNNNNNNNNNNNNNNNNNNNNNNNNNNNNNNNNNNNNNNNNNNNNNNNNNNNNNNNNNNNNNNNNNNNNNNNNNNNNNNNNNNNNNNNNNNNNNNNNNNNNNNNNNNNNNNNNNNNNNNNNNNNNNNNNNNNNNNNNNNNNNNNNNNNNNNNNNNNNNNNNNNNNNNNNNNNNNNNNNNNNNNNNNNNNNNNNNNNNNNNNNNNNNNNNNNNNNNNNNNNNNNNNNNNNNNNNNNNNNNNNNNNNNNNNNNNNNNNNNNNNNNNNNNNNNNNNNNNNNNNNNNNNNNNNNNNNNNNNNNNNNNNNNNNNNNNNNNNNNNNNNNNNNNNNNNNNNNNNNNNNNNNNNNNNNNNNNNNNNNNNNNNNNNNNNNNNNNNNNNNNNNNNNNNNNNNNNNNNNNNNNNNNNNNNNNNNNNNNNNNNNNNNNNNNNNNNNNNNNNNNNNNNNNNNNNNNNNNNNNNNNNNNNNNNNNNNNNNNNNNNNNNNNNNNNNNNNNNNNNNNNNNNNNNNNNNNNNNNNNNNNNNNNNNNNNNNNNNNNNNNNNNNNNNNNNNNNNNNNNNNNNNNNNNNNNNNNNNNNNNNNNNNNNNNNNNNNNNNNNNNNNNNNNNNNNNNNNNNNNNNNNNNNNNNNNNNNNNNNNNNNNNNNNNNNNNNNNNNNNNNNNNNNNNNNNNNNNNNNNNNNNNNNNNNNNNNNNNNNNNNNNNNNNNNNNNNNNNNNNNNNNNNNNNNNNNNNNNNNNNNNNNNNNNNNNNNNNNNNNNNNNNNNNNNNNNNNNNNNNNNNNNNNNNNNNNNNNNNNNNNNNNNNNNNNNNNNNNNNNNNNNNNNNNNNNNNNNNNNNNNNNNNNNNNNNNNNNNNNNNNNNNNNNNNNNNNNCAGGUAUAUAUAUAUAUAUAUAUAUAUAUAUAUAUAUAUAUAUAUAUAUAUAUUGAUGAUAAGUCAGAAGAAUAUAAAUUAACCCCCUGCAAAUAGGGCUAGUUUUUGAUUGGCAUGAUUGCAGUGGCGGAUCUAGGUGGUGGUGAGAUCCGUUGGAAGCCAUUUUUUUUGGUUGACAAUAGAUUAAGGUUUUAGAUUAUGUUACUGAUAAUUCUUUCUUCUUCUGAAUUUUCCUUCUAGUUGAAGUGGUUAUAUAUUUACAUUUUGCAAGUCCUGGUUUCGAUUCUCUUCCCAACCAAUUCAUUGUGCAAUUUUUUUAGUUUACAACAACUAUCAAAAUUAAUGCAAUAGGAAAGAGUUGGAUGAGAUUCAAACCUUGAAACCCUAUUAUAACCAUUGAAAGCCUGACCACUGUGGCAUCUAUUGGUUUUGGCACUUAAUUCAAUAAAGUAAUAUAUAUUAUAUUUAUUGGGUUUAAGAUUCCAAAUCAUGUUCUUCCUUUAAAUUAUACGAUACUUGACAACAAUGUCAUUUGGUGAAUAUACGAUUUAUUCUUAUAACAGAAUUAUAUAUGUUCAAUAUGAACAAAUUUUAGGCAUUGUUUUAUUGUCAUUUUUUUUUCAAAAUACAUUUUUAUCUAUCUUAUUUUUAACCAUAUAUUUUUCAAUAAAAAAUAAUAUUACACGCAAAUUCAAAAUAUUUUUCUUAUUUUUUACCUCACUUUCUCCAUGAAAUCAUUAUUUCAAAAUGCAUUUUUUGUUUAAAAAAAAAAAAGACAUCAAACGGGCUCUUAAUACUUUAUUGCAGCUGACGGUCGACAAUCAACGACUAUCCGUGCUGACUCAAAAUCCUAGAUUCGCCACUGCAUGAUUGGAUGUAAUUAUUGUAGUUUCAAUUAUUUAAGUCCGAUUGGAUCCUUUUGAUAGCUUCAGUAAAAGUUUUGAGCUUUAUUACAUUAUUAAUAAAAUUUCUUAGACCACUUUGAAAAUAGUCCAAAAUAGAACUUGCAGUUUAGUGAAAUUAGGGAACAAAGUCCUAAACUUACUUGAAGGGUUAAGGGGAUGCCCAUGGCAUAAGUGAAUGCCCUCGUCGUCCAAUACACAUAAAGAGAUCGCUUUUUAUUGUUUGAUUCCUCAACUUGAUUCUUGAUUUGGCUUUCAGGUUUCCACUCAUUAAUUGCUGUUCAUACUUCUGGAGAAUACCAAAGAAGAUAUGGGGUUGAAGCUUGAAGAUUGAAUAUCAAUAUUUAAAGAAAAGAAUUGGAGCAGCUUCUAAAGAAUUCAGAUCUAAUCACACUUCAACUAUGAUUCCACAAUCCUUUAUAUGAUUAAUUCAACAUGUUAUAACACGAAUUUAAGUAUAUAUUCUUGGGUCAAAACUUAUUAAGAAAAAAAAUUUAUUGCACAUGUUUUUACUUAUUGUCUAACAUUAGUCUUAUCUUUUCACUUUGGAUUUGUGAACACAUCUUUUCAGUUCAGUGUUUAUGAGUUAAGUUUGUAUCUAAUAACGCUAAAAAAUAGGGUUCUUUAAUACAUUAACAUUGUUCAUGUAAUAUAAAAAGCCUCCUUGUGUAUAAAGAAAUAUACAACUCUAUUAUGGAUCUUUCCUAUAUUUUAUGUACUUUAUAUAUUCAGUUUUAAUUGGAUAUUUAAAGAAAGUUCACCUUGACCUGCUAUUUAGAGUGCACACUAAGCAAUGGUCUAUCGGUUGUCGAAUUUUGGAGAUUGAUCGCUUAGACUCUGUUGCACUGGAUUACAUAUCUCGAGGGGGCAACUAUUUAUGGUACUUCAAACUAACAUUUUUAAGCUAAUUUUCAUUGUUGAUUCCUAAAGUUAUCUUAUAAUGUGUGGGCACAUGAAAUAAAUGACUUAUCUUUAGUUUCAUCUUUCGUGCAUAUUACAACUUUCCUAACAAUCUUAAAUUCAUUUUGGAUAAAACCUCUUUACCAGGGCCACAUGUGCCCUGGUAUUGAUACGCCCUAUAGGUGGGGCCUCGAUAGGUGCCCCACCUAUAGGGGGCGCCAACCAUGGCACAUGCGGCCCUGGUAACCAAGCACGGUUCAUUGAUUUUAUACAUAUUGGAUAUGCCUCACAUUUCACCAAGCCAACAUUGACUUAAGUCGUGCUUCUAAAGUUCGUAUUCAAUUUUGGUACAAGAUUUGAUGGGGUCUAUACACUUGGCUCAUUCAUUGAGGCCCCACCUAUAGUGGGUGCCAAUAUCAGGGCACAUGUGGCCCUGGUAACCAAGCACGGUUCAUUGACUUUGUACAUAUUGGAUCUGCCUCACAUUUCACCAAGUCAACUUUGACUCAAGUCGUGCUUCUAAAGUUUGUAUUCGAUUUUGGUACAAGAUUUGAUGUGGUCUCUACACUUGGCUCAUUCUGGGUUGCUGGACAGAGAGUAAAUUGGUUCUUUCAUCUAAAAGGGGCUAAUCUCAUUUCUCACACACAGAGUGCUCUUUUUCCUUUCUUUAGACAUUUUUUAUGUGUUCUAAAGAAAUUUAAGUGAUUUCUUGAAACAUUUUACUGAAUUUGUUCUUGAUUUUCAUUCUAAUAUGAAAGCCAUAUCUACUUUGGUAGAUGCUCAAUGGGUGAAUAAUGUUAGAGCACAUGAACAUUCGGAUCAAUUAGUGGAUGAAAAUUCUUGUGUUCGAAUUUCUUUAAUUUUUUACACAUUUAUUUCAAUCUUUUAGGGUUAAAACAUAUAUUUAGGACUAACAAGUGGCAUCAGAGUGAGAAACUUAAUUUUGAUAUGGUUUCUGGCUUUAAAAUGGAAACCUAAUUUGUUCUUUUUGAAAAAUCUUUGUACUAUACUAGCUCUCGAUCUAGAAUUUUUUGUGGAAACCAACUUAUUUCCAAAUCUCUAUGACUUGAUGUAUCUUCAAUUCAACGUUUGGUUGAAUUUUUUGAUGAACUCGUUUUGGUUUCUAGCGAUUCUUGAUGGCUCGUUCGUAUUCGUUGUUGGGGUGUGAUGACUUUACGCAGUUUCUAGCAAUUCUCGGUGACUCCUUAUUAUUUGUUGAGUUGAGGUGCCUCAUUCAAUCUACUACUGACUCUUGGUGUUUUACUUGGCAUUCUGGGGUAAAUUUUAGUAGAGCAGAGUUUAAAUAUAGAAACUAAUUUGUUUUGUAUUGAAGACACAAACUGAACAUUAGACAAUUUAAAAGUUCUAAUGACACAGGAAAAGAUGUUAGAACUAUUAGGUAGAGAAGAGGAUGGUGGAUUGUGCUAGCCAUGAAUAUGAUGUAUAUUAAGAGCUUUGUGGGGAACAUUGGCAGAGAUGGUACCAGAGGAUGGUUUGGCUUCGAAGUGUUGGAGAUUAGCCUCAAAGCUUAUUUGUUUCUUAUGGAGCUUAUUGAAGGUAAUGGGUAUAUCGCGAGCACUAACAACAGAUGAGAUGUCCUUAUGGUCACCGAGUAGGCCUUCAAGAAUUUUUAGUGUCAGAUUUUCAUAGUGGAUGGGAUAGUCCUUGAUAGCAAGUUCGACAAUCUUGAUUUUCUAAGAUUCUAGAAACUCGAUAAUAGUUAAAGAUCCUAUAGUAACGUUGGGAAGUCGACUUUUUCAUUGUAUAAUGCAACCUCCUGAGGGUUUGUCAUAUAUUGCAAAAAUAUUGUUCCACACAUUAUGAGAUGUUUUGAAAGAAGCGAUGUAUGGUAUAAUAGUGGAAGAACGGAUCCGAUAAUUGCAUUUAAUAGUAGUUGGUUAUGUUCGAUACCAUAAGCAAAUGAUUGAUUUAGUAAGUAUUGACAUUUUUUAUAAUAUGUAGCUCAUAUGGAGUAAAACACAUGUACACUAGAAAAGCACGUUGACGCCAACGUGGAGCAAGGGGAGCGCACCUAACAGAAUGGUACAAGGAUAUUUUUGGAUUUCUAUAAUAUCUUGUACGGGCUAGGUUAGUAUAUAUAUUAUAACUCUAUUAUUUUCAUAUUGUGAAAAUUAUAGCCGCUUCACUCUCGUAGAUGUAGGCUACUGUCAAACCACUCUCUCUAUUGAAUUUGUACUAUUCAUCAUUAUCAUUAUUGUCGUACAUAACACAACACCAUUGAUAUAAGCUAGUCAUAAACCCAUGAGAUCAUACCUUAUGAGUAUUGUAUUAUAUUGCAAUUUCUAUGAGGACUAAUUUCCUACGAGCAAGAUACUCUAGUGUCUAGCGCUUCGACCUUCUUCCUCCCGCUCGAAUAAGCCCUAGUUUCGCUUGAAUGAUCAAUGACGACACUUCUACAAUGUCAUCUAGUCAUCUUGUCCUACUCUUGUGCCGUAUAUUUCCUCAUUGUUCCCAAUCACGACCUAAGUGCCUCUAUAGCUCUACCCACUUCACACGCUCAGUUCUCACCCUAUGAAAACCCAUGACAAAGAUCAUAUUCCAAAGCCAAUUCAAAAACUAAAUAUCACCCCUUGAUCUUGAUUCCAUUAUUCUACAGUCUUUUGCCACAAUCCUUAAACGUCCACUUUGAUUCUAAUCCAUGUGUGAGGAGUUUGAUGGCCUAUUAGGUAAUGAAUUUAAAAGACCUCCUCUCCCUUCUAAUUCCAAAUUAUUUUCAUUUGUAAAUGGGCUUUUCAUGUUAAACGGAAACCUAAUGGUUACAUUCAUUGUGCAUGACGAAUGUUUUUCAUCAACGCUCGUGGUAGACUACAAUGAGAAUUUUAACCUAGUUGUCAAUUCCACCACCAUCCAUCUCAUUUUAAUCUUACCUUGGCACAGCAUUGGUCUCUACGUUGUUCAAUGUUAGUAAUACAUUUCUUCGGGAUUCACUAAUGAAAAUUAUUUACAUGUCUCAUCUUCAACAAUUUGUCGAUAUAGAAACUUCCAUUAUGAUUGUCCAUUUCAUAAAGGUAUCUGUAAUCUCAAACAAGCUCAUCGAGCUUAGUACAAUGAAUUACGAAACUUCUUGCUUGCCAGUGGGAUUACCAAUUCCAAAUCUAACACGUACGUCUAUAUUCAACUGCAACUCCAACCAGUGUUGAAUCUUAGUUUUGGUUUAUGCUAAAGACAUCAUUGUCACGAGAAACUCAAGUUUUUAAUAUCUUUGUUACUCAUUUGGUACCAUUUUUUCUAGAGAUGUCAAAAAUCCUAACCGAACCUAAUCCCCAUAGGGACAUAUCCCAAAGUGGACAAGAGUUUCUGGCUUUAAUCGAGUUUGCAUCCAUUUAUAUUUUAACAAUAUUAAUAAAAAAAAAUGCCCAAUUUGUAUUAUAAAAAUUUUUUAAAAAAAUGAAUAAAUAAAUUUACCUAUCAUGCAAUCCAAUCUAACAUCGCGUUCCAUUCAAGAAAAAAGAAAAAGAAGGAGAAAAAAUAGAAAAUUGAUUAAAAAAAGCAAAAUAAAAUAUAACGGUGCUAUAAAGUGGAUCCCACUUUAUUGUCAUCCCUAGAUUUGGAUACUUUUUUCCUGGGGAUAUAAGUUAUUUUUCUCUACAAGGCCUUUUUCUCUCACAACAUUAGUUUGUAUCUCAGUAAUCUUCUGCACAACAUAAGUUGCAUGAGUGUGAGUCAGUGUCAAUUUCUAUGUACAUGACAACUACCUUGAGCUUAAUUGAUGUCACUACUUUUCAUGAUGCUUUUAAAUAUAGGCAAGUUCUUGGCAACUUGCAAUAUUCUUUACUCACUCGCCAGGGCAUUGUUAUUUAGUAAACCAUCUGUAUCAAUAUAUCGCUGAUCCAUUUCUCACACUUGGAUCGCUGUUAAACUUAUGUUUCUCGACUUUUUUGGCACUUUGGGCUCUUUCUUUGUCGCCAUUCUCCUGUCUUGUUACAUGCCUUCUCUAAAUCUGAUUGAGAAGAAAAUGGUAAUGAUUCCACAUCCAUCCAUGCCAAUCUAGUGAUUCUUGAAUGGAACCUAAUUGUUGCUCAUUUUUUUUUAUUGAAAUCGACUAUCAUAUGGCUUAAAUAUUUAGUACUUGAAUUCAGCGAACCAAUUUCCACCAAUCGAGUAAUCUAAUUUCAUACUAUUAGCACCACAUACUUAAUGACCUAACACUAUUUCUCACCUCGAAUGGAAUACAUUAAGAUUCAUGUGCACUUUGUUCAUGACAAGAUUUAGACCGGUGAACUCUGGAUUUCUUGUGUUGUCUUGUCCAAUCAAUUUGUUAAUGUUCAAACUAAACAUUAAUCAUAUGCGUCCGCAUCUACUCCUAUCUGAUAUAGGUGUCACUAAUAAGACUGCUUUCUUGUGCGGGGCAUAUUAUAGAUAUUAAAGUAAUUAGAGAUAGCAUAGUACGAUAAUUAGAGCUUGAUCUUGUGAAAUAAUAUUAAAGUAGUUAUAGAUAGUGUUACACAAUAGUUAGAACUUGUCAUUACUCAACGUGCAUCAUAUAUUUCUGUUACAGAAUGUAUACAUAUAUAUAGCACAUACCAGGAGAUAUUCUAGACUAUGCACUAAUUUAGGCUAUGAUUGAGAUUGACCCUCAUUGUAUGUGGAGUCAGAUGACAAACUAUACUUCCCUAUAAUUAUUGAAUAAUGUUAUUUAAUAUUAGUAGAAUUAGAGUGCCAGUCUAAGUUGACAUACUUGAUAAGUUCAAUUAAAUUAAUAUUGUGGUAUUGCAUUUAAAUGAAUUUAUUGUUUAGUGUCAUGAAAUUAGGGUGGCAACAGUUCGGUUCAGGUUCGGUUUGGCCAAAACCAUCACCGAAUCACCAAUUUUUUUGUCAUACCAUAACCACGUAAGUUGGUUCGGUUCGGCUUAGUUAGGACGAUUAAGAACAACGAAAAUAAAUUAUUUUUUAUAAGUUCAGCUAUCAAAUUGGAAAAAAAAAUUAUGAAAAAAAAGGUCAAUGAAAACAAAAACACAAUACCAAGUCAAUUUAACAAACAAUAUCCCAAUUUCCAAAGGCAAAAUCCGAAUUUAACAAACAAUAUCCAUAAAUGUUUAAUAUUUGUGUAGUAGGGUGUAGGGUUAUUGGGUUCAGUUAGUUGGACUUAAUGGGUUGGUAAUGGGCCAAAAAUUUGAACUGAACAGAAUCAUAGAAAGACUAAUGGAAAGCCUAAUUGUCCAAUUAGUUUUUUUUUAACAGGUAAUCGGUUCGGAGUUGGACGACGGUGUAAAUAUCAUACUCGUCCCGCUCCAAAUCGGGGCAUUAAAAUCAAAUACCAUAUCCACCCCAUUGCGCCAUUGGUUCGGUUAAUCGCGAUUUUCGAUUUUGAUAGUUCGAAUUGCCAUCCUUACAUGAAAUUGCAUCUCAACUAAAGUUUAACACUAAUGGUGCUAAAGUGCAUUACUCAUAAUUAUUAUAUGAGUAAUGCCAUUUAGCACUAUUAGUUAAGCACUGUUUAGGUGGCAUGCAAUAAUCAUUAAUUGAAAGACUGCCUUAAAAGUAGAAAAAUGAGUCACAUUUAAAAUGUUCUAUCACUUGCAUGCCAUCUAAGUUGGUGCUAUGUAACAUUAUUCUUAUUACUUUUCUUGAUUGACAACUUGCACCAAUAGUCAUCUUGCAACUUAUUGAUAUACUAAAAUCAAUGUGAGAUAGAGUUUAUGUAUUUGAGUUGGAGUCGAUCAAGUUUUUAUAGAACCUAAAUAAUCUUCAAAUGAAUCAUAGUUACUCAAGUUGUUUCUUACCGCUCUAAGCAUCAAUCCAAACACAUUCUUAUGUCAAUCAAUAUGUCAAUUUUUACAUGAAUCAAUUCAUCCUUUGCUGUUAGAGUUACUUUAGUUAGCUACUUUAGCAGAGAUGAUCAAGUUAUACAAAAGCUCAUUAGAAACAUCAAAGUUAGAUAUAAACUGUAAGGCUUAAUUACAGUUUUGUGUACUGUUACAGAAACAUUCAAAGUUUUUCGAGUAAUAUAGAUCAUUUCACUAAUCCUUUUUAUUUUUAUUUUUUUUAUAUACCAUUGUAUGAUUAAAUAAAAUUAGUAUAAAACAUCAAUACUUCAUCUACAAUGUACAUAGUUUAUCAACAAUGUUAAUAGCAUUGAGUUUAUAUUUCAUCAUAAUUCUCCAGACCAAUUAGAAAUAUUAGGAAGUUUCUAGUAUUUGAUCUUGUCUUCCCAUUUCUUUUAAUCAAUACAUAUAAUUAAUCAAGCAACCAAAAUAAAAUUUUUAACACCAUAAUACCAAUAUAAAAGUUACAAAUCUAGAAUAAAUCACUAUUACUCAUAGGAGUCACUUUGUAGAGCCCAUAUAGAAAACCUUGAAGGCAUGUCAAUUAAUACAUGUACUAUGCUGUUUCAAUUAUAAGUUAAUGUACCUCAUUUUCUUUCUUACACCAUAUAAAUACUUUAUCAACUAGGCCAACACUCAUCAUAAUUUAGCAAAUAAGACUUAGAAAAUGCACCGUUUUUUAUCCAUAACUCUUCGACUUAAAUCUAAGAUGAUAUCGUCAUGCCAUUAUAGAAGCAAAGAGAAUCUGACCUAUAUAAUUAUUAAUAGGGUAAGGAUGCUUUAGCAGAUUUCGUCUAAUCUGCAAUUUAGGAAAAAUUGCAUCAUACAACCAUUUGUUAAGGGGAUGCCCAUGGCAUAAGUGAAUGCCCUAGUCGUCCAAUACACAUAAAGAGAUCGCUUUUAAUUGUUUGAUUUCUCAACUUGAUUCUUGAUUUGGCUUUCAGGUUUCCACUCAUUAAUUGAUGUUCAUACUUCUGGAGAAUACCAAAGAAGAUAGGGGUUGAAAGCUUGAAGAUUGAAUAUCCAUAUUUAAAGAAAAGAAUUGGAGCAGCUUCUAAAGAAUUCAGAUCUAAUCACACUUCAACUGUGAUUCCACAAUCCUUUAUAUGAUUAAUUCAACAUGUUAUAAUACGAAUUUAACUAUAUAUUAUUGGGUCAAAACUUAUUAAGAACAAAAUUUAUUGCCUAUGUUUUUACUUAUUGUCUAACAUUAUUCUUAUCUUUACUUUGGCUUUGUGAACAUACAUUUUCAGUUCAGUGGUUAUGAGUUAACUUUGUAUCUAAUAACGCUAAAAGAUAAGGUUCUUUAAUACAUUAACAUUGUUCAUGUACCAUAAAAAGCCUCCUUGUGCAUAAAGAAAUAUACAACUCUAUUAUGGGUCUUUCCUAUAUUUUAUGUACUUUAUAUAAUAAGUACUUAGAGUGGGAGAAGAAGAUUGAGUUGAUAUUCGAUUGUCACAAUUACUCGGGGCAGAAAAAGGUGAAAAUUGCGGUUCUUGAGUUUUUCAACUAUGCAAUAACUUGAUGGGAUCAAGUGGCGACGACGAGGUGGAGGAUUGGGGCACAACCUUUAAAUACUUGGGAGGAGUUGAAGAUGUUAAUGCGAAAAUAGUUUGUACCUAAUCACUAUUACCGGAAGCUUCAUCAAUGGUUACAAAAUCUAUAUCAAGGCACUAGGAGCAUAGAGGAUUACCAUAAGGAGAUGGAGAUGCUUAUGAUUAGGGCGAACGUGGAAGAGGAUAGGGAAGCCACUAUGGCACGAUUUUUGAGGGGGUUGAAUAGGGACAUUGCCAAUGAAGUGGAAUUGCAACAUUAGGUGGAGAUUGAAGACAUGCUACAUGUGGCAUGAAGGUGGAAAAGCAAUUGAAGCGAAAGGGGACAGCAAGGUACUAAGGUGGAUUUUCGAUUUCUAAUCCUUCUUGGAAGCCGAGGUAGGAAAAUAAUAAAGGAGAUGGAGCUAAUAGAAGAGAAAGACCGGAGGCAUCGAGAGGAAAGGAGGAAGGAGCUAGCAAGACUACACCAAAGGUAGAAUCCCAGCCUUCAAGGAAUCUGGAGUCAAGUGUUUUCGUUGCUUGGGAGUUGGACACAUUGCUUCACAAUGUCCAAAUAAAAGAACCAUGAUUUUGCAAGACAGCGAGGAAGUGGAGAUCGAGAGUGAAGGUGAUUAUGAAGACAUGCCGGAGUUGGAGGACAUUGACGAGGAAAACACCACAGAGUAUGCAGUUGGGGAGUUGUUGGUCACAAGGCGAGCACUUAGUGCUCAAAUCAAGGCGGUUGACUUGGAGCAGCAGUGGAAAAAUAUAUUCCACACAUGGUGUCACGUCAACGGGAAGGUAUGCAGUGUAAUAACUGAUGGUGGAAGUUGUACAAACGUAGCUAGCACUAAUGUAGUGGGAAAAUUGGGAUUAACACUAUUAAAAUAUCCUAAACCCUAUAGGUUGCGAUGGUUAAAUUAAUGUGGGGAGGUUGAUGUGACAAAAAAGGUGUUGAUUAAUUUUUCCAUUGGGAAGUAUUAUGAUGAGGUGUUAUGUGAUGUUGUACCUAAGCACGCGGGGCAUAUUUUGUUGGGGCGACCUUGGUAAUAUGAUAGGAAAACAAUGCAUGAUGGGUAUAAAAAUAAAUAUAGUUUUGUGAAAGAGGGAAAGUCUAUCACUCUUGCACCAUUAAGUGUAUGACGACCAAAUCAAAUUGAAAAAUGAGGAAGAAAAGAGAGUGAGAGAGUUAGAGAAAAAGAGAGAAAAUAGUAAGAUUGCCGAUGAGGAAGAAAAAAGAGUGGGGCCACAUGAGAGAAAGAAAGAGAGUUUUCCGAGAGGAGAGAAAAGCCAAAAGUGAAUUUCUUUGCAAAAGGGAGUGAAAUGAAAAAGGCAAUAGUGGAGAGACAAUCAAUGAUUCUUUUGGUAUUUACUCCUCAAUUUUGAGGAGUCUAACACAUCCCUCCCUAGUUUGACUACUUCUUUAUUGCAGGAACUUGUCGAUGUGUUUCCGGAAGAUGUGCCUAGUGGAUUACCACCCAUUAGGGGGAUCGAACAUUAAAUUGAUUUCAUACCUGGAGCUGUCAUUCCAAACCGACCAGUUUAUCGAAGUAAUCCAAAGGAGACAAAGGAGUUUCAAAGGUAAGUGGAGGAGUUGAUGAGCAAGGGUUAUGUAAGGGAGAGCAUGAGUCCAUGUGCCGUACCUGUAUUGUUGGUGCCAAAGAAAGAUGGAACUUGGAGGAUGUGCGUGGAUUGCCGAUCUAUCAAUAACAUUACGGUAAAGUAUGGUCACCCAAUUCCUAGGUUAGAUGACAAGUUAGAUGAAUUAUAUAGUGCUUGCAUCUUUUCUAAAAUUGACCUUAAGAGCGGGUAUCAUGAAAUUCGUAUGCGGGAGGGUGAUGAAUGGAAAACAACAUUUAAAACGAAAUAUGAGUUGUAUGAAUGGCUAGUUAUACCCUUUGGACUCACAAAUGCACCAAGCACGUUUAUGCGAUUAAUGAAUCAUGUUUUGCAUGCUUUCAUUGAAAAAUUUGUUGUAGUUUAAUUUGAUGACAUUCUAAUCUAUAGCAAGGACCUAGUAGAGCAUUUAGAACAUCUUAAAUGUGUGCUUGUGGUUUUAAGAAAUGAACGACUUUAUGCUAAUUUCAAGAAGUACACAUUUUGCAUGGAUAGAAUCAUAUUUCUAGGAUUUGUGGUGAGUGCUAAUGGGGUUGAAGUUGAUGAAGAAAAUGUAAAAGCUAUUAAGGAUUGGCCAACACCUAAAAACAUAACCGAGGUUAGGAGUUUUCAUGGGUUAGCUAGUUUUUAUAGGCGAUUUGUUAGGGAUUUUAGCACACUUGCCACACCACUUACAAAAAUUGUCAAAAAGAGUGUUGGGUUUCAAUGGGGUGUAGAAUAAGAAUAUGCAUUUAACACCAUCAAAGAAUUUUUAUGUAAAGCACCUGUUUUAGCGCUUCCUAAUUUUGACAAAACUUUCGAGAUUGUGUGUGAUGCAUUAGGAAUAGGUAUUAGAGCUGUUUUGACGCAGGAAAAGAGGUCGAUAGCAUACUUUAGCGAGAAACUAAGUGGGGCAGCUCUUAACUAUCCUACUUAUGGCAGGAGCUUUAUUCUCUAGUUCGAGCCUUGGAGACAUGGCAACACUACCUAUGGCCAAAGGAGUUUGUUAUUCACAUUGACCAUGAAUCAUUGAAACAUUUGCGAGGUCAAGGUGAUUUGAACAAACGACAUGCACAUUGGAUGGAAUUCAUAGAGACUUUUCCAUAUGUCAUUCGAUAAAAACAAGGUAAGGAAAACAUAGUAGCCGUUGCAUUGUCGCGAAGGUAUGUGCUUCUCACUUCUUUAACUGCAAAAUUACUUGGUUUUGAGUAUGUUAAGGACAUGUGUAAAAACGAUCUUGAUUUUUCUAACAUCUAUAAUUCAUGUACUGAGAGGGCUAUUGACAAGUUCUUUAAAUAUGAGGGAUAUUUGUUUUGAGAAAAUAAAUUAUGUGUUCCUAAUUGCUCAAUGCGUGAAUUGUUGGUUAGGGAGGCACAUAGUGGGGGUUUAAUAGGUCACUUUGGGUUAGCAAAGAGUUUAGACAUGUUAAAUGAACACUUUUAUUGGCCUAAAAUGAAGAUUGACAUAGAACGAUUUUGUAGUCGUUGCAUAACUUUUAAAAAGACUAAAUCAAAAGUUUUAUCCCAUAGACUUUAUACACCUUUAUCGAUACCUAGCGAACCUUGGGUUGACAUUUCAAUGGAUUUUGUGUUAGGUUUGCCUAGGACUAAAAAGAGGCGUGAUUCAAUUUUUGUUUUUGGUGAAUAGGUUUAGUAAAAUGGUACACUUUAUACCAUGUCACAAAAUCGAAGAUGUCACUAACAUUGCAGGAGUUGUUUUUCAAAGAAUUAGUGUGUUUGCAUGGUGUUCCCAAAAGUAUUGUGUCCGAUAGGGAUGUUAAGUUUCUUAGUCACUUUUGGCGGGUCUUGUGGAAUAAGUUAGGCACGAAAUUAUUGUUUUCUACAACUCGUCACCUAUAAAUCGAUGGUCAAACUGAAGUAGUGAAUAGAACAAUGACACAACUAUUGCGCACUGUGGUUAAUAAAAAUCUAAAGAAUUGGAAAGAAUGUUUGCCUUUCAUUGAGUUUGCAUAUAAUAGAGCCACGUAUUCUACUACGUCGUUUUCACCAUUUGAAAUUGUUUAUGGUUUUAAUCCUUUAACAUCUAUGGAUUUAGGACCUUUGCGUGUGAAUGAACGAGGUAGUUUGGAUCGAAAAAAGAAAGCCUAAUUGGUAAAGACACUCCGUGAAAAGGUAAGGGAGCAAAUAGAGAAGAAGAACAAUCAACGAACAACACAAGCAAACAAAGGCCGAAAAUAUGCCACUUUCGAACCGGGAGAUUGGGUUUGGGUGCAUUUCACGAAAAAGCGAUUCCCAGAGCAAAGAAAAUCAAAGUUAUUGCCACGAGGAGAUGGAUCGUUCCAAGUGAUUGAGAAGAUCAACGACAACGCUUAUAAGAUAGAUCUUCCAGGUGAGUAUAGUGUUUCUGCAACUUGCAAUGUUUCUGACUUAUCUCUUUUCGAUGCAGGUACAGAUUUGAGGUCAAAUCCUUUCGAAGAGAGAGGGGAUGAUGUGAUCCAGAAAGCACAAGUACCAAAGUCAAGUUUAGAGUCGAGCCCGAGGAAAGAUCUGUUGAUAGUCGAGGGGACGAUGACGCGAUCGAGGGCCAAGCACGUGAAAGAGGCGAUGGGAUUGCUCGUCAAAACAACGGUUGAUGAAACAAUGUUCGGGAUACAAAAUGGAGUAAGUUUCAUGUUUGGGACGAAGGCCGAAGACUAUUGGAUCAACGUGUUUAAAGUUGAAGAAAAUGGAGCUGGAGUAUUAAACCAUGCGGCCGUAUAGGUCUAAAGUCCUGCAGUCGCAUACACUCAGUAGAAGUCCCAAAGUCGCGGACCAAUUGCACUAUGCGACCGCAUGCUCUAAAGCUAUGCGGCUGCACCGAGGCGAAUUUUUUCAAAUUUCGCAUUUUCCUUAUUUUAAUAGAAUUUCAUUAUUAGUAGAUUUUUAGCUAUUGUGGACGAAUUUUGCAUUAUUCUUAGAUUUUUUCCUAGUUUACUUAGGUUCUCUAAAAUAGUAUAAAUACUUUAUUCCUUAUUGUAAAACAUUACAACUCUCAUAUUAUUGAAUAUUAUUCGUGAGGCAUUAAUUGCUUUCUCUAGUUUUUCAUUGAACAGCUUGUGAACUUACCAAGAUUAAUCUUGUGGUAUUCAAAUUAAUCGGGUGAGAUUCAUUUAAAUUUCGUAAUCAAAAGGUCCGCAUAUUGUCGGAGAUUCGGAUUGCUUGGUUCCAAUUUAUUGGGUUUAAUAAAAAAUCUUGUCUUUGGCUUUCUUGGGUUUGAUUCUCAAUUUGUUAUGGGUUUGGUAGCGAUCGCGCUACACGGGUUCGCAUCAGAUUUCUUCGAACAUUUUACUGAAUUUGUUCUUGAUUUUCAUUCUAAAAUGAAAGUCAUAUCUACUUUGAUAGAUGCUCAAUGGAAGAAUAAUGUUGGAGCACGUGAACAUUCAGAUCCAUUAGUGGAUGAAAAUUCUUAUGUUAGAAUUUCUUUAAUUUUUUACACAUUUAUUUCAAUAUUUUAGGGUUAAAACAUAUAUUUAGGACUAACAAGUGGCAUCAGAGUCGGAACCUUAAAUUUUAUAUGGUUUCUGGCUUUAAAAUGGAAACCUACUUUGUUCUUUUUGAAAAAUCUUUGUACUAUACCAGUUCUUGAUCUACAAUAUUUUUAUUUUUAUUUUUAUUUUUUGGAAACCAACUUAUUUCCAAGUCUCUGUGACAAAUAUGUAUCUUCGAUUCAACAUUUGGUUGAAUUUUUUGAUGAACUCGUUUUGGUUUCUAGCGAUUCUUGAUGGCUCGUUCGUAUUCCUUGUUGGGGUGUGAUGACUUUACGCAGUUUCUGGCAAUCCUCGGUGACUCAUUAUUUGUUGAGUUGAGGUGACUCAUUCAAUCUACUACUGAUUCUUGGUGUUUCAGUUGGCAUUCUGGGAUAAAUUUUAUUAGAGCAGAGUUUAAAUAUAGAAAUUAAUUUGUUUUGUAUUGAAGACGCAAACUGAACAUUAGACAAUUUAAAAGUUCAAUGACACAGGAAAGGAUGUUAGGACUAUUAGGUAGAGAAGAGGGUGGUGGAUUGUUCUAGCCAUGAAUAUGAUGUAUAUUAAGAGCUUUGUGGGGAACAUUGGCAGAGAUGGUACCAGAGGUUGGUUUGGCUUCAAAGUGUCGGAGCUUAUUUGUUUCAUAUAGAGCUUAUCGAAGGUAAUGGGAUAUCGCGAGCACUAACAACAGAUGAGAUGUCCUUAUGGUCACUACGUAGGCCUUCGAGAAUUUUUAGAGUCAGAUCUUCAUGGUGGAUGGGAUAGUCCUUGACAGCAAGUUUGACAAUCAUGCUUUUCUAAGAUUGUAGAAACUCGAUAAUAGUUAUAGAUCCUAUAGUAAGUUUGGGAAGUCGACUUCUUCAUUGUAUAACGCAUCCUCCUGAGGGUUCGUCAUAUAUUGCAAAAAUAUUGUUCCACACAUUAUGAGAUCUUUGAAAAGAAGCGAUGCAUGGAAUAAUAGUGGAAGAUCGGAUCCGAGAAUUGCACUUAAUAGUAGUUGGUUUUGUCCGAUACCUUAAGCAAAUGAUCGAUUUAGUAAAUCAUUGGCAUUGUUUAUAAUAUGUAGCUCAUAGAGUAAAGCACAUGUAUGCUAGAAAGCAGGUUGAUGCCGACGUGGAGCAAGGGGAGCACACCUAAGAGAAUGGUACUAGUAUAUUUUUGGAUUUUUACAAUAUCUUGUACGAGCUACGUUAGUAAAUACGUCGUAACUCUAUUAUUUUCACAUUGUGAAAAUUAUAGCUGCUUCACUCUCGUAGAUGUAAGCUAUUGUCAAACCACAUAAAUCUCUCUCUCUCUCUCUCUCUCUAUUGAAUUUGUACUAUUCAUCAUUAUCAUUAUUGUCGCACAUAACACAACACUAUUGAUAUAAGCUGGUCGUAAACCCAUGAGAUCAUACCUUAUGAGUAGGGUAUUAAAUUGUGAUUUCUAUAAGGACUAAUUUCCUACGUGCAAGAUACUCCAACGUCCAGAGCUUCGGCCUUCUUCCUCCUGCUCGAGUGAGCCCUUCUUUCGUUUAAAUGAUCAAUGGCGACACUUCUACAAUGUCAUCUAGUCAUCUUGUCCUACUCUCUCGCCUUCUCAUUGAUCCCGAUCAUGACCUAACUGCCUCUACCUCCACCUUACACGCUUAGUUCUCGCCCUAUGAAAACCCAUGACGAAGAUCAUAUUCCAAAACUAAAUCUUAGCCCUUGAUCUUGAUUCCAUUAUUCUACACUCUUUAGCCACAAGCCUUAAACAUCCACUUUGGUUCUAAUCCAUGUGUGAGGAUUUUGAUGGCCUAUUAGGUGAUGCAUUUAGAAGAUAGCCUCUCCGUUCCAAUUCCAAAUUAUUUUCAUUUGUAAAUGGGCUUUUUGUGUUAAACGGAAACCUAAUGUUUACAUUCAUCAUGCCCGACCAAUGGUUUUCAUCAACGGUCACGGUAGACUACAAUGAGAAUUUUAGCCUAGUUGUCAAUCCCACCACCAUCCGUCUCAUCCUUAAUCUUGCAUUGGUACGGCAUUCGUCUUUACGUUGUUCAAUGUUAGUAAUGCAUUUCCUCGGGAUGCACUAAUGAAAACUAUUUACAUGUCUCAUCUUCAAGAAUUUGUCAAUAUAGAAACUUCCAUUAUGAUUGUCCAAUUGCCAGUGGGUUUACCAAUUCCAAAUCUAACACGUAAGUCUAUAUUCAAUUGCAACUCUAACCAGUGUCGAAUCUUAGUUCUGGUUUAUGCUAACGACAUCAUUGUCACGAGAAACUCAAGUUUUAAUAUCUUUGUUACUCAUUUGGCACCAUUUUUUUCUAGAGAUGUCAAAAAUCCUAACUGAACUAGUCCCCAUAGCGACAUAUCCCAAAGAGAACGAGAAUUUCUGGCUUUAAUCGAGUUUGCAUUCAUUUAUAUUUUAACAAUAUUAAUAAAAAAUUGCCCAAUUUCUAUUAUAAAAAUUUUAAAAAAUGAAUAAAUAAAUUUACCUAUAUAAAAAAAAUGAAUAAAUGAAAAAUGAAUAAAUAGAAAAUUGAUUAAAAUAAAAUAGAAUGGCACUGUAAAGUGGAUCCCGCUUUAUUGUCAUCCCCAGAUUUGGAUACUUUAUACUUGUUUCUUGGGGAUUAAGUUAUUUUUCUCUACAAGGCCUUUUUCUCUCACAACAUUAGUUUGUAUUUCAAUAAUCUUCUACACAACAUAAUUUGCAUAAGUACGAGUCAGUGUCUAUUUCUAUGUACAUGACAACUACCUUUAGCUUGAUUGAUGUCACUACUCUUCAUGAUGCUUCUAAAUAUAGGCAAGUUCUUGGCAACUUGCAAUAUUCUUUACUCACUCGCCAGGACAUUGUUAUUCAGUUAACCAUCUGUACCAAUAUAUCACCGAUCCAUUUCUUACCCUUGGAUGGCCGUUAAGCUUAUGUUUCUCGACUUUUUUGGCACUCUGCACUUUGGGCUCUUUCUUCAUCGCCAUUUUCUUGGCUUGUUGCAUGCCUUCUCUAAAUCUGAUUGAGAAGAAAAUGGUAAUGAUCCCACAUCCAUCCGUGCCGAUCUAGUGAUUCUUGAAUGGAACCUAAUUGUUGCUUUUUUUUUUUUUUUUUUUUUUAAAUCAAGUAUCAUAUGGCUUAAAUAUUUAGUACUUGAAUUCAGCGAAUCAAUUUCCACCAAUCGAGUAAUCUAAUUUCAUACUAUUAGCACCACAUACUUGAUGACCUAACACUAUUUCUCAGCUCGAAUGAAAUACAUGAAGGCUAUGUUUGAUUGGUUCAAAUUCCAUGGAAAAUGGAAUUCUAAUUCCACUUUCUUCCAAUUUUGGUUGUUUGAUAGGUUUUGAAUUCCAUGGAAUUUGGUUUCUUGAUUUUCUUGGAACUUGAAAUUUUCUUGAUUUUCCUUGAAAACCAAUUCCCACCAACAUGGUGGGAACUGGCUUUCUAGUUCCCUGUUACGUAUUUUUUUUUAUUUUAUAUAUAUUUUUUAAGGUAAUGGAAACAAAUUCUAAGAAAUAUUGCACAAAAAUAUUUCAUUUUAAUUGGCAAUUUUUAUGUAAAACAAAGUCAAACGAACACCAAAAGAUAGAUGAUUUUCUUGAUCUUUUUAUUUUUAUUUUUUUUGUUGGCAAUGGAAACAAAUUUCAUUCCCAAUACCAGUAAAAUCUAUCCUUUUAAUUGAUAAUUUUCAUGUAAAAUAAAGCCAAAUGAACACCAAAAAUACUUUUAUUUUAAUAUUUUUCACAAGAAAAAUUAUACCAAUCAAAUACAAUAAUUUACAAUUCUCAAGAAAAUAAUUUAUAGGCAAUUCAAUUAUCUAGAAUUCGUUUUCAAUUUAAUUCAAUUCCAUCUUUGCAAUCUUGUGAAAUAAUAUUAGAGUAGUUAUAGAUAGUGUUACACAAUAGUUAGAACUUGUCAUUACUGAACGUGUAUCAUAUAUUUCUGUUACAGAAUGUAUACAUAUAUAUAGCACAUACAAGGAGAUAUUCUAGUCUAUGCACUAAUUUUAGGCUAUGAUUGAGAUUGACCCACAAUAUAUGUGGAGUCAGAUGACGAACUAUAGUUCCUUAUAAUUAUUAAAUAAUGCUGUUUAGCAUUUGUGGAAUUAGAGUACCAGAUCAAAGUUGACAUACUUGAUAGGUUCAAUUAAAUUAAUCAUGUGACAUUGCAUUUAAGUGGAUUUAUCGUUUAAUGUCUUGAAAUUGCAUCUAAUAUGAUGUUUAACACUUAUGGUGCUACAGUGUAUUACACAUAAUUAUUACAUGAGUAAUGCAAUUUAACACUAUUAGUUAAGCACCAUUUAGGUGGCAUGCAAAGACCAUCUUAAAAGGAGGGAAAUGAGCCACAUUUAAUUUCUUCUAUCACUUGCAUGCCAUCUAAGUUAAUGCUAUGUAAAAUAUAUUACAUUUUAUUUUUGACUGACAACUUGCACCCAUAGUCAUCUCUUAACUUAUUGAUAUACUAAAAUCAAUGUGAGCUAGAGUUUAUGAAUUUGAGUUGGAGUCGAUCAAGUUUUUAUGGAACCUGAAUAAUCUUCAAAUGAAUCAUAAUAACUCAGGUUGUUUCUUACCGCUCUAAGCGUUAAUCUAAGCACAAUCUUAUGUCAAUCGAUUAGUCAAUUUUUACAUGUAUCAAGUCAUCCUUUGCAGUUAGAGAUACUUUAGUUAGCUAUGAUGCCCGGUCAUUGCAUAAACUAAAACAAAGCAUUAAAAGCCUAACAUAUUAAGAAGGAAAUGAAUUUUAUAAAAAAAUGAAAAAAAAAAAAUAAAAAUAAAAAUCCAACUAUUCGAUUUUCCCACUAUAAUAUUACUUAGUCCUUGUGGGGGUGGUCCAUCGUUUUUGUGGUGAAAAUAAGGUCCAACAUUUUAACUUUCCGUCGAAGUUAACUUUUAGACCAACUCAAUAGAAAUUUAGGAGUGAUUGUUGGAAUUGCCAGAAUUUCAGAAAAUUAAAGAAUAAUUUCACUAAUUAAAGUUUGAAAUGUUUUGGAGUGAAUAUAGUUAGUUCGAUCUCAGGAGGAGAGAAUUUGUUCCUAUUCUAGACCAAAAGAUCAAGCCACUUGCCUGCUCAACGUCAUUUUAGUCAGAGUACUGACCUAAAGUUUGUGCCAUCGUGUCCAAGAUGUUGUACUCCUGAUUGGUUGUUGAGAUCGGCCAUACAGGUCAUCAUGGCUCCUAGGUUGCAGCUGUGGCUUAGGCAAUGAUUACUUGAUUUUCGUGAUCAUUGCUAGCUUAUGAUUAAUUGAAAAUAAGGUGCUAACGUCGCAGAUGUCACAUGUCUUUCUAGGAGAGGUGGAUUGAUAGGUGAGGACCGAUUGUCAAUAAUUGUGAAUCACAAUGUUUCUUCAAAUUACGAUAGCCAUUUCUCGAAAUGUGCUCAUACUUCGAGAAUCUAACCUAUCAGUAGUAUAGAAAUCGUAUUUUAACCUAUUUUUUACUUUACGUGCAAAAUAUUUUAUUGUGUGGAUGUAUGAUCAAAAAUGUGUAUGAAAAAUAAAGAGAUUUAACACAGAGAGUCGAAUAGGGGCUAAGAUCUCAAUCUCGCCUGCACGCAAUAUAUGUAUAAGCUAAAAUAUAGUCAUAAAAGACAUUAUUAUACCUAUAUGUACUUGUUCUAAGUUAUUUGUAUGAAUGUUAGAAUUGAAAUAAGAAAAAUGUCCGUCUCAUUACAAUAAUUUGUUCUAUUAAAUACUCUUACCGUUUCAUAAAGAUAAACUUAUUUUUCAUUCUCGCACAUGUUAAGAAAAUAUAAUUUUCGCUUAUUUUUUCUGGUACAACCAAUGUUUGAAAAAUCGAACUUGUCCAAUCAGUUCAAUUGGGAAUCAGGAUCGAAAUCGGUCCAAUUAGGCUUAUAAAACCCCCAAUUAAAAACCCGUCCCAAAGUCAAGUAAAUCGUUUAAUUUUUGGAAAAAUCGUGGCCCUUUGUCUAUUUAACCGAUUCAAUCUAUGUAAAUAUACAUUUUUUGAAAUUUUUAAACGUAUGUGUGCAUACAAGUUUCGUAAAAUGUAUAUUUUUAAUUCUAAAAAAUCACGGUUAGAUCUCGGUUCAACUUUUUGACCUUGGUUAGAUCUCGGUUCAACUUAAAAAUCCUUUUCUUGUCCGAGUCGAUGAUCGGGUCAUUUUUUAAAAACAUUGGAUACGACCCCAUGUUAAUAAUCAUUUAAAUAGGAAUAGUUCAUAUUCAUUAAUAACAAAUUAUAUGAAAUCAUGGUAUAUUAAAAAAAUUAAAAAUCAACUAUACUCUCAACAAAGAAAAUAACCUAUAAUUUGGAACAUAUGAAAAAGGAAAGCUAAGAUACUUUUCAAGAAAUAGAGAGAUCAAACUUGCCCUUAUUUAAAGCAAUUUCUCAAUAAAUUUUACUUUUUAAUGACACAUUCUCUACAAAAUUAUUAUUACAAAACAAUAUUUUUUACAAAUAUGGAAUCAAACAGAUCCUAACAUCAACAGUUCUAUAUGUACAGGCUCAGUAAUAUAAAUACUUUUGCAAACAACACGGGGCGACAUUUGAUUGGAAGUUGCCAAAAAAAAAAAGAUCAUAUAGUGUAGCACCUAUAAAAGAUGUGCAUUAUUCUCUCGAUUGUGUUACAUGUACAUAAUUGAUUUACAUAAUGAUUUCCAUAGACAUAACGUAAUGAGAUAUGAUUAUGUCAGAAUUUAAUUAUUUUUUAAUUACAUAUUCUCUUAAUAAAAUAAUUUUAUAAGUAAAUAUAAAAUAUUUUCUUACCUUUUAAUCACAUUUUUCAAAAAAAAAAAAAUCACUAUCAUAAAAUAUCUUUUUUUUUUUUCAAAAAAUGGGGCUCAAAUAUAGUUCACCAUCAUCUUUUAUGUUAGUUGCAUAUUAACAUAACUUACAUUCAUAUUUUGUAACAUGAUUAAAUUGUAAAAGCUUUUCCAAAGGGCAAGCUAAAAUUCAGAGAAAAAAAAUGCGCACACAAAAAGGGAAAAAAAAAUACCAAUAAAGCGUAUCUUCGGUACUCCAAAAAAAAAAAAAUGCGCACACGAAAAAAAAAAAAAAAUUACUAAUAAAGCGUAUCUUCGGUACUCCAAGAUCUCAAUUUUGAUCGAGACUUGAACAAUUCAGAAAAUUUCAAUACAUUCUUUAAUUUUGUAGAACACUAUUCAGUAUUUGGUGUUGUUAAAAAUUAUAUUUUUAAUAGAUUUUGAUAAAAAAUUAAUGAAAUAUAUAAUUGAAUUUAUCAUUAAUUGUUGAAUUUAAUUUAAAUUUUUUUUUAUCAACUUUUAAAGGUGAAUACUGAAAAGAAAUUAUAAAUAACAGUGCACAAAAUUUUGUCCUUUAAAUGGCCCCCUUAACAUAUAUUUUCACCAUUUGCAUGAUCAGUCAGUCAGAAGUUCAAUUAUUCUUCACUUGUUCGAGUCUCUGAGUUCUGACCACUUCACAAUGAGAAAACGAUACAAAAGACAGAACCCAUUACCUCAAUUAUUAUUUCACUUGUUAUUUGCAAAUCGGCAACGGAAGAAAGGCCAGAGACUGAACUAAUAUCAAUACCUGCCACCCCACGUGCGUCGACGCCGGAGAUACAGACGCCGUCCUGUCAAAGGUCGCCGAGGAAGGAAUCCAGCACAGCCAAGUCAUGGACUCCAACUUCGUUCAUUUCGCCGAGGUUUUUGAGCCCCAUUGGGACACCCAUGAAGAGGUUUUUGACUAAUAUGAAGGGGUAUUUGGAGGAGGUGGGGCAUUUGACGAAGCUGAAACUUCAAGAUGCUUGGCUUCCCAUUACAGAAUCACGAAAUGGGAAUGCCAAUUAUGCAGCUUUUCAUAAUCUGAAUGCUGGUGUGGUUCCAGGGAGAACGUUGGUGGGAAAUGCAGCUUUUAUUUUUUAUUUUUUUUAAAUAUCAAAUUGGUAUGAACGUUGGUGGAAAUAUCAGCUAGACGUGAAGAAGAGAAUAACUUACACCAUUCGGACACUGGGAGAAACACGUGUCAAAAAAAAAAAAAAAAAACUAAAUUUUAUGUGACAUACCCAUACUUCUUAUAUUCAUAUGUCGAGUAAAGUAUACAUCUUUCCAUCUUAUAGUCCCUUUCAAACACAUUGCAUGAAGGAAAUUGAAUAAAUUUACUAUGGUACGUAAGUUCGGAGAAUUUUUAGCUUUCAAUAAUCCCUACUUUACUUGGUCCUCAUCCAAAUACAAAAGGUGUCAAACUUGGGUUUUCCAAGUUUCCCUCAUCAUCUUAUUGCCAACUUUUCAUCAACAUUGGAAUAUUAUUUUCAUGUGUUAGGAGAACACAAAUUUAAAUAAACGCACUCCGUAACUGAAUUAGACUUGCAUUGUACAUAAUGACAGAAUUAUGAUAUAUUUAACAUCGCGCACCCAGACACACACAUGAACUGCCGGUAAGUAUUAUAAAGCAUGCAAUAGUACGAUCAUUUAGCUUAGACAAAAGAAAAUUGUAUUAUAAUUAAGGAGGGUAUCAUGACGAAAUUAAGUUCAAUUUGAUUCAAAUUCUUUAAAACUCAGUUUUAAACAUAUUCUCUCGAUAAAAUAAUUUUGUAUGUAAACUCAUAAAUUUUAAUCUACUUUUUAAUUACACACUCUUCAAAAAUAUCAUUUUUGAAAAAUUUAUUCUCAAAAAAUCUAAACUUGAAGAAUGUUUAAUUUAAAAUAAAGAAGUAAUUGUACUUGAUCCCCAUCCUAUUCUUUGUGAAGUAAGUUGGUACUCAUUCUUUGAGAACGAGACGUUGUCCUCGUCCUUCCACUCAAAUUGCCCAUAAUAAUAAUAAUAAUAAUAAUAAUAAUAAUAAUAAUAAUAAUAAUAAUAAACUUGUCAUCUUUGUUUCUGCAACUUCCAUAGAUUUGAUUUGUCAAUAUAUAGAAUCAUUUGUCAUCUUAAUGCUUUCUAUAAUUGCUUCUACUUUUUUUUUUUUUUUUGGGUUACUACGAUUUGACAAUAUAAUGACUAAAAUUUAAUUUAUUGAUCAUUUCUAUUCCAACUUAACAUACUUUAAAAGUAUAAUUACUAUAUGCGUUGUUCAGAAUAUAGUAGAAAUUCUUGUGUACUUCACGAGUUUCCUAGUAUAGUUAGACCUUUUUGUAUAUACUCAUGUUUAAAAAAAGGUUGAACCCCAACCUUAAGGGCCCCCACCAACCCUGCCCUGGGCCAUCGUGGAGGAGAUAAAUCGCAGGAUGUGCCUCCCAGGAGCCAGGGUGGAGAGCACAUGGAUAGGCCAAGGCUGUUAACCCAUAUGAUAACUCCCGCUUGCAACAAAGCCAAUUCCACCUUGCGGGGAAUCGAACUCUGCACACUGCCGCUCUAAGUCCUAUUCGCCCUCCCCUUUGCCACUGGGAGAUAUGCCCUGGGGGCGUAUAUACUCAUAUUUAAUUAUAUGUUUGGCAAACAAUAUUAGAUAAUAUAAAAUAAUUUGAAAUGUAAGAUAAAAAAAAACUAAAAUUUUAAUCUUUAACAAUUUCCUUCAUUACCUAGAUAACUUAUUGACAGCUGAAAAUUGAAAUUCCAAACUCUAGUUGCAUGUACCAUACACCAUGUCAUAUAAACAUAAAUAGCACAGUGAAUAAAAUUUUAUCUUUCUUCUUCAAUAAUGUUGUCCAUUUCACCGAACAAGUCCGAAGACAUUUUCCAGGAUCAUAAUAUCUUUGUCUUUGGAGCAUAUUUUAUGGAUCUCUAUUUCCUGUCUGAACUCUUUUCAUCUUUUAAAAUCAAGAAUUAUUUUUUUUUUUUUUUUUGAGGGUUUUUAAUUUGUUUCUGCAACUUCCAUGAAUUUCAUAGGUCCUUGUACUGUUGUACAUAAUAGUAUAAAUUAAUACCAUUUAUUAUCUUCUGGGAGUAAGUUAUGCUCGAAUAUAUACUGUGCAUAUUUAAUUUGACUGACUACCAUAAUGAACAAUUUCGUUUUUCCCAUUUCUUAUCCUACAGAACGCUAAAAAGGUUCAAUAUAUGCAUGUUUCGGUAUAUUAAUAAAUGAUCAGAUAAUUACUAUUUGACUAAGCAUAGAUGUUCAUUUAUAGGUUUCCUGUUAUCACAAUUCGUUACCUAUUAUCACCUUAUAGUCUUCACUAAAACUUGAUCAUUUUUCUUUUGCAUAUAGUUGUAAAUCUUGAAAUUCGUGAAUUUGUUCAUUUAUAGGUUUCCUGUCCAUCGUCGUUACACUAAGAAUUACUACGACAAAAGACGUAACUAAGAUACAUAAAUUUGUUAAUAUAUAUACACGCCCAAAAAGUUUAAAAUGUUAAAGAGUUGCCAUAUUUAUUUAUUAUUAGUGCCUUAAUGUUUAAGAAAAAUGAAUUGGACAGAGUUGAAGUAUCAAUUUUCUUGUACAUUGACAUCGUAGUUUGGCCAUACGUUCGCAAGCCUCUAGACGAUUUUGGUUAUUCAAGUACCGGCGAACUCUCUUGGUCUAACUUCAAGCCAUACUGAGAUUGAGGCUUGACAAAGUUGAGGAAUCGAUCAAUAAAAUCAUGGUUGGGCUUCGUUGUCAACUCAAGAUCGGUGUAAUUAGGUUGACGAUUCGACCAGUAGACUCAUGGCUAGACGCAGUUGUCAACUCAACAUUCAUAUUCGGUGCAGUGUGGCCGGUGCCGUUAGCCUUUGGUGGUUCAUUUGUCACUUGUAAAGAUUUCAAAAUUUCUCUUUCAAGGUGAAACAUCUUUCUGAGUGUACAACCAAAUCCAGAAACGAGCACAACCCACUUUUUACAAGUUUAUCUUCACAGCAAUAAUACACACAAUCUCCCUUUUAAAUUACAGACAGUGGAAAUCCCUACAUGUUGUGUUGAAUAUAUUGUCAAUUUUCUCAUGUAGUGGAGACCUUAUCAAACAUAUCAUGACAAGCUACAUUUCACCACAAGUUCUCAUAAAAAUAUCCUGGUGACAUAAAUACAGUGUUUUAGAUAACUUCACACAAUUUUAAAUUUAUGGCUAAAUUUUAUUGCAAUUCCAUUUGAAUUUUAGAUUUCUAUCUUAAGAGAUUAAUUUUAUCAAAAGGAGUAAAAGAUCUUAUCUAGUUAUUAUUGAUAUUUUUAAGCUUUGAAACGUUACUCUUAUAUACCAUGACUUUCAAACUAUGAUAUUUGUUUCACAAAACUGAUCUUACAAUGAGAUAAUUACUCAUUUAGCCAUUGUUUGAACUCCAUUCUUUUAAAAAUUCAUAUUUCAAAAUUCAUUUUCAACUACAUAUUCUUCAAUAUAAUAAUAAUACGCGCAAAUCCAAUAAUUUUCCUUAAUUUGUUUGACAAAACUGAUCUUACAAUGAGAUAAAUACUCAUUUGGCCAUUGUUUGAGCUCCAUCUUCUAAAAAUUUAUUUUCAACCACAUAUUCUUCAAUAAAAUAAUAAUACACACAAAUCCAAAACUUUUCCUUAAUUUUUAACAAGACAUUCCCAUCAAUUUACUAUUUAAAAUAGAUUAUUUUCCCUAAAAUGGGCUCAAACAAGGGCUUAAGCUUUAAAAAAAUUGAAUUGUUUGUUUAAACCUCUUUUUUCUUUGAACUCCAGUAUAUCGAGUUUAGAACUUCAUAUUAAGCCCUUGUUUGAGCCUCAUUCUUUAAAAAAAUGUAUUUUUCAACAGUGUUUUGAUAUCAUUUUAACCACACGUUCUUCAAUAAAAUAAUAUUAUACUAAAUCAAAAAAAUUUUGUUUUUUUUUUUUAACCUCACCUUUCCUAUCAAUACACUAUUCAAAAAUUCAUUUUUCCCUCAAAAUGGAGCUCAAACAAGGGCUAAAUUGUCAAUUUUAUUAAAAAGAGUUACUAAAAUUCUCAUAUACUAUUACACCAAAUUUUGUAACUAUAUCCUUUUUUUUAUAUAUAAAUUAAAGUUAUUUAAAUAGUGAUAUCGUUGUGCUGUCCUUGUAAUGACCAUAGUAAUGACGUUAAGACCAUCGUUAUUAAUACAAAAUAAGAAUCCUUUAUCUUAAAACAUUAGCCCUAUUUAUAAUAAAAAGUUUAACUAUAGAAUUUUCAUUUUCCCUUAUUAUUUUUAUGGUUUCACAUAGAUAAUAUGUGUAAAUUAAAUACUCUUUGCUCUCAUAUCUGAGACAUUUUCAUGAUAUUUUAACUUGCACAUUGUCGUCAUUUUUAUACACAUUUGUUUACACAUCUCUAUGUGUCUAAAAUCUCUUCAUUGAUUAAAAAAAAUAUCGUUAAAAUUAAUGCACCAAAAUCUGUCAAGUCACAUGAGUGUAAAUCAAGAUGUCAACUUUGAUAUACUUACGAUAUGAUUGUAAGAAUAAACUCAAGUUGACAAAAAUAUUAAACGUGUUGAGUUCGUAUGCAGUCCGACUCAAUUGAUGAUUGCUACUACUUGGACAAAACAACACGGCAAAUAUACCAUGAUUACUCAUAGUAUUCAUGUAUACACCAUUCCUUACAUUGAUUGGGAGACAUUUCUAAAUUAGGGCAAGCAUAAUUUAAAUAUUAGGAUGCGUUUCCAAAUUAGGACAAGCAUAAUUUAAAUAUUGGACAUUCAUAUAAUAUUAAAAAUUUUAAGAAUGUGAAAAAGGUGGGGAUUGAAAAAGUAAAAUUACAUGGACAAGUACCCAAUUUCACUCUCUUUUUAUCAACUCUCUCCUUUUUUUUUCAAUUUUAAUUUUUAAAUAUCAAAUUGGUAUGAACAUUGGUGGAAAUAUUAGUUAGACGUGUAGAAGAGAAUAACUUAUCAAAUCGGUAGGAACGUUGGUGGAAAUAUCAGCUAGACGUGCAGGAGAGAAUAACUUACCCCAUUCGGAGACAGGGAGAAACACGUGUCAAGAAAAAAAUAAAAAAAAACUAAAUUUUAUGUGAGCUAGCCAUACUUCUCAUGAUCAUUUGUCGAGAAAGGUAUACAUCUUUCCAUCUUAUAGUCCCUUUCAAACUCAUUGUAUGAAGGAAAUUGAGUAAAUUUCCUAUGGUACGUAAGUUCGGAGAAUUUUUAGCUUUCAAUAAUCCCUACUUUACUUGGUCCUCAUCCAAAUACAAAAGGUGACAAACUUGGGUUUUUCCAAGUUCCCCUCAUCAUUAUCUUACGGCCAACUUUUCAUCACCAUAUAUAUAUAUAUAUAUAUAUAUAUAUAUAUAUAUAUAUAUAUAUAAAGUAGUAUGAUCAUUUAGCUUAGACAAAAGAAAUUUGUAUUAUAAUUAAGGAGGGUAUCAUAACGAAAUUAAGUUCGAUUUGGUACAAAUUCUUUAAAAUUCAUUUUUAACCAUAUUCUCUCUAUAAAAUAAUUUUGUAUGUAAAUUCAUAAUUUUUUUCUACCUUUUAAUCACACAUUCUUCAAAAAUAUCAUUUUCGAAAAAUUUAUUCUCAAAAAAUCUAAAUUUGAAGAAUGUUUAAUUUAAAAUAAAGAAGUAAUUGUACUUCAUCCCCAACCUAUUCUUUGUUAAGCAUAAUAUAUAUAUAUAUUAUUAAACUAGCCUAUCAAGAAUAAUUUGGCUCCUUCCAAACUGGAGGGAUAAAACAACAAUAAUGUGUUUCUCGUAAAAGGAGUGCUACUUGGGCAGGAAGUUGUCCAAGAAGAAAAAUUCUUCUCGUAUAUGAAGUUACUGGAAAUGGACCACUGGGAAAACGACAAGUGUCAUCCAGCUGGCUCAGAUUGCGAAAACAAUCGUUUAUAUUCAAAAUGGCAUAAUAAUAAUUGAAAAUGGGUCCAUGAUUAUGAGCAUGAAGUUUUACAAACUAAAUGAAGGGUCUUCAAUAAAGGUUUUACAAACUUAAAAACUAUUAGGAAUAUAUUUCAAUAGCUUGUGAAAUUACAAUAAGUUUCCCUAAGAAAAAGGUAAUCUGUAUAAUAUGUAAUAAAUUUUAAAUUAUACAGAAAUUGUCUUUUUAACUUUUUCUGUAUCCACCUUUCUGAUUCUAUAUAAACGGGCAGACCUCCAUUUCUCAGCGACUCAAUUAUCAACACAGAAUACGAAGGCAUUGAGAGAGAGAGAGAGAGAGAGAGAGGAUGGAGAAGAUUAUUGCAUUCUUUGUGCCUGUUUUUACCUUUCCGUUUACUGUAUUUUUAUAUGUAAUUUCACUGAAAAUGAAAAGAAAACAUUCAGAGAGGAAAACUAAGCUCCCUCCAGGCUCCAUGGGGUCGCCUUAUAUUGGAGAAACUCUUCAGCUCUACUCCCAAGAUCCAAAUAUCUUUUUUUCUGACAAAGUAAAAAGGUUUCUUGCUUUCAUUCUCAAUUACUUACCGUCCAAUUCUGUCUAAUACUAAAUACCUGACAUUCCCUGAUAGAAUUUUUCUAACAAUAAUUCUAAACGGGGCAGGCACCCUGCUGGCUGCCAAUAGGGGGACACUUGUCCCCCCGGACAAACAGGGCCCUGUUUGCCAAGCAAAUCUCUUUUUCUAAACUGUAUGUUCUUAUGCAGGUAUGGAGAAAUCUUCAAGACUCAUGUACUUGGUUGCCCUUGUAUAAUGUUGGCCAGCCCAGAAGCAGCCCGAAUCGUGCUAGUCACUCAGGCACAUUUGUUCAAGCCGACGUAUCCAAAGAGCAAGGAAAACUUCAUCGGCCAGUCUGCGCUGUUUUUUCACCAGGGAGAGUACCAUAUGCGGCUUAGGAAGCUCGUCCUUGGCGCGUUAUACCCGGACGCAAUCCAAAACCUAGUGGCAGAUAUUGAAGCCAUAGCAGUGUCUGCAAUGGAUUCGUGGGCCGGUGGCCGUGUCAUCAACAUUUUCCAUGAGAUGAAAAAUGUUCGUCUCUUUGAAUUCAUGCUAACACCCAUUUAAAAAAAUUGUGCACCUAUCACUUCUUUAAUGAAAAAUGUCGUUGGCAUGCACACGGGAAGCGUUGAAAACCUAGAUUUAAAUGAACAAAUCUGUCUCUUUUAAGAUUUUACAUGAGAAAGCUAAUUUGUCAUUUACCAUUGAUUACCUGCAGUUCUCAUUUGAAGUAGGUAUACUCUCCAUUUUUGGUCAUUUGGAGUCCCAUUAUAAAGAAGAAUUAAAGAAGAACUAUAGCAUACUCGAUAGAGGGUACAAUUCUUUUCCAACAAACUUGCCUGGAACUCCAUACCAAAAGGCAAGGAAGGUAAAAUAGCGAUAAUUAUACUUUGUUACAUGGCACUAUAAACGAGAUUUAACUUCUUCAUUUUUUAUUUUUAUUUUUGUGUCUACCGGCUUAAUACACACGGGUUGAAAAUGGACUCUUAUUUUGACUAAUCAUAUUUACCAUUUUAAUGUAUGAAGGCAAGGAAGAGGUUGGGUGAAAUAUUAAGUAACAUUAUGAGAGAAAGAAAGGAAAAGAGGUUUACGGAGAAGGACCUGUUGAGUUGUCUGCUAGUUUCGAAAGAUGAGAAUGGUGUAACUCUAAAUGAGGAUCAGAUUGCUGACAACAUCAUCGGAGUACUUUUCGCAGCACAAGACACGACUGCGAGUGCCAUGACAUGGAUUCUCAAGUACCUUCAUGACUACCCAAAAAUUCUCGAGGCCGUCAAGGUAAAAUCUAGAAGGCAUUUUGCAGUUGUUCUGGAAGACUGGAUUAAUACAAGGUUCUCUAAGAAAAACGUAGCUCUAUUUUCUAUUUGUGGGGUCAAAUCAAUACAUUCUAAGAUUCUCGUGUCUCUAGAUCAUUCUCAUUUCUUGACCUUAUUCUUAAAUUUGCUUUGUAAACGUCGUAGAUAAUAUGUUUCUGAUUUGCAUGCAGGCUGAACAGAAGGCAAUAUACAAAUCAAAUCGAAAUGAAAAUAGUCAUUUAACAUGGAAUCAAACAAGAAAUAUGCCAUUUACUUACAAGGUAUUUGACUACCAUAAAUAAUAUAUUUGGUAUAUUUCGUUUAAAUUAGGUCGGUAAUGUUAACACCAAAUUCAUUUUUUUUUACAAAAUCAUUUACAAGUAGUAUCAUUCACUUUCAUUCUCUACGUCUAACUUGCUUCCAUCAUCCUCACGUAAUAUUUUGACCUGUACUCUUUUUAGGUGAUUUUAGAGAGUUUAAGAAUGGCAAGCAUUAUAUCAUUCACAUUUCGAGAGGCAGUGACAGAUGUGGAAUAUAAAGGUAAGCUUUCUUGUAAGGGAAAUGUACCCUUUUCGAGGGUGUCCUAAGCCUGGUAAUAUUACCAAAUAAUCCACUAAAUUUUGCUAUUUAUACGCUGGCGUUCACACGCCCCUCACAUGAGGUAGGGGCCCAUGCCCAAUAAAAGAAGCGUGAGCCCCCCUUGUGUGAGUGACGUGUACAUCGGCGUGCCCAUGGACAGGUUGCACAAUUGUAAUCCACUUUUUUGAAAUAAAUGUUUUUGGGUCACUGAAACUUUGGUAUGAUUUUGGUGCCAGGGCACCUAAUUCCGAAGGGAUGGAAGGUCAUGCCUUUAUUCAGGAAUAUUCACCACAAUCCUGAUUUCUUUGUUGAUCCUCAGAAGUUUUUUCCUUCCAGAUUUGAGGUACGAGUUAAUAUUAUUCUUUUAAUGGUUGACAUUAAGUGCAUAUUUAGCCCCUAUCUUACAAUCAUUAUCCUAAUUUUCUUUUUCUACGUGCUGAUUUUAACCACACAUUCACACAAUAAAAUAUUCUGCACGUAAAUUCAAAAUUUUUUCAUACUUUUUAACCACAUAUCUUCUAAAAAUUCACUAUUCAAAAGUUUAGUUUUGCCAAAUAAUGGCCGUCAAGUAGGGCCUUAGUGCUUGUUUGAUACUUUUCAACUUAUCAAACUUUUUGCUACAAAUUGGAUCCACAACUUUUUAUCAAUUUUUUUCAUCAAAAGUUUUGUUAAACAAUCCCAUGGUACUUAGAACUAAAUCUAACAAUAGUUUCUUAGGGCAUAUGAAAAUAGAUUAAAUAUUAAUGCCAACCAAUUAAACUUCAUUUUCACCAAAUAUUGACCUAAAUAAAAAAUUGAGUUCGACUAAAAAUUUAAUGACCACCAUGACUUUUAAUCCGAUGAAAGUAUGGUACGACAAAUCUUUUUUUCCUCAAAAUAUAAAGAUUAAAGAGACUUAUUAAGGAGAAAAAAAUUGUAGGAUGAAGCAACGAAUAUUAAUUUAUGGUUUCUUGUAGGAUGUGUUGAAACCCAAUACGUUUAUGCCAUUUAGCAGUGGAGUACAUGCCUGCCCCGGUAACGAACUUGCGAAGCUAGAGAUGCUCGUUAUGAUCCACCAUCUAAGUUCUCAGUUCAGGUACUUUAUCAAACUACAACAAGUAUUUUUGGAAAUGCGUUUUUUAGAUAAAUUAAAUCAUAAAUAACCAAUUCUAGUUUAUACUACUCGGUUCCUCGUAUGUUCAGUUGAAUUCACCAAACAUGUCAUAUAUGUAUUUUUUACUCCAUAUAUCACAAGUUUUGAUUAAAAUAAUAUUAUCUUUUUCUUUCCCCCUCAAUUCUGUCUUAUACUAUUAAGUUUAUCUUACUAACUACGAGACGACGUUGGUGAGUGGUCUGUGAUAUUAGGUAUUAUUUGACAAUUGUGUUUGCAGGUAUGAAGUGGUGGGAUGCCAAAGUGGGAUUGAACAUGCGCCAUUCCCCAUCCCUUUCCAUGGACUCCCUGCCAGAUUUUGGAAACAAGAACCAACCAAUUAAGUAGGACAUACCAAGACAAUUGUUUCUUAACCAAUUUUCACUUUUCCUCUCUGUUCCCAUAAUCCAAUUUCCUCUCCAAACUAAUAUGGGGAUGGCUUUUUUUCCUCAAAAUGAAUUAAUAUAGGUUCAUAAUCAAUGAACUAAUAAUCAAUGAAGAAUUGUAUUCAUAUAUCUCAUCGGUUAAAUAUAGAAAAAUACGUACUAUUUUUAUUGUAGGGUUGGUAUUGAAAUUGACUUGAUUCAAUUGAAUUAUCUUGUUUCUUGGCUUUGUUGACUUGAAAAAUCAUUUUAUUUUCUUGACUGUUAUUGAAAAUCAAUUAUUACUUUUUCUCGAGAAAUUUGCUUGAAAGAGAUCAUAUGUAGCGAGAAAAUGGAAAAUAGUCACUUUUUAUUUUCAUUAAAAUCAUGGGUAGAAGUUAAGGCUUCGAUUGUAAGUGAGCAGUCUUUGAGAGGCACAGUCUGAAAUUAAUUAAAUAAAAAAAGAAGAGAGAAAGAGAAAAAGGAAAAGGAUUACGUCAACAAUUUUUAUUAAUUCCAUUCUUUCAUUUCAAUUCCAACAUCUCUGCCCUUAUGUUUUUGUUUAUGAUAUUUGUGAUGCCACUGGUAGUUUACUUAAUGAAAUGUUGAACUAUUGCAAUGUUUAAAAUUGUUUAUCAUUUUUUUUUUUAUAAACUAGUCGAGUACAAUUCAAUCAUUUGGUCAAAAUGAUCGAUUUAAGUUCCUAGUUGGUUCUAUAUUGGAGGAAUCGAGUUUGGGAACUUCUAAUUUAUGUAGAAUUAAAUUAUCACGCAAUUUGCAUCCGCUUUUCACAAAUUUUCCCUCGAGUAAUGCAAUUCAACAUUACUGAUAGCAAGCACUAAUUUAAGAGGCAACUUCAUAACAUUAAAUAAUUGAUUCAAAUAAAUGUAAUGUCAUAUGAUUCAUAUAAUUAAAUCUAUUAAAUGUGACCAUCUAAAUUGGUAUUUCAGCAUAGUUGGUGCUUGAUAACAUUAUUCGAUGUGAAAUGUGAUGUUGGGUGAUAUUUGUUGAUACCACGUUUUUGAAUGUUUCAUAAAGUUCUAGUUGUGAUGAGAGGCCAUAGCCAGAUGGUAAGUAUAUGAUUGGUCAAGUGAAGGUGGGUUUGGUCCAUAAGAGCAAUCUCUAAAAGAAUACUACUGCUUUUGUCGACUACAUUUGACGCUACAUUUCACAAUACGUAGUGAAUUAUUUCAUUUCAUAACAUAUUUUAGUGGAAUUGUAUUUUUUUAUGAAUGAGAGCUCUCUUAAUGAAUAAUGAUAUAUGACGGGUAUAUUUAAAUCAGUCUAAAUAACAAUGUAUGAUAUUUAAAAAUAAGCUCAAUAUAUGACAAUAUUAAAAAUGAGAAUGAAAAAUAUAGUCGUUAUGAGUCUCACACAAGAGAUAGAAAGUCAAAUAUAAUGGCUUGAUGUGAUGGAUAACGGUCAUAUUUUUCAUUUUAAUAAGCAAAUAAUGAGAAACAAACGGGGCUUAUUAUUGAACUUAUCAUGCAUGGCUACAGAAAUUAAUUUUAAAACAUCAACUAGAAUAUAUAGCAUUACCUUUCUUAAAAUAUUAUUUAACUAUGUAAGUCAUCGUUACUAUAAUUUUUUUUUUUUUUUUCAAUUAGUGCUAUGUUGACAUAUUUUAAUGUAUCAUAUUAUCGAAAAAUUAGCUUAAAUGGUCUUAAGCCUAUGCUCAUCUUGCAUUUCUUGGUCCCAAAACUUUAAACCUUGACAAUCAAGUCACAAACCUAUGCUUUUUGGCAUAGUUAAUCCUUUUAGAAGGUUUCCGUUUAAAAUGGCAGUUAAUUUUGUGUGUAGAUUGUAAUUUUCUUAUUUUAUUUUUAUCUGAAGGGGCAUAUUUUUCCAAUCAAUAACAACUUAAGUAAAAAAAUGAAAUUUAAAAAGAAAAAAAUUUUAAAGAAAAAAAUAUAAUAAUAUUCUUCUUCCACCCACCCUAUAUUUCGUACGUACAUAGACAUAGGAACAGGAAGUAUGACGAGCAGAGUAAUGAUUCGCCUGUACAAGCCACAUGAAAAAUGUCAUUUCAAUAAUAAUAAAAAUGUUGACAUGCCACGAGUAGCUCAAAUUCUCCCACUUAAUUAAUUAUAUGUAGGUCAAAGAUCUAUAUAAUUUGAUCACAAAUUAACAAUUUAAUUAGUCACUUAUUAUUUUUUUAUCACAAAUUAAAAAUUUUAUGUAAUUAAUUAUUUUACGAUCAUAAUUCAAAAAAUUUAUAAGUCACAAAUUAAAAAAUGUAUAAGUCACGAUUUAUUUAUUGAUCACAAAUCACAAAUAUUAGAAGUCACAACUAUUAUACAGUCACAAAUUAUCAAAUUAUCGGUCACCAAUUAACAAAUUUUUAAGUUACAUUAUUUUUUGGUCACAAUUUAUAUUUUUUAUUGGUCACAUUGUUUAUUGGUCACAAUUUAGCCAAUUUAAUGGUCACAAUCAACAAAAUUUGUGACCACCACUAACACUUGUGAUCACCAUCUCACCACUUCUUUGAGCACUACCACCACUACCAUCGUCCACAAAACCACCACCUCCACCUCAAACAAAUCAACCGAUCGUAGAAAAUACAACCGCAUCGUCGACACCAUAUCCACCACCAAGAAAAAAAUUAUUACAUUAAUCGCCACCGUCACGACCAUAGACCGGACCCAAAUUUCCUAAAUCUCCUGUCAUCCACCACCACCUGCACUACCUAGAUUGUGACUACUAUCACCAAUGCUAAGUUGUGACUACCAAAAACUAUCGCUACUUUACCACCACUUCACCACCACUGUGACAGUACUACAAAAUAAAUCCAAAAUCAGAGCCGUAAUGGAGGUGAAAACCACUGCCACAACCACCACCAAAGCCAACAUCACAAUCGCCACAUCCAUAGUAUCAUAGUAGCAUCACCGCCACCGCCACCCAAAGCAUCACAAUUUUCAUUUACCUCUACACUUACAUAUUGUAUAUAGGAGUACCAAAUAGUACACCAUAAAAUACAUGUCUUUAAAAUAGUUAUGAUUAAUUGUCAUAAUUGUAAUAUACAAAUUCUUAUAUUUAUAUUUGAAUAUGAGAUUUACAAAUACUAUCAAGAUAGAUACAAUUAUAUAUUAUAUACGGGAGUACCAAAUAGUACAAAAACUAAGAUAAGAUUAAAAAUGAUUGAAUCUUUACAAAGAUAUGAAUACGGUGUUAAAAAUUUUAUUUUACACUAUAUUAUUUGUCAUCAUUAAUUAUGAAAGUUGGAAAUCAUAAUAAUGAAAACAUAGAUAAUAAUGAUGAGAUCUGUGAACAAAUUGAAUCACAAGGAAAUUUCUCAAGAGAAAUUUUAAUAUUUGACAAAAAAUUGGCUAAAAUAUGUAAGACAAAACUUACAAUAGAACCUAAAGAAAUCUUUUCUCAAUCAGGUUUCUUAGAAAAAUUUAUGAACAGAAAUAUACAUGUAUAUUAUAGUGUAUCUCAGCAGGAUUUUGGAUUCUUUCAUCAAUCAAACUCAUUGAAAUGGGUUGAUCAAUUUAUUUGAAUAAAACUUUAUGUUUUAACCAUGCCUUCAUACACUUUUAUUUCUAUAUACAAACUCAUGUACGGAUCUUUAAAGAAUCAAUGGGACUAAGAAGUACCUCCAGACAGGAGGCCAUUAGGGAAGAAGCCACACCCACAGUAUCAUAGUAGCAUCACCGCCACCACCACACCCAAAGCAUCACAGUUUUCAUUUACCUCUACACCAUAACCACACCGUUUUCCCUCUCUAUGGUAGCGUAAAAUGCAGAGGAAAUUUUAUAUUGCUGUGAAUUAAGAUGCCUACUUUUACAGUUAUUGCCUUGGAGAAUUUGUUGGAUCCUCGAGUCCGAGAUUCCUGCAAAAGCCCCCCAAGCCUAACCAGGGAGUGUCAAACAAUGAUGGCGAAGCAACUGAACGGAUAGAGGACUCGAGCACGAAUCUGAGAGUUGGUGGCUCCAGGAAUAUAUAUAUCGCUAACUCUAUACCUGACGCCGGGACCCACUAUGAUUUAGAGAAUUCUUCCUCGAAUUCGUCCUCGCCUUCGCCGUAUGUCAUCAAUUAAAAGAGAUCUAAACCCCGAAAAGGACGGAAAUGAUUUGAAUUUAGAGGACAGUUGGUGGGCGAUUUUGUAAAUGAAGGUGAGAUAUAGAGAGAGAAUGAAAAGGGAUGAAGACAACUAUGGAAGUGAAAUAUAGAGAAAGAAAAUGAAAGUGAUGAAUGAAGAUAAAUUUAGGGUUUGGUAGGAUGAAUAUGUAUAUUUAAUUUUGUAAUAUAAUUAUUAAUAUUUAAACUAUAGUAAUUAAUUAAUAAAAUAUUUGAUUUUUCAAAUAGUAAACUUUACCUAUGAUUCAUGAAAUGAGAUCUCUAAAUCUAUUAGAUUGUGUAAUUUCCACUAAAAUAUGGAAAAAUUAGGCCUUAUACAGCCCCAAUGCAAAGAAGUUGAAAAAUACUUCCUCCAAGUUGAAAAUUUGAAAUUUACGUCAUUCCAUAUAAUUUUCUUUGCGGGUCAAAGGGUAAAAUUAUUUGACAAGACCUUCUCUAUUUUUGGCGAUUAGGAUUCAAUUUUCAGCUUCACUUCGUAGUUCUGCGAUUUUGGGUGAACUAUGUUCAAUAAUUGUUUUCCCCCCUUAUAAAAUUGAAGUGUCAAUUUUAAGCUUCACUUCAUAACUCUGCAAUUUUGGGUGAAUUAUGUUCUAUAUAUAUAUAUAUAUAUAUUUGCCAUUAUAUAAUCAAAUAUAUGGUGUUGCAUUAAAGUGUCAAAUUCAAGUUUAAUAUUUAUGAUUAAUUAGCUAGCAAAUCAUCUGAAUAUAUGUUAAGUAGCAUGUCGGUUUCAUUGAAGUGUCGAAUAUAAAUGAAUUUACGUAGCAUGUUAAUUUCACACAUUUUUAGUGUUUGUCAUCUUUUUUGAGUCUAUGUCACUUUUUUAUAUAACUUUUUUGGAUCUAUGUAACUUUAAUUUAAUUUGUGUCCCUUUUUUUUAUUUAAAUUUCUGUCACUUUUUUGAAUUUUUUCAUUUUUUUUAGUAAUUAUCAUUUUCUUUCAAAUUUUGUCAUUUUUUUAGUGUUUGUCACUUUUUUCUAUCGUCUUGGAAAUUUAUAGCACUUUAUUUUUAGUAACAAACAUCACUUUUUAAUAAAAGUGACAUUGAUGUAAUUUUUUAAUCAAAAAGUUAUACUAAAAUUUUAAAAGUGACAUUGUGUCACUUUUUAAUUUUACACAGUAUUUUUUUAGUUCCAAAAAACGUUUCAUAUGAUUUUUCAAAACACACCUAAUUUUAAGGGUAUUUUUGUAAGUUGCCCAUAAAAUAUUGUCCAUCUCAAACCUUAAAUCCAUUUGCAAUUUCUUAUCUUCUUUCUAUAAGGAAUUUUUAAAUGAAUGUGUGAGCUUAAAUUAUUGUGUAUUAAAUUAAAAGCUAUCAAAUUCGAUUAAACCCAAUUAAAAUGAUCUAAUAAGUUCUGGUAUUUUGGGUUUUAAUGCAUCCAAUUAAAGUGUGAGUAUUUUAUGUAUAGAGACUGGACCCAAGUUCCUAAUUCUAUGAUGGGCUAAAUUAAGUCAAAUGGCGUCAAUAUAUAUAAAUACACUUAUGAUCUCCAGAUCACAUGUGCAUUGCUCAUUCUGUUGUGCCUCCCAUCACCAGAUAGAACUAAGGGCUACGUGUUGAUUUAGAAUACUAAACCGCAAGAUUCAACUAUUGCAUUAACCAUGUCUCAUCAAAUCAUGGAAUAUGACUGCGAAAUUUUGUCAUUGGGUUGCGCAUUGUGGAUAUUAUAGAAAGACUGAUCAAGUUUUUUGUGACAAUAAAUCAGCAGUGCUGUAUUCCAAUAACAGGAGCUCGAUGAAGUCGAAACACGGAGAGAUCAAGUUCCUGACUAUUAAAAAAAGAGUUUAGAAUGGACAAGUGUCAAUAGAGCAUAUCAGGACAAACUCCACGGUUGUAGAUUCACUUACUAAAUGAUUGAUACCCAAGGUCUCAUGCACAUUGCUUAUAUGGGUGUAAUUUGAAGCUUGUAUUUUUUGCUUUUUAUAUUGGACACAUGUUUGGAUAUAGUUUGUGGUUAAAGUUAUUUUCAGUUUUAAAAUUUUGGUUUACUAUCUCUGAACUUGCUUGAAAGGAUCUCACUAAGGUGUUAAGGUGGACCAAUUUAAAAUAGACGUGUUACAGAUCACUUUACAUGUAAUUUUCAUGCUACACAUCUAUGCUUGAUCUAUUUCAUUCAAUUAUAUCGAUAUGUGUAACCAUUGAUGAGUUUAGUUAUGAUGAAAGUUGCAAAAGCCGCUUUGAUCCUAUAUUAAUAUGAUUGAUGGAUAGGAUUGUUUAAAGAUGCAUUCAGUAAUGAUAGCAAAAUUCUGAGUACUGAUAAGAUUAUGUUUAAUGCACAAUUAUAAGAUGACACAUAGCCCAAAUAGGAGAUUGUAAGGAAUUUUUUUAAACAAUCUUGUGAGCUUAUAUUUGUAAAUUAUUGUGUAUUAAAUUAAAGGUUGUCAAAUUUGGUCAAACCUAGUUAAAUUAAUCUAAUAAAUUUUCAGUGUUUUAGGCUUUAAUGCAUCCAAUUAAAGUAUAGGUAUUUUAUGUGUAGAGAUCGAGCCCAGGUUUCUAAUUUUAUGAUGGGCUAAAUUAGGUCUAAGGGCGUCAAUAUAUAUAAAUACGGUUAUGUUACCUAAAUCACACGUGCAUUGGUCAUUCUGUUCUGCCUCCCAUCACCAGAGAGAAUUAAGGGCUGCAUUUUGAUUUGAAAAACUAAACCGUGAGAUUCAACUAUUGCAUUAACUAUGUCUGAUUCAGAAAUGCUUCUACUUUGAUUCUUAAAUUUCUCAAUGAUCCAACAUGAAAGAUCCGAUGAUUUUUUGGCAACAAUUUUUCCUACACUUUCUACUCUCUUCGUGAAUUUCGUUCUCAUCUAUCUUAAAUUUGGUUGUCUAUCUUCAACAACGUAGAUGUUUCCUAUAUUAUUACGAAUAAUUCUCCUCAAACAGGACCAUAAGCAAACUGCCAAUAGGGAGGACAUGUGUCCCUCUUGAAAAAAUAGGGCCAUGUGGCCCUAUUUAUAUAGCACGCCCCGUUAUGAAUAAUUCUAUAGGUUUAACAAUGUUACCUUUAAUAGUGUGCUAUUUAUUGGUCGAUAAUUUGUGGUUUUUAUUUGUCAAAUACAAGUAUUUCCAUUACUUUUUUGAUUUGGAAUAAAAUUGCAUUUUUUAUGUCAUAAAAGUAUUACAUAUCUUGCACUAUCUUUUUCGGUAGAAAUUUAUACAUAAAGGCCCUAAAUUUCGUUUGAUAAUUUUGUUAACAUUUUAAAGAUUUGGUAUAAUUUUUUUUUUUUUAAUCAGUGAAUGGAGCAUAUGACUUCUGAUUUAUUCUUAUAUUAACAUAAAACAAUGAUGGUAGUGUCCUUAAUUUGAAGAAACUUGCAAUUUUAUUUUACUCUUUGCACGAAUACCACUGUAAGACGAAUUUCGUGUCUUAAAAUACAAAAAACGUUACAAUUUUUUAUUUUUGAGAAAUACAAGUGAUGUUGACCUUCUUGUGAUUGCAUAAUUGUAGAAAUCCACAUAUUAAUGAUCUAAAUAUUUGAAAACGAGGAGUCACGUGCUUGAAUCCUGGUUUUCGAGAAUUUGUUGAAAAUUUAAUUUGUUGAUACUUGAUUUAAUCGGUACUUAAGUUACGGGGAUGAACUUGGACUUGAAUUUGAUUCGGUUUGAAGAAGACUUUGAUCUUCUUGAACUUGACGUGGACCUGUUCGAUUAGAAGAAAAUUUUGAUCUUCCUGGGAUUCACGAGAUUUAGGUUUGAGAGGAUUUCUUCUCUUUCUCCGACUUUGAAAUUUCUUCAACACUUCAUGAUUGUCUUCUCUGCUUUCACUUCUUGUUCCUUUCUUAUAGACAAUUGAUUCUAUUUAUAGGAGAAAAUUUGUGCUGAUUUUGGUAAUCACUCAAUUAUAUUCAAUUAAAAAUGAAUAAUUGAGCAAUUAUAAUUUUUAAUUAUUUGUUUAUUUAUUUAAAAGUGAUAUAGGCCUUUGAGUUUAUGGAUCUUAGUAGACUUUAAUAUAAUUGGGCUAAUGAUUUAAAUCGACUCAAUUCAUUUCCUUUAUUUUUUUUAAUUUUUAUGUCUAUAAAUGACCCCUCAAGAUUUAUUUAUUUGUUAUUAAAUUAAUAAAUCUUGAUUUUUGAUUUUGUUUUUCAAUUUUGGAUUUGGUUUUUACUCAAACUUCCCAUUAAUAAAUUAUUACAAACGAAAAAUUUGAGAAUAAUAUAUGAAUUUGAUAAAAAAAAAAAAAAUUAUCCUUCAAAUUUGAGACUAAGAAUUUUUUAUGUUAUUUGAUUAUUUAUUUUAUACAAUCUAAAAAAAUUGAAUUUGAACAGGCUUUUUGUGCUUUAUGGUAAAUUGGGUUUAAGUGAAGUCCGAUAUCUGCUUAUUUAUAUGAAUGAAUUAUGAGAUUUGAAAACAAGUCUGUUAAGCCCCUGUUUGAUUAACAUUAAAUUAAAUUACAUUACAUUCCAUUUUUCUCUCUCCUUUUUUCAACUAUACAAUCUUCUAUAAAAUAAUAUUACACGUAAAUCGAAAACUUUACCUUCUUUUUCAACCACUCAUUUUUCUAAAAAAUACUAUUCCUCCCAUUACCAUUUUCAGGUAAUGGGGGCCAAACAGGGUGUAAAUCUUGCAAACGAAGGUAAAUAAUUCUCUCUCUUUGUGUGUGUGUUUUUUAUUCAUAUUUUCUUUUCUUAGUUUCCGCCACCCAAGGAGACAAAGAAUUGGUUUCUUGGAAUUGGUGCAAUGGAAUUAGUAAAUUGCACCAAUUCCAAUUGUUUCCUCGGUUUUUGCCAAUGGCAUAAACCUUUAUGUAUUUAUUUGUUUGUUUCUUUGUUUCUUUCUCUCUUUUUUUCUCGUUAUUUUAUUUUAUUUUGGAUUUUCGUCGACGGCGGAAAACAAAACAAAGCAAAUUCUAUCUUAAACCAAUUUGGAAACAAAUUCCAAUGGAAUUGUUGGAACUUUCACCAAUUCCAAUUUGGAAUUAAUCGAUAGAAAUCUAACAAUUUUUUUUUAACUAAUAUUUCUUGGUUUUUAUGUUGGACCUCCUUUUUUUUGCCAAUCGUAGAUCUUUGGUUUUCACGGAAACCAAAGUGACCAAUUGGUUUCUACCGUGCAUUUAAUUAUUUUUUUUGACACAUGACACUUUUUUUUUUAUUAAUUUCUUCUUCCUUUCUCUUUCUUCUUGUUGACUAUUCUAGUGAGGUUGUUCUAACAAAAUUGAAACUAACAUUCUUUAUUUUUUUAUGUAGGUAUUCAAAUUUUUGGAGCAAAUCAAGGAUUUUGAGGUUUGAGAUUUUCUUUGUAUAGAGGUUAAAUUUUGUGCCACAAUUAUUUUGUAAGUUUAGAAAAUAUAUGCUUAUAGAAAGACUCAAAAUUGCAAGCAUUUUCGCGCACAUUGAGAACCAAAGACUGGUACUUUUCAGCAUCCAGUGUACUUUUUUUUAGACUAAUGACAUGUUCCUUCAACUGUCCAAGACACUUUAUGUUUGGGACCAAGGACUGACAUUUUUGACUGUCCAUGGCACUUUGUAUUAAAGAUCAUGGACUUGUUCCUUCGACCGUCCAAGACGCUUUAUGUUUGGGACCAAGUACUGGCUCCUUUGACUAUCCAAGACACUUUGAGUUAAGGACCCAUUACACGUUCCUUCGACCGUUCAAAGCACUUUGUAUUUGGGACCAAGGAUUGACUUCUUUAACUAUCCAAGGCACUUUAUGUUAAGGACCAAGGACUGGCUCCUUCGAUUGUCCAAGACACUUUGUGUACUGGUCAUUUACAUAUUUGGGAAACUCAUAAUUUUAGACGACAAUCGAAUUUAAAAGAUCUAUUCUCCCAUUUUUUACUAAUUUGUUUAGGCAUGGCUGGACCAAGUUCUAGCGAUAAAGUAUACUCUAACAUACAUGAAAUUGUUGAGCUUAAAAAUUAAGACAAAAGUUAGCUACGGUUCAAAGAUACUGAUGCGAAGUACCACGCCCAGACUGGCCUAUAAGGUGAACUUAAAUUUAGCGUCCAUAUGUCAACGAUAGGUCAUUCUCCUGACCCUCUGGGGCUAUUGACGGAGUUGUAUAUGUCUACUAUUAGUGAAUGUCAUGAUAGUUUGGAUACUGGCAAGUCCAAUCGCUUUAGCAAUCAUCUUCCCUUUCUGUGUCCUUCUCCUUAUCAUUCCUAGAGCAUGGAUAGAGCAUGGAGUGCAACCCAAAGACCGUAAUUUGUGAGAGGAUUGACAAUAAAAAAAUACGAUGGGGAAGGGCACUGACCAGUCGAUGAGAGAUUUUGUUUCUUCCAAAAUUUCGAGAGGGGUCUUUAUGGAUCCAAAAACUUCUGCUUAAGAGGAAUCUUUGCGAGUUAGCUUUCGCAGUCGAUUCUGCUACAAAAGAUUACCAUCGCUUAAACUCUAUCUAUAGUGUUCUGUGAGGUUGGUGUCUAGAGACCAACACCUUUUGUGACUGCCAAUGGUAAAAUUGGCAUUUCUAUUUGGGACAUCUGCAAGAUAAGUGGGCUUUCGAUCUUGACCGUACCUCUUUAAUGUUUUCAUAUUGAUAGCCAAUGUGAAUGAAUCUAAUUGGGUUACUUAUAAAAAUUGGAUUAAUUUUUGGUUUCAAGAGAAUGGUUGUGUCCAGAAUCCUCGACAACACAAAAAUUAUAAGAAUGCUAUAAAUUUAAAUCCAUUCAAGAGGUGUCAUCAAAGAGUAUCAAAGGAAAUACGAAGACCCACAGUGGUAGACAAGCCGAGAGAUAUUUCUUGUUCGGAUCUGCAUCAUUGGAGUAAUUUGUCAGUAUCUCUGUCUAUAGAAAAAGAAAAGAAAUUAGAGAUAACAUCUUAUCUCUCAUGUGGCUUUGUCGUUUUGUUCUUUCAUCUGGGGUCAAAUAUAUAAGAGUUGGGACUUUUAAAGCAUUUUCUAGGAUAAUAGGCGGGUAUACUUACAGUAUGGUUCUAUCCAUAUUAGCAAGGAUUUGUAGAGGACUUACACGAACAUCGAACCAUCAGACAAACCCAGACUUUCGCUCGAUUUCACAUUCAUUUCCUGGACAUUUUCUUUAAGCUUGGGCUACAAUUUAUUUUGUCAGAGGUGUUUAUGAUCAUGUGGAAAAGAGUUAUUCUAGUCCUACAAUCUGAAGAUAUGUUGACACUCUGAAUACUUUCUAGUCUUAGGAAAAAAAUGUUAUUGAUUGUUGGGACCUUAUUUGUGGAAUGAUGGACGCUAAUGACUUUUGCUAGAAUCCAUUACACUUAUCGUCUCAUCUUGAUGUACAUGUGGAUGACCAACUGAGGUCAGCAAAUACUUCAAAAUUCAUGAUGAGUAUUCAUUUUGAAUUUGUUUCUUAUCGCCGAGGAAAUUCACCUUUCAUUCUUAAGGCGUAUAAUCCUCACAGGUUUGCGAGACAACUUGACUUUAGACAGAAACUUCCCUGUUCACCAAGAAAGUUGGACACUGUCCCUAAUGUAGGCAAAUGUAUAGCGUUUGGUUGUCAUUGACUUGAACGAAAACUGGGUGUGUAUUUCACAUUCCAUAGUAUGUGAGGGAUACUCAUCAAAAUGUUGAUGUUGAGUACGAGGCUUGGUGGAAUAGCCAAGUAUUGCCAAUGUUGACUGGGGUCCAAGUACAGGUUUUAUUUUCUAGCGAGAGCUGUGACUUCGUUCUUGGCCUAACUCCGAACAAGGUCAUAGCUAGAGGGUUAAACCCUCCAAAUGUUGUUCCUGAAGAGACUUCUUGAAAGAGGAAACCAAACCAUCAAAAUGAAAGAGGUAUUAAGAGAAUUAAAAUUAUAGUUUCCUCAGCAAAGAUUGUUGUCACCUCUAAGCGUACUGAUAAGGUGCCAGAAGCGAUUUUGAUUCCAGAUCACAGUGGUCCUAAGGUACCGAGAAAAACUUUAACCCUAGAAGAUGAAAGUUCUAGAUUUAACUUUAAAAAAUUUUCAUUGAUAGGCUCGAUUUGUAGUACAUCUUUGUCGACGAUUUUGUAAGCUUCAUUAUUGAAUGUAUGAGUAACAAGAAACAGACCAUCCUAUAUAGGCUGAAACUUGCUUCCUAUUUUUCUUGUAAUUAUGAUAAGCUUGCGUACGGAAAGUACCAGAUCUCCAACUUGAAAUGAUCUUAGUCACACUUUUUUGUUGAAAAAUUUUACCAUUCGAGUUUGAUAGCACUCUAAGAGCAUUUCCACUUCUAAGCAAUUUUCAUCCAAAACUUCUAACUCUUCCAAUUGAAGGCGGGUAUUUUCUAUUGUUGUCAAACCUUCUUGGAUGGAAAUUAGAAGUGACAGGCUUUAACACUUCAAAUUAUGUAUAACUUCCACUCCAUACACUACAGCGUAAGGGGUGGCUUGUGUUGGAGUCCAACAAGUAGUUUGAUAAGCCCAUAAGACUUCACCAAUUCUCACAUGCCAAUCUCUUUUUGAUUUGGAGACAACCGUUUUUAGUAGACUACAUAAUAUUUUGUUAAACGCCUCUGCCAAUCCAUUAGCUGCUGCAUUGUAUGUGGAUAAGUUGUAUUGUUUAAACCCAAACUUUGCACAUAAAUUGUUUAUGUGGCUAUUGCAGAAUGGCUUGCCAUUAUUAGUUAUAAUGUUUCAUGGGAUCCCAUAUCGAUAAAUGAUCUGGAUACAGAUAUCUGCAACAUUUUCUUUCUUUACUUCCUUCAAUGUUAAGACUUCAGCCCACUCCAAGAAGUAGUCAGUCCCUGUGAGAACGUAUACAUGCUUGAUUGAAGACUUUGGAGUUAUAGGUCUAAUUACAUCAAGACCCAUGCAUCAAACAAUCAUGAAGCUUCUAUUGGAUGUAAAGGUUCCAGAAGUUGAUGGAUGAAAUUCUCAUGGACUUGGCAAGUUUUACAUUUUUUUGACAUAAUCCAUGGAGUCUUGUACCAUAGUUCGCCAGUAAUACCCUAUCCUCUUUAUUAGGAAAUGGAGUUUAGGACCAGAGUGAUAAGCACCACAAAUUCCCGAGUAGGCUUCUUACGACAUGUGUUGCUUCAUCAUUACUUAAGCAUCGAAUGAAAACUCCAUCAAAUGAUCAUCGAUAUAGAGUUCCCUUAUAAAAGACGAAGCGGGAAGCACGCCUCUUGAUUUUCAUUUUUUACUGUGGAUUAUCUGGUAGCUUUUGAUGUUGAAGAAAAUCGAUUAUUGAGUGUCUCCAAUCUUCUCUUUCCUCAUCUUCAACUACUUCAACACUUUUGUUCUCUUCCAAAUUGCUAGGUAGCAAUGAUGGAAGCACCCAUCUUUGAGCAAUUGUUAUGAAGUGGGAGAAAUCUUCAUCUGACCCAGUUAAAAUAGUGGCCAAAUUAGCUAAGGCAUCAACUUCCCUAUUUUUACUUUUCGGGAUGAAUUUGAUUUUUACCAAAUCAAAUUGUCUCAUAAGCAUUGACGCAUUUUCAUGGGUUCAAGUCUAAAUUACGGACUUCAUACUCAGCUAAAAGUUUGUUGAUUAUCAAUUUAAAAUCUCCAAAGACUUUCAGCUGGUAGAUAUUCAUAUCUAACGUUGUCUCGAAGUUAAGGAUAAGGACUUGAUAUUCCACCAUGUUGUUUGAACAUUUCUCUAUUAAGGCAAAAGAGUAGGGCAUGACGAGAUCAUGAAGAGUGACAAAGACUACUCCUGCUUCAACACCAUAACUUUUGUCUACCCCAUCGAAGUAUAGCCUCCAUAAUGGUAUGACUUUGGGGAAUAAGACUUCUUCAUCGGAAAGGUCUUCCUGAAGUUCCCAUUCGGCUGGAAUUGGAUGGAUAGUAAGGAAAUCUGCCAAAACUUGUUCUUUAAUGGCCUUUUGUGGAAUGAAUUUGAUAUCGAACUCAAAUAACAGCAUUGUCUAUUUUUCAAUUCGUCCAGAAAGAAUUAGCCUGGACAUUAUGUACUUCAAUAGAUCAAUCUUCGAAACAAGAUUAAUUUCGUGUGAUAACAUAUAAUACCUCAACUUUUAGCUACGAAGAUUAACGUAAGAGAUAUUUUUUCAAUAGGUGAAUACUUUAUUUCGGCGCCUACCAGUGUCUAGCUUAAGUAAUAGAGUGCUUGCUCUUUUCCUUCAUUUUUGAUUUGGAUAAGAAGUACUCCUAGAGAAUAUUCUUGUGAUACAACAUAAAGAUUCAGUGGCUUCCCAAAACUAUGAGUACCAGUGAACGAGAUAAAUAUUAUUUAAUGCUUUGAAAAGCAUUUCGACAAGCAUCGUCCCACUCAAAUGGUACAUCUUUCUUUACCAAUUUGUUGAAUGGAUGACAAUGUCCAGCAAGGUUAGAGACGAAUCUUCGAAUGUAUACAAUUUUCCAUGAAGACUUUUCAACUCACGUAUAUUUCUUAGCGUUGAAAUGUUGAUUAUAGUGUCAAUUUUUGAUUGAUCUAUUUCAAUGCCCUGGUAUCGAAUAACGAAGCUGAGAAAUUUUUUAGAGGUGACACCAAAUGCACAUUUCAAUGAAUUCAUCUUCAGUUGAUAUCUUCGAAUUUUUUUGAAAACAUCCCAUAAAUCUUGUAAAUGAUCGUCACGUCGUUUUGUUUUAACAACAAGAUCAUCUACAUAGCAUUCCAUGUUCUUAUGCAACAUUUUAUCGAAGAAAUUUUGCAUUGCUCACUGGUAGGUUGCCCCCGCAUUUUUUAAUUCAAAAGGCAUAACUUUGUAAUAAUAUAAGCCUUAAGGAAUACGAAAUGAUAUAAGUUCCUCAUCUUUCGGAUUCAUCCGUAUCUGGUUGUAUCCAAAAAAUUCGUCCAUAAAGGACAAACUUUAUACUUGAUAGUUGCAUCCACCAUCAACUCCGUUAUUCGAAGUGAAAAACAAUCUUUCGGAUAUGCUUGAUUCAAAUCCCAAAAGUCAGUGCAAAUUUGUAAUUGCCCAUUUUUCUUCUUGACAGGAAUAAUGUUUGCGAUCCACAUUAGGUAUUUCAUUUCACGUAUAAAUCCAGCUUCAAUAAGUUUGUUGACUUCUACUUCAAUUUGUGGAUUAGUUCUGGUUGAAAUCUUCUUUGUAGUUGCUAGAUCGGUCAAACUCCAUGUCUUACUGUAAGGUAAUGCACUGCAACCUUAGGAUCUAACCCCGACAAAUUCUUGUAAGACCAUGCAAACACAUCUUUGUAUUCCUAAAGCAAACGAAUGUACUUAGAUUCCUCUUUUUGACUGAGGAGGGUACUUACAAAUACUGGUUUUGGGUCUUUUUUGGUCCCCAAGUUCAAUUGUUUCAAGUUAUCCACAGUAGCUUGUCUUUGGUCUUCAAAUGUGGGUGGGGCUGGGUUAAGUUCAUCAUUUGUGGUAGGACUUUCAGGCUCGGAUUCUGAGUUAGAGCUUCUUCAAAAACUAUGUGACUGACAGAGUCUUCUUUCUUAUCUUCAUUGCCCUUUAAGGAUAGGCGAACUUUUUGAUGUCUUCUUGACUGUUGAGAUUUCGAACUUGGAUCAGAAGUUUUAAUUCCAAGUCGAGAAAAAGCAUAUUAUCUUUAGGAUGACAUCUAGGGAGCUUGUACAUUCCUAUCAAUUUGGGUGGAAGAAGAAGGACCUUCACUUUACCUUUAGAAGAUAGAGGCUUUACCUUUUAUGUCGACUACUGGGGAUGGUUCUCCUUUUAAUCUUUUAAACACCGAAACUCUAGCUUUCUCAUUUUCAACACUGAAGGUCUCGACUAUUCUGAUUUUUCUUCUGCAACUUUGUAAUUUUGAAUCAUGAUGGGGUUUGAGGAAACCUUCACGAUCUUAAUCUUUCUAGGUAGAUUGAGAUCAUAUCCCAAACCAUACCUAGGUCGAGACACCAGGUCUCUAUUAGAAUUAGAAGGUACACACCCUCCUGAAAUGCCAGCAUCAAGGUCACCUAAUUUUCGAGGCUCUUAUUUUCUAAACUUGACAUUUUCAAACAACUUUUUGACUUGAGAAUUGUAACAUCCUUUGAAUUUCUGUUUUGAUUCAAGAGCUGCUUCUUGUUUGGACGAGCUAGAAGCACCAAGCUUUGAUAUGUCUGGAAUGGAUGUCGAAGCUUCUGAUAUAGGUUUGUGUUCUCCCAAAACCACCGUAAGUUGAUGGGGUAGAAGCAAUUUCGAAAUACUAACUAUUGUAAGAGUUAUCUCUUUUCUCAAUAUCUCAAUAUCGGUGGAUUCUAUUUGAGGUUUUUUACCUCUAGAGAAUCCUUCAGAUGUAAAUUUUGACUUAUCUUUGGUAAGUUGAUGAGAUUGAGCAGCACUAGAUGUAUCAUGAUCAUCUAUAUCUUCAUUGAUUUUGAAUCCAAACAUGGUCAACCCUACAGAGUUACACUCUUCAUCUUCAUUGUAAAAUUUGGUAUCAGCAAAGAGAUUCUUCUUCUAGAAAGGUUUGGACUCAGCUACCACACGUUUGAUUUCUCUGUCCCUACUAUAUUUGAAGCAUGGUGCCAAGUCAAAGGUAUUACUCUAAUUUUAUGCAGUCAAACACGUCCAAGGAAUAACUUGUAUGAUGUUUUAGCAUCAAUGACAUAGAAGAGAGUUGAGGAGAUUAACUCUCCUAUUUGCAGCUUUAGGUGAAUCAUGCCAAUGGCUCCUGACUUUUUUGAUUGAAUCCUUGAAUCAUGAUUUUCCUUCUAGAUAGAUAACCAACAUUAAUUCCAAAAUUUUUCAUUAUUUUGACCGACAUAAUAUUUACAGUAGAUCCACAAUCGAUUAUUAUGCUACUUAUCCUACAUUGUCGAAUAUAAUCACUAAUAUACAGUAGUCUAUUAUGUAAACGAAAACCCAAUUGUAAAUCAUUAUCAUCGAAUGUUAUGGCAACCAUACAAUCUUGUUGGAUUAUGCAUCCAAUAUGUUCUGAGACUUUGCCUUCAUAUUCUUCCCAAUCGAUUAAUGCCAUGAACAAAGCCAUUCGAUCAUCGAAAUGAAGACUAAUAGACUCUGCUAAACUCGUGUUGACUGGGCUAUUGUUGAGUCGUGAGAUAGUAUUAUUCUAUUUUGAAUCCAAACAUGGUCAACCCUGCAGAGUUACACUCUUCAUCUCAUUUUUUUUUAUCCACAUUGAUAACAUUGGAGGUAAAACAUUACUUGUCAAAGAAACCCUUGGGAAAAUAAUCUCCCAAGGUUGGUAAUCUAGGAGGAAUAUGUGAAGUAGCUUCUAACAUCAUUGAUUUAGUAAAUACUCUUGGCUUAGCUUUAGACCUUCUUCUUUGGUUGUUCCUUGGUCUUGAUUUUUUGUUAUAAACACUAGAAUUUGGGAGUUGUGGAGCCUUUUAACAACGUCUUUUCACAAGAGUCCAUGGCCUUGAUCUUCUUCUAGUGCUUCUUAUUUAUUAGGUUGAAUUUUUGUACCCAAUUUUCCCAUCUUUGGUCCUGUAAGAGGCGUAGGAGGUGACAUUUUAUUCGUUUUGUUUAACAUUCUUUAUUUCUCUUUCUUGCUUAUAAAGGUAGACCAGCCAUCACCGAUCUUGUCUUCAGACUCCAAGCAGAAUCCCAAACAUCUAAGUCACUUGUCAUAAUUUCGUAAAAGGUUGGACGAUUGGAUGCACUUGGUCCAUCUAUCCCCGGAUAGAUGUAAUUAAUAUUGAUUUCUCCGUCUACCUCAAAUUCUACUGGGAUGGCUCCUUUUGAAAGUUGAGGUCCAAACUCUUCAAUCGAGGAUUUACAGGCAUCGUGUACAUUAGGUGUCUUCCCUAUAAUGAAAAUUGGAUCAAAUGAUCCAGACAAAACCAUCGAGCAGACGGUUGUUGGAUUCUCUUCGAUAUCAAGUUUGAUCUUAUUUUCUUUAUCCAGGCGAACAAUAAAAUCUUUCAAGACGGAAGCAUUUUUCCAUUGGGUAGUUAAUGAUUCCAUAAAAUUUAUAGUAUUUAGGAUGAUUGAACUUACAAGCUUUCUAGGGUCUUUUUGGUACUGAAAGUUUGAUUAUCUUCUAUUCAAGAAGUUGAUCUAGGAAUUUAGAAUCUGAGAAUGGGUACUUCUUUCCUUCAUGUUCUUUCAAAGUCACGUGACCUCCACUUUGGACUUGUGCUUUGCUAGGUCUAAACUCUGGCUUCAGUUUUAGGUUCGAGCUUAACCCCUUGAAGGCUAUCUUUGCUGGAACAGUAGAAAUCACCACAGCUUCUUUGGAUUUACUUUCCUUGAUGUCCUUCUUUAUUUCCUUCUUAGAAUCUUUCUUGUCAAGUGGAUCACUUGAUAAGUAACUCCCAUGCCUUGCAAUUUAGAGCUUCAAGUCAUGAAUACGUGUCACCAAUUCUUCGAAUGAGUGAGGCAUAUUUGCUUGGAGAUUAUAGAGUAAUCCCCAAUGCAUGUUUUGGUCGCACAUAUACAUGGAAGAUGCUUCACUUAUUCAUUCUUUAUAAUUAAGAAUGAGGUUCAUCCAGCGUUCGAUGUACUCUACAAUAGUUUCUUCCUUGCUCUGCUUCAUUCGACCAAGUUCUGGAAGGCUGGCAGUUCGUUGGGUGUUGUAGAAGCGUGUUAGAAAUUCUCGAUCGAGUUGAUCCCAACUAUCAAUUGACCCAGUUGGUAAAUCUGUGGGCCAUUCAAACGUGUCACCUUUAAGAGAACAUACAAAUUGCUUCACCAUGGUGUCAUUGUAUGCGCUUAUAUUGUUGUGUGUCUCAAUGAAAUGAGCAACAUGCUAUUUUUGGUUGUUCUUUCUAUCAAAGCAUUGAAAUUUUGAAGGUUGCUAACUGAGUGGCAUCUUUAUUUCGUCGAUUUGACAACUAUAGAGCUUGGCAUAUACCUUUGAAGAUUGCAAUGAACCAUCAUACUGAGUACGAAUGAUGUCUGCAAUCAUAUGUUGAAGUUGUUGAAUGGAUAGAGAGCCAACAGAGAGUUGAGUGGUAUCACACAAAAUGUUUGGACCAAUUGGCGCACUUGGACUUCUAACUUUUUGGCCUUGGAAAAUCCUGAAUUUUUAUGAUCUUUUUUAAUCGGCAGAUUUUGCAACUCUAGCCCAUGCAUGAGCGCAGCAAUCUAUACAUCUUUAUCUUCUAGUGACUUUGUUAAUUUUUCAAUGGCUAAAGUCAUUUGUUGAAUUCAAUCAUCUGAGCCUGAUGCCGUUUCUAUGACCAUCACUAGCUCAAGUGAUUCUUCAAAUGAAGAAUCAUCUUCUACCUUUGCUGAGAAGUGGCAUGAGAGGAUCCAAAGAAUGAUCUAUCAUUGGAGAUGGAGCCCGAACGAGAGCUUUUCGCCGAACUCAUAGUCUUUUUUGUUGAAUGAGAGUUUGAAUUUUUAAAGGCAAUUUUAAUUUUGCCUUUGUUGGAAAAUUUCAUCAGUGAUGGGACCAGUUGAGUUUUCCCAGUUUUGUUUGGGCCUUGAUCGCGUGGAAGAGUUUGGGAAGUGUCUCUUCAAGAUGAGUUAUAGUUGGUUUUGCCUUUUCGCUUACCAUUGCUGAUAUAGUGACUGAAAGUUGAAGAUUCUGAUAUCAAAAGAUGAGAGGACAAGAAGGUCCCACCGAGUAUGCUAAGAAAUUUAUACGAUGAAUUUUAUGUAUUGAAAUACAGAAAUCCUUACAAAUUGCAUUUUUUAGAAAUACAAGUGAUUUUGACCUUCUUGUGAUUGAAAAAUGGCGAAAAUCCUCUUAUUAAUGAUCUGAAUAUUUUGAAGACGAGGUGUCACAUGACUUGAAUUCUGGUCUUCGAAAAUAUGUUGAAAUUUUGAUUUGUUGAUACUUGACUUAUCCAGCACUUGAGUUUUGGGACUUGGACUCGUGCUUGAAUUUGAUUUGAUUUAACGAAGACUUUGGUCUUCUUGAAUUUGGCGUGGACCUGUUAGAUUCGAAGAAGGUUUUGAUCUUUUUGGGAUUUACCGAAUUUAGGUUUGAGAGGAUUUCUUCUCCUCCUUCGACUUUGAAAUUUUUUCAGCACUUCAUAAUUGCCUUCUUUGCUUUCACUUAUUGUUCUUUUCUUAUGGACGAUUGGUCCUAUUUAUUGGAGAAAAUUUGAGCUAAUUUUGGUAGUCACUCAAUUAUAUUUAGUUAAAAAUGAAUAAUUGAGUAAUUAUGAUUUUUAUUUGUUUACUUAUUUAAACGUGAGAUGGGCUUUCGGGUUUAUGGACCUUAGUCGACUUUAAUUUAAUUGAACUAAUAAUUUAAAUCGACCCAACCCAUUUUCUUUAUUAUUAUUAUUAUUUUUUAUGCCUAUAAAUGCCCCCUCAAGAUUAAUUUAUUUAUUAUGAAAUAAAUAAAUUAAUAAAUCUUGAUUUUUGAUUUUAUUUUUUUUUCAAUUUUGGAUUUGAUUUUAACUCAAACUUCCCAUUAGUAAAUUAUUAUAAAUGAAAAAAUCGAGAUAAAAUGGGAAUUUGAUAAAAAAAAAAAAAAAAUUAUCCUUCAAAUUUGAGAAUAAGAAUUUUUUUUAUGUUAUUUGAUUUUUUUAUUUAUUUUAUACAAUCUAAAAAAUUUUGAAUUUGAAUAGGCCAUUUGCGCUUUAUGGUAAAUUAGGCUUAAGUGAAAUAUGAUAUCUGUCUAUUUAUAUGAAUAAACUAUGAGAUUUGGAAACAAGUCUGUUAAAUCUUGCAAACAAAGGCAAAUAAUUCUUUUUUUCUUUUUUCUUUUUUUAACUCUCUCUCUCUCUCUCUCUAUUUUUUCCCUUAUUUUCUCUCUUUUUUCUCAUAUUUUCUUUUCUCGGUUUCCGCCACCCAAGGAGACAAAGAAUUUGAUGCGAACCCCGUAGCAAUGGAAACUACGAAACCCACAACGAGAUUGAUGCGGAACCCAAGAACGCCAAUACUAACCCGAUUUUGAAUCUUGAACCUCAAGAAUUGAACCAAGAAAUCCUAGAUUAGCGAAAAAACUAAAACCCCUUGAUUACAAUUAAAAGAACCCACAAUCCGAUUGUUUAGAAUGACAUAAGAAACUAAAUCUUGAUAAGUUCCAAGAUUGUUCAAGAAGAACAAGAAAUUGAAAGAACAAUUCUCUCUCUAUAAUAUUAAGCAAAAGUCAAAAGUUCUUACAAUGAAAAAUAUUCUCCUAUUUAUACUAAUGAAUAAAAACGUCCAAAACCAUCAAAUUAUGGUAAUAAUUUGAUUUCAUAAGAAUUCUAUUGAAACUAGGAAAUUCGGCCAAAAUUAGAAAAUUCGCCAAUUUUUUGGCUUGUGCGGCCGCAUGGUGUAUUUCCAUGCGGUCGCAUGGUUCAACAAGAAUUGGUCUUUUGGUUUUCGGUAUGCAUGUGUGCGCCACAUAUUGUUUUGCCUGUGCGGCCGCACAUACUUGUUUUCAGUCUCCGCUUUCGUUGCUUGAUAACAAAUUGAUCCAAGUUGAUUCGGCCUUCGACCCGAACAUGAAAGUUGCUCCAUCUGGAGUCCUGAACAUGGUUCCAUCAAUGGUUUCUUGAACAAGCAAUCCCAUCGUUUGUUUCACUUGCUUUGCCCUUGAUCGCGUCAUUGGUCCGCCAUCGACUAUCAACGGGUCUCAUCUCGCACUUGCCUUCGUUGGGCUCGACUCCUGGAUCAUAUCAUUCCCUCCCUCUUCAAAAGGAUUCGUCUUCGAAUUUGAACCUGCAUCAAACAGAGAGAGAUCAGAUACAUUAAAAGUAGCUGAAACAUUAUACUCACUAGGUAAAAUCACUUUGUAUGCAUUGUCAUUGAUCCUCUCAAUGAUUUGAAACGGUCCAUCGCCUCGUGGUUGCAAUUUUGACUUCCUCUGUUUUGGAAAACGUUCUUUUCUGAAAUGCACCCAGACCCAAUCUCCAGGCUCAAAUGUAACGCGUCUUCUUUCUUUAUUUGCUUUUGAUGCAAUCAGCUUUCCUUUCUCUUUGAUCUGCAUUCUGACCUUUUCAUGGAGUGUUUUCACCAUCUUGGCUUUUCGUUUCCCAUCCAAGCUACCUCGUUCAUGCACAGGUAAAGGCAUUAAAUCCAUAGGUGUUAGUAAAUUAAAACCAUAAACAAUUUCAAAAGUAGAAAACGAAGUAGUAGAAUGUGUAGCUCGAUUAUAUGCAAACUCUAUAAACGGUAAACACUCUUCCCAUGAUUUCAGAUUUUUAUUGAUUACUGUCCUAAGUAGUUGAGUCAUAGUUCGAUUAACUACCUCAGUUUGUCCAUCUGUUUGUGGGUGACAAGUUGUAGAAAAUAAUAACUUAGUUCCUAACUUACUCCACAGAACACGCCAAAAAAUUACUCAAAAACUUCACGUCCUUAUCAGACACUAUACUUUUAGGUACUCCAUGUAAACGUACUAUUUCCCUAAAGAAUAAGUCUACAAUAUUAGUAGUAUCGUCAGUUUUAUGACAUGGUAUGAAGUACGCCAUCUUACUAAACCUAUCGACCACUACAAAUAUUGAAUCCCGACUCCUUUUUGUCCUAGGCAAACUUAACACAAAGUCCAUAGAUAUGUCUACCCAAGGUUCACUAGGUACAGGCAAAGGAGUAUACAAACCGUGGGAUUGAACCUUAGACUUAGCCUUUUUAAAAGUUAUGCACUUUCCACAUAUUUGUUCUACUCCAUGUCGCAUUUUAGGCCAAUAAAAAUGUUCCCCUAACAUGUCUAAAGUCUUUUGAACCCCGAAGUGUCCCAUUAAACCACCCCCAUAUGCUUCCCUUACCAAUAAUUCACGCAAAGAACAAUUAGGAAUGCACAACUUAUCUUCCCUAAACAAAUAUCAUUCAUCCCUAUAGAAUUUAUCAAAUGCACCUUUGUCACAUGAAGCAUAAAAACUAGAAAAAUCACAAUUAGAUUCAUACAUGCGCUUAAUAUGCUCGAAACCAAGUAAUUUAGUACUUAAUGAAUUUAAAAGCACGUACCGUCGAGACAACACAUCAGCAGCUAUAUUUUCGUUACCUUGUUUUUACUUGAUGACGUAGGAAAAUGUCUCGAUAAACUCCACCCAUCUCGCAUGUCUUUUGUUCAACUUACCUUGACCUCGCAAAUGCUUUAAAGAUUCAUGACCGAUGUAUAUCACGAAUUCCUUUGACCAUAAGUAGUGCUGCCAAGUCUCCAAUGCUCGAACAACUGAAUACAGCUCCUUGUCAUAUGUCGGAUAAUUCAAUGUUGCCCCACUCAACUUUUCGCUGAAGCAAGCAAUAGGUCUCCUUUCCUGCAUUAACACUGCUCCCAUACCUAUUCCUGAUGCAUCACACUCAACCUCGAAUGUUUUAUCAAAAUUUGGUAAUGCCAAAACAGGUGCUUUACAUAGCUUAUCCCUAAUUGUGUUAAAUGCAAUUUCUUGAGAUUCUCCCCAAUGGAAACCUAUACUCUUCUUUACUAUUUCAAUCAACGAUGUGGUGAUGGUGCUAAAAUUUGUUACAAAUCGCCUAUAAAAACUAGCCAAUCCAUGAAAACUCCUAAUUUCAAUUAUAGUCUUAGGUGUUGGCCAUUCUUUAAUAGCUUUUAUCUUUUCUUCAUCGACUUCCACCCCGUUAGCACUAACCACAAAUCCUAAGAAAACAACUCUAUCCAUGCAAAAUGUGCACUUUUUGAAAUUAGCAUAUAGUUGUUCCUUUCACAACACAACAAGCACACAAUUUAAAUGUUCUAAAUGCUCAUUUAGGUUCUUGCUAUAGAUUAAGAUGUCAUCAAACUAAAUUACAGCAAAUUUCCCAAUAAAAGCAUGCAAAACAUGGUUCAUUAAAUGCAUAAAAGUGAUCGGUGCAUUAGUGAGUCCAAAUGGCAUAACUAACCAUUCAUACAAUCCAUACUUAGUCUUAAACGCCGUUUUCCAUUCAUCACCCUCUCGCAUGCGAAUUUGAUGAUACCCACUCUUAAGAUCAAUCUUACUAAAAAUGCAAGCACCAUACAACUCAUCAAACAUAUUAUCUAGCCUAGGUAUUGGGUGACGAUACUUUACCGUGAUAUUGUUGAUAGCUCGGUAAUCCACGCACAUUCUCCAAAUCCCGUCCUUCUUAGGCACCAACAAGACAGGUACAGCACAUGGACUCAUGCUCUCCCUGACAUAACCUUUGCUCAUCAACUCCUCCACUUGAUUUUGAAGCUCCUUCGUCUCCUCGGGAUUGCUUCGGUAAGCUGGUCGAUUCAGUAUGACAGCUCUGGGUACAAAGUCAAUCUGGUACUCAAUGCCUCUGAUUGGUGGCAAUCUACUUGGCAUCUCCUCAGGGAACACAUCGUCGAACUCCUGCAAUAAAGACUUAACCAAACUAGGGAGGGAUGUGUUAGAAUCCUCAAAAUUGAGGAGGGAUUCCUUGUACACUAACAAUAUCAUUUGCCUAUUAUCACUCAUAGCCUUUUUCAACUCACUCUCUUUUGCAUAAAAGUUGACCUUUGGCUUUUCUCUCCGCUCAGCUGACUCUUUUUCUCUCCUCUCAUCUGACUCCUUUUCUCUCCGCUCAUGUGGCUUCUCUCUCUUUUCUCCACUCUCAGCCACCUCACUAUUUUCUCUCUUAUUGAUGGUUUCACUAUUGCCUCUCCUUUUUCCUGACUCUCUUAUUCUCUCGUCUUCCUCACUUUUCAGCUUGAUUUAAUCUCCAUACACUUGUGCCGAUGUUAAUGGCGCAAGAGUAAUAGUCUUCCCAUCCUUGACAAAGCUAUAACGAUUCCUAUAUCCAUCAUGUGUGACCCUUCUAUCAUAUUGCCAUGGUCUUCCUAACAAGAUAUGACCCACAUGCAUAGGCACCACAUCACAUACUACUUUGUCACUAUAACUCCCAAUUGAGAAAUUAAUUAAAACUCUUUUAUUCACGCUAACUUCCCCACUUUUAUUCAACCAUUGCAACUUAUAAGGCCUAGGUUGUCUUAACAAUGCUAGUCCUAUUUUCUCAACUAAAAUUGUGCUAGCUAUAUUCGUGCAACUCCCACCAUCAAUAAUCAUACUAUAUACCUUAUCGUUGACGUAACAACAUGUGUGGAAUAUAUUUUCUCGCUGCUGCUCCGAAUUAUCCACUUUGACUUGAGUGUUAAGAGCUCUCCUUGACACCAACGAUUCCCCAAUAGCAAACUCCAAUUUUUCUUCUUCUUCAACGUCCUCCAAUGCAGGCAUGUCCUCAAACUCUCCUUCACUUUCACUCACCACCUCUCCAUUAUCCAACAACACCAUUACCCGUUUAUUUGGGUAUUGAGAAGCAAUGUGCCCUAACCCCAAGCAUCUGAAACACUUGAUGUCUCAAUUCCUUGAUGGUUGUGAAUUUGUUUUGGGUGCUGUUUUGCUAGCACUUUCUUCUUUCCCUUUCUGCCACUCAUUCCUACCUUUAGGUACAGCUUUAUCACUUUUGUUGUUGUUGUUCCACCCUGGCUUCCAAGAUGGAUUAACACUCAAAGUUCCUAACGGCUGCCUAGCUAUCCCUUUUCUCUUCAAUUGUCUCUCUACCUUCAUAGCCACAUGCAACAUGUCUUCCAACUCCACAUAAUGUUGCAACUCCACUACAUUGGCAAUUUCCCUAUUCAACCCAUUCAAGAAUCAUGCCACGGUAGCCUCCCGAUCCUCCACCACAUUGGCCCUAAUCAUGAGUAUUUCCAUCUCCAUAUGAUAGCCCUCUACACUUUUCGAUCCUUGAUAUAGACUUUACAGUUUUUGAUGGAUCUGUUAGUAAUAGUGGCUAGGAACAAACCUCUUUCUCAUCAAUGACUUCAAUUCCUCCCAAGUGUUGAUUGCUCUUCCCCCACUCCUACGUUGUGAAGUAAUCACUUGAUCCCACCAUGACAUUGCAUAGUCACUGAACUCCAAAACUGCUAACUUCACAUUUUUCUCCUCCGAGUAGUUAUAACACUCGAAGAUCAUUUCAACCUUCCUUUCCCACUCCAGGUAUGCCUCGGGAUCACUCCUUCCUUUGAAUGAAGAAACUGUCAUUUUUAUAUUUCCCAAAUUUCCAUCAAAUUCCUCCCCGCGAUCAUUCCGACCCCGUCUGUCGAACCUAUUGCCUCUAUUCCUCAUCCUUCCCAUAUCAACACCGUGAAAUUCAUCUUCGCCCAUGUCACUCCAAUAUCCAUACUACUCUCGCCUUUCCCUCCUAGGCUCCCAUCUAUGCGGUCUUGUGGCAUUGGAUACAUCCACUCGAUGCCCCCGACUAAGAUUAGCCACCGAUGUAUCUAAUCUAUUCAUCCAAGCCUCCUGCUUCUCCAACCUAUCUCUCACAUCUCCAAAUGCUCUCUCAAACCUCUGCACCAAAUCCUCCGAUGCAUUGCUAUUAUUGCCUUGUCGGCUUGAAUUUGAUUCUGCCAUUUCUGACAUCCUAACACUAAAAUUUUUUAUUUUACUGCCUCACCAAAAGUCACUCGAAAACACACAAGGGCUUUUACCCUCUAUUAAGCUCACCUCCCUGCCUUUAGCCACUCAGUUCUUUCAACAAUUGCCUCUAGGAACAAUCAAUGAACUCAAUCAAUCAAUCAAUUCGUGUAGAAUUCCCCAAACCGGAUGUGACUCAAUAAUUGUAAUAAAGGACUCAAAGAAAACUUUUAAAAUUUGACUUGAAUUGAAGGAAUGUAAUGAUUCAAUGUGUCCAAGUAAUUUAGAAACGAUAUUGAAUAAUAAAAGUUGGUAUUUGAAGGAUCAAUAAUAUUUAAUAAUUUUUUUUUAUAUCCAAAAAUCAAUAACAAAACCAACAAAGAAAAUGAAAACUGAUUUGGGCAAAAAUUGAGCCCAGAAACGGAAUUUGAAGAUUUUUGAUGAAACUUUUGGAUCAAAGGAUCAAGAAAACCUUUUGGACACAAGAACACAAGGAAUUGAAAAAAAAUAGAAAACAAAGGAUAUAGCCUGAUUAAAUUGGAGCCAAAGCUCUGAUACCAACUGAUACGAACCCCGUAGCAAUGAAAACUACGAAACCCACAACGAGAUUGAUACGGAACCCAAGAAUGCCAAUACUAACCCGGUUUUGGAUCUUAACCCCAAGAAUUGAACCAAGAAACCCUAGAUUAGCGAAGAACCUAAAACCCCUUGAUUACAAUUAAAAGAACCCACAAUCCGAUUGUUUAGAACGCCACAGGAAAUUGAAUCUUGAUAAGUUCCAAGAUUGUUCAAGAAGAAAAAGAAAUUGAAAGAACAAUUCUCUCUCUAUAAUAUUAAGCAAAAGUCAGAAGUUCUUACAAUGAAAAAUAUUAUUUUAUUUAUACUAAUGAAUAAAAACGUCCAAAACCAUCAAAUUAUGGUAAUAAUUUGAUUUCAUAAGAAUUCUAUCAAAACUAGGAAAUUCGGCCAAAAUUAAAAAAUUCACCAAUUUUUUGGCUUGUUGGCCGCAUGGUGUAUUUCCAUGCGGUCGCAUGGUUCAACAAGAAUUGGCCUUUUGGUUUUCGGUAUGCAUGUGUGCGGCCACAUGUUGUUUUGCCUGUGCAGCCGCACAGACUUGUUUUCAACCUCCGCUUUCGUCGCUUGGUAACAAAUUGACCCAAGUUGAUUCGGCCUUCGAUCAGAACAUGAAAGUUACUCCAUUUUGAGUCCUGAACAUGGUUCCAUCAAUGUUUUCUUGAACGAGCAAUCCCAUCACUUGUUUCACUUGCUUUGCCCUUGAUCGCGUCAUUAGUCAGCCAUCGACUAUCAACGGGUCUCGUCUCGCACUUGCCUUCGUCGGGCUCGACUCCUAGAUCAUAUCAGAAUUGGUUUCUUGGAAUUGAUACAGUGAAAUUGGUGAAUUGCAUCAAUUCCAACUGUUUCCUUGGUAUUUGCCAAUGGCAGAAACCUUUAUAUAUUUAUUUUUAUUUAUUUAUUUAUAUUUUUUCGUUUCUUUCUCUUUUUUCUUCUCGUUAUUUUUUUUUAAUUUUGGAUUUCCAUCGAUGGUAGAAAAUAAAACAAAUUUUGUUUGAACCCAAUUUGAAACUGGUAAAAACCAAUUCCAAUGGAAUUAUUGGAACUUUCACCAAUUCCAAUUCGGAAUUGGUCGAAAAACCAAAAAUAUAUUUGGUUUUAUGGAAAACCAAAGUGACCAAUUGGUUUCUACCGAGCAUUUAAUUGUUUUUGCUCCUUUUUUUUAUUCGUUUCAUCUUCCUUUCUCUUUCUUCUUGUUAACUAUUUUAGUGAGGCUAUUUUAACAAAAUUGAAACUAACAUUUUUCAUUUUUUUAUGCAAGGAUUCAAAUAUUUGGUGCAAAUGAAGGAUUUUGAGGUUCGAGAUUUUCUUUGUGUGGAGGUUAAAUUUUGUUCCGCAAUUAAUUUUUAAGUUCAGGAAAUAUAUGCUUAUAGACAGACUCAAAAUUACAAACCUUUUAGGGCACAUUGAGGACCAAAGACUGCUACUAUUCACCAUCCAAUGCACUUUUUGUUGGAAACCAAUGACAUGUUCAUUCGAUCGUCUUGACCAAGGACUCGCUCCUUUGACUAUCUAAUGCACUUUGUGUUUGGGACCAAGGACUGGUUGAUUCGAUUGUCCAAGGCACUUUGUGCUUGGGACCAAAAACUGGCUCCUUCGACUCUCCAAGACACUUUGUAAUAAGGACCAAUGACCUGUUUCUUCGACCGUCCAAGGUACUUUGUGUUUGGAACCAAGGACUGGCUCCUUCGACUAUCCAAUGCACUUGUGUUAAGGACCAAGGACAUGUUCCUUCGAUCGCCCAAACACUUCGUGUUUGAAGCCAAGGACUGGUUUCUUCAACUGUCCAAGACACUUUGUAGUAAGGACUAAUAACCUAUUUCUUCGAUGGUCCAAGGCACUUUGUGUUUGGAACCAAAGACUGGCUCCUUCGACUGUCCAAUGCACUUGUGUUAAGGACCAAGGACAUGUUCCUUCGACCGUUCAAACACUUUGUGUUUGAAGCUAAGGACUGGUUUCUUCAACUGUCCAAGACACUUUGUGUUAAGGACCAAGGAUUAGCUCAUUCGACUGUUCAAGACACUUUGUGUUGAGGCCAUUUACAUAUUUGGGAGGCUCGUAAUUUUAGACUAUAAACAAAUUUAAAAGAUCUACUCCUCCUUUUUAUUGCUAAUUUUUCAGGCAUGGUUGUAACAAGUUCUAAUGAUAAAGUAUACUUUGUUAUACAUGAAAUUUUUUAUCUUAAAAAUCUAGGCAAAAGUUAUCUACAUUACAAAGAUACUGAUGUGAAGUACCACGCCAGACUAGUCUACAAGGUGGACUUAAAUUUAGCAUCCAUAAGUCAACGAUAGAUCCUUCUCCCAACCUUCUAGAGCCAUUGUCAGAGUUGUAUAUGCCCACCAUUAGUGAAUAUCACGAGAGUUUGGAUACUGGCAAAUCCAACAACUCUAGCAAUCAUCUUUCCUUUCUGUAUCCUUUGCCUCAUCAUUUUCGAAGUAUGGAGUGCAUCCGAAAGGCCGUAAUUUGUGAGAGGAUUGACAAUAAAGAAAUACGAUGGGGAAGCACACUGACCAGUCGAGGAGAGAUUUUUUUUUCCAAAAUUUUAGGAGUGGUCUUUAUGAGUCCAAAAACUUCUACUAAAGAAGAAUCUCGCGAGUUAGCUUCCGCAGUCAAUUCUGCUACAAAAGAUUACCAUCGCCCAAACUCUAUCUAUAGAGCUCUUUGCGAGGUUUGGUGUCCAGAGACCAACACUUUUGUGAUUGCCAAUGUUGAAAUUGGCAUUUCUCCUUGGGACAUCGGCGAGAUAAGUGGGCUACCAUAGGUCAUUACUAUGAGGAUGUAGUCCCAAGCGUUUCAGAGUUGACGGGUCAUUUUUCCAAGUCUUAUCUGUACCUCUUUAAUGUUUUCGUAUUGGUCGCCAAUGCGAAUGAAUCUGAUUGGUUACUCAUGAAAAUUGGAUUGAUUUUUCAUUUCGCGAGAAUUGUUAUGUCCAUAAUCCUCGACAACACAAAAAUUAUAAGAAUGCUAUGAAUUUAAAUCCAUUCAAGAGGCGUCAUGACAGAGCAUCGAAGGAAAAAUGGAGGCCCGUGGUGGUAGUUAAACCGAGAGAUAUUUCUUGUAGGGAUCUACGUCAUUGGAGUAAUUUGCUAGUAUUUUUGCCUCUUGAAGAAGAGGAAUUAGAGUAUCACUUUAUCUCUCCCUGUGGGUUUGUCGCUUCGUUCUUCUAUCUAGAAACGAAUGUAUAAGAGUUGGGAAUUUUAAAGCAUCUUCUAGGAUGGAAGGUGAGUACAUUUAUAGCCUGGUUCCAUUAUAUUAGCGAGCAUUUAUAGAGGAAUUACACGAACAUCUAAUCAUUAGACAAACUCAUACCUUGGCUCGAUUUCAUAUUCAUUUCUUGGACAUUUUCUUUAUGCUUGGGCUGCAACUUAUUUUCUCCAAGGUGUUUAUACCAUAUGGACAAAAGUUAUUCACGUCUACAAUCCGAAGAUAUGCUAGCACUCUAAAUGCUAUUCAAUCUUAGGAGAAAAAUGUUGUUGAUUGUUGAGACAUUAUUCGUAGAACGAUGGAUGCCAAUGACUUUUGUUGGAAUCCAUUACCCUCAUCGUCUCAUCCUAAUGUGCGUGUGGAUGACCAAUCAAGGUCUGCAGAUACUUCAGAAUUCAUGAUGAGUAUUCGAUUUGGAUUUUUUUCUUAUCGCCGAGGAAAUUCACCAAGAAAGUUGGACAUUCCUCCAAUGGCGACAUGUAUCUCGUUUGGUUGUCUUUGACUCGGAUGAAAAGUGGGCUUGUAUUUCACAUUCCAGAGUACGUGAGGGAUACUCAUCAAAAUGUUGAUGUUGAGUACUAUGCUUGGUAGAAUAGCCUAGAGUUGCCAAUCUUGAUCAAGAUCCAAGUACAGGUCUUAUCUUCUAGCAGAGGAAUAAAAUAAAAGUGAAGAAAAUAUGUGGAAAGAUUAGCAGGGGAAUUGAAUUGAUUAAAGUAAAGAAAUUGAAGAGAGGUUCGCAGAGGAAUUAAUAUUUUAUUAAAGACGAUAUGUGGAGAAAAUACAAGAAUUCAGCAAUUAAACUUCACCUAAACUAAAUGAAAAGCUACAUGUUUAUACGGAUACACCAAACCCUAGAAAUAUCAUAGAGAUAGAAAUAACAUAAAAAAUAAUGUGGAAUAAAGUAAAUAAUAUUUUUCCAACAAAAUCACGUGAAAAAUAAGGAAUCUAUAUUUCCAAUAAAAUCACGUGAAAAUAAGGAAACAAUAUUUUUCAAAAAAUCGAGCCUAAUUUGGGGUGCAAAAUCUAAUAAUAUAAAGAAUAAUGACAAUGUCCUUAAUUUUAAGAAGUUUACAAUUUUAUUUUAUUUUAUUUUUUUGCACGGAUGCCACUUUUUUUUUUUUUUUUUUUUUUUUUCCUUUUCCACGGAAAGUUAAUUCAUUAAUGAAAUUAAAACUUAAAAAAUAUGAUAUUUGGUAGUUUUCUUGGUUAUGGUUGGUACUCCUCCAGCCAGCCUUACACAGAAAACAUAAAAUUCUCAAUAAAAUCAUUUUCAAUUUAGUUUGACCUAUCCCACUUGAUAAAAAAGUUGUUUAGCUUAUUUCACUGCAAGUCAUUUUCUAGCAAGUUGGUGCUUAAUUUUAACUUUUUAUCCAAACAUGUUUAUUCUCACAAUCUAACUUAUUCAUUGGACAAGAUAUACGGUAGAUGACUUUACCCAAGUAGUUUCAAUCUUGCUGAUUGCUACUUGUGCUUUUAAUCACACUCAUGCUAAACGCUGACUCAUAAGCAACAAGUGCUUGCCAUGCUCGUAUCCAUGUGCUAUAGGGAUAUAUCAGGGUAAAGUCAAAUGUUUACUUAGUGAUCUGCCGUAUAUCAAGUCCAAUGAACAAGUUAGAUUGUAAGAAUAUACGUAUUUGGUUAAAAAAUUAAAAUUAAUUAUCGACUUACAAGUAAACUACUUGCAAUGAAAUAAGCUAAACAACUUUUAAUUAAGUGAGAUAGACCAAACCAAAUUGAACAGGUUUUAAUUGAAAUUUUUAAAAUUUCUAUGUGUAAGUCUGGCCGGUGGAAAGCCAACCAUUUUAGUCCAGUUAUGUUUUCUCUAAAGUAUGUGGCUUGCUUCAAAAGAAAAAAUAAAAGUGCCAUUCGUUAAAAAAAAAAAGAAAAAAGAAAAAAAGAAAAAGAAAAACUGCAAGUUUCUUCAAAGGGUAAUUGGUGCAAAACGUCCAUACCUUUCAAGAUUAUUGUGGAAAACGUCCAUAACUUUUAUUUUUUGGCAUUUUGUCUAUAAUUUCAACCUUCCGUUGCGCUGAAGAUCCUUUUCAUUGUUUUGGAAUGUAAAAUGACAAUUAUACCUUCUUAUUUAAAACAAAAAAAAAAUAAAAAAAGAGGAAAAUUUAGAAUAAGUUGCAACCCUACCCCUAAACUUUUAAAAAAGUGCAAAUGAGUCCCCAAUACUUAAAAUAUUGAAAAUAACAAAAAAAAAAACACUUUCUCUUCUCUUCCUCCUCGGUCCCCUGCCUCCUUUCAAGCCAAAAAAUUCCGGCCAACCACUGGAUCUCCAUACCAUCGGAAAGCCCUCACUCCCCUCUACACAUACUACCCAAUAGUCUUCCAUUAAUUUCAUUCUAAUGGCACAAAUUUUCCUUCGCGCUGGUUAGGUUUCAUUUCUCAGUUUCUGAAUGAAUAACCAUGUCCAGCGACAAUAGGGAAGACGCAUAUGCUCAUUGGAUGCUCCAUGAGGUGUAGGUACCUCAGGUGGUGGUUCGUGAUCAUGGGUCCCACCACCAGCAUAAAAAAAAUCGCCUGAAAAUUGCACAGCGACUGUGUUCGAAGCUCACCCGACUGGGUUUGAUUGUGUGCAUUAAAGGAUGUUUGAGGACCAUGGACAGGGACGUUUUAUUGUAUAGAAUCGAUCUGGAGGUUGUGUAGGGCAUGGGUGUCGUCGGAAAGAUUCCAGCCAUUGUUUGUUGCGUGAGUAACCUGUUUUGGCUUGAAUUUUCAGGCAAAUUAAUUGGAGUUAUGGCCGGAUCUUGGGUGGGUUGCGAAGAGGGAAGUGAGGGCUGUAAGAUGGGAUAUUAGUCCGGCAAAAAUGGUGGUUGUGUAGGGCAUGGGUAUCAUCGGAAUUGAAGAUUCCAACCACUGUUUGUUGCGUGGGUAACCUAUUUUGGCUUGAAUUUUUGGCCAAAUUGAUUGGAGUUAUGGCUGGAUCUUGGGUAGGUUACGAAGAGUGAAGUGUGGGCUUCAAGAUGGUAUAUUGGACUUGUGCCCAAGAUGGCCAGAGGGUGGAGUUUUGGUGGUCCAUAAGUGGUGGUUCUAAAAUUUUAGUUGUGAUGGAUUAAGGGAGUAUUGGAGACUCAAUUGCACUUUUUUAAAAAUUUAGGGAUAGGGUUGCAAUUUGUUCUAAAUUUCUCUCUCUCUCUCUCUCUCUCUCUCUCUCUCUCUCUCUUUUGGUUUUUUUGUUUUAAAUAAGAGGGUAUAAUUGCCAUUUUACGUUCCAAAACAGUGAAAAGAACUUUCAGCGCAACGAAAGGUUGAAAUAAGGGCAAAAAAGCCAAAAAAAAUGAAAGGUAUGGACAUUUUUCACAAUAAUCUCGAAAGAUAGUCAAUUACCCUUUCUUAAAAGUAAGGACACUGUCAUCAUUGUUUCUAUGUUAAUAAAAGACUCUAAAUCCAAAGUCCUAUAUCUCGUUCACUAAUAAAAAAUAAUAAUUAUUAUACCAGAUCUCUAAGAUGUAAACACAAUUAUCAUCGAAAUUUUGGGACCUUUAUGUAUUAAUUUCUUUUGUACAAUUCCUAUGGGAAAAUGAUAACUGCACAAUAUACAAUAUGAGGUCUAUAUGAUAUAAAAAAUGCACCUUUAUUCCAAAUCAAAAAGGACAACUAAGGAAAUGCUUCUGUUUGACAAUUAGAAACAAAGAGCCUAUUGACCUACAGAAUAGCACAAUUGUUUCCUGUUUUAUCAGAGUUAUAAAAAUUACAUGUUUUUAUGAAUUGAUAGUAAGAUAGUGACAAUAAUAAAAUAAGCAAGACCAAAAUAAGAACACUAACUUUAUGUGGAAACCCAAGUAGGAAAAAACCAUAGGUAGAGGAGGAAAAAUCUACUAUAAUCAAUGGUAGUUGUGUUUACAACAAGAUCUCAAUGCUCUCAACUAAGAUCUAAAACUCUCAAGAUAUCGCAUGAAUGUUAUGAGAAUAAUACGAACCAUAACUUUAUUUAUAUAUAUAUAUAUAUAUAUAGAAACACAUCAAAACGCAAAAUGAGCCUGGGCUGGAUAACCCUAUCGCUUGAGCAACAGGUGAGCGAUAACCCCACCGCUCGAGAGCUAGGUAGGAAAUCUCUAUAGAAAAUAUAUAGGUGCCACUCAAGCAGGCAACUAACGGAAGGUAGCAAAAAUGCAGCGACUUUUCUUCCCAGUCUAUAAUUUUGAUUUCUUCAAGAUCACUUCAAUUAGGGCUCCAAUACCACUAGAAUUUGGGUCACAUUACUACAAAUCUACAUGCACACCUUGAACAAAAUUCAAAAAACACAUUUUCAAAGUGAACAACACUCUUCCUUUUCCAAACAAGCCCUAAUGGGCUAGAUCAAUAAUAAACACCAACUAAGUUUAAGCAUUGCUCAACUUAACACUGAGAAGUGGUUUUGUCAUAAUAUCAGGAGGAUUAUCCUUGGUAUCAACCUUGCUCACUACAAUAUCACCUAGAGCAAUCACUUUACGCAAAAAAUGAGACCUCACAUCAAUAUGUUUAUUCCUCUUGAAACAUCUGAUCCUUAGUUAGAAAAAACACUCUGACUAUCACAAUACACUGUAAAAAUCUGCAAGUCUUCAUUGAUUUCACCAAUCAAUCCUCUUAACUACAUAGCCUCCUUAUAUGCCUCUGUAAUGACCACAUACCGGCCUCUAUUUUAAACAAAACUAUUGUAUUCUACAAAAUAGCUUUUCAACUGAUAACACAAUAUCCAAUGGUGAACACAUACCCUGUAAGUGAUCUCAUCUUAUCAAGAUUCCCUACAUAAUUUAAGGGCCUGUUUGGGAGCGAUUUUUUCACCCAAAAAGUUGAUUUUUUGACCGUUAUUUCACUAUUUCAUCCAUCAUAUUUGACUUCUUCUCUCACAGGUGGACCCCACUUUUAUCCUAACGGUCAAAAAAUCAAUUCUCAAAAUCACUCCCAAACAGGCUUUAAAUCAACAUAUCCAAUGACUCCAUCUACAUAUCUACCAAAAUGCACGCAAACAUUAGUAGAGACGUUUAGGUAUUUGAAUAUCCAUUGCAUUGUUUUCAAAUGUUCCUUGUUAGAAUUUUCCAUGUACCUACUAAUUGCAUUGAUUGCAUGUGCCAAUUUUGGUUUUGUACAAAUAAUAGUAUACAUAAGUGAACCAACUACUCUGGAAUAAGUAACUUGAGACAUAUAUCGAUGUUUUUAUCUAAUUGAGGACACAAUGCAGAUAAUAAUUUAAAGCGGACAGUUAACGGAAUACUAAUAGCCUUAACAUUCAGCAUAUUGAACAUUUGAAGCAUUUUUUUAAUGUAUCAUUUCUGACUCAAAUAUAAUCUGUUAGCCUUUUUAACCCUCAAAAUUUUCAUGCCAAGAAUUUUCUUUGUUGCACCUAAAUCUUUCAUCUCAAACUGCUUACUAAGUUGAACUUUCACCUUUCUGACCUCUACUUUGUCUUUGGCUGUAAUGAGCAUGUCAUCAACAUAUAAUAGCAAAUAUGUGAUGAUCUACCAUCUUCCUUUCUAAAGUACACACAACUAUCAUAAUUACUAUUAAUAAAACUAUGAGAAUUCAUGAAUGAACCGAACCUUUUAUACCACUACCUUGGUGACUGCUUUAAUCCAUACAAAAACUUUUUCAAUAAGCAUACAUUGUCUUCCUUUCCAGAAACUAUAAAACUCUCUAGUUGUUAAAUGUAAAUGUUCUCCUCAAAUUCUCCAUGCAAGAAUGCUGUCUUGACAUUUUUUUCUACUCAAACUCCAAAACAUUCUUGGCCACUAUACAAAGUAAAGUCCGAAUUGAGCUUUGUUUUACAAUCGAUAAAAACACAUCUGUCAAAUCAACAUUUGAAAUCUGACUAUAACGCUUUGCUACCUAUCUGGCCUUAUACUUAGUAUCUUCAAUCCCUAAUGUCCCUUCCUUUUUUUGAACACCCACUUGCGGUGAACAAAUCUUUUUUCUAUAGGUAGUUUCACCAAGUCUUAAGUAUUGUUUUUAUUCAAUGAUUCUAUCUCCUCCUAUAUACCAAUCAACAAUUCGCUAGAAUUACUGCAACUGACUACUUUGAAUAUGUAAAAGGUUUCUCAUUAGAGUCAAUAUCUUCAGCCACAUUCAAUGCAUAAGCUACCAAAUCUACCUCUCCAUACCUUAAUGGAGGUCUAAUCUAUCUGCGAGAUCUAUCCUUAACAAUUGAAUACUAUGGUGUUAACAUUGAUGUAGGCAAAGUAUGUAACAUAUUACUAUCUGUCAAUUAUGGACUAAAUUGCUUUGUAGUAGAUUGUUUUGAAACAUCUGAUUGUUCCUAUGGACCAAUUUCCAACCCCAUUUGAGUUGAAUGAUUCUAUUCAUCUGUUUUAUUAGAAUCCCCACGAGGUGGACCAUGAAACGUAGUAAGUUUAUCAAAUGCUACAUCUGUAUUAAUUACCACCUUUCUUGUUUCAAGACACAACAAUUUAUACCCCUUCAUACCUAAUUUAUACCCAAAAAUGAUAUACUUUCUAGAUCUAGGCUCCAACUUCCCAUUAUCCACAUGAACAUAAGGAAAAUACCCAAAAAUGUUCAAAUCAGAAUAACAAGAAUGUUUACCGGACCAUCUUUUUCAAUGACAGUUGAGGAUGAGCGAAUAAUAAGAAAACAAGUUGUGGCAGUAGCAUCAGCCCAAAAAGUCUUAAGCAACCAUCAGAAUUUGAAAGCAUACAACAAACAUUUUUCCAUCAAAGUUCUACUCAUCUAGUCUACUACACCAUUCUAUUGAGUUCAUCUGAACAAAACUCCAACCUAUUAUCUGUGAGUAAAUGUUUAACCUACAUUCCAGUCUGCUUUUCUAUCAUUAUUUUCCACUCUUUGAAUUUUCCCAAAUAUAUUACUCUUCUGUUUCAAGAAGAGUACACAAACUUUCUCGGAGAAAUCAUUAAUCACUGUCAACAGAUAAUAAGUACCUCUUCUUGAAGGCACCAUAGCCGGUCCCCAAAGAUUUGAAUGGAUAUAUUCAAGUAUUCCCUUCGUGUUGUGUCUUCCUAUAGUGAAUCUGAUUCUUCUCUAUUUACCAAAGACACAAAACUUAUAAAAUUUCAUCUUACCGGUCUUUUACCCAUCAUGAAGUCCCCUCCUACUCAAUUAUGCCAUACCAUUCUUACUUAUAUACCUAAGUCAUAUAUGCCAAAAUUUAUCAAUUUCCUCAUCAGUCAAAGAAAAAGUAAAAAUUGUUAUAUUUCCUGUAAUUGUAAAACCCUACAAAAUGUACAACCAUGUAGAGUUUUUUUAUCCUUUUAUGAUAGUAAGAGAACCUUGACAUACUUUCAAAAGUCUACAUUCACCAGUGUAUUUAUGACAUUUUGAGUCAAGUGAAUUCAAAGAUAUGAGAUUUCCUUCAGUUCUGGAACGUGCUUGAUUUCUGUAAAUAUUCUGAUAGCACCAACAAAUAUUCUAAUUUUGACUAUAUAAAUUCUAUCAAUUUGGCAAGGCAAGUUGCUUUCCAUAAUCACUAUAUCUCUCGGAACUCUUUUAGAUAUAGUAAACCAAUUCUAUUGGGACACAUAUAGAAAGUAGAUAUCGAGUCAAGAACCCAUUCCUCACAAAGUUGUAAAUCUAUUCAAAAAUCACAAGAUGUCCUCCUUUAUUUUGCCCAUUUUCCACAACAUCAGCCUUAGCAGUGUUAACAGGUUGUUUUCCCUUUUUAGUAGCACCAGCAUCAUUAUUUCUGUUUUCAACGAAUAACAAUCAACUUUGAUAUGUCCAUUCUUCUUACAGUAAUGACAUACUUUCUUUGGAUGUCUAAAUUUCGAUCUGCCCCUCAUAUUUUUACUAAGAUUCCUAUCUUGAUUAUUCACAAUAACAAUCAGGCCUUCAACCUAACUCCCAAAUCCUCUAGAAAGAUGUCUCUUCUUCUCUAUAGAUAGUAAAGUAUCAUAGACCUCUUCCACAGUAAGAGUAUCCCAACUAUAGAGAAUAGUUCCUCUAAACAUCACAUAUAAUGGUGACAACGAGCACAACAACAUCAAAGCCAAGUCCUUCUCAUCAUACUUAACCUCUAAUGUCUCCAAUUGGACACAAUUUCUUGGAACAUAAAUAAGUGAUCAUCCAAUGAUGCUUAUUCGGACAUCUGGUGAGAAUACAAAUGUUGUUUUAAGUGUAACUUGCUGAUUAAGCUCUUUGUCAUACAAAGUUGCUCCAACUUCAACCAUAACAUAGCGGCACUUUCUCUAUUCGAACAUUUGGAGGGAUUUGAUUUUAUAGAUGUAGCUGAAUUUUGGAUUGGGCUUUCUGAUCCCUACAUCGUUGUUCAUCCUGCAUCCAGGUUGAAUGCAUUUUAUCAAAGCCAAGCAAGAAUUUCUCCAAAUCUAUUUGUGCGAGAACUCAUCUCAUCUUUACUUGUCGUAAAGUAAAUUUCGUGUUCUAAUCCAAUAACAAAAUAUCAUAUUUCAUCAUUGCCAUGCGAACUAAUCAACCUUGCUCUGAUACCAUUUGUUAUGAAUUGAUUGCAAGAUAAUAACAAUUAUGAAAUAAGCAAGAAUAAAAUUAGAACACCAACAUUUAUGUAGAAACUCAAGAUGUGGAAAAAUCACAGGCAGAUGAGAAGAAAUCUACUAUAAUCAAUAGUAAUUAUGUUUACAACAAGAUCUCAAUACUCUCAACUAAGAUUUACAGCUCUCAAUAUGUGUAUAAAUGUUAUGGGAAAAAUAUGAGUCGUAACUUAUAUAUAUGAAAUCCUAGAAGUCAAGUUAUAGAUGAGAAUAGAAGUCCAAAAAUGCAUCAAAAUGAGAAAUGAACCUAGGCCGGAUAACCCUAUCGCUCCAGUGACAGGCGGGCGGUAGCCCUGCCACUCAAGCUUCAAGUGAGCAACAAGUCUCUGUAGAAAAUAUGUAGGUACCGUUUGAUAAGUAAGCUAGUAAAAAUGCAGUGACUUUUCUUCACAGUCCAUAAUUUUGAUCUCUUCAAAACCACUUCAACUAAGAUUCCAAUACCUACUAGAAUUUAACUCAUGUGUUGUCCGAGACAAAAACCGAUCGACAUCUUAAGGUCAAUGAGAAGGAAAAUAAAAAAGAACAUAGGAAGAAGAGAUGAAAUUGCAAGUGGAUUUACGGUUUGAAACAAGCAAUGUUUUAUAUUCUCAUUUUUAAUCUUGGGUCCAGGCCUAAAUUGAUUUUUGGCUAGGUAAACUUAUUUGGGCAGGGUAUAUUAAAAAUAGGUCAGAGGCUUUUAGGAUUUUUUUUUUUCAAUUAGACUGAAUUGGGAAAUCUAUUUAUUGUUUAAGUUAGUAAAUUUUCUAAUUUUUUCAAUCUAUAAAUUAUAGAAAAUAGGUCUGGUUCAAGAGUUCCAGAUCCAAUUAAAUUUUCUAUUGUUCCGAUUAAAUUAUCUACCUCUAAUUACUAUGGAAAUUGUUACAAAAGGCUAGAGGCUAUUGUUGCUACUCGAAUUUCAAUAAUAACUAAGUCCCUACAACUUACUCAUAGCCCAAUAAAGAUCAACCAAUACCACCAAGGGGAUCAUUGUUGUGCAAUUAAUUCUUUUCGGUAAAAAUCACAAUGUCUCUACAAGAUCUUAUGGGUUUGUUGCACAAAUUUUAUUAAAAUUAUUUUUCUCUGAAAACCAUUUUCAACCACAUAUUCGGUGAUAUUCACAAUUUCUUUUUUCACUUUUCGACCACACAUUUUCAUUUAGAAAAUUCAUGUCAAAUUUAGAAAUAAUUCUCAGUGACGGGAAAAUCCAACUGCAACCACAUAUAAUAUAGACAAUUCUACAAUUUUUAGAUAAAAUUGAAGAAACUAAAUACAAGCCUUUUAGCAAUUUUGAAUUAUGCUAGACAUUUUAGUAAACAUUUAGGAGAGGAAGUAGAAUCACUGUAUAGUAGAUUGUCUAGCAAAGGACAAAGAUAUUUUAAUCAAUCAAAUGUAGAGCUAGUUAAAAAGAUAACAGAGGAAGUUAGAAAUUUACUGCCAUUAGAAUUACUUUUUGAUAAUAAAUAUAAAAUAAUAGAAACAGAUAGAUGUGAAUUAGGAUUGGGAGGAAUUUUAUAUUCCAAACCAAAUAAAUAUAGCGAUAAAAAAGAAGAAAAGAUUUAUAGAUAUGCCAAUGGAAAAUAUAAAAUAAAAGGAAAACACUUCACUAGUUUAGAUAAUGAAAUAAUGACCACCAUCUAUAGUAUAGAAAGCUUUAAUUAUUCUUAAAUACUGAAUUUAAAAUUAGGACGGAUUGUGAAGUUAUAGUAACAUUUAUUAAAAAGACAAAUUUUGAUAAAAUAAGACAUAAAAGAUGAUUAAAAUUAUAUGAGAUAUUGAAUAGCUAUAAAAUCAAUAUUAAACGCAUAUACAGGAAAAAUUAUAUAUUGAUAGAUAAUUUAAGUAGACAAGUUAUUAAUUUACUAACCCAUUAUUUUCAUGGUGCAAAAGGACCAGAUGAUGAUGAACUUUGAGGAUGUCACUCUAAGAGAGACCCCACAAGGAUCUGAUAUCUAAUUCAAAGGAAAUAAUUUAGAAAGACUUCCAAAAAGGGAGCGUUGUCUACUAGAUAAUCUUUGGAUGACACAUAACUCUAAGCAAAAAUUAGAUUGCAAUAAUGCCCUAACUAAUUAUUUUAGAUAGCUUCAUAAUCAAGUAAAAAGAAAAAAAAUUUAGUUUCAUUGCAGUAAUUAAGGAUAAAAAUCUAGGCAUAAAUAAUUAUUGGCCAAAAGUAUUUCAAUAAGUAGAAAGAUUUCCAAAACCCUUUUUCAAAGGAUUUUACAAAUUAGAAGAAGUUUUAAAUUUCUGUAGAAAAAUGAUAGGAUUUAAUUUUUAUAAAUUUGUAAGAGUUAGACAGGGUAUGACCAUACAAAACGUUACUUCCCAACCAUCAUCUUCAUCUUUAUCAAUGCAACUUUUUGAUAUUUGUGAAACUAUGACCAAGGUGGUUAAAAUUUUGAAUCCUAGAAAGCAUUCAUUAGAAAAAAAAUGCUACAAAUCCUUCAAGAUGAAGUCUCUUCAUCUCAACGGGCCAUUUGUAAAUAUCAAAACAAAAUUUUUUACCGACAAAAUAGCUUAAAAAGACUAAGUUCUAAGAAUAUUUAUGAAAGACCCAUUUCCAAAGAUAUUGCUUCUAUAAGUAGAAAUUACUCUUAUAAAAUAGAAAAACUUAUUGAAUUAACUGACUCUACAACAGAAGGGACAAGAAAAGACUUUAUAUGAGUUAUAACAGAAAAUUGACAUUGUGCCAACAUUGUUCGAGAUUAUAUAAAGAAAUCAAUCGUACGUAAGAUAAUUGAUUUUUCUUAAUUCUGAGCUACUAUCACAACGAAAAUCGAUAUUUUCUUAAACAUGGCCCCAAAUAUGAUUCAUCUACUAAAAAUUCAACUUUUUUUAGACACAAUUAUGCUACAAUUUCCUUUGACUAUGCAAUCUUUGAAGAUGACGACUUUUUUUAUCGAGCCUUAUGGUUUGGCAUGACAGACACUAUAUAGUUUUAAAUAUAUCUUUCGUAUUUUUUCCACCUAGACUUAAACAGAUUCUUGAUCAGCUAAAAAAUCACCCUUUGAUGAUCCAAUUCAUUUCCAGACCACCUCUUGUAAAUAAUGGUAUAGUAAUUACAGUUUAUCAUUAUAUUUUAAUAUACGAAUGAGCUAAAAGAUUUAGACAUUAUUCGAAGACAAAUACUAAAGUAAAAAUUAGACAAAUUGAUUAUAAAAGACAAAUCUUAGAAAUCAUGACGAUGAUAGAAGUUCAAAAUAAUAAUUCAAGAGCUAAUUGUAGCUCCAGAGCAAAAUAAUGAAUAUAAAAAGCAUUCGGAUUCUCUUUCAAAAGAAGUGCAUUGAGAGCAUUGUACUCACCUCAUAUAUUACUUGCCCUAUCAUAACCUUGACCUCUAAACUAAAUAUACUUAAGUUAAAUCUAGAGAAUAAGUGAUUAAUAGAAUCCUUAAGUGAGAGAGAGAUGUGGUACUAUAGAUAGUUAAACUCAAAUAAAACGUUCCAUUAUUUGUCCUUUCUGAUUCACAUAACGUAGAACAAUUGACAUUUGCUCCUUCAUUGAUACAUUAUGAGAUUCAUCAACAAGAAUGAAAAAUAACCCAUUACCAAUAUCCUUCACAAUAAAAUUAAGUGUUUCAAAUGCAAUAGCAUUUACAAUAUCUUUUUGAAUUUUAGGUGAUAUUAACUGAAGAUUUUCGUGAGCAUUCCUCAAAGAGACAUCCUUAAUAUCAUUAUUAUAAUCACAUAACCACUGUAAUAGUUCAAGAAAAUUUCUUUGAUUUCUUGAAUCUCCAAAUUUGUUAUGUCCACGAAAUGAAAGCCCUUGUCAUAGAAACAAUCGGACACAGCCAUUUGACGCAUUCAAAAGAAUUUGAUACUCAUCUUUUGUUCAUUUUGACUUCUUAAAGAGAACACAAUCAAUAUUUUGUUCCUAAUUCACAAAGGCCUCAUACUUAAUCCGCGCUCGGUUAUGUGCACUACAAUUUUCCCAACAGCAGUUUGAAGCCUUCCUUUCUUUUUCUAGUUGGAGAAUCCUCCAUCAACAAAAGAAUCACACCCACCAUGUUCUUCACUAUUUGGGUUGAAAAGAUAACAAUAAAAGAAAAAAUAUGACAUCUUUUGCUAUAAUGUAUUCCAACCAAUCAGGACAGUUAUUAAACCAAGAAGUUUUUAAUCACCGUAACAACAAAUCUCCAAAUUCUUUCCAUGGACACAAGUGAUUCCAAGCUAACAUGGACCCCUUUGUACGUAUACUCUUCAAAUUUCAUCCUAAACACUAACAUUAUAAUUCCCAAUUUGAGUUCUUAAUCUAAGAUCCGAAGGCAAAUGUGCUAAAUAAAUUUUAUCUCGAACAUUUCUUUGACUCCUAGUCUCUGAUUCUUCUGAACAUCUUUUUUUUUUUUUUUUGAACACUCGUUUCGACAAUAAUUUGGUCUCCGCUUGAACAUACGGAUUUUUGUUUAAAAUAUUUCUCCAUGACUGUUAAAAAAAAAUCAAUACAUAGAUAAAUAAAUAUCAUAUUUCAUUUUUCAUCAAAACAUAACAUUAAAUUCAUAAUAAAGAGCAAUUAAUUUCAUAAACAAUUUUAAAUCACCAAGUUAGAGAAAGCCAAUACUUACUUGGAAUUGGAAUUGAGAUUUGUAAUGCCCUGAACUCUUUUUCAUUAUUAUUGUUAUUUUUAAAUAAAAAUGAAAAAGAGUUCGGGGCGUUACAGAAUGGUAUCAGAGCACGACUUUAGCCGAUUCUAUAGACUUGUCAUUUAUUUAGAAAAAAUAGCAUAUAUUUUUUUUAAUCUUGUUAUGUGCUUUAUGUGUAUAACUUUUUUUUUUCCUUAGAAUGAUAAUUUAUUUUAUUUUGAAGACAUAGUGGUCUGUGUGUUAAAAAAAAUGAUGCUGCCAUUUUUUUUUCGAACCAAUAGUUAGUAAAUUUUCGAAAAAGACGAGGAAAACUUUUGUUGAUUUUUUUCUGUGUCAACGAAGCCAAGGUUUCUGCAGUUGGAUUCUAAAUAAUUUUCCUUUCCUUGCUCAAUAUUUUGGCUAUUGGUUUGGUCAAUUGGUCUAGAGUUUUUAUGCUAUUCUGCCGUCGAUAUAAAAUCCGAUAAUAAGACCAACGAAGAUAAAAGAUUCUGCAGCAUUAUUGAGCUAUUUACCAAAUUUACAUGCACUAAUUAAUUAAUGGUUUGUGUUUAACCAAUGUGGCAGUGAUUUAUAUGUUAAAGUCAUCAUUCAUUCAAUUUCUAUCCUGUCAUUUGCGUUUAUCAUUAGUAAAGUAUGCCUAGAUCCAUGGAAGCAUGCCUCUGUUGCAAACUUAAAGUAGUUAAUAUGACAGCCAUUCACGUUUAAAUGAAGUAAACUGAAAAUAUGCCAGGACAUCGAAAGACUUUUAUAUUGAGUAAAUUCUUGCUAAAAAAAAUGAUGGUAUUAGCAUGAACACCGUUGCACUUUGUUACAAGCAUGGAUUACGGUUUCAUAGUUUUAAAGGAAAUGAUUAUUAAUAUUUUAUUAGUUACCUGCCAAUAAGUGUCUACUUGCUAUUUUAUUAUAUUUUAUACAUCAUGAGAUUUUUAUUAAACAAGUAUUGAAGUAAGAUCCAGGCUCGUGGCAUUAGCGCUCGUCAAUCUACUACCGUCCGAUGAAUCCAAGGUAUGAACGAAAUGUUAUGUUUAAGCUUAAUUUCAAGCAUGAUUUAUUAAUCAUUUAAGCUUGAUACGAUGAAAUGCUUAUAAUGUUAGAAAGAAAUGUAUUACGCAAGUUAUUAUUUUUGUACAUAAAGAUACGAUGGUUAGUCAUUUUAUUUAAAAUUACAAGAGCAGAAUGCAUAAGUUGAUUUAUAAAGAUAGAGCAUAAUUGAAUGUUUAUGUGAUAUACAUGGAUAGAACUUAUCAAGACACUAGAAAGAAGAGAAAUAGAAGUCACGUAUCGAGAGCUUUUGGAUUAAAUAAGAUAAUUUCGAGGACGAAAUUAAUUUAAGGGAGAAGGGAUGUAACACCCCUCAUUUUUUUACUAUGUGAACCUGAACUUAUUAUUUAGCAAAUGAAAAUGUGAAGAUUUGUCAUUACAUUAGAAGUCCAAAGUUGAAGUGGUAGACUUGACUCACGUAUUCGUAUAAAUAAUUUAUUUGCUUACGAGUUAUGAGCACUUUUAGAAAAUUAUUUGAAUAAAAUAUUUAAGUAUUUUUAAAGUUGAUGAAAAUAUACUGAUAUUAUACUCAUUUUGUAGCUCGUGUUAAACAAUAUAAUUUGAGCUUCAGAAAAAAUAAUUUCGAGAUAGUUAUGCCCAAGUUAUUCUAAUAGAAAGAAAAUUAUCAUUCUCAAAUAUUAUAUUAAUACAUUUAUAAUAUAAAAUAAUAACCAAAUGAAUAGUUUCAUUGUAUGGUUACGUAAUGUCAUCCACUCUAAUUGAUUUAGAAAUUUAUAAUACAUUCCAUAACCAUGACAUUAACUCUAAUUAAACGUGGAGGUGUCCUUUCAAAUUUAUAACCGUAACCAUCCCGUUCACUUUAAUUGAUUUUCAAUUAAAUCAUAGUUGUUUAAUUACAUUAAUCCUCAAUUAAUGAUCAGGUGGCUUUUCAAUUUGUAACCGUAAUCAUAAACGUCCACUUAUGGUGGUUUAACUCCAUUAUCCUUCCAUUAACUUGAAAUGCCUUUUGAUGUUAAGUAAGUUACGUGUGUGGAAUAUAUAAAUAGGUGUAUUUGAGAUGAAAAUUAUAUUCUACAACAAUAGUAUAUUGUACACUCCACACCACUAAUAUUUUUAGAAUUUAAUAGAGUAUAAUAUUUAUAUCUUUUCACAAAGUCAGUUUCAAGUAAAUUCGUGGAUAUCAAAUUGGGGUAAGAAUACAUGGUGCAAGUGGUAAAUUCUUAAUCCUUGAUAUAUAUGUAAAUUUUGGCAUGAGAUACUUUAAGGCCUUCGGGUCGAAUGCUAUGUUAAAUCCUUCGGGAUAGACCGUUAGGUCAAAGAGAAGAAGUUAAAUCCUUCGGGAUAGACCUUCAGGUCAAAGAAAAAAAAUUAAAUCCUAUGGGAUAUGGGGAUUCUUAAGAAAUUCCUAAGAAAUGUCGGUAUGUUAUGCUAUUUUUAUAUUUAUAUCAUGUGUAAAAGGAUGUGCACGUAUUCUUAUUGAGUGUUUUCAAAAUACUCACUCUUACAACAUUUUCAGAUAAGAACGGGUCAUGAGGACGCGUGGAAGAUUGACGGAGCGAUGCUAAUGUGGUCGUCAAGUAAAAUUUCUAGAAAAGACAAUCGUCAAUUUAUAUAAAGAAUAUCUUUGUGUUAAUAUUUAUGCACAAUAUUUAUUAUGUUGUUUAAUAAUUUGAAAUUGAAUAUUUUCGAUAUAUUUCCGCUUAAAUUAGAUAGAGAAAAGUUUUGGUAGCACCUUGAGCUCAUUUUUAUUUAAAAAUAACAAUAAUAAUGGAAAAGAGUUCGGGGCGUUACAAGAUUUGACUUUCGAGAAUGGUUCUAAUAUUUCCAGCUCUGUAGUUGUAGCUCUUGUAUCUUGUAUUUGUUUUGUUGAAUAAUUAUUUUUAGUCAUCCACUACAUUGAAACUAUAAUUUAAACAGUUGAUUGUUCCUAAUUUCAAAUAUUAGACUUCACAAUAUUUUAAAAUUUAAACAAUUGAUCGUUCCCAAAUUGUAAAAAAUCAGUUCCAUACUUCCAUUAUUUCAUACCAAAUCAGUGAAUAUUUUCAUCCAACAUUUUCAAUUCAUCAAUUUUAGACAUGCAAAUCCAAACCCUACAUAAAUUUUUCACUGUAGUCGAGUAGCAGUAAGCUACUAACCUAUAGGCUAUAACAGGGACUGGAGAACGGCUGGGUGGAAGGGGUUUUACUUUUAUUUGAUUUGUGUACUGUAAGUAAUAAGGAUGAUGUGUCGAUGGCGAAGAGAAAACUGGCAAAGACGAGAGCUAGAGAAGAGAGACGACUGAUGAGUCACGUUUGGCGGUACGGGAAAAUGGGAUUUGGCCAUUUGGGAAUAUUAGAACCCAUAUAAGUUGGAUUGGAUAAAUCAUUAAAUGGAUUACGGUUAUGGAUAUAUGGAAUACGGAUAUAGUGAAUGGAUUUGGGCUUGUCAGCUACUAUUGGAAAAUUGAGUCUGGCUGUCUGGUAGUUGUUAGGUUAUUAAAAAAAUCCCAAAUUUGUGGGGUCAUUUGACCCCACAUGACCCUAUGUGGGUCCAUCCCUACAAAUAAUGUCUAUUUAUCUAAAAAUAUCAUAUUUUCUAUUUCAUAAAUUGGGAAUGAUUCAUGCAAAUCAUGAUCAGCUUCAAUUUUGUUGUUGAAUAUUCGUCCUUCAUUGAUCCGAUGUUCAAUCUUCAAUCAAUUUACAAGAUUCUCAAAAUUGUAAGAGUUAAAAAAAAAAUAGAUAAAUCAUGUGUCCCGUAGGCUCACAGCUUUGAAUCUAAUUGAAAAGAUAAUUAAAUUAAAUGAUGGAGUCGUAAUCCACCUAUCUUUUUAUAGACAUGAAAUUACAAAAUACAUCAAGAACUAGUCACAAAUAAUUAGAUCACAGUUUAAAAUAAGUCAAUCAUUACAUAAUUAAAUAUUUGUAGAUAUCGCUCGGCUAGAACAUUCAAUCAAGAUUCAAAAAUAAUAAGCACGUGGACGACAAAAUUGCUUCGAUACCAGUUGUGAGAAUGCAGAAGCCAAAUUACUCAGAAAUUUAAAAAAAAUUAAAUUCAAUAAACAAGAUCGUCUAGAUGUUCACGUGUACGUUAUUCAAGAAUAAAUGAUUCGAAUCGUUUCCUAAAUUCGAUUGGUAAUUUUUGAAUUAAUUUUAAAUCACAAACUUCCAUACUUUUGGAUUACGGGCUUCCAGUUUUUAUUUGCAAGAACUCGAUGUUUCAAAUCUCCAAGUCUUUUAUGGUGUUCUCCAAAGUCAAUACUACACAAUUGGCGGGCACAUUAUUUUAAUAAAAUCAAGAGAUUAAUUCUUGGACGGGAUAAAUUGAACAAAAUAAGAACAUAAUUAUUUUCUCUUUCCAGAUUUGAAUACUUUGGAAUUAUGCAUUUUGAUUGCUGUAUUCUAUAGGAUAUCUAGGUUCCAUUAAUCUCUAUUUAUAGAGAAUAAAAUAUUUUCAAUCCUUUGUACAAUAAUAAUUCAACAUUUAAAUAUAAGUCCUAAUUAAUAUCUAAAUAGGAGUUUUAAUUAAAGUUCACAUCCAAUUAAUUUACAUUUAAUUACUUGUAUAGUCAUAGAACUUCAAUUGCAAUUAUAAUUAAGUUUUCAACUUUUACAGCAAUAGUGGAUUUGUUUCUGCCUUUUGUUGAAUCUUUUCCAUGGCUCUGCUUUUACUUGAGAGGGGGCGGGGUGUGCUCUUGGCAUAGAGAAUAUCACUUAUUCUAGUGUUCUAAUCCUUAAAAUCAGGUACAAAAUUGAUUGGUGGUAGAGUCGUGAAAACUUUUAUUUCUUCCAUAUUUUAGACCUUAGCUCGACAUUCACUAUUAAGAUGAGAUAUCAUUAUCUCUAUCUCACACUAAAGGGAAAUUAACAACAAAUAUUAAGUCCAAAAUUAUUAUAAUUAUAGUAAUUAAGACCCAAUACUUUACAGAGCUACCACCGGGAUCUGAUGGGACAUAUAUUAUCCAAGUCCAAUAAUUAGAUCCUGUCUAGUCGGCCGUAGACCACUCAUUCUAAUUAUUAUUCUUUCUUUUUUCACUAGAGGUAAAAGAUUGAACUCUUGGGAAAUAUAAGAUUAAAAAAAUCAAUAAAUCUUUAAUACUUUCCUUUAUCAAUAAAUAUAGAUUUAAUAAUUAGAUACGAACAUAAAUGACCAUUUUGCUGUUCUAAUUAUUCUCAACAACUAAGUAUCAUUUUCUUCAGUUGUUAUGUGCACAAUUCAUAGAUGUCGAAGUUUAGUUAUCACUAAGCACUGAACUAAGAUUUUAAUUUUUCAAUAGAAAAUAAUUAAGUAGUUACUCUAUCCAUUUUUCAAGGGCGAUGGUUCUCGAUAUCAAUUCAUAUUCUCUACUUCGCUCAUUUUGAACUCCCAACUUACCGAGAUAUUUGAUCAAUCAAAUUGAUCUCACCUAUUGAUAAGGCAAAGAAUCAUUAAAAUCACAAAAAGAUAUAGGUAACCUUAUCAAAGUAUCCAGUGAAAUACACAGCGAUCAAAAGAAAUUUAGUUCUCUGUACCGUUAUGCCAAAGAAUUAAACUCGACACAUGGUCCAUUAAAUAUACUUCAAGUGUACUAGUGUCACCUUUAACUAUAUCUAUGAUAAGAACAAAUUGCAAAUCCGAAUAGUGAAUUGGUCAAUAUCACAAUCUUUUAAUACAAGAUGUCAACCCUUAUACAUUGACUGUGAAUAAAUUAUUUAUGAUCAAAAUUUAAGUUGUGCUACACUGUAUUUCUCAACACAAGUAUCCAACUUAUAUUAUAUCAAGUGAUUAGAUGCACUUUAAUUCUCAUGCUCAAUAAUAAAUAAAUGCAAUAAAAAAAUAAAAUCACUUUAUUAUGAAUUAUUAUUUUAUCAUAAUAAAAUAUACUAUAUGGACACACAAUCCAACAGCUGCCUAUGUCCCACAACUUUUAACGACUUGCCAAUAUUCUUUGAACCUCAAGAAAUUCUCCAUGUGAGUGCUCCAAUGAUCAUAAUGACUAUCAAAGCGUGCAGUUGCAAGUUGAACAAAAUUUUCAGAGGCAAUUUGGAAACGACUGCUGCAAAGAAAGAAAAAAUUUAUUGCCACAGCACACUUUCUUUCUCACAUUUCCAUAACUAGGCUCUGUACCACUAUUAUAAAUUGAAAAUUAAAUACGAAAUGUGAAUGGAGAAAAAAAAAAACUUUCAUACUAUUGGCUUAUUCAAUUAACAAAAUGGCCCUUUAAAUAGACAAUACAUCAUUAAAAAUAAGCUGAAAAAUCGCAACUGACGCUCUAUGAUGUGAUAUAAAACUAGCAAAAAUGACUAUAACUAGGACAACAUAACACAAUAUAACAAACCACGUGAAAGACAAAUUUGACAAUCCAUAACAAAUACGAAUUAUAAUCCACUGAAGCCCCUUUGUUGGAAAAUAAAAAUGUCAUAUAAUUAAGACCAGGUACCAUAUGCAUUAUUGUUUUAUUGAUUAAUAAUAAUGUACUUUGAAACGGUUCCGUCCAUACCCACCACAAAUAAAUAAAGGACCUUAAUCAUUUGGUACCAUCAAUGUUCCAACUUUCAAAGCCUUAAUUUUUUGCGUUAUAUUUGAUCUUCGAACCUAAAAUUCGACAAGAUUAAAGAAGAAAGAGACUUAAGAUUGCUUGUCAAUUGUUUUAUUUAUGCAGGGCAACUCGUGUGAAUUAAUAAAUUAAAUUAUAAACUCAAACGAUCUUCUAAUUUUAUCUUUGUUUAUAAGAUUUACGAGAAAAUUAAGCUUGAGAACCCUCAAUUCAAAAGAAUGUCAAAAGCAAAAAUGUUGAGAGGCUCAAAUUUAUUCAAUAAUCCAAGAUUGAGUCGACCCUAGUGGACAUCAUUUAUAUAGUUCAAAAUUUAGUCUUCAUGAGGGCUAGGGACCUUGCUUGGGUGAAGCUCAGAUUUUGUUAGAAAAAUAUGGUUCUUUGUCGAAAUCCAACUCUGUUUAACUAGCACUUAGCUGUUGAUCUAAAACCGAAUAAGAAUUUGUUUUAAACUUAAAAUGUUCUCUAGAUUAGUAGAAGGCAUAUCCAACUGAAGUGUGCACACGUAAAAUAAGAAGAAUAGGUUUUUUAGAAUAGUUAUGCUUGUGAGCAUUGAAAGUAACACUCCAUCAAUGCUCUACAUGGUUUUCCAUUAAUUUUUGUAGACGGGUCUCGAGAUGGUCCCAAGUUUCUUUGAGGUUCACGUGUGGUCUUACUUGGGAUGUUUCGUUAUUCAUCUAUUGUUCUUUUUUGAGGAUGGGGACGGAGUUGGAAUGUUCUUUGGUAGUUUUCAAAAGUAAAUUAUGUAUAUUUUUAAAUUACUUAUAUUAUCAAAAAUAAUUUUUCAAGUUGUUCUAUGUGCUAAAAAAAAGUUAUUGUUUUAAGGGAAAUUUUCAACAUUGAUACAAGUGAAUCUAGAGACUCCAAAAAUAAAGUGAAAAAGCUAUUAUAAAUGUACUCCAUGGGAAACUAUAUGUUCAGAGUUCCUUCCAUUUAUAUUUCCUAUCCUGGAAUUGUGCACUAUGCGUAGUUGAAAGACAUGAAAUGUUGUGAUUUACAUCCAUUAAUUCUUGCACUUUUACGAUUAAUUAACACAUAAAUGUGCUAAGUACCCUUAUAUUGUGAUUUAGGUUGCAUUUGGAUGAUCAUGAAAUAAAAUAGAAGAAAAGAGAGAAAAAGGACUUAAAUGGAAGAAAUUGAAAGUUCAAGGACCAAUUUGCAAAUAAUCUCUAGAUGAGACGAGCAAUGGAAUGAAGAUUAAAGAUGGUGCGGGAUCAAUUGGAUGCAAUUAGAAGUUGAAGGGUUGAAAUUGCAAGAAGAAUGAUUUAAAAGAAUCAAAAAUGGAAUUCGAGAUUAAAAUACAACUUUUAGAAGAAAUUUUGCCUGGGCAACAGCCCAGUUAUAAAGUUCGAGCUACUGUCCAACACUAAAAAUCAAUUACUGAAGCCAAAAGCCAUGCCUGAACGACUGCCCGAGUUUUGCAUGAGCGACAGCCCAAGUCAAUUGUGACGAGAAAAAUUUGGUUUCCUUUUCUGAUUGAAAUUUUUAUGGAAACAAAUCUUGUACAUGAUAUACCCAAAAUCUCGUCCAAAACCUAGAGAAUGCCCCUAGCCCUAUUUUUUUUCUCUCUCUUUGUGCUCAAGAUCCAUGAUGUGCAACUAAUUUCUUUUGCUUGAUCGAAGGAGACGGAAGCCUUGGACCAAUUAUAACUGUGAGAUCCAUUUGAUUUUUAUUGAUUAAUUCAUAUAUUUAGUGUUAAAUCUUCUUUUGCACUUACUUCUAUGAUUGUUGUGUUUAAUUUCUAGAGUGCACGCAAGUUUAUUAGUUUCAAUAAUCUAUAGCUAAGUUAAAUAUCAAAUUCGUAAUUAUUUGAUUAAUUUAACUUAUGAAGCAACUAACAUUAGUAAUUUGCUGCUUUAGAAAAUUAUUAGAUCUUAGGGAGAAGUUUUAUGUAGGUUAAAUGCAAACUCUUGGCUUGGGUUAUCUAGUUCAUUGAUUUCUCUAAUUCGCAAAGCCAUUAUGAAAUUAAAUUCUCGCACUUGUCUAGGAUUGUUUGAUAAUGAGGAUUAAUUAGAUUGCUUGUUUCUAAUUAAUUAAAACUAAGGAAAAAUAGGAAAAUUGUUUCGAAUGAGAAAUUUAUUUUUCACAAUGAAGGCUACAAUUAUGAAUUGAUGAUUAUUGGUAGAUCAAUGACCGGUUAUUAAUUUCCAACGGUGUAUAUGACGUAGAUCAAGGUUUGUUUUAUUGCUUAUAUUUAAUUAGGUGAUUUGUAUUAUUUCAAGAAAAUCAAAAUCCCCUAUUUUAGUUAAUAUUGCAUCAAAAAGUAAAUUAACCACUCUUCGUGGGAUCGACCCUUACUUCCACUACUACAUUAAUUUUAAGAAGUAUAUGCUUUAAUUUGGAGUGCCUACGACAGCACGCAUCAUUAGUGUGCUCCCAAAUUUGACUUAAGGUCGCAUUUCAAGAAAUGUGACUUUGCAAAUGGAGGCCUUUUAUGAGAUUUUGACACUUGGCACAAUCCUGACCAUUUGAUGACGAUUUAGGAUGGUUUUAGGGUUUGUCUAUAUGUACAUUGGGGUUGACAUGUACCAACCCCUUAGAAGAGGGAGGCCACGAUUUUUUUAUUUGUCGUGGGGCCCCCUAUUGUGAGGGGGUCUGUGCACCAGGGUAUUAACAUCGGUAUACAAAUAGAAAAACCUGUAGUUUUAUUGCCUUUACUCUCUGUUGUUUCACUUGAAAUACUUCAUUCUACCUUUUCAGAUUUCUGCAAAGAGAGAGUUUACGCUCGUUUGGUAAGGGUUUCAUCUUGAAUCAUUUUCUCUCUUGAAAAUCUCAUUCGCAAUUGAGAUCAAUGUUUUACUUCCUUUGAUUCUUGUAUUUUCUGAGUGGUUCCUAUAUUGUGUUGUUCAAAGUAUUGUUUUGAGGCUUCUUUUAUGAUUCCUUGAGUAGAUUUUCAGUUUCAUCUUUGAGAAGAUAACUAUUGUGACUUUAUCUUGUAUUGGUUCAACGUUUAUAAGCUUUGUUUUCUUUCAAAGUUAAAUAGUGCAAUCGAGCAUUAUCCAUUUUAUAUGGAUAAUCAAUAGGGGAUUAGGUAUUAGAAGCAAUCAUCGAACCCUCGGAGCUUCAGCCGAAACAAUUCUUUGUGUUGAUUUUCAUUUCUUGCAAGCUUAUUUUCUACACUUAGUUUUAAGUUUGACAAAUAAGUUAUACCUUGUUGUUUUUGGGCAUUUGAGUAGUAUUAGAGCUUGGAUCUUGAAUUGCAAAACCAGCUCUUCAAGGAAACUAAAGAUCUUAAAGGGACCUCAAAUUUUUGUGCACCGUUUUGAAGGAAUCUGAGUUUUCUUAUAAAACUCACUUGAUAAGAUUUUUUAAAAUUAUGCAACCUGCAAUUUUAAAAAAUUAGGGUUUCUUGCUUUUUUCCUUAAUUUACAAUACCAUUACAAAAUAUCCCCUGGAUACUAUUAUUUGCCCAAAGUCUCUUAUGAGGUUUUGGAAAUCUGAGAUUAAUCUAGUACUGGUGUAUAACGGGAGGAAUAAAAAUUUGCGAUCUAUAUUUGUGAUUCUUGUGAUAUUUUUUGUUGCCUGUCCACUGUUAAGUACAUAUUCUUUGACUAAGUAAAAACUCUUGUAUGUAACUCGAAAUAUUAUACCAUUACGUGCACUAUUGUGAUCUUAAACUGAUCUUGUUUAAGUGUUGGUUCUUUACCGUGUGUCUUUCCCUAUCUCUAGUUAAACUUGCUUGUCAGUUUCUUAUUUGUGAUGGCCAUUGCUAAGUUCGAAAUGAGUCAGUAUGAUGGGAGGGGGAUUUUAAUAUGUGGAGUCAGAAAAAGAAAGGUAUCUUGAUGCAAAUGAGAUAUGCUAAGGCCUUAGAUAAUACUUGGCCUACUAGUAUGAUCCCUGCUAAAAAGAAAACAUUGCUUAGAGUACUAUGUUUUGUACCUUUCUAAAAUGUGAUUAGAACCAUUGGUGAAACUAAAACUGUUAUUGAACUUUGGACCAAUUGCAGGCUCAGUAUAUUACCAAAACUGUUCCAAAUAAGUGCUAUUUGUUGACAAAGUUCCUUUUUUUUUUUAAAUGGAUCCUCUAUUGACUUGGAUUAAAACUUGAAUAGAUUUAUAAAACUUACCAAGACGUAGCUUUUUGUGAUGAAAAACUUUCAAAAGAUCAAUUGGUUAUGGUCUUAUCAAACUCCAUUAGUGACAAUCACAGAGACCUCAAUAAUAUCCUUAAAUAUGGUACGGAUGAAAUCACUAUUGAUAUUAUAAUCAGUGCCCUUAGAAAUAGAAUUCUUGAAAUAAAAUCUAAAUUUAAAGAUCGUCAAAAUGGAGAAAAUUUAUUGGUUAAGGGUAGGAGCAUUGGUAAAUCUAAUUAUCACUCUAAAGGCAACAAUGAGUGUAAAAAGAAAUGGAGUGAUGAGAAUAAACUCUAAAUAUGUUUGACAUGUAUGACUGUAAACUUGUAACUUUCCCAUUAAUCAAUCAUUUUAAAAUUUCCUCCAAUUGCUGCCCUAAAACUGAGGAAGUGUAUGAUAGAAUGUCUAAAAUUCCUUAUGCAGAUGUUAUUGGGUCUAUCAUAUACUUGAUGAUAUACACUAGACCUGAUCUUGUUUAUAGCGUUAGUGUACCUGGCAAAUUUAUAAGUAACCCAAGGGAAGAACAUUGGGAUGCAUUAAAAUAGCUUUUGAAAUAUCUGAAAAGAACUUUGAUUUAGGAUUUAUGUUUAAAAUGAGGAGGUAACUUCAAAAGGUUGUACUAAUUUUGACUUUAUUGGAGAUAGGGAUAAUAGGAGAUUAACUUCAUCCUAUUUAUUGCGUGGAAGUUUCAAGAGAUCUUGAAUUCAAGCUCAGAAAAACCACUAAACGAAUACCACCCGACCUCGGCUCAACCAACACCCUUCUUUCACUUGGACUGGUUCAAGAUUUCUUACCCACAAAGGAUGAUGGUCGUGGUGACUACAAUAUAAAGCAAAGAAUGAAGCAACAGUGGUUGAGUUUCUCAAAACUCACGCCAAAAGUGUAUGUUGAUGUUCAUUUAAUGGUUUCUUGAGCCAAGAUUAAAGAUUUCUCAAAGUUUCUAAUAAUAAAUGGUAUCAGAGCUUAUGUUAUUGAGAAAUUUGUGAUUUUUUGGGUCAAAGAUCGACUGUAAAGGGCUAAAAAUGAAGCUGGAACAUGGUAGAAAGUAGGGAAAAAAAUCUAGAUACAUUGAAAAUCAUCUCUGUCGGAAUUUUUUUAUUUUUUGCAUUUCUCGGCCAGACAACUCAUCGUUUGGAGAAACCAACGCCAUAUGAAGACUGCGCAAGUGGAGGAGCACCUGGGAGACUGGCCUGUGAAGCUCUGGCAUGACGAUAGUUAGGCCACCUGCAAAGACAGAAGUCUCAUGUAGUGAAAGUCUGGCAGAGUUUGGUAACAACACUUGAAGACAAAAUAUUGCUGACAACGAGGUAGACCUUGCGAUGGUGCUUAUUUUCUGUUUGGUCAAAAUAGUUAAAUCUAGACGAUUUUGCCCUUGGACAUUGGGGUGUCGAUGCUUUUUUUGUUUGCUGUAGUUUCUGGAGGCUUUAAAGCGAAUGGUGGUGGCCCUAAAGUGAUGAAUUUUGUAUAUUUCUUUGUUUACAAACAAGCAAAUAUUGUCCACUCGGUAUCAUGUUCUUUCCCUUUUUUAUUACAAUUACGGCUAUCAUGGGGGUAGCCACCUACUUUUCACAUUAGAAGCCAAUGUGUGGGGUAACAUUAGGUUUGAGGCUACCGUGUGGGAAUAACCAUUGUCUGUUGCUAAACCUAAGAAUUAUUUUUUAAUUAUUUACCUUAAAUUCUUUGUGAAUUUAUUACUAAAUGUUUGUACACUGCUAGAAUUUCAUGUGACCUUAGAGAAGUUUGUUUGAUUAUUCGGUGUGAAUUGUGUCGUUACUUUGCUUGUGGUCAUAUUUGGUGUUGAUGGCAAAUGUAUGUCUAAGACAAUUGCAAAAAGUAAUGCAUUUUUGAACAUCAAUAUUUCGGACAUGUUGAAAGAGAUUGUCGUAGGAAGGAUAAUAGAAGGAAAAAUAAAGAGAGAGGUGAGGUAAAUGUUGCCACUGGGUUUGGCUAUGAUCCAAGUGAGGUUUAUUAAGAGUAAACUUGAAUAUUGUAUGUUCAUUUGUGUACAAUCCUUUCUCAUGUAUGGCCGCUUAAUUUUAUUAAGAUGUUAUAUGUUACAUUUUCAAUCUGUUUGACAUGUUUAAUUGCAUGAAUAAAGAGUAAUCUUAAUGCGUUUGUAUACAUAGCGUGUUGACGUCUAUGUCAUACUCUUUUUGCUCUAUGGUUGGUACAGGAAAGUGUGGUAGUGAAAAGAAAAAGGGGCCGCUACUUUCUCCUUUACAUUUGUGAGUCUAUGUCAUUUGUGAUAUUAUAUAGGGUAGCCAGGUGUAGGUUAUCCUCUUUCUCUUUAUGAGCCUUUUUAGUAAUGCAAUAAAGAACUAACUAUUUCUUAUAUUUUCUUUGUGAGUGCCACAUACACCCUUCUCUCUGUGAACUUCUUGAGAUUUAAUGAGGAAGAAAUCUUUUGGUACGUUGGUCAAUUUAAACUGAGCCCUAACCUUUGUGGUCACCAAAGGUGUCAAUUUUGUUGUAGUGGUGCUAACAGUAAGCGGGCUGUGUUUCAUUUGGUAAUGUGAAGUAUAGAUACCUGAGGCUGCAUUGGCGAUAUACACGGAUAUGUGGAGAGUGAAAUUUGGAUCACGAGUAAAAAUGUGAUAUAAUGUCCGGAAUCCUCUAUCUAUGAAAGACCUUGUACAAGUAAAGUGUGAAAGAGACACUUUUAUCACUUCUGUUAAGUAGAGACACAUUAUCCACUUAGGUUGAGACAAAUGAGGUAGUGACAGAAGAUUAUCUUGUGGAUUUAAAAUCUAUUGUGGUUUAACAAUUAGACAUGAAUUUAGUGAUCAAUCUAGUGAGCAUGGUGGACAGUGAGAGAAGAUAUAUGUUCUCGAGGUACAAGCAAUACGAAAUGAGAUAGGAUAAGUGUAGUGAGAUCUUUUCAUGGGGUUAUUUAUGCACUUGUUGCAUAUGUGUUAGUCGUUUGAUUGAUUAACUUGAUAUUAGUUUACUAUUUUGUUUAAACAUAUUUGAAAGGACUUGUAUGUUAUCCUAUUUUAUAUCUUCAUCACAUGUUUAAAUGCUUUUAAUUGAUUACUAUGAUUACUUGCUCCUAUUUGGGUAUUUUUUGAAAUCGGCCCUGAUUAGUGCAUUGAACAGGUAUGGUACGUCUUUCGGGUCGAAAACAUGAGUUAAGGUCUGUGAUUUCGACGAUGGUGUGAUUUAAUCGUUGUGUGGAAGCUUCGAAAAAUCUUUAAUACGGUCUCAGAAAAACCACCAAACGUAUCACCUGAGCUUUGCUCGACCCACAACUUUACACUUGGUUGUCUUCUUUCCAACACCCACAAAGGAUAGAACUUUGGUAAUUAAUGUGUACCCACAAAGGAAAAAGAGAAUAAAUGAAGGAAUGGUUAAACUCAAAUUUUACCUAAGUUGGUUACUGCACGUUUUCUCUUCACAAUUGCACAUUAACUCACGGCUGCAAAAAAUGAAGAGAUAAUGGAUGUAUACAGCAUUAGGUUAGAUUCCAAACUUGGGCCAAAUACUUUCAAUGGGCUAAGACAGAUAACAACUAGGAAAAAUUCAUAAAUAAGAUGUUAACUAUCACAUAUUUCAAAAUUAAGAACAAAAGUUUCAAAUUUAAAAAAUCAAAUAUUUAUUACAAUUUAUUUAUUAUUUAUUUAAUUAAUUAUAUAUUUAAUUAAUUAAAUAUAUAAAAGUCACCGAUGUAUGCAAUUUGGUCACAAAUUCACAAAUUUAGUUAUUUACAUAUUAUUUUUCGAUCACAGAUCAAAAUUUUAAUAUGUCAAAAAUUAUUUUAUGAUCACAAUUCAAAAAUUUUAUACGCCAUAAUUCGUUCAUCAAUCACAAAUCACGAAUAUUAUAAGUCACAACUUAUUGCACAACUUAUUGGAAAGUCACAAAUUAACAAUUUUUUAAGUCACACAUUAUUUCUUGGUCAUAGUUCAUCUCUUUCAUUAAUCACAUAUCAUUUAUUGAUCACAGAUUAAUUUAAUGGUCACGGUCAACCGAAUGAUUUGUGACUACCAUUAAUGCUUGUGACAACCAACUCACCACUGCCUCCAACAGCAUCACCAUAACCGUCGUCGUCGCAGCCUGAACCUCCAUCACCUACUACAACAAAUCUAACACAUUGCCAAAAAAAAAAAAAAAAAAAAAAAAAAAAAAAAAAUUAAUUUGUGACUACCAUUAAUGCUUGUGACAACCAACUCACCACUGCCUCCAACAGCAUCACCAUAACCGUCGUCGUCGCAGCCUGAACCUCCAUCACCUACUACAACAAAUCUAACACAUUGCCAAAAAAAAAAAAAAAACAAAACAAAACAAAACAAUUCAUUGCACCAAAUCCAUCGCUACCUUACCGCCACAACCACCGACAAACAACCAUUUUCAACUACAAAACCACCACCCAUCAACACAUCUAUGCCAGAUUCACUAACACCACCACCUCCAUCAACAAAACCACCAAUCCACCACCGAUCUAACACCACCAAACCCAAAUAAUUAGUCACAACCCACCUCUAGAACCACAACCUGGCUACUACAGCACCCGCAAAACGACCACACCAUCAUCGUACAUAUAGCACACAGCCAUUGCCAUCGUUAUAUCCAUCUCUUCUAUCUCAGUCAACACAACAACACUUCCACGCCCCAAACAAAAAAUCCACAAACUUACCGCUACCAUUGCACAUAAUACCACCUACGCCACUGUAGGCAAAAACACCACAAAACUAACGUAAUAAGAUAAAAGGAAUAGCCCGAACUCCAUCUUUGGUUGCCACACUACAGAAACAGUAAGUGGUGCUGUAAUCUUGACAUAGAAGUGAGGCAAAUGGCGUCCAAAUCUCAGGCAAAUGGCAUCCAGAGCAUGAGGGGUUGCUGCCCAUCGCUCACACAACAUCGAUAGCGUCGUGUGAGUGCAGCACCGCCAAUGUGAGGAUAAAGACAGAAAAGGAGAGAAACGAGAUAUAGAGAGAUAAAUGAUGUGAAAAUCAAUUAGGUUUUGGGAUGAAAAUUGUAUAUUUCAUAUUUAAAUAUGAAAUAUCUGAUUUGUAAAAUAUGAAACGUCCCACUUACUUUUAGAACAUAGAUCUUUAAAAGCAAAGUGGGGUAUGAUUUCCUCUAACCCUCUAACAACCAACCAAUUAGUUGGGUUAACACACAUAUCACUCUCCAAACCUAAACAACAAAUGGGAUAACUCACAAAUGGGUUGUCCUGAAUGAAUUGGUAGUUUUUGAGCCAAGCCAAGCACUAUGGUGUCGAUGAAUUAUCCAACAUAUAUUUUAAAUCAUAGCCAAAAAUUUAUUUGGUAUAAAAAAUCCAACACUAUUUUUAUACAGUUUGUGGUACUAUUAUAAUUUGGAAAUCACAACUUCAAAUGGUUGUGUCUCUAUCUUCAACAAAGGCAGAAUAUAUUGUUUCCAUCGAUGCCAUUAAAGAAGGUAUUUGGUUAAGUGAUUUGUUAGGUGAACUUGAUUUUGUUGAUGAAAAUACAAUACUAUUUUUAAAUGACCAAAUUGUCAUACAUUUGAGAAUAAAAUCCCAUGUUUUAUGAUAAAACUAAGCACAUGGAUAUUAAAUAUUGCUUCAUAAAAGACUUCAUUUCAAAAGGGAUACUUAAAUGGUAAAUUGUUACUCAAUUUAAUCCUUCAGAUAUAGGUACCAAAGUAAUACCUUUAAGUAAGUUUCAAAAUUGCUUGAAGUUAUAUGAAAUAUAAAUUUGAAAAAUCGAGAGAGUGCUUAUGUUGUUUCAUUCAAAGUGUUGGUUUGAGGGUUAUUUUGUGAUUUCUUGAGUAAAUCUACAGUUUCAUCUUUGACAAGAUUAGUAUUGUGACUUUAUCUUGUAUUAGUUGAAUUAUUGUAACCUUCAUUGCCGUUUUUGGGUAAAUAGUACAAUCGAGUAUUAUCCAUUUCAUAUGGACGUUCAACAAAGAUUAGGUGUUAGAAGUGGUUACUGACUUUGGGACUUCGACUGAAACAAUUCUUUAUGUUAAUUUUCAUUUCAUGCAACUUUAUUUUCUGUACUUAGUUUUGAGUUUGACAAAUCGCUUAUAGUUUGUGUCUUUGGGCAUUUCAUCCUCUAACAUGCAUUGACUGUAUACUUUGGAUUCGCUUAUCAUAUCCAAAAAAGGAAAGAAAUAUGCAUGUAUACAUUUGGUACGCUUCACUAUGAAGAAAGAAAGAAAUAACAAUCCCCCCUCAUGAUGUGGCCGAGUUGGUGUGAGCGCGGCGGCUUUUAGUCACAAGUUCGAUUCCCCCUAUCAACACUUUCUCGAUCAAAUUUGUCGCAUCGGGCUUGUCUAGUUCAAUUUACCUAGCUCGCUAUUACGUCAGCUCGAGGGCUUAACCAGUACGCACCCGAAAAGUAGCAGCUGUGAGUUCCCCGUCAUAAAAAUAAAAAAAAUAAUAAAUAAUAAUAAAGAAAUAACAAUCAAAAAGUGUAUAGACACUGAAGAGGAUGUUGUCAUCCAUCCCGUCUAUCUCGUUUCUAGAAUGGAUUGACGAACUAAAAUAUUGCUCUAUUGAAAUUCUAUUAUAAUUGUCAAUUAUCCCGUCCAACCCACCUAGGAUGAUCGAGCACAAAAAUGUAAAAUUUGAUAAACUUAACCUGGAACUUAUUGUCUGAACUUGACAGCUCUGAGAUGAAUCAUCAACAUAUAUAUUUGUUCAUACUUUCUACAUUGUACAAUGGAAUUUUAAAAUCAACAUAAAUAUGUUGGUUGAGUCAAAUAUACAAUAUAUCAAGCAUGCCUAUAGAAGUAGAAGUGAAAUUACUAAAAAUAUGAAUCUCCAAACUUAUUCAAGGGAUUUUAUUUUCUCACCCAUGGCAAUGGAUUUCUUGCAAUGAGCAAUCGCUGCUUGAAUUGCACUCUGCAACUCUUCCUUAGUACUGUCACAUGCUGCGGUAGGAGUAAGAGUUCCAUUUGCUACUAAUAGACCAUUGUUUGUUGGAGAUAUUCUCACUGAACUUGGUUCUGAAAACUCCCCCCUUCUUCCUCUCAACUUUGGCUUCCCCCUAAUGAGUAAAUUUCAGGAAAAUGAAUAGGAUUGCCUGUGUAAUUUAUUCCCUCUUCUAAAGAUCAGACGGGGUCGAGCCAUUCUCGCGUAUCUCUUCAAAAACCGACUUACAUUGAAUUUUAACUUCUUUUUCUGCCUUUCUUUACAUUCCUUUUCUCCUUUUCGCCAUUUCAAUAAGCUAAACAAAGAAAAAGGCUUGGAAUUUGCUCUUCCUUUAGCAUCAAGCUGGGAUCAAUAUCGUUGUCAGUACUGUUGAUUGUCUGAAUGGAUUCUAAUUCUUUUAUGGAUAGGGUAAAACUAUCCAAAGAGUUGUUCAAAGAACGAGGGGAUACCGGAAGGUGGGAGAGUAGAUGGAGAGGAAGCAAAUGGCCAUGGAAAAAUAUAUCAUCUGCUGGAGAUAAAUCUACGGCGAAUGAAGAAGUGUUCUUAUUAUUUUCUGAGGUUUUUGCAGGGGCUGAAGGAUGAAGAGAAAUGGUGAAGGAGAAUUCAUGAGAAGGAGAUGAAGAAGCUGAAGGUGGCAAGGUUGCUGCAAUUGGUUGCAGCUGAUUACUCUCUCUCUCUCUGCUGAUUUUCUUCAUGCUUCUCUCUCAUCUUAUGAUGAUGUUUGUCUAUGCUUCAAUGCUAAAAGAUAUGUCGGAUCUGAAGUUUUUCUUGACUUGCUUUGAUAUGAUAUUCUCUGGUUAGAAAUGUGAGGAAAUAUUUUUGAAGGGAUAAAGAUGUUAGGAAGUAAUAUAGUUCGUGUGUGAGUAUCAAGAGGAUAUGUAGGGCUAACGGGUAGGCGUUGGAUGUGGGUAUGGGGUUACGGAGUGGGACAGGGUUUCAUUUGUUUUUUGAAGGGAAGGGGACUGUUCUCGGCAGGUUUGUUAAAUGAAAUCCGUAUUUAAUAGUGCGUUUCAUAUGGACUCGAUGGGACAUAAUAAUAAUAAUAAUAAUAAUAAUAAUAAUAAUAAUAAUAAUAAUAAUAAUAAUAAUAUUGAAAGUGCUUAUGAACAGUCUAAAUUAUAAAUUAAUUAAAAUAUUGAUAAAUAAGUGGAUAAUUUUUAUAAAUCUUAUAAAAUUGUAGAAUAAGGAGAAAUUUGACCAACUAUAAUCAUUAUCCAAGCAUGAGUUCAAAAAUUUACAGAUAAUUAAAAUUUUAUAUUGUCGUAAAAUAUCCGAUAAUAAUGACUGAUUAGUUGAUAUUAUUAUGCCCAUGUUUGGUUUCACUAAAAAUUUAGAUUAAAAUUAAAGUUAAAGUCAACAAUUAAUUUUAACUACACAUUUUAUAAGACUCAUAACUUUUCAUCCAAAAAUCCCAUUAUCUUUUACCAAAAUUUUCAAAAAAAUCUGAUUUUAUCUAAACUAAACAAGGGCCAGAAGGAUAGAUAACUUUCCUACCUUAGAAGAAUGUUUUCUAUUCAAAUUGUCACUCAUUGAAACCUUAUAUAUAACAGUCAGUGUUAUGAUGAAAUUCACACGAGUUUUGAUACCCUUAUUUUCUUCUAUUGUUCUUGCUUUUCUUCUUAAUUUAAUAGCAUGUUAUCAGCACGAGUUCUAGUGAAUUUAACUAGGAAAAAAAAAUUCCCCUGCAAAAGACAAGUUAAGAAUCCGGUAUGAUAAAUUUGAUUAUGCAAUCUUAAUAUGAAAAUUAGUUACGAAAAAUUUAAGAUAUGCAUUUUGUCAUUACUUGUGAAAAAGAAUGAUCUAAUAUUCAAUUAAAUUUUUUUUUUUAUUUUGUGGCCUAAUAUUCAAUUAGAAUUUGUGGGGGUGGAUAUUGCAUUGUUGCUCCUGUAGACCACAAACUUAAAUAUCAAUAUCUAUAAAAUAUAUUAUAUGGCUCAAAAAUAUAUACACAUAUAUUUCAAAAGAAUAUGGUGUCGUUCAUGAAAAACAUAAAACUUAUUUCAUUGUGUUUAUGGAGAAGUACAAACUAAACGAUUAAGUAUAGUGGUAUAGUGUUGUAAUUCUUGAAGAAAACACUUUAUUAUUUUAUAAUAUUUAUAUGGUACAUUAUGUUAAUACUUCGGAGGAAGUAUAGUUUUCCUGCAAUAUUGUGAAAUAAUAUUUUGUUUUUAAUCUUGAUGAAACAGGAGUUUAUAUUGUAUUAUUGCUCCAGAAGAAAAAUAGAUUUCUUAUUUAUCAAUAUUUUUUAAAAACAUAGUGAUAUUCUUGAAUAAUAAAUUUUAUACAAACUAAUAUCCUACAUAAUUUGAAAUUUUAAAAUUUUCAUAAAAAGCUCUAGAAGGGCCAAAAGUUUAUCAUAUGGGUGAACAAAAUGUAAUACUACAUUAAUUUUCUCCCCAUUUCAAAUGAAUAAUGAUAUUAAAAAUUCACAUAAAUAUUAAUUAAAGAACCAAAAAAUUCUUUCAAUGAAUUCCUUGUGUUUUUAUUCUCAUGAUAUAAUGUUGUAAUGUGACCCAAAUUCUUGUGGUUAUUGGUGUUUUAGUUGAAGUGGUCUUGUAGAAAUCAAAAUUAUAGACAAUGAAGAAAAGUUGUUGUAUUUUCGCUAGCCUAACACUAGUUGGCAGCUCGGGCUGCACCAACAUAUUUUGAAUAGAAAUUUUUCACCCUUUUGGUGCUCAAACGAUGGGGCUGUCACCAUCUUUCGCCCCCCGUAGCUUGAGCGAUGGGGUCAUUAGUGCAGCCCCUCUUUCCAAGUUUUAAUGUCUUUUGGACUCUUGUUUAUCUUCAACUCAGUUUCUAGGGUUUUAUAUAAAUAAGCCACUACUUAUAUUGUUCAGAUAACACUCAUACAACAUCUUGAGAGCUUUAGAUCUUAAUUGAGAGCAUUGAAAUUUUGUUGUAAACAAAUUGCUAUUGCCAAUAGUGGAUUUCUCCUCCUCAACCCAUGGUUUUUUGCCAUGUUAAGUUUUCACGUAAAUCUUGCUGUUAUUUAUUUUGUUCUUGUUUAUUUCAUUACUGUCAUAAACUUUCGAUCAAAUUCGCAACAAGUGGUAUCAAAGUGAUUUUGGUAACUUGUUUGUUCAUAUCAAGUGAUAUCAGAGCCAGGUUGAUUAUCUAGCAUGGCAAUGAUGAAGUAUGAUAUUCCAUAAUUGGAUCGAAACACAAGAUUUACUUUAUGGAAAGUGAAGACGCGAGCAAUUCUCACACGGAUGGACUUGAAAGAAGCCUUGGUUUUGAUAAGAUGCCUUCAACCUGGAUAUAGAAAAAAAGCAACGUAGGGAUCGAAAAGCCCAAUCCCAAAUUUAUCUACAUCUAUCAAAUUAAAUUCUUUAAGAUAUUCUCAAGGACAAGAGUGCCUCGUAUUAUGGUUAAAGUAAGAGCAGCUUUGUAUGAAAAAGACAUUGACCAGCAAGCUUCACUUGAAACAGUACUUGUAUUUUCACAGGAUGUUCGAAGAUACAUCAUUGGAUGAUCACUUAACUAUGUUCAAAGAAAUCAUGGCCAAUUUGGAGACAUUGGAGGUUAAGUAUGAUGAGGAGGACUUGGCAUAGAUGUUGUUCUGUUCACUGUCCCCAUCAUAUGUGACUUUUAGAGAUACUAUCUUCUAUAAUCGAGAUAUUCUCACCGUGGAAGAGAUCUAUGAUGAUUUGCUAUCUAAGAAGAAAAUGAGGCAUCUUGUUCGAGGAUCUUGGAGUCAAGCUGAAGGCCUGGUCAUUCGUGGAAGAAGUCAGGAUCAAAAUCUUGGUAAAAAUAUGAAGGCCAGAUCGAAAUCGAGACGUACAGAAAAGUUAUGUCAUUACUCUACGAAGAAGGGACGUAUCAUGGUUGAUUGCUAUUCUUUUGAAAAAUGGGAAUAAGGUUGUCGAUCCCAUUGAAAGGGAAAAAUAACAUGUUAACACAACGAAAGCUGAUGUUGUGGAAGACACACAAAGUGAAUGAGAGCUUCUUGUAAUGUUUAACAUAGAUUCUAAACCUUGUGAGGAAUGGAUUCUUGACUCAACUUCUACUUUCCACAUGUGUCCUAAUAGGAUUGGUUUACAACAUAUGAAAGAGCUUCGAGAGCUGCAAUGAUAAUGGGAAACAAUGCGCAUUGUAAGAUUGUCGGAGUUGGUAAAGUCAGAAUCAAAAUGUUAGAUGAUGUUAUCAGAACACUUUUAGAUGUCAUGCAUGUUCCAAAAUCAAAGUGAAAUCUAAUAAGUUCGAGUACAUCUGACUCAAAAGGUCAUAAAUACACUGGUGAAUGUGGAGUUUUGAAGGUGAGUUGGGGUGCUCUUACUGUCAUGAAGGGAUAAAAAACUCUACAUAACUAUAUGUUUUGCAAAGUUACAGGAGAUACAACAGUCUCUACUUCUUCUUUGACUGAUAAAGAAGUUCCAAAACUUUGGCAUAUGUGACUUGUCAUAUGAGUGAAAAUGGUAUAGCAGAGUUUAGUAGGAGGAGAGGGAAUACUUGAAUAUAUACAUUCAGCUCUUUGUGGACCGGUCAGGGUACCUUCAAAAGGAAGUACUUAUUAUCUAUUAAAAGUGUUUGAUGAUUUAUCCAAGAAAGUUUGGGUAUUUUUCCUAAAACAGAAGAUUGAUGUAUUUGGAACCUUCAAGGAAUGGAAAACAAUGAUAGAAAAGUAGAUUAAGUGUCUACGCACAGAUAAUGGGUUGGAGUUUUGUUAAAAUGAUUUCAUUAGCUUCUACAGAGCUGAAGGCAUAUUGAGACACUUGAUAGUGCCCAGAACUCCUCAACAGAAUGGUAGGCAGAACAAAUGAAUAGAACUUUGAUGGAAAGUAUUCAUUGUAUGUUUUCAAACUCUGUGUUGCCUAAGAUUUUUUAGGCUGAAGCUACUACCACAAAUUGUUUUCCGAUUAAUUGCUCACCCACAAUUGUCACUGAGAAAAAGGCACUAAAAGAGGUAUGGUCUGAGAAACCUUCUUGUUAUACUGAUUUAAAGAUUUUUGGGUAUCUCACUUAUGCUCUAUAUAUAAUGGGAAGUUGAAGCCUAAUUCAAGGAGAUAUGUCUUUCUUGGGUAUAAAUCAGGUAUGAAGGGAUAUAAAUUAUGGUGACCUGAGACAAGAAAGGUGGUGGUUAGUAGAGAUAUAGCAUUUGAUGAACUGACUAUGGUUCAUAAUUCAUCUCGUAUGGAUUCUGAUAAAAAUGAAGAACAGAAUCAUUCAACUCAGAUGGAAUUGAAAAUUGGUCCAAUGAAUAAUUAAAGGUUUUAGAAAAGUCUAGUUCAAAAUUGAUAGACAGUAAUACUUUGCCUACACCACCAGCAACACUACAGUAUUCAAUUGUUAAGGGCAAACCUCACAGAUAGAUUAGACUUCCACAGAACAAUGGAGAAGUAGACUUGGUAGCAUAUGCUUUGAAUGUGGCCGAAGAAAUUGAUUCCACUGAGGAACCUGUUACAUAUAUAGAUAUCAUCAGCAGUAGUGAUUCAUGCAAAUGGUUUAUUGCUAUGCGAGAGGAGAUUGAGCCAUUGAAUAAAAAUUGUACUUGAGACUUGGUGAAACUACCUAAGGAUAAAAAUGUUGUUCGCUACAAGUGGGUAUUCAAAAGGAAAUAAAGGACAUUAUGGAUUGAAGAUACUAGGUAUAAGGUCUGAUUGGUAACGAAGGUUUAUAAUCAAAUUCUAGGUGUUGACUUCACAGAUGUGUUCUCUUUGAUUAUAAAGCAUAGUUGAUUGUAAAACAUGGUUCAAUUCAAGCUUUACUUGAGAUAGUGGAAAAAAGAGUGACUUAGAACUUGAGCAAAUGGAUGUCAAUACAUCAUUUUUGCAUGAAAAACUUGAAUAAAACAUUUACUUGCAACAAUCAAAGGUUUUAAUGUUUCUGGGAAGGAAGACUCUAUGUGCUUGUUGAAGAAGUCCUUAUAUGGACAAAGCAGUCAUCGAGGUAGUGGAACAAAAUGUUCGAUUCAUUCAUGACUGCUCAUACUUUCAGCAGAAACAAUUACGAUAGUUUUGUGUACUUCAAAAAGGAAGAUGGUGGAGCGAUAAAAUAUUUGCUAUUAUAUAUUGAUGAUAUGUUCAUUGUACCCAAGGAUAAAGUAGAGGCCACAAAUUUGAAAUCUCAACUUAGUAAGCAGUUUGAGAUGAAGGAUUUGGAUGUAGCAAAGAAAAUUCUUAGUAGGAAAUCUUGAGGGAUGGAAAGUCUUUCAAAUUGUAUUUGAGUCAUAAUGGGUACAUUAAGAAGGUGUUUCAAAGGUUCAAUAUGUUGAAUGCUAAGGUUGUCAACACUCCCUUGGCUAUCCACUUCAAAUUAUCAUCUGGAUUGUGUCCUCAAUUAGAUGAAGACAUUGAUUAUAUGUCUCUGGUCCCUUAUUCAAGUGCAGUUGGUUCGUUAAUGUAUACUAUAGUUUGUACAAGACCGGAUUUGGUACAUGCAGACAAUACAAUUAGUAGAUACAUGGCAAAUAUUGGCAAAGAACAUGGGAAAACAAUGAAAUGGAUAUUCAGAUACUUGAAGGACUCAAUUAAUGCUUGCUUGUAUUUUGGUAAAAAUAAAGCUAGAUUUAUUGGAUAUGUCGAUUCAGAUUAUGCAGGAGAUCUUGAUAAAAGGAGAUCACUUAUAAGAUAUGUAAACACCCUUGGAGGUUGUGCUAUUAGCUGGAAAGCUAUUUUGCAAAAUAAAAUAGCUUUUUCUACAAUAGAGACAUAUAAGAAGGAUAUGCGGUUAAGUUGUUUGAUUGUUGAAAUCAGUGAUGGCUUGCAGAUUUCUACAGUAUAUGUGAUAAUUAGAGUGCUAUUUUCUGAUUAAGGAUCAAAUAUUCCAUGAGAAAACUAAGCACAUUGGUGUGAAGUAUCAUUUUGUACAUGAAGUGAUUGCUCAUGGUAAUAUUGUAGUGGACAAGGUUAAUACAAAAGAUAAUAAUGCUGAUAUGAUGACAAAUCUACUUUAUAUUGCUAAGUUUAAGCAUUACUUGAAUUUAGUUAGUGUUUAUCAUUAAUUUAGUCCAUUGGGUCUUGUUUAGAAGAGAAUGAAUGUUGUUUGCUUUAAAGAUGUGUUUUUGGAAUUUCUUGUAUUGAAAUUUGGUUCAAGGUGGAGAUUUGUUAUAAUGUGACCCAUGUUCUAGUGGGUAUAGAAGUCUUAGUUAAAGUAGUCUUGAAGAGCUCAAAAUUAUGGACCAAAAAGAAAACUUAUCACAUUUUUGCUAGCCUAACGCUAGUUGGCCGCUUGAGCGACACCAACAUGGCAGGGCCCUCUCUCCCUAUCACUCAAGUGACAGGAUUAUUCGGCCCAGUCUGUUUUAAUGCAUUUUGGACUCCUAUUUAUUUUCAACUUGAUUUCUAGGGUUUUAUAUAUAUGAGUUACAACUUCUAUUGUUUACAUAACAUUCAUACAAUAUCUUGGGAGCUCUAGAUCUUAGUUGAGAGCAUUGAGAUCUUAUUGUAAACACAACUAGUAUUGAUUAUAAUGUAUUUUGCCUCCUCUGCUAGUAGUUUUUUCCCAUCUUGGUUUCCACGUAAAUAUUGGUGUUCUUUAUUUUGUUCUUAUUUAUUUUAUUAUUGUCAUAAUCUUUCGAUCAAAUUCGCAACAGGUGGUAUCAAAGCGAUUCUGGCAUCUUGUCUAUUCAUAUCAAUAUAUACACUAGUUGGCUUUCACUAGCUAAAAUCGAGAUUGAAUUCCUUGUAUUUCUAAAAAUUAAUUAGGGUGAUUUAUGAGAUUCUUUCUAUUCACGUUGACUACCUAAAUAUUAUUUGUAUCUAACAAAUACAUCUCCUAUAUAAUUGUAUGUUAUUAUUUUGGCUAUGUUUGAGUCCCUUUUGUGUAAAAAGUGAGUUUUCUAAUAGUGAUUUUUAUGAAUAAUGUGUAAUUAAAAAGUAGAAAAAAAAUUUAAGUUUACGUGCAAAUUAUUCAUUUGAAGAAUAAUGGUUAAAAUUAAGCUUGAAGAAAAAUGAAUUUUUAGAAAAUGCAGCUCAAACAUGGGUUAUAUAUUCAUAACCUGACAUUUGCAAGAUUAAUUGCUCAAAAUUUUAAUUAUGAGAAUGAUUUUCAAGUUAUAUAAUAAGAAAGCUAGUGAGCAUAAAUUUCAAACUUUUAAUAAAUAUUAGUUAGGAUAAAAAAAAAAUGGUUUAACACUAUUAUUUAUUAAAUAUCUCCAAUUAAUUUUUGAACCAUUACUAUUUAAAAAAAGGGUUUUCCAUUUUAUGUCUAAUGAUACUAUUUUUCGUGGACAACGCUUCUACACAUUAUGUCAACAUCAAAGUUCUCCCUAUAUAGUUAGUUAGCUUAUGGUCAAAGCUUAAUAUUUCACAUCUACGAUUUUAAAAUAUUCAAUAUAUAUACAAUUGUUCCAACAUAGAGCACUAAGAUAGACAUUAAACCGUGAUACUAAUUAAAUUAUAAAGAUUUGUCGACUUCAUUUUGAUUACACAAUUUUCUUAGUAUUGGGAGGAGGUACUAAGAAGUUGAAAAUAAUAAACAUAAACAUAAGGAGGAGGUAUUAAGAAAUUAAAAAUUACAAACAUAAAGCAUCAUUUUAUUAUUUAGAUCAUUAUACAAGAUAAUGUGAAUUAAGAAUUUGAAAAGAUAAUUCAUUUAAGUGCAGUUACUCAUAAAAGAAUUUGACAAUAUAUUAAACAUUAUAUUUACAUGCUCCAACUCAAGUUGACGUCAUGGAGUAAGAAUCCAUUUACAUUAUACUUGAUAAAUCAAUGGCACGCUGAUGCGUGAUAAUAUUUGAUUCCAAGAUAAAAAUCUAAAAACAAAAUAAAAUAAAAAAAAUAGAGCGAAUAGUAAAGAUUUUCCCAUUAAGAUAUAUAUACUCUUGGUGAGUGUAUAACCACAUCAAUUUGUAAAACCGAAUAGAGGUUCAUGUAGAUGAGGUAUUGAAAAUUGAGAUAUCUCAAUAAAUUUUAUUAUUAUGAAUGGAAGAAACGAAAUUGAAAAGAAAAAGUUGCUAAAAACACUUUUGUAGAUGAUGCGGCAUGUUAUAUUAUGAACAAUAUAGAGAAUGUCAAAAAAAAAUUCAUCGAAAAAUACGGAAGUAGAAAUGAAUGGCUAAAAUAACAUGACAUAAUUCAGGCAAAAUUGAACGUAAUAGAGAUAUCUAAAGUUUUUGGACAUGCAGUUCAAACACCUAAACGUGUAAAGUUAAUUUUACAUAUGCGAAUAUCAAGUGAGAAACUGAAGUCACAAAAUAUAAUGCAUGACUCUUAACAUAAUAAAUUUUGGAAAAAAAUCGUAUAGAUAAAUUUUCAUGUGGAGGAUGAAAUCACAAAUAUAUAUCUUGUUAACCUAAUAUGCAUAAUAUCUAAUAAAUGUGGUUAUAAUUAACCCAUCGACAAGAUUAUUAAUACUAUUUUUUUAAAUAUGUUAAUUAUUCAAUAUGCUUAUAAUUCAAGUGAUAUUGUCAUAGGGAAGUAUAUAUAAUUUGUACACUUCUUAGUCUUCCCCUUUUUCUUUUUUUUUUUCUUUUACCAAGAUUGUAUCUCGUUGUUCUUCUCAAAAAUGCUCUUUUUUCCUCAUUAGAAUACUUUAGAAAGGUUCUUCCUAGUGAAAUUUUCACGAUGUAUAUUAUGUGUAAUGAAUAAUAAUAACAUACGUGACAUUUACUCUCAAUAUAACUUUAUGAUUUUACUCUCGUAUACUAUAAAUUGUAUAUUAGACUUCCGAAGGAAGAAUAAUAAAAUUUAUUUUUCAAUGGACCAUCAUACGGAAUGAAGUAAAAAAAUAAAUAAAUAAAUAUUAAUAUCUUUUAUGAAGACGAGUUUGCUUAAUACUAUAGCAAGACAAUAUUGAACAUAAUUCAUCAAAAUUAUAAUAUAAAUUUUUGGAAGAUGGUACAUUGAAACAUUGGCACAUAAUGAAAGACUCAAUAUAAGAAUUUUCAUUAGUACUUGUCACGAUACCGUACACUUACAGUUUAAGUGAACAAUAAUUCUAGGCAAUUUUUUUUAUAUAGAGGAACAAUUCUCUCAUUUAGUAGUCAGAGAAUUAAAGUCAUUCAUGAACUAUUUCUCUCCCAUUGAAAAGAGCGAUUGGCAUUUGCAAGAACUUUCAACAAAAAUAAAAAAAGAUGAGUACCCCCCCCCCUUCUUGCUACCACCAUCAACACCAUUUUUCGCUUUGAAUGGACCAAAACCAAAAAUAUUAUGAAUAGAAUGAAAGGAGAUAAGCUAGAAAGAAAGUUUAGUUGAAACUCAGAAAAAGAUACGUAGCUUGAACAAUAUUGAAAUUCAAUUUAGAAAAUAUAAAUAAUGAAAAUACACAAAAUCAAAGAUCACUCCAAAAACAAAAUCUCCACCCGUGAAUUAUUAUCAUGAUAAAUGAAUUCUUAAGUCCACAUAAACAAAGAUACGAUUUGAUGUUUUGUAUAAUUAAUGUGUAUAUAAAAUGCAAAUAAAAAUGAUUCUUUUUUCUUUUUUUGGUCUAGAAAAGAACAUAUUGUCCCUACCAUGAAUGAUUUUCAUUAAACAGAAACUUCAACUGUUUUUCGGCGGACUCUCACUUCACCAUUCAGUGUAAAAAAUAAAUUAGGAAUUCUUUAGUCAAUAAAUUUGCCAAAAAAUAAAAAAAGGAUUAUGAUGAAGGCAUCUUGACUAGUCAGCUGUUGAUUUGAUAGCUUAUAUUGAUGAAAUAGCUAUGUCGAUCUCUGUUUUAUAUUUUAGCUUAUAAAUUAUUAAGUCAUAUGAAUAUUUUAUAUGCAGUAAUAGAGAUGAUUGCUUAAAUGUGAAUUUAAGGGGGCAAAAAAAAAAUCAUCGAGAAAAUUGUAUUCAAUAAUUUAACAAUGGGAAUAAUGGUUGUAUGAAAAGGCGGAAAAGAUAUUAAGGCCUUGUUUGAGCUCCAUUUUGGGAGAAAAAAUAAAUUUUUGAAUAGUGUAUCAAUGGAAAAUGCAUAAUUAAAAAAUAAGGAAAAGUUUUGAAUUUGAGUGUAAUAUUAUUUUAUUAAAAAUGUGUGAUUGAUAUAAUAUCAAAAUACUGUUUAAGAAUGUAUCCCAAAAAAAAAAAGACUCAAACAAGGGUUAAAGUUUGAUAAAGAUGGGUAGGGACACACGAGUGUACUAAGUGCUCCAUUAGUCCAUUUCAGAGUUUGGUCGCUUAUUUAAGGUCAAAUUCUAAAUCUUGGAUGCAUUCUUUGGGUGGACAGGCUUAUCUUCCCCCACUUAGCACUCAAAAUUAUUGUGUGUGUGUGUAUAUAUAUUCGUUGCACUCAAACCCCAUAAAACAUUUAUUUAAAAAUGACGCGAGUAAUUAGAUGAGCAAAUUACAUUAGAAAAUAAAAUAAAUAAGAAACAUCUAUGAAAAUGUGCGUAACUUUCGAAUCGAGUUUCAGAUUUAUGCAAGCAAGUAAAAUUCAAAACACUUUUUUUCAAUUUUGCACAAUUUUUUGGGACAAUGUUGGCCGAAAGUCAAACUUUCGGGCUCAAAUUUUGUCGUUUAGAUGUCCAUUUUAGGAAUUUUCUAAUUUUAGUCCAUUAAAGGGCAUUUUCAUCACUUUACGCCUUAUUUUAGUUUUAUUUAGAUUUGUGUGUUGAAUUAGAAUUUCUCUUUGAUUAGGAUUUGUUUUGACUAGUUAAAUAUUUGUUAAGAGUUUGAAAAUUCUAUAUUCAUUUUUUAUUAAUAAUAAUUUAGUCUUCAGUUGCCUCGUUAUUUGAUGGAUUCUAAUAUAUCUCAAGUUUGUUCAAGUGCAAGUCGAACAAUAGUCGUUCAUGUGUGUUAGAUGGCAGUUCAGUCUCCAAAUAAAUAUUUCUCAUUAACUAGGACAUGGGUGCUGUUCAGGGACACCCAGUGAAAUUUAUCCUAUGAAUUGUAAAGUUGAUGUUUUGUACCAUGUUGAUUGACUUGUCAUUCUUUAGAGAAAAGAACAAGAUAUUGAAGCCGCUAAUGGGAAAAGUAGAAAAGAGAAUGUUUUCCCACUAAGUAUGUUUUGUGGGAUGACUUUGAAAUCACUGUUUCAUGCCAAAGAUAUUGGUCCCACAUCCAAGUAUCAAUAUUUUUAAACCAAUCUUUCUGAAUGUACAUAAUAAUUUAUAUUCUGAUUUACCGAAUUUAUACUUGGCAUAAUCUUACAACAUUUUUCACAUCUUACACAUUUAAUUCAACCAUCACAAUCUUACCACAUUACUCAUCUAUCAAUAAAGAUGUCAAUGUUAAUGUACAAAUAGCUAAUUGUCUUUCAACCUUACCCCUCAACACAAGUAUUGAGCAGAGAAAAAGAUAAAAGGAUAAAAAGAUUUAGCUCUUAUUUGGUCCUUAUUUCUGAGCAUUUAUUUUUUAAAAUUAUUUUUUAAUUAUAUAUUUUUUAUUAAAUUCAUUGUUAUCAAUUAAAAUGGAGAGAAUAAAAGCGAGUCCAUGUCCCAACUAGGUGAACCAUACCAAAGCAAGCUAAACCAUCUGCGAGCCAAAUCACAUACAAACUCGAAAUAACAUUAGCAAGCCUAUAUCGAUUUCACCAACUUUUCCACAUUAGCAAAAGUCAUUAUCAUAGUGCACGUGAACAAGCAUGGCAAGCAUGAUUUCACAUCCAAUGAAUAAAGAACAAGAAAGAUAACAUAUAACAAUUUCAUUUAUAAAUUAACUAAUCAAAGGUUGCGACAUGGCAUUAACCAAAAGAUGUAUUUACACCCCGCCCGAGGCUUUGAUAAGAAUCUAUAAGUAAGCGCCAAUUGAAAAAGAAAAGGAUAUGCAAAUUUGAAUAGCUUCCUCCCAAUUAAUCAUUUCUCCUCUUUCUCUUUAUUGAACAUAAGAUUAAUGAGUUUAGCAAGGAAAAACCUUGAUUAGGUAAGAGGAAUUUAUUAAUCAUCAUUUAGAGGUCAACAUCCACAAUUUUUAUUAACUAUUCAAGAAUACAUUUCAUCAACUUUUGUCAAUAUAUACUAAAAAUCUAAUUUUUAUUCAAAUGGUCAAGUGCUUAAUCAAAUUCGUAAAUCGGAGACUAAAAAUUAAGCCCCUAUACGGUCUGGCCAAAAAUCAAAUUUUUAAUUACUUUUGAUAAAAGUUAAUGGCAUAUAGAGUUAAAAAUUAAUAAAAGAUGUGAAACCAAUGAAAUGUAUGAUUAAAAAUAAAUUUGAAACAAAAAAUGAGUUAUAUAAAUUUGGAACAGCUAUAUUCAGAAUUCUAUACAUGUGUGUACCAUAAUUGUUUUCAACAAGUUUUAUCUUUUCCCAAUAUAAGACAAAGUUACAUCAAAACGAAAUGUUAAUGUUCCAUCAUGUUAAAAAUAUUCAUAGUAAAAUAUAUAUAUCAAGACUCAAUCGCACUUUGCAAGUGGAAAUACUGAUUAUAUUACUGCUCCAUCAUGUUAAAUUCGUGAUAUAGGCAACUAAAAAAGUAAGCUUGCUGCUCUUCAAUACCACCAACUAAAAAAAAAAGAAUCCAUUUCCGAUUGUUAGCUUCUAAAUUUUUUGGGCAUCCAUCUCAAUGUCAUUCCUGAUGCUCAUCAUGGUCCUAGCCAUUCAGACAAAGUGUAAAACUGAAGAUAAGUGGGCAGAAAUCGAAGAAGUUUUUGGAAUUUACUGUUAAAUGUGGCAUUAAUUUGUAAUCUUAGGAAAUAAGGUUACAUGCACUUGAAGAAAAUGUAUCAGGAAAAUACAUGAUGCACUUGAAGAAAAUGUAUCAGGAAAAUACAUGAUGCAAAUUCAUGAAUUAUUAGGUGUCCAUUUAUAUUCCCAUGUCUCUAGAGUUAUCCAUGUGGUCCUAUAAAUAGAGGUCAUUCUUGUAGUCUCAUUGUAAGAAAAAAAAAAAGAAAACAUUAUUGAGUGUGCUGUAGCAACUCAAAAACUAUCAAUAAAAAUUCAAGUUUUUCUUCAACACUUCGUUUCCGCACUAACAAAUUUGGUAUCAGAGCCAUAACUUGUAAUUGCAUUUUUUCAUGGCUUUAAUACAAACAGCUUCGUUGUUUACAUAUUCUUCCAGUCAAGUCCCAAUCUUCGAAGGCGAGCAUUAUGAAUACUGGAGCAUCCAAAUGCAAACUUUCUUCAUCUCCUUAGAUCUUUGGGAUGUCAUUGACGAUGAGGAGUACGAAGAACCAUCCGAAGACAAUGAAGAUUACGAAAAAUUGCAAAAAGAAUUUAAAAGAAAAGAUGCAAUGGCUCUCCGCUAUAUUCAACAAGGAGUCGGGAAAUCAAUUUUCCCUCGUAUCUUUGGUGUUAAUAAAGCCAAAGAUGCUUGGGAAAUAUUGAUGCAAGAAUUUCAAGGAACGGAGAAAACGAUCACCUUGAAACUUCAAUCCUUAUGGAGAGACUUUGAUAAUCUCCAAAUGGAAGAACGAGAAUCGGUUUGUGUUUUUUCUUCACGAGUAGCCGAGACAGUAAAUCAAAUCAAAAGCUGUGGUGACACAAUUACAGAUAAAAGAGUCGUGGAGAAAAUGUUAAGAUGCCUUCCUCCAAAGUUUGACCAUGUUGCAGCCGCAAUUGAAGAAUCGAAAGACUUGUCCAAAAUGACCAUUUAUGAGUUAACCGGGUCACUUCUUGCCCAUGAGCAAAGGAUCAAUCAUUCGAGUAACCAAUCUACUACCGAACAAGCUUUCCAAUCAAAGCAAACAUCAAAAAGAAGAAAAUAUUAUUGAGUGUGCUGUAGCAACUCAAAAACUAUCAAUAAAAAUUCAAGUUUUUCUUCNNNNNNNNNNNNNNNNNNNNNNNNNNNNNNNNNNNNNNNNNNNNNNNNNNNNNNNNNNNNNNNNNNNNNNNNNNNNNNNNNNNNNNNNNNNNNNNNNNNNNNNNNNNNNNNNNNNNNNNNNNNNNNNNNNNNNNNNNNNNNNNNNNNNNNNNNNNNNNNNNNNNNNNNNNNNNNNNNNNNNNNNNNNNNNNNNNNNNNNNNNNNNNNNNNNNNNNNNNNNNNNNNNNNNNNNNNNNNNNNNNNNNNNNNNNNNNNNNNNNNNNNNNNNNNNNNNNNNNNNNNNNNNNNNNNNNNNNNNNNNNNNNNNNNNNNNNNNNNNNNNNNNNNNNNNNNNNNNNNNNNNNNNNNNNNNNNNNNNNNNNNNNNNNNNNNNNNNNNNNNNNNNNNNNNNNNNNNNNNNNNNNNNNNNNNNNNNNNNNNNNNNNNNNNNNNNNNNNNNNNNNNNNNNNNNNNNNNNNNNNNNNNNNNNNNNNNNNNNNNNNNNNNNNNNNNNNNNNNNNNNNNNNNNNNNNNNNNNNNNNNNNNNNNNNNNNNNNNNNNNNNNNNNNNNNNNNNNNNNNNNNNNNNNNNNNNNNNNNNNNNNNNNNNNNNNNNNNNNNNNNNNNNNNNNNNNNNNNNNNNNNNNNNNNNNNNNNNNNNNNNNNNNNNNNNNNNNNNNNNNNNNNNNNNNNNNNNNNNNNNNNNNNNNNNNNNNNNNNNNNNNNNNNNNNNNNNNNNNNNNNNNNNNNNNNNNNNNNNNNNNNNNNNNNNNNNNNNNNNNNNNNNNNNNNNNNNNNNNNNNNNNNNNNNNNNNNNNNNNNNNNNNNNNNNNNNNNNNNNNNNNNNNNNNNNNNNNNNNNNNNNNNNNNNNNNNNNNNNNNNNNNNNNNNNNNNNNNNNNNNNNNNNNNNNNNNNNNAUGGAGAACGAAAGCACUACUUGAGCUUGUGCACUCGGAUAUUUGUGGGUUAAUGCAAACUCCCACUUUUGGAAACAAGAGAUAUUUUAUUCUCUUUGUUGAUGACUUCACAAGAAUGAUAUGGGUUUUCUUCUUCAGUCAAAAAUCUGAGGCAUAUUCCACAUUUCUUCAAUUCAAAGCUCAAGCAGAAAGGCAAAGUGGUUUUUUGAUAAAAACUUUAAGGAUAGAUCGUGGAGGUGAAUAUCUCUAUAAUCCUUUCAUGGAAUAUUGCAGAAAAAAUGGCAUCAAAAGACAAUUAACUGUGAGUCGAACUCCGCAACAAAACGGCGUGGCCGAAAGGAAAAAUCGCACAAUUGUUGAAAUGGCAAGAAGCAUGCUAAAAGGCAAAGGACUUCCAAAUCUGUAUUGGGCAGAAGCUGUAAACACGGCAGUAUACAUUCUCAAUCGGUCUCCAACAAAGGCUGUACGGAAUAAAACUCCAUACGAAGCUUGGAACAAAAAGAAGCCAAUGGUUGAUCACUUCAAAAUAUUUGGCAGCAUUUCUUAUGCUCUUAUCCCUUCUCAAAAUCGGGAGAAAUUUGACGAGAAAGGACAAAAACUUGUCUUUGUUGGAUACAAUGAUGAAUCUAAAGGAUAUCGGUUAUUAGAUCCAACUACAAACAAAAUUACAAUUUCACGAGACGUUGUUUUUGAUGAAGCUGCAUCUUGGGAUUGGAAAGGAAAAGAAGUUGUGGACCAGACACCAUACCAUUUUGUUGAUCCAUUAACAUUUAAAGCAGGUCCGUCACAAGUUGGAAAUUUAGAGCAUAAUCCAAACCCUACUCCAAGAAGUGAGGAAGAAUCUGAUCCAGAAAGCCCUCCAAGAAAGACACGUUCACUACAAGACAUAUAUGAGUCAUGUGAACUUGGGUUGUUCUCUAGGGAACCACAAUCAUUUGAAGAAGCCUCAAAAGAAGUAUGUUGGACAAAAGCCAUGAAUGAAGAAAUGUCCACAAUCGAGAAAAACAAAAUUUGGAAGCUUGUUGCCUUGCCAGAAGGGAAGAAAAUCAUUGGACUCAAGUGGGUCUAUAAAAUAAAAUACAAUGAAGAUGGGUCGAUCCAAAAGCACAUUGUUGCAAAAGGGUAUUCUCAACAGCCCGAAAUUGAUUACACUGAAACAUAUGCUCCGGUUGCAAGAAUGGAGACAAUUUGUACUGUUUUGGCACUGGCAGCUCAAUUGGAGGUAUGUGUUUAUCAACUUGAUGUAAAAUCGGCAUUCUUAAAUGGUGAAAUUCAAGAAGAAGUUUAUGUCGAGCAACCCGAAGGAUUUGAAAUCAAAGGACAAGAAGGAAAAGUCUAUCGUUUAUACAAGGCACUUUAUGGUUUAAAGCAAGCACCGCGAGCAUGGAAUAGCAAAAUCAAUAGCUAUUUCAUCCAAAAUGGAUUCAAUCGAAGCACNNNNNNNNNNNNNNNNNNNNNNNNNNNNNNNNNNNNNNNNNNNNNNNNNNNNNNNNNNNNNNNNNNNNNNNNNNNNNNNNNNNNNNNNNNNNNNNNNNNNNNNNNNNNNNNNNNNNNNNNNNNNNNNNNNNNNNNNNNNNNNNNNNNNNNNNNNNNNNNNNNNNNNNNNNNNNNNNNNNNNNNNNNNNNNNNNNNNNNNNNNNNNNNNNNNNNNNNNNNNNNNNNNNNNNNNNNNNNNNNNNNNNNNNNNNNNNNNNNNNNNNNNNNNNNNNNNNNNNNNNNNNNNNNNNNNNNNNNNNNNNNNNNNNNNNNNNNNNNNNNNNNNNNNNNNNNNNNNNNNNNNNNNNNNNNNNNNNNNNNNNNNNNNNNNNNNNNNNNNNNNNNNNNNNNNNNNNNNNNNNNNNNNNNNNNNNNNNNNNNNNNNNNNNNNNNNNNCAGUUUUUCAUGCCAGAUCGAAGCAUAUUGAACUACGUCAUCACUUCAUUCGAGAUUUGGUAAGUCGAGAAGAAAUUUGCAUGGAAUUUAUCAACACAAAUGAUCAGCCAGCAGACAUUUUAACAAAGACAGUCACAUUUGACAAGUUCGAAAAGAUCAAGAAAAAACUCAAGAUUACAAAUUAAGAGGGGGUGUUAAAUGUGGCAUUAAUUUGUAAUCUUAGGAAAUAAUGUUACAUGCACUUGAAGAAAAUGUAUCAGGAAAAUACAUGAUGCACUUGAAGAAAAUGUAUCAGGAAAAUACAUGAUGCAAAUUCAUGAAUUAUUAGGUGUCCAUUUAUAUUCCCAUGUCUCUAGAGUUAUCCAUGUGGUCCUAUAAAUAGAGGUCAUUCUUGUAGUCUCAUUGUAAGAAAAAAAAAAGAAAACAUUAUUGAGUGUGCUAUAGCAACUCAAAAACUAUCAAUAAAAAUUCAAGUUUUUCUUCAACACUUCGUUUCCGCACUAACAUUUACAAGGUCCAUUAGGUCCUUCUCAUCUAAAAUAGAUGACCAGGCAUUUUCUGCAGUAAUUUUGAACCAUGAUGAUAGAGAGCUCCUGCAAACAAGCUAGGUGGUACUAAAAUCUAGUCAAAAGAAGAAAAGAAAACUAGACUAGCGGUCGAGACCGGCAGGACCAUGCCAGGCCUUACUGCUUCAUCCUGCCUGGUUCAUCCUCUACCUGCCUCUAUCUGCAAAGACAUUACCAAAAAAUCUCUCCCAAGCAGCGUAUUACAACCCAUGAAUUAACAUGUUUGGACAAGGUUAAUUCCAAGGCCAAAAACAGGAGCGCCACAUGGCGGACAGCAGCCCUUUCAAUAGGGUGGCGCCCAUGUUGUUGGCCCUGGAAUUCACCCUGGCUGUCUAGCAGGGUUGAAAACCCAUUGAGGAGGGCCUUAGCCAAGGAAGGAGAGAGUGGCCAAGUGGUCAAAAGUGACAGACUCUAAAUCUGCCCAAGUCUACAGAACAAUCACCCAGAUACAUGAAAAACUCAUGUGCCUACAUUAUAGAGAUGUCAAACGGGCAAGGUCGCUGCCCUUCAAAGCAUGCUAAAAACACAAGGCCCAGUACAGCCCAUCUUGACACCUCUAUACGUGCAAUGUAAAAAAAUUUCCUUGGUACAGAAUUUUGAAAAACAAGUUCAUUGGGACCCAUCAAAAAAUGCAAUAUAUACAAUGAGAAAUGCUAUAACACAAUUGACAGAUUAACUAUAUCUUAUGAAUAAACAACCUUCACUUGGAAAUUUGUGCUUUUAUCAUGGUUACGUAACUAUUGCGUGCAAAUAUCACGGGGAAUUUCUGCGAGAUGCUUUUAGUUCUACAUUUAGUGCAAGGCUCAAGUAAGAAAAAAGAAGGAUUAGGUCAGAUUCUUAUUUGACAUCAGCUAUCUACAAUCAUAAGUUACAGUUGGCCGAUAAGAUACAUGUACAUUUGGCGUCAGUUGAAAGGCAAUAAGAUUCCAGAUAAUGUCGCUACCCCAGAAAACAUGUACAAAUCAUAGUGUCUACUUUCUGGUUAAUCUAGAGCAGUCUUCAUGAGAAAGUGAAGUCCUUGUGUCAUUUAUAAUCUUGAAUGACAAAUGCAUUUAGCGCCCGCUUGGUCCCCAUUUUAUUCUCAUUUUUCCAACUUUUGUCAACAAUAGUGGGCCCCCAAUCAAAAAAUCAAACGGCUCCCUGACAAAAAUUUGAGGCAGCAGCUUUUCAGACAUUUUGUUGAAUUUAGAAUUUUUGUCUUUCCACCUCUGCCCUCCAUCUGAAAUUUUAUUCCUUCAUUGUAGCACUUGUUGUCAACUGGAAUUUUAUUUUUUAAUUGAGGGCAAAAUGGUAAGAGAAAUUCAACGGCAUGGUACCUUGUUCUUUCAUUUCUGACGAUUUCUUCAAUGCUGUCGCCAUCAUCUACCACAAAAACUGUAGAAAAAUGAGAUAAGAUAGAAAAAUUGACAAGAACGAGCAUCAAACAGGGGCUUAAUAGGAUUCAACGGUGAAUUCCUUCGUGUAGAGACAGGCGGUACCCUUCUCAAGGACGGGGAUUAUUUUAGAUCCCAAUCUUCCACAUUCUUCGGUACAGAAACGUCAAAGAGGAAUUGACCAAGAACCCCACAAGCACUUAUGCUUGGUGGGCUAGAUAGACUUAUGUAAGGCUCUUUACGUUCAUCCUGCAAAGAUCCAAAAUCUCUACCCUCGUGAUAUUCUAUGGAAUUUGGAACAUAUAAGAAGUCAUUUAAGUCAAGGACAAUCCUCUGGAAACUCUGACUUGAUCUCUCUACGGCUUUUUUUAGAUUGGUCCAGAGAUCUCAUCAUGUGUGCCCUCGAAGCCUAUCUUCUCACCAUCAAGUUGCCGUAAUCUUCUAGAAUAAAUUACAGAAGCUUUUCCAAGCAGCUCAGUCACCGCAGCCUUUUAUUCGAUUGGAUAAUGCCGAAAAUGACCUGCACUACAAACAUAACAUGCAAAAUACAAUAUCAACAAAUAUGAAUUUUUCUAAGAUGCAAUAACAAAAACGUUACACGCCAAUGGUAGUUAGGAAAUCCUCCAAAGAAAAUCUUGCAUUACAGAUUUCAAAUUACUAGUGAUUUACUUAAAAGAAUUAUAUUCCAGUAAGUCAGCUGAUUGUCGGGGACCUAAUUUCGUUGCACCCAAUAAUUAGAACCAUGCAACCUUAACGUUCAAUAAUUUUCGCCCCUCACGAGAAAACGUUAAGUCAGUCUUACAACGCUCACAAAUAAUUUAACCAAUGAGGUUAAAUUAUAACUAUUUUGAGUAGAGAAUUUGUAGGAAAUAUAAGGAAAACAAGGUUGGGAGAACUCUCUUUAUAUAUAGCCCCCAUUUGGUUCUAAUUUUUCACCCAAAAAAAUCAAUUUUUUAACCGUUACUUUCCUAAGUCAACCGUUAUUUUAAAUUUCUUUACUCACAAGUAAAACCCACUUUUUCUCGCUAACAGUCAAAAAAUUAAUUCUCAAAAUCACUACCAAACAAACCCAUAAAUGAAAGGAAAACUUUACAAUUCUCUGAAGUAUUCAAACAAUUCGUUGCAAAUGAUUUACAAAUGAGACUACAUCUCUAUUUAUAGGCAAAACUUUGCAAGUUGUCUUGAAAUCAAUGGCCAAAAUUAAUUUUGAUUCAAGAGUCCUCAUUUGUUGCAAGUUACAUUAACCUCCUUUAAUCAAGUGGUAAUUCUAUACACUUUCCAAUCCAAGAUGCAUGUUACUUUCCAAUCUUAUGUUAGUUGACAUCAAAUGGCAUAUCUCUACAAUUCACAUGCAAUUGAAUAAGUCAUUUUCACAGUAGCCAAAUUGAACUUUAUUUCCUCCUUGACAUUAUCUUGCAAGUGGCACAAGUGGAUAAGUGGCACAAGUUGGCCAAGUUGUCCACUUGUGUCCCAAAACCAUUCGGCCGUAGCCCAUUGUAUUUCUCCUUCCCAAAAUAGUAGUUUUCAACUUAGAGAAAAAGAAAACACCCCUCCAUCUCAUCACUCAAUCAGCCAAAAUGGAUUCAACAUCUUUCUCAAAAGAUUUUGAGACAAUGAGAGGUGCCCUUUGUAAUUUGUUUCUCCCAAGAUCUUCCAAGUCCAACCUAUAUGGCUUCAACAUGCUUACAUGAAAAACUGGAUAAAUCUUCAAAGUACCCAAAAGCUAGUCAGUGGAAACUCUUCCAACUUUAGCCAUCAUGGGAAAAGAACCUUCUAACCGAGCCUUUAUUAACUUUGCGAUAGGCUUUGAAUUAUUGAGGCAACACUUUUACAAGUUCUUGAUCUCCAAUGUUGAACUCCAAUAGUCUCCGUUCAGAUCGACCCACUUUUUCAUACGUUUUCAAGCUUUCUCCAAGCAAGAUCUAGCUAAGUCCGCAUGAUCUCUCCAUGACUUAGCCAUUUUUUGUUACUCCGGGACUUCGAUCUACAUCACCAACCAUAUGCAAGGUAUGAGGCGUUGUGGGCUGUCACCCCGUUGCAAGUUCAAAAAGACUAUGUCCUAUGGAUUCACUUUUCUGCAAGUUGUAGGAAAACUGAGCUAUGUCUAUCAACUUCACCCAAUCCCACUGCUUAGCAUUAACAAAGCGCUGAAGAUAACACUCCAACGGUGCAUUCGCCCAUUCCAUCUACCCAUCCGUUUGUGGGUAGAAAUUGCUAGAAAAGUGCAAACCCGAUCUAAGGAGCUUAAACACCUCCAUCCACAAUUUUCCCAUAAAACUGGGAUAUUGAUCACUUAUAAUAUUCUAAGGCAACCCCCAAUACUUCACAACAUUUUUGAAAUAUAACCUUGCCGUCUCCUCCGCGGUGCAAUCUUUAAGGGCCGAAAUGAAAGUUGUAUUCUUUGAAAAUCAAUCAACAACAACAAUUAUUAAUUCGAGCCCUUCGGACUUUGGCAAGGUACUAAUGAAAUCAAUGACAACCACGUAUCAUGGUUGAUCAAGAACAGGAAGAGGAUCAAGAAGCCAACCGAUAAUGCAAGUAGACUUAGUCUAGGGACGCAGAUAGCCUGUUUUGGUAGAACGCAGGCUGGGGUACGGAGGAAGUUUUCCCAACACAAAAAUGAGGUUUCUCUAAGUUAAAAAAUUGCUAUUUUGGGAAGGAGAAAUACAAUAGACUGCGGUCGGAUGUUUUGGAGACACAAAUGGGCAACUUGUACAAUUUGUGCCAAUUGUCCACUUGUAUCACUUGCAAGAUAAUGCCAAGAAGGAAGCAAAGUUAAAUUUGGUUGCUAUGAAAGUGACUUGUCCACUUACAUGUAAAUUGUAGAGAUAUGCCGCUUGAUGCCAACUAGCAUGAGGUUAGAAGGUGACAUGUAACUUGCAUUGGAAAGUGUAGAGAAUUACUACUUGAUCAAAGGAAGUUAAUGCAACUAGCAACCAAUGAAGACCUUUGGAUCAAAAUUAAUCUUCGCCAUUGAUUCCAAGACAACUUGUAAGGUUUUGUCUAUAAAUGGAAAUGUCUCAUUUGUAAAUCAUAUGGAGUGAAGUGAGAUGAAUACUGGAGAGAGAUUGUAAAGUUUUCCAUUCAUUUAUAUAUAAAGAGAGUUCUCACAAGCUUACUUGUUUUCCUUAUAUUUCCUACUUCAAAUCCUCUACUCAAAGUUGUUAUAAUUUAGCUUCACUGGUUAAAUUAUUUGUGAGCGUUGAAAAGCUAACUUAACGUUUUCUCAUGAGGGAAAAGAAUUAUUGAACAUUAAGGCUGCACGGUUCUAGUUGUUUGGCUGUCCGUGACAUGAUGCUUACCAACUGAGAAAUGAAUUUAGUUAACAAGGUGCAGCGAGCCAUCUGAUUGCAUAUAACAAAGAAGGAAGGUUCAAAAACACGACUAUAUUUUAUUUCCAUGUAUUCUCAGAUAUGAAGCUUUAAUUUAUAUCCUAAGUAGCCAGGUUGAGAAGUAGAUGCACUAGCAACUGCAAUAAUGAAAGCAGUAGAGUGCAGAACAUGACUGAGAAUUCAAGGCAAUAGAGUGUCUCUAGGGCAAAUUUGUAGCAUUACAAAACAUUAAUAAGUUAAAUGCAUCAUACUUCAUCUAAACUAAUUCAAGGCAAUAGAAUGUCUCUAGGGCAAAUUUGUAGCAUUACAAAACAUUAAUAAGUUUUAUACAUCAUACUUCAUCUAAACUCAUAUUUUAUAAAUUAAAACAAUAUCAUUUCUAAUAGUUUAUUAAUAUUAGAUAAAAAAAUAAAAUAAAAUAAAAAAAGAGAAGGGAUUAAAAUCUCUAUGUAAGCUAUUCAUUUAGCAGGAGAAAUGUCAAAUAUAACAGUCUGCAAUAUACACAGAUAUUAUUACUUGGACCAGCAGUUCCUGCUUCAUUUGUCAAACCUAUAACCUGGGACAGGUUAUGGCAAAUGAAAAUAUGAAAUAAGAAUCUGACUUCAUCAUUGUUGCUCUGGCAAAAAUUGCACAGAGGCAUACUUGUGUUUGUAAGGUGCUGAAAAUUUGUAAAUUGGAAACCUCGUGUUAAAUUGCACGCCCUGAGUACAUAUGCCCUAUGAAGUGAAUUUUGUGUCCUUAGGUCAGACCUUUCACUGAGCCACUGAAAUACUGCAUCCAGUGGCCAAUACUGCUCCAUUUAAGCUAACACAAUUUCGUUCGCUCUUAUGAGCACUUAUUUCAGUCAACUGUGCAUAAAUAUAGCCUAAACAUCUCUUCAAAUUUUAUCUGCAUUAAGCCCAUCCCAAGAAAAUCUGACUGUAUAAUACGUUUAUAAGCAUACCUACGUGAGAUGAGUUAUUCCAUUUCCAUCAGCCCUGAGGUCUCUAAGCCUUUGGGUCAAAAUGCAAAUUAUCUGACAUGGAGCGAGAUCAUCAUCUCUUCAAAACAUCUCUUCAAAUUUUAUUUGCAUUAAGCUAACCCAAGAAAAUCUGACUGUAUAAGACGUUUAUAAGUAUACCUACAUGAGAUGAGUUAUUCCAUUUCCAUCAGCCCCGAGGUCUUUAAGCCGUCGGGCAAAAAUGCAAAUUAUCUGACAUGGAGCGAGAUCAUUUCUGGGAAAAAAAAUUAGGUACGAUGCCCCCCAUGCUCUGCAUAAAGAUAAUAAUUAAUCACUGAACAAUCAGUAGAAAGCAACUUGCCAUGGCAUUCCGUGUUUGGCACUUUGGCUAAUCUAAAGAAAUAGUUACCUUCUCCAUUCAUGUUUGCAUACUUACCUUAAGUGGAAAAGAAGUCACUUCUAUUUAAUUAACUCUCACCUUAUUGUCAAAUGAGUAACUUUUUCCAUCUUUGACCAUUAAAAUUUUAUUUAUAUUAAAACUUUUGACUUUACUUAUCAGUAAACUUAUUAAGAUUAACAAAACAUGCUGUAAAUUUAAUGGAUGCUUACUGCAGAGGAGUAAAGAUUCUGCCAAUACUCUGCACGUUGCGCUUCAAAUCUGCCAAGGAAGAAGGCAUCCAGACUGGACGAAAUGCCAUUUGCAAUCCAUGAUGCUAGGAAUGGGGCAGAGGACAUAUCGAGAACAGAUGGAUGAAGAAUAAAGCAAGUGGCCAAGUCACUUGUUAAAAUCCACUGGAGUAGAAUAAAAAAUGUGGCCAGAAACACAGUCUUUAACCGGUCGUAGUCGUCCUUCAGAUGAAACACGCCAUUAGAUAAGCCAUCACUUGUAUCAAGGUUCUUCAUCGAACAAUAUAGUAGAUAACCAUUACUAUUUCUUCUAAAAUGAGAAUAUAUGAUGAGUCAAUGACUAUGGUAUCCGAUUUUUGUUUGUUAUGGAGAAUGGUUAGAGCUCUAUGAUAUUAAUUGUUCAUUUUAUUGUCUAAUCAUGUCCAAUAUUGUGUAUGAGUGCUAAACUUUGGCCAUUAAGCAUCACGGAUGUUUUGACCAACAUCGGUAAGGAGAAACAUAUGCAUAAGCCAUCAACGGAAUGAGAAGAGUAUGUAGAAAGCUACAGAAACAUAUGUUACUUUUAGAAGAAAUGGAAGUAUGUGUUCACAAUUAUAUAAAUAAACAAGAUGUCGAGAUGAAUCAUUAUGAGAUAAAGCAUACCAUAUUGACCUGCUCUGGACACUUUCCUUCAAUUAUCUGCAACCAAAAGUAAAACAGGUUGCGUGUCAACUAUAGCUUCACAUGAAACAUUCAACAUCUGUGGUCUCUAAAAUGAUGAGUGUGAAUAAAUAUAAAAAAUUUACAAAUAUUUUAAGUUCCAGUUGUUGACUACGAGAAUGGCAUUUACCUGGUGAACCUUGUACGUGCUAGCUUUUGGGCCACCAGAAAAAGGCGCAAAGACAACUGGACAUGGCCUGAUUUUUAGCUCAUUUAAAUCAAAUCGAAAUAAAUAUGAGGAAAAGUUAAAACAACAACAUAUAUAGCAAAUUUAAAAUAUUUAGCCCCCGUUUGAGCCACAUUAUUGUAAAAAUGAGAAUGAAAAAUAUAGCUAUUAUGAGCCCUACACAAGAGAUAAAAAGUCAAAUGUGGUGGCUUGAUGUGAUGGAUAACGGUCAUAUUUUUCAUUUUAAUGAGGAAAUAAUGGGGCUCAAACAGGGCCUUAAUAACUAAGUCUAUUGUCAUUGUCAAAUCCCCAUCCCCAGGAUUACUUCGAAUAGUUUCUUUAAUGUAACAAAGAUACGACUCCAAGAGCAAGUCCACCAUUAUAGAUUAAAUAGCAAAAUGAACCACUCAACAAUUCAUGCUUUAUGGUAUGGCUGGGCAUUUGAACUAGAACUGUCGGUUUCAUUCAGGUUCCACAAAAAAAAAAAAAAAAAUUAGGAACUAGAACCUAGUACCAAAAAAUCAAUCAAAUAUAGGAUGGUUCUUAGUUCUUGAAUCAAAACCAUAUGUACGUGACUUUACAAUCGAAUUUAUCUAUUUAUAUAAGUUUUUUCAUUUUACAAUUUAUUCAACUUGACCUAAUGACCUGAUAGGAUGCAGAGGAAACGACGUGAUGGGAAAAAAGUUAGACCAAUGUUGAUUAUCAUGUUUUCAAAGGAAUGAAUUUUUUUUUUUUCUUUUUUGUUCAUCAUUUGUAGAAUCUAUUAAUUCCUUAUUGUUGGUUUCUAAUUUUAGGUUUGUUCUUUGGCUACGUGAUUUCUUUAUGCUCUGUUAGAUAUCAGAUGCUAUUUGAUGACAUAUUUUGUUAGUUAUUGGAUGUUAUUUUGUUGCAUAAUUGCAGUGGACUAAGAAAUCGUCGAAAUAUGUAUUUUGAUGCAUAUUUUAUUUUUUCUAUUUCAUCUAGAUAUUAGAAAGAUAAUUUGUAUUGUCGGUUCACGAUUUUAAAAAAAGAUACAUAUAUUAUAGGUAGAACCUUAUCCAAACCCAAAUAGACGGUUUGGGAUCAAGUCUGGUUUCUGUAACUAAGUGUACCCAAAUGGUUCUAUUUACAAAAUAUCCGAAGUAUAAUGGAUAGUUUUGAGUAUUAAACUACCCGUGCCAACCCAGUAGAUGUCCAUAACUAUUUUAUAAUUUUGAGCGUUGGGCUAUUAAAGGUAUGUCUAUAAGACGAAAGCGAAAAUGAAGAUGCUAAGAUUUGUUUGUAAUUAUACUAAAAUGGAUCUCAUAAAAAAAUGAGAAUAUACAGUAGUAACUGGCGGUGACACCGAUUGAUGAUAAAUUGAAGGAAGCACGACUUAGGUUGCAGGGUCAUGCUUUGAGUCUAUUUAAAAAGGCUAUAUUCAUAAGAACUGACGUUAUCUCAGUGGAGCAAAUUAAAAGAGAAGGUGGUAAACCAAAAUUAACAUGGUCAGUUGUAGUUGUAAAAGGAUCGAAUUGCUUUAGAUCCCCAAUAGUUCUCACAAUGAAUAACCAACUCUACAUUUAUCAGGUAAAAGGCUUAGUUCGUUGUUGUGUUUGCUUGUUUGCUGGAAGACCAUUUGCUGUCAAAUUUAUAACAGCUCUACAUUUCCAAACUUGGAAAGCUUUUAUAACCUCAAAGAAGUUCAGCAGAUUGCUUUGAUGCAGAGCUACUCAAAUACAGAUGGUGAAUACAGAUAAAGAUACUCCUUUAAAAAACUUCUUAUACAAGAUGCAGUUGAAUUUUAUAUGACUGACCUGGACAAAAUUGUUUAUAAUUUCUAGUGCCAACGAUGCUGCUUUGUCGGGAAAGAAUCGGCAACCAUACGAAAAUGAGAAUUGUAAACCGAAUAUUUGUAAAAGAAAAAAGAAAGCUAAAGGAUAGAGUAUGCUUUAUGUAAAUUAUUUAUCAUUCUGCAUGCACCAAGUUCAAGUACCAGCGGUCUAGACAGCAUUUAUAACCGAGAUAUUCAACCAUCCCUACCUAAGAUAUAAAUAUAGAUAUUUCUGAAGAUCCACUAAUGACAAAUUUUCCACUACUAAGACGACUAUGAUUAAUUACAUAUUCUUCAUAACAUAACAACUUCAUGCACAAUCGCUUGAAAUCUCGUUAAAGCCGUCUCUUCUACGAAGAAGGUAUUUUGUGUUCGAAAAUGAGACCCAUAUAUAAGAACAUUGCCAGAGAUGGCCCAUUGAAUUGGUCGCACCUAAGAACUGGAUUAUCAAUGCCUUAAGCGCUUUACAGAUUUGAGUUCUUGAUGAAUUUUCUCUCUCUAACUGUUGGUCGUUCACGUCUUUAUGAUUGAUGAGGACAUGUCAUUUGGGCCUAAGGUUUCUUAAAUUCUAUAAACCAAGAGAAAAGUUUCAUUUUAAAGAAACUAUAUUCUUCACAUUCAAUUUCCCCCCUGUAAAAAGCACUCUGAAAGAUGCUAUAACUUCCCAAACAGCCGUUCAUAUCUAUCAAAAUAUUUUUCUUUCCUUUGGAUACCAAAAAAAUAUUAGAACGCCGUCCAAGAACGAUAGACAACACAUGGUGGCCAAGUUACAUUAACUUACGGACAAACAAAAAAUCACUUUACAGCUCAUGCAACUUUUUACUCAAUUCUGCUAAAGAAGUAGGGCAAUCUAUUCUCCCAUCGCUGUUACAAGAUACCAAGUUGGUUAGGACAACAUCAAUCAAGACAAAAGUUGCAUGACAAUACCAAAAGUCCAGAUUCCUAUUAUUCAGACCCUCACUUGUUAAGGAAAAGUUAUAACCUAUAGAUAAUAUUAUUACUUCAAACAGCAAUUGCUCCAGUUGCACUAUUCCUCUUUCCUCCAGAAUACAAUUCAUCAAAUAUCCCAAUUGUAAUACUAUAUAAUAUCAAGCAUGAAUUCAAGCCCCUGACAAGAGUAUCCUGCAUAUUAACGUAAUCUUUUAUUACUACCUCAACCCACACAAAAAGAACAUCACAUCUAUAUGUGUUUAUCCAUUCCAUGGCCCUCAGCCAGCAUUUUGCAUUUUUUUCAGUCAAGAGUUUCAUUCAAAGUAAUGGUUCCUCCAAAAAAAUUGGAUAAAAUUUUAUAAACUCCAUCAGCUCCAAUCACCUUAUACAUCACUCGGUUCAAACUCAUAAUUUAAAUUAAAGUCAACCAAUAUUCACUAAAUCCCAUGUAAAUCCAAUCCAGCAGAAACAUAUCCCAAAAUUAUAUUAGUGUUUUAAAAAUCACUCUACUAAUUUAAACCUCCCAACAAAAAUCGAAAAACAAAUUCAUAUUGUGCAGCAUAAUCAAGAAACUCGGAAAAAGAAGAUAACACAAUCAAGAAACCAUAGGUCCAAAAAAAUAAAAAUAAAAGUAAAAUAUCACAAACUCACAAAAUGUUGGAAGAUUCAGAUCAGAAUCAGAUUCUAAAUCGUGAAAUUACCAAAAAAAAAAAAAUGGAUGAUGGGAGGGGAGGAGAGAGGUUAAUCUUAGAUUAUAGACUGAGGAAUUGGGAGUGGCAAAUGAUGGAAUUCCAACCAAGAGGGGAAAAUAGAUCAACAUAAUUCUUCAAGUGCUUAUCCUGACUUGAUAUCCAUGAAAAUACUACAAUUAUGCCUUCCACUUUCCCUAUUUCUUCUCCACCAAUAAUACCUUCCUCCAAACCCCCCACAUCUUUUCAAUUUCCUCGAGGAGAAAAAAAACAAUUUCCUAGCACAAUUUUCUGACAAUAAAGAAACAAAUCCCUUUGAACAAAAAGGUAUUUAGCUUUUAAUUGUUUAUUUGUUCAUGUGGAAUAGAUUUUUUCAAGAACUCAUCCGAAAUUCUAAUUGGGGUGUGCCCAUUUCUGCUUCUUAUGGUCUUUCUUGAAAAUUAUAAAGAAUGGAUACUUGUUUUAUGAGAAUUUAUGUGAUGGUUUUAAAUAACAAAAAUGCUACCUAUAUAGCCUAUGCUGUACAUUUUGUUUGACAGGUAUCUCAUAAAAUGUAGAAGUCGUGAUUAUUUUAAUCGUGGGAACUCGUGAUUAUUUUGAUCGUGGCCCCACUUCCUCAUGUGAGAAGGCUAUCAACAAUGCUGUGAAAGAAGUUGUAAUUGUAGCACAAUUUUAUAUAUAAUAACUUGGCUGUGUCGACUUGCAGUUGUUUGAGUUGUAAGGAUUGUAACGAGCAAAGCUUUUUGUAGAACUCAUAUGACCCCUUUGUUAUUUUUGUAGUAUUUUCGAUUGGUGAUAUUCUUUCAAUUUGAGGCCUUGUUACAAGGGACACUUUUUCAAUUCCAUGCUAUUCAUGCCCUCUCAAUCUGAGAUAAUUUUAUAAUUUUUAUUAAGAUUGUUCUUUCAAUCCAGUGUGUGUGUGUGUAUCUUAAUUUAGACCUCUUGUCAACUAGGUGUUGGUAGGAGACGAGACUCUUGCCUCACCCGAGUACUGGUACGAUCCUCUAUAGCUUGAUCUUUCGAGAUUCACAGCAUUUGCAUUGGUCCCACAAUAGUGGUGUCACUCCCAAGGAGACCUUUUAGCCAUUUUUCUUGGCAUCUAAAUCGUCCCUCUAUUUAUUUGGUCGUGAAUUUGCUUCGAGUUCACUUGCCUUAUCAUUUCCUAAUAGUGGAUCUCCUCUUUGAUCAAAUCUACAAAUUCAUCGUACAUUUUGGGUGCUUGAUUGCGAACAUCUCUUCAGAAAGGGAUAGUCACGUCUAAAUCGAACAUCAAAGCCUGAAAAGUUGUAUCUUGUCGAAUGCUUUUUACAUCAAAAUGAAACGGUUGAGACAGCAUAGCAAAGGUUCAUCAAGAUCCUGCCUAACAUCAUGGAUCUUCCCAAUCGGGGUCAAACAUUUUCAUGGUGAACAUAUAGACGAAUUGGUCUUUAGGUAAGGGAACUAUCGAUGCUACCUAGUGAAAGCUUAUUAUACUAUUUUCUAGCUCCUAUUGAGAGUGUAACAUGGAAGUCUUGUAAUUUGUAUAUUGAGCUUGCCCUUAAGAAGUUUAUGUACAUGUUAUAUUCCCAGACAUGGUUUGAGGGAAAUUUUCUAGAUUUUCAGCAUGGCAAAUUUUGGGAAGGCUCUUUAACGCUUUGAUUAGCUUGGUAAAAGAGAUACAUGUCAUAGCUCAUCGCCUUUGGCCAAAACUGCUUGCUCCCCACCCCCUUUUUCGAGAGCACAUAGAGAAGGUUGGUCCUUUUAUUUGAUGAACUUAUUGGGUUAAUCUUGCCCAACUCUUUUACCACAUCCUCUAAGGACCUCGUCCUAGAUGACAUUGAUGCCUUCCAGCCUAAGAUACUACCAGGCUUUGAAGAUCUAUGCUCUCACUCAUGAUAAGAUGCUUGAUUUCCCAAAAGUGGUGCGUAGGUUGCUUGAUUGGAGGAAUUUGAUGUGUAUUCUCUAUGCAUAGAGCCCUCUACGUUGCUCUCACAUUCAUUCUCUUGGAGAGGCGGAAUACCUUUUCUUGAUGCAUCAAGAGUUGCCUUAUAGUAACAUUUUCUUUAGCAAAAUGUUAAAUGUUGGCCGCCAUGUUGCUAUAGCUCGAGUUAGCUUAGCCACGGUUCUUUAUGGAUUUGGGUUUCUUCUCAAAGUAUUUCUUGUUGAAACAACAUGACUUUCAUUCUAGCUCCCCUCGGGUUCUCAUCGCUGUUUGAUCCACUUUACUCUUCUUCUUUUUUUUUUACUUUUCUUGCUUCUCGCAUAUUCUCUUCUGGAGCUCAGCAUUCUUACAUCUUUGUUUAGAAUCUACUUCUUAGUAAAAGAUAAAAUUUUGUGGAUAUCAUUUGCAUGCAAAUAAUUAUCGAUGCCGAGUUCCUAAAUUCAUCAUCACUGAUAUUGGAAAACUCUUUUACAAUAGUCAUAUAAAUAAUCUUUGCGCCAAGUUUGGGCUCAAAAAAUACAACCCAUACAUGUACAAUGCGAAAACUACUUUGUUGAAAAAUAUUGUUUCCAAUUUAUUAGGAACUGGCAUGAAAAAAAUUGAGAAAGUCUUUGGGUUUGUCACACUACUUACUGGACUCAACAAAAGUUACUCCUUAUAUCCUUGUGUAUGGAGUGGAACAUUUCCUUAUAAUGUCAAAUUUCGUAAUUGUAUUAGCCAUCCAAGAAGUUUUGUUGAUGAACGAGAAUGUUCCUUUUUUGACUUGAGGAGUUUGCAUCUUUGAUUGAAAAGCGAUUAGAGGCAUAAAUGCUUCGAGAAUGUUAUCAAGCUCGGAGGGCAAAGGGCUUCAACAAAAAUGUGUAGCCAAAAUAAUUCUAAGUUGAAAAUAAUUAACUCCGAGAGAAAUUCAAACUUCAAGAAGAAAAAGAAGCUUGGAGAUUGAACACAAGAAAAUUUCUCCAGUGCAAGGUCAAAAGUUUCAAGAAUAAAGUCUUCUUCAAAUCAAAAUCAAAACAAACCCCCCAAGUCCCGAAAAUUCAAGUCAAGCCCAAAUCCUGAAGAUUCAAGCAAAUCAAGUUUCCAAUAGACAUCAAAGUCUAAGAUUCAAGCCAAAUGAUCCCGUAGUCUUCAAUACACUACUCACUAAUUAGAGGAUUGUGAAUUUUGUAGUCAUAAGAAAAUUAUACACUUAGUAAUUUUCCAAAAUCAAUUUGCAAUAUUUUUUAUAUCUUGUAUAUGAAAAUUGUUGUACAUGGCCUAUUUCGAUAAAUAAGAUUUGUGUGCGGACUUGGGCAAAACAAAUGUUACAUAUGUGCAGUUGAAUAAUAAUGAUUUGUCACUUAAUUUGUACUACAGAAGUUUGAUCUUCUACAACCAAUGGAAAAAAUAAAAACUUUUCACUGCUGAAACGUGAGAUCGAUUUCAUUGUUUUACAUGCAUAAUUGACGCAUGCAACAGUCAAUACAUGAAGUCAUCAUGCUCAUAUUGCAAUCCAUGAAUGGUACAAGUCUCUAUCGAUGUAAAGUAAAGACAUAAUAUGUUAUACAAAGGCAUUCGAAAGCUUGUAAUGUGAAACUUUUGUAUGUGUGUCAUCAUUUAUAAGGACACGGCCUACUCCAGAAAUUGACAAUUAAUUGCCAUGAAUAAUGUUAUUUGCAUUUGCUCACUACUGCAAUUAACAUACAUGUAACGGUUAGUGAUUUAUUGUACAAAGUAAUAAAAGACCACCACAUUGAUGUAUCAAAUCACUAACCACCAUAUAUACGCCACAUAGAACGAUUACGACAGUGAAUGACUGCAUAUAGCAUUACGCAAUUGCCAUAUAUCAUCUUAGUUGAAAGUUGGAACAACCCGAAAGCAAACUAUAUAAUUACGCAUUGAACUGUGUAAAACUAUAACUAUUAUAUUAAAUUAAAAUUCCAUCAAAUUAAGAGGUAAACAUUUAAUGAUAUUUCGACCUAAAAAAUUGAUAAGCUUCGGGAGAAAACAUGAUAUUAAUAAUAUUAAUUAAGAGGAAAUUACAAAAAAAAUGUCUAUUUUGAAAUAAUCGUUUAUAAAAAUGUCCAAAAUUUUUCAAUAUCUACUUUUGCAAUUAUUUGGAUGAGAGUAUCACUAAGUACCUUCCAUGAAAAACUACAUUAAAAUGAUGUUCUCGAUAUUUCAAAUGUUGUUCUCGAUAUUUGAAUCUGUUUAUAUUUCAAAAGUACACAUAUUAAAUCAAAAUAUUAAAUGUUCUCGAUAUUUCAAAUGUUGUUCUUAACAUAUUAAAUAUCUAGAAUGACAUUUCAUUCCAAAUAUGACAUUUCUCUCCAUUUUAAAUGUUGUUCUCAACAUUUCUGUGUCUAGUAUUAAUUGUGAUUUGACAUGUGCAAUAUGAAAUUAUUUAUUCUUCAUUAAGGGUAAAAUAGAGAAUUUGGUGUCAAAUUUAGCCAUUUUUGUAAAGAUUAUCAAAAAUGAACAUUUUUAAAUUGACAUAUGUGAAAUUGGACAUUUUUACAAAUGUCCCAUUUAUUAAUUGGUCAAACUUCAUGAUCAUCACGUAACGAAAACUAUCUAUUGUCUAACCAAGGAUGACAGAAAAUAAAAAUUGUCUCGUUUAAUAAACUUCUAGCUGGUGAAUGUAUCACUUGAUUAUAAUUAAUGUUAUAUUAAAUAAUAAAAAAAUUCUAGUAAGACCAAAUGUUCACGUAGGACAUGACUAUUCUCCAAUAGUUUUUUUUUUUUAAUUUAAAAGAAAAAAAAAUGUUAAACAUGCUACGUUGAGUACCAGAAAUGAUUAACAAUUAUUAUAGUGUGCUUAAGGGCCCAUAAUUAUUCUAACUUUUGUCACUUGCUGAUGCUUUUGACCUCUGCGAAUCAUUUUUUGAACAAUGAAAUCCAUAACAUAAAGGUGAUUAAGUGAGAUGGAGCCUUAAACGAAUCCCGGUGAGCAGUUGCAUUAAUUAAACACGUGUGUGUGCAGAUAGCUGUACAUUUGUCCUUAAUCUAUUUAUUGAAUAGCAAGUUUUUAUUUUUUAUUUAUUUUUUAUUUUUUAUUUUUAAUGAAGUUGCACAUCAACGACAAAAAUUGUCCAAAUCUUCAUUAAACCACACAUGAUCCUCACAUUUCUAAAUUUUAACUUCGUAUAAUUGAAUUGUGUUUUGCAAAUUGGACCAAUAUUUAAAUGGGACAUGUUUGUUAUUGGAGUUUUUCAUGAUAUUUGUACUUGAUUUUAAUUUGUUAAAUUAUACGGAAGUCAACGUAUAGUUGACUAUCUUGGUAACUAUGGCUUAUGCUCAUCCAUUACAUAUAACGUUUUGUGAUGAUAUUAGGCAUUUAACACAUUUGGCCCCAAAAAGAAACACAACUUUUUUUACAUUUAGAUGUUCAAUAUUUAAUAAAAUAAUUAUAUAUUUUGUAGGUAAAUGGACACCUUGAUAAUUUUGUAAUUAAUUUUAUUAUUAUCGUUUGAUGUUGAGACUUCAUAUUAAAUAAAGAGGAAAUUUCACAAAAUGUCCAUUUUUACUUAGUCAUUUGCAAAAAUGUCCAUAAUUGCAAAAAUGUCUAAUUUGGAAGAAUUUAGACCAAAAUACCCUUAGUAACAAUUUAUAAUUCCACACUAAGACAAAAAAGGGACAUUUUUGCAAUAUUGUUAUUGGUCAGUAAAAUUUUGACACAUAACCUGUCAUAUUUAUUUCAAAAAGUAUACAUAUCAAAUUACAAUAAAUGCUAUAUUUUUCAUUGAUUCAGAAAUGUAGAGAAACGCCAUGUUCAAAAUGAAAUGUCAUUCUAGACAAAUGAAACGGUGUUCAAAUGUCGAGAAUGACAUAUGAAAUGUCUAGAAAUAUUAUUUUAAUGUAACUUCUCAUAGAAGCUACUUCUCAAAAUUCGUGACAAAUUGAUAAAAAAAUCAAAUGUCGAGAACGACAUUUAAAAUGUCGAAAAUACAAUUUCAAAAUGUAGCUUUUCAUUAAGGGCAUAAUAGACAAGUUGGCACUAAAUUCGAAUGAGUGGACACUUUUCAACUCAUACCUUUAAAAUUUGACAUUUUUAAAAAUGCCCCUUAAAUACAUGUUUCUAAAAUUUAUUUUCCAGCAGCACAAUAAAUAGUCACAUUGCUCACAAUUAGAAUGGUCAAUAAAUGUAGUAGCGUAAUGCACUUUAAUUCUUCACAGAGAAAUUUUACUAAAUAUAAAUUAAUAUAUAGUUUCAUCAAGAAUAAUAUUCUUACCAUAUGCAUCGUGUCUUACUCACACUUAAAAAAUAAAAAAUUGGGAGGUGUAGUUUGGUGAGCCAAUCACGCUUAUGGAUUAAUACCACUUUAUAAGUUUUGAAAAGAAGUCAAACCAUUCUCUAUCUCAUAUAUGAAGUUGAGAUUCUCACUCACACUUAAAAAAUAAAAAAUAAAAAAUUGGGAGGUGUAGUUUGGUGUGCCGAUCACGCUUAUGAAUUAAUACCGCUUUAUAAGUCUUGAAAAGAAGUCAAACCAUUCUCUAUCUACUAUAUGAAGUUGAGAUUUGACAGAAAAUGGAAGAUAUGCAAGUAAAAUUUGUUAUUCGGCUCGAUCCUCAACCUCCAUUUAACUUGGUCUUUGUGCAAUCAUGUCGUCAUCUUAUUAUGUUCAUCAAUUAUGCUUACACAUUUUUGGUAGAGCUCCACAUCAUUAAUGGAAGUAAAGAUUUUAUUUUAUAAGUUUUGUGAGGCCUAUGAUCAAGUACCAACAUGGUGAAGUGAUAGAAUAUGAUCCUAAUAAUUGAAUUUGUAAUCUGACUAUGAAAACCCUCAUCCGCAUGAAUACUUUCUUUAAUGUAAAUUCGAUUUGUGUUUAAAAUGUUCAAUUUUCAAUAAUAUAUUAUAGUCUUUCGAACGCUACGCCAUGGCCAAGUGAGGGAAUGCAUUAAGCACAUGAUAGUGCCUGCUUCAGCGAGGAAAGAAUCCAUUUUAUUUUUAUUUUUUUGGCUUGUUUAACAUAACUUUUUGUUUUUACUUUUAUUUCUGCUUCCUUUAGAAGAGUGAGGUUUUUGUUUUUGUUUUUGUUUUUUGAAAUUACCUUAAUUUUCAGUGGUGAAACAAAUUUAUGAUUAUGAUCAUCUUCAAAUGCUUUAACAAUCUAAUAGCCACCUUCAAUGUCGUUUGAGAUUCGCAUGUUAGCCUUACAUCUACCUCUAACCGUUGAGCAACUUUUUCCUUUUGUAGAACCCUAUAUCUGACAAUUCUCUAUUUCACUUAAUCCUUCAAAAAUCUUCCUACUAUAAUAUUUUCUUUCAUGUGAGCACACAAAUUUAAUAAGUGUAAAUUCAUUUAUACGUGGGUGUUACUUAACUACUGUUUGAGUACGAAUCCAUAAACCAUUUUGUCGUCCAUAGUCUUCGUGUUAUGCCCUUGCUUCCUUUGCCGUCUUAAAUUUCAUCCCAAUGUAAGGCGCUUUGCCUUGUAUUGACGAUAACCCAAUCUCAUCAAAUUGAUACGCAUGUACAUAAUUACCACAAUUGGUUGCACCCAUCUACAAAACAAUUUUGAAAGAAUCAAUCAAUGAUAUUGAUUGCAUAGAAUUACCGAUAAUCAAAUUCAUUGUUGAAUAACUCGUACAUAUAUUUUCUUAAACAAAUUGUAGCAUACUUAAUUUUUAAAGUAUUCCCUGUUGAAGUAUAUAAUAACAUUUAUUAACCAUUUUAUUAACACUUCAAGCUAGUGAUAGCAACGGGGCGGGGUUAACAUUUAUUAAUCAUUUUACUAACACUUCAAGCUAGUGAUGGCAACGGGACGGAUUCGGGGCAGGGGGCUCCCACCCAGUCUUGCCCCGCCCCAACCCCACCCGCUCCGUUUAGGCGUGGUUGGGUUCGGGGUAGUUUUUUGCCCCAUUUACUACCCCAUUUAACUUUUUUUUUUUUUACACAUUUUCAAAAUUUAGAGUUAUAUUAUUAAAUUAUUAAAUACAAAUUCAAAAUUUAAAAAUUCAAAACAAAUAAUGCUCAAAUUAAAAUCAAUAUUCAAAGAAACACUUGAAAAAACAAUAUCCAAUAUAUUCACAGGGAGGGUUCGGGGCGGGGCAGUCUCAACCUAUCGGGGCGGGUUUUUUUGCCCCAUUCAGGACCGGGGCAUGGCGGGCGGGGUAAAUUGUCAUCUCUACUUCAAGCAAAUUAAAACUCAAUUAUAACCUUUAAAUCACAGAUGAAUCAAGCAUUAUGCUGAAAUUGAUGCAACACUACUCAAACUGCAUGAUACAUUAUGUGGAAAUCAAAAGAAAAUAAACACGGAUCCUUUUCCCACCAUUCAUGAUAAAUCAGAUUUGGAUAUUAGAGGAAAAUCAGAUUCAAGAACAUGAUAUAACACAGUUUUGUAGAAUGAUCAAAAUAACAAAAUCGAAACCUCACGUGAGAUUUUGGUUGAAAAACAGUUAACCGCUUACAGAAUCAUACCUAAAAAAAUUACUUCAGUUCUUAUUCUGCUUUCUCCUAAAUAAAUGAUUUGAUGACACAAUAGGAAUCCUCUAAAAAUUUAUACAUGGGCAAAGAAAUUCUUUACAUGCAGUGAUGAUUUGAAGAUUCAAUUUUGUGAGGGAGAUGAUGAAUUUCGGUGGUGAUGGAGAAUGCAUAAGAUGAUAGAAAAUCAUGAUGUUGUUGAGAGAUUUUAGGGAUUAAUAUAAGGUAAUUAGGGGUGUUUGGAAGUAAGAUUAUGAAUUCUUUCAUGUUUUAAUAUAUAAACUCCUAGCAUUGGAUUGAUUUUAAUUAAAGAUCACGAUUAUUUGUCAUAAAUACUUGUCAAAUUAAUGGGUAGACUUCCCUAUGCUCAUCAGAUAUGAGCCGCUGGUGAAUUUGUCGGAUAGACAGAUCUUUGUGAAAUUGAAUCAAUUGCUUAGGUGAUUGCCCUUUAGCCCUUUGUUUGACCAAAAAGACUCCCAUGAGUUGGAUGGGCUAAUGCUUAAAGAUAAAUUUCAAGAGAUUCCCUAUUUUAAUUUUUGAAAAUAGAGAGUGGGUAAAUAUACGAAGAAAUUAAUAAAUAUUUCUUGAGAAAAGUAAAAGAAGAAGACAAAAUAGAAAGUAUUAUUGCAGAGAAUAAAAUUUAGACUCUCUAUAUAAUGCAUAAAAAAAUUUUUACAAAUAAAAAGUUUGUUGAAGUUGAUCUAAUGAUGGUAUAAAUGAAAGAUUUGGAUAAAAUUUGUAAAAAAAAUAAAAAUAAAAUAAAUAAAUAUGUUGUAAAUGGAAAGUCCAUUAAAGUUUAUUGGUGAAUGACAUUUGUACCCCUGUAACCCUAGAAAUUAUUACCAUUGUAUCCCUAAUUCUUACCUAUAAAUAUAGGGCUUUGAUUUUCAAUAAUAUACACAAAAAGUUUAUUGAAUUUUCUCUAUUCUCUUUGAGUUUUCUCUAUUCUCUUUUCCUCUCAUUUUAUAACACGUUAUCAGCAUGAAACUCUUAGAAGAUAGUAAUUUUUUUUUUCAUAAUCAUCUAUCACGUAUAUCAAAAUUAAUUUGAUAAUACGUGAAUUUUACAUAUACAUAUGUUGAAUCUGCAAUACGUGAUCUCAUCUUUCUCGAUCAUUAUGUUUUCUUUGUACCUCUCUUUGAAUUAAUUAAUUUUUUUUCCUUUACAUCAAUCCACGUGCAUUUUUAUGGAGAUAUAUUUAUGUUAAGUCAAUUGAUAUGUAUUAAUUCAUGUUCCUAUACCCUCCUUGUAUUUAGAUUAGUCCUUUACAUUCUACACAUGCUUAUAAUUUUUUUUGGUUUAAUUGGUCAAUGUUCUUUGUAAGCAAGCUUCAAUUCCAGAUCUCUAUUUUGGCUUAUUCCAUAUAUAUAUAAUAUACAAUUAACAAAUAACUGUACCCAACUCAUCUUUUCUCUCAAAUCCAUUGGUUUCUGCAAAUUUCAUGCUUUAAUUGGUUAAUACUAAUUCAAUUCUUUUAAUUGCACAUAAUUAGAAUUUCAUGCCAUAAUAUGUGAAUAGGUGUCUACAUGUCACCAAUUUUUUUUUUGUGUUUCACUCGACUCACGUUAUUAAUUGAAAAUAAUAUUUUACAUGUGUUUGUAUAUUAAUUAAUGGUGAGCAAUUGGAUGUAUUAUCAUUUUUUUUAUGUUUAGUUAUGAAACAUUACAUUAAAUUUAUUUUUAAUUGUUGUUACUCCUGAAGUAGCACAACAUUAUAAUUAAUAUUCUAGAAGAAUAUUAAUCAUAAAUCUAUUCGUUGUUGCUCCAGAAGUAGCACAACAUUAUAAGAAUAUUAUUUACUCCUGAAGAGUAUAAAUUAUAACUCUCAAUAUUCCAGAAAAAUAUUGACAUAUUGCACUUGAAGAAAUAAUAGCAAAAUAUAAUGUACUUCAGAAGUAGCAUAUGUUUCGAAGAACAUAUUAUUUCAAAUUAGUGUUUAUCCCUAGAAGAAAACACGUAAUUUAAAGUCAUGUUGAUAUUGACUAUUUGAUUAACUUGUGAUGAUUAAUCAUAUUCUUCGAAACUAAUUAUAUUUUUUUAUUGUGUAGUUAAAUAAAUGGCAAACAUUACGAAACUUGAGUUUGCUGCACUUGACAUAUCUGGUAAAAAUUAUCUGUCAUGUAUACUGGAUGCUAAUAUCCAUCUCGUCUCAAAGGGUCUGGGAGAGACAAUAAAAGAAGGAAACAACGAAUCCUUGCAGGAUCGUGUAAAAGCACUCAUUUUCCUUCGUCACCAUCUUCACGAUAGAUUAAAAAUUGAGUAUCUCACUGAGAAAGAUCUACAAGUUCUUUGGAAAAAGUUAACUGAAAGAUUUGAUCAUCAAAGGACUAUAGUCCUCCCCAAAGCCCGUUAUGAGUGGAUGUACCUUUGUUUGCAAGUCUUUAAAACGGUUAGAGAGUACAAUUCUGAAUUGUUCAGAAUAUGUUCAAAGUUGACUUUGUGUGGAGAAAAAUCACUAAUGAAGAUAUGUUGAAAAAAACUUUCUCCACCUUUCAUGCCUCGAAUGUGCUCCUGUAGCAGCAAUAUCGUGAGCGUGGCUUCAAAAAGUACUCAAAACUUAUAUCUUGCCUAUUAGUUGCUGAACACAAUAAUGAAUUGUUGAUGAAAAAUCAUGGAUUACGUCCAACUAGUUCUGUACCAUUGCCUGAAGCAAAUGGUACUACAUUGUCUGAAGCAAAUACAAUAUCAAGACAAGGACGUGGAUACGAAUUUGGAGGUGGACACAAACACGGACGUGUACGUGGAAUAAAUCAUGGAAGAAAUAAUCAACAAAAUUAUCAACAACAAGGUAAUAAAUUCAAAAGGCACAAAGCAAACGAGAGUGACAAAUCUAAAAAAGAGCAUGAAGAAAGUUGCUUCAAAUGUGGAAUGAAAGGGCAUUGGGCACGUAUGUGUCGUACCUCAAAAUAUCUUGUGGAUCUCUACUAGAGAUCAAUCAAGGGAAAAGAAAAAUUAGAGACUAAUUUUGCUGAUUAUGAUGGUCCAAUUGAUGUGACUCAUUUGGAUGUCUCCGAUUUCUUUACUGAUCCAAAUGAAAAUAUUGACCAUUUGGUUGGGGUGGUGUGAUAGAAGAUAUAAAUUAAUUUACUAGUAUUUCUUUCGUUUUAGAAAUUCAGUCUGAAAUAUGUUUUUACUUUUUUGCACAAAAAAAAUAAAUAAAUAAAACUCUAUUAUGCAAUGUUUAUUUCAUGAUAUUAAGUAAUGUUUACUUCUUUAAAUCUAAAUUCAAGUUUUUUUUUAAAAAAUUUGUUUAUUUUGUUAUAUUUAUAUAUUCAUGAUGAAUAGUCAAGACAGCUGCUUAAUUGAUAGUACAACUACACAUACUAUUCUUCAAGAUAAAAAAUACUUUUUGGACUUAAUAUUAGCCGAAAAUAAUGUUAACACGAUAUCGGGUGCGUCGAAUAUCGAUGAAGGCUCCGGAAGAGCUUGUAUUAUUUUACCAAAUAAUACAAAAUUAUAUAUUGACGAUACACUUUAUUCUAACAAAUUCAGAAGAAAUUUGCUUAGUUUUAAAGAUUUCGCUGCAAUGAAUAUCACAUUGAGACAAUGCAAGAAAAUAAUGUUGAAUAUCUUUGCAUCACUUCUUUUGUAUUUGGCAAGAAGCAGAUAAAAGAAAAAUUUCAUGCACUUCCGUCUGGGAUGUAUUUUACAUUUAUAAAAAUGGUCGAAUCAAAUAAUGUUACGAAUCAGAAGUUCAUUGAUUCAAAAAGUUUUAUACUUUGGCAUGAUCGACUUGGACAUCCAGGAGCCAUAAUGAUGCGUCGAAUAAUAAACAACUCACAUGGACAUCUUUUAAAGAACCAAAAAAAUUCUUUUUUCUAAUGAUUAUCCAUGUGUAGCUUGUUUGCAAGGAAAGUUAGUCAUUAAACCUUCAACUACAAACGUCAAUAUUGAAUCUCCAACUUUCUUGAAAAGAAUACAUGGAGAUAUAUGUGGGCCAAUACACCCACCAUAUGGACCAUUUCGUUACUUUAUGGUAUUAAUUGAUUCUUCUACAAGAUGGUCACAUGUUUGCCUACUUUCAACUAGGAAUGUAGCAUUUGCUAGACUACUUGCUCAAAUCAUAAAAUUGCGUGCACAAUUCCCCGAUUACUCAAUCAAGACUAUUCGUCUUGACAAUGCUGGUGAAUUUAGAUCACAAGCAUUUGAUGAUUAUUGUAUGUCGAUUGGGAUUGAAAUUGAACAUUCAGUUGCACAUGUUCAUAUACAUAAUGGUUUAGCAAAAUCGUUUAUUAAACGUCUACAACUUAUUGCUAGACCAUUACUUAUGAAAACAAAACUCCCAGCUUCUGUUUGGGGUCAUGCCAUAUUACAUGCUGCAUCAUUGGUUCGUAUAAGACCAACUGCCUAUCAUCAAUAUUCACCUUUGCAACUUGCAUUUGGUCAUGAACCUGAUAUUUCUCACCUACGGAUUUUUGAUUGUACUGUCCAAGUUCCUAUUUCACCCCCCACAACGUACUAAAAUGGGUCCCCAACAAAGAUUUGGGAUUUAUGUGGGUUUUGAUUCACCAUCUAUUAUUAGAUAUCUUGAACCUUUAACGGGUGACUUAUUUACAGCACGUUUUGUAGAUUGUCAUUUUGAUGAAAUGACUUUCACAACUUUGGAAGGAGAAAAACUACAUUCUGAAAAACAAGAUAGAAUUUCUUGAAAUGAGACAACUCUAUCUCACUUUGAUCCCCGCAGCAAUCAAUAUGAACAAGAGGUUGAAAAAAUCAUUCAUUUACAAAGAGUUACAAUUCUACUACCUGAUAUAUUUGUUGACAUGAAAAAAGUGACAAAGUCAUUUAUUCCAGCAGAAAAUAUUUCAGCAAAAAUUAAUGUCCCUACAGGACAAUCUACUGUGGCAAAUGAAUCUCAAAUACGCCAGAAGCGUGGUCGACCAGUUGGUUCAAAAGACUCUGUACCUAGAAAAGAAGAGUACAGAAGAAAAACCAACCAAAAAUUUCAGAAAAAAUCACAUUAGAAAAGAUUGAUCAAUUAAAUAUUGAAUGUACGGUUCCUGAAGAACCAGAGGUGUCUGAAAAUAAUGAGAUUUCAAUAAAUUAUAUGAUAUCUCAUAAAUUAUGAGAACGGAAUAAUAUUGUUAUAGACAAUAUUUUCGCCUUUAACAUGGCUCUUGAUAUUAUACAAAAUGAGGAUCCUGAACUACAGUCUGUUAAUGACUGUUGAAAUAGAAAUGAUUGGCCAAAAUGGAAAGAAGCCAUACAGGCAGAAUUAAAUUCUUUGGAGAAACGAAAAGUGUUUGAACUAGUAGUUUGAACACUUGAAAAUGUAAUUUCUGUUGGAUACAAAUGGGUUUUCGUACGAAAGAGAAAUGAGAAUAAUGAAAUUACAAGAUACAAAGCCCGACUAGUGGCUCAAGGUUUCUCCCAAAGACCGGGAAUUGAUUAUGAGGAAACAUACUCUCCCAUAAUGGAUACCAUCACUUUUAGGUUCUUAAUUAGUUUGACCGUGUCAUAAGGGCUCGAUAUGCGCCUUAUGGAUGUUGUAACUGCCUACCUAUAUGGUUCACUUGAUAGUGACAUAUAUAUGAAAGUCUUUGAAGGAUUUAAGGUGCCAGGAAUAAAUUAUACAUAUCCGAGAACUAUGUUCUCAAUUAAAUUGCAAAAAUCAUUAUAUGGAUUGAAACAAUCCGGACGCAUGUGGCAUAAUUGCCUUUGCGAAUAUUUGUUGAAAGCGGGUUAUAAAAAUGACAAUAUCUGCUCAUGUGUUUUCAUAAAGAAAACAAAUAUUGGAUUUACAAUUUGGCAGUUUAUGUUGAUGAUUUAAAUUUAAUUGGAACUCCUGAAGAGCUCAACAAAAAUGCAGAUUAUUUGAGAAAUGAAUUUGAGAUGAAAGAUUUGGGGAAAACCAAAUCUUGUCUUGGAUUACAAAUUGAACAUUUUCCAGAGGGAUUAUUUGUUCAUCAAUCUACUUAUACAGAAAAAGUCUUGAAGCGCUUUUAUAUGGAUAAUGCACAUCCAUUGCCAUCACCUAUGGUUGUUCGAUCACUUGAUGUGAAAAAAGAUCCAUUUCGUCCACUUGAAGAUGGAGAAAAGAUUCUUGGUCUUGAAGUGCCAUACCUUAGUGCAAUUGGAGCAUUAACUUAUCUUGUAAAUUGCACUCGACCUGACAUAGCUUUUUCUGUAAAUCUCCUUGCAAGACAUAGCUCUACGCCAACUCAAAGGCAUUGGAAUGGUGUUAAACAUAAUUUUCGUUACCUAAAAGGUACUAUUGAUAUGAGACUAUUUUAUUCUCAAAAGUCAGGAUCUGCUUUAGUGGGAUAUGCAGAUGCAGGUUAUCUCUCCGAUCCACAUAAAGCUAAAUCACAAACAGGAUAUGUGUUUACACGUGGAGGAACAGCUAUAUCAUGGAGAUCUGUGAAGCAAUCCUUGACAGCAACAUUCUUACAUCAUUCUGAGAUUAUUGCAAUCCAUGAAGCAGGGCGAGAAUGUGUAUGGUUGAGGAAUAUGACCCAUCAUAUCCAAUCAUCAUGUGGAUUGACUUCAAUAAAAGAUAGUCCAACAAUUUUGUUUGAAGAUAAUGCAGCUUGUAUCGCACAACUCAAGGGAGGCUAUAUCAAAGGCGACAGGACGAAGCAUAUUUCUCCAAAAUUCUUUCAUACACAUGAACUUCAGAAGAAUGGUGACAUUGAUAUUCAACAAAUUUACUUAAGUGACAAUGUGAUUGAUCUAUUCACAAAAACGCUGUCAACAUCUACAUUCAAGAAAUUAGUUCAUGAGAUUGGAAUGCGUCGACUCAAAGAUUUUCAGUGAUCAAUAUUAGGAGGAGUAGCUGUACUCUUUUUCCUUCGCUUAGGUUUUGUCCCAUUGGGUUUUCCUAGCAAGGUUUUAAUGAGGCAGCAUUUAAUUUUAAUACUCCAAAAUAACUGUACUCUUUUUCCUUCAUUUAAUUUUUUUUCCCCAUUGGAUUUUUAUCAAACAAGGUUUUAACGAGGUAGAUAUUUUGUAAUAUGUCAUUCAACGAAGAGUGUUGUAAAUGGAAAGUCCGUUAAAGUUUAUUGGUGAAUGACAUUUGUACCCCUGUAGCCCUAGAAAUUAUUACCAUUGUAUCCCUGAUUCUUACCUAUAAAUAUAGGGCUUUGAUUUUCAAUAAUAUACACAAAAAGUUUAUUGAGUUUUUUCUAUUCUCUUUUCCUCUCAUUUUAUAACAAAAUAGUAAUAAUAAAUGAAAGAUUUGGAAUUACAACUGUAUUAUUCCUACGAUGGUUAUGUUGCCACCAUAAUUUCUAUUUGUCACACCACAAUUUAAUUGUAGUUAAACUCCCAAAUCCAUGCUCAUUGUAAUAAUUAUUUCCUUUAUUUUCGUUGAAUUUUUAUCUUCAACUUUCAUUAAUUAGUACAUCACGUCCUGACGAUAAUUUAUGUUAAAAUAUUUUGUGUACAUGCUCUACAUUAAGGGAAAAUAAAAUUUUUUUAAUUUUUAUAUAUGAUAAAAAAUAAGUUGUUGUAAGCUGUUUUUUUUUAACAUAAAUUGUUAUCAAAUACAAAAUAUAUUUGUAGUGGUCCAAAUUAUCCGUUGGGCUCUUGACCCAAUCCAUGUAUAUUGAAUGUUCCUAGCCCAAACUAAUGUAUGCCAAUCAUGCUCAUCCUUGACCCACUAAUGAUUUAUCAGUCUUACUUUGUGUCCGACCUAUCACACGGUGUCACGUAGAGUCUAAAGGAUAAACUUCUCAACAAGCAAAUCAGUUCAACUCACCAUCUUUUCUAUAAGAGUCGUGAGCUAAGGGUAAGACCAUGUCUUACGAGGUGUUCAAAUGGUUAUGGUAACUCUACCCAAAGUUGGUCGAGUUUUUCGAAACUCGGAAAAUAUCAUCCUAAUUAAUCAAUCCAUCUGGUGUCCACAUGCUCCACUAUUUGUGGAUCAAACAAUUUUGCUGGUUCUCUUAUAAAUAUGAGGGCCAACUAUUCAAGGGGAGAAAAAAAAAUUAUUGAGCCUACACAGCUUCCUCAAUAUUUAUCCAAUUUAGAUAUCUUAUUGCCAUUACUAUCACUUUUAUUUGUCACCUCUCACAAUCAUAUCAUCCAACCACUUCGCUACUAUCACUAUUUCAUCAUGCCAAUCAUAAAUAUCAUCAAUGCCUACUUUUAGAAUCAACUAUAGAUUCGAACAUCUACAAUUUGGCGCCCACCCCGUGGGCCCCAGUGAUUUUCAACACAAAAAAUAUUCCACUAACAGUAAACAUUUUGAUCGCAAUGACGGAAUCCCUAUUAUUGUCAAAGCUAGCAGCCAUGCUUGUUCAAUUUACUUCUCAAAUGGCUGAAACCAACCAAAAGUUCUAGCAGCUAGAAGUAUAAAAUGUACAACUUAAGCAGACAAUUAGAGAGCUCUCUACACUCUCAACGUUAGCUGGGACCAAGAGCCACAUUCAAUUUCACACUGUAGUGAGAACCAUAUAGUUACUUGACAUGCCAAAGCGUGACAUGCUAGGUAUAUGAAGAACUAAUGUCAAUACUAACAAUGUCAAUACAGGCCACGAGACAGACAUGGAGGACGAGGUACUGCUUGACGACCUACCCAUUGUAAAGGAGCUGGUACCACAGGUCAUUAAUACAAAUUACCAAAACACGGACUCUUCACGCAACGAAGGCACUAGCCCAAAUCCGAUAUCGAUCAACGUUUCGCCAUGACAGAGGCCAUGAUCAACCAUAUCCUGAGUGUACCUAUACCGAUCAAGAAAAAUAGGCAAAGCUUUGCGGACUCACCAUUUGUCUAUUCGAUAGCUCUAGUUAAAAUGUCAAUAAAUUUCAAUUUUUCCAAUAUGAAGAUGUAUGAUGGCACCACCGACCCAAAUGCCCAUAUUGCCCAAUGUAAACAAAGAAUGUUCACAGUAACCAGGCCCGGUUCUGGGGCCAGGCGAAUAAGGCCUACGCCUCAGGCCCAGAUUCCAAGGGGGCCUCAUUUUUAGCCCAGAAUUUUAUUUUAUUUUAUUAUUUUUUUCGGUUGAACCAAACUAGUAAUGAAGAAGAGUACCUCACAACUUCAAGCCCAAAUCCAAUACCCUUAGUCUUAAUCCAUUUAUCCAACUUAUACAUCCAUAAAUCAUAAUCUAUUAUCUGUCAUUUACCCAAAAUUCCCAAUUUCCCAAUCCCCAAUCAAAAACCCCUUUCUCCCAAACGCUCGUCUGAGUAGUCCGUCCCCUUCGUAGCGUCGCCGAUCGCCUCUGUCUCUCUUCUCGACUUCCUCAUUCCGACUUCCAGAUUUCCUCUUCCUUGAGUCAUCAGUUACGGUCCAUGGAGUCGGACACCAUCGUAGUUCACACCAAUUCCCUUCCGUUGCGGAGCACAGUUCGCUGUUCACCCCUGUUAGCAAGCAAGUGCUUGGCAGUUGACUAUUAGUUUAGUAUGUUAAGAUUAUUAAUUCCUUUUGAGUUAUAUGAUUACAUUUACACUAAGUAUUCAACUAUUCAUUCAUGACUUUUACCUUUUACUUAUUAUAAUUUUGAUUACAUGACUUUAACUAAUAAAUGCUCUUUUUCUAUGUUACUGUUAAAUACUUUAAUAUUAAUGGGUUAACUGUUAUCUAGUCUAGGAUGGAGUCGAGGACUUGAAAAUGCUACAACUAUGUUUAAUGAUUAUUGAUUAAUAUAUAAUUUGUUGUACAAGUUUGAGACGAAGAACUCUCAAAUCUCAAGUAAUGACUAAUGUGUGAAAUAGUUUAUAGUUAAUUUCAAUAACUUAGUUUGAUAGGUCUUUGUGAGAAUAUAUAGUUGAGAACUUGAGAUAUUAUUUUGUUAAUGAACUUAAGAAAAGAUAUCUUCAGUUUUUACAACCAGUAUACUAAUUUGAAUUAAUUUAUUUUGUUGAUGAAACUAUUUUAACGGUGAUUAGCUCUUAUUAAAUGUGUUAUUUCCCUAAGCUUGACUAAAUGUGCGCCUAUUUUUAAGUAUUGGUGUUUGAUGUUAAAUUUUUGUUUCAGGUUCGUAAGUUAUGACGAUGAAAUUCGCAAGGGUGUGAUUCCAUAGUUUUUGUCGCAAUUCUGCUUAUCAAGUAAGCAGUGGUUUUCCCUAACUUGUUAUUUAAGAGAUUAGAAAUGUUUGGAGCCUUGUCGGCUUAUAUAAUUGCAGCUUGGUUGGCUUAUAUGAUUGAUUAUUGUACGAUCAACUAUUUCAGAAGAAAGAUAGAAUGGAUUGACUAUGUUGUCAAUAGAGAAAGAAAUAGUUGAAUAGCUAAACUAUUCAAAUUUUAUUAAUGUUUUUGCCUUUUAGACGAAUAAUAUUUAACUAAUUACUUGAAAUAUUUUGGUUUUGUUAUUUGAUAAUAUAAAUUUUUUAUAUAAUAUAUCUGUUUGUUGUUUUAACUAAAUUUUAAGUUAGCAAUAAGUUGCAUAAUAUACCAUUGCAUUUACGUUGAUUUCGGGAGGGGGCCUAAUUUAUAUGCUUUGCCUUGAACCCUGACAAUCACAGGACCGACCUUGAUAGUAGCAAACCCACAUGAUCUCUAAGAAGCAUACAGGUGCAAAGGAUUCGGCUCUAGUCUUAUAGGGCUAGCUUUAUAGUGGUACACCAAUUUAACUAACAACUCAAUAUCAUCUUUUGUACAAUUAAAUGAUAUUUUUGUAGAGCAAUUCGCAAGUAGCAGAAAAUUAAUUAUUCGAACAUCCUCUAUAAAAUUGUACAAUGCACAGAAAUCUCUACUUUCAAAAAAAGAUUUAAACCUGACUCAGACCUCUACAAGGAAUUGACUAAGUACGCUUACUACACAAUGAAAGAUGUGUUGGUAGAGGCCUAGGCUCAAAUCAAGAGGGAAGAUGACGAGGCUAAUGCAUUUCGCAACCUACUCUUCAAGAUCAAAGAACCUAAAGGUAUCCAGAGGAUACAAAGACGACAAACUGACCCAUAUCCAAAAUUGAUUGUAGAAUCUUGUGAAGAACGGACAACUAGAAACUAUUGAGUGCCUUCACCAUUCUUACGAUAGACCAAGGAUACCCGAGUACAACCUUAGCAUUUUAUCAGUUGAAGUUGUAGCCAUAAUAAAAGGGAAGGAAAAUACCAUCAAAUUGAUAGGAAAAAUGAGAAGUCAUCUAGGCAACAGGCGUGAUACAUCCAAACCGUGUGCAUUUUAUGGUGAUCACGAACACAAAAUUCAUGAUUGUAUUGGUUUGUGAUUGGAAGUUGCUAAUCUACUCAAAUGUAGGCACUCACCAAUCUCCUAACAAAGAAAGGAAAAAAUACAUUGUUUCUCGGCAACCAAUGCUACAAUGAACCACACAAUCUAUGAAUUUCCAAGCACAUCCAAAGCUCGGUCGAGCAAUAACUUCAUCACCAAAGGAUCGAAGGUUAGCGGGAUCACUUAUUCUGUUGUACAAUGAUGCAUUCAAAUAAUUGGAUAGGUGGCGUGGAACGAAUCUCGAAAGCUUUCAAUAAGCUGAGAAGGCCAUCCCACUACGCUUAACUUUACAAGUAACGAGGCAUCAAACCUCCAAAACCUUCAUUGCGAUGCUUUGGUUAUUUCGUUAUGUAUUGCUAGCUAUCUUAUGAAAAGAAUUUCUAUCGACAAUGUGAGUUCUACUAAUAUAUUUUUCCUUGAGACAUUAAGAGAGAUGUAGGUCCCAGAGUCCAGCAUUAUAUGCAAUAUUACCACACUCAUAUGAUUCAAUUGAGAACACAAAACUACACUAUGAGAGAUGAUGCUCUUGGUCUAUGAUGAAGAAGUAAAUCUUCAUACCAAGUUCCUUGUCAUCGAGUGCCCAUUGGCCUACAACGUUAUCAUAGAAAGACAUUGGAUAUAUGCAAUGAAAGAUAACCUUCAAGCUAUCACAAGGUCAUGGGCUUUCCCAUUUCCUGGAGAGUUAAAAAAAUAUGAGGAGAAUCAAAGAGUCUCACGCAACUGCUAUAUGAAUGCUUUCAAACCCUGACCAGAAUGAGUGCACUAGAUCCAACAAAAAGUAAGCGAAUCGCUUGAGCCAGAUAUGGAGGACAUCAACAAAGUCCAAUUAUAUCUAGACAUUUCAAAGCAUACAGUGUAGAUUUGAGAUUAAUUCCCAUCAGACAUCUGAGAUGUAAUAAUUGAAUUUCUAGCUUGACAUCAAGAUCGCUUUGCAUGGUCGCACAUGAAUAUGACAUGUAUUGAUCCUUCAAUAGUAACCUAUAAAUUAAAGGUCAAUCCCACUACUAACUAGUUAGACAGAAGAGACACAAAUUCGCUCCAAAAACGAUAAAAAUUAUUAACGACAAAAUACAAAAGCUCAUUGACAUCGGCUCAGUACGUGAAGUCUAAUAUCCAAAUUGGUUGGCCAAAGUCGUCAUCAUUGAAAGGAAAAAUGGCAAAUGAUGGAUCUGCAUAGACUUCAUAGAUUUAAUAAUCGUGCCCAAAAAAUUCCUUCCCUCUAUCACAUAUCGACACUUUGGUGGUCUCCACAGCAAGGUAUAAGUUACUUAGCUGUAUGGAUGCAUUCUCAAUAUACAACCAAAUCUUAAUGCAUCCAAGUGAUCAAGAGAAAAUGGCUUUAAUAACGGGAGGAGAUGUUCUAUUACUAAGUCAUGAUAUUCGACCUAAAAAAUGCAGAAGCAACAUACCUGAUACGACCCAUCCCAAAUCACUAUAAUGAACCCGACACGUGUCGUGCGCCAAUGAAUGAUACCAGCUAAAUGCCAGACCUACCACCAAAUCAACUAUGAUUUGCUUUGACUGUCACAUAAUUAUAUAAAAAUUUGACAGAGUUUCCUCUAAGAUAUGGACUAAAAUAACCUGAAAGUUUAUCAACUUUCUCAAAUCAAUACAUAUAAUUUAAAACAAGGUACAUCAGCCCUUCCAAACACAACUAUUCAAAAUAAAGUACGAUUGAAUGGAAUUUACACUUCUUUACAAACCAGAGGACUCCAAAUACAUUACUUAUACAAAUUAUGUAGUGAGGCCAUGAUAUAAAUUGACAAAAGAUGCAUCUACCCCAAAAAAUUAUGAACUGUAUAAAUUGACAAAAAGAAACAUACAAAUAACAACUGAGGGGCUCAAUUUGGUAAUUCAACAGGCUCCGAUGUGGCUUAACACAGCUACCGUCUGAUAAGAAAAAGGGAGAUGAAAUAUAUGAGUUUGUAACUCAAUGAGUGGAUAAUUUUGUAAACAAAUAUACUUUUUCCAUUUAUGCUAACUUUCUAAAAACUGGUUUAUAAUAGAAAUAUCAUUACAUAGUACUUUAAGCUAAAUUCUGUAUUCUGAAAUUUGAUAAGUUGUAUAAUACUGAAAAAUCACACUAAAAAGGUACCCGGAAUAACUAUACUUAUGUAUCGAUUAGCAUCGAUAGACAUGGCAAAGAUAUCCAAUUCUGAAAUUCUGUAAUUCUAAAAUUUUGGUCAUACGAUGCACAGCUUUCUGGUCAUACACCAUGGAAACACAUUAACAAUAGUGCAAAGUAGGUAAAAUCACCAUAAUUAGUCAUACACUGUGGAAACACAUUCACACUAGUGCAAAGCGGGUAAAAUCACCUGGGUACUUUCUAGUGAUUUUUAGAAAAUAACUUUAAAUAUGCUGAACUAUUUAAUACUGAAAUAAUGUGCCAAUGAAAUGCUUUAACUGAACUGAAUUUAACUUCAAAACACAACUGUUAAUAAAUCAACUUUUUUCUGAAAAUCGUGUUUUCAAAUCAACUGUAUGAAUUAAUAAAUUUUCUAAUUUAAUAUAAAUUUUAUAAAUACUAAUUUCUUAAAAAUAAGUUUAUAUCCACUCACACAAUACGAGCUACACACUAGGCCACUUGGUAAGCUUUUCCAAUUUCUUUGUCACCACAUGAAAUACGUUACAAAAUAACUAAUUUAACUACUAUUAAAAUCAAGAAACCUUUUAUCUCUAAUGAUAAAAUAAUUAAACUAAAUUUUCCAAGACUUGCGAAAUUUUUUUAAAUUUCCUUUAUUCAAUUGGAGUUAAUUUUAAUUUCUAAUAAUACCUUCACACAUGGGUACUUUACCCAAAUUUACUUUCAUCCCAUUCAUAAAAAUAAUUAUACUUUCUGAUCUAAUGCAAACUAGUAACCAUAAUUCCACCUAUUUAAACUUUCAUCUUGUUUCUCAACUUCAUGCUUUCAUAUGAGUAUUCCAUCAAUAUAAUCAUUUCCAUGAAAUAUCCUUACUUAAGAAUCCAAUUAAAAAUUCUAGGGUUUGCCAAAUUUUUUUUGAUAUUUCUUACCUUAAUUCAAACGGAGACUAACCAAUCAAGAAGCUUGAGCUAGAGAUCAUAAUCCUUUCUCUAAAUCUGAAAUUUCGAACCAAAUUAAAACCCUAGAAAUUUAACAUAAAAUUUAUCUACCUCUUGAAGAAAAUAAAGAGAAAGGAAAAAUGAAAAUAAACCUUGAACUACAUCUUUCCCUUCUUCUUCCUCUUUUUCUUUUCCUUUUUCUCCUUCUUUUUCUUCACUUUUUUUCCUUUCUUCCUUCCUUCCGCCGAUUUUUCUCCUUCUCUGCCGGUUUCAAGAUUUUUCCUAUUUGUGUGGCUGAGUGAUAUAUAAAAAAAUGGGCUAGUUGUUGUACAAUUGCCACAUGCCCUCCAUAACAUCAACUUUUGCAAAUUAUGUCCUCAUUAAUAUACUUAGGAUCCGUUUGAUUGCAAAUGUGGAAUUUGGGUGAAAAGAAAACGAAUUUCAGGGAAUUGAAUUGAUGAGAAAUUGUUUUACUGGGAGUUGUAAAUUAUUGUGUUUGAUUGAUAUAAUUUUUUACGUGAAAAUUGUUUAAAUUAAAUUUUUUUUGAUGUCUGUUUGGUUUUGUUUUACAUGAAAAAUGUCAAUUAAAGGGAUAGAAUUUACUGGUAUUUGGAAUGAAAUUUGUUUUCAUUGCCAAAAUAAAAAAAAAUUCAAGAAAAUCAUCGAUUUUUGGGUGUUCGUUUGAUUUUGUUUUACAUGAAAAUUGUCAAUUAAAGGAAAAUAUUUUUUUACAAUAAUUUUUAGAAUUUAUUUUCAUUGCUAACACAAAAAAAGAAGGAAAAAAAAAUUGAAAACCUGGAAUUCACUUUCCUACCGUAUAGGUGGAAAAACCAAUUCCUUGAAAUGAAGGAAAAUAGGCGCGUGUGAGGCUUGCAUGGAAAGUGAAUUCCAAGGAAAUGUUUUGCCAUCAAACACUAGAAUUUGGAAAAGAUGGAAAUUAAUUUUCACUUUCUAGGGAAUUCAUGGGCAAUCAAACGGUACCUUAGAAUCAUUUACUUCCCAAAAAUAGAAAAAUAAAUCCCUAACUUUUCCACCUUAAACCUUCCGAUUAUUUCUCAGUAUAAAUUAAACUCCAAUAAUUAAUUUAUUUUAUUUUAGUCUCUAUUUGACUUUGACUUUGACGAGUCAAUCUUUGAAUUUUGACUAAACAAAAAUCGGUUGUAACAUCUUACUUCCUUAAAAGAAUUUCAUUCUCGAAAUUCCACUGGCAUCUGAUUAGGUAACGAAUAGAUGAGGAUACUGAAUACGCAUCUGAUCCUCAUGCUCCCAGGUUGCCUCUUCUACCGUCUGAUUCUGCUAAAGCACCUUUACAAGUAAAAUUGUCUUGUUCCGCUGAAUUUGCACCUUUCUGUAUAGAAUUCUCACUGGCUCCUCUGUAUAAGUCAAAUUCUCCUUCAAGUGAACUAGAUGAGACUCUAGAACAUGAGAAGGAUCUGUAAUGUACUUUGGAGCAUGGAGACAUAAAAAACAUCAUGGAUCCUAGAUAAUUCAGUUGGCAAAUCUAAUCGAUAUGCAACUAGACCAAUUCGCUCAGUAAUCUCAUAUGGUCCAAUGUAUCGUGGACUCAAUUUUCCUCGCUUGCCAAAUUUUAAAACUCCCUUCCAAAGCGACAAUUUUAGAAAUAUUUUAUCUCCAACUAUGAAUUUCAGAUCUUUUCUGUGCCUAUCUGCAUAACUUUGCUAUCUAUCUUAUGUUGGUUUUUCAACUUUUCUCUGAUCAAUUUCACAUUUACUGAAGUCAUUUGAACCAAUUCAGGGCCUACUAACUUCCUCUUACCAGCUUUAUCCCAGCAAACUGAUAUUCUGCACUUUCUACCAUAUAAAGUUUCAAGAAGAGCCAUUUCUAUACUGGAGUGGUAACUGUUAUUGUAAGCAAACUCCAUCAAUGACAAAUGUGAAUCCCAGCUACCCUGAACUCUAAAACACAAGCCCUCAACAUAUCCUCAAGAGUCUGUAUGGUCCUCUCUGACUGACUAUCUGUCUGAGUAUGAAAAGCUGUACUGGGCCAAAAUUUAGAUGUAAAAUGAGGGUCUCUGUCAGACAUAAUAUAUAAUGGAGUACCAUAUAAGCUCACUAUCUCGUCCACAUACAACUUUGCUAACUUAUUUAAAGUAUAAGUGGUUUUGAUUGGCAAAAACCUUGCAGACUUGGUCAAACGAUCCACAAUAAUAACCCAAAGAUCAUUAUGACCAUUCUGGGUACGAGAAAGACCAAAUAAAAAGUCCAUAGUAAUGUGCUCCCAUUUCUAUUCUAGAAUAGGCAAUGGCUAUAAUAGUCUUGUUGUUUUCUAACGAAUUGGUUUUACCUACUGACAGAUAAGACGUUUGGAUACAAAAAUAUGUUAUCUCUCUCUUCCACAAGUAAUGUUCUUUCAACGUAUCAUACUUUCAAUGUAUGAUACAUUUUAAUACAUUUUGAUAGAGUCUUCUUUAAAAGAUGGACUAAAAUCACCUGAAAGUUUAUCAACUUUCUCAAACCAAUACAUAUAAUUUAAAACAAGGUACAUCAGCUCUUCCAAAAACAACUAUUCAAAAUAAAGUACGUUGGAAUGGAAUUUACACUUCUUUACAAACCAGAGGACUCCAAAUACAUUACUUAUACAAAAUUAUGUAGUGAGCUCAUGAUAUAAACUGACAAAAGAUGCAUCUACCCCAAAAAUUAUGAACUAUAUAACUGACAAAAAGAAACAUACAAAUAAUGACUGAAUGACUCAAUUUGGUAAUUCAACAGGCUCCGAUGCGACUCAACACAACUAUUGUUUGAUAAAAAAAAGGAGAUGAAAUAUAUGAGCUUGUAACUCAGUGAGUGGAUAAUUUUGUAAACAAAUAUACCUUUUCCAUUUAUGCUCACUUUUCAAAAACUGGUUUAUAAUAAAAAUAUCAUUACGCAGUAUUUUAAGCUAAAAUCUUUAUUCUUUAAACUGAAUAAGCUAAAUUCUGUAUUCUGAAAUCUAAUAAGCUGUAUUAUACUGAAAAAUCACACCAAAAAGGUACCCGGAAUAACUAUACUCAUGUCUCGGUUAACACCGAUAAACAUGACAAAGCUAUCCAAUUCUGUAAUUCUGGUCAUACGCACGCAGAGCUAUCUGGUCAUAAACUAUGGAAACACAUUCACAAUAGUGUAGAGCGGGUAAAAUCACCUAGGUACUUUCUGGUGGUUUUUAGAAAAUAACUUUAAAUAAACUGAACUAUUUAAUAUUGAAAUAAUAUGCCAAUGAAAUGAUUUAAUUGAACUGAAUUUAACUUUAAAAAUAACUGUUAAUAAAUCAACUUUAUUCUGAAAAUCGUGCUAUCAAAUCAACUGUAUGAAUUAACAAAUUUUCUGAUUUAAUAUAGAUUUUAUAAAUACUAAAUUCUGAAAAGUAAAUUUAUAUCCACUCACUCAAUACGAGCUACAGACUAAGUCGGUCGGUAAGCUUUUCCAAUUUCUUCGUCACCACUUGAAAUACGUUACAAAAUAACUAAUUUAACCACUAUUAAAAUCAAGAAACCUUUUAUCUCUAAUGAUAAAAUAAUUAAACUAAAUUUUUCAAGACUUGCAAAAUUUUCCUAAAUUUCCUUUAAUCAAUUGAAGUUAAUUUUAAUUUCUAAUAAUACAUUCACACGUGGGUACUAUACCCAAAUUUACUUUCAUCCCAUUCAUAAAAAUAAUUAUACUUUCCAAUCUAAUGCAAACUAGUAAUCAUAAUUCCACCCAUUUAAACUUUCGUAUUGUUUCUCAACUUCAUGCUUUGAUAUGAGUACUUCAUCGAUAUAAUCAUUUCCAUGAAAUAUCCUUACUUAAGAAUCCAAUUAAAAAUUCUAGGGUUUGCCAAAAAAAAUUUGAUAUUUCUUACCUUAAUUCAAAUGGAGACUAACCAAUCAAAAAGCUUGAGCUAAAGAUCAUAAUCCUUUCGCUAAAUCUGAAAUUUCGAACCAAAUUAAAACCCUAGAAAUUUAAUAUAAAAUUUAUCUACCUCUUGAAGAAAAUAAAGAGAAGGGAAAAAUGAAAAUAAAUCUUGAACUACAUUUUUCCCUUCUUCUUCCUCUUUUUCUCCUUCUUUUUCUCCUUCUUUUUCUUCCCUUUUUUCCUUUCUUCUUUCUUUCUGCCCAUUUUUUUCUCCUUUUCUGCCAAUUUCCAGAUUUUUCCUAUUUGUGUGGUUGGGUUGUGCUUCAUAGCCCACGAGCUUGACAAAGGGGUUGACACCCCACACACACAUGGGGAGAUCGGUAUUAUUUUAUUCAAUGGGACCCACCUCGGCAUGUGAGAGGGUGGUCAGCCGUGGUGUCAACCCCGCGGGUCGUUUAGCAUUUUUCUUGUGUGGUUUGAGUGGUAUAUAAAAAAAAUGGGCUAAUUGUUGUAUAAUUGUCACAUGCCCGCCAUAACACCAACUUUUGCAAAUUAAGUCCUUCAACAUUAAUAUAUCUUAGAAUUAAAUCUUUUACUUCCCAAAAAUAUAAAAAUAAAUCCUUAACUUUAAAUUUUAUCCACCUUAAACGUUCCAAUUAUUUUUCAAUAUAAAUUAAACCCCAAUAAAUAAUUUAUUUUAUUUUAGUCUCCAUUUGACUUUGAUUUUGACGAGUCAAUCUUUGAAUUUUGACUAAACAAAAAUGGGUUGUGGCUCAUCAAUUCAAUGUUUACCAAAUUGCUCGAAAAAGUGAUGAGUGCCUACAUAAACGAUAUGCUCAUCAAAUCAUUUGUAGUGACUGACCACAUCAGGUACCCGGGUAGUCUUUCUAAGUCCUCAAAACGUAUAAUAUGAAACUCAAUAAUUAUAAAUGUUCAUUUGGUGACUCUUUUGAAAAAUUUGCAGGUUAAUAAGCAAGGGAUAGAAUUAAAUUCAGACCAAGUAUGAUCAAUCAUCAACAUCCUGUCUCCUAGACACAUCAAAGACAUUUAGAAGUUGACUAGACGAUUAGCUGCGAUCAACCAGUUUAUAUCAAAAUAUUAGAAGAAAAAUUGCAUUUUCUUUAACACAUUGCGAAAGAACGAAGAGUUCAUUUCGACUCCGAAUGUAAGAAAGCUCUACAAAAAUUAAAGAAUUAUUUGACAAGUCCACCGCUCCUAUCCAAGCCAAAAGACAGCGAGAUGCUCUACCUUUACUUAGCAAUAUCUUUGUCUGCAGAAAACGUCAUACUUGUCCAGGAGGAGGAUAGAAAGCAGCAUGUGGUGUGCUACAUUAGUAGAUUCUUGCUCAACUCUGAAUAUCGGUACAGAAGCUGAAAAAGCUUGCACUCGUCCUCGUAAUCAAGGGAAGGAAGCUAAGGCCCAUACUUCCAGCACACCUAUAACGGUGCUUUUGACCUUCCUAUAAAAGAUGAUCCUCCAUAAACCAGAAUUGUCGAGCCGACUAGUGAAAUGGCAGUAGAACUUAACGAAUAUGACUUGACUUACCAACUACGGUCCGCGGACCACUAUCAAAUCACAUGUGCUUGCUGACUUUAUUGUUGAUUUUUCAACCGACAAACAUGUCCUGUCCAAGAAAGAAAUUUUUGCAGUAACGGAGAGCUUAAUUUCGAAAGAAUUGACCUAGCGUUGGAUGGAUCAAGCAACUCUAAUGAAAGUGGACUGGGCAUAAUCUUAACCUCAUCCGAAGCCAACAUAAUCGAACGAGCAAUACAAUGCUGAUUCAAAGCAACGAAGCUGAAUAUGAAGCUCUAAUUGGGGAUCUAUCACUUGUAAAAGACACGGGUAUGAAGAAAAUCAAAUUGUCGAACGAUUGACAAAUAGUCACCCACCAAAUCUAAGGCAACUACUCAAAGAACAAAAAUGGCGACAUAUCUCAAAAUCGCAAAAGAGCUUCAGUCUUUCUUCCAGGAUUUUGACAUAAUCUAAAUCGUUAGAGAAGAUAAUAAUAAUCAUGCUAACGCACUUAGAAAUUGCAAUACUUUAUUAUACUAAUUGUAUCAUGUUUUAUAUUCUAACAAAAAAUUAUAUUUUAUUUUUCUUUUUGAAAUUUAUUAGAAAAUUAUGUUAAUCUUCAAAGUUCUAAUGUUAAAUUUAUAUAAUAAAUAAAAAAAAAUCAAUAAAACUAUUUGUACAUCCAAGAUUGACACCCCGGAUGACACUCCCCUUACAAGAGAGGGGGGUCCACACGUAAUAAAAUAAUUGUGAGCUCCCCUCUUGUGAAGGGAGUGUCAUCCGGGGUUAACACUUCGGAUGUACAAAUAGCAAAGUCCAAAAAAUAUAUAAUAAUCACUUACAAAACAUAUACAUGCACGUUGGAAAAAGGAAGGAUCGCUUAUAUAUUGAUAGGUGUGCAUGGCAUAUGGCUAAUUGUAAUUGGAACCUGAAUUUCAAGAAAGGAAAAAAAAAAUGAAUGGGGAUUCUAGUGCCACAAGUGAUAUAAUUUUAGAAAACUUCCCACAAUCGAAUUGUUAAUCAAAAAUGAAUAUUUCUACUCAAACAGGGGCCGUGACAGCCUUAAUAGGCGCCCCCUCCAAUAGGGGGACGCCCAUGUCACAGUAACAAGCCCCAUCAAAAAUAGCAUAGACAAUUGUAGAAGAGGUGAACUUGAGACAGAAGGUUAAUUGAAGGUUUAAUUCUGAUUUUCUUAUUUCUUUUUUAAUUUUAAAAGUUUCUUGAUUUGGCUACUUGUGCUUCUUUGGAAGUGAUAAUGACCUGCUAAAUUUCGUUUAUCUUCUUCUACGUUUCUGAUUAUUUUCUUCUACAUUUUGUGCCCAAGCCUUUAUUCUAUAACUAAUUUUCAAUGCUACAAAAGGGUGAGUAGCAUUUUAUGAACUCUUUGAACCUUUUUUAAGUACUUUUUUCCUCUUGAACAAUCUGGAUUAUGUUUUUGAAGUUUUAGAUGUAUACAAGUAUGGACGGAGACAAAAUAUUAUAAUAUAUUUUUAAAACUCUUACUUUCAAUAUUUAGUUGUCACCAUAUUUCUAAUUUUGUUGGUAACAAAUGAGGCAUCUUUGACAUUUUUAGUUCACUUCCCAUAAAUAAACGAUGAAGAUUGAUUCUAUUUUAUGAUUCAUAUUUUUUCUAGAUUAUUUUUGUUGACGCAUAAAAAUUCAGCCCAAAUCGAACAGCCCAAGGAGUGAAGCCUAAUUGGAUGAUCCCCAAAUCAAAUAGUCCAAAGAAUGAAGCCCAAUCGAACAAAUCAAGAUGAAGGCCCAAAUAAGGAGGCCCAAGAACGCGGUAACGCCAUCGCCCAAGUUUGCAAGUCGCCCAGAAUCUGAGCGAAUGGAGUGUCAUACAAUCGCCCAGAGCUGUUACUCUAUUCACGCCCAAACCUUCAAGUCGCCCAAGGUCUUAACAAACAUAAAGCGUAGUGGUUAUCAAGAAGUGCAGUUAUCAAAGCAGUUAUUAAAGCAGCCCUAUCACGUUCCACGAUUCAAGGAAUUCAAUCGAAAGCGGUUGAACGAUGAAGAGUAAUGGCAGCAGUUAAAAAAUACAGUUUUCAUGACAAGUUGGCCAUUACAAAGAAAGUGGGCAGUUAUAGGACGAUCAAGCAGUUUUUAGGACGGUUGAUCACAAAGAGAUCGUCCAUGAAGUAUAAAAGGGAGAAAGAACAUAGAAGCAAAGGACCGAAUCAAAAACUCUCGAACAGAGAACAUGUAAUUUUCAUUUCCUUAGCUUAGACUUAAACGCUUUUCUUCCAGUAACUCGUGUGCUUGCGCCCAUUGGAGGCACAUUGUUUUUAAUUUCCAAUUGUAAAAUCAUCGCCAAUAAAAGAACACCCCUUUUUGGGACUUUGUCUCAAGAGGUUUGUCCCUUACACAAUCGUCUGAUCAUUUUUAAUUGUUAGAGACUAACCCACGCGAAACAAUUUGGCACGCCCAGUGGGACAGUGGUGUUAGGUGUUGAAAGUACAAAAGGUGAAACAAUAUGCCUCAGAGAUCCGAUAAGGAAGUAGCAAGUCAGGGAGGAAUCCAGUCUGUGAUCGAGCGAUAUGAGGAGCAGCAUGCCUCUCCACGAACAGAUGGACAGAAUCAGAGCAGUAACGGUCGUUAUGAACCAAUGACAGAGUUGAGUCCUCGAACCAUGCGUACAUUACUUGGAGAACUUACGCAAGACGUCAUUAAACAGGUAAAUCUUCGAAUUAUUCAUAAUAUGGAAAGAUUUACGCAAAAUGGGAAUGUACACUAUGACAACAUGGCCAAACAAUUAAAGACGUUGAACGAAACAAUGAAUAAGUUAGUAGGCCAAAUCUGUCAACCGGCUAUACCUCUUACAAACCACUUUCAAACUAGGACAAUUGUGGGACAUAAUCCCUCGGUCCUAAAUCCGAAUCAAGGGGUAGAACCGCUUUCUGGUCCCUCUACUUCAAACCAAGGGGGUACUACAGUGCCAAAUCAGAACAAUGGUAGUGGUAUGCCUAACAUGGGGGGUAAUCCAAAUGUGAGAGAUAAUGUCCUAAACAAUGGACAGAAUAUUCCACGUGUUAAUGAGGGAAUAGAUGUUCGGGCUAAUGGUAAUGGCCCUAAUCAUGGUAAUUUUGUUGCCAAUCAAGGACCAAACAUUAGGCCUCAUGCAAAUCAACCGGUUAGCCAACCUGUAGGAAUACCAUAUGACCCCAACGUCAUGUUGAGGAACCAGAUUAUGGAAAUCGUACAGGAUCAGAUGGCUUUUGGGGUGCGUCCCGUCAUUAGGCCGACGUACAUAAAGCCAUAUCCUGAUUGGAUAGACCAAGCAUAUCCAUGGCCUAGAGGGUACAAAGUGCCAGAAUUCUCACUGUUUACCGGUUUAGGAGAGGUGUCUACUCUAGAACACAUAGGGCGAUUCACAUUGCAAAGUGGUGAUGUAACCGAUUACCAUAAAAUGAGACUUUUCCCUAGUUCGUUAACAGGAGUAGCUUUCUCCUGGUUCAUCAACUUGCCAGCGAACUCUGUUCAAAUAUGGCUACAAUUAGAACAGUUGUUUCACACUCAGUUUUAUAAAACUGAGUCUGAAGUUACUUUGGCUGAUUUGGCGAAUCUACGUCAAAUGCCAAACGAAUGGGCAGAAAGUUUUCUCCAAAGGUUCAAGACAGCAAGAAGCAAGUGUUUUGUACCUCUGGUCGAAAAAGAAUUUGUCAAAAUCGCUUAGGGCUGCUUGAGCUUUGAUUUAAAAAAGAAGUUCCAGGACAAGAAAUUUCCUGACCUUUUCCAGUUGAGUGCGAAUGUGAUUAGGUAUGAGCGAUUGAUAAGAGAGGAAGAACAAAUGAAAAAUUUCAGUAAAGGGACUUAUUACAAAGACCCAAAUUUUGACGUUCAUACCAUCGACGACGAGUCAUACGAUCAGGCCGAAAUGUGUUUGGCAGAAUUGGUCAAAGGAGAUACAUAUACUUGUCCUAUAAUAGCCAAGCCUAGACCAUCGGGCAAAGAUGAGCCCAUAAAAGAUGGAAACAUAAAGGCUAGAACGUUCUCGUUCGACGUAACCAAAGCUGACCUUAUAUUCGAUAAAUUAUAUAGGGAUAAGCAGAUAAAAUUGAGCGAUAAGCACAAAUUGCCAAACCCUGAACAAAUUAAGGGUAAAAAAUAUUGUAAGUGGCAUAAUGCAUGGUCACAUUUGACUAACCAUUGCUUGGUUUUCCGCCAUGUAUUGCAGGAUGCCAUUGAAUUAGGGCGAAUUACGUUCGAUGAUAAGAAAAAGAUGGCAGUGGACGAGAAUCCUUUCCCACAGCCACUUGGAGUAAACAUGGUAACAUCUGGAUUCAAAAACAAGUUGCCAAAAUUCAAGUUGGUCGUAAACGAUGGAGAAGAGGAUCCUAGACCACAUCCCAGCGUCUUUGAACGAAUCAAGAGGAAAGAACCAAAAAAGGACGAAGACGUCCUGUGUGCAAGGUGUAAAAGAGAAGUGAAUGGAAAUACGGAGAAACCAGGGAUAUGACAGCAUCCUCAUCACCCUACCUUCUUCCCAAACACUCAACUUGGUAGAGGGCGAGGUACAUCAUUCUUAGAGGACCGCCUUUUGAGAGGCAGUUCAGGCCAGUAGAUAAUGGAAGAACAUUCAGGCCGCAACCUCACCGGCCAAAUGUAUGGCAUUCAUUCUAGUACAAUGCAGGAAGAGCAAUACCCUUCGAUGAGAUGACUAGGACCCAACAAAGGCAUUUUCAACGAAACUACGGACGGAUGAUGAGGCAGCAACAGGGGAUGCCACAUCCUAAAGCGCCUAAACUACUUAAGGUAGCCAAUCAAAACUUCCUCAAAAAUAAUGAAGAGACCGGUACAGAUGAAUCAAUGAAGAAACUGCUAGAAACUUCUUCUGGGAGAUCAAGGUUUGAGCGAGACAGAAGGGAUGAAGAAGAUCUAGAUCAGCCCCUCACUAUCCAACUCGGUACGUUGCCUCCUGUCGUGGCCAAUAAUUACUUACUGGCCAAUGAAUUCAAGAACAAAGAAAAAGAAGAAGAGAGGGAGGACAACGAAGGAGAAGCCUGCGUGCUGGUAUGUGAAGAAGGCCAGACUUCUAGAGAGGCCUACAACGAUGAAGAGGACAACGGGAUGACAGACAUUGAAGAAGAAAUCGACCUAGAAGCAGAGAGAAGAAAAAGAAGAGUAUCGCGCAAUACUCUGUUAAAGCAACUACAUCGAGAGGGAGUUCACGAAGUAGACUUGUUGGGGGAACCAUCUGGGCGCCCUUUCGAUUUCUACGUACUGUACGGGACACCCAAAAGGAAGAAGAGAGUACCUCUCUCUGAAAAGUAUGGAUCACCUCCAAGAAUAAUGUCCCCUCCCACAGGUUAGGUAACUGAUGAGGAAGCAUUAGAAAGAAGUAGGAAGGAAGUUCAGGAGACAGAGGAUCAGCGCGAUGUACUGCACGUCGACUUAUCACAGGGGGAUAAUUCGACAGAAAACAAGCAGGAAGUAGAAAUAGAGGCUGCCAAAAAAGUUAUUUUUAAACGGCCAGCCAUGAAAUUGACUAAACACUUGAGGCCAUUAUACGUUAAAAAUCUAGUUAACGGCGUCCCAGUGGCAAAAGUGCUUGUCGACAAUGGAGCAGCUAUAAACACCAUUCCAUCUAGGAUGAUGAGGAAGUUCAUAAAGAUAGAGGGUGACAUGAUUCCUACAGAAGUCAUCCUCACUAGCUUCAAUGGAGGAGCGAUUUCAGCUAAGGGAGUUAUGCCAUUGGACAUAACUAUAGGGACGACUACUAGGACCACUGUCUUUUUUGUAAUAGAUGGUCCUACUAGUUACAAUGUGCUAUUAGGAAGAGAUUGGAUACACGGAAGUCGCUGUAUACCCUCAUCACUCCAUCAAUGCCUGAUCUUCUGGAAUGACAAAGGCGAAGCUGAGGUGGUACAGGCCGAUCAUAGGCCUUUUGUCGCAGAAGCAAACUCGGUGAAAAAGUUCAUGUACGAAGGAAACUAUGGACCUGUCAGGGUAGUACAAGACGGGGAAGAAACUCAGGUUGUCGCGCAAAGCGAAGAACCAUUCUCAGUGGACGCACUCACUGAGAUGUUUAAACAGAUGAGGCCAAAUAUAGUAGCCCUAGAAGAGCCAGUAAUUGGCAAAAGAAUAAUUAAGGAGUCUUGAAUGGACUUUAAGUUAUGAAAGCAAAUGGCCGACGUUCAGGACUUCAAAGCCAGACUGAUGGCUUUCAAUAAGGAAUGCAAUGACAAGGCGAAAGAAGAGACAGCCCUAAAAGCGCUGAAGGAUAAGUUGGCAGUAUUUGAGUUAGAGCAAAGCAUUGGCCGAGAAGUCAACAAGGUGGACUAUUUAGAAGAGAAAGUACUUACAAGGGAACUAAACGACGAAGUAAUGCGGAUCGCCAAACCUGGAUACGCUCAAGCACAAGACCCUCUGAUCAAAGUAAAUAUUGGCAAUGAAGGAGAAGAUCGUCCAACAUUCAUCAGCCAAAUGCUCGACCAAGAGGUUAGUAACAAGUUAAUAGCUUUGCUAAAAGAGUACAAAGAUUGUUUUGUUUGGGAAUAUGAACAAAUGCCUAGUUUAGAUAGAGACUUGGUGGAACAUAGGUUACCAACUAAGCCUAACUUUAAAUCUCAUAGGCGGCCUCCUAGACGUUUUGCUCCCAAUGUACUCCCUGAAAUCAAGAAAGAGAUAGAGCAAUUAUUGAAAGCAGGUUUUAUUAGAACAGCCAGAUAUGUCGAAUGGUUGUCAAAUGUCGUGCCAGUACUAAAAAAGAAUGGUAAACUAAGGGUGUGUAUAGACUUUAAAAAUUUAAACAUAGCUACACCCAAAGAUGAGUAUCCAAUACCCACGGUGGAUUUUUUAGUAGAUUCAACUGCCGGACAUGUCAUGUAUUCUUUCAUGGAUGGGUAUUCAGGGUACAAUCAAAUUUAUAUAGCUGAAGAAGACAUACACAAAAUUACUUUUAGAUGCCCAGGGUCUCUAGGAUGUUUUGAAUGGGUGGUUAUGCCUUUCGGUCUAAAAAAUGCAAGGGCAACUUAUCAAAGGGCAAUGAAUUUAAUCUUUCAUGAUAUGAUAGGCAAGUUUGUUGAAGUGUAUGUGGAUGACAUAGUAGUCAAGUCCAUUAAAGAAGAAGACCAUUUCGAACAGUUAAGAUAUUCGUUUGAGCGAAUGAAGCAAUAUAAGCUAAAGUUGAAUCCCUUGAAGUGUGCAUUCAGUGUUAAUGCAGGGAAUUUUCUUGGUUUCUUAGUACACAAGAGAGGGAUUGAACUUGAUAAAAAUAAAGCGAAGGCGAUUUUAGAGGCCAAACCACCUAGCAACAAAAAAGAAUUGCAAAGGUUUCUAGGCCAAGUAAUUUUUUUAAGACGCUUUAUUUCUAACUGUGCAGGGCGAACUAAAGUCUUUUCGCCGCUUUUAAAGCUGAAAAAUCAGGACGAAUUCGUCUGGAAAGAAGAACAUCAAAAGGCUUUUGAAAGCCUGAAGACAUAUCUAUCAAGUCCACCAGUGUUGGUGUCACCAAUUCAAGGACGGCUAAUGAAAGUGUAUGUAUCGGCUGAAAAAGAAUCAAUAGCUGGAAUGGUCGCACAGGAAGACCAAUUUGGUGAAGAAAGGGCAAUUUACUACUUAAAUAGACGGUUAACGAAAUGUGAAUGUAAUUACUCUGCUAUCGAAAAAUUAUGUCUUACAUUGUAUUUCACAUGUACAAAAUUAAGAGCUUAUUUACGGCCCGUAACCGUUUAUUUUAUUUCUAAAGUAAAUUUAGUCAAGUAUAUGUUCUCGCGCCCUAUUUUACACCAAAGGGUAGGCCUUUGGACACUAGCUUUAUCAGAAUUCGAAAUACAAUAUAUACCUCAAAAGGCAGUCAAAAAGCAGGCUUUGGCUAACUUUCUAGCCGAUCAUCCAUGCCUUGAUAUGCUUGAAGAGAUCGAACUAGAAAUCAAUUCAUUCGAGUUAAAACCUUGGGUGUUGUAUUUCGAUGGGUCAAAAACUUCUAAAGGUGCAGGAGUAGGAAUAGUAUUGAUUAAUCCUUUAGGGAUUUGCUACAAGUUCGCAUUCACUUUAGAUAGAAUGUGCACCAACAAUCAAGCCGAAUAUGAAGCCUUAAUUGUAGGCCUAGAACUAAUGAUAGAUAUGGGAGUAAGAAGUGUGAUCGUUAGGGGCGAUUCUCAAUUGGUGAUCCAUCAAUUGAUCAGUGAUUUUAAAUGACAAAGUGAUUCCAUUAUAAGUCAAUACGAGAUCGCCUAAGAAUUAUUAGAAGAAUUCGAUCAAGUAGAACUCCAAUGCGUUAAUAGGAUAUAUAACGACGUGGCAAAUGAGUUAGCCCAAAUGGCAUCAAGGUACUCAAAGGUUUUGAAUUGGAAGUCUACUUGUGAGUAUGGAAUCAUAUUGCCCGUGACUUAAAGAAGGGCGAGAAAGAUUGAACUCCACUGCAUACAAGAUGGAGAUGCAAUGGAUUGGAGAACAGAGAUUAAAAGGUUCCUUAAAGAACCAAUGGAGGGAUUAGUAGGAAAAUGAAGCUGUGUUUGCUGAACUAUAUACUAAUAGAUGAAGAGUUGUUUAAGAAACGCUCUUAUGGUGUAUUAUAAAAGUGUGUAAGUUUGCAAAAAGUCAAGACGAUCAUGGCUGAGGUGCACGAAGGGAUAUGUGGAGCUCAUCAAGCUGGCCAAAGGAUGAGAUGGUUAAUUAUUAGGAAUGGAUAUUUUUGGCCAAAGAUGGGAGAACUAUGCCUUCAGUAUGCAAAGAGUUGCUUAGCAUGCCAAAAGCAUGGUCCAAUACAAAGGGCGCCAGCACGAGAAAUGGCACCUAUUAUUAAACCUUAGCCGUUCAAGGGUUGGGAGAUAGACCUGAUAGGGAAGAUUUAUCCCCCAUCGUCCAAGCAACAUACUUUUGUUAUAGUUGCAAUCGACUAUUUCACCAAAUGGGUAGAAGCAAUACCUUUGAAAGAGAUCACCCAAAAAAAUGUUAUAGAGUUUAUCCGUGAUCACAUUAUUUAUAGGUUUGGAAUUCCACAAACGAUAAUGGUAGAUCACGGAACAUCUUUGAAUGGGGAUCAAGUGAACAAAUUUUUGAGCGAGUUUGGGGUUAAAUUAGUAAACUCCACACCAUACUACGUUCAAUCCAAUGGACAAGCGGAAUCUUCUAAUAAGAUUCUAAAAAAUAUCAUUAGAAAGAUGAUAGAUAAAAAUGUCAGAAAUUGGCACGAAUGUCUGAAUAAGGCUUUAUGGGCUUAUAGGACAUCACCUCGGUCAAGUACCAAGAUUACUCCUUUCCAACUUGCUUAUGGACAGGAGGCUGUUUUGCCUAUGGAAAUCAACGUGCAAUCGAUCAGAGUGUGCUUACAGCAUAAGUUGAAUGAUGAUGAGUAUGCCGAAUCACUAGUUCAAAAUUUAUUGGGGUUAGACGAAUUAAAGUUGGACGUCUUAGAUAGAUUACAAGAGCAAAAAAAAAGAAUGACUAAGUUUUAUAAUAAAAAAGUCAUAGCCAAGUCGUUCAGCCUGGGUGAACUAGUUUGGAAGACGAUACUCCCUUUGGAUAGCAAAGAUCCCAAGUACGGGAAGUGGUCGCCCAAUUGAGAAGGACCAUACAAAAUAAAUAGUAUAUUGCCCAAUGGAGCGUAUCACUUGGAGGAUUUAGACGACACCAAGCACGUAAGAUUCAUUAAUGGUAAAUAUUUGAAAAAAUAUGUUCCUUCUUUAUGGGAAUGUGAACAGAUAAAAUCAUAAUCAAAUAUGGUGAACGAUUAAAGGAUAAAGAGGUCAGAGCGAAAUACGUUCAAGUGAAGUCCUUUAUUAUCAAACGUUCAUUACAAGAAUACAAAAAUACAAAUAAUGGUUGUUCUAGGAAAUAUAAUUAAAAGUAAGCUAAUCUCCCGGUUGAUCGCUGAGUAAGCCUCACGCCGCCUUCCUAAAUGCAUCACUGCAAUGGUGGGAUCGCCGAGUAAGAGGGUGUACUGGCCUCACCGCCUUCCUAAAUGCAUCGCUGCAAUGGUGGGAUCGCCGAGUAAGAGGGUGUACUGGCCUCACCACCUUCCUAAAUGCAUCGCUGCAAUGGCGAGCAAAGAGGCUGAGAAGCACUCCCAGCAAGCAAGCUGAGAAGCACUCUCAGCAAGCAAAGUGGCGCACAAGCAGCCCAAAAAUUGCCUUCUAUCAUUGACUCCUUGUAAAGGACAAAGAGACGAUGGGAAGAACUUUGAAGGUAAAAACUUCGCUGCUGGCCAGAAAAUAUUUCCUAUACCUCCCACACCAAAGGUGACAUCAAGGUAAAUUGUAAAAUGGACUGACUAAACUGUCCAUUUUUGGUCAGAUUGAUUGUCAGAAUGCCAAGCAAUGGCAGUAAAUUAGUUUCGAAGAAGAAAAUAAAGAUGAAGAUAGAAGAUGGAAAAUGCGAAGCAUUUAUAGGAGGUGGAGACGAAGAGACAGAAUAUGAACAGCUACAUUUCUGCCUAAUAAACGGAAUUAAAUAGCCCAAAAUCUUGGGAAAAGUGGUGGAAAUAUCAAAAGAAAAUGGACAAGAUUUUUUAGCACAAAGCAGUCAAAUGCUUAAAGAAUUGACGACUAAAAAACAAACGUCAAAUAAAUGCACAAAAAGUUAAUGUUCAUUAAUGAUGAACAAAGCUACAAGAGGAAAAAUCAAAUUACAAAAGAAAAAAGACAUCGUAUGUCUUAAUUACAGUCCACCCCAUACUGAACGAAUUCGUUCCCUAAGUUUUUUCCAAUCCUCGUUCUGCCGAGAGGAAGUGAUGUUCAAUUCAGCCACGACAUCAUCAUCAACUUCCAACUUCUUGUACUGCUCGACCAAGGACUUAGUUCGCUCAAUUCCUUGGGAGGCGUUGCACUUUUCAGCAGCCAUUCUCGCCCUGUAGUCGUCCAUUUUGGCUUGAAGUUCCUUCAUCUGAGCAUGCAAAUUAACCAUCAAAGAGUCUUCAACCAUGACUUCGGAAGAGAUUUCUUUCAACUCGUCCUCAGCCUUGUUAAUCUCCAUACGCAAAGACUCUUUCUCAGCAACGGCUUGAAGAUAUUGAGUACGUUUGGCCUUUAGUUCAGCAUUCUUGGCCAGCAAAGAAAGGACCUCGGAGUGAAUAACCUUCAACGUCGCUUUAAAAUCGGCAGAAAGAUUGAGCGACGGAAGCAUCAAUGCUUGCUCCAACUUUGCACUCAAGUGCUCAAGUUUAUCCUUGUGUCUGGUGGCACUGGCCCUUCCAAUAUCCAUAUCCAUGAAGGAUACGUACUCAAGUAUCGACUCCUUGAGGACCUUCAAAUCUUCCUCUGAAGAAGCAGCAGGAUGAUCAGAUGGAGCAGGGCAAGACGUCUGGAGUUGCCCCUAGGAAGCGAACAAGUCUUGGAUAGAACGCACAAUUUUGUCAGCAUCCUGCAAAGAAAAUUGCCAAUAUUAAAGAUCCUCACUACAACGAACAAGAUAGAAAUAGAAGUAAAGCAAAGACUACCUCAUCAACAAUCGUAGAAGAUGGCAUGUCCUCAGCCAAGCUUGCCGCCAACGACUCCUCCAUUCGUGAGGACUUCCCCUUAUCUGAGCGAGAAGAUGUUGCCACAACGGGCGGACUCAUAGGAGUAUUUGCAAAACUCAAGAGCAACAAAUCAGAAACCAACAGCACAAGCAAAGGUAAGACAUCAAAAGACUAAAUUACCUUCUGCUUCAAUGUUUGGGGGGUUGACACCCUGGUAAGAAGGUGGUUCAUCCAUGGGUUGUGAUGAGAACUCUGGGACUGAAGAUGUCUCUUUAAGCGUAGCCUCCUCAUCAACCGGUUUAGAUGAAGUAGCCUCAGCAGAGGAUGAUGGAGUAGGAGCUGUCGAUGCCAAAGCCUUUGAAGGAGAGGCUGAGCUUUUCUGAGAAGUGCAAAAGAUCAUCAGCACACAGAAAAGUUUCAAGUGUGGAAAAGUAUACUUGUGAGUAAACCAAUUUAAUUACCUUCCUCCUGACGAUAAGAGGGGCAUCAUCAUCAUCAACAUCAUCCUCCAGAAUGGGAGAUACUGAGGCUGGCCGUUUACGGCUUGGGGUACUCUUGGCCGUAGUAGGCUUGGCAGGGAGAGAAGAAGAUGGAUGAACAGACUGUUUAGUGCGAUGAGAAGGAGAAGGACUACGAAUGGACAAGGGAGUGACUAAAAUAGGAGGAGGGGAAGAAAUGCUCGGUUGGUCUAAUGAAUGAAAGGCACGAUUGGCGUCAAUCGCAAAUAAUCUGCGCUUCACUGACGGCCAGAGCUGUUCAAAAAGAGGGUGAAUUGCGUGGCUAGAAUUGAAAGGGGCUAAUGAAAAAUGGCUAGUUAAAAGAAGAAUACGAGCAUCUAUAGCCUCUGCCUCUGCCUUAGUAAUGGUAUAAAAACGGUCAACUAAGUUCCUUGAAUAGCAAGGAGGAACAGGCCAAGUUUGGCCAAAACCAAGCUGACGAGCAAAAAAUUGGGGAGCAUAAAUCUCUACCCUCGCUUUGGCAUUGGUCCCAGUUAGAAUAUCAUGAAAUAGCUCCCUCCCGCUUAAAAACUGGAUCCAAAUGAGCAGGGAGGUGCUCGCGCUAUCUAUAGUGGAAGGGGGAUGUACAUAGUUUGGAGUCAAAAAAGGAGAAAAAGGAAAAAAGGAAGGGAUUGAAUCCAAAGAAUAAAAGAAUGAAAAAAUGUCCCUUCUAGACAUAUUUACAGGAGCUAAGGGCUCCAUGGCUAGCCCAUAACAGCUAGCAGAGGAGCGAGAGAUGGAUGGAGCACCAAGCAAUGGAAAAUAGGAUCUCAACCACAGUUGAGUGAACCAAAGAGGUCCAUUACCAGUGGGAGAUGCACCAUUCUUCAAUUGAGCUUGAAGAGAGGCCAUGCUUCUAUAAAGGGCAGCCAAAAACAAAGAACAUAAAUUCAAAGGCCUGCCACGCGCCAAUUCGUGCGCUAUAGGUAAAUAACUCAGGGAGGGCUUUAUGCUUGGCACGCACAAAACAUAUUUACAAAGCCAAACUAAAAGGAAGGCCACUCGCUCAGUAUGGGAAGGCUCAGCGCUCGAAUGAUUGUGAAGGGUUUGCAGGCUUGAAUAAGAAUCGGUGUAGUUUUUACCAAACUUUGGAGCGCCACCAGAAACCAAGAUACUAGGAAAAAUGGUAUCGCCCAAAGGUGGUAGAUUCACUAGGGCCCCAACAUCCCUUAAGGUAAUAGACAUGGGGCCAAGAGGGAAAAUAAAGGUAUUAUACUCAGGAGACCAAAAACUCAAAGCAAUCGAAAAGAGUGCUGAAUCAAAAGUAGGGGGACGAAUAGAGAUUUCUAACAAAUCAGAAAUCCUAGCGCUAUCAAAAAGUGCCUUAGUAGGACCAUGACCCACAUGGCGAGCAUGCCACCUACGAAAAGCUACAUCAGAUUUAGGCCAAGUGCGAAUACCUCUUUCGCGAAGUGGCCCCAGCGGCAGAGAGUUUAGAAAAGGAGGGCCAUGAGUGUAAGGAAACAGCUGACCCGCCGCCGCCUGUUCAACUGCCUCUGCAUUGUUGAAAAAAGGACCCAAGUAGAACUCAUUACGUUCGACAUCGACGGGCGCGAGAAAACUUGGAGUUAUGUAUGGGCGACUCAGAAGUUUUUGAAAGUCAUCAAAACUAAAGGAGUCGCCAGCUUGAGAUUGUGAAGCAGCCAUUUGAAAAGGAACGAAGUUUUUCAGGGUUACGUAGCAGGGAAGCAAGAGAUGAACAGUAAAUCGUGAGAGAGACGCAAAAAAUUUGAGGCGUGGUUUAAUAGUGCAGUGAAAUGGCGUGUUUGAGGUUUAUAAGGGUUUGCAAAACGACGCACCUUUUCAAGUUAUAGAAGAAAACAAUGAUUGAAAUUCUUGAGAAUUUCGAAUGUUGCUGGAAACACAAAGUGAAUAUGGCAAAAUUUAUUAAUUAUUAUUAAUUCUGCCAUAUUGGGGGGUAAUUGUUAACACAUAAAAAUUCAGCCCAAGGAGUGAAGCCCAAUUGGAGGAUCCCCAAAUUAGAUAGCCCAAAGAACGAAGCCCAAUCGAACAAAUCAAGAUGAAAGCCCAAAUAAGGAGGCCCAAGAACGCGGUAACGCCAUCGCCCAAGUUUGCAAGUCGCCCAAAAUCUGAGCGAAUGGAGUGCCAUACAGUCGCCCAGAGCUGUUACUCUAUUCUCGCCCAAACCUUCAAGUCGCCCAAGGUCUUAACAAACAUAAAGCGUUGUGGUUGUCAAGAAGUGCAGUUAUCAAAGCAGUUAUUAAAGCAGCCCUAUCACGUUCCACGAUUCAAGGAAUUCAAUCGAAAGCAGUUGAAUGAUGAAGAGUAAUGGCAGCAGUUAAAGAAGACAGUUUUCAUGACAAGUUGGCCAUUACACAGAAAGUGGGCAAUUAUAGGACGAUCAAGCAGUUUUUAGGGUGGUUGAUCACAAAGAGAUUGUCCAUGAAGUAUAAAAGGGAGAAAGAACAUAGAAGUAAAGGACCGAAUCAAAAACUCUCGAACAGAGAACAUGUAAUUUUCAUUUCCUUAGCUUAGACUUAAACAUUUUUCUUUCAGUAACUCGUGUGCUUGCGCCCCUUGGAGGCACAUUGUUUUUAAUUUCCAAUUGUAAAAUCAUCGCCAAUAAAAGAACACCCAUUUUUGGGACUUUGUCUCAAGAGGUUUGUCCCUUACACAAUCGCUGAUCCUUUUUAAUUGUUAGCGACUAACCCGCGCGAAAUAAUUUUUUGUAGAUAUGAUUCUAUUAAUUUUUAUUCAACUAUUACGAGUUUCUCAUAUCUUUUUAAAUAUGACAUCUAGUUACGACGUCAUUUUGAUCUAUCUUCUUUAUUCUAAAAUGCUCAAAACAAAUUCUCUACUAUAUUUCUGAAGUCUUUUGCAAGUCUCUUCAAUGUUCUACAAAAUAUAUAUGUCGAGCACAUAUAUUGUUAGCUAGUUUUAAACUUUGACUCAUUUGCAUCUCAUGCACAUGGACGUCCCUCGCUUAGUCCUAAUUUAUUCUUAACAAGCGUUGACUGCAUUUAUAGGUUUUUAGUUAUGUCAAAAUCAGAGUAUAACACACUUAUUCCAUAUUCAAAACUGUAAAUACUCUUGAAUAUCUCUAACCCUUAUAGUAUAUCUUGAAAGAAAAAGUUUGAGAAAUAUAAUGUUACAAUGUUGAUUGAUUGGAAGGCACAGUUCUUUAAAUUAAAAAAAAAAUAAAAAUAGGCUACAUAUACGAGACAACAAUUUAUAUUACCUUUUAAAUUAAUUUUUUCAAUUUAAAUGUAACCAAACAGUUAUUAUCAUAAACAAAUACACCAGUUCACAAAUUAUUUAAAUACUAAUGUCUAUGGAAAAUUACGAUAGUUUAUUUUCAUAAAUAUUCAACAAUUACAUAUCAAAUUUAAAUAAUUAAAUAUUUAACAAUUUACUUUUUUAUGAAAUUAACAUAAAGAUUGAAUGAGAGAAUAUGGAUAGAAUUGAUCAGAAAUUUUUAAAUUAAGGAUGAAAUUACAGACUUGUGCAAAAUUGAUGAAGAUUGGUCACCUAAUUUUAACUUGUUCACAUCCAUAUAUUUCCUCUUCCUAGUUCUUGUCGUGGAAUAGAGAGGACAAAAUCCCGUUCAACCCACUACUCGCCGCCUCACCCGAGUGGUGUGGGGAUUACCUGCCUAAUUCAGUAAACGUGUGGGGGGCGGAAUGGGGUUUGUUGCCUCAAAGAACGUAUGAAAAACAUGAUCGCCCCGCUACCCAUCACGUUUAACGUUAAUUUUAAAUAUAAAUUUUAUCAAACAAAAAGAAGAAAUUUAUCAUUAUUUUUAAAGAGAACAUGAGUUGUUCUUAACAAAUUUAAAAAAUAAUAAUUAUAUUCACUGACUAAAGAUAUAAAAAAGUAAAAACAAAAAAAAUAAAAUAAAUGGGACAAUAAACCCCCGCCUCGUCCCAAUCUCGCUCUGAACCCAACUCGUCUUGUUUUAAUUGGAUAUAGAAGCAGGGCAAUUAUAAUAAAAAUACCCAAUGCAAUUGGGGGACAGAAAUAGCUGACCCGCCCCCACAACCAUCGCUACUAUGGAGAGUGGUGUUCUCUUGCAUCAAAUCUGUGGUGUUACUAUCUCAUCUUCAAUAUUUUAUUUUUCUACAAAUCUCAGCUUUUCAAAAUCCACCCCCUCCCCCCGGGUCAAAACUCUAGUCUCUGAGUGGAAACUUUGUACAAAGUUUAGUUAACAUUUGGAUAAUUCACUCUUAUAUUUCAUUUUUUAUUACCUACGCUGGUCCUUCUUUUUUUUUUUUUUUCAAAUAAAUAGAUGUUAAAAUAUGUUGUUCGGAUUUACAUAAUUGUGGUCAAUUUACUCAUAAUGUUUAUGAUAAAGCAUAUUUUGGUUAAUUUGGAAUACAACUUGUGCAUGAUAUUAGAUGUCGAAUCAUAUUGAAAUGGAUAUUUAUAAGGAAAAAUUUGAUAAAUCCUAUCAUUAAUGUUAAAUUUUGAGAAAUGAGAAGCAUUUCACGAAAAUCAGGUCACUCUAAAAUAAUUAAAAAUAUAUUAUUUAAAAUAUUGUGAACCAAUGUGGUAGGUUCCCUCUAUUAGAAGAUUCUUAAAAAAAAAAAAAAAAACCGAUGACAUUAUCAAAAUAAAAUUCUGCAAAUUCUGGAAUGAUAUUUAGUUAAAAGAAACAUUAAAGGUAUGUUAUGACUUGGGACAUAUGACUCCUACUAUGUGAUCUUGGAUGACUAUUAACAAAAAGCAAUUAUAUGACUUAUUAUGUAUCUUAUUAUUACAGUCCAUACAUAUGGAAUGAGUUGACAUGAGAUGUAACAAACAAUUGUGACUUUGACUUUGACUACUUCUAUUUGAUAAAAUUACGACAACAUCGUGUGACGGUUGUUCAUGUAGAAAUGGUUGUCAAAUGCAACAACUAUGACAUUUGAUGGGAUAUUUAGCAACAUGUAUUUAUAGCUCAUAUGAGUCGUAACCAUUUAAAGUUGUGAUAUUGAAUUUAUUGACCUUCUAAUUAUGUUAGUGAAGAAAUAAUGACUAUUUUAUAGUACAAAUCAGGUGAUUGAUCCACUUGCACUCUAUAUAUUGCAAUAAAAAAGAGACCAUACCGUUAAAAUUAUCUUAAUUUUGGGAACAAUAUUAGAAACGUAAAAAAAUAAAUAAAUUAUACACGAAAAUUCUGAAAUUUUUGAAUUAAUUAAAUUAAUGAAUGUGAUUUAACAAUUUUUUUUUAUUAAUAACUUAAUUUGUCAAAAGUAAAAGCUUUUUUUAUUUUUUUUUAUGGGAAAAUUUCAUAACUAAGAAAUUAAUUAUGGCACAUUUCACAAAACAAGAAAACAAGUUUCAAAUUUCUAAAAUCAGAUUUUUAUUAAAAAUUAUUUAUAAUUUAAUUAGUUAAUUAAUUAUUUUAUUAACUAAAUAUAUUUAGGUCACGGAUCUAUACAAUUUGAUCACUAAUUAACAAUAUAAUUAGUUACUUAUUAUUUUUUGGUCACAAAUCAAAAAUUUUAUGUCACAAAUUUUUUUACAAUCACAAUUCAAAAAUUUUGUAAGUCACAAUUUGUUUAUUGGUCACAAAUCCAAAAAUAAUUAGUUACGGAUUAAUUUUUAGUCACGACUUAUCAUAUUAUUGGUCACAACUUAUUUUUCGGUCACAAACACAAAUUUUAUAGGUCACAUAUUAUUUUUCGAUCACGAAUCAAAAAUUUUAUAGGUCACAGAUUAAUUUUUCGGUCACAACUCAAUAAAUUAUAAGUCACAAAUACAAAUUUUAUAGGUCACAUAUUAUUUUUCGAUCACGAAUCAAAAAUUUUAUAGGUCACAGAUUAAUUUUUCAGUCACAACUCAAUAAAUUAUAAGUCACAAACACAAUUUUUAGGUCACGUAUUAUUUAUGAAAUAAAAAAAUGGAAAAAUUAAUUUGUAAGAGUUUAUUUAUAGCCUACUUCAAAAUUAAGAGAAGAAGGUUUGCAAUUUCAAGUUUCAGAUACUAUUAAAAUUUAUUAAUGAAAUAAUUGAUUAAAAAUUUAUAUAUUUGGUCACAACUUAUCAAGUUAAUUGGUCACAAAUUAUUUAUAAGUCACAAAUUCAAAAUUCUACAGGUCACAAAUUAUUGGUCGGUCACAGAUCAAAAAUUUCAUAGGUCACAAUUCAUUGAUCGGUCACAAAUCAAAAUUUUUAUUGGUCACAACUCAUUUGUCGGUCACAAAUCAAAAAUUUCAUAGGUCAUAAUUCAUUGAUUGGUCACAGAAUCAAAUUUUUUAUUGGCCACAUUUAAUUUGUUAGUCACUAAUCAAAAAUUUUAUAGGUCACAAUUCAUUGAUCGUUCACAAAAUCAAAUUUUUUACGGUCACAAAUCAAAAAUUUCAUAAGUCACAAUUUAUUGAUUGAUUACAAAAUCAAAAUUUUUAUUGGUCACAACUUAAUAAAUUAUAGUCACAAUUGCAUUUUUUAGGUUACAUGUUAUUAUUAGACACAAAUUACUGGUCACAAACACCCCCUACAUCCCAUCUACCCCGACCACCACCCCCCAUGACAACCGUCACAGUAACCACACCACCACCACACGCCAAACUCUGAAACCAACAACCUCCACUGUCGCCAAAAACCACCACAACCACCGCCACCAAACACACUAACAAUGUUCAAUUCACAACCUCACCAACACCACCCAAGCGUAAUUUUUCAGCUAGUUCCACCCACCAGAACCAUCACCACCUCAACACAUCGCAGAACACCAACGUGCCACAAUCACCACGACCACCAUCGUUGAUCAUCACCGCCAACGCCAAAAUAUGUAAGCAGCCACCACCACCACCACCACCCAAAUAUCACCUAAAAAUACCAUAGAUAACAACUCAAUCCAAAGCCAUUCCCACCUCCACCACUACAGUGAACAUCACCACCACCGUAGCUACUACCACCACCAUAUGAUCGUAGCCACCACCACAACCCACGACACAGCAAUAAACACCGUAGCCACUACCACCACCAUAUGAUCGUAGCCACCACCACAACCCACGACACAGCAAUAAACCACGGUCUCAUCUCAAAAGAUCUCCUUCUCUUCUUGUAGAUCUUACAGAUAUGCUUCAUGAAUCACGAGGUACAUCACGGCACCACCACCACCACUUCAUCAUCACGACAAACCAGCUAUAGAACUCUACAAAUUCACCACACCGCAACAACAAAUCCACCACGGCACCAUAGCCAUUACAACUGUCACAGUCGAUCCAUAGCUAUAACCAUCGGUGACGGCGACAGAUCGCUGUGAUGCAUGGUGGUGCAUUCCAGAUCGCUGCCGAAGUAGAUGAGCCAAUAGAUCUCUGCUAGUCGCUGAUGGGAACGCCGUGCCGCGCCUCAACUCCACCGAUUAGAAGGGUGGUCGCGCCUCCGAUGCCGAAAUUGUGCUUCCGGGAAAGGUUGAGAGAGAGAAGGAGACGGCGAUUUUCUUUUUAAUCAGGGAGGCGACGGGUGUUUUAGGGUAGAAUGGAGAAAUGUGAGAGAGAGAGAGUUAGGGUUUGUGAGUAAUGAUAUUUAUUUUAUAGAAAUAUUAAUUAAAAUAAAAUUUUUGAUUUUUGAAAUAUUAAACUUUCCCCCUGAUUUUAGAAUUUAAGAUUUUAAUGAUAUGAUUUUGUGUAAUUUCCACUUUUUUUAUUACUCGCUUGCUUGAGGCCCAUCUGAAAAAAAGCCCAAAUUAAAGGCAGAGAUAUCCAACUCUUACCCAGCCUGUUUACAGUUUAUGUAUAGAGCAAAGGGGACGAUCGGAUCUCUUCCUCGGUUUACGCUAAAAUUCGGGAACAAUUCAUCGCCCCUGGGCACCAAUUUAUCUCGUGGUGCUGUGCUUUCUACUCAACUUCUGCAUCACCAAACUUGGGAGGUAGUAUCGGAUUUUAUUAGUGUAAAAAUGGCUUUAUAUGAUGAAAUCGCAUUCUAUUUGAAUGUUGUGUGAAUGAUUUAAUUUUAUCUCAACUCCUUAUAAUUUGUUCCAAAACUGUUGAUUCUUGAUGAUAAUUUUCCUCUAGCAACAUUGAUUUUUUCGACCACACUUCUCUUGAAUUUUUGAUGCGGUUGUUCACUGUUUUCUCCUAGCUUUGAAAACUUGCUGCCCCUCAAGUGUAAUACGUGAAAUACCCAGGACCAAAAUCCAGUGGGGGCAGUUAAUAUACCCCAGGUCCGGCUCCGGCCCUGUACACAUUUGAGUUAAAAUUCAUCAAAUAUGAAAAUUUUGUGUUUGUGCUCUUUGUUAUGAUGUGUAGGGUCAUACUAAAAACGGUAUGCCUAAUCAUUUUUCAUGACCAUUUACUUGUUUGGGCUUAAUUUUUCGUUAUUGAUGUUUGGUUUUUGAUAUUGCAUUAUUUAAUAUUGCUGAUGGGGAAAUUUUGAUGAGUCUACAUAUUAUUGGAGUGGUAGAAGCUUCUGGUAGUACUAUGGCUUGGAAUGUUACUUCACAUCUUAUUGAUUCGCGAACCCUCACAAAUGAAGCUGAAAUUAAAAGGAAAAGGGGGUUCUGAUUUUUUAUCUGAUGAUCUGUUUCUACAAAAUAUUAUGUGGUUUGACUGUCAUUCUAAUUGGUGUAAAGUUAUCUAACAAUUAAAAGUAUAAAAUAUAAAAAUGUUUACUUUUCUUGUGUACAACAAUUUUAUUGUGAGCUUGCUUGAUACUGUCUGUUACCAUUGAUGGAUGCUAUUUAUUCCCAUGAAAUGAAAAUAUUAAAUAUUAAAAUGUUAGAAUGAUAAGAACAAAAAAAGAAAAAAACUGAGAUGUGUUGAUAUAGGAAAAUGAGAUGUUGUAUUUAACAAGUGACAAAACUUUGUAUUUAGUUAGCCCCUAUUGGUUAAAAAUGGUUGCAAACUUCAUACAAUAUAGGCCCACUAUAGGAUUUUAGAAUAAAAAGUUACUUUCUUACGGAAUUAAAUGAAAGCCGACUUUGGGGUGAUAUGUUGUUUCUUUGGCAUGUUUGUGGAUCUCUAUUUCAAAAUAAUGGUAUAGACUGAACUAAGCACUUUGUCAGAAUGCUCUCCGGAAGACGAAAGCUGCCAACUUAUUAUCAAUAACUUGAGUCACCUUAAUUUGGGUAAAAAGCUGACUUUCCCUUGCCAUUCUGGUUGUUCAAGUAAAAACAAGGAGAAAACUUGUGGCUACCUAAAAAAUACGAUAAUUGGGCUGCUUUUGGGAUUGGAUGUGCAAACAUGGUAAACUUUUUGGUUUAUUCUUCUAUUUUGUGGCUUAGUCUGAUGAUUAUGCUCAUAUGUUGGUCAACACGUUACAGAAGUACAUUUGUUAGUGCCCAAACGGAAGAAGUUGUUUUAUGAAUUAAGCUCCUAGAUAUUACUGUAAGAUGCACAUAAUAGAUAGAUCCUGGAAGAUGUACAGCUGGAAGGGCCUAUUUCCCUGAUAGGAUUAUGAGGACUGUAUAAUCUGAUUCAAAUGCCAUGAUGGAAUAACAGGAAACUUUGGUUUCUACUAAUUGCAGGAUUUGGGAAUUAUUUUAAUCAAUAGUUGGUGUAGUCUUUUGCCUCUUGUUUGGUCCUCGACUUUGCAAUCUAGGUUUUCUUACAGCAUCUUUGGCUAAGCUUACAAAAAAAAAUAAAGUUAAUUUUUAAGGGAGUGUUUGAUAGAGAUUUUUAUGUAAAAAUACAUUUUAGAAUAGUAAAUUGAUGUGAACUGUGUGGUUGAAAAAUAAGGAAAAGUUUUUGAUUUACGUGUAAUAUUAUUUUAAUAAAGAAUGUGUGGUUGAAAAGAAAAAAGAGAAAAACGUAUUUUGAAAAAAAUAACUACCAUACGGGGCCUAAGUAACUUUUUGUCUUUAGAUAACUUACUUUUAAUAAAAAGUUAUUUUUUCUCAAAGUAAUACCUUAGUGUCAAAAUAAAUAAUUCAUUACCUUCUUUGAUCAAUAAAUUUUUUCUUUUUGAAAGAACUUAUUUACCUGUUAGAAAACCUUUUAAGCAUAGCCAAACUUGUAGCCUGCUAUACAUUUGAUGCUCUUGUAAUGGAUCUUUUGAUACGUGCAGUGUUCAAUCAUGAUUGAGAGUGGAAAUUUAAUCCUCAAAUCUCAUUAUGAGAUCCUCGAUGUGAAGGAAGAUGCUAGCUCUGACGAAAUUCGUACAUGCUACCGAACUGCCAUUCUGAGUUAUCAUCCAGAUAAAAUGCAAACGACAUCCCAAACAUCAAAUCCUGCAAACGAGUUGGGCGGAAGGUUUUUAGAGGUGCAGAGGGCUUGGGAAAUCCUCGGAGAUUCAAAAUCUCGUGCACUUUAUGAUAACGAGCUGCAAUCUUCGAGGCAAGAUUCUGCAACUGCUGAAGAUAUCAGAUUAGAGGAUCUGUCAAUCGAAGAGGUUGGUGAUAUUUUUGAGCUUUCGUACGGCUGCAGAUGUGGCGAUUACUUCCUAAUCGAUUCUUUGGAGUUGUCAGAUAUGGGAUAUCCACUGUUGAAAAAUGGGAGUAAAAUUGUUUUGCAAGCGCCUAGAUCUCCACCUGCAUCUGUUGUUCUUCCUUGUGGGUCAUGCUCGCUUAAAGUACGGUUAUUGAUUAAUUCUGAUAGUAAGCUUCAAACUGAGUUGAGUAAUUGAUAAUAGUUUUUCCAUUAAUCUGCAAUUUUGGUCUGAGCAAGUGAUUUAAGAUUAUCUAUAAUUUUGUGGAAUGUAACAGAGAAUUGGAAAAAUGACAGGUCAUUUUGAUUAAAAUUUGUAAUGUGUACUGAUUCAAUUGUUCAUGCAAUUGUUGUGGCCUGUGGUGCCAUUAUUUGAAUAGCAAAGGAUUUGAACUCGCAAGAGAUCUAUUGCAUAGUUUUUAUUAAGGUUAGACAAAACUCUCGAAUCAAAUGAGGCCGAAUUGGACCCGAUUCGAACUAAAUCGAAUCGAGCAGUUCUUCUUAAAUUAAAUAUUUGAAUGGGUGUUUGAAUCGAGAACCGACGGGUUCGAUUCGAUUUUCGGAUCUAGAUCAUGAAUUGAAGAAUUGAAUAAGAACUAAAUCUCUAUAAUUUUUUUAAUUUAUUUAUUUUAAAUAAGUCAAAUUAUUUUAUUUUUUUUUAAAUAAAUUUGUUAAUUAAUUAAUUUAGCUCAAAUCCAAAAAUAUGAUUUUCAUAUUUCUAAUUUUCAAUCUGAGUCCAACUUAAUCAAACUGUUCUAAGUUUUAUCCAAAUAUGUUAUUCUAUCGUAGUGUUAUUUUUACCGUUUUGGAGAAAUUGAAUUAAAGUUGGACAGCAGCUCUCUUAAUUAUUGUAAGCUUGCUAUCGUCCUCUUCCUGUGAUUAUAACAAUCAAAUCUAUGAAAAACUCACCAAAGAGAAAUGCAAAAGACAUAUAAGAUUGGAUUACGUUAUUUCGUAAGAGUUAAGAUUAAACAUGUCAUUAAUUGAAUUAAUUUAGUUUUAUAAAUAUUAAAAAAAUUAAUUAUAGUAUAGAACCUGGGAGCCGAAUCCGAACGGUUCCAUAAUUAACUUGGGAUCCGACGGUACUAUUUAUUAAAUACCUGAAAAUUUCAGGUUCGAUUCGGUUCUAAUGAGAAUCCAACUAAAUCGAACCAUGUCCACCCUUAAUUGUCGGCAGACCAUUUUAUCAUCUUGUAAUAUUAAGGAAGAAAAAAGUAGGUGAAUUCUUGUUGGUUGUGCUGUUUAAACCCAACAAAGCUGUGUGUAGAAAUGCCACAGGCAACACACAAUUGGGUGAGGGGAAGAGUGGGGGAUUUUUUUGGUAUCCUUUAUCACGACUUGGGAUUCACAAAUUAUGGGUAUCUGGUGGAAUUUUGUGAGUCCUUUUUUUGUACGAAUGACUUUCUUAGUUUAAACCAUACUAAACAUGCUACAGUGACAAAAAUAUCAAUUGCAGACCCUUGACAUUCUGUUCUCUGAAUAUCAUAAACAAAUCAAUAAAGAGAUCCCUAAACUAUAUCGAGUUUUGUUAAAAAAAUAAAAAAUAAAAAAAAAAUAAGGAAAAGAAAAAAUCAACAUAAAUAUUAGUGUGCCACAUUGCUUGGAGUUGUAUGACGCAUGUAGGGUUGAUAAAACCCAACUCAACCCAAUUGAUAAGUGUAUUUUUAUAUGCUUAUGUGGUUAUUAAAUGAAAGCAGCUAUUGUUAAUUUGAAUGAAUUAGAGCUUAAUUAUGUUUUAAGUAAAACUCGUGACAAAUUGGGUGAAUUGGAAGAAAGAAGCGAAAAAUGGACUGAAAAAGAAGAAUACGAAGUUCGUGAUAAAAUUGCAAAUAUCCAAUAAUUGAUUCAGACAAAAAAAAAAUGUAUAAUUGAAGAUUAUUAAGAGUCAAUUGAAUGUAAUUAGAAGUCAAAAAACAGUGAAAUUCAAUAAAAAAAUUCUAACAAAUCAAUUUUCAACUGUACAAGUAAUGUUCCUGAAAUUUAGUCGGAGAUUGAAACCCAUUUUGACAUAGUAGUCGCUCUAAUAGAAAAAUUGCUACUUUUUUUUAUUAGUUGUAGCCCUUCGAAUUAACUUUUUAACACAUUUUGAAUCUUCUUAAUCAAAUAUUGAAAUAGAAAGUUAUGACAAAAAAUUAACGACCGAGUAAAGAUAUAAUCAUGUUUGUGCGAAGACAACUUUCCUUAUUUAAUUGACACUCUUUUGGAACCCAAACUUAAACGUAUUUUUUUGACCUAAUUUCACCUUAUAUAAUAGAAUACAUGGACAACCAUUGAAGGAUCUCUCCCACCUCUCAAAUCACUUCCAUGUCAUAAAAUCAUUCAAGAACGAGAAUCAAAUUCAUCAUAAGUUGGAGAGGAGAACAAAUCUAACAUGUAGAUAAAUCAAGAAACAUCAAGAACUUGAAAAAUCAAAGCUUGGGGUUGAACACUAAGAAUAAAAAUUAGACCGUGACAUCUCUUUCUUAUAUUUAUAAAUUUAGGUGAUGUUUUUCUAUUCUUCUUCUUGUUUGAUCAUUUGACAUAUGUUUAGCUAGAUUCUUUGUAUUUGAUGAGGAUGAACCAUAUUAUUUAUUUAUUUUAAUUCAAACUAAUAGUUUAGUAAUUCUUGUUUUCUUGAUUAAUUUUAUAUUCUCAUUGCAUUAUAUAAUUAUUUUGCCAUCAAUUAGAUAAUUAGUUGUUUGUUGCAGUGUCAGAAGACUCACAAUAAGUUUAGAAUGUAAUAAAAUUAACAUAUGUGUAAUAGAUGUUAUGAAUAAUAUUUAUUUCAUGUGCAAUCAUGUAAAUAAUAUAUAGUUUAUGUAUUCUAAUGAUUCGAAUUUAGGUUAAGGAUAGACUUGGGUUGUGGUUAGAAUAGAUUUAUUUUGUCUUAGAAAAGAAAGUUAAAUAUAUUAAUUUUAUUGAACGUUAAGAACAUAUGAAUGGAACUAGAUUACAAAUUAAGACUUAAAAUAGGUAACAAUAGAUGAAUUCGAAAUUCAAUAACAGCUUUCUUAGGUUAAUAUAGACUAAUCAACAUUAAAAACUCUUUCGUUUACACACUUCAGAUUACAUAUAAAUUAGUAAAUUUGAAUUAAAAUUUAUUACUUGUGGGACGUAAGCUCUCAAUUCACUCAAAUCGAUUACUUAUCCAUGAUCUCGUAUGCUUGCGGGAUUUAGUGAUCGAGUUUUUGGCGUCGUUGUCGGGAAUAAAGUAUUUAAUUUUAGUUUAUUAGUUUAUUUAGGAUUUGACUAUUAUUAUUAUUAUUAUUAUUAUUAUUAUUAUUAUUAUUAUUAUUAUUAUUAUUAUUAUUAUUAGUUUUUUUAAAUUUAGGCUUCUCACCAUAUCUCUCUUUUGUUUGGUUUUCUACCAAGUACUAUUCAAUAGCACAUGGAUGAUUCUUACAUUAACAAGAGAGCAAACCAUUUGCAAUAAUUAAUCUCAACGUGGAUGAUGAAGAUAUGCUUGUAGAAGACAUAUAUUGUUAAUUUUGUUACGGGUUGCAUUAUACUGGGCACGGCUUAUAAAGACGCACUGUUGAACCCCUAAGGUUCAAGCUUCUACAAUUUCAACAAUAUUUAAGUUAUCAAAAAUGAGCAAUUGAGAAAUUUAAUGAAAACUACAUACCGGCAAUCGAUUAUGUAUCAUUAGACAUGCUUGUGGGAGUUGGUUCCUUUCAUGUUGAAUGAAGAGAUAUUUGUAAAAUAUUAUAAUGAACUUGCUAAGUCAGAUGAAAACAAAUGCAUAUGGAGAUGGCAUAUCUUGGGACAAAUUUAAAUGAUGGGGAUAUAAUCCACUUGAAAAGAUUGAAAGGAAAUAAGUGACAUUGCCAAUGAAUUUAGAUAGUGAACCGACCAUUUAACUCGAAGAAAUAUCAAUUAUUGAAGAAGAGCAUAAAGACGAUGACAAACUAAUUAUAAAGGAACCAAGCAAAAAUGUGACAAUUAAUGAUGAUGAAAUUUACUCAUAUUCUUUUGACUUCAUCGAUUGUCCAACAAUUGAAUUUAUGAUUAAGUCAAAGAAGGAAGAAGUCUACAUAAUUAGCUUGGAAUAAGAUGGAAUAAACGAAUCAUAUCACAUAGAAUGAGGUAAUGUUAAGGUUUGAAAAAUUAACGAAAGUGGACCAAAGUCAAAAGAAACAAAUUAAGCAUGGCAUCAAAAGCUUUCUCCAGAAUUUCAUGGUGCAGAACAUGAAAGUCAAGCUAAUGACUAUAAAUAAGCACUUAUUGGAAUGCAAUUCAAUUUCUUCUCUUUUAUUUAUUUUUACUUUCUAAAAUAUAGGAUUAGUAAAUUUCAUUUUUUUAGUAGUUUUGUAUAUUUUAUUGCUUUUAGUAAUUUAGAGUAUCCUUAUUUUCAUAUUUUCCUUUAAGAAGCUUUAGAGCUUGUUUAACUAUGCUCCAUGGUAUAAUUGAAUUUUAUUUAUUUAUUUAUUUAUCUUGAAGAAACAACAUGACAUCUAAGUACAUUGGAUAAGGUAAAAUACAUAACAAGUGAUCCAACACUCUUAUGCCAGUCUAUCUACCACCUUCAGAUAUAUAUAUCAGGGGAAUACUUAGUUCUCUUAUUUAUCCUUAGUUUUUCUAUAUUACUUGUUAUAUUUUUAGACAUUAAGGGCAAUAUCUAUUAUAAAUUUGGGGAUUAAAAAAUAUCUAGUUUUUAUCUAUUUUUACUAUUUGGUACUUGCAAAAAAACUUCAAAAAUUAAAAAAAAAAAAUUAUCUUCAGUUUUAUUUUUGCUUUUAUAUACUUUUGUUGAUUAUAUAAAUUCGUCUACUAUGAUGCAUAUAUUUGGAACCAUCUGUAAGGUUAUAAAUAGUGAAAAAGUUGCAUGAUAGGUUGAUUUAUGCUUAUUAAUGUAAAAUUUGACAUUUUUGCACACAAGAUUAUUGUUUUGCAUCAUUAAGGAUUAAUUUGAUUCAAAUUUUGAAUAGUUUGAAAUAAAUUUAGUGGACCAUAGAUGCUAAAACUAGAUAAACACUAAAUUGUACAUCCUUAAACCUAUUUUCAUAUAAUUUGGGGGCGACUGAACUGUUGUAGGGAGAUAUUGAGAUAAAUAUAGAUUAUAUGCAUAUUCUGUUAAUUGUUUAAUGCAAAUAAGAAAAAAAUUAAGUGUAAAUUUUUGUGUCAAUUUUUGAGAAUGAGUGUUUAGUUAGGGGCAUUGUACUGGACAUUGCAUGGGAAAAUAAUUUCAAAGAAGAAAGAAACUCACAUUAUUAAACUUCUUUUUAUAGCCUUCAUGACUUAAGUUUAUAAAGCUUAAUUGAGAUAAGUUUGAACAUAAAAUGAAAAUGAAAAUAGAAAUAAAAAGAGAAAAAGCAAGUAACAAAAGGUGUACUACAUGCGUUGAUUAAACUCCAAAUACUUGUUUUAGAGAAUUAGACAUUUGACAAAGGAUUAUUGGCCUAGUUGAUUUUUGGAGGUUGAAGUAACCAAAAAUAAAGAGAACUCUCAUUUGUUGAUGUGUUAGCUGCAAUUAGUAAGAUCUAACCAAAGUAAAGGGGAUAAUGAUUAGUAUAAAAAAUCCAACUUUAGAUCACACUAUAGGAAAAGAGUUUUAAAAAAAAAUUAGUUUGAAUGUGAACCUUAUGCGAGAAUGAAGUAAAUAUUUGACCAAUUAGGGCCGGGACAUAAGUCACCUAAUGAGAACUUGUUUGAGCCCCAUUUUGAGGGGAAAGAAUGCAUUUUUAAAUAGUGAUUGAUGGAGAAUGUGUAGUUAAAAAUUAAGGAAAAGUUUUGGGUUGUGUAUAAUAUUAUUUUAUUGAAAAAUAUAUGGUUGAAAAUGGAUUUUAAAAUUUUUUUUUUUUAAAAGAAUGAGGCUCAAACAAGGGCUGGAUUUAUGAUGUUUAACAUGAAUUUUCACACACGGGCGUCGAUUUUGCAUUAGAUAAGUAGAAAUUAAUUUUAACAUUGUGAUUUUGAAGUAGCUCAUAACGUUAACACAUAAAUUUCAAUCCUAAGACCAAUGACAAAUUAUCUAAUCAUGUUUGUUUAAAAAAGUUUUGGUUAAGUUAAGCUAUAUUUUGUUAGAGGCUAAAUAAUUGUUCAAGUUUGGAGGUAUUUGAUAAGUUCAUUUCUAUAUACUUAUUUGGUUAUUAAAUGAGAGCCAUUAUUGUUAAUUUGAAUGAAUUAGCGCUUAUUUAUAUUUUAAUUUUAUUUGUUAGGUAAAAAUCGAGAUAAAUUGGGUGAAUUAGAAGAAAGAAAUGAAAAAUGGGUGAAAAAAAUGAAAUAUAAAGUUAGGGAUCAAAUUGUAAAUAUCUAAUAGUUGAUUUGAACCACAAAAUGAUAAUUGAAGAUUACAAGGAGCCAAUUGUAUGCAAUUAGAAGUCAAAAAGGAGUGAAUUACAAUCAAAGGAUUCUUACAAAUCAAUUUUCAUCCGUACAACUUAUAUUCCAGAUUUUUAGUCGGAGAUGGAGACCCAUUUUAAUUUAGUAAUCGUUCUAAUAGAAGAAUGGCUACUUAUUCAUUAAUUGUAACACUUUGAGUUAGCAUUCUAAUCAUUUUGAAUAAAUUCAAUCGAGUAUUAGGAGAGAAAUUUAUGACCAAAUUAUUGAUGAGUGUGCAAAGAGAUAAUCAUGCACGUGUGAAGGUAUCUUUUCUUAUUUGAUUGAAACAUUUUAGGAACCUAACUUGAACGCAUUUUUUAAGCUAAUUUUGCCUUAUCUCUAUCUAAUAUAAUCAUCCAUGGAAGAUCUCUAUCUCACCUCUCAAAUCACUUCCAUAGCAUAAAAUCAUUCAAGAACGAGGGAAAAAUUCAUCAUAAUUUGGUGGGGAGAACAAAUCUAGCACAUGGACCGAAUAAAAAAUAAAUCAAGAACUUGAAUAAUCAAAGCUUGAGGUUGAGAAACAAGAUCAAGAAUUAGACCGUGCAUCUCUUUCUUAUAUUUAUAAAUUUCGAGUGAUAUUCUUCUUGUUGUUUUAUCAUUAGAAACAUGUUUAACUAGAAAUUCUUUGUAUUGGAUGAAGAUAAAUUCUUUUUUUUAAUUAUUUUAAUUUAAACUAGUAGUUUAUUAAUUUUCCUUUUCUUGAUUAAUUUUACAUUCUCAUUGCAUUAUUUAAUUAUUUUGCCAUCAAUUAUAUAAUUAGUUGCUUAUUGUAUAGUUAGAAGACUCACAAUAAGUUUAAAACGCUACAAAUUAAUAUGUGCACAAUAGAUGUUAGGAUUAAUAUUUAUCACUUAUGCAAUCAAGUAGAUAACCUAAAAUUUAAUGCAUUCUAGUCAAUCGAAUUUAAGCUAGGAAUAGACUUAUAUGUGAUUAGAAUAAAUUUAAUUUGUCUUGAAAAAUGAAGUUAAAUAAUUAGCUUUAUUGAUUGUCAAAAAAGCAUGAAAUGAAUUAUAUUACAAAUCAAGAAUUGAAAUAGAUAAUAAUAGGCGGAUUCACAGUCUAUUAUAAUCAUCCAUAAUUUAAUAAAAACCAAAUUUUUAUGACUUAUUAGAUUUAGAAUAAUCAACACCAAAAACUCUUUUGUUUACAUAAUUCGAAUUCCAUAUAUAACUAGUGAACUUGAAUUGGUAUUAACUCACUCAAAUUUAUUACUUGUGAAUGAUCCCUUACACUUACUAGAUUUUAUCAAACACUGAUCAAUUAAAAAAUUAAUGCCUAAAAUAAAAAAAAAAUCCAAAUAGAUACAAUAGUGGAGAUAAGAGAAAGACUUAGAAUGUACAAACGUCCUUUAUUUACAUAGACUGAUUGACACUAUUUACAAAUGCAAAGUUAUUUGAUGGUGAACUAAAAUUAAAUAUGGAAUGAUGAAGUGAAUGAAUUCAAAAAUUGUUGUAAAAAAAGCUCCAUAAUUUCAAAUUUACACAUUAUUUUUUAAAAAGAAUUUCUUAUAUAGAUUAAAAACAAUAGAUGUUUUCAAGUGAUUUUAAACCGUAAAAAAUUGUCCAAAUUUAACAAAAAAUAAUAAUCAAAUCCAACUUGAAUUGAGCCCAAGCCCCAACCCUAAAAUUGAUUGGUUUGGGUUGGGUUGGAUUGAGUUUAAAACAACAAUUGGGUUGAGUUGGAUUGCGGGGGAGCACUUUAAAAAAUUACGUUUCUCACUUUUCUUUGUUUUCUUUGAACCUUAAAGAGUUACUUUGCAAACAUUUUUUUUCCUUCCUCCCAAUGGCAGAUCUAGGUAGUGGCGAGCUUGGGCGGCCGCCCUAGCUGGAUCCGCCAGAGUCUUUACUAGCCGCCGGGUGGAAGAUUGGAAGUUGCAGAGCCGCGACUGAACUGAAAAAGGGAGGAUCGGAGGAGGAAGAUGAAAUUUUGAAUUUGGGUCUUUUUUUUUAUUAUUUUAGUUUAGGCCUUUUUCUUUGGGCUGAUGAGUUGGGCCUCUUUGUUGGAAAAAAAAAAUUAGACCCAAUCCAUGGAUGAUGAUUGAUGGAAAUACACACAUAACUGCAACCACACCUCCAAAUCAGAGGUAAUAAUCGUAGCAAACCCUUCUGUAACUGCUCUCCUUCUCCCUGCUGUUGGCCGCAGAUGUUAUUACUUAUUUCGGUGGUCAAAACCUCAAUUGGUGGCAUUAGAAAUAGGACGCCUAUGUCCUGGUGAGAAACUUCUAAGUUCUAAUGGCUCAUUUUUUCGAUUUCCAUGUGUCUGCCUUGGAUUAAUGCAAAUUAUGCAAACCUGUAUACUUACUUUUUUGUUUAAUAUCUUUUUCAGGAAAUAAGAAUGGGAUACUCUUGCCUCACACAGAGUUCGCCUGAGUGCUGCUCACGCAUGUGACUUGUGAGCCCUCUCUUCUCUUUCACUUUUUUGUUUGUUUGUUUGUUUGUUUUGUUUUUGUUUUUUGUCCUUUUAAUUCAUUUUUUUAUUUAUCUUUUAUUUUUGAGCUAUGAAUCUAUGACUUGUGUUUUACUAGUUAUGAUUUAUGUUUUAUGAGUUAUGACUAUGAUUUGUGAUAAAUAAUUCAAGAUGAAAUCCCUACCUUCUAGUUCUAGUUCGUGUUAGGUUGUUGCUAGUUCAUUAGAUUUGGAAGAUUAUAAAUAAUUUGAACUUUGUUAAUAUAGCAAAUUAAUAAUACUUGUUAAUUAACUUUAAUUAUAAACUGAAUAUUGGCAUUUUGUUAAUAUAUUUUGCCUAUUUAAUUGAAAAAUAAAUUAAGGCAAUUUUGCAGAUUAUGGAACUAUUUUUUCAUUCGAAAUGAAAGUUUGUACAUAGUUUCAGUUCUAGUGGUGCAUCUAGUUCUAGUCCGUACGGUUUUUUGAAUACUAUUUAAUUAAAUAUUAAUAAACGAUUCACCUAUCAUGGAUGCUGACAGUUGACAGUUAACAUUCAACGUUUACGGUCCGUCCUAGCUGAACUAAGACCCUGGAUUCGCCCCUACUUCCUUCCACCUAUUUUUUCCUCCCUCCAUUUCAUAACUACGAAAGAAUAUCACUAACACUAUCAAUACAUAUAAAAAUUCUAGUCAAUGAAUUGUUGAUCAGUUAAUUGAUGUCGUUUCAAGUUUUUGUGUUCGUUCUAUAUAUGACAAAGUUGUCGAUAAUCCUUACAGUUCUCACAUGGCCCUGUUGAGAAGAAACGAAUUGCCACUUGCUAGGGAACUUUCUAAGGUAGCUAGGAUGCUGUGGCUGUUUCAAACUCGGAUCCAGCUUCCAUUCUUUUGGAACCUGCAUAGCCACAUUUACAAUGACACUCAGAUUCGACGUGAAAGGUUGGAAAUACGAUUAACGACGACCAAUUUUCUAAAAUCGAUUCAGGUCAGUCACCUUCUCGUGUCAAGGUUCAAAGGAUACAAUUGGAGUUUAACUAGAUAAUAUUCGUCACAUAGCAUGAGAUAUGUCAAGGCUCAAAUUGCUCCUUAACCCAAAGUUCUUAUUUUCAGUUAAAAAAAGCUGAAAAACUUCUAGGUUUCCUCCCAUCUCUUUAAUAUGGUUUUUAAGGUAUAACAAUACGUUACAGGUUAAUUCAUCGUUUUAUCUCUCGAACCAGUCAGGAUAGUCUGGUUAUCAAAACACUAAAGAAAACAAGAUGAGAAAAAUAGAAGAUCUUGAUAUUUUUUGCAAGUCACCUUUCAAACAUUAUUCACUUUUGUUCGUGAGAAACCUACAACCGUAUCGUUGACAAGUAAUAGAAUUAACAAGUUUAAAGUUACUGUCCCACAGGAAAUAAACUCAAUUGAAAUUUACCAAUUUUAUAUGGAAUUCGAAUUACAUAACACAAAAGAGAUUUUUAAAUUGAUAUUUGAUAAAUUAAUUUAUGAAAUAUUUAAAAGUUUGGUUUUUAUAAUUUAUGGAUGAUUGUAUUAAAUUUACGCUCUUCUAUUGUUAUCUAUUUCAAUUUUCAGUUAUGUAAUCUAGUCUUAUUAAUGCAUUUUUGACAGCCGAUAUAGUUAAUGUAUUUAACUUUUUUUUCAAGAUAAAUUAAUUCUAUUAUAGUCACGACUCGAAUCUAUUUCUAGUUUGAAUUUGAAGAAUGGAAUACAUUAAAUUUCAGAUUAUUUAUAUGAUUGCACACAUGAUAAACGUCAUUUUUAACAUCUAUUGUACAUAUGCUAAUUAUACUGCAAUCUAAACUUAUUGUGAAUCUCUCAAUACUACUACAAGUAACUGAUUAUCUAAUUGGUGGUCAAACAUUUAAAUAAUAUAAUAAGUGUACAAAAUUAAUCAAGAAAUGUAAGAAAUACUAAAUUACUAGUCAUGAAUUAAAAUAAAUAAACAAUAUGGUUCAUCUUUAUCCAAUACAAAAAUAGAUCUAACAUGGCAUGCUUUUAAAUAAAUUAUAAGAAGAAUAAUAGGAAAAUAUCACCCGGAUCAUGAAAAUAAUGCAAGAAAUCUUGAUCUUCAAUAUCAAGAUUGAGUUCUUCCAAAUCUUGAUGUAACUGGCUUCAAUUCCUUGCUAGGGUUUGCUCCCUUCUCUCAAAUAUAGCAAUUGACCACUUGUUCUUGAUAAAUUUUAAGAUAUUACUGUGUAUCUAGAAGCUAGAAAGAGUUCAUUUCCAUGUUUAGAUGUUGUUUUGUAUUUAUAGGAAUUGAAAAUUCGGGUUAAAAUCAUGUAUAAAUUCAAAUUAGGAAGAGUUUUAUGUCAAACAGAUUUUAUGUCAAGGAAUUUACAAGGUUUUUUCAAAUGAAUGAUUUAACUUGGGAGUAAUUAGUGGUUUUGCAAUGGAGUGUUUCAGCAAAGAACCUCGGAUGGAGAUGCGCUUCGGCCAGAGAGAUCAACCCUUUUCAUUGAUUUCUUCAUGUUGUCCUUGUUGACUUUUAGAUGUAUUGCCUCCACGCAACUUCGACUUGGCUUCCACUGGAAGCUUUGGAUACAAAGCGAAAUUUAAUAUUUAAUAUCUAUUCCAUAUGGAUUAAAAUCUCUAAAUCAAAGCAAACAAUUAAUUUUCAUCACAUAUUUCGUGGAUUCUACAAUGGAUAAAUAGCCAAAACCCCAUGUUUGAAACAUUUUUGUGCAAGCCCCACCGUCAUCAAGAAUUAUCAAAUUGAUCGUUAAAAACACUAAAAAAAUGUCAAAAUUAAAAAGGAAUAAAUGCAAUUUCAGUAUCUAAACUUUUAUUUUUUUUUACAAAUUAAAUCCAAAUUUUUUAUAUGUACCACCUACAAUCCAAAUAUUUAAAACUUUAUUUUCCACGCCACCCUCUUCAUCUUCUUCCCCAAAAUAUUCUUUUCUAGGUUUUCCUUCACCAAAAUCUAUGAUUUCAUUCCUAUUUACUAGUCGAUGCCACGUGCGUUGUACGAUUAUUGUAUUUAAUAUGUCUUUAUUAGCGUGAUGUAGAGAUUUUAGUUUUCUUGUCAUAAUCGUAACAUGCUUUUGAAGUUUGAAUUAAUUUUUUUUGGCAUGAAUUUUCUCUGACAAUUAGUAAAAAUUAGAUUUAAAAUUGUAGGGGAUAUAAGUAAAAGAUAAUUUAUAAUUUUAUGAGAGUCCUGCACGCGACCGUGCAGAGUCAGCACCAAUUCCAUGCGAGGAAGUCCCCGCACAGAUGCGGAUUUCCUGCACAAUUCGUGCGGAGUCCUCACACAGUUUGUGCGAGGACUCCACACCAAUUCCUUCGAGGAAGUCCCGCACAGUUUGUGCGGGCACUCCGCACCAAGAUUGCUACAAAAAGCCAUAUUUCACGAGUUCUAGGUGUUUGCAUUCUCAAAGUGAUUAAGAGAACUAAUAUCACCAAAAUUCAGCAAAAAUAAAAAUGAGAAUAUUUAUUUAUAUAAGCAAGGGAUGAAAAGUGGAAAUAACUUCCUAAAAAAUGAAAUGUACUGCAUUCAACAUUGAGAAAAAAACACGUAACAUGUAAUCAUAUUGUGCUGCUGGCUCAUUUUCAAUUAAUUACUACCAAAAAGUUUUGCAACGAGAAUUCUACAGUUAUAAAUAGAGAUUCAAAUGGCCUAUCCAAUCACCUUACUAUGCUCUGCUUAAACUUAUAGCUAAAAACUUAACAGAAACAAUUUGCAACUAUUAACUAAAAUAACAAAACCCCUUAUACUUAGAGCAAUUCAAUUAUUUUCACCAAACUUAUAUGCUUCACCUAAUCAUUCAUCGAUUUCUUGCUAAUUUCUUUAGUCCUACAUUUUCCUACUUCAGGUGCCAAACCAUGGCCUAAAAAAUUAAUCUAUACUUCUUUUUUUUUCCUCUCUAUAAUCUGUUGUUCUUAUGGCCAAAAAUUCAGUUUAAAAAGACUUAUACAAACUGAAAAUACACACAUUCUUAAUAUGCAUAAAGUAUGAAUAAACCCAUAUCAAGAGUCCCAACAAAAAAAAAAUUGAAAAUAAGUAAAAAGGCAGAUUUUUUCCCUAGUUGACUUUAAAAAAAAAAUUAAAAUUCAAGACUUCUUUUCUGCAGCACAUAUCAAAAGUCUAUUCACGGCAUCAUCGGAACAAUCAUCAACAAACAAAACCCAUACACCCAAAAUUAAUGAAAUGACGAAAACUCAAACAUCUAACACAUAAAUUUAGGGAUUAAGAUAAGAUAAGCCCAUACCUUCAAAAUUAUUAGUGUUAAAACCCAAAAAGUCCCCGCACAGUCUAUGCGGGGACUCCGCACCCAGAUUACUACAAGAAGCCAUACUUCACGAUUUCUGCCAAGAUUGCUAAUGCAUGAGAUACACAAGAGACCUAAAUGAAUUAACAAGCCAAUAAGCAUUUUAAUUUACAUUAAACCAAGAAUAUACCUCUCUAUUCACACAAAAACCCAAAAUUGUGAAUUGAAUGAACAAAAUUAUAAUUAUCAAAUAAAAUCGAGGAUAUACCUCUCUAUUCACUCGAAAUAAAAAAUUUUGCACGUAGAAUCUUGAAUAAACAAAAUCAUAAUUUGAGAAAAAUGGCAUGCCAGGAAUUUACCUCUCUAUUCAUGAGAAUUUUGCACGAAAUUAAUCACAGAAAAACGAGAGAAGAAUUGAAGAAGAAGUGAGAGAAGAAAAUGAUGAUGAUGAUGAUGAUGAAAGCUUGUGUCUGGGUUUGCGUGGGGAAAUGGCUUCACCGUCCUUUUGAGUAAGAAAAAAUGGGUAUGAUUGAUAUCUACAGUAAAAUCACUGUUUAGCUAAAGUAGAAGUCCCGAAUACUAUUGCAAUUAUAGUAUAUUUUAUUCAUCUUUCUAUAAUAAGUAGUUAGAUUUAAAAAAAAAAACUGCAAAUGUGGUGUUUUGCAAUUACAGUGAAUUUUAUUCAUCUUUCUAUAAUAAGUAGUUAGAUUUAAAAAAAAAAAAAAAAACUGCAAAUGUGGUGUUUCUACAUGAGUUAACUUAUGCGUGUUUUAUAUAAAUCUCCUUGUUCUGUUUGUUAGUGAAGAUCAUGAAUUGGCCAGCUCUAAAAACAAGAUUCAGUAACAUUUAUAGAAUAAUAUAUUAAAUUGGAUAGCUUAAGGAGGUCGCCAGAAUUUGGGGUGGCCAUAUUGCUCAACCCCAGACGGUGUUCAAGUAUCUGUCUAUUCAUUUUCUGUGUAUAAUCGUAUCCAAGAAUGAGUCAUGUAUUCUAGCGAGAAAUUAAUAUCAAGAUUCCAGUUCUUGACAUCUUGUUUAUCCAAAAUUUUUCCUUUAUCUUGGUGUAAUCUAUGGUCAUAGGUAGUGUUUUUGUGGAAUCAGAUCUUUGUUUCUCAUUUUUUAAGUUGGAUUUCAAAUCUUGAUAUUUGGACUUUUGAUUCUCGAAGUGUUCAAUAAUUUAACUGUAAUUUUCAAGAAAAUAGGGGGAUGGACUUACUAUAUGUUCUUGGAACCAGAAAGAGAGGUGAAUUCUAAUUACAUAAUUAAUUCAUUAUUUAAACAUCCCAUUCUGAGACUUGGGGAAAUGGACUUCUUGUAUUUUCGUGGAUCGAAGAAAAUGAAUUGGGGUGGGGGUUGGAAAAUAAAGUUCUAGAGAUUUGGGAUUGUAGGUGGCAUAUAUAAAAAUUUGGAUUUAAUUUGUAAAAAAUAAUAAUAAUAAAUAACAAAAUAAAAAAAAUUGGGUAUUGAAAUUACAAUUAUUCCUUUUUAACGACAAAUUGAUGGAUCUUGACGGUAGGGAAAUUUGGGAUGAGAUCAAUGCACUAACUGAUGCCCACCCUUGUACUUGUGAUGCUCGCAAAAAAGUCGAAGACACAGCCAAUACCGAACGACUCUUUCAAUUUCUUAUGGGCCUCAAUGACUCAUUCUCCAACAUUCGAAGCCAAAUUCUCACCAUGGACCCCCUGCCCACAAUCUCCAGAGCAUAUGCCACCAUACAUCAAAAAGAGACACAACGCCUCCUACAAAUUCCAUUGUUACCCAAUCCCGAAAAUUCGGCCAUGGCUGUCUCACACACCAAUUCUUCGGUCAAUCACGGUUUUUGUUCUCGCAACAGUAGAAAAUGCACAAAGUGUGGGAAAGAUGGACAUCAAGAAGCCUCCUGCUUUGAAAUCAUUGGCUAUCCUUCCCAUUGGAACACCAAUAAGCCGAAGCAGCCCCUGCGGUCCACACCUGUCAAAAAUCGGCCACAGGAUUCAGGCAGUAAUCGGCUACCCACAGCGAACAUGGUGUCUCGUACCUCAGCCCCUUCCACAUCGAGUGCAAUCCCUGGCUUAUCUGACGAGCACUACUGGCAAUUGAUGGAAAUGUUGGAUCCUAGCACCAUUACACACUCGGCCUUCUCUGGUAUCUCUCUAUCACCUCUCCAAAUCGCCCUAGGUCCUUGGAUUAUAGAUAGUGGGGCUUCAGCCCACAUUUCUUGUGUUUCUAACUUACCCAAAGCCUCACAUAUUUGGGCCCAUAGUCAAUCCCUUACAUUACCUACAGGCUUCAAGGCCCACGUCACACAUAUGGGCCACAUCCAUAUUUCUCCCCAUUUAUGUCUACAUAAUGUUCUUUUUGUUCCCGAUUUUAAAUACAAUUUAAUCUCAGUAAGUCAACUCACAAAAUUGUCUAAUUGUGUUACCAUAUUUUCCUCUUCUAUUUGUUUAUUUCAGGACCUAUGUAUGAGAAAGCUGAUUAGGAUGGGUGAAGAACAUGGAGGCCUCUACCAUUUUAAACCAUUUAAUCAUGUUGCAUUUCAACUCAUAGCGAAUCCUGCUGCUACACCGGAUGUAUAGCAUCUUCAUUUAGGUCAUCCUUCAAAUUCUUGUAUUCCAAAAAUUUUAUGUGAUUCAAAUAAAGUUAGAAAUUGUGAUAGUUGUGUUCGCGGUAAACAUACGCGCCUUCCCUUCAAAUUGGUCGAAAAUAAAAGUACUUUUACCUUUAACCGAAUUUAUUGUGAUAUUUGGGACGGAUAUUCCACACCCUCUACAAUUGGUGCACACUAUUUUCUCACAAUUGUUGACGAUUUUUCACGUGUUACUUGGGUAUACCUCAUGCGUUUUAAAUCUAAUACAUUUACUUACCUAACCACAUUCAUUAAAAUGAUCCACACGCAGUUUAAUUGCCCUAUCAAACAUAUUAGGUCCGACAAUGGUCAAGAAUUUCUUUCUCAUCGUAUGCAACAAUUCUUCCUUGACCAUGGGAUCAUUCAUGAGCGCACUUGUGUUGAACCACCCCAAAAAAAUGGUGUAGUAGAAUGAAAAUAUCGUCACCUACUAAAUGUAGCUCGAUGUCUUCGCUUUCAUACACAUUUACCUAUUUCUUUUUGGGGUGAGUGCAUACUUACUGCAUCCUAUCUGAUUAACCGCGUAUCAACUCCCACGCUUGGUCACAAAGCGCCUUAUGAACUCCUUUUCAACAAACCUCCUACCUAUGAUCACCUCCGUGUCUUUAGAUGUCUUUGCUAUGCACACACUUUAAGUGUCCAUCGGGACAAGUUCUCUCCUCGUAGCACACCAUGCAUAUUCCUAGGCUACUCUCAAAUUCCACAUACUUAUCGUGUUCAUAACUUGCAAACCAAGAAAAUUUUCUUCUCUUGUGAUGUCUACUUUGUAGAAUCUAUCUUUCCCUUCGCUCCUACGAUGCAACCUUCACACAUAUCAUCAGAUACCAAUCAGCCCCUCGAUGUCCCUUACAGUACCCCACUUCCAACCAACGUUUCACAUGACACCCCUAGCCCAUCUCCUUCAUCCACGCAGACAUGGAACCAACUAUACCAACACCACAAGUUGUUGAUGGACCUACCAACUCCCUAGAAAUCGUCACCAGCUCACCCCCACUCAACUCAUCCCCACCAACUAGACCUCGAUGCACGAUUACUCGUCUUACAUAUCUUCAAGACUACAUUUGUUCAGAUUUACCUCCAGAGGGACCACGUUCAUCAUCUCAUUGCCAGUCUUUCUCAGGUACAGUUCACUCUCUACCUAAUUUUCUUUCUUGUCGUUUCUUUAGUCCAAAACAUUUUGCUUUCCUCUCUUCUAUCUCCAAAAAUGUUCAAGACCCCGUUCUUUACUCUCAAGCUAUUCUUGAGCCGUAUUGGCAAUAGGCAAUGGCUUUUGAAAUUCAAGCCCUUGAAGUCAAUCACUCAUGGACCCUUGAACAUCUUCCCCCUGGUAAGAAGGUAAUUGGUUGCAAAUGGGUUUAUAAAACAAAAUUGCAUGCCGAUGGUUCCAUUGAACGCCAUAAAGCUUGUUUUGUUGCCAAGGGUUUCACUCAGGUUGAAGGUCUUGACUAUAAUGACACUUUUGCUCCUGUGGCUAAACUUGUUACUGUUCGAUGUCUCCUUACUAUAGCUACAGCUAAACACUGGAUUCUUCAAAAAUUGGAUGUUCACAAUGCUUUCCUCAAUGGUGAUCUUGAUGAGGAAGUGUAUAUGCGACCACCACCAGGAUAUUGUCGUAAAGGGGAGACUCGCGUUUGCCAUCUCCACAAAUCAUCAUAUGGUCUCAAACAAGCCUCACGUCAGUGGUAUUCAAAAUUAUCCCAUGUUCUCAUCCUUACAAGUUUUGAUCAAUCUGCUGCUGAUCAUAGUCUCUUCAUCAAAACCAAGGGUACAACCUUUACUGCCGCUCUUGUCUAUGUUCAUGAUAUCAUUGUUGCUGGUAAUGACAGCUCUGCCGUUAGUUCUAUCAAACGCCAUCUUGCAUAGACCUUCAAAAUUAAAGACCUUGGCGAUCUCAAAUAUUUCCUAGGGAUUGAAGUUGCUCGAUCUCCUAAAGGCAUAUUUAUCAAUCAAAUGAAAUAUACCUUGGACAUUCUUACUGAUUCAGGUGAACUUGGCUCUCGCUCGGCAUAUUUUCCCAUGGAACGACAUUGCAAACUUAAUGACUCAGAUGGUGAUCUUAUGGACGAUCCUAGCUCAUAUCGACACUUGAUUGGUCAUUUGAUCCUAUAAUGCUCGGACUCGGGUACGGGUAUCGGGUACGGGUACUUAUCUAAGUAUCAAAUCUUUUAUUUUUUAAAAUAUAGGAUACGGGGACAUGGUUAAAAAGAAUCCAAAUUUCGGACACGGGUACGUGGGUACGUCUUUCAAGCUUCAAUUUUUUUAUAUUAACCCAAGAUGUCAUUUUGAAUAGACUAAAAUCAAUAGUUCAUAAAAAGGAAAUGAGUAUUAAAUAAGAUGUUAAGACUAAUAAAAUACAAUUUUGGGGUUUAGUUUUCAAUUAUAGGAAACGGGAAAGAAAAUGAAAAGAAAAAAGAAGAAGUAAAAAAAAGGGCGAAAUGUCCGAUUUAAAUUUGGAGGAUUCUACACAUAUCCCAUACGCAUACCCUUGUCGUGUCGUGUCCGACACGGGUAUUUCAACCAUUUCGAAGAGUCCGAGCAUCAAAGGUUUGAUCUAUUUGACCAUCUCUCAUCUGGAUAUUACCUUUGCAGUCAACAUUUUGAGUCAGUUUAAGCACACUCCUCGCAAGCCUCAUCUACAUGCUGCUAUACGCUGGCUCCGCUAUCUGAAAACAACACCUGGUUAUGGAUUCUUCUUUCCAUCCAACUGCAACCUUCAGAUAUCUGCUUUUUGUUACUCUGAUUGGGCAAGUUGUCCACUCACACGACGUUCCACAACUGGUUUCAUCAUCAAAUUGGGCGAUAGCCCCAUCUCUUGGCGCACCGAGAAACAAACAAUUGUUUCUUGCUCUUCUGCUGAAGCUGAAUAUCGUGCGAUGGCCACUACAACUUGUGAACUUGUUUGGCUUCGCCUCCUUCUACAGGAACUUACUGUGUUGCAUCCACAACCUAUUCUGCUUCAUUGUGACAAUCAAGCAGCAAUCUACAUUGCACAUAAUCCGGUCUUCCAUGAACGCACCAAACACAUUGAAUUAGAUUGCCAUCUUGUUUGUGAAAAAAUCAAAUCUGGUCUUAUUACUCCCUCCUAUGUUUCAAGCUCUGAACAUGUAGUUGAUCUUUUUACUAAACCAUUGGGACGUGAAUUAUUUGUCUUCUUUUGGUCCAAGUUGGACAAUACGGGCCUCCAUGCUCCAACUUGAGGGGGAGUAUUAUAGCCAGCUCAUCAACAACAAUCAACGACAAUCAACACAAAGAAUUUUCUUUUAUAGUUAUUUCCAUAUCACAGUUUUUACCAUGUAUAGAUUGGAUUCUCACCUAUAAAUUUAUACAAAAUCAUUUUAACAUAUAUGGAGGAAAUAAUAUAAUCUUCAAUUCUUUCCUCAAUCAUACCUGUGUAUGUCGAGAUUUGUUAUUUAUAUAGAGUAAUUUUAUUUUGAUACUUGUUAUUAAUUUUUCUUAUUGAAAUUUUUUAAAUAUGAAUAUUUCUUUAUUAUUUAAUAAUAAAUUUGAAUUAAAAAUAUACGAUAUUUUUGAUAAAGAAAGAAAAAUUACCACUAGUGUGUUUGAGAAGUAUCGGUAUUCGACAUGUAUCGGAUGUUACUCACAAUAUUGCUAAUGAUAUAUUUCAACUAUGGUCUACGAGAAUAAGAUAUCGUAUGGAACACGUAAUAUCAGCUAAUGAAAGAUAGAAUAAUAGUUGUUUUUAGUACGGCAUGGUAUGCUACAUGAAUAUAUUGUCAACUCUAAAUAUUUUUUCAAUUACCCACAACGUUGCCGAUUAAAAUAAAUUUAUCAAUAGCAGUAAGAGUAGAACAAAUAAUUUAAAAUUGUAGAAAGUGAUAAAAGAGCAAAUGAACUUUCAAUCGAAGUCUAAAUAAACACAGUUUCUUUAAAACAAAUUGGCCUCCUCACUCUACGUGCUUGAGGCUUAGUUUGAGCAUCUGUUUCCUAGGAUACAACGAAAAAUAAGUAGAGUCUAAGCACUGCAUAUACUACUCCGGUGAACUGACUUAGUAUCCGAACAAUAUCACCAAAAUUGAAAAGAAAUUUUUUUUCGACCAAAUAGAGAGCUGUAAAACUAUGUAGCAUGCAGACAAAGUAUUGAUUCUUGUGUGGGAUAUGGAAAACGAGUUCCAUAUAGACUUAACCCCAUGAAUGGUGAGUUAAAUCUGUCUAUAAGUGUAUUAUCUCAUCCAUAACUCUUGGAGUUUCAAUAGUUUUAGAAGUUAAAAGGUCAGUUGGAGGAAAAAAUUGACAAAACGUAGGCCUUCCUAAGGGCUCAAUUUUGGUCCCUUCGGUCUGACAUAUGUGUGUACAGGUUGAGCCCACACACAAGUUCAAGGUUCGAAACCUAUUUCGGUCUAUGAUUUGUACCUCUUACGUGCGCACGUGAUGAGAGCCUCUAUGCUAUAUAUGAUCACACCCUUCAAAGUGUAAUCCUAUAUGAGGUGGUAUUUGCCUUCAUUAUUUUUCUAUGUGGAACAAACCUUAAUUGGUGUCCUUCAAACACAUAAACUCCUUUCAAUUGGCACACUUUGAGCUCCAAUUUUUCAUUCACCCAAGCAUCAUAUUUGACAAGUAAAUAUAUGAUUUCAAUAUUCUCACGACGAACACAAAUCAAUCUUGAUCUUCCAAAAUAAACAACCAGGUCCCACUCAAAAUUUAUGCCAAAGUAAGCCAUUCAACUCAUUUAUUCAAUGAUGUGCCAUCCUAGAUGAAGUGUCCGUGCAACAGAGGUAUUAGGUGUUCGUAAAGUGUUCUUUGAUGGUCAUCCAUUUCUUUUGAUGACUCAAGUUUUCGAGCUUCGCUCUACUAAUCUGAGGAGCAGCGGCCUUCCCCACUAAUCAUCCAUUGUUUAUACCUAUGGAAAUGGUGCCAGUAGCAUAUGGAAAUGUUUAUACCCCUGAUCAUUUAUGGAAAAUCGUACGAGGCCCAAGGCAUGGUAAUGAUUUCAGAGUGGAUUUAGAAGAUACUAUCUGUGCGUUGAAAAUUCUAAAUUGGUUUUAGAUAAUCGUCAAGUUGGCUAUGACACCAAGAAUAAAGUAGCGAAAGGAAGGAUACCUUGCAUAUGAAGUGAUUGGCUAAGGGUUUAUGAGUGGAGUUCUGCAUAUUACGUGUAGUAUAUGAUUUUAUUUCAACAUUUAUUCAUUGGGCUAUUUGUGGCACCAAGAAUAGUGGUGGCUAAAGGAAGGACACAUGCUUAUGAGUGGACCUCUACAUAUUAUGCAUAGUAUUUGAAUUUUUUUUCCUUUUUUUUUUGGCAGAAAGAACUGAAUAAAUAUUGAAGUUAAUGGGCUUUGUGUAACGCUCCGACCCCUGGUGGACCAGAACGCUACUUACUUUAAUUAGCUUAACCGGUGGUUUAGUAACAAGUGUAUACGUUUUAACGGAAUCUUACAUCUUCGGAUAAUAAUUUAAAUAACAAUACUUCAAAUACUUUAAACACAAACACUGAAUCAUUUUUCAAAACAACAAAAUAUAAUUUAUUUGAAGAAAACAUAACUUGUUCUCGCAUUCUGCGUUAUUCAAAACUUUAAAGAAAUAACAUUGGAAAACAUUUCAUAAAAAUAAAUCCAAAUCACUUAUUCACCGGAUUUCCAUGGGCUCGUUGCAUCAUUCUCCAUCUUCUCCUCCAUCCAUGCCCGAGGUAGAAUUCCUUCAAUUUGUAGAGAUGAGAUUAAACCCAUGAGUUGAAAAACUCAAUAGGUGUCAUAAGUGCAUUCGUGAUCAAGCUAUACAUUUCAAAACAUUAACUUUAUAACUCUUCAUACAUGCCGUACCCGGAGGCACCAUUUGAUAUGAAGGGGCAUGCCGUACCCCAGGGCACCAUUUGACAUACGAACAUUUCUUCAACAUAAAGGGGUAUGCCGUACCGGAGUACCAUUUGACAUACAACCAUUAACAUAUAGGGAUAUGCCAUACCAGAUUACUAUUUGACAUACAAACAUUAACAGGAAUCGAAACUUAUAACUUAACACGAUUAAACACAUUGCACCUCUACCUACUUUGAUUGAUGUUUUUGAAACUUUGAAAACUUGGAUUGAAAAUUUCGAUGAAACUUGGACGUUGAAAGAAAUGCACUCCUUGGAUGUUUGAAAACCGUUGAGAAUUGAUGCUUGAAGACACUUUUUAAACUUCUAAGAAAAAUAGUUUUCCUCCCUCUCUUUUUCUCUCUUGGAAACUCUUUCUUUAGUAUGUAAAAACUCUUGCUUUUGUGUGAGAAAAAAUGAGUGAAAUGAGGUCUCUAUUUAUAGGUAAAUAUUCCAUAACUUAAAGCAAAUGAAGGGUCAAAUUUCAUUUAAGAGAGAAAACAUAGUUUCCAUUUAAGUUUGAGGUUAAAUGCUUCAAUUUAGUGGGGGGUUUUUAUUGCCAAAAACGUGGGUGGCCCUUUGAGAAAAUAAUUGAUGAAAAUAAAUAUUUAAAUUCUAGAGAAAAACGAGAAUUUUCAUUUCAGGCAGCUUCGGUCGACCGGUUGUAGUCCGGUUGACACUGCAUAACUUUCAGUGUUUCUAUCAUAACUUUUUUUCCCGAUAUCCGAUUGAGGUAAUCCAAAGUGCGUUGGAAAGCUAACUCAAAAAGCUACAACUUUUAUUUAGAUAUCAUUUUCCAAAUUGAAUGUUUCCUAUGUUGAAAAUGGGUCUCAAAAGAGACUAAAAAUCUGAAGUAUACUUUAGUCAUUCAAUAUUCAUGUCUUAGUGCCACUAAGGUGUCUAGAAUUAUUUGGGGUUCUACAUCCCCCACACCUUAAUUAAAAUUUCAUCCUCAAAAUUUACCUUCUGAUUGGGCGAAUAGUAUUGGAUACUUAUCUUUGGCUUCUUCUUCUUUUUCCCAAGUGGCUCUUCUACGCCGUGAUAAUUCCACUGUAUCUUAACCAACUGAAUCUCUUUAUUCCUUAGUUUAUACACUUUUUGAUCCAAUAUCUUGAUCGGUAGUUCCUCGUACGACAAAUCUUUCUGUACCUCCAAGGUUUGAUAACUAACUACAUGAUUAGGAUCAUGUACAUACUUCUUUAUCAUCGAUAUACGGAACACAUUGUGCACUGCCGAUAAUUCAGGUGGCAAAGCUAGUCGGUAAGCCACAUUUCCGACUCUAUCCAAGGUCCGAUAUACCGGGGUCAUAGCUUGCCUUUCUUUCCAAAUCUAAGUACACCUUUCAUCGAUGCUACUUUCAGAAACGCUUUAUCCCCAACUUGGAAUUCUAAAUCCUUCAUCCUUGUAUCUGCAUAGCUCUUUUGUCGAUCAUGUGCUGCCUUUAUUCUUGCACAGAUCUUAUCGAUUACCUCGACUGUCCUUUCAACUAUUUCUUGUCCUAAAACUCUCUUCUCUUCGACUUUGACUUCAUCCCAAUGAAUAGGGGAUCUACAUCUUCUACCAUAGAGAGCUUCGUAUGGUACCAUUCCAAUAGUUGCUUGGAGGUAAGUAUGACUCCCAAUUACCUCCUAGAUCCAAAACACAUGUUUUCAGCAUGUCUUCCAAAGUUUGGAUGGUCCUUUCAGACUGACCAUCGGACUGAGGGUGAUAUGCUGUACUAAAGUUCAGCUUCGUUCCCAUAGUUCCUUGUAUACUUUUCUAAAAUUUGGACGUGAACCUUGGGUCUCUGUCAGAUAAAAUGGAUACAGGUACACCGUGUAAUCUCACAACCUCUUUAAUAUACAACUGUGCCAAUUGGUCCAAACUGAAUGUCGUUUUCACUGGAAGAAAAUGAGCUGACUUCGUUAGUCGAUCCACUACUACCCAUAUAGCAUUAUUUCCUCUUGCUGAAUUUGGGAAUCCAACCACAAAGUCCAUCGUGAUAUUUUCCCAUUUCCAUUCAGGUAUAUCUAGUGGAUUUAACAAUCCAGUUGGUUUUGGGUGUUCUACCUUAACCUAUUGACAUACUAUGUACUUCUGCACGUAUAGCCCUAUACUUCUUUUCAUAUUUCUCCACCAAAAUGUAUCUCGAAGAUCUCGAUACAUUUUUGUACCACUGGGAUGUGCGGUGUACGGGGUGGAAUGAGCUUCUUUCAAUAUCUUAUUUCUUAAGGCUUCAUCCUUAGGCACGCAAAUUCUUCCUCUAAAUAUCAAUGCCUGAUCCUCAGCUACUCCAAAGUCCUUUUUCUUAUCAGUACCAAUUUCAUUCUUAAUCUUCUGCAAAAAUGAGUCUUUAUUUUGUGCUUCUAUAAUUCGAUCUCUAAGAGUAGGUCGAAUUAUUAAAGCUGCUAGACGAGCAGUGACUUGUCCUGGUGUGAUAACCACUUCGAUCUGCAACUUUUCCAAGUCCUUAACUAACUCCACUUGAGAGGUGGGUAGUGACGUCAAUUGUCCCAUUGAUUUUCUACUUAGAGCGUCGGCCACAACAUUAGCCUUACCCGGAUGGUAGUGAAUAGUGCAGUCGUAAUCGUUCACCAAUUCCAACCAUCGUCUUUGUCGCAUAUUCAAUUCCUUCUAUGUGAAGAAAUACUUGAGACUUUUGUGAUCUGUGUAGAUAUCACACUUCCGUCCAUACAAGUAGUGUCGCCAUAUCUUCAAAGCGUGUACUACCGCUGCAAGUUCUAAAUCAUGCGUCGGGUAGUUCUGCUCAUGUUUCUUCAAUUGUCUUGAAGCAUAGGCUAUCACUUUUCCAUUCUGCAUUAGUACACAUCCCAAUCCUCGCUUGGAUGCGUCGCUGUAUAUAACAAACCCUUUCGUAUCUUGAGGUAUUGUUAAUAUAGGUGUUGAUAUCAACUUCUGCUUAAGUUCUUGGAAACUUUGUUCGCAUUUUUCUGUCUAUUGAAAUUUUACUCCCUUCCUUGUAAGCUGCGUCAUUGGUUCAGCUAUUUUGGAAAAUCCUUCUAUGAAUUUCCUAUAAAAUCCAGCCAAUCCUAGAAAACUCCGUACUUCGCCAACAUUUGUUGGUGCUUUCCAGUUGGUUACUGCUUCUACUUUUGCUGGAUCUACUUCAAUCCCUUGGGCAGUAACUACAUGUCCAAGAAAUCCAACUCGUUCAAGCCAAAACUCGCACUUCUUGAAUUUGGCAUACAACUUCUCCUUGCGUAAUACCUCUAAGACUAUUCUCAAGUGCUCUUCAUGUUGCUCCUUACUCUUGGAAUAUAUCAGAAUGUCAUCGAUGAAGACUAUAACAAACUUAUCCAAGUAUUGAUGAAACACUCAAUUCGUCAUGUCCAUGAACACUACAGGUGCAUUGGUUAGCCCAAACGGCAUCACCGUAAACUCGUAGUGUCCAUAUCGAGUUCUAAAAGUUGUCUUAGGUAUAUCCUUUGUCUCUACUUUCAGUUGAUGGUAUCCCGAUCGUAAAUCGAUCUUGGAAAAUACCUUAGCUCCUUUCAGUUGAUCUAACAGAUCCUCGAUCCUCGGGAGUGGGUACUUAUUCUUGAUGGUUAAUCGAUUUAUCUCCCUCUAAUCGAUGCACAUCCUCAUGCUUCCAUCUUUCUUCCUUACAAACAACACUGGCGCACCCCAUGGAGAUACGCUUGGUCCUAUGAAGCCCAUAUCUAGGAGUUCUUGCAACUGCUUCUUUAAUUCUUGUAGCUCCUUUGGGGCCAUUCGAUAUGGGGCCUUAGAUACUGGUACCACCCCGGGAAUUAGGUCUAUGGUGAAUUCCACUUGUCUAUCGGGUUGAAUGCCAGAUAGAUCUUCUAGAAACACAUCUACGAAUUUCCGUACUACUGGUACAUCUUCAACCCUUAUUGUCUCUUGUUUCCCUCUUGCGAUACUUACUAGAUAUCCUUGACAUGUGUUCUUUUCUCAACAUCUUCUCAAGUUGUAAAGCCGAUACUAGUCGAAUAAGGGGUUUCGUCUUCAUUCCAAGGAACGAAAAUGGUUCCUCUCCUGGUUUCUAAAAUGAUACUUCCAUUUCCUUAUAUCGGAUGGUGGCGUAAUUACAACCUAACCAAUCCAUGCCUAGUAUUACAUCAAAAUCCUUCAUUUCUAUCAUGUAUAGGUUCGUUUCCAUUAGUUUUCCCUCAACUUUGAUACUUACUGACUUGGCUAUCCUAUCAGUAUUCAAAGGGUUGUCCGAAGGAAUACUAACUUCUAAUGUACCUUCUUAUCUUCCGUAUCCACCAGAUGUGGAGCAUACUUUGAAAGUUGAUCAAACUUCCUCUCAUACUCAGUCAGGGACAUAGUCUUUUGCUUGAUUUGGAGGAAUUCACUUUCUUUGUGAUCCCUCAAAGACUGGGGAAAAUACUUGUCCAUUACUUCUCCUUUGAAUUGCUCCCAAGUCAAUUCUUCUUAUUGCUUAGGGGUCCUUGUCCUUGACAUUGAGACCCACCAGUGACUUGCAUUACCGGAGAACAUGAACUCAGCACGCUGAACUUUCUAAGCGUUUGUGCACCCUAUCAAUCGGAAUAUACGCUCCAACUUGUGAAGCCACUCCUCGGUUGCAAGUGGAUCAGCUGCUUUGUUGAAGGUAGGGGACUUGUGCCUUCGAAAUUGCUUGACCACUGAAGUAUGAUUUGGAACAUUAGGAGCUAGUGGUAGGGGUUGAGCUUGGUUCGGGUUUUGCCUGCCUAGGUCUUGAACCGCUCGGAGGAGGUCUCUUAUCAAGUUUUGGUUUGCGCGGGCCAUUUCUUUUAGACAAAGCAUAUGGUUCUUAUUAGUUUCAUUCUUCAAAUACUAAAGCAAAGAAGAUAGUAUUUUAUUUCUUGAUAUAAGGGAAGCUAUUACAAGGAUUUAAAUCUAAUCCCUAUAAGUUCUACGGAUCUUCUUUGGUGGAGCUUCAUCUUCGAGGAGUCUUCCGCAUCAGGUUUGGCUCUAUGUUCAUCUCAACUUGUGGCUCAGGCUCAGGAUCAUUCUCUAAAUCAUCCUCGAGUUCUUCUUCGAGAUCUUCUUCCUCGGCCAAAGCUUCCUCCUCAGGCUCCUCGUGGGUUACAUCAUCCCACAAAUCAAUCAGGGCAUGGCAAUACCUCUCAAACUCGAAUAGGUUUGGGUUGCUUGCUAACAUUUCAUCUCUAACCGUGACUCCCAUAUCUCCCCAUUGAGGUGGGAGGGAGUGUAUGAGGUUAUUUAUGGCCUCAAUAUGUGUGAUCUCCAUACCAGCAUUAACCGUCUUCAUGCAUCUCUCAUGGAUGUCAUACACAUGUUCGCUAAGCGAUCAGGUCAGAUCAGUUACAUAGUUUUCAUAGGAAUGGAUAGCAAUUCUACAGUUCAAUGCUUCUCUAUAUGCCCUAGCCGUUCUACGAGCCAUGUCUGUUGCAUUUUCACAUACAUCAUACUUUUUUUUGCUUAAAGAAAACAUGCAAAUAUUUAAACUUUCAUAUCAUGCAAUUUCCUUUAAACCCUUAACUUUUACCCAAGUUCAUUACAUAUCUUUAAAUAACACAUCUCUAAAUCAUAUCAAAACAUCAUAACAUAAACAUAAUCAUUAACUUUAAACAUAAACAUACCUAGGCCAUAGGAUGAGAUUGAUGGAUGGAUGCACGAUGCCAUGGAAUACCUUAACUUAAACUUUUCAUUUUCCUUUUGUUUUUUUAAAAAAAAAAUACUUGAUCUACAGAACAGGCUAAACCUUGCUUUGAUACCACGCUGUAACGUCCCGACCCCUAGUAGACCGGAACGCUACUUACUUUACUUAACUUAACCGGUGGUUUAGUAACAAGUGUAUACGUUUUAGUGGAAGCUUACAUCUUCGGAUAAUAAUUUAAAUAACAAUACUGCAAAUACUUUAAACAAAAACACUGAAUCAUUUUUCAAAAUAACAAAAUGUAAUUUAUUUGAAGAAAACAUAACUUGUUCUCGCAUUCUACGUUAUUCAAAACUUUAAAGAAAUAACAUUGGAAAACAUUUCAUAAAAAUAAAUCUAAAUCACUUAUUCACCGGAUUUCCAUGGGCUCGUUACAUCAUUCUCCAUCUUCUCCUCCAUUCAUGCCUAAGGUAGAAUUCCUUCAAUCUGUAGAGAUGGGAUUAAACCCGUGAGUUGAAAAACUCAAUAGGUGCCAUAGGUGCAUUCGUAAUCAAGCUAUACAUUUCAAAACAUUAACUUUAUAACUUUUCAUACAUGCCGUACUCGGAGGCACCAUUUAACAUGAAGGGGUAUGCCGUACCCGAGGGCACCAUUUGACAUACGAACAUUUCUUCAACAUAGAGGGGUAUGCCGUACCGGAGUACCAUUUGACAUACAAUCAUUAACAUAGAGGGAUAUGCCGUACCGGAGUACCAUUUAACAUACAAACAUUAACAUGAAUCGAAACUUAUGACUUAACACGAUUAAACACAUUGCACCUCUACCUACCUUGAUUGAUGCUUUUGAAACUUUGAAAACUUGGAUUGAAAACUUCGAUGAAACUUGGAUGUUGAAAGAAAUGCACUCCUUGGAUGUUUGAAAAUCGUUGAGAAUUGAUGCUUGAAGACACUUCUUAAACUUCUAGGAAAAAUAGUUUUCCUCUCUCUCUUUUUCUCUCUUGAAAACUCUUUCUUUUGUUUGUAAAAGCUCUUGCUUUUGGUGUGAGAAAAAAUGAGUGAAAUGAGGUCUCUAUUUAUAGGUAAAUAUUCCAUAACUUAAAGCAAAUGAAGGGUCAAAUUUCAUUUGAGAGAGAAAACAUGGGUGCCAUUUAAAUUUGAGGUUAAAUGCUUCAAUUUAGUGAGGUUUUUAUUGCAAAAAAUGUGGGUGGCCCUUUGAGAAAAUAAUUGAUGAAAAUAAAUAUUUAAAUUCUAGAGAAAAACGAGAAUUUUCAUUUCAGGCAGUUUCGGUCGACCGGUUGUAGUCCGGUUGACACUGCACAGCUUUCAGUGUUUCUAUUAUAACUUUUUCUCCCGAUAUCCGAUUGAGGUAAUUCAAAGUGAGUUGGAAAGCUAACUCAAAGAGCUACAACUUUUAUUCAGAUAUCAUUUUCCAAAUCAAAUGUUUCCUAUGUCGAAAAUAGGUCUCAAAUGAGACUAAAAAUCUAAAGUAUACUUUAGUCAACCAAUAUUUAUGUCUUAGUGCCACUAAGGUGUCUAGAAUUAUUUGGGAUUCUAUACUUUGUGACAUAGAGUGCAAUAAAACCAAAUAGUAGAAUUAUAGAAGAAGGGGGAGUGAAUAGAAAGAAGAGGGCAAAAGUGAAGAAUUGGGGGGAGGGGGUUGGUUAGAAGGAGAGAGAUAGAAAAGGAACAACAAUAGAUAGACGGAAGCAGAAUUUAGGAGAGAGGAAGAAGAGGGAGAAAAGGAAGAGGAAAACAAAUAAGAAGAAUAUUGAGAAAGAAAGGAUUUCUAUCAUUUCUCCCUAAUUGAAAGAACUCGACUCCAAUUCUAAGCAAAGAGGACUAUCUUUCUUUCUGACCAAAUAAUGAAAUUGAUUGCUUGAUGUCAAAUCCUAAAUUAGUUGGCUGAUUUUCUUCUUUUGAGUUGUGGUUGGGGAGAUUUUUGGGUGGUUGAAGAUGGCAAAGGAAGUGUGUGUAAAUUUUGAAUUUCAACAUGAAAUUUGUGUACAACGGAAAUGACUUGCUCUGCUAUCAAAUUGAUGUAUACUGCAAUAAAACCAAAUAGUAGAAUUAUAGAAGAAGGGAAAAUUGAUGUAUACUGCAAUAAAACCAAAUAGUAGGAUUAUAGAAGAAGGGAAAAGGGUAGAGAAUAAGAGAAAUGGGGGAAAAAGAGAAGAAGAGGGGGAAAGAGAAGGAGAUAUGUAGAAAGUGAAGAAGAGACAUUAGAAGCAGAUUUAAGAGAGAGGAAGAAGAGGGGGGAAAGGGAAAAGGAAAAUGAACAAGAAGAAUAUUGAGAAAGAAAGAAGAAAAGAGAGGAGAAAGAGAAGAAGAGGGAGAGAAAAAGAGAAUUUAGGGAGUGAAUAUCAAGUUUAUUUUAUGUCAAAUUUGUAUCUAUUACAAUGCACAAACCUCCUUCAUAUGGGGUUUUGAAAAACCUAUUCUAAAUAGGAAACAAUGAAUCAAAUACUAGAGAAUCUAGUAAAUAAAUAUAUAAUAAAAUCCUCGGAAAUCCAGUAAAUAAACCCUGAUAAUUUUUCCCAAAAUAAGAAUCUAAAUAUGGAAAAUAAUCAUAAUAAUCUAAUAGGAUUUACAUCAUUUUUUCGUGGUCCCGUGGGAAUGUGAGACAAUAUCAUUUAAGAUGUAUGAGUUUUAACUUGUCGCGACUCAUCAAAAUUUUCACUUGCGACCUGGAAAGAAAUCGAUUUGAAAAGUAAUUUUCCCCUUUUUUGAGUAAAGAUCAUGUCUUGGGCUUUAGUAGUGGCUCCACAGGUCUUUUAAUUCUUUUUAUGAUGAUUCACAUUCUUUUCACAUGGUUAAUCCUUUGAUGAUGCUAUUAUACUCUCAAGAUGCUAAUACAAAUUACUAUUGAUUUGAUGUGUAUUACCACCCUGUGUUUGCCUUCUUUUCAUUGUUAACUGUAACCUUGUGCUACAAUUUACUCUACCGUAAUACAGGCAAAACAUGGAAUUAACUGUCUUGAGCUUCCUCUCAUUCAGCACAAGAAGUUGCCUGAUUCUGAUAGACUUCCCUCUGUGUUGAGUGGUAAGUUUCUGACAUGAUUGAUGGUUAUAGGAGAUUGUUUUAGAUUAUCUGGAUGCAUUUGUUCACGUUACGUGCAUUUCAGAGACAGUUUUUUUUUUUUUUUUUUUAAUUUUUUUUAUUUUUAUUGUGAGGGUUUGUUUAGAACGUUUGCUUCAUCAGUUAAUCUGUGAUCCCUAUUGUGUUUUGUGUCAUUAUUGUUUUUAUCUUACAUCUUUAAAGACGAUUCAUAUGGGUGCACAUAAGAUGUUAAUGCACAGGUUGUCAAACUUGAUUCCUCAUUGACCGUAAAUAGUAAAUAUCUUGGCCACAUUUCAGUUAGAUUCGUGAAGAGAGACAGCUCCUCCUUUUGGGCUGUGAGGCACAAGGUACCAAGGUUAUCCAAUCACAGGUUGUAAAUUCACAUGGAUUAAAUUUCUCUAUGCACAUUGUUGUUAUUAUCUUUCUGACUUUGGUGUGAAUGCCAGAUCUUGUGUAUCUAGUCUCCCGCGGAAGUAAAUUGCUAAAUUGAAUGCUUGUUCUUAGUUGCUUUGAAAUGAAUGUUGUGAUCAGACAGAAAAUAAAACUCUCUCAAUCCCCCUUCCCCCUCUUACACAUGUUUCAUGACAGUUACUUCUAUUUAAAUUCACAAAUUCUACAAUGGAUGCACAUUAUGAUUUUUUCUUGCUUAUCUAUUGCUGCAGAUACUGCAUUUGAUUGGAUUGUCAUAACUUCACCUGAAGCCGCUCUAGUUUUUCUUGAUGCUUGGAAGUAAACUUCACAUGGAUGUUGGCACGUCAUUUAUUAUUCUAGAAUGGUCAUUAGUCAGUUAGAGGAAAACUCUAUAAAUAAGAUGGGAGAGGGGAAUUAGAGGGGAUUCAAUGAAUUGUUUAGAAAAAGUGGGGGAGAGAUCAAGGCCUCUCGAAUGCCUUUGAUUAUGUUUAAUUUCAUGACUUUCAUUCCAGUUAAUAUCAAUACAAUUCAUCUAUCUUUACAAUAUACUAUUCCAGUAACUCCAUGGACAUCUUGCAGUCACAUUACAAUUUCAGUGUUUUACCGGACAAAUUACUUCAUAACACUUCCCAGUUGGUCUAGCGGUUUUCUUCCAGUAGCAGUAGCAACAAACAAUAGCAGUAGCAGCAACUAAUCCUCUGCAUUAGCAUCCAGAAUCUGCAGUUUAUCAACCACAUUAGCUAGGAUCUUAUCAUAACCUUAAUUUUUCCCUUUACCUUUUGCUCUCCACGUGUGUCAACAUGAAGGAAGUUCCCUUUGGGUCAGGAUUGUUAUGAUGGAAAAUGCUGCUUAAACAAAUCAAAUGUCAAACUUAGAAGCUGUGGCAUCCUGAGGAUGUUCCUGAGAACAAUAUUUAGCUUGACUAUCUUAAUAUUUUAUAAUUCUUAUGUUGACUUGCUUGAAAAGGUUAAGAAUGUGACUUUUUGAAACAUAAACUGGAAAAAAUUCAUAUCUGAUUCUUUCAUGGGCAUAAACUGAUGACUAUCGGAUCUAUAGGCAGCAAUGAUUAGAAAAACCAAAAAUAAAAAAAGGAAGCCAAAGAUUAUUACAAGCUAUGAAUUUAUGAAAGUUGGUUUAUUGAAUUGGAAUAACUCCAAAAUACAUGGUGAAACACUAUGUAGAGCACCGGGAUAUCACAAUGAGUAUACUCAGAGUGGGUUGGUAAAGAAGUGUUUUAGCGCAGGUUUGAUGCAGUGGCGGACCCAUGACUGGGCCCUUCAUUUUUUACAUUUACAAAGUAGGCCCUUCUGUUGAGAAUCACACCAAAUCAAAUCAGUUUCCUGAUUUUUAGGGAAACUUGGCUGUAUAUUUCGUAAUUAUAGGGAUCCUAUUCAUUUUCAAAAAAUCAGUAUUGUAUAGCUGUAUAUUUCAGUUACAUAGUUGUAGCUUUAUUUUCUAUUUUAUUGACUGUAUUGUAUCUAAAAAAGGGUGACUAUGACUACUUUCCCAUUCAUUCGAUACAAUAUUCUUUUUCUACCCAAUCUAUAUGGUAUCAAAGCCGACAUAAUUGGCCUCUAUUUUUUUUUUUUUGGGUUCUUCCUACCCAUUACCACGUCAGAAAUCUCUAAAUCAACCCCUACCACUGGUGCCAAUAUCAACUCCUCUAAACCUCCAACUGAACCUCUCUCUCAUUCCGUCCAAAUCACCACGAUUCGACUCAAUGGGAACAAUUUUCUCAGGUGGAUCCAAUCCGUUCGAAUAUAUAUUAGAGUGAAGGGGGAAAUCAGUUACUUAAUUGAUGACAUUGUAGAGCCAGAAAAACUGAUGUUGGCCAUGCUGUUUAGGAUGCUGAAAACUCCAUGAUAAUGGCCUGGUUAGUGAAUUCUAUGGAGGAGGAAAUAAGUGCAAACCACAUGUAUUGUCCUAUUGCUAAAGCCCUGUGGGAUAAUGUCACCUUGAUGUAUUCAGUCCUUGGAAAUCAAUCCCAAACAUAUGAGUUACAACUCAAAUUGGGGGAAGUCCGUCAAGGUGAGAAUUUCGUCACUAAAUAUUUUAAUAUUCUCAAAGUUUCCUUGAUUUAUUCAAUGAUGACCAUGAGUGGAAGAACAUGGAUGGUUGCAAUUACUUUAAGAAAAAGGAGAUCUCACGAAUUUUCAAAUUUCUGGCUGGACUCAAUGUUAAUUUUGAUGAAGUAGGAGGCAGGAUUUGAGGUUGUAAACCUCUUCCUUCCCUCGGUGAAGUUUUUUUCUAAAGUUCGACGUGAAGAAAGCAGGAGAAAUGUCCUGCUUGGCAAGAAAAUCAUUGCUGGACUGGUGGAAAAUUCGACAUUAAUGGGGAUUGCUGUUGCUGCCAUCGUGCCCCUAGGGGUGAACCCACUAAGUACGAGGGCGGUCAGCCGCCCCCAUUGAUUUUUCAAAAACCUUCAAUUCGACCUUAUUAAAUUUAAAUUCUCAGAUUUUUUUUUUUUUGGUUUUUUCACAAUUUAUUUUAGCCAAUUUUCCAUCUCUUCCCCACUGAAAAAUAAUUUUAGAUCCACCCCUGUGUGUCCCUAAUACUUAGCGUCGUCAAGAUGACGAAUCGAAGGUUUGGUGUGAUUUUUGCAAUAAAUCACGACAUACUUACGAAACUUGCUAGAAACUGCAUGGAAAACUUGCUAAUUGGAAACCUGUAGAGUGGAAGAAUAAUAAAACUAAUUCGAAUCAUGCCCUAACCAAAGCACAUACUGUGAGACCACCUCUCUCAGUGAAGAACAAAUAGAACAACUCCUAAAGCUACUGAAAUCUGCUCCACCGACUCCCGGUACUCCUGUAGCAUCCUUGGUUCAAACAAGUAGAACUUUGUGUGCCUACUCUUCAUUAUCUACAUCUUGGAUCAUGAUUCAGGUGCCUCUCAUCACAUAACUAAUCUAUCCCAUUUGUUUAUAUCUUAUGAACUCUUUUCUGGAAAUAAAAAAGUACGUACUGCAGAUGGAAAUUUAUCUUCCAUUGCUGGCCAUGUUUCAUUCGUUUAUGAGAAAAAAAUAUUCUGAAAUCUGUUUUACAUGUCUCAAAACUCUCUUGUAACCUUUUGUCAGUAUGUCAUUUAUCUAAAGAUUCUAACUGUCGUGUUAUCUUUGGUGUCUCUUGUUGUGAAUUUAAGGAUUUAAAUGUGGGGAUGAUGAUUUGCAGUACUAGAAUGAUAGAUCUCUACUAUUUUAAUGACAACUGUGUUAGGAAUAAACAAGCUCAGGGUUUUAUUGGUGGUAUCCAAUUAAAUCUUGUUUAUGAUCAAAUAAUACUAUGGCAUAAUAGACUAGGACAUCCUAUUUUUUCCUAUUUAAAGUACUUAUUUCUAGAUUUAUUUAAAGGAGUGGAUUGUAACUCUUUGGUUUGUGAAACUUGUUUCCUGGCUAAAAGCCAUCGAAACUUUUAUAAAAUUAAACUUUUUUGUGCUUCAAAACAUUUUUAUCUAAUACAUAGUGAUGUUUGGGAUCCUUCUAAGAUUACCACUUCAACCUGAAAAAAAUGGUUUGUGACAUUCAUUGAUGUUCAUACACGCCUAUGCUGGCUUUAUUUAAUGAAUUCAAAAAAUGAAGUUGCAAAAUUUUUUAAAGAUUUUUUACUCUUUGGUCGAAAACCAAUUUCAAACUAAAAUAAGUGUUCUUCGAAGUGACAAUGGAAUAUAAUUUUUUAAUGAAUGUUUAGGAAAUUUUUGUACAAGAAAAAGGCAUUGUUCAUCAAUCUAUUUGUAGGGAUACUCAACAAAAUGGAAUUGCAGAACGUAAAAAUAGAUACUUAUUUGAAGUUGCUAGCGCUCUUAUGUUUCAUAAGAAUGUUUCUAAAUAUCUUUGGGGAAAUUCAAUCUUAACAAGUUGUUAUCUGAAUAAUAGAAUGCCCACUAGGGUUUUGAACUAUAAAACUCCUUUACGAACUCUUAAAAAAUCUUUUCCAAACACACGUCUCAUCAAUAAUCUCCCUUCAAAACUUUUUGGUUGUACGAUGUUCAUUCAUGUUCCAUCCCAUCUUCGAUCCAAAUUUGUCUACGAGCUGAAAAAUGUAUUUUUUAGGCUACUCUCCUAAUAAAAAAGGCUAUAAGUGUUUUAAUCCCGACACUAAAAAAUUUCAUAUUAGUAUGGAUGUUCAAUUUCUUGAAACAACUCCAUUUUAUACUAAAACCUUUCUUCAGGGGAAGAAUCUAAAUGAUGAUUAGUUUUGGCAACAAGAAGAACCAAAACUAGUUUCUUUUUUCCCUCAAAUAAAUUAGGAAAUGAAUACUUUACCUAGAGAAAAUAAGAAAAAUACUGAGCUAUAUAUGCCAAGUAAAAAUGUAUCACAAAAAGGGGAAAAACUUUACCACCUAUGCCCACUGAGCUACGUCUUUACACUAUAUGUAGGUUCAAUCCCAAUAUUUAGAAUCUUCCAAUCAAUUCUGAGCAUGGUCAAUCAUCAUCUCCUAGGUCUUCAAUUCCAGGUAAUCUUCCUAAAAAUCCUACUCCUUUACCUUUCUUUGAUCAUGACAUUCCUAUUACCAUUCAUAAAGGAAUUAGGAAUUGUACCAAACAUCCUAUUGCCAAAUAUCUGUCCUACCACAGACUUUCAGAAAAAUACAAAGCCUUCACAACAAAUGUUUCCCAUCUAUUUGUACCUAGAACUAUACAGAAAGCACUACAACACUCGGAGUGGAAGUGAGCAGUGUAUGAGGAGAUAAAAGCACUUCAAAAAAAUAGAACCUGGGAAAUUGUUGAUCUACCUAGGAAAAAGAAGAUAGUAGGGUGCAAGUGGAUUUUUACAAUCAAAUGUAAGUAUGAUGGGAGCAUUGAGAGAUACAAGGCAAGGCUGUUGCUAAAGGUUUUACACAAACUUAUCGAAUUGACUAUCAAGAAACCUUUGCACCUGUUGCAAAAAUCAAUUCCAUUCGAGUGUUACUUUCUCUUGCAGUACAUCUUAACUGGCCUUAGCAACAGUUAGAUGUAAAGAACACUUUCUUAAAUGGAGAGUUGGAGGAAGAAGUGUUUAUGGACUUACCACUAGGUUUCGAAGAAAACUUUGGAGAAAAGAAAGUUUGGCUAUUAAAAAAGUCAUUGUAUGGUCUUAAGCAAUAUCCUAGGGCCUGAUUUGACAGGUUCGGAAAAGUCAUCAAGCUUCAAAAGUAUUUGUAAAGCUAAGCCGAUCAUACAAUGUUCUAAAAACACUCAAGAGAAGGUAGAAUGGCAAUAUUAAUAGUUUACGUGGAUGACAUAAUUUUGAUUGGAGAUGAUAUUGUUGAGAUUGAUAGAUUGAAGAAAGCCCUAGCUCGUGAUUUCAAAAUCAAAGACUUUGGUCCUCUUAAAUACUUCCUUGGAAUGGAGUUUGCUAUAUCCAAGAAAGGUAUUUUUAUCUCUCAAAGAACGUACUUGAUCUACUAGAAGAAACAGGUUUACUCGGUUGCAAAGCAACAGAAACCCCUAUAGAACCAAAUCUGAAGCUUUAGCGUGCAAGUCUAGAAGAAAUGAUUGACAAAGAGAGAACCAACGCUUAGUUAGGAGACUAAUUUCUCUCUCCCAUAAACGUCCUCAUAUUGCAUUUGCAGUGAGCAUGCUAAGUUAAUUCAUGCACUCACCUAAUCAAGGACAUUUUGAUGUUGUGUACAGAAUUUUAAGGUACUUAAAGGGGACCAUGAAAAGGAAUUCUAUAUGAAAAUAGGGGACAUCUCCAAGUUGAAGUGUUUACAGACGCAGAUUGGACAGGAAUGUAAUAGACAGAUGAUCAACUUCGGGAUAUUGUACCUUUGUUGGGGGAAAUCUUGUAACUUGGCGUAGUAAAAAAUAAAAUGUGGUGGCUAGAAGUAGUAUUGAGGUGGGGGUGUAGGGCAGUGGCACAUGGUAUCUUUGAGGUUCUGUGGAUCAAACAUUUACUUGAAGAACUUAAAACUACCCGUUCCUUACCUAUAAAGGUAUUUUGUGAUAACAAAGAUGCUAUUGCAAUCGCACACAAUUCAGUGCUCCAUGAUUGAACUAAACAUGUUGAAGUUGACAAAAACUUUAUAAAGGAGAAAUUGGAGAAUGGUCUGAUUAUUAUACCCUACAUUCCCAGGUCUGAACAGGCAGCAGACAUUCUUACUAAAGGUCUACCAAAGAAGUAGUUUGAUACGUUGGUGAGCAAGCUAGCCAUGAACCACAUCUUCCAACCAGCUUGAGGGGGAGUGUUGAGAAUCACACCAGAUUAGGGCAAAUCAGUUUCCUGAUUUUUAGGGAAACUUGGCUGCAUAUUUCAUAUUUAUAGGGAUCCUAUUUAUUUCCUAAAAAUCAUUAUUGUAUAACUGUAUAUUUCAAUUCCAUAUUUGUAGCUUUAUUUUCUAUUUUAUUGACUGUAUUGUAUCAAUAAAAGGGUAAGUAUGACUACUUUUCCAUUAAUUCAAUACAAUAUUCUUUUUCUACCCAAUCUAUAUCUUCAUUUUUUUACAUUUACGAAGUAGUUCACAUAAUUUUAAGCCAUAAUUUUUACAUAAUUCUGUCUCGCCCCCACUAAAUUAUGUUCUUGGAUCCGUCCCUGCUUUGAUGGCCAUUAUUUGGGAAAAACAAUGUUUUGAAAAGUGUUUUUUAGGAGAAUGUGAGAUUAAAAAAUAAGAAAAUGUUUUGGAUUUACUUGCAGAAUAUUUUAUUGUGUUUAUGUUUGGUUGGAAAUGAGUUUGUAGAAAAAAGAGUUUUCAAAUAUUGGUUAUCGAACCCGGGCAUAAUGGUCCAUGAGAUUUGGAUGAACACAUUAAAGGUCAUAAGCAAAUGUUCUUGCUGCUGCUGCUUUUCCACUCCCCAUUCACCUGAAAAAUUCUUAAUAGAAUUUUAUUUAUUUCUCUUAUUUUUCCAUCCUAAUACUGCUUUUAGCUGUUAAAUAGACGUAUAAUGAUUAAAUCAAUACAGUAUGCUAAUCUUAAUCGCCAACUGUUCUAUAAUUCAAUUAUUAUGUUUCAAUAUGGAGUAAUUAAAAUUUAACAUCCACCGUUAAGAGAAGCCAAUUUUGCAAUUUAGUUAGACUGCCCAUUUUAACAAAUUAUCAAUCUUCGAAUUAAGCAAAGAUCUUAAAAUUUAUACAAUGCCUGUUGGAUCCUUUAGAUGAUGAAACAUGUAGGUUUUGCUUUGCAUUACUUUUGUACUCAUGCGAGCUGGUCUACUCAAGUAUGACUCAGCUUCACGAGAAUUCUUUUAUUAGAUCCUACUAUUUCAAACUUAUAAUUUUAUCUGUAAGGAAAUAUGAAACUGAUUUAACCUGCUAAUUGAAAUUGUCUGUUUCAGAAGAAGGCCUUGCCAAGCGUGGAUUCCAGGUUACUAGGCUCAAUACAUACACAACGGUAUGAUACUCUUGUAAUUUUGUAAAUGUUCUAAUAUCUCAACAAUUUCAUGUAAUUUAUAACUUUAAAUUUUAAUUUGCCUCCACAUAAUGCAACAGAAAAUUUAACAUUACAGUUACAGUCAUCAAUUGCAAGUGUUUAGAUGUCACUAAAUAUUGAUCAACAACAAAUACUCAUCUUGUUUCUGUUAAUUUGGUGGCCUCUGAUAAUUUCCUGUAGGAACCUGUUAGUCGUGUGGACCAAAAGUUCUUGAAUGGGCGGUUUCUGCUCCUGUUGUUUCUGUAGCAUCACCUUCUGCAGUUCGGUGUACUUUUCUGUUAUAGCAGUUCUGUUGAAAAUUAGUCUAUACUGUUGAGCCUGGACUAAUCUUCUGAAUAAAAAGUUUCUGAGUUGAAUUCAAACCUAAGCACAACUCACAUGGGUAUUUGUGUUCACAUAUUAAAUGGAUUGGGUGUACAGUGCUCUUUCUACAUGGUUUUAUGAAAGACAGGCUAUCAGAAAAUGUGAAAUAUGUUAACGGUCUAUUUGUGUUACAGGUGUUUUCGUGAAUAUUUUUAAGACUCAUUUUGAGUGUUUUUUUAUUGUGAAUCUUAGUUGAGGGGCUUAUGUUGUACCAAGUCCAACACUCUUCCCAAAAAUAUUUACCAUUUAAUCUUACCAAUUCACUUGCAGGAUCCUGUUCGUAUUACUGAAUAUGUUAAUUACAGUUUACUACUUGUGGACUUAUUGCCAUUGAAUGUGUUGGGAAAACACCUUCCAAAGAUAGCCCAAAGAUCAAACAAAGUUGACAAUGUGAAAAUUUCCAACCACUUCAAGAACAAGAAAAUGAGGAAGAAAUGAUUUUAAUGGAAUACAUGAAGAUCAAUGUAUUUGGAUUACUUGAACAAGCCUCAAGUUAAUCCCCAAAAAAGAAAAUAACUUUGAAUUUAUACCCAAGAUGAAUAACCUUCUAUCUUGUAAAAUUCUCUCCAAGUUUUCUCUCUUCUUUCUCUCUAAUUUUCGGGUGCAAGGGUUGUCUUAAUGAAAGGGGGGAAAAUGGCAAUAUAUAUAUCCUAUCGGGACGCCUAGGCGCCAGGUUCCUGGCUGUCUUCAUAUUCGGGGCACCUAGGCGCCAUGUGAGUGGCGCCUGGGCGCCCGGCAGAACCAGCAGAACCAACCCCCUUCCUCUCUUCCUUUCUCACAAUUCUCCAUCUCGUACAUCAUUUGAUAGACCUCAAAUUUUGGACGAACACAAGAAGAAGAAGCAAGCACCGACUCGGCUGCACCAUUCAAAUCAUGAUUGCCUACGUACCCAAAACUCGAGAUCAAGCCUCCGUAGUUCACCUCCACCUUCAUAAACACUCCACCUCAUUUCAACCCCGCCCCGAAGGGCCAUGCCCUCUCGGGCAUAUCAACACGGACUAAUGUGAAGCAAGUCCAAGCAAUGUUGAAACUUGCUACCCGUCACAACUUUGGUUAACAUGUCAGCUGGGUUCUCAUUUGUGUGUACCUUCGAGAGUGAAAUAUCACCUUCCUCUAUGACAUCACGCACAAAAUGAUACCUGACGUCGAUAUGCUUGGUUCGAGCAUGAUGAACCUGAUUCUUAGCCAAGUGAAUCGCACUCUGGCUAUCACACCACAAGUCCACACAAUCCUGCCCAAUCCCCAAAUCAUCUAGAAGACCCCAUAACCACAAUGCUUCCUUCACUCCCUCUACCAUGGCCAUAUACUCGGCCUCUGUAGUAGAAAGAGCAACUGUAGCCUGUAACAUCGAUCGCCAACUAACUGGGGCACCAUGUAUGCAGAACACAUAUCCAGUAGUAGAUCGUCGUCUAUCUAGAUCACCUGCAUAAUCCGAGUCCACAAACCCACUUAUAUGACAUGCAUCUCCACCAAAACAUAAACCCGUAUCCGCGAUACCUUUUAAGUACCUCAGGAUCCACUUCACAGCUUCCCAGUGUGCCUUCCCCGGAUUCGCCAUGAAUCUACUGACCACACUCACCGCCUGUGAAAUACCUGGGCGUGUACACACCAUGGCAUACAUCAAACUGCCAACAGCACUAGCAUAAGGUACACGAUUCAUGCGUACCUUUUCUUCCGCUGUAGUAGGAGACUGUUUACCAGAGAGCCUAAAAUGUGGAGCCAAUGGAGUCACCACCGACUUUGCACCUUGCAACCCGAACCUAGCAAUAACCCGCUCAAUGUAGCCUUUCUGACUCAAGAACAUUCGCCGGUUCGUCCUCUCUCUUCUAAUCUCCAUACCUAGUAUUUUCCCAGCAAUCCCCAUAUCCUUCAUCUCAAACUCUUUACCAAGUUGAGAUUUCAACUUAUCUAUCUCCACCUUACUUUUCGAAGCGAUAAGCAUGUCAUCCACAUAUAGAAGAAGAUAGAUAUAGUUACCUCCCCGAAGUUUUCGAAUAUAAACACAACAGUCAUACUCACUUCUGGAGAAACCAUGCUUUAGCAUGAAGGAGUCAAAUCGCUUGUACCACUGCCGAAGAGAUUGCUUCAAUCCAUAUAGUGAUUUUCUCAAGCGACAUACCUGACGUUCCUUAUCCUCAACCUUGUAGCCCUCAGGUUGAUGCAUAUAGAUCUCCUCAUCCAAGUCCCCGUGCAAGAAGGGGGUUUUGACAUCGAAUUGUUCCAACUCAAGAUCAUGAUGAGCAACAAUACUCAAUAGCACCCGAAUGGAAGUGUGCUUGACCACAGGAGAAAAGAUCUCAUUGUAGUCAACUCCCUCUCUUUGUGCAAACCCCUUAGCCACUAACCUCGCUUUGAAUCUUGUACCACCGAGUUUGGUAGGAUCCUCCUUCUUUUUAUAUAACCACUUGCAACCAAUAGCUUUCUUACCUAUGGGCAAUGGGACAACCUCCCAUGUUUGGUUCUUGUGGAGUGAUUCCAUCUCUUCUUCCAUUGCCGCCGACCAACUCUCGCUAUUGUUGUUUAAAAUAGCUUCCUUGAAAGUGGUAGGCUCAUCAUCCUCCACCGAGAGUGCAUACUCAACCAAAUUUGUCUGCCCAUAGUGCCUCAAAGGUUCAUCUGACUCCAACUUUAGAACUUGCUUGUAAGUACGGCAUGGCCUAGAGGAAGCCAAAUUAUCUGCAAGCUACUGUUGUUGCUGUGCCUGUACAUUCUCUUGCUGAACCGCCUCUUGUUCAAGUGCAUCAUCACUCUCAUCUUGAGUGUCUAUUUGAUGCUCCUCUUGAACAUGCCUAGAAUCAGGUUGAUCUCUAGGUUCUAUGUCAACAACUUGAGACAUUGUAGUCUCAACACCAUCACCACCGGGCACUGUAGCUUUCAACGACGCUACCAUGGAGUUCUCAUCAAAAGUAACAUCUUUGCUGAUUAUGAACUUAGAAUCCUCUACACACCAAAGGCGAUAGCCUUUAACACCUGCCGCAUACCCCAAGAAUAUAGCCUUCUUGGCCCUCGCAUCAAGCUUUCCCUCGUUGACAUGAUAGUAGGUUGUGCAUCCGAAUGUUCUGAGUUUCUCAUAAUCUGCAUGUUCUCCUGUCAAUACCCUAUAAGGUACAUCUCCAUCAAACCUUGAAUGUGGAGACCGGUUCACUAUGUAGCAAGCAUUUACAACCGACUCUGCCCACCAUUCUCUACCCAAACCAGCAUAGGAUCGCAUACACAUCGAUUUCUCUCGAAAUGUGCAAUUCAGUCUUUCCGUGACCCCAUUCUAUUGCGGUGUAUUUCUUACUGUCCAAUGUCUCACAAUGCCUUCCUUACCACAGAACUCCUUGAAAGCACCAUCUGUAUACUCAAUACUGUUAUCAGAUCUCAGUGUCUUCAAUUUCUUUCCAGUUCUAUUUUCAACCAUUACUUUCCACUUCUUGAAAGUGUCGAAUACCUCAUUCUUAUGCUUCAAAAAAUAAAUCCAAGCAUAGCUAGAAUAAUCAUCAACAAAUGUAACAAAAUACUUGGAACCGCCUUUGGAAGUGACAGAAGCCGAACCCCAUACAUCCGUGUGCACAUAGUCAAGAAUGCCUCUACUUCUAUGUUUGCUUGGCUGGAACUGAACUCGAUGUGAUUUACCGUACACGCAAUGCUCGCAAAAAUCCAUGCAAGACUUCUUCAAGUUCUUUAGCAAACCUUUCUUGACUAGCAAAUCUAGCCCCUUUUCAGACAUAUGCCCAAGCCUCCUAUGUCAUAGCCAAGUGCACUCACAUGGGUCUCCACCACUUCCACUUGUUCCAACUGCUACAUCUUCAGUAACUGUAGUACCCUGAAGAGCAUAGAGAUUACCUUCACGGAUACCCUUCAUCACAAUCAAAGAACCACGAACAACCUUCUUUACUCCAUUCCAUGUUACAAUCUUGCAACCACCGGAGUCUAAGGCACCAACAGAGAUAAGGUUCUUUCGCAAAUCAGGAACAUGUCUAACAUCCAUCAAUAUUCUAACCACUUCAUCAUGCAUCUUGAUUCUAAUUGAACCAAGCCCCACCGUUUUACAUGAAUGCUUAUUACCCAUCAACACGGUUCCACCAUCAGUGCUUCUAUAGGUAGUAAACUACUUCCUAUUUGGACACAUAUGGUAAGAGCAUCCAGAGUCAAGAAUUCACUUACCGGAGGUCUCUUCAUCACAAGAGAUGGUGUAGCACUCAUCGCUUUCCCCUCCUUUCGAGACAUAGCUUACCUUUUGCUUGACUUGCACCUUCCCACUGUUGUUGUUCUUAUUGUUCUUCUUCCAACCCUUUUUGUUUGGACAAUUCACCUUGAAAUGUCUAAGCUCGCCACAUUUGAAACAAGACCUUUCCGCAACAGGUCUAGAACUCGAUCUAGAUUUUUCUCCCUUGCCCUUUGGUCACACAUUGCUUCUACCCCUUACAAACAAUCCUUGAGCUUGCUCCUUGUUACCAAUGGUAGACAUGUCACUAGUUGCAAUCUUUCGAAGAUCAUCCGCUAGAAGUGACGUUCUAGUGUCCUCCAUCACAAGUUUAUCACCCACAAGCAUCAAUGUUUGUACUAGGUUCUCGUAAGACUUUGGCAAUAAAAGAAGUAGUAGAAGUGAUUGAUCCUCAUCAUCUACAUCCACAUCAAUGUCUUUCAAGUCCGAUAUGAUCUUAUCAAACUUGUUGAUGUACUCCCGGAUUGGUGUACCUUCAUCCAUCUUGCAAGUAUACAAUUUGGACUUCAAAUAGAUCCGAUUUGUUAAAGUCUUCGUCAUGAAGUUCGCCUCCAACUUUGUCCACACCUCCGCCGCCGUUACCUCACUAUCAACCAAGAAAGCAACAUCUCUUUCAAGGCAAAGAAUGAUAGACGCUCGUGCCUCAAGAUCUAGCUCUUCCCAAUCCUCGUCCGACAUAUCAACGUGCUUCUUCUCCUUUCCCGCCAAUGCCUUGUGCAACUUUUGAGAAAUCAACAAAUUUUUCAUUUGCAUUCUCCAAUAUGAAAAAUCAUUCUUCCCAUUGAAUUUCUCUAUCUCAUCCUUCCCAAUCUUCACCAUUCCUCUAGUAGACAUGAUUUAUCCACUUGUUUACCGAAAAUAAACCACAAAAGUUCACUUGGGAAUUUUCACAAACACCUUGUGCACAACAAAGUUCAAGCAACUCACCACAAAAUCGAAACUUAACCACCUUGAUUUAGGAUGUAGCUCUGAUACCAAAUUGUUGGGAAAACACCUUCCAAAGAUAGUCCAAAGAUCAAACAAAGUUGAUAAUGUGAAAAUUUCCAAACAACUUCAAGAACAAGAAAAUGAGGAAGAAAUGAUUUCAAUGGAAUAUAUGAAGAUCAAUGUAUUUGGAUUACUUGAACAAGCCUCAAGUUAAACCCCAAGAAAGAAAAUAACUUUAAAUUUAUACCCAAGAUGAAUAACCUUCUAUCUUGUAAAAUUCUCUCCAAGUUUUCUCUCUUCUUUCUCUCUAAUUUUCGGGUGCAAGGGUUGUCUUAAUGAAAGGGGGGGGGGGGGGGGGGGGGGAAAAANNNNNNNNNNNNNNNNNNNNUAAUGGCAAUACAUAUAUCCUAUCUGGGCGCCUAGGCGCCAGGUUCCUGGCUGUGUUCAUAUUCGGGGCGCCUAGGCGCCAUGUGAGUGGCGCCCAGGUGCCAUGUUUCUGCCGGGGAGGCAGAAACUGGGCGCCUGGGCGCCCGGCAGAACCAGCAGAACCAGCCCCCUUCCUCUCUUCCUUUCUCACAGAAUGCUUUUCUCGAAGCAUUUUCCUUUCUGCAGAUUUCUAUGAAUUUUGUUUACCUUCUCUUGUCUUUUUAUCCCUUAUUAUUUUAACGAAUGAUUGCAUAUCUUCCUUUACAGUGCUUGGAUAAAUCUAAUCCCAAAAUCACAACAGUGGAGCAAUUCUGUUGCAUGUAUUGGUGAGACAACUGCCUUAGCAGCUAAAAAUCUGGGUUUGAGGAAUGUGUAUUUCCCAACCAAUCCUGGCCUUGAAGGGUAAUCAAAUAUCCAUUUGGAACUUUUGGGAAAUCAUGCAUAUACUUGUUUCUGAUGCAAUUGUCUCUGUCUCUAUGCUCUAUGAGUGGUAAAAAGCACUAGCAGUUUUCCGUUCUCUUUACUUUCUGAGAUGUGCGUGAUAUAGUUGAAGAGUUCACUAUUUAGGUGAUAAUUUAGAAGAAAUACGAGGAUGUGACAUAAAUUUACGAUGCAGGGAGAUAUAUUUUAUUUGUAUAUGCCAUGUCUCAGUGCAUAAUUUUGUAUAGUAAUGGCAUGUUUAGAAAAGUGGAUUGCACAAUAGUAUUAAAGGAGAAAAAGAAGUUUAAAUAUUUUUAAUUGUAGUGUUCAUUGUUCAAUCCUGUUCAUUAGUGCAUAUCAAACAUGUUUUAAGUAUCACUGGGUUUAUCCUUCUGUUGCAGGUGGGUUAAUAGCAUUUUAGAAGCCUUGCAAGUCCAGGAACAAGUUCAGAAAGUCUAGGAGUCGUAUGUUGAUGCCCUUCUAAUUUCACCUGGUAAUUUCUAUAUACUGCUUACACUAAGUUGUUUCCCAGUGAAUAAAGAUGCUAUUGAAGAUUAAAUAUAAAUCAGUAAACGUCUCCUCUCUAACAACUUUAGCUUCUAAACGGCAUGGUUCAACACAGUAUCAAAGCACACGUGGAUCAUGAGUUCAAAUAUUGGGGGAUUAUUGGAGAACACUUCUUCCUAUUUCUUUCUCUUGAUAUCCGAUGAUCAUGGUGAUGCCCGUGAAUUCUUAUUUUUACGUAGCAAGUACUUAUUAAUUUGUCUCCUGGACUGGAUCUAUUAUGUCAGAUUUUCACGUACCCGUUGAUAUGCUAUUCCCAAGGACUAUAUCCUGGUAGUUUGUCGGUUAAAUUAAUAAGUGGGGNNNNNNNNNNNNNNNNNNNNNNNNNNNNNNNNNNNNNNNNNNNNNNNNNNNNNNNNNNNNNNNNNNNNNNNNNNNNNNNNNNNNNNNNNNNNNNNNNNNNNNNNNNNNNNNNNNNNNNNNNNNNNNNNNNNNNNNNNNNNNNNNNNNNNNNNNNNNNNNNNNNNNNNNNNNNNNNNNNNNNNNNNNNNNNNNNNNNNNNNNNNNNNNNNNNNNNNNNNNNNNNNNNNNNNNNNNNNNNNNNNNNNNNNNNNNNNNNNNNNNNNNNNNNNNNNNNNNNNNNNNNNNNNNNNNNNNNNNNNNCGAAGCACAUAGACGUUACUCAUUUUAGCGAAUAUACCUCAUCAGGAAAAUGAAACCUUUAGAUACGAGUAUAUAUCUAACAUUUGAAAUCGGCUUCUAGUAGAAGUGUGUUUCUAACAUUAUCUAUCAUCGUCUAUGAUUUUUAUCAGUGUAGGUGGCAGUGAAUGUCGUGAUUUACUGUUCAAUUAUUAAUGCAUCAAAUUACAUCAUAAUUUUAUUGAACAAUGAAUCAGAAGACCUUGUUGUCAAUUACAUCGCUGAUAAUCACCACUCCAUUGACACUCCAUAAAAAACAUGAAAAUGAUUCCAAAGCUGUGGUAUGACCAUGCAAAACCAAUGCUACAUGUUUAAAACUUUUAUCCAAUGAAUAUCCAUUCUUUUUUGUUCUUUAGGGAGAAAUUGAAAUAUUCGUCAGCAAGUCUGUCUCCAACUUUUUAAAUUGAGCAUUUGUUUGAUGCCAUUGAAAAGAGUUUUUUAAUUUUUUCCCCCUUUUGGGAAAAAUGAGUUUUGAAACAGUAAUCUUUUUAAUAGAAAUUUUGAGUUUAAAAAGUAAGAAAAUUUGUUGGAUUACGUGUAAACUAUUUUAUUGUGAGAAUAUUUGGUCGAAAAUGAGUUUUAGGAAAAAGGAGUUUUUGAAGAAUGGUGGACAAACGGGGAUUGAAUGAGUUAUGUCUUAUCCUUUGAUUGAGUUAAUAAUUAUACAGUUGCCUUUGAAAAUCGUUCAAAUCUCUAUUAAAGAUGUCCUGCUUCAAAUUUAUAUGCACUAACUUCAGUUGAAAAACAAAAUUAGUAUCAUAAAGUCGCACUGUGUAAAGGCCAUGACAGAAUGCUUCAUUAGACUGUUCAAGUAAUAAUAAGGCCCAAUGUAGCAAUGUUAUAGGUUUGAAAAAGUAGAAGAGAUUGGUAUUAACUAUAUUUCAAGUCUUGGGAGGCAUAUUACUUUUGAUCGUGGGUGGUCAUUGGCAUUUUCUUGGUUUCACGGUAAAGAUUGUCGAAGACGAUCUAGAAAAUCCAACAAAAUUGUUUACUAUAUGGAGCUUCGAUGGGAAGAUGGUGUACGAAAACAUCAUUGAAUCGACUGAGGGCUUCCGCUUUAGCCACUUUGUUGGGUGGGAGGAUGUGGCAGUGUUUUAGAGCUAAAUUGAAUGACCAGACUGUCGCUAUAAAGAAAUUACAUACACCAUGUAACGUCCCAAAAUUUCAUAUAAUAGAAUUAUUUGGGGAUAACGAUUUUGAUCUAGAUGCCUUUGGUGGACUCAUUCUGUAGUUCGUAUUUAAUGGCAUGUCAUGGACUCGAGAAAAGUUAAUUCAAAUAAGUUAGGUCCAAGUUAUUGAAGUUCCGAGAAAUUGUCUUUAAUUGGUAAUUAAUGAAGUUGGUUUAUGAUUUAAUUUCUAUGACAGCAUCACGUGUAGGACAAAUUUUAAUCCUAUUUUGAUAAUUGUUAAUUGUAAUCCUAUUUUGAUUUUGAUAAAUGUUAAAAAGGUUAAUUGUAAUUGUUACGAUCCAAAUUUUUCUAGUCAAAAAUAAAAUGUUGAAUUGUCAAAGUCAAAGUCAAAAGGGAUUAAAAUGAAAUAAAUUAUUUUAAUUGGGACUCAAUUUAUUAUGAAAAUUAUUUUGAAGGUCUAAGUUGGACAAUAUAAAAUUUUAGAGAUCUACUUAUAUAUUGCUAGAAGUUUAGAAUUUAAUGUUCUAUUAUAGAAAUGUUGGAGGACCUCCUUUGCAAUUUUGAGUUUGUAGCUACUUGAUAUAUUACAAUAAACCCAUUUCAAUUAUAAUUCAACACACACACACAAAUAAUAGGCAAAAACGGGAGAGCGCUGAGAGAGAAACCGAGAAGAAAGAGGAAGAAAAAGAGAAAGAAAGUGAGAAAAAGAAGAAAAGAAAGAAAGAAAGGAGAAGAAGAAGGGAAAGAGGUAGUUCAAGGUCUAUCUUCAUUUUUCCUUCUCUUUAUUUUCUUCAAGAGGUAGAUAAAUUUUAUGUUAAGUUGCUAGGGUUUAAUUUGUGGCUAAAAUUUCAUAUUUAUGCAAGAUGAGUACAAAUUGGAGUUCAAGUUUGUUGAUUAUUUAAUUUUCAAUUUCAUUAAGGUAAAAAUACCAAUUUUGGCAAAUCCUAGAUUUUUAUUUGGGAUUCUUAAUUAUGAAAUGUUAGUGGGAAUAAUUAUAUUGAUGGAAAACUCUCAUCAAACCAUGAAUUUGAGAAACAAGAUAAAAAUAAAAAUAGGUGGAAUCAUUGUUACUAGUUUUCUUUAGAUUGGAAGGUAUAAUUAUUUUUAUGGGUGGGAUGAAGGUAAAUUUGGAUGUAGUAUAUAUUUGUGAAGGUAUUAGAAAGUAGAAUUAGCGCUUAUUGAUUAACGGAAAAUUUGGAAAAAUCAUUCAAAGUAUCGAGAAGUCAAGUUUUAGUAUUCAACUAUUAAUAUUAAGAUAUACUUAGUAUGAGAUUUGUUAAAUUAGUUAUUUUACAUCGUAUUUCAGGUAGUGACGUGAAAGCUGGGCAAGACUGGUAAAUUUAACAAGAUUGCAAUACAUGGAUAUGUGAGUGGAGAACCUACUUUUCCAAUUAAAAAAAAAGGGGGGAAUUUCCUUUUUAAUUUUAUUUUAUAGAAGUAUAUUAAUUACCUGAAAUGUCUUAUUUUCAAGAAAUUAGUAAAUGAGCAAGAUUGUUUUGAAAUUUUCAAAAAAUAAUUGAUGUGAUUAUCUUACUCUAGUGCACUGAGGGGAUACGGCCGUGUACUAGAGUCAUGUAUUUAACUCUUAUACAUUGAGGGGUUGCAACCGUGUGUAAGGAUAACUCUUAUCCACUGAUGGGCUACGGCCGUGUGUAAGGGUACCUAUUAUACAUUGAGGGGCUACAAUCGUGUGUAAGGGUAACUCUUAUCUACUGAGGGGCUACGGCCGUGUGUAAGGAUACCUAUUAUAUACUGAGGGACUACAGUCGUGUAUAAGGAUGAUCAUGUUGUUUCCAUCUUAUACACUGAGGGGCUACGGUCGUGUACAGAGUGUUGAUCAGACGGUUUAUAUGCGUCUGACUUUGUAGCUUUUAGAUCAUCAGUAGAUGUUUACAUGGGGUAUAUUUUGAUGUGAAUUUUAUGUAUAUAGUGGUUUAUUAGCCUUCAACUUAUAUUUCCCCGUUUGCUAUUCAGCUUAUGGAAUUCAGAUUAUAGAAUUCAAUUCGUUCAAUUUUCAGAGUAAAGCUUCCAAUUUAUAGUAUUGAGCAACAAUAUUUCACAGAUUUUCAUAGAUUUCAGAUUAUUUAUAUUCACUAUAUUUUACAAUUAUUGAACUAGAAUGAAGAAUAAAGAAUUUUAUCAUCCAAUUAUGUCAGUUUUAAAAGUGUUACUAAAUUUUUGAAUUUCUCAAAGUUUUAGUAAAGCAAGAAUUAUACAUAUAUGAAAAAGUAUACUUAUUUUCAAUUUAUUCACUCACUGAGUUACAAACUCCAAUUUUUUUACCAUUCUCUUAGCAGAUAGCAUCUAUGUUGAGUAGCUUUGGAGCCUGUCGAUCCACCGAGAGUGCCAGACACACACAUUGUCAUUAGAUGUAUGAUUCAUUUCGUCAAUUUAUAUAGUUCAAAUUUCCUUUAGGAUACAUGUAUGUUUUGACAGAAUCGUUAAUUGGUAAUUUAUAGAUCCAUACCAUGGGCUCACUGCAUAUUUAAUAUUCUCAUUGCUUCUGGGGUCUUUUGUUUAUAAAGCAUGGUAAAUGUUUUGAAUUGUUUGUAUUUUAAAGGACUAGCGUGUUAUAUUUUAAAUUAUCUGUACAGUUUUGAUAAAUUUGAUAUUUGUUUAGGUGAUUUAGUCCAUAUUUUAAAGGAAAUUCUGUCAAAAUUUUUACACAUAUAUGUCAUAGUCAAAGUAGGUCAAAUCUGCUUUGGUGGUGCGUCCAACACUUAGUUGGUAUCUACCAUCGGCUCACAACACAUGUCAGGUCUAUUAGGGUGAUUCGGGACGGGUUGUGUCAGUAAUCCCAACUUAAUCCUUUUUACAGCAAAUGUACGAGAAAAUCAUCAGUGGAGUACAAUCCAAAUUCAACUUUUUGAAACUAUGUUUAAUUAAAAUAUUUAAAACACUUAUCAAGUUGGUAGCCACUUGUGUGCAGUGCAUUAGGAGUUAAUCUUUUUAUUUUUGGAUUAGAAGGAAAACUAAUUUUAAUCAUAAUUUUAUUAGAUUUUCAUUGAUUACUGGUUUAGUUCAAUUAAACAAGUAGAAUCCUACUUUCAAAAAGAAAUCUCAAAUCUCACCGAUUUAUACCCCCACAUUGAAGCAAAUCUGCAUUCGUAAGUUAUUACUUUCAAAGCAUACAUGCACCCAUUUGGUCACAGAAGCAGAGAGUUUAAGAAAGUUUUGAAAUGUACAAUCAUAUUUUUCUUUUCGAAAUUUUGUUUGAUACGAGGGAAGAUACAUAAAGCAUAAGUGGUUCGUCGAUACAUGCAUGAAUUGUUGGUUGACCUUUGGGUUCGACUUAAUAAAACAUGAACUUUUUUGGGUUCUUUAAAACGAAAUAUGAAAUAUCUCAAGAAUUCGAAAUGAGUACGUGAUGAGUGUCUCAUUUUAUCACCGAUAUACUCCAAAUAAAUUGUGGUAUGAGAUGUUUAUUUUAUUGUUAUAUAAUUGUAUAUGAAAACUGCAUGUAUCUUAUUAGGUACUAUCAAAUACUCAUUCUUAAAAUAAUUUACAAGUUAGUUGAGAUCGAUUGAAACUGUGGCAGAAUAGUGAUGUGGACUACCAAGAAGAUUUGAAGAACUAAAAACAUUAAAUUUUCGAUCUUUCAAUUGAUUAUUUAGUUUUAAAUUGUUCAAAAAUAAGUUUGUUCAAUAGUUAGGUAGUUAUAUCUAUUUUUUUAAGGAAAUACAAGUUACAUGCUUUAAAUUGAUAUUUAUUAUUGAAAAUAAAGAGAUUAAUUUUAUUAUUAUCGUUUUCCACAAUAUCGUGAAGGAAAUUGAAUUUUAGUAUCAUUCUAAGGUUUAUGAAUAUUGGGGUGUUAUAAUUUGAUAAUAAAGCACAUGUUUAUCUUUCUGUAUUCUUUUUAACAAAAUAGUUAUUUGUUUCAAAUAAAUGAAUUUUAAUAGGAAUUUACCAAUUAAAAAAUUUGUAUUUUAAGAGUUCCCACUUAUUAUUUGAGUUUUCUUGAUUUACGUAUUUGUAAAAUUGAAUGGUUUAGUCAAAACGACCUAAAUUGUUUAAAGAGAGUUUGAGAUUUAAGUGGUUCACUUAUAAUCUUCCUCCUCACCUGAAAGCCUUUUAGUUGCACGCUAUUCAAAUCAUAAAAAUGAAAAAUAACAUUUCAAACCAUUCCAUAUUUAAGAAAAUUUUAUUUUUAACAAAUUCUAUUUCAAGAGAAUUCCUUUUUAGGAAAUUUUUAUAUUGAAAAAAAAUAAAAAAAUAAAAGUAUUGUCAUAGGAUUUUGCCACUUUGACAGAAAAAUUGUAACAGAUGCGAUGAUAUAAUCCCAGUUGGAAAUAGAUGAUUUGAUGGGGAUGUUUAUUGUGUUUGAAAUUGUCCAAUAAUGGGAUGUCAUGUGAUAUUAUAUCAAAAAUUAUGUCAACUAUUAUGUUCCUGUAGCAUGAUUGAUUUUCAUAAGAAUUAUGAGUUUAAGGAGAAUAUUUUUGUAAAGUUUUUGUAAUGUCCCCAAAUUUUCAUAGAUUAGAAUUUAAUUUAUGUGUGCUAUAUUUUAAUAUUUUGGAAGUUUAGUGACUAAAGUGUAUAUAACGUAAAAUUUAAUCUUUUUGGGCUUAAAAUGUAAAUAUUGGCGGGUUAAUGAUUAAUAUAUGAAUAUUGGGCUUGUUGGAUAGAUCGUAAUUAAAGACACAGUUUAGGCUCGAGAAAAACUUUAUUUGGAUUAGUCGAGCCCAAGUUAUCGAAGCCAGAAGAUAUAACAUUAAAAUAUUAUUUUUAUUACUUUUGUUUUUGGAAGAAUUUACGUGGAGAGAGAGAUGAAAGUUGUUGAGAUAUUUUAUUGUUUUAUUAUUAAUAAUAAUAUUUUAUUAAGUGUUUUGAAUUGGGAGGUCUCACGUGAAGUACUAGGAUUCUAAGUAGGGGUAGGUAAGUGAUAAUCGAUUUGUUUAUUAAAUGAAAUAAAGUAGAGAGAGAGAGAGAGAAUUAUGGGGAGCCCCAACCACGUGAGUGAUUGUUGAGAAACCAAAUGGAUGUGUAGGGUAAUGUUUGGCUGUUGGGUGAUUGGUUAGUUGACAGUACAUGAUCUUAUAUUGAUAAGGUUUGGGUCUCCGAUUUUUUUCAAAAACAGUUUUUUUUUACUUUAUCUAAAUAUCCACUCUCCCACAUGUUUUCCUAUGAAUACUUCUACAUAUGUAUAUGGAAUGAACUGCACGAGAAUAAGGACACAAAAAAUAUAUUGGUACGUGCACACAUUGUCAAUAGAGGCAGAAAAAUAUAGAAGAAAAGAACGUGAUUUUAUUAUUUCUCUUCCGGAAAUUAAAUCAAGGUAGGAUUACGAGGUGCAAGUGGGUUGUCCCAUUUAAAUUAUUUCUUCAUAUUUGAUAAAUAUUAUACUUAUGAAAGUUAUGAUAUGUAUAAUGUAAUUAUGAUAUGUAUGUUAUGGUCAUCCGGUACCAAAGAUAUGAUACGAUAUGAACUCUUACCGAUUCUAAAGAUAUGAUAUGACGGUAUGAUAUUUUGACGCGUGAUUUAAUAUUUUAAUUGGGAUUGCACAAUUUCUCGUACCCUACUGAGUAUUCCCAUAUACUCACCAUUUUCCUACUCCUCACAGGUUAGACCGGGUCAUGUUGGAGCGUGGUGGUUCGAAGGUGUGGUUGUGUCUUGUUUCACCAAAUAAAGAUCUAAGUUAGCACGUAAUGUUUAUUUAUUUUCAGUUUAUUUCAAUAAACAUUUAUUUAUUUACGAAUAAAUUCUCGUUUAUGUUAGUUGCAGAUGAAUAUACGUAUUUUAUGAUUUUUAAAUAGAAGUUUGAACUAAAUGUUAUUUUCCUUCCUAUCGAUUUGCAAAUCUGUUCUUUCAUAUACGUUGGGAAGAAAGAAUUUAAUAGUUUGCAUGCCUAUAUUUGUACUUUACUUUGAUUUUCCCCAAAUUGAUGGAAAUUUAGGGUCAACACAAUGAUUCCCUGCCACCCCACACCUUCAUUUGUGUCCCAUCACAUCCAUAGCAUUAAUUAUGAUAUGAAUUUGAUAGUUUUUGCUUGUACGUGUUAGUCAUGAAUCAAUGUCUUGUUCGUAGUUUUUUUUUUGACAUAAAUGAAUUCUGUUUUGGAUUUUUUUUGUUUAAUUGCAGUAAAUAAACAUUCCGUGAGUUAUUUAAUUCCAUCCGUUGCCUUUGACUUAAUUAAGUAACUAAUUGAAAUUAUGCACUAAUUAGGGGGAAAUAUUGUGUUAUGAACCACUGUAUUAAUUAUGCCAGGAGUUAGCAAAUUCAUGUUUGUCUGCCACACCCGUGUCAAAUUCGUUUUAAUUCAUAAGUCUUAGAUAUAAAUUUAUUGGAUCUCCCGAAAUACAUAGGAAUAAGAUGUUAUUUUAAUUUGACUUGAGUGUUCAACACGUGAAGAUGAUUGAUAAUUGGAGAUUCAAUGAAAGCAAUAUUUUUUUAGAAUUCAUUAUAUAUAUAUAUAUAUAUAUAUAUAUAUCCAUGUGUUUUAUUUAUUUUAUAGAUGGAACUAGAAAGAUUUUCAUGUUGGAUGUUUAUUAUUUUAAUUAUUUAUGGAAUGAAAGGUUUGGUAACGAUUUCUAAAUCUAUAUAAGAUUUGGGUCGUUACAGUUUGGUAUCAGAGCAUAGGUUUAAAUUCCUGUAGACUCACAUGUAUUCUCAUAAUUCGGUUUUAAAAAAAAAAAAAAAUUAUUGUGAACAGUGACCGGACCGUUCACGUGAACAGUACUCGGUACUGUUCACUGUUCACGUGAAUAGUAUUGUACUGUUCACGUGAACAGUGUAGGAUAAAAAAAUAAAAAUAAAUAAAAAUUGUGUGAUGUUAUAUAUAUAUUGAAUUUUCUUUUUUGUUACAUGUUAUAAAAGGCUUAUUUGCUUAUUUAUUUUCCUAGAUAAUAUUUGUUUAAGGUUAAUAUUUAUUUAUUUAUUUAUGAAUUUAACGAUAAUAUUAAAUUAAAAGUUAUGAAAUAUGUGAAUGAUCUUUGGCACUCAACGACCACCAAUCGACCACCCUCCAACGACUCUAAGGUAUGUAAAAAGGGUAAGAAGAUAAAUGUACUUAAAGCUUUUUGCGAGAUUUAAAUGCUUUAAAUUUCCUAUCUUUAAAUGUUAAGACAUCCACGUUUAUUUUUCCCACUAAAUUAUGAUAUAUAUUGUCAUAGAUAAUUAUAACUUAUUAGACUUAGUACUAAGUGUGAUUGGUGACUUCAUAUUAAAUUUUAGGAAAUGGCACCACCUACUCAUACGAAUUUGAUGCGCGAUUUACUACGAGCGGUACAAGAGUUGAGCAGGCAAAAUCAAGCACCUCCACCACAAAAUGCACCGCCACAGCAGAAUGCACCGCAUUUUGCCCCUGGAGCUAUCUCAGUGGUUGAGCAGUUUCGUAGGUACAAGCCUUCCACUUUUGACGGUAAUUCUGAAUCACUGGUUGUCGAAGAGUGGAUAAGAGGCCUGGAGCGCAUAUUUCGACACAUUGCUUGUACGGAUGCACAGAAAGUAUUAUGUGCAGAAUUUAUGUUGAUUGGAGCAGCUGGUCACUGGUAGGAAUCUGUUUCACGUACAAGGACGGAAGAGCAGCACCGUAAUCUGACUUGGGAGCAGUUUAAAGAUGAAGUGAUGGCAAAAUAUUUCCCACAGGCUUUGAGAGAUUUCAAGGAAUUAGAAUUUUUGCAGCUCAGACAAGGGAGUAUGUCACUUACUGAUUAUGAAAGACAGUUUGAGCAGCUCUCAAGAUAUGCCCCGCACUUGGUGGAUACAGAAGUUAAGAAGAUUAGGAGGUUUGAGAAUGGACUGCGCCCUGAGAUCGGCAUGAUCAUUAUGUCCCAUCGUUUCACCUCAUAUCGUGAAAUGUUAGAGAGGGCUCAUGCUAUUUCCUAUCAGAGGACUACCUUUGAACAGUAUGCCCAGCAAAGCAAGGGGUCAUCGGGAAAAAGAAAGUGGAAUGAUCCAAACAAGGACAGACGUAAUUGGUAGAGUAAAAGGCCAAACACAGGAGUUCGUAUUGGGGGAGCGAGUGAGAAUAUUACACCGUGUCCUAAGUGUAAUAAACUCCACAGGGGUGAAUGCUUACUCGGGAAGAACAUGUGUUUCCGAUGUGGUAAGCCAGGGCACAUUGCUCUCAACUGUACAGAGCCACCAAAAAGGAAGGAUGAUGAUCAGGACAAGAACAAGAAAGGAAAGGCCCGAGUUUUCACACUAAAUCAGCAUGAGGCGGAGCAGGAUCCGAAUGUGAUAGCGGGUACUAAAUUAUUAAUAUUUUAACGCACUUGCUUAUGUUCUUUUCACAUAGGACUACACAUUGUUCCAUCUCCGUCCCUUAAAUGUUAUUCUAACACUAUAAAUUAUAAAAACAUGUAUUCUGUUAUUAUCUGAUGUGCCUGCUUAUGUACUUUUUGAUUCUGGGGCUACCAAUUCUUUUAUCUCUGCAUCCUUCGUCGUUAAGUCCAACUUUGCAUGUGUAAGAACGAAUAAUGAACUAGAGGUUAGCAUCCCUUCAGGAAGAACUCUUUGUACAAAUUAGAUGACUAAGGACAUAAAAUUAGAGAUUGACGGAAAAAUAUUAGAGGCAGACUUGUACCUUUUGGAGAUGAAAGAUUUCGAUGUUAUUUUAGGCAUGGAUUGGUUGGGAAUUAAUCAUGCAACCAUUCGAUGUUACGAGAAAGAAGUAUUGUUUCAUAGACCAGGAGAGGAAGAGUUUCGUUUCUUGGGAGCAAAGUUCAAGUCUUUACCGCUCCUAAUAUCAGCUAUGCAAGCAGAAAAGAUGUGAAGGAAGGAGUCAUGCCAGGGAUUCUUAGUUAACAUCAAUAGUUCUCAACAUACAGAAAUGACCGUUAAUGAUAUUAACAUCGUCCGAGACUUUGCAGAUGUAUUCCCAGAAGAUUUGCCAGGCAUUCCACCAGAUAGACAAAUGGAAUUUACAAUUGAUUUAGUUCCUGGAACGGCACCAAUAUCUAAGGCCCCAUACCGAAUGGCACCGAAAGAACUACAAGAAUUGAAGUUGCAAUUAGAGGAGUUACUGGAGAAAGGCUUCAUACGACCAAGUGUAUCUCCUUGGGGAGCACCUGUACUUUUUGUCAAGAAGAAGGAUGGGAGUAUGAAGAUGUAUAUUGACUAUCGGGAAUUGUACCAUCUGACCAUAAAAAAUAAGUACCCACUGCCAAGAAUAGAAGAUUUGUUUGACCAGUUAAUGGGUGCUGCAGUAUUUUCAAAGAUCGACUUGAGGUCAGGGUAUCACCAGCUAAAAAUCAGGGCAAGCGAUAUACCGAAAACUGCUUUCAGGACUCGUUAUGGGCAUUAUGAAUUCACUGUCAUGCCUUUUGGUUUGACCAAUGCUCCAGCUGUAUUUAUAGAUCUCAUGAAUAGAGUAUUCCAUCAGCAUUUAGAUCAGUUCGUCAUAGUGUUUAUUGACGACAUACUUGUGUACUCAAAAGACAAGAAGCAACAUAAGGAACAACUUCGAAUUGUACUUGAAACUUUGAGGAAUGAGAAAUUAUAUGCCAAAUUCAAAAAGUGUGAAUUUUGGCUUGACCGUGUAGUUUUUUAGGUCACGUUGUUACCACCCAAGGAAUCGAAGUAGACCCCGCUAAAGUGAAAGCAGUAACAAAUUGGCUAAGGCCGAGCGAUGUGGGUGAAGUCCGCAGUUUCUUGGGAUUGGCUGGUUAUUAUAGAAGAUUCAUUGAAGGCUUCUCAAAGAUAGCAGGGCCAAUGACUCAAUUGACAAGAAAGGGUAUAAAGUUUCGGUGGACAGAAAAAUGUGAAAAAUGCUUUGAAGAACUCAAGUAGAGACUAGUGUCAGCUCCUGUAUUGACGAUACCUGAAGGUUCAGAGGGAUUUGUGAUUUACAGCGAUGCCUCCAAGCAGGGCUUGGGUUGUGUACUGAUGUGGCAUGGAAAAGUGGUUGCUUAUGCCUCGAGACAGUUGAAACAGUAUGAACAAAACUAUCCAAUGCAUGACUUGGAGCUUGCAGCAGUUGUUCACGCCUUAAAGAUAUGGCGUCAUUAUCUUUAUGGUGGGAAGUGUGAAAUUUAUACGGACCACAAGAGUCUCAAAUACUUUUUCACACAGAAGGAACUAAACAUGAGACAGAGGAGAUGGUUGGAGUUAGUGAAGGAUUAUGACUGCACAAUUCAUUACCAUCCGGGUAAGACUAAUGUAGUUGCAGAUGCCCUAAGCAGAAAGACAGGAACACAGUUAGCAGUUUUACCCACAGUACAGGAACACUUGAUAAGGGAGUUUGAUAAAUUGAGAUUGGAAGUUAUCACGCCGCCAACUCAGAUUUCAGGGAGAAUAAGAGCAUUCAUGAUUCAACCUACACUUCGAGAUCGAAUUAAGGAGGCACAGGAUAAAGAUCCAUUUUUAUAGAAGAUAAAGGCCAAGAUUGGUACAGAUAAACAUAUAGGGUUUGCAGUAUCUGCAGAUAAUGCGCUAACUUUCAAAGGAAGACUGUGUGUACCUAAGGAUGAAAGUAUAAGAAAUGAGAUAUUAGAAGAGGCUCAUUCAACCCCUUAUUCUGCUCAUCCAGGUGGUACGAAAAUGUACCGAGAUCUCCGGGAUGUAUUUUGGUGGAGAAAUAUGAAGAGAGGAAUUGGUCUGUUCGUGGAGAGAUGUAUUAUCUGUCAACAGGUUAGGGCAGAACAUCAAAGGCCAUCAGGAUUACUGAAAUCGUUGGAUAUUCCAGAAUGGAAAUGGGAACACAUAACGAUGGACUUUGUGGUAGGCCUCCCGAGAUCAGCAAAAGGUCACAAUGCUAUCUGGGUAGUGGUGGAUCGUCUGACGAAGUCAGCCCAUUUUCUUCCAAUUAAAGUAAACUUUAAUUUGGAACAGCUGGUACACUUAUACAUCAGGGAGAUAGUCAGGUUGCAUGGAGUCCCAGUCACCAUUGUUUCAGAUAGAGACCCGAGGUUCACAUCUAAAUUUUGGAAAAGUUUGCAGACAGCCAUGGGAACAAAACUGAAGUUUACCACAACUUAUCAUCCUCAGACGGAUGGACAAUCAGAAAGAACCAUCCAAACUUUGGAAGAUAUGCUAAGGGCAUGUGUUUUGGAUCUUGGAGGUAGUUGGGAGACACACCUGCCGUUAGUGGAGUUUGCUUACAACAAUAGUUUUCAGGCCACUAUAGGAAUGGCCCCGUAUGAAGCUCUUUAUGGUAGAAAGUGCAGAUCCCCUAUCCAUUGGGAUGAAGUCGGGGAAAACAGAAUUUUGGGUCCAGAAAUCAUUGAACGAACAGUUGAGGCAGUGGAUAAUAUUAGAGCAAGAAUAAAGGCCGCACAAGAUCGACAGAAAAGUUAUGCUGACAGUAGAAGAAAGGAUUUAAAAUUUCAAAGAGGUGACAAAGUCUUUCUAAAGGUAGCACCAAUGAAAGGUGUAUUGAGAUUUGGAAAGAAAGGAAAGUUGAGGCCGCGGUUCGUCGGACCUUUCGAAAUUCUUGAAAGGAUUGGUAGUUUGGCUUACAGACUUGCCUUGCCACCUGAACUAACAGCAGUGCAUAAUGUGUUCCAUGUUUCGAUGCUCAGAAAAUAUGUUCAUGAUCCCAAUCAUGUAGUAAGCUAUCAGACGUUGGAUGUACCAAAAGAUCUAUCAUAUGAAGAAAUUCCGACGGUAAUUUUGGAAAGAAAGGUACAUCAACUUAGGAAGAAAGGAGUUCCACUGGUCAAGGUGCAAUAGCGAAAUCAUGGACGAGAGGAAUCAACUUGGGAGAAAGAAGAAGAGCUUAGAACCAAGUAUCCAGAACUUUUCAAUUAACCAAGGUAAAUUUUCGAGGACUUAAAUAUUUAAGGAGGGGAGAUUGUAAUGUCCCCAAAUUUUCAUAGAUUAGAAUUUAAUUUAUGUGUGCUAUAUUUUAAUAUUUUGGAAGUUUAGUGACUAAAGUGUAUAUAAAGUAAAAUUUAAUCUUUUUGGGCUUAAAAUGUAAAUAUUGGCAGGUUAAUGAUUAAUAUAUGGAUAUUGGGCUCGUUGGAUAGAUCGUAAUUAAAGACGCAGUUUAGGCUCGAGAAAAAAUUUAUUUGGAUUAGUCGAGCGCAAGUUAUCGAAUCCGGAAGAUAUAACAUUAAAAUAUUAUUUUUAUUACUUUUGUUUUUGGAAGAAUUUACGUGGAGAGAGAGAUGAAAGUUGUUGAGAUAUUUUAUUGUUUUAUUAAUAAUAAUAAUAUUUUAUUAAGUGUUUUGAAUUGGGAGGUCUCACGUGAAGUACUAGGAUUCUAAGUAGGUGGUAGGUAAGUGAUAAUUGAUUUGUUUAUUAAAUGAAAUAAAGUAGAGAGAGAGAGAGAGAAUUAUGGGGAGCCCCAACCACGUGAGUGGUUGUUUGGAAACCAAAUGGACGUGUAGGGUAAUGUUUGGCUGUUGGGUGAUUGGUUAGUUGACAGUACAUGAUCCUAUAUUGAUAAGGUUUGGGUCUCCUAUUUUGUUUCAAAAACAGUUUUUUUUUUUUACUUUAUCUAAAUAUCCACUCUCCCACACGUUUUCCUAUGAAUACUACUGCAUAUGUAUAUGGAAUGAACUGCACGAGAAUAAGGACACAAAAAAUAUAUUGGUACGCGCACACAGUGUCAAUAGAGGCAGAAAAAUAUAGAAGAAAAGAACGUGAUUUUAUUAUUUGACUUCCGGAAAUUAAAUCAAGGUAGGAUUACGAGGUGCAAGUGGGUUGUCCCAUUUAAAUUAUUUUCUUCAUGUUUGAUAAAUAUUAUACUUAUGAAAGUUAUGAUAUGUAUAAUGUAAUUAUGAUAUAUAUGUUAUGGCCAUCCGGUACCAAAGAUAUAAUAUGAUAUGAGCUCUUAUCGGUUUUAAAGAUAUGAUAUGACGGUAUGAUAUUUUGACGCGUGAUUUAAUAUUUUAAUUGGGAUUGCACAAUUUCUCGUACCCUACUGAGUAUUCUCAUAUACUCACCAUUUUCCUAUUCCUCACAGGUUAGAUUGGGUCGUGUUGGAGCGUGGUGGUUCGAAGGUGUGGUUGUGUCUUGUUUCGCCAAAUAAAAAUCUAAGUUAGCACGUAAUGUUUAUUUAUUUUCAAUUUAUUUCAAUAAACAUUUAUUUAUUUACGAAUAAAUUCUCGUUCUUGUUAGUUGCAGAUGAAUAUACGUAUUUUAUGAUUUUCAAAUAGAAGUUUGAACUAAAUGUUAUUUUCCUUCCUAUCGAUUUGCAAAUCUGUACUUUCGUAUACGUUGGGAAGAAAGAAUUUAAUAGUUUGCAUGCCUAUGUUUGUACUUUACUUUGAUUUUCCCCAAAUUGAUGGAAAUUUAAGGUCAACACAAUGAUUCCCUGCCACCCCCACCCCCUCAUUUGUGUCCCAUCACAUCCAUAGCAUUAAUUAUGAUAUGAAUUUGAUAGUUUUUGCUUGUACGUGUUAGUCAUGAAUCAAUGUCUUGUUCGUAGCAUUUUUUUUGACAUAAAUGAAUUUUGUUUUGGAUUUUUUUUCUUUAAUUGCAGUAAAUAAACAUUCUGUGGGUUAUUUAAUUCCAUCCGUUGCCUUUGACUUAAUUAAGUAACUAAUUGAAAUUAUGCACUAAUUAGGGGGAAAUAUUGUGUUAUGAACCACUGUAUUAAUUAUGCCAGGAGUUAGAAAAUUCAUGUUUGUCUGCCACACCCGUGUCAAAUUCGUUUUAAUUCAUAAGUCUUAGAUAUAAAUUUAUUGGAUCUCCCGAAAUACAUAGGAAUAAGAUGUUAUUUUAAUUUGACUUGAGUGUUCAACACGUGAAGAUGAUCGAUAAUUGGAGAUUCAAUGAAAGCAAUAUUUUUUUAGAAUUCAUUAUACAUGAUUAAAUACAUAUAUAUCUAAUAAUUUGUUUUUAAGUUCUUCCAUGCGUUUUAUUUAUUUUAUAGGUGGAACUAGAAAGAUUUUCAUGUUGGAUGUUUAUUAUUUUAAUUAUUUAUGGAAUGAAAGGUUUGGUAACGAUUUCUAAAUCUAUAUAAGAUUUGGGUCGUUACAGUUUUAACCAGGUAAUAACAUGAAAAAUCCUUGGGGACGUUCACUGUUUGACCACUCUCCAAUUGAUUCUAGGUAUGAAUUGAAUGUUAUUCUUUUAUCAUAAUUACGAGUCAUCUUGCUUCAUGUUAUGAAAUGUAUAAGCAUGUUUACCUCUCGUAGUUUAUUAGUUGAACUAUUUUACAUUUUAUAUGAAUAUUGUUUAUGUUGGGAAUCUACUUAUACAUGCACAGUGGAAAAUUAAAAUUAUUUUGAUUCCCACCGAGAAUCCCUUUGUGUUUAGAUAGAAAUCGUGAUAAGAUUGUACCUUUUCAAAUCUGAAAAUUUCUUUACUAUUAUUUUCGUUCCAACAAUCUUGAUUCGCCACCUACAGCUGUCCAAUUGUCCAGCCUCCAACGGUGAUCCACACAAAGAAUAAGAUUGCAGCUAAUAGGGUUUUCUCUCUUGUGCCAGCAAGAAUAAUGAAAAUCAUAUAGACCUCAAACCCUAACCAUGUAUUUAUAUACACCCAAAUGGGCUCGGCCCGAUCCGGUCCAAUAUUUAAUUAAUCCAUUUAAUUAAACCCGAUCUGUGAAUUAAUUAAUCCAAUUUAUUAAUUUAUACAAUGAUGUUAAAUUAACUAAUUGACAAUUUUCAAUCUUCCAAUUCUUUUUUGUGUGUGACCCAUUAGGUUCCCGACCACGAUGUCUAACGACGUGAAAUAUUAUUUUGAUCUAAUCAAAAUUGAUAAAUUAAAACACUCUUUUAAUUUAUCGUCAAUUCACACUCGCCGUCCCUGAUUGACAUCUAGCAAUGUGUCAGGGCAAUACAUGUGACGAAAAAUGUCACGUGGUAUGACAAAAUCAAAUUCGUUCGUUUACCGUGAAACUAUAAUCCCUUCGUCAAUAUGAUCCGAUCAAUUACGAGAUAUGGAAGUGUGUCAAUCUCGAUCAUCGAUCAUAUCUUUCACUCCACUAUUAAGUCAAUAUAAGUCGAAAACUCAUUUUCGACUUAUGAAUACACCUUGGCCAAGGAUUUCAUCAUCGACUUAAUUGAAUGAAACACAGAUCAUAAUCUCCUACAAUCUAAGAGUGACAAAUCCUUUAUUGAUUAAUCACAACCUUCAUACGAUUCUUGACGUACCCGAACGAUAUCGUAUUAGCGGCCUUUUUCAGAGCAACAUCCAACACUGUCAAAGUAUGACUAUCCUCAUGUAAGGUACCAUGACGACAUCAAGUCAAAGGACCAAUUCCAUUACCGAACGUUAGAGAUUAACCACUGACACUUAGAUAGUUAUCCAUGUGGAAUCUCUUGGCGGGUCUCCAAAGUUUUGUUCUAUAACAAAACAUCCACGUGUUCAUUUAAGUGUCACCACACUUUAGCUUGCGAGAUCAGCUACUUACUUUACAAGUAAGAAAUGUCACACGUAAUGAUCUAUCCAUAAUAACGAUAUCCGUAUCUCGUUAUUACUUACGACCACGGAUGAUUUAAGAUUCAAUCAGAUGUAAUUUAUAUCUCACAAUCACAACUCCUUGAUUAACAAAUUACGAAUAUUUGAAUCUACGGACUCUAUUAUUUAUUUAAUUGCCUAUUAAUUAAAUAAUAGAUCUGUCAUUAAAUUGCAUUAAUUAUAUAUCAAAAGUAUUUAUGUCCAAAGUUGAUUGGACUUAGGGCAUAAUACUUACAGUUUAUUCGAGCAUAGAAUGAAAUAAAUUGUCAUUGAAAAAUUAAGCAUAAUUAAAUUUAUACAUUUCACACAUGGUUAAGACUAGACAAAUAUAGUUGAACGAAUAGAAUGGCUAGAAAGAAUAUGAUUUACACAAGUACCUUAGGACCUAUGAUUGUAGCUAUUUGAGAGUAUGAGUACUUUGUGUCAAAUAUGGCCAUGACAAGUUAAAUGCAAAAUUUAAUACAAGGAAUUGAGAAUGGACCAAGAAAAAUCGGAAGGAAUAUUUAAUUAUUUUCAUUCAACCGAUGUAGUAGAGGUUUGCAAUUCAUUGAGUUUCAUUCAAUCAAUGUAGAAGAGAGAUUGUUGUGUUUAAUAUUUCUAAGACAAAAUUUUGUUUUGUAUAAAGAAAAUUUCGAAACAACAAAAUCAAGUUACAAUCAUCAGUGAUCUGUUAAGAGUUGUAUAGGAUCUUGAUAGACAAUAAGCACAGACUGACCUUCAAAUUGCAUCGAUCAAUGCUAACAACACAACUCAAUUGUUGAACAGUUCCACCGUUAUGAGCCCUCAGUUUCCGAUGGCAAAGUAGACUCACUGGCAACUGAAGAAUGGAUAAUCUUCAACAUCUCUCAUCCAAUGAUGCUCUGAAAGUAUCAUGUAAAGUGUUCACGUUGGUUGAUGUAGUGGGCUAUUGGUUGGAAUUUGGCUCAAGCACUAGAACUAAGGCAUGCAACAAGUUUUGACUAGGAUACAAUUCAAAGAAGUGAUAGAAAAAUACUUUCUACAAGCCCUAAAAGAUCAAAAGGAGGUAGAGUUUCUAAAACUUAACAAGGAAAAGUGAAGCUUGAGGAAUAUGAGAGAAAGUUCGAAUAGCUCUCUAGGCACGCACUGCACCUGGUAGAUACCAAGGCAAAAAGCGAGGAUGUUCGAACUAGGAUUGCAUCCAAAGAUUGGUAGAAUAAUGACCUCCCACCAAUUAACCACAUACAAUUAGGUUUUGCAAACUGCUCAAGCAAUCUCAAAUAAAUUAGAGAUUGACCAAACUUUUCAACAAGAGUUUUGAAGAAAGUGAAAAUGAAAUGGGUCCAACAAAGAGAAAAGGGAUGGACAAAACAAGAAAUUCAACAUAGUAUGGAGUUCAUAACAAGUUGUUACACUCUGUCCUAGUGCAAUAAGAUGCAUAGGAGUGAGUGUAUAUGGGAGUAAUAUGUGUUACCGAUGCGACGAAGCAGGCCAUGUUGCUAAAAACUGUAAAGAAGCCCCCUCGAAGAGAAAUGAUGAGCAAGGCAAGAAAGCGAAAGCUAGAGUUUUUGCCUUAACUCAAGACAAGGCAAUGGAGGAUUUGAACAUGAUGGCAGACAUUUUUUUUAUACGUGGAAUUCCUGCUUAUGUUCUUUUAGGCUAUGGAGCCACUCUUCCAUUCACUUUUGCUGCCUUUAUUAAUAAGUCACUUAUUACAUGUGAAGAAUUCGAUAGUGUUCUAAAAGUUACUAUCUCAUUGGACAAACCUUUGAAUACCAAUAAGAAAACUAAAGCGAUUAAAGGACUGGGUGUUCAAAGUCGUUUAUCUUAUGAGAAGGCUCUAACAGCUAUUUUUGCAAGGAAGAUACACAAAUCGAGAAAUAAAGAAAUUGUAUUAGUUAAGGUCCAAUGGUAGAAUUCUGGAAUAAAAUAGUCUACUUAGGAGAGAGAAGAUAUCAAGGUCAAGUACAUGGAAACCUUCAACUAGUUAAUGUAAUUUCUAGGACGAAUUCAUUUGAAGAAUGAGAGAUUGUAAUGCUCCAAAAUUUUAUAAAAUGAAAUUAUUUGGUGCUAAUGAUUUUGAUCUAGAUUCCCUUUUUAUAAUUUUGGGAAAUUGAACGAUUAAAGUGAAAUAGUAUUAAAUUCAAUUUUAUUUGGGGCAAAUAAUUAAAUAUUGAUGGCGAAGAUAAGUAUAUCAAUACUUGGCUUGUCUUGUAGUUCGUAUUAAAAAACGCGUCGUGGACUCGAGAAGAGUUAAUUCGGAUAAGUUAAGCCCUAGUUAUUGAAGUUUAAAGAAAUUAUCAUCAGCUAAUAAUUAAUUAAGUUGGUUUAUGAUUUAAUUUUUAUCGCAGUCUCGGUUCAAUUGUAGAAUAAAUUGUAUUACUAAUUUGAUAAAUGUUAUUUAAUUAAGUUUAGUUAAUGACUUAUCAAGUUGGAAGCCACGUGUGAGUAGAUUAUUAGAGUAUUUUUUUUUUCCUUUUUUAGAUUGGGAGGAAAACUAAUUCUAAUCCUAAUUUUAUUAGAUUUUCAUUGAUUACUGGUUUAGUUCAAUUAAAAAACUGGAAUCCUACUUUCAAAAAAAAAUCUCAAAUUUUACCUAUUUAUACCCCCCAACAUUGAACCCAAUUUGCAUUACUUAGAUAUUAUUUUCAAAGCAUACAUGCACCCAUUUAUUUACAGAAGCAGAGAGUUUGAGAAAAAGUUUUGGAAUGUGCAAUCAUAUAUUUUUUUUUUCAAAAAUUCGUUUGAUCUAUCCAGGUAAGAUACAUAACAUGUAAGUGGUUUGAUUCCUUAUAACUUUAUUUGUGUAUAUAUAUAUAUAUAUAUAUAUAUAUAUAUAUUAUUAGUGGACCUUCGAAUUCGACCUAAAAAUGCCUUUUUAGUUCUUUAUAACGAAAUGUGAAAUCUUUCCAGAAUUCAAAAUUACUAUGUGAUGAGUGUCACGUUUGAUCACCGAGUUACGUUAAAUGAAAUUUGGUAUGAAGUGUCUAUUUUAUUGUUAUAUAAUUGUUUAUAAAAACUGCAUCUUAUUGGGUAUUGUCAAAUACUCAUGUAACAACCCGGUCUUUAUGCCAAAUCCGUUAACUUAUGUACUGUACAAUUUGUGAGAGCUUGAAUUUAUCUUACCUCUUACGAAUUUCUGUCGAGUCCCCAAAAUUCAAACAUAUGACAAUCACCUUAUGAGAGAUUUUAAUUUGAAUUAUAGUACCAAUUGAGCAAGUUGUUUAAUAAGUACCUGGAUUCAACUUAAAUUUCUCAUAAGGUGGAGGUAUUGGGUUCAAAAUUUGACGAUAGAAAGUCAAGAGGGAUAAGAUGGAUUUAGCUCUCCCAAAGCGAACAGUAUGUAAGUUAAUGAUUUAGAUACAGUGAGAGAUUGAAAAUAAGUUUGGAGGUAUGCAUUCAACAAGAAAAUGAGACAGUUGUCCAUUAAGGGUAAAAAAUAAUCAACCUAAAUGAUUAUAGUGAUUGAAUUGACUAUGAACACACACAUCGAUCGAGUAUUAAAUAAGUAUAAAUUUAUUUUGGUGGCAUUGCUUAUGAGACUUAUUUGAAUUGUCAAACAAUUUCAGUACUUAGGACGAAUACAACAUGCUAUCUAAUACUUUGACGUUUAUGUUUCAUUGCUUAUAUGCUCGCGAUGGAUAAGAGUUUAAGUUUGGGAUAUUUCAUAGGCAUAUUUUAUAAACGUCUUUAGUCUUUUAAACUCAAUUAUGGAUAAUUGAAAGGAUGUCUAUCUAAUUUAGUAAAUAUAUUAAUUUUAGGUAAAAUUUGACAUGAAUACAAUUAAUGCAAGAAAGGCAAUUUUUAACUUAAAUGGAGUUGAUUUGGAGCAAUUAAAGUAAUCGAAUUGCACGUGAUCAAUUAUAAGUAUUAAGAGGCAAUCCUAAGAAACUCAUAAGUUUUGUGAGUAAAGUUUGACAUUUGAAAAGUUUGGGAACUCUAUUGUAAACUUUCAAUACUUUUAACGGAUCAAUUAUGAAAGAGAAAUGAUGAUGAUGAUGAUGAUCAAAGUAUAAAGAUUUAAAGAUGAAGGAUCCAUGAUGAAUAAAGAAUGACUCGAGCAUUACCAAGAGGAAGAUUCAGGGAACAAUUUGAAAGAAAGGCAAACAUUGAUCUUGCAAACGCAAGAUUGAUGGAUGCGAUCGCAAGGCUGCUUAAAUUAAUUCAAACAAGUAAAAAUGAAAUAAUGUACGAUCAAAAUGGUUAAUACCAUCAAUCACAUGGAAUUAACAGACUAGGAUUUUUUUUUUUUUUUUCGAAUUUCAUUUAACCUCAUUUUGGAAAGCAAUUAGGAUAGAAUUUACACCUAAUUCCUGGGGCAAUAUAGACAACCUUUCAUCUGUUGUAAAAAGAAGAGGCUUUUGGGAUACAACAAACAUAUAUCUUACAAAGAAGAAGCCUUACAGAUAGAACAUAGAUAUUUCUCGCAUACUUUGAGUGAACUUUUUAUACAAAACACAUAUUUCAUACAUCUUCACUUGGGUUUGAAGAAGAAGAAGAAGAAGAAGAAGAAGAAGAAGAAGAAGAAGAAGAAGAAGAAGAAGAAGAAGAAUAUAUUCAAGGAGAUUGAUCAAGAACCAUUGAAAGGAUUCAAAAUUGUUUUCCAUCUUUCUUCUACCUUUAAUUUCGGGAAAUGAUGUAAUGAUUCAAUUCAUAUUUUUGUAUUACUAUGAUGCUCAGUUAAAUGUAUAGAUGAUAUGAUAAUGAUAAACCCUAUAUUUUGAUACAUUUAUAUUGAAAUCGAAAAUCCAUGAUUUGAAUUGAUGUCAUUUCAUUGAUUCCUUCUAAAUUGCGUUGGAUUUCACUUGACUGUCUAUGGUUCCAUUGUUUGUGCUCGAGGUAAAAGUUUUGUAUAAAUAUAUCACCAUGCUAUUAAGUAUUUUGAUUUAAGAUCUUUUAUUUCUAAGAGGUGGAAUAGAAUAACCCGGUGACCGAGAGAUAACUAUCGAGUAUUUGGACUAUCCGGACACAAACUUCGGGAAAUGGUUCAUGCGUGUUAAGUUUCAAAUAUUGACAUUUAAAUGUUUGUAUGGUUUUGAACGCUUCUUAUUGUCUUCAUGCUUUUUCAAUUACAAGGCCAUGAAUUGAAUUAAUAUAAUUUCUAUUGUCAUUUGAAAGAAGGAAAAUACAGCACAUGGUAACAAUCAUUGUAAAGUCCUAUAGACUUUUCCUAUGCUUUGUAUGAUCUCAUUGAUGUUCUUGUAAUUGAUUGUAUGAUCUCAUUGAAUAUUUUUUUGAUUGAAUGUAUCUUCAUAUAUUCGCGUCCAAGAUAUGAAUAUUUCAUGUCAUGUAUGAGAUAGAUUUAAUUUUUAUCAGGAGAGGUUAUUGAAUAAAAUAUGAGCACUGAUAUACGAGUCCAAAUAAAUGUUAACCAAUUAUGAGAUUGAUAUUAAGAUGGAAGGAUAUACGAGGAUUUGAUGUCCCGGUGACUUAUUGUUUAAUUGAGCCCCCGGUGGCACAGUAUGCCUUCGAUAUUAAGAUGGAAGGAUAUACGAGGAUUCGAUGUCCCGGUGGCUUAUUGUUAAUUGAGUUUAUACGCGCUUCCCAUUUAGUUAAUUAGAUCAAUUAGUUAAUUUUAGGUAUGAUCGGUAAAUAUAAUCAAUCUCAUCUUAAUUGUGAUAUUCGAUUAAAGUUCUCAUUAAUUGGAAUUUAAUUAAAUACUUAGUACUCGUGGAAUUAAUAUGUGAACCAAGAUCGACUUUAAUGUUUGUUUAUGACAUUGUUCAUAGUGGUAUUUUAGCACAGCAAACACAAUUAUUAGUUUAAUCUUUUGGAGAUAAAACAUCUUAAAAUAUAAGGCUAAUUUAGGGAGCCUUUAAAACAUUUCCUCUCCCUCUCUCUCACACACACGCAUAGGUGACUAUAUGCAAAUCUACAUGGGCUGUACUUGCUGUACAUGCAGUUCGAGCUAGACUGUACAAGCAGCUCAACCCAAUCUAUAAAUACAUUUUUUGCUCACUCUAACAAAAAUUGAUAGGCACCAAGAUUAUUAGACUAAGAAAAAUGAUUAGGAUGGUUGAUAGUACGAUGAUUAAGUCAACUAUUAGUAAAAGCUAUAUGGAGAAUUGUGUGUGGGAGAAAUAAAUAGGGAGAGAUUUGGCUAGAAUUCAAAGAAUGUGUAACUUUUUCUUUACACGUCCAUGAAUAUUUAUAGGGACAGAGUUAUAAUGGAAUUAGGUUAAAAUAUUGCAACCCCUAAUUCUACAUGGUGUGUUGUGAUUGAGCAUAGAGUUUUGAAUGAAGUAUGGUAUGUUUCCUUUGUCGGGUUUACUUCCUUGUAAGGCUAAGUUUCCUUAUAGAGAUUGAUUUUCCAUGAUCUUUUCUAAUUCCUCGGCAUCCUCUCCUUAUUUUAACAGAUUGACAAGGCUAUAAAUUUUAGAAUCGAUAAAAUUGUCUCAUUCCAAGAUUUAUCCCAAUAUUGAUUUUAUCUCCAUGUUUCAUGGAUCCUUUGACAUCAACAAGGUAUGGGUCUCAUCCAAAGGCAAUAGGUCACUAGGCCCAUUAGAGCCACAUCCUCCCAUCUCGACACGAGGGGUUCAAUUCGAAGACUAUCACCACUAUCCAUUACUAUGAAUAUUGUAAGAGCUGAUGGGAUAUUUCAUACGAGGCUUGUGACUUGAUUCUUUUGUGCAGGCGAAGACCAUAGGAAAACAUGUAGCAUGUUGGCUCUUGCUCAUGUGGUGUUCGUAAGUCCUCUUGACUUCCAAGUGUACCCAGGAUGUAACAGUGGUCUCUCAAGUUCAAUUUUGUUAUUUAUACUAGGCUUGUGGCUUAUUAGUUUGCUUGUGUUACGAAAAUUUGAAAGUGAAAGGCUUGUGAUGCAGUUGGGCCUCGUUGCUCUUUGGCUAAGAUUGAAUUUAUGCCCAAAAGAAUUUCACUGGCCUUUGCUUACCAUGAUGGUGGUGUGGCGAAGAUGUCUUGACAAAUGCCUCUUGGCCAAGCUAUAACAUCGAAGUAUAACAACUUCGUUUUGAAUACCGUUGUAGAUUUUCCUAUUCCGAUAUAUAAUGUUCAUUUUGAUAUUUAAACCUCUUGUUAUAGUAAAUUCAUUAUUGUCGUUAUAGUGAAAGAUUUACGCAAUUGUCAAACUCUAUUUCUCGCACAUUUUAUUUAUUUCUAAAUUUACUAUGACAUAUUGAGAUUAAUGACUUUUUUACAAAGAUCGGUAGUCUAAUCUUAAUGACACAAAAGAUAGAAAAGAAAUUUCCUUUUUCUUAAAAUCCACCAAUCCAAUAUAACUAGAUCAACCCUUCAAGUUCGCAUUAUUUGAAAAUAGUGCCACAAAGUUACUUUUUUCAAUUGUACUCGAGGAAAAUAAAAAAUAAUAAAAUAAUGAUAUUUAUUUAUUCAUUUGACUCUUUAAUUGCAUAUGCAAAAUUAAUUAAAGUUAAUCUUGUUUCCCAAGCUUUUGGUAAUUCAUUCUUUCUUCACAAUUGUCAUUGUCUUAGAAUAAUCUUUCCCUACGAACCGUCAAACCAAGCACGUAUUCCCUGAUCUCACGGAUUUCUUCGGGUAACACUUUACAGCCUCAUAUUUAGACUUUUCGUCGGCUAUAUAUUAUUAAUAACUACAGAUUACAUUUACAAUUUUUAAUUAUAAUUAUUAUACGUUUUUUUUCUUCAGAAGGCUGCUAAAAAAUACAUAAUAGUGGGUACAAGUAAUAUAUUGAGGUUUCAAAUGAUUUUAGGCCACCGUCAACGCAGAAUGAACUAAUUCUUAACCAGCAAUUCGAAAUUAAACUGAAUGGAAAUUUUACUUUCGAAAAAUCUUGGUGAAAAUCAAAGAGAAUUAUGUUCAUUUUUCUCUCGUCUCUUGCUCUUUUAAAAUAUUUUGUCAAGAUCGAAUGAUUAUUAUAAAUUGAAAUAUUGUAAGGUCAAUGUAUAAGAAUCUCAAUAAUAUAAACGAUCUUUUUUUUCCCUUAUCUAAUAUAAUACGAUUAUAUAUCCGUGAAAAAUUAUCCAACAAAUUUUUUAUGCGAAAAAAAUAUAAUUUUAUUAAUUGACUUGUUGAAAUGAAUUACGCAUGCAUAUAUCUAUCUUGUGCUUGAAGGAAAAGUCGCGCAUUUGCGUGUAAACUACUUAUUUUGUUAUUAAAAGUACAAUCUAACAUAAACUACGUCAGCAGAAACUUUGAGAAAAAAAAUCAGAAAUAUUUACAACAAAGGCUCCAAAUCUAUAGGAUAGCAACAUGUUGAUCCCCAACCUAGAAAUGAGCAAUAUAAUCCUCAAACUUUCAAAAUAAGUGCAAACCUAGUCCUAACAUAUAGAAAAAAUAAUAAUAAUAUUCAUCUAGAAUCCAGAUAAUCAUCUGUCAUUUUUAGAUAAUUCUAUGCAUGGGACAAUGCAGUAGUAGUUUCACUAUAAAUGAAUAUUUCUAGUCUCUUCAAGAAUACUCUUACUCAUAUGGAAAUAAUGUAUCUUAUUUAGGAUUAACAAUGCGAUAAGUCGAGCUCGUUGACCAAGGGACUACACUUCGCUUGGCCCAUGGGCCUUGCCUAUGAUGAGCCGUGCCAACCUACAAGCUUUUUGAUUUUCUUGGUUCAUUAAUCUAAUUUAUUUAACUUAAAUGUGAGUUAAAAAAAAAAGGAAACUCUAACAUAAUUAAAUAACAAUGCAAGGAAAAUAUGACACAAUCGCAAAGUUCAUGUACCCAAUGCUUUACUUGCAAACGUCGACUCGACUCAUUUACUUGUUGUAGAACAAGACUAGCAGAACAGUUGAGCAGUCGAUUUUCUUUUGGUUAUGGACUUUCCGGUUGUAGGGUGAAGGUAUGACAAGGGAAUUCCAUGCUUUUAAGAAGCUUUGUUCUAAGCCUCGGGAUGAAAUUCGAAUCUCACUCAAAUAGGGCAGGUGAAGGAAAAAGAUCUCUUAUACGACCACGCUCUAAGCUAAGUUUAUCAUUGGAUCACUCUUGAUAUACGAAUUUACUAGAGAUAUCAUCCAAUUCGAUUGAAGUAAGGAAAAUACAAAUAGAAAUAGAAAUCAAAAGAAUUAGAAUUAGUUUUGUGAAAAGUGAAUCCAAACAAUUGUGAACCACUCAUUGCCAACCUAAUCCUGUUUUUAAUUGUUCACGAUAAGACAAAAGGGGGCAGUUAUCAUGCCUCGAUAUGCACCUAUUCAAAAAGGUUGAGGACUAUAGUCCCACUACCGCUAUUUAUACGGAUCCAUUUAUGCAAUUUUCUUGAAAAAAUCAGAAAAUUUGUGAAGUGUCAUCAGUAGCGGCAGGUUUGCCAACAAUAAAUCCUGUCUACCAUUUCUUCUCUCCUCUCUAUAAAUAUAACACCCUACAUAUCUGCUUUCCUUUGUCCAUUAGAAUAUACAGAAACUAAACUCAAUGGAAAUGGAAGUGAUUAUCUCUGUAAACAAAAUGGAUUUUGACUUUAACAGUCCACAUGUCAGUGCACCUUCGACGCCCAAGCGUUUUGGGGAAUUCUAUUGCAGCGCUCCGACAAGUCCGACGCAUUUGGCGCAGUUUUAUCGUGAUUUUGAUGAUUUCUCGAACAGAGCCAGCGGAGUCACAUCGAGGGUGCCGUUUGGUUCCCCUAAGAAUGAAGGUGAUUUUGCUUUUGAUAUUGGUGAGGAGUCAUCGGAAAAGGAGUCUCUUUCGGCGGAGGAACUGUUUGACGGCGGCGUAAUUAAGCACCUAAAGACCCCAUCGCGGCUGCAAGCUUCCACCGGAGCAAGAAUUAAGGGUGAUUACUCACCAAGGCAUAAGAAAGAGGACGACCCUUUUGCAAUCUCUUCUCAAAGCGCCACGGCGGAGCACAGUCACAGAAGAGGAAGAGAGAGAGCUCCUGCAGCAGGUUUAUCUUCAUCAAGCCGAAGAGCAACGCGUUCACUUUCUCCUGCGAGAGAUUCUGAUCAAAAUUCACGGGAUCAAGAAGAGAAAAAACAGCACAAUACAAAGAUUUUGUGCUCAUCUUCAUCCUCAAAAUGUCACAGAAAAUGGAGAUUGAAGGACUUUUUCUUGUUCCGAAGUGCAUCUGAAGGACGAGCAGCAGAUAAAGAUCCUUUAAGGAAAUACACAGCAGGGUUCAGAAAAUCAUAUGAAGAUGCUAAGAAUCCGAAUUUCCGGAGAAUGGAUAGCCAGGAUUCUGGAUCAAAUUCAAGUAGAAGAGGAAAAGUUUCAGCUCAUGAAUUGCAUUACACAACAAAUCGUGCAGUUUCUGAAGAUUUGAAGAAGAAAACCUUCUUGCCAUACAAGCAAGGCAUUCUGGGGCGCCUUUCAUUUAAUCCUGCCGCCCAUGCACUGGCUAAUGGUUUCGGGUUUUCUCGUAAAUGAAUAUUCGUCCGGUACAGUUGAGGACGGCAUUGUGAGAAGGAAUAAUUCUCUGCUAAUUAUAAUCUUUUUUUAUUUUUUUUUAAUGUUUUGGAUAGGUAUUUUUUUUCAGAUUUUGGUCAUGAGAUGUAUAAAAAUAAAAUUUACACAUUGAAGCAUCAUAUCUUAUUGUGGAAUUAUUUAUCAAUGUACUAAAUUUUAUUGAUCCUAAAAAAUUUAGGGUCUACUAGAUAAAAUCUUGUUUCAUUACUUCUUUUAGCUAAUUGCUAUGUAGCUGUUCAAAAACAACUAUUCAACGGAAUAUAUUCUACGUUAUGGAUGAUUUCUAUUCUUUGUUUGAUGAAAGACGGAAAAAGACAUCGAUCAUAGAAGGUGACAAUUCAAAAGUUUGAGACAAGCAAUUCGAGACGACUCUUCUUUCUGAACAACGUCUGAGUUAUGGGGAUAUUUAUUGAUAUUUUAAUAUUUAAAACCUUUAAGAAACGUAUUACGAAUUCCGGAAAAUAAACCCAUGGACAAAAAUGAAGAGAGAGAGAGAGAGAGACUAGCGUGCAUUGUGGACUAUCAAUUUCUUUAAUCUAGAAGACAAUUUUUAGGGCGGUCCAUUUGUCGCAUUUUACUCUUUGGUGAAAUCAGAAAUGAAAUGGAAUAUAAACAACAAUUCAUGCAUGAUAUAAAGUUCGACAUUUUUCUAUGUGGCAGUAAGAUAUACCUUGAUUUUAAACAUAUCCAUCCCAUUGCUAGCCAAAUUUUCUCCAUUGACAGGAUAUCAUGUAGGAAAAUUUGUUACCUUUUUAAUCACAAGAUCUUUCGUGUUGAAUAAUCAAGAAUAUAUAAACUACUAUAAAACCUGAAUUAGAAAUGAUUAAUACAAUAGUUGAAUCUUGCGGUUUAUUCUUCCAAAUCAACACACAGACCUUAAUUCUUUAUAAUGAUGGGAGGCAGAACAGAAUGAGCAAUUCACAUGUGAUUUGAAAACCAUAACUGUAUUUAUAUAUAUUGUCGCCAUUUGACCUAAUUCGACCUAUCAUAGAAUUAGGAACCUGACUCAGUUUUUACCCAUAAAAUAUCCACCCUUUAAUUGGAUGUAUUAAAAUUCAAAAUACUGGAAACUUAUUAGAUCACUUUAACUAGGCUUAACCAAAUUUUAUAGCCUUUAAUUUGAUGCACAAUAAUUUACAUAUAUAAACCCACACGGUCAUUUAAAAUUCCUUACAUAUCAAACUUGUUUUCAACCAAAAAUAUACAUCUAAUUUUAUUUUAUAAAUACGAAAAGAACUAGAGAAUUGAAAUGAAACAUAAGCUAUUGUUUGACAAACAUUAUUUAAAAACUUCUUUUUUUUUUUGUACAUAUUCAUUUUUAAUUACACAUUUACAUUAUAAAAUAUUAUGCAUGUAAACUCAAUAUUUUUUCAUACUUUCUAACUGCACAUUCUCCUAAAAAUUAUUUUUUUCCAAAUGAUGAUUGUCAAAUAGAAGACUAAUUAAAUUGUUCCUUGUACAUGACCAAAAUGGAAUUAUAACUUGCUUUUUGUAUAAAUAAACCAUCAACUUUAUUUUUGAAUUGGAAAUGUUAAAUACCUAUGUUGAUGUAAUUUCCACUUCUUUACUCUUCUUUUUUUCUUUCUUUCUUUUCCCCUUUUUCAAAAAAAUAAUUUGGUUGCCCAAUUCUUUGUGCAGAACUGUUUCUCCUACUUAUAAAUUUGAUACACUUAUUUAUUAAAUAAUCGUGACAUUUAAUUUAAGUAAAUUCAACGCUCAAUAUUUUAUGGAUCUCAAACAGUUAUAACAAACUCUCCCAUGAUUUUAGUGAAAUACAUAUUAAGUGUUGGAUUGAUUUAUAUUAAAGGUCAUGAUUAUUUGUUAAAUAAGUGUGUCAAAUUUAUGACUAUUAGGAAUUUGGAAUGUUCUCGUUCUUUGUGCUCUCUUUGUCCGUGUAAUUUGCAACCCAUGUAUCAUAAAUAAUUCUCAUAUACGAAUCAUAAUUGAUUGCCUAUUUGCGUUAUAUGUCCCCUAAUUACUAGCAUUCGUUUUCUUUCUUAAUUUAUAUAAAGAUUCAUUUCCCUAAUAAAUCAAUAAAAAAAAUGAAAUCUUUUACAUUAUUGCAUCAUUUCAUCGCUAAACAGUAGUUCCUUUUCCUUUUCCUAAUAGGACUUUUCUAUUUCACAUAUUUGGGUCGAAUCCAACAAUUUCCAGUUGAUCCAAAACCUCCCAAUCACAGCAUACAUUGACAUUGAUUAUACCACCAAUUUACCACUGUUCUUCAAAUAAUUGUAGUAGACGAGAAAAUUCAUCAAACUGUUAUAAAUUAGAGAAAAAAGAGAAAAAAAAGUAGAAGUUAAUUGACUUGUGUAUUUUAUUAAGAACCAAAAUCACAUAUAUCUAGAGAGAAUAAUUAGGAACACAAUGGUAAUAAAAACUAGGGCUACAAGGGUCUAAUUUUCAUCCACUAAUAAUCAUAUUAUUUAUAACACCCCCUUUCAUUGUUACAUUACAAAAUAUUUGCAUCGUCAAAACAUUGUCAAAAAAAUCUAGUGGGACAAAAUUUGAUCGAAGGAAAAAGAGUACAAUUACUCCCAUUGAUUUCAAUUCUUGUAUCAAUUCAUUAUUGUCUUAUAAAUCAGUAUUUUUAAAAUUGCAAAUUUUGGUUAAAUAUAUCUCAUGUUGUCUUGUAGGUAUUCAAACAAUAUCGUCUACGUACAAGAUAUUUAUAAAAAUUUUGUGACCAUAGUAACAUGAUGAUUGAAAAAUAGAUUUUGUUGAUCUUUUUGCGAGUUUCAUACAUAUAAAAGCAUUAUUUUGAGGGUAAAUGUCUUUAUACGUAAUUGGAUAUUCAUUAAAUAAAAAAUAUGCCUCAUUAAAACCUUAUUCGAAAAAAUCUGUAGAAAAAUCCUAAUUAAGGAAAAGAGUACAUUAUUCUUUUGAAUAGGGAUAAAAGUUGUCUCAUUAAAAAUCUUAUGAGGAAAAUCCAAUGGGACAAAACUUUAUUAAAGGGAAAAAGAGUAUAGCGUGUAUUUACUCCUCCCUCAUAAUAAUAUCUCUUAAAUUAUGUAUCAGGCACAUUAAAUCUGUCAGUGAUAAUAUUAAUAGUCAUGCCAUAUGAAUUGAUUGUAACCGUAUUUCAAGUUUCACGCAUUGUUAUGAUAACAAGAUACAAACAAUGAUUUCAUCCACCACGAAAUUCAGUAUGUUAAGAGUCGUUCAUUCAUAUUGCGACAUUAUUUUUCUAAUUUCUUUUUCACACAAGUGUACACAUUUUGAUUUUUGGGCUGCAAGUCCAGAAACUCCAAAUUUCCUAAUAAAUUCGAAUUUAAUAAGAUUGUGUCCUUUUAUUUGGCCAAUUAUAUUUUCGAUCGAUAUGCGUCAACGAAUUUAUUUCGAUAUCCUCGAAUUCAUAAAUAAGUUGAAAUAUCUCUCGAUUGAGUUUUAACUAUUGGUAAGGCGUAGAGAUAUCAACGAGCCGAGCCAGCUUGUGAAUCGAAACUCCUGACUCGGACUCGGCUUGGCUUUUUUAAGACGGACUUUUUUCGGCCCUAGCCGAGCAAAAGCUUGGUCAAAAAAUUAAGGCUCGACAUGCGCUUUCAGCUCAGGCCUUAUCGAGCGAGCUUGAUUUUUCUUUUUUCUUUUUUUUCCUCUCUCCCUCUUAGCUGCCUAUUUGGCAGCUAUUUGCUACCUCAAUUGACAAUAAAUUGAGUUUCUUUCUCUUUUUUUAAUAACGGACCGAAUCGACUAGAGCCGACUCUCUGAAAUAGGGCUCGGUUUGGGCCUUAGCUCGAUGCCUCCGAGCCAUGGGUGACCCAAGGCUCGAUGCCUUCGAGCUACGGGAGACCCUAGCCGAUGAGCUUGAUUGUCAUUCUUAAUAAGACGGUCAUAUUUCUUUUAACUAAACUAGAACUUGAUUUAGUGGCUCUAUCCAAUAGGUGUGCAACAAUUUUUUCUCUUCGAUUCUUUUUUUCGUAGUGACAUAAAUUAUUGAAAUAUCUCAAUUUUCAACAUAUCAAGAACCUGAAGGUCUUCUGGAGUUUUAUGAUUUGUUAUGUCUAAAUAUUCGUCAAGAGAAUGGAGCCAUCUUUGUUAAUUUCUCCAUUUUUGUUUGAAAAUUUUUAUAUUAGAAUCAAAUAUCAUAACAUUUCAAGCAUGCCAUAAAUUCAAAUAUAAUAUUACCAAGACAUUAAUUCGAGUUAGAGCAUUCAAAGUUCGUAUAUGAGAUAUUGUUGAUCUCUUUGGUCAGUAAAUGCAUUUAAAUAUCUUUCGAACUUUUGAUUCCAAUUAUUUUUGUGAGAAUUUAAAUAAUGAUGCAUUUGUACAUUAUUUUAGUUUCUUAAUUCUUCUUCCUCAUACUGAGAAAAUUGUCUAUUCAAAUUGAUAAUUGCAAACCAUAUUAUAAAAUAUCAUCAGUCUGAAAUAAAAAGUUCGAACAACUCAUUUAUUCUCUAAAUUAUUUACUUUCCAUGUCAAUGCAUUGUGGUGGAUCAAUUUUACAUAUACUACAUUAUCAAAAUUAUUUGAUGAAAAAAUUAGGCUCGGACCAUAUGCCUAGUUAUAGUAGGGAUAACUAUGAUGAUAUGACACGUAAUAGCCUUUCCUAAAUAGAAAUGGAAAGUACUUCGUUUUCAAUUAAAUUAAUUGGAGGUGUAUAACAAUCAAUAAUGUUGAAUCAUUUAUCAACAUUUCAUCUAGUACAUAUUAAAAUGUUGAGAUUUACAAUUACUAGAUUAAGAGGUUACACCGUCUUAACUGUAUAAUCUGAAAAUUCUACUCAUAAUUUAAAAUUUGAGAAGUAAUUUCGCAAACUAUAAGUUAUAAACAUCAUGCAACCAUCGAGCAUACAUGUUAAAUCUAUUAGAUACAAAUAAUAUUUAGAUGGUCUACGUCGAGGAUAAUGAAGCCCCAUUUAUCACCCUGAUUAAUUUUCAGAAAUAUAAUGAAUUCGAUCCCUAUUUUUAACUAGCGAUGAUCAAUUUUCGAUAAAAAAAACAAAUAACGUAUAGGAAUUUAUUGGAUUGAAGAUUCAGGUUCUUUGUUGAAUGUCCAUUUAAAUUUUUUAUUUCAUAUCAUUAUUGAUCCAAUAUGAUCCAACUGGUCAUGCCGAACAAUAAUACAUUCAUUAAUUAAAAUUUUGAGUUAAUAUAUUAUUCGUUCUAAUUAUACUACACAUUUUAGAAACUUAUCACAUUUCACUUUAAUUUAGAGGGGAAUAAAUUAUUAUCAAUAGUAAAAUUUAUUCUCUCACAUAACGCAAUACUAACCCUUCUAUAGUAUCAAAACAUAUUCUUCUAAAAUAUUGCUAUAUACUUGGUUAUGAUUACUCGCAAGUAAUAAAACAAUAUUUUUCAGGAAUAUUGAUAUAUUAAAUUAAUCAUAAUAUUUUUCUAAAAAUAUUAAUAUGCAUAUAUUUGUGCUUCUUCACAAACACAAUAUGGUAUUCUUCAAAAGAAUAUUAAUAUAUAUUAUUUUUGCUUCUUCUGAAGCAAUAUAUCAAUAUUUUUCUGAAAUAUUGAAAUUUUAAUGACAUGGUCUUCAGGAGCAAAUAAUUCUAUCUAGAACAUUCACAUAAGGUAUGUGUUAUGAUUUUCCUAGAAUAUCAACACCAUAUUUCUUUAGUAUAAAUGUAAUUUCUAGUUGUGCUUCUUCAAGAGCACAAGAUAAAUCAAAAUAUUUAAUUAAUCUAAUAAUUCACAAGUAUAAUAUAUAGCAGUAUAGAAAGACUUUUAAAUAAUUUUCAUCCUUGAAUUUGAAAACUUUAGAAAGCGUUAAAUAGUUGAAAAUUUUAUAUUCUUCAAAGAUAUAAAUUUGAAUUUUUUUAUAAAACUUAAAAUUUGCUACUGUCCCACAAAUAAGCCGUUAGAUUUUGAUAAGAAUAGAUUGAUUUAAAAUACAAUGAGCUAUAAACAUCUUGUCCAAAUUUCAUUACGAUCAAACCACGAAUGUUGAGUUAUCAACGUUUUUAUCACAGUUGCUCAGACUGUCCAAAUUCUACAAAUUUUUGCACUGUUGAUUCCAAUAUAAUAAUACAAUCAUUCAAUAUUAUAUAGAAUCACUAUAGGGUCAAUGAACUUUGAGUUUGUGACAUUAUUUGACUCAAUCAUUUUCACUAAUGUACGUAUAGUAGAUGCGAGAAUAGAAUGUCAAAAGUUUUUCUUUUGUUUACUUCGGGUCAAAUAUAAAAAAAGUUAUGUAUAGAUAUUCUAUAUUUUUUCUUGCACAUUCUCCAUGUGAUAUUCAUUGCAUUGACUAUCUUUAAAACUAAUCAAUUUUUUAUUUUAAUUUUUUUUUAAAUUUGCUUGCAUAAAGUGUAUUAUUAAUAUAUAAUUUUGUAUUAUUAGAUAAAAUAAAACAGGUUCUUCGGACCCUUCAAUGAUAUUUGAUGCAUCUAAUAUUGUAUCAAUAUUAUUUUUUGUUAAUGUUAAUUAUAAGUACUUUUUAUUUUAAAGAAUUUUUUGCAUAGUUACACUAUCUUCUAAACAGAUAUCUUAAUAAUCCAUCUUAAUCUUUUUAACAUUCCAAGAUUUAUACUUUUUCAAAAAGAAAUAAUAGAAUAUUCUCUGAGAAUAUUCAAAAACUAAAUAUUAUGCUUUUUCGGAGCAAUAAACUAAUAUCUUCUUGAAUAUUAAUAAAAUAAAAUAAAAUAAAAUACUUUUUUUUUAAUUACAACACAAUAUUGAGUAAUUUAAUUUAUGUUUCCUAGGGAGCACAAUGAAAUAUAUAUUCUUCUAGAACCGUGCCACUUCGAUAACACAUUAUAUUUUAUUACUAUUUCUUCAAAAGUAAUAUAUCAAUAUUCUUGUGGAAUAUUGAAAACUAUAAUUUAAUGCUCUUCAGGAGCAAUAACAUAUUAUUGUUUAGAACAAUAAAUUAUGUAAGAAUUUACUCUUUAAGAUUACAAAAAUAAUUUAUGUUAGAUCUAUUUUAUUAUUCUCUUUGAGAGCAAGUAAAAUUUAAUUAGAAUACUAACGAUUGUGAACCAAUGCUACAAGUCUUUGUAUAAGCUUUUGAGAUCAAGGUUGACAAAGCUGAAGAGCAGUAGCAUUCCACUGACCUGCAUCACCAAAUAAUGCCUUUACAGGCAUGGAAACGUGUCUACUUUAGGAGCAACAAUAUGAUACGGUUUAAAUUUAUUGAAAAAAUAAAAAAAAUUAAUCAAUUUAUAGUAGAAUAAUUUUUUUUUGAACAAAAGUAUAAAAUUCACAAAUUAAAUAUAUUAGACAAUUGCAUAAAAAUAUGCUAUUAUAUUAAUCUAAUCAUGCAAAUUAUAUUAAUGUAAUCAUGCUACUAAAUUGGGAGAACAUUCAAACGGCACGGAGAUGGAUGUGUGCCUUCAUUAAUUACAUAUUAUAAUAAUCAAAUUGUUUGUUAUAAUAAGAGUUUUGCUAUAUGGACAGGGCCACAUAGGCGCAGACAACUGACCAAUAAGAGGAUGCCACAUCGCCGCCAUUUGGAUAAGGCCUACGUGGCCUUGUCCAAGAAGAAUUAUUCAUUAUAAUAAUUCUCUCAUUUUUCUCCUCUAGACAAUUUCUAGUCAGAUUUUUGUUCAAGAUUUGUCAGUGCAAAUUCAAUGAUUGCCAUUGCAAAUUGAUUACAAGGCACCCUCUUUCGCUAGCACUGAAUGGAAUCAAUUGGAAAUAUAUUCCUCUGAAGUCUAUAGAGGAAUUCAAGAAUCACUCGAGCUAAAAUUAGAGACCAAAAGCAAGUUGAGCUUUAAAUUAAAAAAAUUUGUGCUGAUAACAUGUUAUAAAAAUAGAGAAAAGAAUAGGACAAUGAAGAAGUCAAUAGAAUUGUAUAUUAUUAUUAAAAACCAAAGUCUUAUAUUUAUAUUGAAGAAUUAGGGAUAAAAUCAUAAUAAAAAUUAGGAUUGUAUGGAUUUAAUUUUCAUUUACUCAUAAUCAUAUUAUUUACAAUACAAACUUGUUUUCGUAAUUUGCUUCUUCAAUCUAUAAUCUUCAAUUUUCAUUUUUAGUGUCACAUAACUCAUAUUGGCGACUUCGCAAUCUUUUGCAAUAGCAGAAGGCUUUCCUUGAAGCGACUCUAAUGUGACAACUCCAAACUUUCUAUGAGUAGCGUAUACAAAUUACCAACCUUUUUACCUCAUUAAUGCGAUAUAAUUAAUCUUCACAUCAAUUCUCCCAAUGCAUGCUGAAUAUUUAUAUGUCAACGUGUCCAGUGCUCCCAACAGUGUCAAACUUUUUCUCAAUCUUGAGACCUAUUAAUAACCGCUCUGCUACAUCAAAAAUCUUCACACUUAAAAUACUUGAACCUUUAACUUCAAGUUUAUGAUUAUUAGUCAUGACGACAUCAUGAGCAUCUAAUAGCUUAUAAUCCUCAAAGCAGUCCUUGUGUGGGCAUAUAUGAUUACACAUCCAAAAUCCAAGAGUUACUUGAAGAGUCGUAAUUUGUGACACAAUAAUCACUAUCAAUAUCAUCAUCAACCAUGAUCGUAGAAUCAGAGGCCUCUUUAGACUCUAGACUCUUCUUUACUUUAAGAUGAUAUGUCAACUUCUCACAUUUUGCCUUAAUGUGUCCUUUCUUGUGGCGGUAUUAACACUUGGCAUUUCUCCUAUAAUGACAUUGAGAAUGAUCCCUCCGGACAUUAUUUCUUCCUCGCGAUUUACCACACCUCAUUUCAGACUUUGUCUAGAGUACUUGAUUUAAAACCUUCUUCACUAUCGAAGUAGAUUUACCAACUAGUAACGUGGUGACCAAUGUCUCAUCUGACUUAGGUAAGGAAGACAGCAAAAUUAUUAUCUUAUCUUUUUCCUCAAUUUUUGACAUCAAUAUUAAACAACUCAGUUCACACUUAUUCAAAUGAUUCCUAAGAUCAGUGUCCUCAUCUAUCUUCAAAUCAUAUAAUUAUUUUCUCAGAUAUAAACAUAAAUUAAAACAUAUCAGGAUCUUUUAGCAUUUUGAAUAACUUAAAAUGCAAAUUUCUUAUUCAAAACACUAUAAUUUACCUAAGCAAUCAUGCUACGUGGUCAAAGUUAAUGACUAAAAAGUAUUUCCAAAUUACACUUGACAAUUUUUCAUUGAAUAAAGGGUAAAAAAACAUCAUAAAAAUACUCAAUUAUUAGCUGCCACAUCAGUCUAUUUUUUUAUUCCCUAUUUGUUCAGCAUUAUUCUUACCUAAGUACAAGCCAAUCUAAUGGUGUUGACUGUCUCCAGUUUCAAUUCUUCCAACUCCGCUUCUUCAUGCCUUGUGACAUCUUACCUUACAAAUCUUUGUAAAGUCCCUAUUGCAAGAGAAUAACUUCAACUGUACUUCACAAAAUAUUUAAAUUAUUUUUCUCGCCAAAUCGUUUACCCUCAAACUUUGCACAUGCCAUCAUCUUCGAGGCAGUAUCCCGAGUUUGAAUUUUGAGCUCCGAAACCAGUAGACUUCGCAGGAUGAAAUUGGCAGAAAAUGAACAAGAACCAAUGAGAGGUUGAUUAGGGACGAGAAAAACGAAUUGCAGAGAACGAGUCACAUGAACCACCAAAAUCAAACCAAUAAAAUGAAAUAGAGAUAUCAAAUUAAACACAAAUAAAUAUGUAAUCGUUAAAUUCAAUUUUACCACGUCAAUCUGCAGAAAUUUUCGGUGCUCGCAGGCGACAGAGAUAGGUGGAAGAAAGGGAUUCUAUGGGGGCUCAAGAGAGAGACUGUAGAAGUGAUUGCUUUUCUCUCUGUGCUAUUUUAUUAGAGAGAUAUUUAUGAAAAGGAGUUAACCAGUUAGUGAAUAGUGAAUAGUGAAUAGUGAAUAGUGAAUAGUGAAUAUCCGGUUAGUGUAUGAAAUGGGACACCAUAGAAAUGAACAGUGAAGGCUGGUUCCCUCUUUUAUAUAAGUGCAAUGAUUUUAGCAAGUUUUAAAACUUCAAGUCAUAAUAUUUUGGGUUCUAUGGAUAUAUUCACAUUAUACUUUUAGAAAUUGUGUUUCAUUAGGCCAAAAUUAUGUACUGAAUAGUACAUAAGAGAAAUAAAGAAAAAAAAUUACUAGAUUUUUGUGUCACACAGAAAUUUCUCAAUGUCACCCUCUAGGGUAUGCAUUUUGAGAGAGAUGUAAAAUUCAAUCGAACAAAUAUUAAUUUCAAAAAACUGUGAGGCCAUAUGGCUAACACUUGUAGAGAUUGUUAGUUUAAUGUCCCUUUUUUCAGUAGUAUUUUGAAAAACGACAUUCUGAAUUGACAUGCUACAAUUUGAAAUGAUUAUCUAAGGUUCCAUGAACAUAUAGAACGUCACAAAUUAUAUACUCAAUAGUUUAGGUAUAGUAAGAUGCAAUUCAAGAUGUGAUCAAAAUAUGUCGUUUACAAUCUCAGUACAUGAAGUUGGACACUUUAUGUUUAUAAAAUUACAUUGUUCUUAUUAAGAUUUGUCUAUAUUUGGCAAUAAGAACAAUAAUGUGUUUUGUGAUGCACAUUAAACGGGAACCGCAUAGAUAACUCAUUUGUGAUCGUUCGAAAUGAGACUCUAUCAAACAAUUCAACUAAAUCCUGAGUGAGUAAUAUACUUUUGAUUGCUAGUUCAAAUUUUUUGAAGUAACAAUGAGUGAAAUCUUAAUUAGAAGAUUGAUCUUGGUGCUUUGGGAAUCAGGUCGAAACAAUUAGAGAUCAUAUACUUGUGAUAGUGAAAUCCAUUAAUCAUUAAGAUGAGACGAUCAUCACUCUAAGGUAUUUUAGAUAGACAAUUGAACCUGUGCUCAGUAGCUUGAUGAUGAGAUCGUUGGACUCUAUAUUGUUAUUUGAUCACAACUAAUUCAUCUUAUGAAAAUGGAACUUAGAGGGUAAUAAUGUUCAAGGACAAAACGGUUAUUUUAUCAUUUUCAACUUAUUAAUGGUCCAAUGGGGGUUGACUUGUGGAACAAUAAUCGGAGCAUAUUUUCAUCGAAUCAUAAUUUACUUCUAUAACUAUCACUCGACUCGACAAUGGAAUCUCGAUUUUUGGUACAAUGAGCCGAGAUUAAUAGAUGUAUCUCAAUUGGUUAAGAGUUGACCCAAUUAGAAACUUCUAUUGUAGCUUAAGUCUUGUUGGUCUGAUUAGGUCCCUUUCUUGACUACAAUAAAUGUGUGACUUAAUUGGUCUACUACAAUUAAGUCCAAGAAAAUUUGUGCAAUUAUAAAAUCCUAAUUGAGUAUUAUAAAUAUGUCCUUUAUGGACACAUUUUCACUUAGUUUUUAGGGUAAGCCAUAUUUUUAUUUCCCAAAGAGGGAGGCACCUAAAGAACACAAGGGAUAAGAUAUAAGGGAAAAAGCACUUGGCUAGGCCACUAAAAUCUCCUUCAAGGUUAUCAUUUUCCUUUUAUGUGGAAGAAUUUAAGACAUCCAAUGAUCUCAAGGUGAUCGUAGAUCUUUUAUUUAUUUACAUUUAAUCUUCAAAGGGAAAUUAAUUUCCUAUUUUGAUGAUUAAAUUCAAUAACCAACAAAUGGAAUCAAAGCCAAGGUUACUAAGAGCCUUGAGUAGGAUUAAGUGCUUCGAAUCCUAGUAUAAAAUGCAUUUUUAGUAUGGGCGGUGUUAGGUUAUUUAAUUUGACAUGUUUACUACUUUAUAUGCUUAAAGUAGAUGUUUAUACAUAAUCACUUUUGGCCCUGGGAUUUUUUUUUACUUCCCAUUCUAAUUCAUUCCAUUUGUCUUUCUUUUCUCUAGAAAAAUUGUAAGCCAUGCGUCAUUAGGGUUUUGUACAUAUUUUUCAUACUUCUACACUUGUGUAUUAAAAGAAGAUGAAGUUUUUUGGGCUUCAUGCAUUUUUCGUUUCUGAUUCUUGUUAGAGAAAUGGAAGGAGAUAGAAAUAGGACAAACAAAAUGCAAAAACCAUUGUAGAAUUACAAGUGGCGGCAAUAACAACUAUCGCGACCGGAGUGGCUACAGUCGCUGCGUCCAAAUGCAACAGUUGCUCCAAGUUGUGAUAGCUGCUUCUGUUGCCUGUCAUGACAACCAUAGCUACUGCAAAUGUAGCAGCGGCGCUUGCUAUUACUGUUUGCAGUCGCCAUUGCCACUCGACGGCUGCAGCUAUGGUGGCCUCUUUUGGUGUUGCUACUGUCGAUGUCAUUGUAGGAGAUGGAUGGUGGAUGUGAUACAUGGCGAAUUUUCCAGGAUUUGUGAAAUUAGGUUAUUUUUGAGUUUUUGUGCUUUUCUUUAUGACUUGGGCAAAUAUUUUUGGCUAAGGGCUUUUGAUUUAAGGAUUGCGAAAAAAUUAAAUGGACUCAAUUUUUGAAUAUUGAAUGGGUUAGAUUACAAGGAAAUUGAAGAAUUGGGGCGAAAAUUGCUUUAUGGAUGAUGAAUGAAUGUAUGAUUAUCACAUGUCAUGUAGAUUAAAUUGAACACCACCCAAUGCACUAAACAUAUGCAUUGGUAUUGGAUUUUUUUUAUCACUCUAAAUUAAUUAGAUGUGGUUAAAAAAUUAUAUUUAACAAUUUAGUGCCAUUAUAAUUGUUUAUAUUUGGCACAUUAAUUAUAAAAUCAAAAUCCAAUGGUUCAAAAUAAUAAGUGGGGGAAGGUUUAUAGCGUGUAUAAACUUGCGGCCUCCUCCUUCAUCCAAUUUAUUAUUAAAAUACGUAUGUCUGGUGUCAAAUUACAUCGGUCUCCCUAAAGGAAGACUACGUUAUUCUAAAUUAACUGAAAUUGAAUCUUAUAAUAGAAAGUUUUAAAAAUUGGAUAAUCGGCUGAUUAUCCUAUAGAUAACAUCUCAUAUAUUUUGGAUAAUUUAAAAAUUAUUUGCAGAGGUUAUUACACUUAUAUAUGACUUUAUUUUUGGAGGACUUCCAGUAGAAGGUUCCAACAAAAUAUUUAUAAGUCAAAUGAUAAUAAAUCCUCAUUUUUAUUGUGGCACGAGAUGCCUAACUCCAUCAAAUGAGUGGGAGUGUUCCAACUUUGUGAUGAGGACAAAUCAAAAAUCUAAUUAGUGAAUAAAUCAACGCUACAAUCUUCCCGUAUAAAGUGGCAACUCUAAUUUAUUGGUUGUGAACAAAAUAUUUGUAAUCAAAAUAUAAGUUAUGUCACACUACACUUCUCAGUACAAGUACCCAACUUAUAUUGUCACAGGUAAUUAUAAUUACUUUAAUUCAUAUGCUCACAUACUCAAUAAUAAAUAAAUACAUUAAAUGGAUAAAAUCACAAUUUGUUUAUUAUAAAUUAUUAUUUAUUAUAACAAAAUAUACUAUAUGGACACACAACCCCACAGUCUCCACUUCCUACGUACUUUGUUUAUAUUUUUUAUUAUUUUAACCCCAAACCUUAGAUCUCUCUCUUUUAUUUGCACACGCAAACACAUAUUGAAAGCACAGGUCAGCAGCUACAGAAACUACCUAAGAGCCACUAACUUAGGUUGUACACGCCGCAAGAAGAUAAGUAGAAGAAGCCGAAACAAAGAGAACCAAUGCUAAAAGGAACUCAUAAAUAAGGAAUGGGUGGAGAAGACACGACUUCCAAAUAAAAGAGACGAGAUUGGGAGUAUCCCUAUGCUGCAGGCCAGUGGCGGCAUCACGAAAUUGAUACCCAUCAAUGUCGACAGCUCGGGGUUGCUCCAUCGAGGUGCUAAGAGAUUUGGGGAUUUAGAAAUUCCAAAAUGUCUAUCCAGUGUUUAUUGGGUUGAUUACAAGAGGAAUGGAUCUGGUUAUUAUCAAAAAAUGAUUUUUAAUAUGAGAUCAUAAGAAAUUAAAAAAGCGAUUCAAUAAGAGAGGGCAAACGACUAAUGAAUUCAAUGUAGUGAAGUAGUUCUUUUAUUCAAUGUCUCAAGAUGGGUUUCAAUGCCCAAUAACGUUAAAUUAAUUUUUCUUCCAAUUAACUAAGGUUAUUGAGGCUGAGUUUGAGGCGGGGACUUUAUUUCUCAUCCCCUACUCGUGAUAAGGACUUUUUUUCCAACUGUGCUAUGUGUACAAUCGGGAUUGACAAACCCAUUUGACAAUUGGACACUUAGGAGGGGGGCUCACACUGAAUAGAAAAAUCGUGAGCCCCCCUCCUAUGAGUGCAUUGUCAACAUGGAUUGUACAAGAAGAAUAAUUUCUUUUUUCCUAACCCCCACCCCAAUUCAUUGAUUAAUCUAGAAUCCCCCGCUAGUUUGGGCAGGCCAUAUGGGGGACUAGAACAAUUGAGGAUAAUUGCUCCCCCGAAUAUCAUUUUUGAAUGUGUAAUGGUUCGUGCGACUCACAAAGACACUAUACAAAUGUUAUAUAUAUACGUAAUAUAUAUUAUAUUGCACACCCAUGAUAUAUAUUUUGUACGCUCACACGAUCUGUGAUUUGAAAUCGAUCUAGCAAAUUUAUUCAUAAUUUGAUUAAUCUCUCGAAAUAAGUUGGUCGUAUUUUACGUUUAUUGUGGUUAAUGUUUAUGCAUAUAAUAUUUCUACGGAUGUGUUUUAUUUUUUGGUCCAUAUUACGUAUGAUUUAUUUAGAAUUGACAGGAGUUUAAUAGCGUUACGUACGAGAAUUUAACAUCAUCUAAGUUCGGUUUAAUUUUCAAGUCUCUCUCUAUAAUUAUGAUUUUUUUUUGGGUAUAAAAAUACAUAUAUAAAUUCAUUAUUCAAGCACAUUUAUUGAUAUUUAUUCUCAUCCCUUUAUAUCUUUUCUUCUAGAUGAUUGAUGAUUCGAGGCGGUUGGCACGAAUAUGGCUUAUGGUGGCAAAAGUUCCGAUAAUAGAUUAUUUUGUUAUCUUUAAAAUAUUUCUUUUUUCAAGUUAAAUUAUCAAAAUCACUGGAUCAUUUGAAUUAUUAUAUAUGUUUAAUAAUUUAUAUAAUAGUGUUGAAUAUUCCUUAAAUUAUUUUAAUUUAGGAGUUAGUGGCACUCGAGUCGUUAAGGAUUCAGGUUGUCAUAGUUGUCCAAUUAGUAUCAGGAUUAAUUUAAGUCUCUCUUAUGGUAAAGAUCAUGAGUUCGAAUUCUUGGGACGCAAUAGAAAUCUAUUAGAGAUAGGAUGAAUUUAGGUUCUUCCAGAACGAACAAUACAUAAAUUAACGACUUUGGCAUAAAGAUCAGAUCGUCACAUAAUAUUGGGAUCCGAAACCACAUUAAUUGAAAGAUUAUCGAGAACAACCCUAAAUUUUCUCAUAUUGAACAAAAAUCCAUGUGUCCAUGUAUAAACAAAACAAUUGCAAAAGAACAAUUAAGAAAAUAUAAAGAAUAUUGCAAAAUCAUCUAAGGGUCACUACCUCCAAGUACCUUGGCCACCAGUGACUGGGUUUGGAGUAUAUUUUCCUUUUAUGCUUUCUGAUAAGUGUGUUUUUGCACACUUAUUGGGCACUUAAUUUGAUAUAAUUAUUGACGAAAAGAAUAGAAUUCUACUCAUAGUUAAGUAAUAUUCACUUUUGUAGGUAAAAAUCACCUAAAGAAAAGAGAACAAGGCAAAAGGAAGAAAAAUGAGGAAAAAGGACUAAAAUUGUACAAAAUUGUGAAGUUGGAGGCCAAGGAAAACAAGUCAAAAAGUGGAGGAUUUGAGAUGCAAUUUAUGGAGGGCAAAAUCGAAUUGGAAGUCAAAAUUCGAGGACCAAAUUGUACAAAAUUAAAGUUGAGGGACUAGCAUGCAAAUAUUUGAAACUUGGCUUCAAAAAGAAAACCAUUUUCAUGGUUUUGGACAGAGAACCAGGCACCGAGGCGCCCAUUUUAAAAGAAAAAAUGAGUUGGGGACCUUUUUGUUCACUUUUGAAACUUCAGGGACCAAGGCUGCAAUUUUCCUAGGUUUUAAUAUAAAACCAGCAGCUGAGUUUUCAUUUGCAGUUCUUCAGUUCGAUCUUCUGCUGGGUUCUGUUUUCUGCUGGGUUCUUUCUUUUUUUUCAUUUUGCUUUCAUUUUCUUUUCUUUUUCUUGGUUAUUUUGGAGAUAUAACAUAGAGUAACAGGGAGAUAACAUCAAGGAUUUGGCAAAGCAUUUGGGGAAAAUCAUAGUCAAUCUACAAAAAAGGGUUUUAUCUAUAUCUUUGUAUUUUCUUCAUCAUUUAGCCUUAUUUGUAAUACAUUUGAUGAAUAUUCUCCUUGAUUAUCAUUUAUUUAACAUGGGCUAAGUAUUUUGUUGGGAUUUAUGGUAGUAGCUUGACAUAGGUUUAAUUGAUUUUCAAUAUUUGCUAUUUGAUAUUAAAUUGCCCAUUUCCAUGUGUUUCUAUUAUUAUAUUUAUUGCAUUUUCAUUUAUGUGGCCAAUGAAUGAAUAUGUUUCGUGAAGUGUACAUAGUUCGAGAGAAGAUUGUGUAUUUUAGACCAAAUGGUAGAAACUCUAGGUUUGUAUAGAGGAUAGAUAUAUAUCUUUAGCCCUAUGUGACCCAAUGAGCUAUUUUCAUAACAAUUUAAUGCUGUUAUUUAGUUGUAAUCGACAUAGAGAUAUAAUAGGUUAAACCAAUCAAUUAUGGUUAAUUUCACUCGAGAGAGGUAAUUAGCUAAAAUUGAAGAAUCGGAUCUAACAUCGUAAAUGAGUAAUUCGUUAAUUGGCAUAUGGAGAAAUUAAUUAGGCGACGGCUAAGCGAAACCAUGAAUCUCAAUCACGUUUUCCUCCAAAAUUCCCAAGAUUUCCAUAUUUUCCUAUUUUGUAUUUUUUUUUCUUUAGUUUCUAAAAUCAACUCUUUGUUGUGUAUUUGUUUAUUUUCAUUGUUAGAAUUAAAUUGAUUAAAGUUGUGUAAUUUAAAUUAAACAUUCCUCGAGGGAUCGACAACUCGGACUUCAAAUGUCCACUUUAUUACUUGAACGCGACCCGUGCACUUGCAGUAUGAUUUUAGCGAACAAGUUUUUGGCGCCGUUGCUGGUGAAUGUUUUAUUUCAAUUAUCAUCUUUUGUUGAUUCUAAUUUUUACAAGUUUCGUUCUUUUUUUCUUUUGCAUAGCUUUUAUAUAUUUAUUGUGUAAUUAACUUUUAACCUUAGGUCUUUGGUGGUGCAUGCUUCGUUCGAGAAGUUUUGAUCUUUUCGAGCUUGAUCCGGAUAUUGAAAAACCUUUCCAAAGAAGGCGACGGGAACAAAGGGAAUUGAGAAGGCAACAAUUGAUUGAGAUGACACACCAAGGGAGUAAUUUGGAACAUAAUGCUCAACCGGAAAAUGUUCCUCGAGGCGGCAUUCCACCGGGUUUUGGUAACCAAGCGGGUAGAGUUCAAGAGCCUAUUGUAAAUGAGGAAGAUAUACUGUUUGGGAACUUCAUGAACCCACCCGUAGUAGAGAAUGAAUCAAGUAUUGUUUACCCUCCAUAUUGACAUCCAAACUUUCAACUUCGUCCGGAUGUUAUUAGUUUGUUCUCCAAUACCAUUCCAUUCUAUGGAAGGAUUGAUGAGAACCCUCACUCACAUGUUGCACGAUUCAUAGAGAAUGUUGAAAAUUUUAAAUAUGAAGGCGUAAAUGUGGAGACGAUCCGGAUGAGGUUAUUUGUUCACACAUUGAAGGAUAAGGCAAGGGAAUGGCUUGAGACUCUACCGCCCAGAAGUAUAAAUAGUUGGUUGGAAUUUAUUCAAAAAUUCACAGCCAAAUUCUUUCCACCCGCCUGAGUAGCCAAACUCAAGCAUGACAUAACCACUUUCCAACAAUCCGAAUUUGAGAGCUUUCACGAGGCUUGAGAAAGGUUCAAGGAUAUGCUUCGAAAAUGUCCAAAUCAUGGAAUCACAAUGGGGCAACAAGUGAAUCAUUUUUAUGCCGGGUUGACUCCUUCUUGCCGUUCAAAUGUGGAUUCAUCAUCUAAUGGCUCAAUCAAGAAGAAGAAUAUUCGGGAAGCAUAUGAUCUAUUUAAGGUCAUGAGUGAACAAAGUGCUAUGUGGCCGGAUAGAGGUUCACAAAGAGGGGUUGGUGGAGUUCGAGAUGGUGAAGCUUUCUCAAUGGUUCUAGCAAAGAUCGACUCACUAGCAAAGAAGGUAGAAGGACUUUCUUCAUCUACCUCGAGCUCUCAUUCCGCUCAUAUGGUACAAUCUCCACCUAUUUGUGAUAUUUGUGAACCAAAUCACCGAAGCCCGAGUUGUCCAUUGAUAGGUAGUGGUUCAGCAUCUACCGAGCAAGUGGUAUAUACUCAAAACUUUCAACGCCAAGGAUACAAUCCUUAUUCGCAAACUUAUAACCCCAGUUGGUGAAAUCAUCCGAACUUUUCUUAUGGAAAUAAUCAAAAUGUGCUCAACUCGAAGCCACAAGAGAAAAAAAAGGUUGGGAAGAGGCUAUUGCUAAGUUGGCAAACCAUCAAUUAUAAUAUUAAGAAAGCAAUGAUGCCUCUUUGAAAAACUUGGAAUGUCAAGUGGGUCAAAUUGCCAAGCUUAUCUUCGAAAGGCAAUAGCGGGCAUUGCCUAGCAACACCGAAACAAAUCCAAGGGAGAAUGUACAAGCUAUUACCACUAGAAGUGGGGUGCAAUUGCCCGAAAUCACGGUGACACGCCCUAAGGGUCAAACCGACAAGACACCCAUUGAAGAAGAAAGGAUUAUGCAAGAACCUAGUCCAAAGGACGAGACACUAAUUGAAGAAGAAUCGGAGCCAUCAACAUCAAAGGCUCCAAUACCGGUCAAAGCCUAUGUGCCUCAUAUUCCCUUCCCACAAAGGCUUCACAAACAGAAAUUGGAUGCUCAAUUUGGAAACUUUUUGGAGAUAUUCAAGAAGCUACACAUAAACAUUCCAUUUGCCGAUGCAUUAGCUCAAAUGCCGAAUUAUGCCAAAUUUAUGAAGGACAUUCUUUCAAACAAAAGGAAACUAGAAGAACAUGAGACAGUAAUGCUAACGGAAGAGUGUAGUGCUAUCCUUCAGAAGAAGCUACCACCGAAAAUCAAAGAUCCAGGGAGUUUUACUAUUCCAUGCACUAUUGGAGAUUUAAAUUUUAGUAAAGCUUUAUGUGAGCUUGGUGCCAGUAUUAGUUUGAUGCCUUUGUCUAUUUUCAAGAAGCUGGGAUUGGGAGAAGCUAAGGCCACCACUGUAUCAUUACAAUUGGCUGAUUGAUCAAUUAAAUAUCCUCGGGGUGUCAUUGAGGAUGUAUUGGUCAAGGUGGACAAAUUCAUAUUUCCAGCUGAUUUCAUAAUUCUUGACAUGGAAGAGGAUCAUGACAUCCCUAUCAUUUUAAGACGACCAUUUCUUGCCACCGGUCGAGCUUUGAUUGAUGUGCAAAAGGGGCAGCUCGUUCUAAGAGUCCAAGAUGAAAAAGUUACAUUCAAUAUCUUGAAGGCCAUCAAGUAUCCAUCGGAAUCUGAUUCAUGCCUUCGAGUGGAUGUUGUUGAUCAUGUGGUUGCCGAGUCUUUUUACAGGCUUUCUAAGGAUCCUCUAGAAGCAUGUCUUGUUUAUCCUUUGGCUAUCAAAGAGGAAGACCCUAAAGUUGAGCAUAUGGUACACUAUUUGGAGGCUACACCUUCUCGGUCUUAUAAGAGAGCACCAAAUUAUGAGGACUUGGAAAAGAGCUCUUCACCACCACUGCCAUUUCUUCAGCAGACACCUAUACUUGAUUUGAAGCCUCUUCCAUCUCAUUUGAGGUAUGCUUAUUUGGGAGAGUCAUCUAUGCUUCCGGUUAUCAUUGCUAAUUUCUUAAAUGAAUUGGAUGAAGAGAAGUAACUCGGGUGUUAAGGGAGUACAAGGGAGCCAUUGGUUGGACUAUUACAGACAUUAAGGGAAUUAGUCCUUCACUAUGCAUGCAAAAAAUCCUUAUGGAGGAUGAUUUCAAAUCAUCAGUGGAGCAUCAAAGGCAAUUGAACCCCAACAUGAAAGAAGUGGUAAAGUAGCUUGAUGCGGGCAUUAUUUAUCCGAUUUCAGAUAGUACAUGGGUGAGCCCCGUUCAAGAGGUGCCAAAGAAAGGAGGUGUCACGGUUGUGGAAAAUGAGGAUAAUGUACUUAUACCUACUAGACCCGUGAUCGGUUGGAGGGUAUACAUAGAUUACCGCAAGCUUAACAAGACUACAGGGAAUGAUCACUUUCCUCUUCCUUUUAUUGAUCAAAUGCUUGAGCGGUUAGCGGGGUAUUCUCAUUAUUGUUUUUUGGAUGGGUAUUCAGGCUAUAAUCAAAUUCCUAUAGCCCCAGAGGAUUAAGAGAAAACCACCUUCACAUGCUCAUAUGAUAUAUUUGCAUAUAGAAAGAUGCCCUUUGACCUUUGCAACGCACCCGCCACUUUCUAAAGGUGUAUGAUGGCUAUAUUCUCCGACAUGGUGGAGAAAUUUACUGAGGUUUUUAUGGAUGACUUCUCGGUAUGUGGGGCCUCAUUUGAUGGAUGUUUGAGCAAUUUAGAGAUAGUGUUGAAAAGAUGUGAGGAGACAAAUUUAGUACUUAAUUGAGAAAAAUAUCAUUUCAUGGUCCAGGAAGGCAUAGUUUUCGGCCAUCGGAUUUCACGUAAAGGGAUAGAGGUUUACAAGGCAAAAAUCCAAGUCAUUGAGAAAUUACCUCUACAUACCUUGGUGAAAGGGAUAAGGAGUUUUUUGGGGCAUGCCGAAUUUUAUAGGAGGUUUAUCAUGGACUUUUUGAAGAUCACAAAUCCACUUUGCUCCUUACUUGAGAAGAACACUCCAUUUGAUUUCUCUCAAGAGUGCCUCCAUGCUUUUAACACUCUUAAAGAGAAACUCAUCACGGCUCCUAUCAUUGUAGCUCCGGAUUGGAAUUUACCAUUUGAGCUUAUGUGCGAUGCAAGCGAUUAUGCCGUUGGAGCAGUUUUAGGGCAAAGGAGAAAUAAAAUCUUGCAUGUUAUUUACUAUGCUAGCCGGACUUUGACUGAUGCUCAACUGAACUAUGCCGUUACUGAAAAAGAGAUGCUCGCAGUGGUAUUUGCAUUUGAUAAAUUUCGAUCUUACCUCAUUGGAUCGAAAGUGAUUGUUUACAGGGACCACUCAGCCCUCAAGUAUUUGCUAGCAAAGAAAGAUGCCAAACCUCGGUUAAUUAGAUGGGUCCUUCUUCUACAAGAGUUUGACUUGGAAAUUCACGAUAAAAAAGGGACCGAAAAUGUUGUUGCCGAUCAUCUGUCUCGACUUGAGAAAACCAAAGAGGUAGUGGAUAGGGAGAUAAAUGAGGUAUUUCCCGAUGAACAACUCUUGCAAAUUAUGCAUCUUCUACAAGCCACCCAUAUACCAUGGUAUGCGGACCAUGUGAACUUUCUUGCUAGUGGCAUCAUUCCCUCGGAUCUCUCUUACCAACAAAGGAAGAAGUUCUUUGCCGAUAUCAAGCAUUAUUUUUGGAACGAUCCAUUGUUGUUCAAACAGAGCCCGGAUCAAAUUAUACGGAGAUGUGUGCGGAAGAUGAAAUGGAGCAAAUCCUUGAACAAUGUCAUUCCUCACCCUAUGUUGGUCACUUUGAGGCCCUGAAAAUCGCAUCAAAGGUACUUCAAUUCGAUUUUUAUUGGCCUACAUUAUUCAAAGAUGCUCAUAUUCUUGUCUCCAAGUGCGACAAAUGCCAACGCAGUGGUAAUAUUUCCAACCGAAAUGAAAUGCCUUUGAAUUUUAUAUUAGAGGUGGAAAUUUUUUAUGUAUGGGGUAUUGAUUUUAUGGGACCUUUUCCUCCUUCAUUCUCAAAUCAAUACAUAUUGGUAGCGGUUGAUUAUGUGUCAAAGUGGGUAGAAGCGGUGACUUUGCCCACUAAUAACGCUCGGGUAGUAGUAAACUUUUUAAAGAAAAAUAUUUUCUCUCGCUAUGGCACCCCCCGAGCUAUCAUUAUGGAGGUAAAAAUUUUUGUAAUCGCCUCUUCGACUCAGUAUUGACCAAAUAUGGAGUAAAGUAUCGUGUAGCCACUCCCUAUCAUCCCCAAACUAGUGGCCAAGUUGAAAUUUCGAAUCGGGAGUUGAAGAGGAUUCUUGAAUUGACGGUGAGUGCCUCUAGAAAAGAUUGGUCCAAGAAAUUGGAUGAUGCAUUAUGGGCUUAUUGUACCGCGUUCAAAAUGCCCAUUGGUAUGUCUCCCUAUCGUCUUUUGUUUGGAAAAGCUUGCCACCUCCCAGUAGAACUUGAGCAUCAAGCUUAUUGGACAGUGAAAGCUUUGAAUUUUGAUGUGAAAUUGGCCGAUGAGAAAAGAUUGCUCCAAUUGAAUGAACUGGAUGAAGUCCGCCUUGACUCUUAUGAGAAUGCUCAAAUUUACAAAGAAGAGACAAAGAAAUGGCAUGAUAAACACAUUGUGAAAUGCGAGUUCUUUGUUGGGCAACAAGUUCUUCUCUACAAUUCUCGACUCCGAUUGUUUCCCGGAAAGCUCCGCUCAAGAUGGUCUGGUCCUUUUACCAUUGCUAAGAUUUUUCGACAUGGAGCAAUUGAACUUCAUCAUGAGGAAAAGGGAAAUUUCAAGGUUAACGGGCAACGAUUGAAACCAUACUUUGAAGGUGAUUUUUCUAAGGAGAAGUCCUCCAUUCCUCUUGCCAAUUUGGAGUGAACAAGGCCUAUAGUCGAGCUAGGGACUAUAACCAAGCGCUUUUUGGGAUGCAACCCAACUUUCUUAUCCUUAUACUUUUGUUAUUACAUUUUGAAUUAAUACAAUUCUUUUGUAGGUCAAAAUUUUUGUAGUCCUAGCCACCCAUAGAUCUCAACAAAUUUGGGGGUGCCUGGUCCCCAAAGUCAUAAACAAAAAAUUCAUCUACAACAUCCUUCAAAAAAAUCUAAUCGGCGAAGUUUCGUUAUCCCUCUCCUCUUUAUCUUGUUUUUUACACAUUGAGGACAAUGUGUGGUUUAAGUUUGGAGGUGAUUGUGCUUGAAUUGGUGAUAUUAUGUUGAUGUGCUAGAUAGCCUUGCCGGCUUUGCAUGGUUUUGAUGUUUGAAAUUGUUAUUGAUUCAUGAGUUAUGCAUAUAUGACCAAAUAUGCUAUUUGUGCGUAAUUUUUUCCCAAAAAAAAUAAAAAUUGCUUAUCUAUUGUGAGAUUUUGAAUUACUUUGGGCACAAUAGUCAUGAUUAAUUGUUAUCUAGAUGUGGAAAAUUUUUGAUUGAAGGAUAUAUUUUUGAAUUGCUUGAACUAGGUUGUGACUUGUAAGUUGUUUGGAAAUUUUUAUCAAUCUGUAUUCUCUUUUCUUUCACUUUAUCAUAUUAUGAGAUAAGUUUGGAGGUGGUCGAGCCGGUGAAGAAGAUUAUCUAGAAGUGUGUGAUUUCGUGCAUGUUGAAAAUAUUUGUGUAGAGUGUCUGUUACCGAGUAUAAGCUAGGUAAUGACCAUAUGCUAGGGAUCUAAGCCCCAUUUUUGUUGUGUUAAAAAAAAAUGGAGUUAUUGUACUUGUUGAAUCUUGGGCCUCACUUUGUAGCCUUUUUGACUUGAGUUAUUAAGUGCGUAGGGGUAUUUUGUAACCCGGUACCCUUUGGCCUAAACAACCGGAGAGUUAUCGACCUAAAGCUCGCUACAAGGGUCAAAAAAAAAGUUUAAGGGAGUGAGGUAAAACAUGGGAUUCGGCUAAAAAGGAAAAAAAAAAAAAAAAAAAGAGAAAAAAAUGUUAUUGAUAUUUGGGCUUAGAUAACUAGUGAGUUUGAAUUGCUUAGUAUAAACUUGAAUGUGAAAGCACUCAUUAGUAGAGAAUCAUCACAUAACUAGAGAUUGAUAUUACUAGUUAGACCCAAUCGAACUAGAGCGGGAAAAGAAAUGAGUGACUUGAGAGCAGCCUUAUAUUUACACCUCGGGGAAAGAAAUGAAUAUCUAUUUGAGGAGUGUAAAUUCCACGAGUGGGAAAGGAAAUAUUUGACUACAAAGGGUUGGGUUGGAGAGAAUCUGAAGAUUUUUCCGUCUUGACAAAUUUUUCCUAAUUUAGAUGAUAAUUGAAAGUGAUUUUACACAUAUACACCGAUCGAACAUUGGAUAAACUCAAAUUAUUUUUGUUAGCAUUAUUUGGAGCAUAUUUGUGAAUUGAUUAUACAAUUUUACACUCAUUGAUAUUUUUGGCAAGCUAUUUAGUGUGUUGACCAUGAUCACUUUUGCUUGAUUGUGUGGUAGAUAAUCUUGCUCGGGACGAGCAAGAGUUUAAGUUUGAGGGUGUGAUAAGUGUGUUUUUGCACACUUAUUGGGCACUUAAUUUGAUAUAAUUAUUGGUAAAAAGAAUGAAAUUCUACUCAUAGUUAAAUAAUAUUUGCUUUUGUAGGUAAAAAUCACCCAAAGAAAAGAGAACAAGGCAAAAGGAGGAAAAAUGACUAAAAUUGUACAAAAUUGUGAAGUUGGAGGCUAAGGCAAAGAAGUCAAAAAGUGGAGGAUUUGGGAUGCAAUUUAUGGAGGGCAAAAUCGAAAUGGAAGUCAAAAUCCGAGGACCAAAUUGUACAAAAUCAAAGUAGAGGAACUAGCAUGCAAUGUUUGAAACUUGGCUGCAAAAAGAAAACCAUUUUCAUGCUUUUGGACAGAGAACCAGGCGCCGCGGCACCCAUUUUAAAAGAAAAAAUGAGUUGGGGGACCUUUUUGUUAACUUUAGAAACUUCAGGGACCAAGGCUGCAAUUUUCCUAGUUUCUAAUAUAAAACCAGCAGCUGAGUUUUUAUUUGCAGCUCUUCAGUUUGGUCUUCUGCUGGGUUUUUUUUUUUUUUUUUUUUUUUUUUUUUUUUUUUUUUUUUUUUUUUUUUUUUUUUUUUUUUUUUUUUUUUUUUUUUUGGUAUUAAAAAAAAAAAAAAAAAAAAAGGGAUUGAAGUUGGAUGAAUUCUUGAAUUCAGGGACCAAUGUAUUGAGUUUGAAAGUAGAAGAGCCUAACAUGCAAUAUUAAAGGACUUGUGACUAAAUUACACAAACCUGUAAAAAGUCGACCCUUGCGAUCACAAGGGUAUAUUUAGUUGCGGUCGCAAAGACUUUUGCAGAAUUGCUUGUGAGAUAUAGUAGGUUAAAUCAAUCAAUUAGGGUUUAUUUCACUCGAGAGAGAUAAUUAGUUAAAAUUGAAAAAUCGGGUCUAACAUCGUAAAUGAGUAAUUCGUUAAUUGACAUAUGAAGAAAUUAAUUAGGCGACGGUUAAGCGAAACCAUGAAUCCCAACCACGUUUUCCUCCAAAAUUCCCAAGAUUUCCAUAUUUUCCUAGUUUGCGUUUUUUUCUUAGUUUCUAAAAUCAACUCUUUAUUGUGUGUUUGUUUAUUUUCAUUGUUAGAAUUAAAUUGAUUAAAAUUGUCUAAUAUAAAGUAAACAUUUCUCGAGGAUCGACAACCCGAACUUCAAAGGUCCACUUUAUUACUUGAACGCGACCCGUGCAUUUGCGGUAUUAUUUUAGCAAACACUUUCCUUUUAUUUUCUUGAUUUUAUGUUUCUCUUUUUUAGCGGACUUAAUAGCCAUUUUGCACGGAUUUGUUAGUGAGGAGUAUUUCCAAAAUAAAAAUGAAGGGUCGAAGACUGUGAUGCAAAUAAAUGAAGUUUGAGGAUAUAAAUGCAUAAGGAGUUGAAGAUUGAGAAUGUGGCUUAAAUUUUCCAAUAUUAAAAAGAAAAUGUUUUGCCCAAGUCAUUUUCUUGACUACUGUCAAGGAAAAAAAAAUAAAUAAAUCUUUUUGCGUUGAAAUUUGACUCCACAUUGUAGGAACUGUAUGGUCCACCCAUGUGAAAUCCAUUGAGUGCCAAAUCAGAGUUCCCGACAAAUUGUCGUAUGCCCAACAUGAUACAUGAUCUACAAUGUGUUACAAAUUGCCCCUGUAGACAUGUAUGUUUAAUCAAUAAAAAAAAAAGUCUGAAAUUUCCUCAAAUUCAAUAAUGAAUUCUUAAAUCAAAUCUGAAUAAUGAAUUUUCAAUCUUUUGAAUUACAAAAUUCGAAUUUUGAUCUCUAGAACUUGAUGAUUUUAACUUGCCAUUUCUAUAUAGUAUUACGUGUCAAACAUGCAAUGAUUUCAUACUUAUUCGUCCUUAUACUACAUCCUCAACUCUCUCCAUCAAAUUCUUCAUCUAUUCUUGCAAAAUAUAUUGUAGCUUAAAGUUAAACCGGUUUCAAGCAUAAUUUAUCGCUCGGGAAUUAUUCACUCAUAAAUAGAAUAUCUGCAAAUCUUGUAUUUUUGUGAAUUUAGUUAUUUUGUUAAUUGAGAAUAAGAUGAAUGAUAAUCUUCUUGGGAGAUCAUUCUUAUGUGAAAUUCAUACAAAUGUCUUGAGUGCUAUUUUCACCUUCACUCAUUUAUUAAAUAUUACAAGUUCUAGCUUUCAUAGGAAAAUAUAUUUUACUUGGUGUGCUGAAGAUAUUCUUCAACCUUCAGUAAAGUGGGGUUCUAGGUUCUCGACCCAAUUAAAUUUGGAAAUUACAUAAAUUGUUAACGUGAACGUCAAAACUGGACAUGACUUAAAAUUGAAUGUAAAGUGGUUUGAUGCUUUGCUCUCCAACUUUAAAUUACAUAAAAGUCAAGCAAUUCUAAUUUUCACAAUGACGAGUUUUUGCCACAUGGCGAUCCAAAUUCACAUAUUUAAAUACGUUGGGUACCCACGAUAGGGAUGACAACGGGAGAGAUGAGACGGGAUGGGAAGCCGCUAGGGAUUCGUCACGCCCUGUCCAAACCUUGAUCCCAGCUUAAGGUGGGGCGGUUGCAGGGGAUAGGGCAAUAUGGAUGGGAUGCCUCCUCUAUGCACAUAUUGUCCGUUUAAUUUUAUUUAAAUCAUAAGCCUUAGAUAUCUCUUUUUAAUUUUCACGCACUAACACAUACUAAAUGCCCACGUCAAUGGCUGCAAAAAUAGGGUCGGCCCUAAUAUUUUGGGGGCCUUAUGUCAAUUUCAAAUUGGGGCCCUAUAUUUUGAAUUUUCUUAUAUAGAGUUUUAGCCCCUGUUUGAUGAAGAUUAAGCCAUUGUUUGAGACUCAUUUUUUUCAUAAAAAUAUAUUUUUCAACAAUGAUUUGACACCACCAUGUCAACAUAUAUUUUUCAAUAAAAUAAUAUUACAUGCAAAUUCAAAAAUUUUCCUUAUUUUUUAAUCACACAUUCUCCAUCGUAUCACUUUCUCAAAAUGCAAUUUUUUUGGAGAAAAAUGAGGCUCAAAGGCUCAAACAACCCCUAAAAUAGAAUUUUCAUUUUUUUUUUCAAAAUGCAUUAUUAUUUUCUUAUGUUUGCAUAUGAUACUUCUAUACUACAGAAUUUCAUAAAUAUAAUUUUCAUUUUUUUUUCAACCAACAAAUUAACUUUACAUAAUUUGGGCCUCACUUAGGUGAUCGCCUAUUUCGUCUAUACUUAGGGCCACCACUGUGCAAAAACAACACAAGCCACCAAAUUUUGUGGUAAACACUGCAAGAAGAGGAGAACCCUAAACAAAGAGAGGUAAUGCUAAGAGGAACUCAUAAAUACGGAAUGGGGUGGAGAAGACAUGGCUGCUAGUUAAAGGAGAUGUGAUUGUGAGUCUCCAUCCUGUGCAACGAAGUCAUGACAUUGAUACCCAUCAACGUCGAUAGCUAGGGGCUGCUACAACGUGGUGCUAAGAAAUUGGGGGGGGGGGGUUUGGAAAUUUUGAAAUGUCUACGCUUUGUGUAAUGCACGUGCUUAUUUUUUGUGAUUAUCAUGUUUAUCUAAAUUAGUUGCGUUUAUGUUACAUUUACUAUUAAAUUAUUAUAAUUAUCAUAGUCGUGAUUAAUUAUGUUGAUAUAGUGGAAUGUGCCUUGGAUCAAAGUCGUGAUUAAUUAUGUUGAUACAGUGGAAUGUGCCUUGGACACUCUAUGCGAUCGACAUGCCUAUAGCUCCAAACUUAAAAUACAUAUGACUCUAUUUAAAUAUGCAAUUUAAUAUAAUUUGACGCCGUAUCACAUUCCUAUUAAUUUAAUUGUAUUGUCUAUAAUUAAUUUUAUUUAGUUAGAUUAAAUUAUAUAACGUAUUUAUCCUAUUAUGUACAAUCUCUUUUUUAGAUUGAACCUAGACAUUGAGUUGGAAGAUUUCUUUUUAUAAGUAAAUAAAUAAAUAAAAAUAAUAAUGAUAUAUAGUUAAUAAUUGAAUUAAUUUUCUAAUAGGAUCAAUUUAAGGUUAAGGAAGUUAAUAUAGAUAAAUAAGGAGGCGUAAUUUGUUAGAUUAGUACAAAUUAAACUAAAUAAACGCCAGUAGGUUUAGGAGUCUACAUAGUUGCCUUAUUUCACAUCUUUUUAAAAUUAAGUAGAAACUCUUUUUCCUGCCAAAAGUUUAAUUUCAAUUUCUUAUUUUGGGACUAGUAUGCUCUUGCAAUAAGGUAUGGUUCAUAAUUUAUUCAUGAUAUAAUCUAUCGGUUAACCUAUGUGUUUAAUUCUCUCUCUCUCUCUCUCUCUCUCUCUCUACACUACCAUAAAAGAGAGAAUGAGGGUUUACUGUUUAUUUUUGUCACACUCGUUUUCACACUUAACCGGUUUGGGAACUGGUUUGACAACAAGAAAAAUUCUAUUAAAAAAUACUAUAGGAAUUUUGUCAGGAAAAAUUCUAUUCAAAAUACUGUAGGAAUUUUGUCACACACCAUUGUCUACUGUAAUAUUUCUCCCUUGCUUUGAAUCUGACACACCAUGCUCUUUCUCCUAAUUCUCAAGCUAUAAACUACAAACUAUAUCUUAUAUAUUUAAAUUUUUUAAAUUAUAUUAAUAAACAAAAUUAUUGUAAAUAAACUAUAAAAAAAAUAUAUUCACUCUGUGCAUGGAGAAAAAAAUUUACGUCAUACUACAUAAUUUUUUUUGAGCAAAAUGAUGUAUUGAGAAAAUUGUUGGGAAAAAAUAAUAAAUAGUAAUAAAAUAAUUGAUUUUUUUAAAAGAAAAAUGACUUAUACGCAUUUUUUAACACAUACGUUUAAUGUCCGUUUAACUAUUUUCGAUAUUCAUUUAGAUCAUUCGAUGUGUCUAUGAUAUAGUUCUUGAAAUGAGUUUCGAGAGAAUGUAAAAUAUUUAUCGAUUCGACUAUCGUGCAAUCGUCAAUGAAUUUUUAAAGUUAACUCAUUAUCGAAAAUUUCGAAAUAUAGUUUGAAAAUGCCUAUUUUGACGUCCCGUAACAUUUGCUACGAUUAGCCGUUUCACGCAUCGUUAACGACAUGCAAUACUAUGCCGCAAGUACUUCAAAAUGAUAUUAAGAAUGUAAUAUUUCAAUUUCGUUUGAUAUCCCGUAAUGAGCCUGAGAUGAAUACAAAAACAUAAAUUAAAAAAAAAAAUUAGCAAACCUCCGUGCACGGAGGUUAAACCUCCAUACACGAAGGUUUAUGCGUGCGGGGAGUCCCCGCACAAAUAUGCAAUUUUUUUUUUUACUUUUAUUUGUAGUACAUUUUUUUAUUAAUAUUUAAUUUAAAAAAAUUAAAUAUAUCUAAAUAUUUACUUAAAAAUGUUGAAAUUAAUAUUUUUUACGUAUAAGUAACUUUUACAAUUAUAAUUUUUUUUAUUACUUUUAAAUAACUUGAAGUGAUUUGUUUAUUUAUAAAUAACUUUUUACAUUCUCGAUAGUUUAAUCUUUUUAUUAAUAUUUAAUUUUAAAAACUAAAUAUAUCUAAAUAUUUGUACUUAAAAAAUUCACAUUUUUUUAUAUAAGUAGCUUUUGCAAUUAUAAGAGAAUGAGGGAUUAAUAUUUUUUUAUCUUUUAGAUAGUGUAAUCUCUUUUUUUACUUUUAAAUAACUUAACCGAUUUGGGAACUGGUUUGGUAACAGGAAAAAUUCUAUUCAAAAAUACUGUAGAAAUUUGUCACAUGCCAUUUGAGUGCAAUGUCACAUCCACUGCAAUAUUUCUCUCUUACUUUGAAUCUGACACACCAUGCUCUUUCUCUUAAUUCUCACGUUAUUAACUAUUAAUCAUAUCCUAUAUAUUUAAUUUUUUAAAAUUAUAUUAAUAGAAAAACUUAUUGUAAAUAAAAUGUAAAAAAAAAAAUAUAUAUAUAUAUAUAUUCACUCCGUGCAUGAAGAAAUUUUUUUACGUCAUACCACAUAAGUUUUCUUAAGCAAAAUGAUGUAUUGAGAAAAUUAUUGCGAAAAAAUAAUAAAUAGUAAUAAAAUAAUUGAUUUUUUUUGAAGAAAAACGAUUUAUACGCAUUUUUUAACACAUAUGUUUAAUGUGCGUUUAACUAUUUUUGAUAUUAAUUUACAUCAUUUGAUGUGUUUAUGAUAUAUUUCUCGAAAUGAGUUUCGAGAGAAUGUAAAACAUUUAUUGAUUUGACUAUCGUAUAGUGGUAGAUGAAUUUUUAAAGUUAGCUUAUUAUCGAAAAUUUCGAAAUACAGUUUGAAAAUGUCUAUUUUGACGUCCCGUGACAUUUGCUACGAUUAGCCGUUUCACGCACCGCUAAUGACGUGCAAUACUAUAUCGCAAGUACUUUAAUAUGAUAUUAAGAAUAUAAUAUUUUAAUUUCGUUUGAUAUCCCCUAAUGAGUCUAAAAAUGAACAUAAAAACAUAAGCUAAAAAAAAAUGAAGCAACAUGUAUUAAACCUCCUCAUGUCCUCGGUGCACGCACCAAUCCGAUUUUUGGUUACCCAUUUUCUCCACCACUUAACCCUAAUUGUUCUCUCUCUCUCUCUCUCUCGAUCGGCACCAUUGUAGCAAGAAAUUCUGGAAAACCUGAAGCAACUGAGACAUAUACUUGUAAGUCUAAUCAUCACUGCUUCGACUUCUUUCUCUUCUCUUCUGUAUAUUGCUUCUAAUUUGUCGAGUUGUAUUGUUCAAUAUAUUCUUAGUUUUCAAUUUUUUUUUUUUUUUUUUGUUUUUUGAAGAGUUCAAGCCCAAAUACGUAAAGUCAUGUUUCAAGGGGGGGUUAGGUUUGGGUUGUUGUGUAUAUGUUUUUCAAUUUAUAUAGCUGUGGUAUUGAAUAUGAGAUUUCUUGUCCAAUUUGCUUUUUUUUUUGUUCCCCGUUUUCCUUCUUCUGAGAGGUCGAACCCAAAAUACCUAAAGUCUAUUAUUUUCAUGUUGUUAUUAUUUUUUUCUAUUAUUAUUUUCAUGUUAUUAUUAUUAUUUUUUUUUGUUCAAUUUCUUCGUGUUGUGUAUAAGUUUUUUUUUAUUUCUGCAGCCGUCAUGUUGAAUAUGAGAUUUUUUGUUCAAUCUGUGUUUUUUUCCUCAUUUUUUGUAAGAAACUGAACUGAAAAGACAUAUAAUUUGUUCUUCCCAUGUUUGGCUCUUUGAUUAUAUUUAACUUUAAGAAGGAGAACAAAAUGUUUCAAGUCGGAUAAUUCAUUAAAUACCCAAAUGCAAAUUCCGAAAAAGGUUAUCAUUGCUUUUCACUUGCUGCAAUUGAUACACAUGAGUGCUUAAUUUGAUGUUUGUGAUUGACAGAUUUUGAUGAAUACUGUACUACCANNNNNNNNNNNNNNNNNNNNNNNNNNNNNNNNNNNNNNNNNNNNNNNNNNNNNNNNNNNNNNNNNNNNNNNNNNNNNNNNNNNNNNNNNNNNNNNNNNNNNNNNNNNNNNNNNNNNNNNNNNNNNNNNNNNNNNNNNNNNNNNNNNNNNNNNNNNNNNNNNNNNNNNNNNNNNNNNNNNNNNNNNNNNNNNNNNNNNNNNNNNNNNNNNNNNNNNNNNNNNNNNNNNNNNNNNNNNNNNNNNNNNNNNNNNNNNNNNNNNNNNNNNNNNNNNNNNNNNNNNNNNNNNNNNNNNNNNNNNNNNNNNNNNNNNNNNNNNNNNNNNNNNNNNNNNNNNNNNNNNNNNNNNNNNNNNNNNNNNNNNNNNNNNNNNNNNNNNNNNNNNNNNNNNNNNNNNNNNNNNNNNNNNNNNNNNNNNNNNNNNNNNNNNNNNNNNNNNNNNNNNNNNNNNNNNNNNNNNNNNNNNNNNNNNNNNNNNNNNNNNNNNNNNNNNNNNNNNNNNNNNNNNNNNNNNNNNNNNNNNNNNNNNNNNNNNNNNNNNNNNNNNNNNNNNNNNNNNNNNNNNNNNNNNNNNNNNNNNNNNNNNNNNNNNNNNNNNNNNNNNNNNNNNNNNNNNNNNNNNNNNNNNNNNNNNNNNNNNNNNNNNNNNNNNNNNNNNNNNNNNNNNNNNNNNNNNNNNNNNNNNNNNNNNNNNNNNNNNNNNNNNNNNNNNNNNNNNNNNNNNNNNNNNNNNNNNNNNNNNNNNNNNNNNNNNNNNNNNNNNNNNNNNNNNNNNNNNNNNNNNNNNNNNNNNNNNNNNNNNNNNNNNNNNNNNNNNNNNNNNNNNNNNNNNNNNNNNNNNNNNNNNNNNNNNNNNNNNNNNNNNNNNNNNNNNNNNNNNNNNNNNNNNNNNNNNNNNNNNNNNNNNNNNNNNNNNNNNNNNNNNNNNNNNNNNNNNNNNNNNNNNNNNNNNNNNNNNNNNNNNNNNNNNNNNNNNNNNNNNNNNNNNNNNNNNNNNNNNNNNNNNNNNNNNNNNNNNNNNNNNNNNNNNNNNNNNNNNNNNNNNNNNNNNNNNNNNNNNNNNNNNNNNNNNNNNNNNNNNNNNNNNNNNNNNNNNNNNNNNNNNNNNNNNNNNNNNNNNNNNNNNNNNNNNNNNNNNNNNNNNNNNNNNNNNNNNNNNNNNNNNNNNNNNNNNNNNNNNNNNNNNNNNNNNNNNNNNNNNNNNNNNNNNNNNNNNNNNNNNNNNNNNNNNNNNNNNNNNNNNNNNNNNNNNNNNNNNNNNNNNNNNNNNNNNNNNNNNNNNNNNNNNNNNNNNNNNNNNNNNNNNNNNNNNNNNNNNNNNNNNNNNNNNNNNNNNNNNNNNNNNNNNNNNNNNNNNNNNNNNNNNNNNNNNNNNNNNNNNNNNNNNNNNNNNNNNNNNNNNNNNNNNNNNNNNNNNNNNNNNNNNNNNNNNNNNNNNNNNNNNNNNNNNNNNNNNNNNNNNNNNNNNNNNNNNNNNNNNNNNNNNNNNNNNNNNNNNNNNNNNNNNNNNNNNNNNNNNNNNNNNNNNNNNNNNNNNNNNNNNNNNNNNNNNNNNNNNNNNNNNNNNNNNNNNNNNNNNNNNNNNNNNNNNNNNNNNNNNNNNNNNNNNNNNNNNNNNNNNNNNNNNNNNNNNNNNNNNNNNNNNNNNNNNNNNNNNNNNNNNNNNNNNNNNNNNNNNNNNNNNNNNNNNNNNNNNNNNNNNNNNNNNNNNNNNNNNNNNNNNNNNNNNNNNNNNNNNNNNNNNNNNNNNNNNNNNNNNNNNNNNNNNNNNNNNNNNNNNNNNNNNNNNNNNNNNNNNNNNNNNNNNNNNNNNNNNNNNNNNNNNNNNNNNNNNNNNNNNNNNNNNNNNNNNNNNNNNNNNNNNNNNNNNNNNNNNNNNNNNNNNNNNNNNNNNNNNNNNNNNNNNNNNNNNNNNNNNNNNNNNNNNNNNNNNNNNNNNNNNNNNNNNNNNNNNNNNNNNNNNNNNNNNNNNNNNNNNNNNNNNNNNNNNNNNNNNNNNNNNNNNNNNNNNNNNNNNNNNNNNNNNNNNNNNNNNNNNNNNNNNNNNNNNNNNNNNNNNNNNNNNNNNNNNNNNNNNNNNNNNNNNNNNNNNNNNNNNNNNNNNNNNNNNNNNNNNNNNNNNNNNNNNNNNNNNNNNNNNNNNNNNNNNNNNNNNNNNNNNNNNNNNNNNNNNNNNNNNNNNNNNNNNNNNNNNNNNNNNNNNNNNNNNNNNNNNNNNNNNNNNNNNNNNNNNNNNNNNNNNNNNNNNNNNNNNNNNNNNNNNNNNNNNNNNNNNNNNNNNNNNNNNNNNNNNNNNNNNNNNNNNNNNNNNNNNNNNNNNNNNNNNNNNNNNNNNNNNNNNNNNNNNNNNNNNNNNNNNNNNNNNNNNNNNNNNNNNNNNNNNNNNNNNNNNNNNNNNNNNNNNNNNNNNNNNNNNNNNNNNNNNNNNNNNNNNNNNNNNNNNNNNNNNNNNNNNNNNNNNNNNNNNNNNNNNNNNNNNNNNNNNNNNNNNNNNNNNNNNNNNNNNNNNNNNNNNNNNNNNNNNNNNNNNNNNNNNNNNNNNNNNNNNNNNNNNNNNNNNGAUUGAGCUGGUGUGACUGCAAUGGUAUAAUUAUUGCAUGUUUAAUUAUUGUACAUGCAUGUAUUAGCCAAUAAUUUUUGCUUCCCCAGAAAAUUCAACUGAUGGGGAUAAAUUGGAAAAACUUUCUCGUUGUCAUUUGCAUCAUCUGCAAUCAAGCGUUAGCAAGCGCAAUCGUGCUUGGUGUACAAUCAUUUUUACAAUAUUGUUGAUAACAUGCCAUGGGUCAUGUUGUCAUUGGAUAAUUUAAAAAACAAUUUAUAUUUCCUACUAACACUUUUAUGACAUAUACAACAUCGUCAACAAUGUUGUCAAAAAUCAUUGUACAAAUGGCAUUAUCCUAGCAAGAAACACAAGGCAUACGGUGAUGCAAAUAAUGGGCAUAAGCCAUUAGCAUACGGAGAAAAGCCAAGGAAGGCAGCAAACGUUCCUUUUGAUAUUUCCUUACUUGAUAAGUUGCUGUCAGCUUUCUUCCCUUCAUUUUUCUUCCUAAAAAAUAAUUUGUUAUUUGUACUCCUCAUACAUGUGGAAUUCAUGGAUCUUAGGAUAAUCCCAACGCCUAAAAUAUUCGUUGAUGACUUUUGCAUUCCCUAGGCUAAAUUUCACUGGUUUUGUUGAAGAUAUCUAUAUAUAUGUAGAUGAAUAAUACUAUUUUUUCGAGUGUAGAUGAUUUCCUUACGAUAGUAGAAUUUGUUGCUCAAUUCUACACUAAUGGUCAUUAGUUGCUUUCUUUGCCAUUUAUGCUUGUUUUCUUAUUAUAUUUCAUUUCGGGUUUAAUUUUAAUUUAGUGAUAUUAUGGUACAUGGUGUUUGUUAUACUGUGGCUAAGUUCUCAUUUUUAGGUACAUUUGGAUUCAUUAACAUUCUUUUACAUGGCUGUUCUUUAAAACUUAGCCAAAGAUGAUGUUGCAUGGUUGAAGUGGCAAGGUUUUCAUAUUUAGGUAGAAUCAUUUUUGUAUCUAAUACUAAGAGUUGUAACCAAAAUGGUUAAAGUAGGACAAAAGCUUUUACUUAGUGUUUCAUUAUGAUACAUGGAUUGAAAUUUAGAUCUAUCCUAUAACCUCUAUAACUGCAGAUAAUGUAUGUAUUAGAUAGUUUUCUCUUAUAAUUAAAUAUAUAUUAAAUUCUUUUGUCAAAGCAAUUAGUUACAAGGUGUAAGAAAUAUUAAUUUUGUAACAUAGAAUGGAGUUAAUUCGUGAAGUUUAUCAGUUAUUAAGUACUAUUAUUUUACAACAUGUUCAUUUUAAGAGAAUUGAUGUUACUUGAGAAAUUGAAGGAAUGCAUUUGUUGCGCCAAAAGGGGAUAAAGACUGAAUAGACAUAGGUAUUCUUUGACCUAACGAAAGAACUGAAAAAUACCAUGCAUGGUGUUUGAUUAAUAAAGUGCUUUCUCUGUGUUGUGGUAUAUCUUAUUGUCUGAUGCAGGCAAUAAGAUCACUAGGGAAAUGAGAGCUUUCCAAAAUACCAUAGAAUCUUGAAGGAAAUUCAAGUUUGAUUACUUCAGGUAUGUUAGUUUCUAUUUUUUGUUGUCAAUCUUCAAAUUGUUUGUUUUCUCUUUUCAGAAAAUUUAACAAACCGUUCCCAAAAUACCAGAAAAUUUCGACAAAAAUUGGACUCCGAGGACCUCGAGUAUCUUCCUUUAUUAUUUUUCUGUGUAUUUUUUGUUGAAUUAUCUUCAUAUCUACUCUGAAGUUUUCGUUCUUUUCCGUCUAUGUUUGAAGUUCUUUGCAAGGAAAGAAAAGAUUCACGUACAAAUUGAAGAGUAUCAAAAUAAGGUAUGUCGAUUUCAUAUUUGCCUUUAAUAAGGUAUGUCGAUUUCAUAUUUGCCUUUUUUUUUCUUUUUUUCAAAUAAAUCAUUCUCACUAUUUGUUAUCUGUUUGUAUUUUAUUUGAUUUCUCUAUUUCAUUUUAUUGCUUUUUGUUGGUUGUUUAACCUAUUCGGCGUUCGUCGCAACUUGUACAAAUAAACCAUGACAAGAAUAUUGUACUUGUAAAUAGGUAAUAUUAUUUCAUUUUUUAGAUAGUAAUUAUGAAUAGGGAGAGGAGAAAGCGAUUAAACUAUUCACAUUCUCCUCUGUGAUUCCUAACAACAAAGGACUGAUGACUCUAUCGAGAAACAAAAGUAGCAACUUCAGAAGGAAAGAAUUGAAUCAAAUUGCCAUUAAUUUUUUUUGGUAAUAAAUGAAUUAAAUUUCGGUUAUUUUGUUAAUUAAUUUAGUGUUGAUUGAUUUUUUUUUUUUACCGUAUUUUAUCUUUAAAUACAUAUGCAAUCAUUUGUGCCAAAAGACAAAAGUGAAAAUUGAUGGGGUUUUAUUUUUUUUUUUUUUAUUUUUUAAAUGGGUUUGCAUUGUGUUAGAAAUGGGAAGGAUUUUGACACCAAACCGUCUGAUUAUGGAGAAAAGAUAAUAAGUUAAGAAAGAACGGGAAGUUAUUUAAAAAAUUUCAAGUUUUUUCAUAUUAUGUAGGAGAUGGGAUUUCUAUUUUUCUGGCAGAAUUUUCAUCAAUUGUCCAAAUUCAUUUGUCAAUGAGGUAAUUGCUAUUCCAUUAUGCCACAUACAAAGGAUAGAUUUUUGAAUCAAUUUUCGUCUAAGGAUUUGGUUCUAUGGUGUCUCAAAUCCAUGCAUUCGCUGCAUAGUUCUAGCCAGUAGUUCUUAGCCAAAGAGAAUAAACAUUCUAUAACUAUUUAUGAUAAAUAUGAAAUUCACUCAUUUGCUUAUGAGCUGCAUUAUUUAGAAAUAGAUUUUUUUUCCCUCUCUCAUUUUCCCUUCAAAACUCCAUUUUCUCCCCUCUUUUCCUUUUUUUGGAUGGAAAUUUUUUUAAUGGAAUUAUCCUUUUCAGACUUAGAAUCUGAUAUAAUCAUUUUCUUAUAUCUUCGAAAGACAAUCAGGUAUGACUUUUAGAUUUCCUUUUGUAAAAAUCUUAUGUUGCAAUGCUAUUGGAAUUUCAAUGAAAGAGAAUUUUUCUAAUACCCUUUUUUUCUUUUUUUAUGGAGAUUGUAUAUUCACCCAAUGGCUAUUAUUUCGAUUAUUUGUUUAAAUUUUUUUGUGUUAAGGUUGCAAUUUUUUUUGCCUUUUGGAAAUCACUUAAUGGGGUUGUCAGUCUCUUUUCUUGAUUUAAAUAUCUCUCAGGACUUAAUUUGAAGGCAUGCAUUAUGUGAGAACAUGUGAAGGAAGUGAUAAUAUUUUAAUGUAGGGUUUUGAAGAAGUUCAAAGACAAGAUAUCUGAGUUCCAGGUAAAUUAGAUACACAAUAUAAUGGAAAGGUUUGAAUUUCUUCCAAUUCUUCUUUCCAUUUCUCAUUAUCUCUUAAUAAUAAUUUUCUAUAGGCUUUAAGACAAAACAUCCAUCGAGAGUAUCGUGAAAGUUGUCAAGAGGCGUGUAUUCACAGGUUUAACCCUUAUUAUAUGAAAUGAACUUGUGUAACUCUGUGUAAUAGGUUCCUUUCUCUUUAUUCAAUUAACAAUUUCCUUUUUCAUGAACCUCAGUGACAGAAAGUCAAGCUAAUGAAGAGGUAAAACUUGCAACCACGUUUUUAUUCUAAUAAUUAGAAUGUCAUGGACAGGUUUCUCAUUGCUCAAAUGUUUUGCCGCAGACAAUUGAUAAUUGACCAGGACUGGGGAUAGUGAACAAAUCCUUAUGACAUUGUUGUUAUGUGUUAAUUGUCUCAAUGGCAUAUUUCUAUUUACAUAUCUAUAUUAAGGAAGUUAGGACUAUUGGAAUGCUACAUGUUGCAACUUAUAAGCUCAAAUUAAUAAGCAAGUAUGAAAAUAAAGCUUAAUAUCUCAUGGCUGAAAAUAAUCGUUUAUUAGAUUCACGUAUUAUAAUUUUCUGGAUGUAUUCAUCUGUUGUUUUGGUUCCAUUAAGCAUGUGACUUCGGGAUUGCCUCCUCUAAAAUUUGUUCACAUCAAAGAGCAUUCCAUGUUUUAUUGUUAUUUAUUUUUGAAACUUUAACUAAUUCAACUAUGUAAUUAUGGCCCCAUUUGAUCUAUGUACAAGGUUCUGAGAAAUUAUAUAAUUGCAACUGUUGGAUUGUCAAAAGCUUCCACAUGUUGAGCUCGUUUUAAUUUUUCAGUAGAAUUUGAAUUGUAUAAAUGUUGUCUUUAGCAUUCCUCUCAAAACGUUUGUUUUUUUAUGUUUCAUGUAUUGCUUUUUCUUAAGAGUUAUUUAGUUUUACUAGCUUCUUUUUUAAUACAUUGGUCCUAAAAUGGUUUUCUACAAUUUCCUUUGUAACAGGCAAGCUUAGUUACUAGCACCACAAGUUACCAUGUUCCACCACAAAAGUAAUUGUCAAAGUGAUUAGGCGAGUGAUGACCUGAGCAUGAACACGUGGAUAGUUAGGAACAUCUCCCAUUGUCAUUCAAAAACCAUAUUACUAGGAUUCAAGGUAAGUAUACCUCACAUUGUCUUCAUGUGCAUAUUUAAUUAUUAAAUGUAUAAAUGUGUUACUUAAAUUUGUUAUUAUGUGAUCUUGAUAUUUAAUUAUUUCGUUUUAUGUCAUUAAUGCUUCUUUAUGACAUAUUCAUACACAUCAAUGCAUCCAUAAGCAUACAAGAAGUUCCAAGAAAAAAUGAAAGUUUCCAAAUGUUAAUGAAGCAAGGAAUGUUUUUAAAGAUAUAUAUCUCGAAUAUUUUCUUACGAGGUGUAUAUCUAUGUCAUGAAGGGUGUGAGUGGGGAACCGGCACACCCGACUAAUGUUCAAUGAUAAUGUUAAUGUUAUUCGUUUUGUGGACCUAUUGGUAGGACUCGAUCGUGUUCCAAAUAAUAAAUGUACACUGCAUUUUGAUUGGCUAGGUGAUACAUCAAGUGAGCUCACGACGUCAAUAUUAAAUUUUUUUUUUUUUUUAAAAAUGAAUGAAAGAGGAUACAUAUUGAGGAAUGAUUUUAUCUUAAAAUAAUUCAUGUGCAUAUCAUAAGCAUAUAUCAUAUGCAUGAGAUUUGCUUCCUAAGCGUUCGCUCAUUUCACGUUAUUCCUCCCAAUUUUUAGAUAAUGAAGGCAACAAUUCAAGACGAUUACUUGUGGUGCAAUGGAUUGAGUACUAAUAUAUUCAAAAAUUGACUCCUUUUAGAAUAUAAAGUUAACAUUUAAUUUUAUUGUUUUUUAAAUUUAAGUGUAAAAGUUUUCUACAAGUUACGCUCAUAAACGAAGUUAAUAAUGUUCAUUAUAUCAAAGAAAAAUUUCGUUGCUUCCGCAUUUAUAAUUUUAAUAGAAAACCUUUAGCACCAUAUCUUAAGACAUCGAGGAUGUCUAGGAUCCAGGCCCCCCCCCCCCCCCCCCCCCCUUCCCCCCANNNNNNNNNNNNNNNNNNNNNNNNNNNNNNNNNNNNNNNNNNNNNNNNNNNNNNNNNNNNNNNNNNNNNNNNNNNNNNNNNNNNNNNNNNNNNNNNNNNNNNNNNNNNNNNNNNNNNNNNNNNNNNNNNNNNNNNNNNNNNNNNNNNNNNNNNNNNNNNNNNNNNNNNNNNNNNNNNNNNNNNNNNNNNNNNNNNNNNNNNNNNNNNNNNNNNNNNNNNNNNNNNNNNNNNNNNNNNNNNNNNNNNNNNNNNNNNNNNNNNNNNNNNNNNNNNNNNNNNNNNNNNNNNNNNNNNNNNNNNNNNNNNNNNNNNNNNNNNNNNNNNNNNNNUUUUUUUUUUUUUUCAAUUAGGGGCAAAAAACGACGCCGUUUGCUUGAUAUAUAUUUUAUUUUAUUGUACACUACCUCCAAAUUUACUGCAACAUGCAAUUUUCAUUCUUCGCCUACUUCGAUAUAGAUAUAUAUAGUAGAGAUAUAAGAAAAAUACCACUUUUAUAUUAAAAAAAAAAUAAAAAAAGAUAGAGAUAAUAUAGGACUGAAUUUUUUUUACAACAUAUUACUUGUAAGUAAAAAAAUUGAAGAGAAACGAAUUAAAGAGAAUUUUAAAUUGAAAAAAAAAUUAUAACGUAAAAACUACACAGCAAAAAAAAAAAGUAAGUAAUCUCUUCGUGCAUGGAGCAAAAGCUCCCGUGCAUGGAGACAUUAGUCAUUUUUUAUUUUCCAUUUUGUUUAUGUCAAACAAAUGUUCUUCUACACAUCAUGUCAUUAGCAUUAAAAAAUAAUAAUAAUUUUAGUAAAUAUAAAUUACCACGAGCAAAAAAAAAAAACUCCUCUCCACACAAUGCGGAGAGAUGGCAAACCAUGUGCGUAGAGUUGACAAACUCUCUGUACAGUGAGAAGUUAAAAAAAAAUUUAUAAAUUUUUUUUUAUUACAAUUAACAUAAAAAAAUCAUUUUUAUCUUCAACAAAAAAACACAUUUAAAAAUUAGCAAUUUCAUAAUCACUUUUUUUUUAUUCCCGAAAAUACAAUUAUAAAAAAGAAAAUAAUAUUGAAUUAUAAAAACCAAUAUCUGCGAAAUACGGUAUCUAAAGACAAUAUGUGCAAAUACGGUAUGAUGUAAAUACAGUAUGAUGCAAAUAUGAUAUACUGUAUAUAUAGUAUGAUACAAAUACGAUAUGUUGUAAAUACGAUAUGAUGCAAAUAUGGUACGCUGUAAAUACGGUGUGCUGCAUAUACGGUAUAAUGCAAAUACAGUAUGAUGCAAAUACGGUAUGCUGUAAAUACGGUGUGCUGCAUAUACGGUAUGAUGCAAAUAUAAUAUGCUGCAUAUACGGUACGUUGUAAAUAUGGUAUGCGUAAAUACGGUAUAUUACAUGUAUGAUAUAUAUAAUGCAUAUGCGGUAUGAAUAAAUCCGGUUUCAUCCACUACAAUAAAUUUCAAUACCAUAUAUGCUGUCUUUCGUAUUUGCAGUUUACCAUAUAUGCAGCCUACCGUAUUUGCAGGCAACUUACCGUAUAUGCUACCUACUUUAUGUGCAGCUUAUCGUAUAUACCAUUUUUGCACUUACAAAUACCGAGAGUGCAGAACACCAUACAUUCACUUAUCAAACGAAUGUCAGAAAAAAAUUUCAGAUUUUUACUUUUCAACAUAAGCAUAAAAUAAAUAUUAAAAUAUAUGAAAGACAAAAUAUAAAACGCAUAUAAAUAUGCAAGUUGAUUUAUAAUUAUGCAGUGGCACAUAUUAUACAUUUAAAAUUUCUUAUGUCGGUGCAAAAUAACUUUGAAGUCAUUCUAGAGCAAAUUAAACCACUGCAAUGUCUAUUCUAGAAAUACAAUUGUGCAAAUUAAUAUGAAUUAAAUCUACAUUACAUUGGACUUGGAUUUAUUUAUAACAAAUAUUGGUGAUUAGUCUAAAGACAAUAUGUGCAAAUACGGUAUGCUAUAUACUAUAUGUUAUAGUUAAGAUAUAACAUACUAUACGUAUAUGUUAUAAUACAAUGUUUAGCAUAAUAUAAUGAGAAAUUAUUGUUGUACAAUUUUUUUUUGUUAUAUUACAGCAAAAUGCAUAUUACAACAUAUAACUUACCGUAUGUGCUCUAAUACAAUCUGUGCGGCGACUUUCUAUUUUUUUUAAAAUUUAAUCAUGUAACCUAAUAUUUGUUUAGUUUGUUAUUUUAUUAAUUAAAAAUAUGUAUUAAAUCUAAUAACAAAAUAUAAUUACAAGAAUAAGUUUAAUUUCAAUAUAAUAAAAAAAAUUUCGAGGAAAUAAUCAUUGCUAACAACAAAAGAAUCUAAAAAAAUGAAGAAGACAAAAACGAAAAAAGUAAAAUUUGUGAAAAGAAGAAAAUGAAAACAUGAUACCAAAAAAUUUGGCAUUAUUGUUUGAAUGAGAAAUGUUUUAUUGAUACACAAAAGACUUUUGCAGUCACCAGGUUAAAAGUAUAGAUUUAUUGUGUUGUGAAUUUUUUUUAAAUAAUCGUAGUAAAUCUUCUUGUUACGAUAAUAAAAUUACAAUAAUUUUUUUUUUACAAAUAGCAUAAAAAAAUCAUUUUUAUCUUCAACAAAAAACACAUGUAAAAAUUUUCAAUUUCAUAAUCACCUUUUUUUUUAAAUUCCCCAAAAUAAAAUUAUAAAAAAGAAAACAAUAUUGAAUUACAAAAACCAAUAUCUGCCAAAUACGGUAUCUAAAGACAAUAUGUGCAAAUAUGGUAUGCUGUAAAUAUGGUAUGAUGCAAAUACAGUAUGCUGUAAAUACGAUCUGAUUCAAAUACGGUAUGCUGUAAAUACGAUAUGCUGCAUAUAUGGUAAGCUGCAAAUACGGUAUGCGUAAAUACGGUAUGUGGCAUAUAUGAUAUGUAAAGUGCAUAUACGGUAUGAAUGAAUCCGGUUUCAUCCACUACAAUAAAUUUCAAUACCGUAUAUGCUGUCUACCGUAUUUGCAGCCUACAAUAUAUAUAGUCUACCGUAUUUGUAGGCAACUUACCGUAUAUGCUACCUACCGUAUUGCAGCUUACCGUAUAUACUGAUUUUUGCGCUUACAAAUACUGAGAAUGCAAAACAUCAUACAUUCACUUAUCAAACCGAAUGUCAGAAAAAAAAUUUCAUAUUUUUAUUUUUUCAACAUAAGCAUAAAAUAAAUAUUAAAAUAUAUGAUGCUCAAUCUUCAAUUUUUCAAUAUUGAAUUACACAAAUUUUAGAAAUAUAAUGUUCACAUUCAAUUCAAUCAUAUCAACACUAUCAAAGAAUACAGGCAAAAUAGUUUGUAUAACCUCGUAUAUUUCUUAUUUAAGUAUGAAAUAUACAAGCAUAUUUUUUUAGAUAACACAAUACUGUUGUAAUUGUAAAAAUAAUUUGCAAUCAUUUUCUUAUAUCAUGAAAAUAUUUCUAGAUAUUACUUCAAAAACUUUCCAAAAAACUAAAAUUCAUAAGCUAAUAAAAAUAUGAUAAAUACAAAAUUCGUGCAACGCACAUGACAGCGACUAGUAUGAAGAAAAAGGGCAAAUGACUAACCUAUUCAAUGUAGUGAAGUGGCUCUUGUAUUCAAUGUUCACAUGCCCAAGAUGGGUUCAAUUCCCAACAUUGUGAAAUUAAUUUUUCCUCCAAUUUUCGGGGCGAUUUUGAGGUGGAAACCUUGUUCCCUUGUAGUGUCUCUACACGAGAUAAGAACUCUUUUCCUAGCCGGGCCAGCCUACCCUAAUUCCUCGAUUAAUCAAGAAUUUUCUGUUAUUUAGGAUAGUCCUUGUUGGCAUCAAGACAAUCGAAAAUAAUUGUCAUCCUAACCUAAAAUAUCAUUUUUGAAUGUUGAGACCCGAAACCAUAUUAAUUCAAAUGUUAUCUAGCACAAAUCUAAUUUUUCUCAUAUUGAAUAGAAAUUCACGUGCCCACCUUUAAACAAAACAAUUGUAGAAGAAAAAUCAAGAAAAUAUAAAGAAUAUCGCAAAAUUCACUUAAAGGCCACUGCCUCCCACUACUGGGCAAAUCUCCUGAAUCGAACCGAAUCGAACCUGACGGUUCUUCUCAAAUUAAAUACCCAAACGGGUAUCUGAAUUAAGAACUGACGGGUACGAUUCGGUUCUCGAUUCUAGACGAAGAACCGAAUAUUCCUAAUUUUUAUUUUUUUAUAUUGAAUAAAUCAAAUUAUUUUAAUUUUUUCCAAACAAAUUAACAAAUUAGGUGAUUAAUUGAUACUUUAUCUCCUAAGCCCUAGCCUAGCUAGCUUGACCUAACCCAACCAAUUUCUAAAUCCAAUUUUUUGGCCCAAUUAUUUGUUUCAUUUCUAUUUUUUUAAUUUUUAGCCCAAGUGUCAUUUUUAGUUUUUAUUCUUCCAUUUUUUUAGCCCAACAUCCAAGUGAUCCAACCCACUAGUGACUAACCCUAAAUAAAUUACACACAUUAUCACCUACACAUAACACAUUUGACAUUCCAAAACUCAAAUAGAUGUAUAGAACCUCCGACUUCGAGUCCGAAGCUAUGACCUCCGGGCUCCGAUGACGACCUUUGACCGUUGAUUAUUUGAAUAAGGUAGUGUGUAAGCUUUCCUAUAUGUGAUUGGUAAAUUAAUCUUGUUGGACAACUUGUUAUAUACAUGUCAAAUUGGAUUACGUUAAUUUAUAAAAUUACGAUUGAAUGUGUUAUUAGUUGUAUUUAUAUAGUGUUGUUAUAAAUGUUAAAAAAUUUAAUUAUAUAGUACAGAACAGAACCGAACCGAACGGAACUGAACCCGAACGGUUCCAUAAUUAUAUUUGGACCCGACAGUUCUAUUUACUAAAUAUCCAAAAUUUUUGGUUCGGUUCUCUAGUGUGUAAGCUUUCCUAUAUGUGAUUGGUAAAUUAAUCUUGUUGGACAACUUGUUAUAUACAUGUCAAAUUGGAUUACGUUAAUUUAUAAAAUUACGAUUGAAUGUGUUAUUAGUUGUAUUUAUAUAGUGUUGUUAUAAAUGUUAAAAAAUUUAAUUAUAUAGUACAGAACAGAACCGAACCGAACGGAACUGAACCCGAACGGUUCCAUAAUUAUAUUUGGACCCGACAGUUCUAUUUACUAAAUAUCCAAAAUUUUUGGUUUGAUUCGGUUCACUUUAAAAUCGAACCGAACCGACUUACGCCCAGGCCUAAUCAUAACAAUAAUUAUAUACAUCUCUACCUUAUUUCAAUACCAUUCCUUUCACACCAUGUGGGACCCAUCUUUAAACUAAUGGUCAAAAAUUGAUUUUCAAAAUAAGCUCCUAACAGGUUCAUAGAGGUAUAAUCAUUAGGCCCUUAUUAAGCCGAGUUACGAACAAUUUUUUUUUUCAAAAUUAGUUUUAAAAUAAAUAAAGUUUAUCUUUUGUAUAUAGGUGGUCGUGGACCAUGAGCCUCUACCUAAGUCCAAGUGGUGUGGUCUCGAGCCUUGGCGGCUAGGUGCACAUUUAUUUUUCUAGUUUUGAAUCAUCCGUAUAGUAAUUAAUUCACAUGCAGAUGCUUAGUUAUAUGCAGACAAGAUGAUCCUCCAUUAAUUUACACAAAUGGAACGAUUCCAACCAUUCGAAACUUGUGCUAUUUGAUGAUGAUAUUAAAUGGUGCUAAAAAAUAUGUCAUUUCAUAUGUGAAUCUAUUCAUAGAUCUUAUCUACACAACUAACACAUCAUAAUCAAUGACUGUCAUUACAAUAUUGCGUGACAAAUUAUCGAACUUUCACAUAACAUUAUUUAGGAAAUCUUUCUUUUGACUUUAUGUUUCAUUGUAAUAAUCUAAAGAUCUCAUGAAUCCAUUUCGAAAAUAGAACAUGACUUCAAUUCAAUUUGGCAAUUUAUACUAAUCUAUCUUUUAAUUUGAGGAAUUUCCUUUAUAUUUUCUUGCUUAACAUAAAUAUACUUUGCAUUUUUAAUUUCCAGCCUAUUUCAUUAUUUUAAUUUUGUGAUUGUCAUCAACAAUGAAACGAAUACUAGUUUUAUUGAAACAAUCUUUCAUGCCUAAUUAAUUUAAUCCUUGAGCAAUAAAAAUCAUAUUUCUUUUGGAAUUUAUGGUUGGAAUGUGAAAUAAGAAUCACCCGAAAAAUAAAAAUAAAAUCAAUUUAAGAAAUCAAGAUCGUUACUGGAUGUUUACAUGUAAAUUUAAUCAAUAAAUAAAAAAUAUCUAAAAUUUACCCAAAUUCGAUAAUUAAUUCUUAAAUCAGAUAUGAAUAGCGAAAUUUCAGUCUUUUGAAUUGUGAAAUUUCAAUUUUGAUUCCAAUAAUUUGAUUUAAGUUUCAAGCCUUCUAUUCAUCAAAAUCAAGAUUACACUAGUGUGUGGACAUCUUCUUUUAAUUACACCAAAAAUUAAAUUAUAGACCUUAGAAAAAUCACUUCAAUCCAUAUAAACUUUUGGUAAAAGUUUAAAAUAUCUACUCAAUAAAUCUUAAUGUCUCUUAUGAUUUUUAUAGUGCUAUGUUGAUUUCCAAAGGGAGUACUAUUUCAUGUUUGACAAUACAUCGUUUUCACAACUAACACCAACAAUUUUAUUUAAUUUCUAAAUUAAAAAAGGAGAUGCUAUUUACAUCCACCAUUAUUAUAUUUAUCUACUUUAAAAAAGAAAAUUAUAUUAUAUUUUUAACCUUAUGUAAAUUUACUUAAAUAUCAUUAUAAAAUUAAAUAAAAAUAUAUUAGUCUAAAUUUAUCCACUAAUAUUUAUUUUCAUUAAAUUCUUCUGGACUUUUUAUAUUCUUUUAAAUUUAUGUUUAAAUAAAAUUCUAAUAUUUAUAAAAUAUCCUCUUCGACUAUAGUCAAAACAACAAUGAAAGACACAUCAUAAGGGCAAAUGCAUAUAGACAUAACAAUAUAUGAAAAAAGAAUUUGAAAAAGUAGGAUUGCCUUUCAUUGUAAGCAUAAUGAAUUUAGUAUGUGAACAAUUCUUAAUUUUUGUUUGGAGUUUUGAUAAUAUGCAUUUUAAACUCAAGUUGUAUCAGUAAGAAAUUUUAUUACAAAUUAUUUUAGUUUUCUGUUGAGAUUAUCUUUUUUUCUCUAAAUUUUUUGAAUUAAAAAUAUUGAUAGUUAUAUUUUCUGUUGGGAUUAGUAAAACAAGAAUUUGAGUUUCCUGCAGGGAUUAUCUCUUUCUUUUUUCCCCUUUCUUUCUUUCUUUCUUGAUUUUCUUUCUAUGGAUUUAUAAGGACAAUUUUGAAAUAUAGUGCUUGUUUGGUAGGGAAUUUUGAUAAUAUAUAUAUGUCCCGUUUGGGAGUGAUUUUUCACCCCAAAAAUAUGAUUUUUUGAUUGUUAUUUUAUUAUUCCAAUCAUAAUUUUUGACUUCUUCUUUCACAGGUGGCUCCCACAUUUUUCCUAACGAUUAAAAAAUCAAUUUUCAAAAUCACUAUCGAAUAUGCCUAUAGAGUGUAAUAAAUAUAUAUCUAAUAAUGAGAGUAAACAGCGACUCUAUAAAAACUAUGACUCUUUGAAUGAACAUAUAUUAUUGAAUGACAAAUAAAGUACUAUAAGUUACAAGAUUAUUCCAAAAAAUGUGAGACUCUAGUUGCACAAUUUGAAUAAAAUUCCAGCAACAGUGACAUUAACUUUGAAAGGGACUCAAUUUUUUUUAUUUUUUUUUCAUUACUAUCUGUGAGGUGACACACUUUUUUAUCCUUAAUUUCAACGACACUUAAAAUAAUUCAUGACAUAUAUUUUUAUAUAUCAUACAAUGUCAACCUUAAUGUAUGCAUAGUUGAUAAAAUAUACAAAUAGCAUUUUCCUUUGAAUAAAUGCGUAAAUAAAUAUUUUCCAAAUAAUUAUUCCAAAAAGGAUUAGUCAAAAUAAAUUGAGAUUGUGGUUGCACGAUUUUGGAUGUUUGGACUUCCUGAAUAAUUGUAAAAAUGUUAAGUUAAUUCGAAGAGCUUUGCUGGGCCACACAAUCCAUUGUUAUUGAUCAGUUUCACUGUUGCCUUCAUCGUGUUCUUUGACCCCACCAUGUUGAUUAAUUGAACCAAUGAAAUUUCUCCGUGUUCAUUGACCCCACCAUUUUGUAUAAUUGAACCCAACCACUGUUGGGUUCAAUUAUUGAUCAGUUUGCUGGGCCAGAUGGAUGCUUGGGUUCAAUUAUUGAUCAGAGACAAUCCAUUGUUAUUGAUCAGUUUCACUGUUGCGAUCAUCGUGUUCUUUGACCCCACCAUGUUGAUUAAUUGAAACCAAUGAAAUUUCUCCGUGUUCAUUGACCCCACCAUUUUGUAUAAUUGAACCCAACAACCAGCAGACGACUUUCAUUUAUACAUUAUACAAGUCAAUCUCACUUGCAUUCAUCCCUCUUAACUCUUGCUUCCUAUCUUACAAAAAAGAUAAUAAUGGCUGUAAUCGAAGUUUUUCUAGGUGCAGUUCUCACUGUUUUGCUUGAGAAGCUGGCCUCUGGUGAGCUACUGAAAUUUCUGCGUCAUGUAGGAAUCGACGCCCAGCUGGUAGAAUGGAAGACAACUUUGAAGAGGAUCCAGGCAGUGCUUACUGAUGCUGAAAACAAGCAAACAACGGACAAAGAUGUGAAAGAGUGGCUAAUUGAUCUGGAAGAUUUGGCUCUUGAUCUUGAAGACUUAGUGGAUGAGUUGAAUACUGAAGCCUUGCAGCGCAAAUUAAAGGAAAAUAAAGGCAGCACCAGUAAGGUAAAAAAGCUCGUCCCCACUUGUUGUACUAAUCUUUCUUUCACUGAUUUCAUGUCUGAUCGCGGGAUUGCUUCCAAGCUAAAAGAGGUCAGUGGCCGGUUGAAAGAUCUGGAAGAACAGAAAAAAUUUCUCGAUUUGGUGGAAAAUGUAAGGGGAAGGUCUUAUGGAAGAUUGCCAACAACUUCGCUCGUGGUAGAAUCGAAAGUUCAUGGAAGAGAGAAGGACAAGGAGGAAAUACUGAAUAUCUUAUUUGGUGUUGAAUCAAAUGAUAGUCAAAUAUCCGUGAUUCCAAUUGUGGGCAUGGGAGGUAUCGGCAAAACAACUCUGGCCCAACUUGUGUAUAAUGAUGAAAGAUUGAAGGACAAGUUUGAUCUUAAGGGAUGGGCUUACGUUUCGGAGGAAUUUGAUGCUGUAAAAGUAACAAAAAACAUUCUUGAGUCAGUUUCUUCUGGUGGAAAGUGUGAUUAUGAAAAUUUUGACACGCUUCAGAACAAACUAAAGGAGAGCCUUUCAAACAAGAAAUUUCUAGUAGUUCUAGAUGAUAUUUGGCAUGAAAAUUACGAAGAUUGGGAGAUCCUAAGCCGUCCUUUUCUUGCUGGAAAACCUGGAAGCACAAUCAUCAUUACCACUCGACAAGAAAGGGUGGCCAAAAUCAUGUCUGAAAUUCCAGCAUACAAUCUGGAUCUGUUAUCAGAGGGCGAUGCUUUAUCAUUGCUAGCUCAACAUGCAUUUGGAGCUAAAACUUUUGACGGUCAUCCAGCUUUAAUAGAGAUUGGUAAGUCUAUGGUAAGAAGAUGUAAGAUGUUGCCCCUGGCAGUAAAGGCCCUUGGGGGGCUUCUUCGAGUUGGUCGUGAAGAUUGGGAAAAGGUGUUGAAAAGUGAAAUCUGGAUGAAUGAAGAAAAUAUUGGAAUUCUUCCUGCUCUAAAACUGAGUUAUCACCAUCUUCCUCCGGAAUUGAAAAGAUGCUUUGGUUACUGUGCUCUCUUUCCCAAGGACUACGAAUUUGACAAGUUCCAACUAGUGUACUUUUGGAUGGCUGAAGGUCUUCUGCAGGAAACAAAGAAAGAUAAGUUAAUUGAAGAUGUUGGUAGUCAAUAUUUUGAUGAACUAUUGGCUAGAUCAUUCUUCCAACAAUCAAGUGCCAAUGCUUCACGCUUUGUGAUGCACGACCUCUUUAACGAUCUAGCUAUGUCUGUUGCUGGUGAUAAAUGUUUGAGGAUGGAUGAUGAACUGCAGGAGAUUUCUGUAAAGGUCCGUCACUUGUCAUUCAAGCGCAGGAUGUUUGAAACUUAUCCUAGAUUUAACUUUCUUGACAAAGUUCAAAAGUUGAGAACCUUUUUGCCACUACCUGUUGAGGCGUCAUUUAAUUACUUAUCCCAAAGAAAUUUGCUUCACCUAUUCGCAAAUUCAUACUGCUUAAGAGUGCUAUCCUUGAAUGGUUAUGCCAUAUAUGAGUUGCCAGAUUCUAUUGGUGAUUUAAGACAUUUAAGAUACCUGGGCCUAGCUGGAACAAGACUGAGGUGGUUGCCUGAAUCUGUGUGCACUCUUAUCAAUUUACAAGUGUUGAUUCUAAGUGGUUGUAGUAGACUUACCAAAUUACCCACAAGCAUGGAAAAUCUUGUUAAACUUCGGUAUCUGGACAUUACUCAUACUUGCAAUUUACAUGAGAUGCCUCAGGGAAUUGCUCAACUAACAAGUUUGCGAACGUUAACUAAGGUGACUGCAAGUAAAAAUAAUGGAAUGAGUUUAAAGGAGUUGGGCAAUCUAUCAUUUCUACAAGGUAAUAUUUCUAUUGAGGAAUUGCAAAAUGUUGUGAAUGUUAAAGAAGCAACGGAAGCAAGGCUAAUGGAUAAGCCAAGCCUCAACGGAAUAAGGUUGGAAUGGAGCGCAGGCUUUGAUGAUCCUCGGAAUAAAAUUUUAGAAUUGAAUGUGCUUAAUGCAUUAAAGCCCCAUAAGAACUUAUCAACACUUGAAAUCAAGUAUUACGGGGGUGAGAAUUUCUCUAAUUGGAUUGAAGAUUCAGCAUUCCUUAAGUUAGCAAGGAUAAGCUUUGAAUAUUGUAAAAAUUGCACGAUUUUGCCACCAUUAGGGCAACUACCUUUGCUAAGAGACUUAAGCAUUCGAGGCAUUGAUCAAGUAAAAGUGAUUGGAGCUGAAUUUUAUGGAAAUAGAGGCCAUGGAGAAUUACCUUUUCCAUCACUCAUUAAUCUGACUUUUAGUGACAUGUCUAACUGGGAGGAAUGGGUUGGAAUAGGAGGUGUUAUCCAACUUCCUAAGCUAUGCUCAUUGAUUAUAACUGAUUGUUCAAAAUUGGUCAGUCUUCCAAAUCUUUUACUGCCAUCCCUACGUCACAUAAAUGCUGCUGGGUGUAAUGAGGUGGUGCUAAAUAGUAUGCAGAAUUUGAAAUCUUUAACCAGCAUAAUAUUGUGUAGAAUUUUCGGAUUAACUUCAAUUAUCAAAGCAUUUGUACACUUUCCUUUUACACUUGAAAGUGUCACAGUUAAUGAAUGUCACAACCUUGUGACUCUAUGGCCAGGUGAUAGUACUGCACGAAACCUAGUUGACCUACAACGCGUGGAUAUUGACAGUUGUCCUCGGCUAUUGUCCCUUCAAGAGAUUGACGUUCUUCCCGAUCUUAGGAGACUUUAUAUAAGAAAUUGUGGAGCUCUGGAGUUGUUGCCUCAUAAAAUAUCUUGUCUUGAGAGAUUGUCUAUCAACAAAUGUCCAUCGUUAAGGACGAUGAUGAAGCUACAGAAUUGCAACAUCUCGCUCGAUUAUCUAAAAAUUUCUCGUGUGAAUUUGAAUUUGGCAAAUUUACUAGGCUCUGGCUCCAAUUACCAAAGUCUCACUCAUCUACAAAUACGGUCUUGUGAUGGUCUAGAAUUGUUUCCCAAUGGAGGCUUGCCCACACCAAAUUUAAAACUACUAAAGAUAAUUGAGUGUCAACAUCUCAAGUCGUUACCUGAUCGGAUGGAUCUACUUUCAUCCCUUUCGUUCCUGGGGGUGUCUUCUUGUGCUUCAUUGAAGGAACUCUUUCCCCAGGAGGAUAUUCCCCCAAAUCUGUGUCACCUUGAUAUCAGAAAUUGCGGAAAACUAAAACCCCCGGGGGAGUGGGGCCUACACAAACUCACCUCUCUUCAAACCUUUGAAUUUGGUGGAUGUCUAGAGC
RNAcentral lists this long non-coding RNA (364814 nucleotides) under Olea europaea (common olive). RNAcentral describes it as "long non-coding RNA (OEUR_LNC007017)". Lineage: Eukaryota; Viridiplantae; Streptophyta; Magnoliopsida; Lamiales; Oleaceae. The record is from RNAcentral.